Molecule: long non-coding RNA, 463454 nt
Filed under: Phaseolus vulgaris (common bean)
Lineage: Eukaryota; Viridiplantae; Streptophyta; Magnoliopsida; Fabales; Fabaceae
Description: long non-coding RNA (PVUL_LNC000386)
Rfam family: Plant signal recognition particle RNA (bases 23389-23691)
Source: RNAcentral
AAAAGCCACAACGCGAGAGAGAGGGAAGCGAACAGCUUCAUCGACAUGGUGACACUUUGGUCUCAGAAUAGUGUGGUUUAAGGUUUGUGUGGUUUUGCAAUGGUGUGUGUGGUUUUUAAGGUUGCAGGAGGAAGGUAUUUAUAGGAUAUGGUAUAGAGGGUUGUUGGAACAAAAGUGGAACAUGAUUUAUCCAACACGUUGCUUGUACCUUAAGGAUGUGAUACGUAGCAAGACAAAGGUUGAAUCUGGGAUGAGUUACAUAAAUUUCCAUGAUCAAACUUUGAUUUCUAUAUAUUUUGUGGAAUUUCAUUACACCGCCAAAUGGAAAUUUUGUUUUGUGGAAUUUCAACAUGUUUUGUAAAACUAGGAUACUUGUGGUUUAAUGUAUAUUUUAUUUUAUUUCAAAACUUUUUUUCUUAAUAUAUGGUGCUGAUAUAUUAAUCUUCUGAAAUUACUAGAUCUAACUCACCCAUAUAAUUAUGGAUUUGUGUACAUGCAAGUUGAUUGGUAUAAAUUAUAAAAGUACUGAAAAAGAAUCUAGAAAGUCUUUUGUAAUUUUUUAUCUCAAAUUUGAAUAUCUUAUUAAGAACAAGGUUUUCAGAUGGAGGUGUAACAAUUACAAAAACUUAAAAUUAAAAAUAAUGAUUUAUUAUUUAUCACAAAGUAAAUAAAUAAAUAUACUAUAAAAAUAAAAUAAUAUAUGAUACUAUUAAAAUCAUGAAUUAAAAUAUUUAGUCAAAAUUCAGUUUACACAAUAAAAGGUUAAAAACAUUGAUGAGGGUUAUGAGACGAGACAGUCAACCUGCACUUGUCUCACUUGAGGUACGAAUUACAUGAAACAAACUUAAAUAUAUAUAUAUAUAUAUAUAUAUAUAUAUCAUAAUAGAAUUUUUUUUAUCACAAUAAUAAAUAAAAAAAAUUAAAAAAUAAAACACUUUGAACUGUUUCAAUCCAUUUACAACAAAACUUAUCAGACACAAACUAAAGUAAAAAAAUGGGGCAAUUUAAAAUCAUUAUUACUAAUUUGGACAAUUUUAUUUUAUUUUAUAAAUUUGGGUUAAGUCGUGGGGAUAAAACCCAUUUUAAAUGAGAACCCGUAAUUAUGACAAACGAGUUUGUUAACAAAGAAGAAGUUGUGUGCAUAAUACACAAUUUUUUGUACAAUCUAUGUUGAAAUUGUGUAGCAUCUGUACAACUUUGUUAAUUAACUAAAGUUGUGCAUGAAUGACACAACUUCAAUCUUGGUACCCAAAGCGGGUUGGCCAUGCAACAUGAGCAACGUAGUCCUCGUAUGUAAGACAUUGAAAUGGCUUGGGAACACCAGUGGACAUGUGAAAAGAAAGUCCUUGCAUUAUGUCCAUGAGCAUGGUGAUGACCCUUUAAUUUGUUGCAAUUUCAACUAUAAUAUAUCCAUGUCUUGUGGUGGUGGUGGUCGAAGGAAGCUUCUAGCUUGUGGCUAGGGUUAAUCUAUCUCAUUCACAAAAUGUACAUAUUAAACGUUUUAUAAAAUAGGGUUGACCAUAGGGCUUGCCAUAUGGUGGAUUCACUUGAAAACAUAAAAUUACACAGUAGAGUGAUGAGGGUCAGAAAUCCCUAAAGUUCUUGUGAGGCCAGUACAAACUCCUAUAUUCAAUGAGAGAUGAAGUUCUUAAUGUUGAUGGAGAAGGUGUCCUAAGUUGCAUAGAUGAACUUUGCAAUCUUAGUGAUAAUGUUAAAACUGUGAAAGGUAGGAUCAAAGUUGAUAAGGAUGAAACUCAUCCAAAUUUUUGAAAGAUUAUUAAAAUGGUCUCUAAAUAUGCAAUGGAAUGACAUUCUCCCAUCCUCCGUAUUCAAAAUCAUGACCCCUCACGCAUAAUGUCUUCUUUAGGGUCUAAAUGGGACAAGGAUGGUGAAGUCAUUCAUCAUACUUUGAUAUACAACUUGGAACAAACUAUGUAGUCUCCAAAUAUGCAUUUAUGUCCAAUGCAUCAUACUAGAUAUAACUUCACAGACAAAGCUUGUUCAAAGCAGUGACUCAAACUCUCUAUCUUCCUUUAUCACCCUCUCAUGGUAUAUGUUAUCACAAGAUUCUCUCACCAAGAUCUCACUAAAAGGGGUGUCAGGCUUUCCCAUCUUAUUUCAUUUUCUCNNNNNNNNNNNNNNNNNNNNNNNNNNNNNNNNNNNNNNNNNNNNNNNNNNNNNNNNNNNNNNNNNNNNNNNNNNNNNNNNNNNNNNNNNNNNNNNNNNNNNNNNNNNNNNNNNNNNNNNNNNNNNNNNNNNNNNNNNNNNNNNNNNNNNNNNNNNNNNNNNNNNNNNNNNNNNNNNNNNNNNNNNNNNNNNNNNNNNNNNNNNNNNNNNNNNNNNNNNNNNNNNNNNNNNNNNNNNNNNNNNNNNNNNNNNNNNNNNNNNNNNNNNNNNNNNNNNNNNNNNNNNNNNNNNNNNNNNNNNNNNNNNNNNNNNNNNNNNNNNNNNNNNNNNNNNNNNNNNNNNNNNNNNNNNNNNNNNNNNNNNNNNNNNNNNNNNNNNNNNNNNNNNNNNNNNNNNNNNNNNNNNNNNNCUAUGUUUGCUUAAAGCACAUCACGUUUAAGAAAAACACACACUAGUACAAAAUUUGAAAACAACGACCAUUUAUUUAGUGCGGCUUUGCGUUUAAACGCAUUUGUAAAAAACGCGGUGGCAUUUUUGUAAUUAAAUUGAUUUACAAAUGCGGUUCUAGGGUAAGACCGCAUUUGUAAAUCAAUUAAAAUGAAUUACAACUACAGUCAUAGUAAAGACCGCAUUUGUAAUUCAUUCUGAAUUGAAUUACAACUGUUCGUAUAAGUGAUGAGUACGAAAGGGGAGUAGAGGAAUUUAUACAAUUUGCGCAGCGUAACGCGGUUAUUAGUGGUCAUGAUGGAGCAAAGAUCAGGUGUCCGUGCGUUAACUGUUUGAAUGGAAGGAUACUGGAUGUNNNNNNNNNNNNNNNNNNNNNNNNNNNNNNNNNNNNNNNNNNNNNNNNNNNNNNNNNNNNNNNNNNNNNNNNNNNNNNNNNNNNNNNNNNNNNNNNNNNNNNNNNNNNNNNNNNNNNNNCUACCAUGGAUGAAGCAGUACACGAUGAUGGAGAUGAUGAUCGAUUGGAGGACAUGAUUCGUGAUGUGGGAGCUGAGUGUUUUGCAAAAGCGCAUGGAUAUGAAAGUAUGUCAAAAGAUGCAGAGACUCCUUUGUAUCCUGGAUCAACUAACUUCACACGGUUGUCGGUGGUGUUAAGAUUGAUGAAUUUGAAGGCAAUAAACGGAUGGACUGAUAAAAGCUUCACGGAAUUGCUCCAGCUGUUGAAGGAUAUGCUUCCAGAGGGAAAUAGUCUACCUAAUCGUAAUUAUGAGGCAAAAAAGAUUUUUUGUCCAAUGGGUAUGGAGUACAAAAAGAUACAUGCAUGUCCUAAUGAUUGUAUAUUAUACCGGAAAGAUUUUGAAUUGUUGAAAAGUUGUCCGAGGUGUGGGUUAUCACGUUAUAAGUUGAAACAAAAAGAUGAUGAUUCUAUUGAUGACAUGGAAAAGCAUGGACCCCCAAUGAAGGUUAUGUGGUAUCUUCCCAUUAUUCCAAGGAUGAAGCGUUUGUUUGCAAACCUAGACGAUGCUAAGAAUCUUAGAUGGCAUGCAGAUGAGAGGAAAUGCGAUGGCAUGUACCGACAUCCAGCUGAUUCUAUUCAAUGGAAGAAAUUUGAUGAUGACUUUCCAGAAUUUGGUAAAGAAUCAAGAAAUAUCCGACUUGGUUUAGCUACAGACGGAAUGAAUCCGUUUGGUAAUAUGAGUACAAAUCACAGUUCAUGGUCUGUAUUACUAGUUAUUUCCAACUUACCUCCUGGAUUGUGCAUGAAGCGAAAAUACAUGAUGUUGUCUAUGAUGAUAUCCGGUCCGAAACAACCAGGGAAUGAUAUUGAUGUUUAUCUAAGUCCCCUGAUUGAAGAUUUGAAGUUAAUGUGGGACCAGGGUGUCGAAGUAUUUGACGGAUUUGCUAAUGAAACUUUCAAGCUUCAUGCCAUGUUAUUUUGCACCAUCAAUGACUUUCCGGCAUAUGGUAACUUAUCAGGUUAUAGUGUUAAGGGUCACAAAGCGUGUCCAAUAUGCGAAGAAGACACUGCUUCUCAACAAUUGAAACAUGGAAGGAAAACAGUAUAUCUUCGGCAUCGGAGGUUUCUUAUAAGUCAUCAUCCUUACCGGAGGUUGAAAAAAGCCUUUAAUGGACACCAAGAGGGUAGUGGUCCACCAACUCCAUUAACCGGUGUUGAGGUUUACGAAAAGGUAAAUAACAUAGACCACACCUUCGGCAAGUCCAAAAAAAAGUCAUCUGUGACAAAUAUUUGGAAGAAGAAAUCAAUCUUCUUUGAUCUUCCGUACUGGUCGAGGUUAGAAGUCAGACAUUGUAUAGAUGUAAUGCAUGUUGAGAAGAAUGUGUGUGAUAGCUUAAUUGGUACACUUCUUAACAUUAACGGGAAGACGAAGGAUGGUCUAAAUGCUCGUUUAGAUUUGAUUGAGAUGAACAUACGCGGCGAGUUGGCACCCAUACAAAUGGGUAAGCGUACAUAUUUGCCCCCAGCCUGUUACACAAUGUCAAAAGAUGAAAAAAUUAGUUUUUGUCAAUGUCUAAAGGGUGUGAAAGUGCCACAAGGACAUUCCUCAAAUGUGAAGAGUAUAGUGUCAAUGCAAGAUUUGAAGUUAAUUGGGUUGAAGUCUCAAGAUUGUCACAUCUUGAUACAACAAUUGUUGCCGGUAGCAUCCNNNNNNNNNNNNNNNNNNNNNNNNNNNNNNNNNNNNNNNNNNNNNNNNNNNNNNNNNNNNNNNNNNNNNNNNNNNNNNNNNNNNNNNNNNNNNNNNNNNNNNNNNNNNNNNNNNNNNNNNNNNNNNNNNNNNNNNNNNNNNNNNNNNNNNNNNNNNNNNNNNNNNNNNNNNNNNNNNNNNNNNNNNNNNNNNNNNNNNNNNNNNNNNNNNNNNNNNNNNNNNNNNNNNNNNNNNNNNNNNNNNNNNNNNNNNNNAUAUGAAAAUUUUGAAAGGUUAUGUGAAAAAUCAUUAUCGUCCAGAGGCUUCAAUAAUUGAAAGGUACAUAGCUGAAGAAAGUAUUCAAUUUUGUUCAGAGUACAUGACAAAAGCAAAUCCAAUAGGUGUUCCAGCUAAUUCAUGGCACCACAGGCGUUCUACAAGUAAAUGUUUACGUGGUGUGAAUAUUGUAAGCAAAUCUCGAUCAGAAGUCUUGCAAGCACAUUUGUACAUAUUGAAUAACACAGAUGAAGUUGUACCUUACAUAGAAGCUCACAAAGCCAUUGUGAAGGCAGAUAACCCAAGACAAGCAGAGAAAUGGGUCUUGAUGGAACAUAAUAUAACUUUCAUGCCUUGGUUUAAAGAUGAGGUGUUCAAGGAUUCAACGACAUCAGAGACCUUGACCUGGUUGGUUGUUGGAUUGAAGUUUGAUGUCAUCUCAUGUACAGCAUACGAAGUGAAUAAUUGUAUAUUUUACACGAAGGCCAUGGAUGAAAAGAGUACAGUUCAAAAUUCUGGUGUUACUCUUGAAGCCGAGUCAAUGCAGUUUUCGACUUCGAAACAUACAAAUCCAGUANNNNNNNNNNNNNNNNNNNNNNNNNNNNNNNNNNNNNNNNNNNNNNNNNNNNNNNNNNNNNNNNNNNNNNNNNNNNNNNNNNNNNNNNNNNNNNNNNNNNUCAAUGGCAUACUAUGGUUUAUAGAAGAGAUAUGGGAGAUUGACUACACUAAGUUUUCCGUUCCAGUUUUCAAGUGUAAAUGGGUUGACAAUAAAAGUGGGGUUAAAAUUGAUGAUUCAGGAUUCACACUAGUGGACUUUCGAAAGAUAGGGUAUCGAGAUGAGCCAUUUAUAAUGGUUCAACAAGCAUCUCAAGUUUUCUACGUGAAAGAUCCUACGUCAGAACAUUGGUAUGUCGUUUUACACGGCAAAAACAAGGGGAGACCAUAGAUGAUAUUGAAAAUGGUGACCCCUGUUCAUUCACACCAAAGAUAAUUAAUAAAGAUGACGAUGUAGUUGGUGAUAUACAUGCAACCCGUAAAGACCACAGUGAAGGAAUUUACAUAUAAACUUUCAACCCCCAUGCAACCUGUAAAUAAGCAUUUUAGAUUUACAUUUUUAUGUAUUAUUUUUAGAAGAUUUUAAUUCGAUGCAGAUUAACUAAUGUUUGUUACCUAAUUUUUUUAACAGAGACAUGGAUGACGAUCAGACCCCACUCAAACCUCGAUCCGGACGAGGCAGCAGAGGACCUACUAGAUUGAAGCGUCUCGCAUUGAGACGUGCUGCUGGUGAGAAGACACGUGUUGACAUUGACGUUAACACUGGAGUGGCUUUUGAUCCUAAGGCAGAUGAGUUUAUGAGCUAUCUUGAAGUUGUUUCUCGUGAGAGGCUCUCCAUUCUGAUUAAUUCAUGGGAUGAGGUGUCANNNNNNNNNNNNNNNNNNNNNNNNNNNNNNNNNNNNNNNNNNNNNNNNNNNNNNNNNNNNNNNNNNNNNNNNNNNNNNNNNNNNNNNNNNNNNNNNNNNNAGGAUGUUCUGGUAAGCUUUACAUUUUGAUAUAAUGCUUUUAAUAUUCAUUGAUUAAUUUUAAUUUGCUGAUGUUAUUUUGCAGGCAAACUUUGAAAUUCCUGAUGUGGAACCGCUUCGAUCAAAGAUUAUAUCCAAUAUCGGACUCAAAUUCCAUACCUUUAAGUCAAGACUGACUUCGAGAUACAUUUUUGGCGACCUUAAAGACGAAAAUCCAUGUUUAAAGUACAAACAUAUUGAUGAAGAGACAUGGCGUCUUUUUAGAGAAAGCCGUGAAAAUGAGGCUUGGAUGGUAAGUGAAGUAACUUUUUGUUUAUAUAACAUUAAUAAGUUUAUCUUAUUUACUUCAGUUUGUUUAUUUCAAUUAUGACAGGAUCGUCGGAAGAAAGCUCAAGACAUAGCUUUGAAGAAUCUUACCCCGCACGUUAUGUCUCGUUCGGGGUAUCGAAAACUUGAGCAAACACUGAUGGUGGAAAAGGAGAAAUCUAAACAGGGGACAUUGUCUGAGAAUGUGGAAACAGGGGUCACUUCUCCUCCAUCACCACCUUUUCGCCAUGUAAAAUGGAAGAAAGCCCGAAUUAAAUAGUCGGGUGCACCAAGUUCUGAGCAAUCCGGGGUUAUCAUUGAAAAAGUUGUAAGUUAUUUUUGUUAUUUUCAUUUAUUUUAAAGCAUUAAUUAUAUUAAUGCUUGAAAAUAUGAUUUUUGUGUACUCUUGCAGGAUUCCUUGGAAUCCGACGGUAAAUUUGUUGCUGAAGGUCGUCACGAUAUCCUGGUUGAAGCAAUUAGAUGACCUGAGCACUCUGAUCGUGUUCGUGCAGCUGGACAAGGGGUCGGAAUUAAACUAUAUUUUGGAGUUUCAGAACGACAGUCAUCCUCCUCCUCCAAAGAGAACGAAACUCAAAUGAAGACUAAGAUACGUGAAGAAUUAAUGGAGGAGAUGAGAAAGGAGACUGAUUUGAUGUGGCUACAGAUNNNNNNNNNNNNNNNNNNNNNNNNNNNNNNNNNNNNNNNNNNNNNNNNNNNNNNNNNNNNNNNNNNNNNNNNNNNNNNNNNNNNNNNNNNNNNNNNNNNNAUAUGUAAUUUGAUUACUUGUAAAUGUACAUUUUGAUGAUCUCAAUUGAUUACUAUAUUUCUGUAUUUGUCUGGUUGGGUUUGAUCAUUAUGCAGGUUAUUAAUUUAUAUGGUUUAUGCACAAUACAAACUGCACUUUAAAAAAACACUAUUUACAAAUGCGGUCAUUUACCAAAACCGCAUUUGUAAAUGUGAAUUACCUAUUUACAAAUGCGGUCAUUUACCAAAACCGCAUUUGUAAAUGUGAUUUAUGAAUGCGGUUUUUACCAAGACCGCAUUCGUAAAUCCUAAACCCCUAAACCCUCAUCCCUCAUUCAGAAUAAUAUACAAAUGCGGUUAUUUUAAAUAACCGCAUUUGUAAAUCUAAUUUAUAAAUGUGGUUCUUUGACCGCAUUUGUAUAUGUCCGAUUUACGAAUGCAUGCUGAUCAAAUGCGGUUCUAUGACCGCAUUUGUAAAUGUAAAAUAGCCUUAUUUAUUUUACAUUUCUGCGCUAAUGAGACUAGGGGACUUGAAAAUAUUGUACCAUUUCCAACUACCAAUAAAGAAUAAAACACCAUUAUUAAAGAUUGUGUUCACAUUACUUGGCUAUAUACACAGAACAAGAGUCGGUGGCAAUGGUGUAGUGAAAAGAUUAUGAUAUAUGAACACAUAUUCAUAGUCAACCACUCUCAUUCUUUACUAAAUAUUCCAUGCAAACGUGUUGAUAUGAGCUUAAACCCUACAAAAGAAUGGAACUUGACUUGUUAAAACUAUGUAAUAAAAGAUAAAUAGAAACAAAAGUAACUAUCAUGACCUAUCUCUUUGGUCGGAUGUCUGUACAAAAUUAUUUCAAAGGCUCUGUCGCUGCGUCUAAAAAAGGUGAUUGCAAAAGUCAUUGAUGUCAGGCAGUCCGCCUUUCUUCAGGGGAGGGGUUUGUUGGAUGGUGUGUUAGUCGCCAAUUAAGUUCUGGAUGAGAUAAAGAGAAGGAAGAAAAGUUGUGUUUUCUUCAAAGCCGAUUUUGAAAAGGCGUAUGACUCAGUGAGAUGGGAGUUCAUCUAUUAUAUGUUAGAAAGGCUCGGUUUUUGUGGUAAAUGGAUUCGUUGGAUAAAAGGGUGUUUGGAGUCUGCUUCUGUGUCUGUGUUAGUGAAUGGUAGUCUGUCUAAGGAGUUCUUCCCAAAAAAAGGACUUCGACAAGGCGAUCCGUUAGCCCCUUUUUUGUUCCUUAUUGCGGCGGAAGGCUUGGCAGGCGUGUCUAGAAUGGCAACUGAGAGGAAGAUGAUAGAUAGUCUGGAGAUUGGCAGAGAGAAGGUGAAAGUUAACAUGUUACAGUAUGCUGAUGAUACUGUUUUCUUUUGUGAAGCUAAUGUCAAGAGCAUUUUCAAUAUUAAGGCGGCUCUGAAUUGUUUUGAACUUGCGUCUGGGCUUAAGGUGAAUUUUAUGAAGAGCAAGUUAGGAGGUGUGGGGGUAAAGUAAAUAUCGAUUCAGCGUUUUGCGACCAUUCUUAAUUGCGAGGUGAUGACAAUUCCUUUUGUUUAUUUGGGUUUGCCGAUAGGAGGGUGUCAUAAGAAAAAUGAGUUUUGGGCUGGGGUGAUAGAUAGAGUGAAAAGAAGAUUGAGUAGUUGGAAAGGCAGGCUAUUGUCUAUGGCAGGGCGAAUUUGCCUGAUCAAGUCGGUUCUCUCUUCUAUCCCUUUGUUUUACCUAUCUCUUUUCAAAAUGCCUGUUGGGGUGGCAAACGAGAUAGUGAGUAUUCAAAGGAAUUUCCUGUGGGGUUGGGGCUCUGAUGGAAGAAAGGUAGCGUGGGCUUCUUGGAAAAAGGUGUGUGAAGCGCGGGAGGAUGGAGGNNNNNNNNNNNNNNNNNNNNNNNNNNNNNNNNNNNNNNNNNNNNNNNNNNNNNNNNNNNNNNNNNNNNNNNNNNNNNNNNNNNNNNNNNNNNNNNNNNNNNNNNNNNNNNNNNNNNNNNNNNNNNNNNNNNNNNNNNNNNNNNNNNNNNNNNNNNNNNNNNNNNNNNNNNNNNNNNNNNNNNAGGUGUGGAGCUUAGAAGGGUGGGGUCAGAAUUUUGAAGAUGCCGUGGCUUGGAAGGUGGGUAAUGGGAAGGAAGUUAUGUUCUGGGAAGACAAUUGGGUGGGUAGGGGGCGUUGAAAAGUGUUUUCCCGAGGCUGUUUUCACUUAGUGUCUCAAAAGCUUCCUCGGUGGCAGAGGUAGGGGCUUGGAACAACAAUGUUUGGGUUUGGAAGUUUGGUUGGAGAAGGAGUCUUUUUGAGUGGGAAAAGAGUUUAGUGUGUCUACUGUCUCAGGAAGUUCAGGGUGUGAGCUUGAAUUUGGAGAAGGAAGAUAAUUGGGAGUGGAAGGAAGGGGAGGAGGUAGGGUAUUCGGUUAAACUGGAUAUCUCCGUCUAGGGGGGGGGGGGCGAAUAGGGGAGAGAGAAGGGGAGUUUAUAAAGUUCUGGAAGUGUAAGGUUGUACCUUCUGCACAUGUUACGGUGUGGAGGGUGUUGGAAAAUAAGUUGGCUACUAAGGCUAACUUGGAAAAACGUGGGAUCACGGUGGUAAGUUCUAUGUGUAGUCUUUGCGGGGUGGAGGAGGAAUCUAACACUCAUCUGUUCUUUGAGUGUAGUUUUGCGUGGCGAGUGUGGAACCUUUGUUGUGUUUGGUUGGGCGUGCAAAGUGUGUUUCAUAAUGUUCCACUGCAAAAUUUCUCUCAGUUUAGGUUGAGUAACGUGUCUGUUUCGGUAAAUAAGGUUUGGGGAGUGAUUUGGAUCGCGGUCGUCAACGAAAUCUGGAAACAUAGAAACAGAGUAAUUUUUAGAGGGGGUGUAAUAGAUGUAUUGGAAGUAUUCGCGUUGGUGCAAUUAAAGGCAUGGGCUUGGGUUACUUCCAAGUCGCAGGAUGCUAUCUUUUCCUUCUCUGACUGGUGUGUUGAUCCUUUGGUCUGUAUGAAGAUGAUGUUUUGAUGUCUUAUUUGGGUACAAGAGUGAGGGUUGUUGGUGGUUCUUUUCGGUUUUAUUUAAGUUCUUAGGAGUUGGCGGGGUGUGUGUUGUGAACAAGGUUAAAGGUCGUGUGUUUUGUAUAAGGGUUGGGUCACCCCCUAAAGUGACUCACAUUUAUUCAUUGUUUAUUGUUGAUAAAAAAAAUCAUGUCAUUACAUAAAAAUUAUUUAAAAUAAAAAAUAAUUAAUUGAUAUAUUAACUAAAUUAGAUACUAUUUUAAAAAUUAAAAAAUUAUUAAUAUUUAAAAUAAUUUAUGUUAUUAAUAAAUAGUUUCUAAAUUGAUAUUGUUAACUAAAACUUUAAUGAUUAAUUAAUUACUAAUUUAAAAGUUAUUUAAUAAUAAUAUAAAUUAUUUUAAAUAUUAAUAUUUUUUUAAUAUUUAAAAUAGUAUAUAAUAAUUAAUUAUUUUUUAUCUUUAAAACUAGUUUCUAUUUAAUAAUUUUAUUAUAAUGUCACUCUGGUUAAUCAUGAUAUAUAUUUGUCUUUUCAGUUGAAAAAUCGGUAUUAUAACACUAUAAGAAAAUCAUUAAAUAAAAUUUAUUUUUAAAAAUUAAACUAAUUUGUUAUUAUUUGACUAAAUUAGAGAGUAUCUUAUAAACUAAAAAAAUUAUUGGUAUUUAAAAUAGUUUCUAUUAUUAAUAAAUGUUUAUAAAAUAAUUUCUAAAUUCGUAUUUAACUAUUAGUUACCAAAGUUUUAGUUACUUAUUACUUUAAAUUCUAAAUUAGUCUCUAUUAGUCUUUUAGAAACUAAUUUAGAAUCUAAAAUAUUAGUAGUUAAUUUAUAUAUUAAUUUAAAAAUUAUUUUAUAAAUUUUUAUUAAUAAUAGAAAUGAUGUAAAUAGAAAUAUUUUUUAAUCUUAUUCUAUAUUUUUUAUCUCUAGAUUUAGUUACUAUUUAAUGAUUUUAUUAAAGUGGUAGGAGAGAUGUUGCUUUUAAUAUUUGUCUUUGAAUAUACUUGUCAAAGUAGACCAUAGACCAAGUUCUUCAGUCACACAAAUGGUUACAUAUUAUUUCUGAAAAAGUAAAGAAAAGUUGCCAUAGUAUUACACACUAAUUGUUGUUUUGUCGAGGACGUAUACGACGUGCAGAAUGGGAGAUGGAAGUUGUUUAUUUCCAUAUUUACAAAAAGCUGAGACUAAGAAGAAAGAGUCAUGGCUUUAUACAGCACACCAGCACCACUGCAUUCUAUCCUUUCUAUAAAUAUCACUUCAUUUUGAGUUCUCCACAACAAUCACACUCAAACAAAACCUACUUCAGAUCUUUCUUCUGAAAUGGCUUCUCAAGAGGGUGUCAUCGUGUUUCUUCCAUUCCUUCUUUCUGUAAUGUUGCUGCAUCAUCAUUUUCCCACUUCUGUCAUAAGGUAACAUUGCUACUCAUAUGUUUUAUGCUUUAAAAUUAUGCAGGUAGCAUUGUUUAUCAAAUGUUUUUCUGGUUUUGAAGCUGAAGAGUUUUUUUUAAUUUAUUUAUUCUCUGUAUAUUACAAAGUGAACUUUAAAUUUAAUUAAAUCUUAUAAAAUCGGUUCAUAAGGUGAGAUUUGUACUAAUUAUAUACAAUGAAAUAUUCUCAUAUCUAAUUGAUGUGUGAUUUCCAACACACCUCCUCACGUCAAAACUGACAGCAAAUGCGUGAGACAACAUAUUAUGAGUAGUCCAAUAACAGUCCGAUAGCGGGUGACAUGAUAUAUUUAACAAACACUCGUUAGAAUGAGCUUUUAAAUGACUCUCAUAUACUAUAUUACAAAAUGAAAUUUAAAUAACUUUGUAUUUUCUAUUUUUAGAUUCUUUGUUAAUAUGUUACAAUUUUUUUAUACAGUGCUGAAAGUGAUAAUCUCACACUCCCAUUAUUUUCUCCACCAACUCAUGCUGAUGACCAAGUGUCAAGCAACAUCAUCAAUGGAGGAACAGAGUUGUAUGUUGCAAAUGACUCAAAUAUAAACUUUAUUAGUUUAUUAUAUAUCUCAACUGAUUUAUUUAUGUCUUUUUGUUUAAUAUACUUAAUCAUUUUACUAUUUUUAUAAUUCAUACUUUUAAAUUCAAAUAUAUUUUUAUUCUUAAAAUAUUUCAAUCAUACUCUAUUGAUUUUUAUUAGUAAUUAAUACAUUUUUUUAUAAUACUAUACUUUUUACCUUAUAUAUAUAUAAUAAUAUAUUUUGCUAAAUUUUUUUAUAAGUGAUUCUGACAAAUCCACGCCUCCACCUGACACUCAAACUGAGAACGUAUUACAAAAUUCCGAUAUAAAUAUCCAAGUGUAAGUUGUUACUAUAACUUCAAAUAUUUAUUAUAUUUAUUUUAUUAGGCUUAUAGAUCAAUAAUUGAUAUAGUUAUUGUUGUUUUAUUUUACUAUAAAAUAAUAUCCAAUGAGUGUGUAUAUAGAAUUUUAUUGAAUAAAUAGUUUUUUAAAUGUAUUUAAGAAAAAUUAAUUAUGAGUUUGGUACCAUAGAAAUGGAAGGAAGAGGAUGAAUGAGAGAAACAAAUAAUAAUAAAGAAUAAAUAAUAGGACUUAAAUUGAUUUUUAUAUUCUUUAUCUUUACCAUCAAUUUAAACUCAAAAUAAUUAAUUUUUAUAACUUUUAAUAGGAUUCAAAGUGAUUCUCAUACUUCUCCAUCUCCACCACCAAGUGAAAUCCAGAAGAAUGUGCCAAGCAAUUCUAAUCUCAAAGAGCAAAAGUAAGUUGUUAAUAACUUAAAUAUGAAUUAUAUAUUAAUUUUGUACAAACCAAAUUAUUAUUAACUCUUUGUUAUUAGGAUUCAAUCUCCUCCACCUCCACCAAAAUCACCAAUUCAAACUGGGGAAAUUUCACCAAGCAUUUCUAAUAUAAAACUACAAAGGUAUGUUAAUUAAUUAUAACUCAAAUAUCAAUUAUAUAUUAAUUUUUCAUAAAACUAAUUAUUAAAUCUUUGUUAUUAGGAGUAAAUCUCCUCCACCUCCACCUACUCAAACUAAUAAAAUUGCACCUGGCAAUUCCAAUUUAAAAGUACAAAGGUAUGUUACUUAUAACUCAAAUAUCAAUUACAUUUUUUAUUUUUUUAAAUAUUUCUUAUCAAAUUAAUUAGUAGAAUUCAGUAGCUUUAUAAUUAAUGAAUAGUAAUUAUUAUUUUUUUAAUUAAUUCAUUUAUAGAAUUUUAUGUAUAAAAUUUUAACACGAGAUAUAUAUAUAUAUAUAGUGUUUUAGCUAAAAUUUGGAUAGUUAAUUAGAUAUAAUUUAAAAAUUAUUUAUCAAUAAUAUAAAUUAAUUUAGAUACAAAUAAUUUUUUUAAGUUUUAAAAUAAUAUUUAAUUUUGUAGUAAUAUAUAUAAUGAGAGUAAUGUUGUGAGAAGUAAUGAUUGUUAUCCAUCCUAAUUAAAUAAAUGUUCUUUCAAUGUUUACUUGACAAUAAUAAUUUUAUUCGAAUUGAAUUUGUUUUUAAUUUAUUGUUUUUUUAAAUUUAAUAAGAAAAAUUCACAUAUCAAUGUACAUUCUAUUCUAUUAAUUUUAAAAUUAAAAUGAAAAAAAAUGUUUCCUAUACCAUAAGAACUCGACUAAAGUCCUCAAUAGUUUUUAUGAACGAUUGAUAUUUUAAUUUUUUUUAUUUAUUACUUGUUUGUCUUCACCAAAAAAGGACUUAUUUUAUUUUAUUUUAUUUAUUAUUACAUUUAAUUUAUUAUUCCUUUAAUAUGUUUUUCUAUUUAUUUAUUUAUUUUAUUUAUUAUUACAUUUAAUUUAUUAUUCAUUUCAUAUGGACAUGCACACUUGUUGUGUUUGGCAAGAAGUAAAUUUAGUAAAUAGUAUAAGAAAUUAAAAGAGAAUAAAAAUACUAACGUUUUUUAUGGAUUUUUCAGGACUAAGAAUCUUCUUCAAAUCACUUGGAGAUGGUCACAGACAAUGAUGCAAUUCUUCACACUGAGCUUUAAUUUGAGAGAAAUACAAUGUUACAAUAUUGUAGAAUAAUAUAGCAUUCCUUAUGAUUCAAUUCUACAAAUAAAAUAUAGUUGUUUUGACCCUAAAUGUUAGUUUUACAUAAAUAUAACAAUAUUUUUUUUCUUCUAUAUAUCGACAAAGAAUUAAAUCAAUUAGAAGGAGCACUUUAGGGAUACUAAUCCUUAUACAAAAUCAUCCUAACAACCCUACAUACUACACCUACAUACAACCAUAUGACCAUAUGGGUAAUACAACUGGAUAAGCCAAACACCCUUCUUGUUCUACUUAACUCUGGAAGAGACUCCUUUACACAUUACAAUGAAUUUACUACAAGAAAAUCAUUAAAUAAAAAUCGAUUUUAAAGACAAAAAAUAAUUAGUUGUUAUAUUAUCUAAAUUAGAUACUAUUUUAGAGACUAAAGAAUUAUUGGUAUCUAAAUUAGUUUCUAUUAUUGAUAAAUAGUUUAUAAAUUGGUAUAUAAUUAGUUACUAAGGUUUUAACUAUUAACUUUAGAAUGUAAACAAUUGAUAGAUAAAACUUUGACAACUAAUUAUAUAUCAAUUUAGAAACUAUUUAUCAAUAAUAGAAACUAAUUUAGAUACCAAUAAUUUUUUUAGUCUCUAAAAUUAUAUCUAAUUUAGUCAAUAUAACAAUUAAUUAUUUUUUGUCUCUAAAAUUGAUUUCUAUUGGUCAAUACAAUCAUCAGAUGAAAGAUGAAAGAGUCACUUAUCUUGUAGAUACAAAAUUCAUGUUGUGGCACUCGACGCCUAAACGUAACAAUGUUAAAAGUAAAUCUAAUUUAAUAUUACUUUAAUUUAGUAUUUACUUAGUUUAUUGUAAAUAUUUUAAAUUAAAAUAUUUAUUAAAAUAUAAUAUUUUUUUAUAGAAGCUCUCAUGUUAGACAUUACUAUGAAACUUGACAUCUCAGCUAAGUUGACAUCUCAAGUAUCAACAAUCAUCUGCCACCACAUGAAAAAAAUAUUAUAAAAAAAAAAAAUAAAGAAAGGAAAUAACACGUAUAACUCCAUAAAACUUAGCAACCAAAGCAGUCUAAAUAUCAAGGAAAGCAGAGAAACCACCAAUAAACUCGCUCAUACUCCCACGAAAAUACCACCACAAGCAGCAAAACCAGGAGAACCCCUAGCAACACCAUCAGUAUUAAUUUUAACUCAACCUGAUGAAGGAAACUCCCAUCUAACAGGAAAGGAUGAAAAACUUUAUCACUACGAGUAUCAAUAUCAAAGAACUUAAGCACAUUGAAGUUGAGCAUAUCAUUCCUCAUAGAGCUUUUAGACGAAUUACCCACUAGACAAGUGAAAUUCUUAAUGGUGGAAAUGGCCCUGGAAAGAUCAAUCUUAACUUGAAAUCUAGCAUAAUUCCUCAUAUGCCAGAUCAUCAAAAUAGAGAAGGUAAUGACAACAAGUUUAAUCAAAUUAACCCAAGGACUGCCAUUUUUGCUUCAUUGCUCAACUUGCUUAAGAAUAGAAGCAUGCCAUUUAUACACAUUAAAACUAUAAGUAAGGAAACCAGUAACCAACCAAUUGGAUCUGACCCAUCAUGCUAAGAGAUUUCCCUUUUCAAGUCCCAAGCUUCAAUUUGACUUUAUCAGCCAAAGAUUGAAUAAACCUGAGCUUGGGAGCACCAAUAAAGAUAGACACCCCUAAAUAGUUAAAAGGUAAAAGGCCAUGACUGCAAGAAAGAUGACGUUGAAUUUUUUGUAAAGAAUCUUGCAGAAUUAUCCAUGGUGAAAAAUCUACUUUUAGAAUUGUUAACAUACUGAUUAGAAAAAUCACCAUGUUUUUGAUGAAAAAUACUCAAAUAUUUAAGAGACUUAUCAUCUGCCCUACAGAAAACAAAUAUAUCAUCAACAUAUAGAAUGUGAGAAAGAGUGAUAUAACAUUUAGGACUAGCCAUAUGCAUAAUCCUUUUAUAAUUCACAAGCUUAAAAAUGCCUUUGUUCAAAACCUCCUUCGCAAGACAGAAAAGCAAGGAGCUACAUGUUCCUACAACGUGUGGCAGAAAAGGAAGAAUAUUAAAGAAUUUGAUGGUCCCUAAUCAUAAAAUCUUCACGAAAUUCGGUAAGGCUUGAUGAUUUUUUGAUAUUUAAUAGUGUUUUUUUUUUCUUUUUGAAAUACAUAGAUUGUUUAUGUUUCAAUACUCAUCCAAUGUAGUAGUUGGACGUAAGUCAUUUUUAUAAUGAAAUUUAAAUACAUAUAUAUAUAUAAUGGAUACUAUUUCAUUAUAUUUUUCAAUUAGAAUAGUAAUCAUGUGUCUGCAUGCAUUACUUUAAAAAAAUGUAUAUAUUUAAUGAAAUAUUUUAUUAAUCAAUUUAUUAGUAUGAUUAAAAUCCAAAUUUCAUUGAAAAUGAGAACAUCAUAAUAAUUUAUCUUUACCCAUAUCUUAUUACGCAUUUGUUGUGAGAAUAAACGUGAGACGAUUUAUCUAAUUCAUUUAAAUAUUAAAAAGGAUAUUAAUUAUAUUUAAAAAAUGUAUAUAUUUAAUGAAAUAUUUUAUUAGUCAAUUUAUCAGUAUGAUUAAAAUCCAAAUUUCAUUGAAAAUGAGAACAUCGUAAUAAUUUCUUUUUACCCAUAUCUUAUUACACAUUUGUCGUGAGAAUAACUGUGAGACGAUUUAUCUAUUAAAAAAUUAUAUUUAAAAAUUUAUUUUUCAUAAAUUAAAAAAUAUAUAUUUAUUAUACGAGUCAAUUCUUAUGUACCGAGUGUUCCUAAAUAAAAUGUAGUAAAGAUUAGUCAACUAACAUGAAUUUGCAAUGAAGGGUGUAUGGGAAUACUAACAGUAGAAGAAUAAAAAGUACAACAUAGUCAACAACUUGGAUAUGUAUUAUUAGUGUUGCUAAUGUGAUGAAAUUUGUCAAAAUCAUGGAUGAAUUAAUUGGUAGAUGCAUGUAACAUGAUUAUGCUUAGUUUUGUUAAUGAUAAAACCACAUUGAUAGGUAAAUGUAGUAGGAAAACAAACACAUAUGUUACAAAAAUGUUAGCAACAAUUGUUGAUAUGAUACACUGGAUUUUGGAAGAAGGAAGUCAAUUAUUUGGCAUAUGUCUAGCAUUUUGGCUCAAUGCACAACUCUCUUUAUAUGUUGUAGCAAGGUGACCCAAUUCCUAUCCAAUAAUUGUGUUAUAUGAUUACAUUUGAGUGCUAAUAAAGGUUAUCUUGCCAAUUGAAAAUUGUAGUGUUGCAGAGAAUGGAGUUCAAUGACGUUAAACACAAAUUAUUAUGCUAAAGCCUAGAUAUGGUUUUGUGUUGUUGGGAAUCCCUCCUCAAUUAAUGGGAGACCAUGAUCAAUGAAUCUUGAUAAUCGAUCCAUUGAAUAUAUUUCAAUGAUGGACAUUCCAAAGUCUUGAAAUUGUACCUCUGUUGAAGACUAUGAAGUUCAACCUAGAAAGUUGAAGAUAGUUUUUCAAGGUCUUUGAAAAUGUGACAAACAUUAAUUAUCCAUUAUCUCUUUAGGAAGAAGUCUUUCUCUCCUUCUCUAUAUAAAGGCAAGCAAGUGAGAAGAACAACAUAGAGAGUAAAUGAGAUAAUUGAUAUCUACCAUAGUGAGAUUAGAAAUCCUAGUGAGAGGGUAGAGAGACAUUGUAUUUCAUCAUUGUUGGGUGAGAUUAAGUGGUACACUCAUAGAGUAAGAGAAACAAAUCUUGUAAUCCUACUUUCAUAGUUGAGACAUUUUCUGGACUAGGUUCCGUGGGUUUUUACUUCUCAAGUUGAGGAGGUUUUCCCACAUUAAAAAUUCUUUAAGUCAUUAUUUUAUUUUGCUAUAUUUUCUUUUUUCUGCUUAUUAGUUUUGCAAGUUUCCAUUUUGUAUCUAUACAAAAGAUGGAGAAUUAGUUAUGAUUUUCCCAACAGGUGUGAACAUGGUUGUGCCUAUGUUGGGUUCUUGUUAGGCAUUGUUGUAGUUGGAAACCAAGUGACUUCUACUUGGAAUAGGAAUAUUCUUUUAAGCUUUUCAUUGUAGGGAUGAUUGUUUUCAUAAAAAGAAUAUGAUUUUGUAGGAUGAUCAUCUAAGUUUAUUAAAGCAAGCGAAAUAGAAUGGUUUGGUGUAAAGACAAACAUAAGAUUGUUUGGACUUUUAGCUCUUAAAAAUGUUAAAAAUAGGGACUUUAAUAGUACCUAGUAAGUAGACUCAUCAGGUUUGGAACAUACAAGGACUUGAAGGGGUGAGGCUCAUAUUUGCAAGAACAUAAAUUAUAGUGAACCAACAUUUUCAAUAGUGUAGGGUAAACCAAUUUUAAUGAUAGUUGGAUUCACAUGUAUGAUGGACUCUUCAUGGGUUGAAUAAGACCUCCUUUGAGAAUUGUUUUUGUAUCUAAUGAAUUUUUUCUUAGUCAUGGUAUGAAUGUACCAUGACUGUGGUUAUUUAUGGAUGAUGCAUUGAGAGGUAAAUGUAGUUGGAAAACCAUCCCAUCUAGUGAUAAAAUAUGAAGAAAAAUUAUACUUUCACAUCCUUAUAGUUGUAUACAUCUCUUAUUUCAUAGUUUUAGAAAACAAAUAUAUAAUAAUGGAUACAUUUAAAAUUAGAUGAUAUAUAGUAGAUUUUAGCAAUGUAAUCCUACAAGUAAAAUUUAUAUAUAUUUUGCUUUUCACUUAACUAUUUUUGUAACCUUCUGAAUCAUGUCAUGUCGUUAUAAAAGUGACUCUCCUAUAAUUGUUCCAAUAGGAGAACUAAGUAUAUGAAUGGAAUAUUCACUUAUUACAAUUCAGCAUAACUAGAAAUCUUCGUAGUCUUAUAAAAAUUAAUUUUAAGUCACGAUACUCAUUCGAAUACAUGCAAAAUACUCUAUAGUCUUUGUGAUGAUAAAUGGUUAUAUGUUUUACUUUUAUAAUUGUAUAAGAUAAUUGAGUUUUAUACUUGAACUGCAUGAGUCUCCCAUAUUUAUCCAUAUUUUUUAAUUAAUUAUUAAAUAUACAAAUUUAUUUAUUUUUUAAUUUUUUAAAUAAGAAAUUUCACAUAUGUAAACCAGUGUAAUUACAAAAUGAUCAUUACAAUAAGUACGAAUCUCCAUAUAAUAAUUAAAGUUUUAUCUAAAAUUUGAAUAAUACAGUGGGUUAUGUUCCAUAUGCUACUUUGUGACAGUAUAAACUUAGAGUGCAUUGAAAAUACCUAAUAAUAUAUUCAAAAGUUAUUUGUCCAAAGAGGGAGUGUGUUUGAACUCGGUUAUCAUUUGUACUCUUUUAACCUUACCUUCAGGUCCCACAUUGGUCAGGACUCUGACAAACAAUUGGAACUUAGAAAAUAAAAACUCAACACUUACACUGUUAGAAGCCUCCUUUCUCGAUCUUUUGGCUAAGAUUAAGUGUAUAGGGUUUAGGGUUUAGAGUGAGUGUAUUAUCUGUUAUCAGUUUAAUAUAACCAUAGGCUUAUGCAUGAGGCUUAAUAUAUUUGCACACAUCAUAUACAUGUCAACUCUAAACUGUGAGAAUACAAUUAAAAGACACUGUUACAAAUAACUAGCACGACUUUUUCUUUGUUUGUGAGAAGAUAUUAAACAAACAGUUUAGUUUAGUUCAAUAAACUCAUUUUACUCAUUGUUUAUGUUUGGGUUCAUCCACCGGCUCUCAAUUUUUUUUUUUCAAUCAUGUUUAAUUCUUUCUUCAUAGCAUUAAUUCACUUCAUCACUUUCAGCUUCUUCAAAUUCAGUUCAAGUUCUAAGACAACCACAUUACACUUUUGAUUAUUCAAAUUCAGCAAUAUCUGCCCACUCCAAGUUGAGAAUUGAGGCUGGUGACUUCACUGGAUGCUUAGGUUUGACUCUUAAAGUGGAGGACUUACAGGCUGCUGCACUCAGUCCUAUUGGCUUGGUGUGCUAGUGUGCUUGGGCCAUCACUUUUUUUUUUCAAAAUCAUUUUGGAAUGGUAAAGAUUCUUCACAUAUCAGAAGAAAAAGUGCUAAAUUGCUGGAAGAUACUCUUUUUUUAUAUUAUCUUCUCUUUAAUGAGUAGCUGCAGAGAUAACAAGUUAAGUAAACCUUUUAGCCUUUGCAAUUUUAUUUUUAAAAAAUUAAUAACUCAAAACUCAGUUAUGUUAUAAAAGAAAAAUAACACUUUUUUUUCCAAAGACAUGAAUUACCAUGACUGAUUAUUAGACUUUUCACUAAAUCCAUUCUUCUCUAAAUUUUAAACACAGCAUAAUAAAUCAACAAAACUGUCGCAGUAGAAUUUUAAACUCUUCAUCACUAGUCACAUGAGGCUCAACAAACAUCUUCAUGUUUGUGUCGCUCAUUUGUGGGAUGAAAGCUGUCAUUCUACAAACUUUGAGGCAUUCAAAAUCAAACUUAAAUAUAUGGAAGUUUAUCAAAUUAUUUUUAUCCUCUCUUGUUGAAGCAUCUUAAUUUACUGACAAGUUCCACAUUUGUCAGGACUCUGUCAAGAAGAUGGAGCUCACAGUAUAAGAACAGAAUACUUUGAUGAUACAAAGCAUACCUUUCUCGGCCUUUUGGCUAAGAUCAAGUGUAGUAUCUGUUCUUAUCAGUUUAAUAUCUGAUAUGUGGAUCAUUGAUUCACACGAUAUUAAAUUAAUAUUUUGAGGGAGAGUGUCCAUUGCAAUAGCUUGCUAUUGGGACUCUUAGGCACUGCUCUUGUCUUGCACUAUUGCAAGAGUUUGGUGCAUCCCACUCCAAACAAGUUUAGAAUUUUUACAUAUGGAUUCUUUCGUUCUACAAUGCAUACUACAUGUGAAGAAGAAAAUGUCAUAAGCUGUGGUUUUUGCAUUGGUACAGAUCAACAAAUGGUUCUGGAUAAACAACAAAUAUAGAAUUAUUCAGAUUAUCCUAAACCUUGCUGAUAUAGGGUACAAUCCAGAGCAAAAUGUUGGCAGCUGAGAAUUCUGUCUCCACCAAGAAUCUUACUUUGAUUCUAAAACAUCUUUCCAAAUCCACUUUUCUUUUUUCCAAUAAGACUAAAUUAAAUGUUUGAAUCUAAUAACAUGGUAUGCAAGAUGAUCUCUCAAGAGAUGAUUAAGAGAUGAUUUUAUAGGUUCAUGGAAUUCUACAGCAAGAAAACUUAAAAGAGAAAAAAGAGGGAGAAGGGAAAAUUGGAAGAAACACAAGACAGAGCACAUGUAUUAUUCUCGUAAAGGCAAAGGCAGGCAAGGCAAGGGUGUAUACAUGCAGGGAAAACAUAAGCAAAAACCAAAAGAAAACAAACUAAUGACUAACUAACCAUCAAGAUGGUCUAAACAAUAUGCUAAGAUGUUAGACUAUCUCGUAUAAAACAAGAGGUCUAGACUGUUUAUCAACUAAACGAUCUAGUAAGAAUAAACGACUUGGUGUUUAGAUAUUCUAAACAAAAAAUAGACUAGACGGUCUAAUGAAGAUCAUCUACACAAAUACUAGAUGCUUUAGCAAAAGAGUGACAUUAUAAGACUAUACUAGACAAUCUAACAUAAUACUGUCUAUAUAUAAAAGCAACACCCAAAACUAAUGAGUGGCUAUACUACAAUCAAACAGGCAGAUUAGCUCAUACAAUUUUAGCAAAACAGGUCUUCACAAUAAUGUCAUAUUGAAUUAUUUGUUCCUUCAACAAACUAUUAUUCUGCAGAAGUAAAAUGUAUUCAAAUUAACUUCAAUUUAUCUCAAUAAAAGUUCAAAAAUUAUAAUCUUGAUUUGAACUUCCACCAUCUUAUUACUAUUAAUCUCGAUAGCUUCAAUGCUUUAUGAAACGCGUCAAUUUCUCCAUACAGAUAGACAAGUUAGUGCUUCUAGUCCACUAAGACAUGUCAUAAUUAUCAAGAUAAAUGUAACUAACAUGUAAGCAUGAUUUGGAACAUUCAAGUAGAACACAUGUACUUUAAUUGUAUUUAUCAUGAUAAUUAAGAAAUGAAAUCUUUCACUUAACUUAUCAAGAUGAUGAUCGAUUAUUGAAUACAAAAAACUUCAAAUUUUUAUGAGUGUAAGACCUGUCAGGAAGUUUUCCUACAACUUCAAAACCUUGCCUAUGUCUUAAAGAGGCUAGCUAUAUACACAAAUUUGGUAUACUAUUGCAAUUACUACUCAUCUUAUUCUGAAAUGACAAUAGAAGUAGACAUUUUGUGAAUACUAGGAAAUUGCUACAAAAUAACUAUGUUGAAUUAUUUCUUUUAGAACAUUCUUCACAGCUUUAAGCUUUCCAUGUUUCUGUUACUUAUUUGUUUAAAAAGGUUCUCUACUACCAAUUUUGAGGCAUUCAAAAUCAAAUUUUGGAGAGUAUGAAAAGAAACAACAUAGUGCAAAUAAUAAAUUCAAACAAACUAUGGAAGAAGAAUAUAAUGCAUUUGAACUCACUUACAAUGUCAAAUUUGAAUAAUAAUACAUCAUUGCAAUUGCUGAUUUAAUUCUAAAAUUAUUUUGCAUUCCUGAAACAUCUGAAGGGACAUGUGAACUAAUUAACUACUGGAGUUCUUAGCAUAGCUGUUGCUUUGCACUGCUGCAACAACUUGCUGCAUCCCUCUCAAAACAGUUAAACUAGUAGUUGAUUAUUGAACUUGCACUAAUGUGAAACUAGCAAAAAUAUUACUGCAAUUAGCAUUUUGUACAGCAAAAUUAAAAAAAUGUAUGCAUGGAGCAUGAAUAUUGAAAGUUCCGUAACUCUUCUAUCUAUGCAGAAUGUUUGGCAUGGUGCAUCUUCAGUUGUAUCAGCAGAAUUCAUCUUAUUAUGAAAUGAAAUGACAAUAGAAAAGACAAUUUGUGAAUACUAGAAAGUUGCAGAGAAUGCUCACAUACAAUAUUUUAACAGUUUGAAACAUUUAAUCACUUUGCACCGGAUCUUAAAGCACAAAUUAGGAUAUUUUAUCUUCCCGAAAUUCAUCCAAAUAUUCUAUAUCUCAUACAAAUGAAAAAAAGGACCGAAAUCUUUUUUAAAUUGAGCAGAAAACUUUAUGCUAAUUAUAUCCCACAUCAGUAAGAAAAUGACAUAAAGUUAUCUUUAAAACUUCACUGACAAGGUGUCAGAUUGCUGAGCUGAGUUACUCCAGCUUGUGACCCAAGUGGGAGCAUCAAUGUGAUGGAACAACACUGAGACUUUCUGGGUUGGGCUGUGUCUGCAAUAUGUUGGCCUGCCCAUUCCAAGUUGAGAGUUAAGUCUGGGGACCUUAGUGAAGGCAUAGGUCUCUUUACUCUUAGAGUGGAGGCACAGCGUGAGGCUGGUUUCACAGAGCAGCGACCACCUCCCACUCCCAACAGUGGAGGGAUCACAGGCUGCUGCAUCCACAGUCUUAAUGGCCUGGUGAGUCUUAGUCUGCCUGGACCAUCACUUUUUUUAUGAAGCUAAAAAACAAACAAAUCAUCUAAACUUUCUAUUAUUUCAAAGUACAUCUGCAUACUUGGAGGCGUAUCAGAAUAAUAAUACCUUGAGAAUACUUUUAUUUUUCCCAAACUCUUAGGGACUUCAGAUUCAAGAGAUGCAGCAUUUUGUCCUUUUCAUUCCUUAUCCAGUCACGCUGCUUGUCACUCCAUUGUCUCGGUGAUCCAUGAAGUAUGAAACGGAGUUGAGGAGCUCCUUGCAUGAGCCAAAUCAUGUAGAAGGUCAUUCAUAACAAAUAGUUCUUUCCUUUCACUUGAUUGUUGGAAGAAAGAACAACCUUUGGAGUCUUACUAUGUUGAGGACACUGAAGGAAAUUUUCAGUCAUCCACAACUGAAUUAAACACUCUUUUUUAAACUCGUAAUCCUUGGAGAAUAUGCAAAAUAAGCAAAGCAUGGAAUGAAUGGAAAUGAGUGAUCUGAAUGAGUUAGUGCAGAGAUCUCAGUGAUGAUGUGAUGAGUAGUAAGAAUGUGGCUUACUUUAAGUUCACUAGUCAACCCAUAUUAAUGUAAUUGCAAGGGUAACAAUUGAAACACUUAGAACAGGUAAGGCAUAGCUACUAAGAAAAACCAAGUGGAUGAUUUGGAGGUAUUGGAGUAGGUAUGUGUGCUAGUUGUGUGCAUGGACACAGGAUUUUAUCUGGGUGCAGUUGUUGCAAAUAAAUCAAAGGUGGCCAAUCUUCAUUCAAAAAGUGGAUGCAGAUGAAGAAACUAGUUUUGGCAAUGAAAACUAGCUACAGAGGAGCAUAAUGAUAGGCCUUGAAUGGAAAAUCUGCAGACCAGGAGCACAAGGGAUUUCAUUUCCAGAUUCUGGAAAGGACUAAGUUAAAAACAGAUCUGUACACAAAAUACACACAGAACUUAUGAAGGACUUCCAAACAGGUUCCUAUGUUCUUAUCCUCUUUAAUUUCAAUUUCCCAAAUUGGCUUCAGACUUUUCUAUAGGACAGAGAAGAAUCUUUGCCUUCAUUUUCUGAACACAAUGGUGCAAUUAUCUUCCCAAUUACUGUUGCUGGAAGAUUUUUUUUCCCUUGUGGUCUCUCCGAAAACAGAAAUCCUGGUGUUAUUGCUUUAGUGGCCUCUACUCUAUUUCUAACUGAUUUUGGCCACAAUUCCUUUUCCUCAUUAAUCAGAUAAUAACUAUUUCUUUGAUUUUAUCAAACUCUGUUUAACCUUGUUUAAACAUACUCAUACUUUAUUUCUCCGCAAAAUACAAUACAUAACUGAAAUUAGAGUAGGCUCAGUUAAAUUGGUUUGUUAUCAAACAAACUCUGAAGUAGAAAUAUCUUUCUGAAAUCCACCUGAUGGAAAGAACUAAAAGGUGCACUUCCGAUGACUUAAAUCCUUCAGCUUCACUUAUUUCCCACUUUUACCAACUGUCUGAUGAAGGAGUCUUUCCAAUAAAUCUUCUUGAUCAUUGGCACAAAAAAUCAUUCUAGUCAGUCACACCCUUAAUAACAUUCUAUGCCAAAUACUCUUCAAGAUGUGUGAAGAGUAGCAUCUAGCAAAUAACAUUCCCAAAUUGAAAUGUGUAAAACUCAGACUCAAGAAACAAACAACUUUCUGACUAACACAAAAGAAGAGCUUCAUUCAGACAAAGUACAAGAAAGGUAUGCAGGGCAAUAGUAUACAAAUAAUCAGUUUCUGUAUCAGUUUCCCUUCAGAUAGAAAUUAGAUAUCAAACAUGGAAUGUUUUAUCCACUAGUAUACAACUCAUCACAGACAUGCAUACAGAGAAACAACAUCACUAUCACAUAUUCAGCUUUUGAAUAUGAGUAAUCUUUUCCCUGUCUUCCCUUCCUGGUUUCUGACAACGCUGUUUGAGUACAGGGCAGUUACAGAGAGUGGAGCAAUUCUUGAGUACCAAGUUUUUCUUUGAUGCCCAAUCAAUCAAUAAUAAUGGUAAUUUUUGUGGCAAACUAGUCCAUAAAUAAACCCAAUAGUCUAACAUUUGAAAACACUUGUAAAAGAAAAAAAGAAAUUGAUUUUACAGUAAAAUAUGACAUAUCUGCGAUUCAUUCCACCUAUAAUUAGAUUAUAACAAAGGGUGAUGCAUUAAAAUAAUCAAAUAAAGUCUCAUAAUUAAAAAAAAUAGAUAUAAUCAUUGAUAAUCAAAUUUAGGCUCUGAAUUAAAAAUUAAUAUAAUUAUUAGUACAUAUAAGUACUAAUUAAUACAAUUCCAAAUAAGCAGUCACUCCAUAACAGCAUUCUACAAUAAAAAGAAAACUGAUUAUUAAAGUUACAUUUAAAUAAAUUUUAGUCUCUAAUGUAAAUAAUUAUAUAAAAACUUUGACGAAACAUUCCACUAGUAAUUGUAAUGUUAUAAGGAGAAGGGAAUGAAUUGUUAUGAAACACAUUCGAAAGGAAAAGAAAUUAUAACCAUUCAAAUGCUUCCGUCUUCCGAACAAACAGCAUCACUACUCUAUGUACGUUUGAGCAAAAGACAAUUGCCUAUUUCAAUACGUCUGGGUAAGUGUUGGAGGUUGGGGAAGUAACAAAGACUCAGUCUUUUGAGAGAUGAGAGUUGAAGACCCUUCUAGUCCAGUUUUUCUACAUUUGGAUGGUUAGAGAUGCAAGAUAGAUUGGAAGCAAACCUUCAGGAAAACAUUCUGUAAGGAAAGAAGAUGAGAGAAGAAAGAGGAAGAAGACACUAUUCUCAUACCCAAGAAAGGGAUACAGUGAUGGUUCAACACUGAUGGAAAGAUCGUCUACUGCUAUUUAUAUAGACCGUCUAACUAACUCUAAUGCUAGUAUUCGAGUUAACCUCUCGAACUGAAGUCCUAGAAAGUCUUUUAUUGUCAGAUUCAGGAGAUUUGAUGGAAACGUCCAUCAGUUAAUGACUCAAGUCCUGGACAGUCUUCUAUUGUCAGAAAUAGGAAUUUGAGGGAAACCUCCGUCAGGGAACAACUCAAAUUCUGGACAACCUUGUAUUAUCAGAGUAUGUAGAUUUGAUCGGAAACCAUCCUCAGGAAAUGACUCAAGUCUUGGACAAUAUUCUAUUGUAAGCUCUUUUAAAUUUGAUGGGAAACCUCCAUUAGGAAACAACUUAAGUAUUGGACAGUAUCUAUUGUCAGCACUUCUAGAUUUGAUGGGAAACCUCCAUCAUGGAAUGACUCAAGUCCUGAACAGCCUUUUAUUAUUAGAGUAUGGAGAUUUGAUGGAAAACUUCCAUCAGGGAACAACUCAAGUCUUGGACAAUCAUUUAUUAUCAGAGUUUGGAGAUUUGAUGGAAAACCUUUGUUAGGGAACAACCCAAGUCUUGGACAACACUCUAUUGUCAAAGUCUGGAGAUUUGAUGGGAAACCUCCGUCAGGGAACGACUUAAGUCUUGGACAUGUUUGUAUCCAUAAUCUUCUGAGAGAUGGAAGCAGCAUAUGCAUGUUUCCAACCAAUGAUUCUAAUUUAGAACAAUUCAUGAGUGUCAGUUCUUCUAGAUGAUUAUGGAUGAGACCUUGUAAAAUCAUUUGUAAAUUACGAAACCCUCUGAGAUGAAGCGUCCUGAGUGUGGGAAGAAAUCUAGUGGAAAGGCCCAUAGAAAGACACAAUCAUCAUCACUGAUUGACUCCAGCGAUGAAUCAAUGUGCAAGUCUUCAAGAGUGUCGGACCUAACGAUUUCCAACAAUGAUGCUUCCAUUCUGAGCCUUUCCAUUGUAGCCCAAUCCAACUGCAGCUUUCCACAGUCAUGUAGUUCUAAAUCAAAAGCCCUAAGAGCGAAAGCCUCAAGUUGUUGACAACCUUUAAUUCGUAGUGUUUCCAAAGGAACAAGUUGCUCUGGUAGUUGUCCUUUCAAAUUGGGACAAUUUUUUACGGAAAGCUCUUGUAGACUUGGAAAAGCACCUCGUAGAGCGUGGCAGUCCCACUUUUCCCAUUGAAUCAUAUUGAUAAACACUAAUGUUUUAAGGAUUUGAACGAAGAAGAGUUGUUUCCAUGAAAAUCAGUGUCAAUACUCACUAUCCCAUCAAGUUUUAUAAUCUUCAAGACCUUGAGAAAUGAAAAAAAGUCCAAGAGGAGGUAAACGUUCACAAGAAUUCUCAUAUUCAACAAUGAGUUCUCAUGUAACCAAUUUGGAAAUCAUUUCCCACCAUAUCUAAUGAUUAACAACUUUUUUAGAUUCUGAAUUACGUCCUCUUCUUUUUUAAAACCAAUAGAAUUUCGAUUCCAACCCCAUCCCAACCUGAACGCCAGAAGGUGUGUUUUAUUCUUCAAAUCUGCUUCUAAUGCAUAGAGGGAAUUCUCAAUAUUCUGCAGCUCCCCAACAUUAAAAGAAUUCAUUACUACUUUAAGAUUCUUCAAUUUUCCCAAAUGCGGUGGCACCUUUCUCACAUUAGUCUCUAUAAAUUCAAGGCGACACAAAUUGGUGAGUAAAUACAAAUUUGAGGACAACUCCUCCAAAUCUCCACCGUAGUUCAACAUCAGUAUUUGCAAGUGGGAGAAAGAACAUAUCUUUUCGGUUAAUCUUUUUAUUGCAGUAUGGGAGAGGUCUAAGGAACGGAGAUGCUCAAGAUUGGCAACAAAGUCAAGUAAGUCUUGAAGGUAAGAACAAUGAGACAGAGAUAAGAUACGUAUUUACUUAAAUUGGAGAACAAUUCAUGUAUCAACAUAUUGAUACGUAUGCUACUUGUUGGUAUAAAUGUACGUAAUCUUUCUGUAUUACAUAAAGUUCCAAACCCAUUAAAAUAUUGAUUAUAUUCAAGUUCAACUGAAAAAUGAUGAGUUACUUUUUGUAUCUUUUCUGUUUGAUCAACUUCCCACCUGAAGUAUAUGCUUCCACUAACAUAUCUUGCCAAAUCAUUUAGAAGGUCAUGCAUGCAUGACAAAUACUUCUUCCUUUUCGCCGGAUUGUUGAAAGAAGGACCUUGAUAUUACAUCAUUGAAGUAUUGUUGGCAAACUUCUUCUGCAAUCUUACUAUGCUGACGACAAUGUAGGAAAUUUCCAGUCAUCCACAGUUGAAUCAAAUCCUCCUUUUUAAACUCAUAAUCCUAGGGGAAUAGGGCACAAUAAGCAAAACAAGCCUUCAAAUGGGAAGGAAGGUGGAUAUAGCACACUGCUAAAGAGGGAACAAUAUGACAACUAUCUUUUGAAAAUUCCCAUAUUUCGCUUUGUAACACAAUUUCCCAUUCUGAAACACAUGAUUUUUUGUAUAACACACUUCCCAUUGUUUUCAAGAUAAGAGGUAGUCCUUUACAUUUUUUAACAAUCUUCAUGCGAAUCUCCCUGCACUCUGGAUUUGGUUGACUAUCAUCAUCUCGGGAUGCAUGUUUAGCAAACAACUUCCAACAAUCAUCUUCCUAUAAUUGCUUUAGGGAGUGAUCUUUUGACUGCAUUGUAGAAGCAACAUCCUUACUACGUUUGGUAACAAGAAUCUUACUCCCUUGGGCCCCGAAAACAAGGGGCUUCUGCACUUCCUCCCAUUUAGGUUGCUUUUCAUUCCAAAUAUCAUCCAAAACAAGAAGAAAUUUCUUCCCCGACAAUUUUUCCUUCAAUCUUCUGUGAACCAUCUCCAGAUCUCUGCUAUCAUUAGUUGAUUUAGUAACAGCCUCAAGAAUUGCUCUUGAUAUCUUGAAAAUAUCAAAUUCAUCUGAAACACAAACCUAUGCUUUGACAAAAAAUUUAGCCUCAUUACCCUCGGGUCAAUGAAUACAUGUUGAGCAAGAAGGGUCUUACCGACUCCGUCCAUUCCCACAAUAGAAAGUAUUGAUGGCUGGUUAUGAUUGUUUUCGUCAGAUGUCACCCAGUGAAAGAUCAGUUCUUUAUCAUCAUCUCUGCCAUAAAUAUCAGUUCCAACAACCAAAGAUGUUGUUUGUGAUUUCUGUGGCAGUUCAUUACUCAACCCAUAUCCAACACCCGUAGCUGUUUUCAAUCGUAGAUCACCCCUUUGGCUUGAGAGAAAUUCUAAGUCGUCAAGGAUUUGUUCCAUCCUACACUCAAUUUCCUUGUUAAUAGGAGAAGAUUUGAAUAAAUUGAGUACCUUGCAAGUACAGCCCGAACAAGUUUGAGAUUCAGAUUCAGCAUCAAGUUGUCUUUUAGAGAGCUUUUGUAUAUCAUUCAAGAGAUCCUCUGCAUGAAGGACAACAUCUUUGACCUUAAGCAGCCAGUUUCUGACAUGAGGAUCCAUGAACUGCUUUAGCUCUGCAUCAUCAGCCAGAGAAUGGAUGGAGUGCAGCUUGGUUUCCAACUUGUUGAGCAGCUUUUGAUCAAGCUCUCUUGCAUGAAAGAAAUCGAGAAUUUGAAGAGAAGCUAGCUUCUUGAAUGCAACCUGAAGGGAAGUAGAAAGAAGAGCACCAACAACAAGUUCGAAUGGCAUUGAAUGGAUUCAAGUGCGGCUAGUUUAUGCCAAUGACUCAGGGCAAUGUAGUAAUGAAACGGCAAAAGCUGUAUUGUACUAUUUUCACUGAGCUUCAAGUUGAGGUAAAUAUGUUGAAUUUUUGUAUAAUAACUUAUGCAAAUUCAAUUUCCUUGCUUCAUCUUAGAAUUUUGUAACUGGGCUUACAUACCUAUUAAAGCUCACAUCAGGCCGAUGUUUAUAGUUGAUUAUAAAGUAUAAAUGUGUCUAAACAUAAAGGGAAAACACUUUUUUUUUUUUUUAGUUUUUCAAUUUCAAAAAUUAUGUUUUGUUCUUCUUUUCUCUCAUUUCUGAAUUGUCUUCCUCUUACCUUUUCUUUCGUGUUCUUUAUUCUUCAUCAAUGGAGAUCUAAUUCUUGAGGUUCAAUUUACAUAAUCAAAGCAUGUAAUGUGAAUGGAGUUUGCAUCAAUCUUUUAAUCCUCCGAGUUUGUUUCUCUUAUUUUCUCUGAUUUCAUAUUUGCACUUUAUUAUUGUAACUUUUGUUUUUAUUUUAGAAAUAAAAUUAGAAAUAACAAAAUCUUGAUUUGAUAAUUGUAUAUGAAUUAGACUGAAUGAUAUUUUGAUUUGAUUCUUAUUUCUAGUUUAAUAAUGUUUGUUCGAUUGAAUUAAUUAAUUAAUUGAUAUGGAUAAUUAUUCAACCUUCGAUAUGAGUCUUUUGACCAUUAUGAUAAAGAAUAUGAAUCUUGAAUUUAUAAAUUGACUUUUCAUUAUCUUCUAUUUUUGUUUUCCAAUUAGUUGCAUUUUUUAAUUUUGUUUUAAUUAAAAAAACCCAAAAGUUAAUUUGUAGAAGAAGAAUAUCAAAGAUUGAAUACAAUCUAUGUGUCCUCUAAUAAUCAACUUAGAUUGUGCUCAAUAUUACAAAAUUAUAAAAAAACUUAAGUUACUAUUAUUUCAAAACAACAUAAAAAAAAUCAAUGUAAUAAUUAAAAUUUAACAUGCAUGAAAAUGAGCAAUGGUUUCAAUUCUAAUUGCAUGUUGAAUUAUUGAAAUGUAUAAUAUCAAGUUGGAAAAUAGUGUUUGGUCAAUAAAGGGUAAUUUAAGUGUAGUGUUAAAUUAUUUAAAUGUAUAAUAUCAAGUUGGAAAAGGGUGUUUUGAUCAUAAAAGGGUAAUUUAAUGAAACUUGUCUACCUGAAUAAAUAAGAGUUAUGGAACUUACUAUUUCGUUUCAUAAUUUUGUUGGAUAUCAUUCUCCGUCAAACAAUUGACUCAUUCAUAAUAAAAUGAUUUUAUUCUGAAGACAUAAGUACAAUUUGAAGAUGGAUAGCGAUGGUGUGAAUAAAGAUGAAGAUUGACAUUGUAAUGGUUCUUUAUACAUAUAAUUUUUUGCAGAACAAAUACAUUUUAAUAGCUAACUAACUAAAGAUGUGUUGGGAAAUGCAUUAAAGACCCCAUUACUUAUCUUUAUUAUCAACAAUUUUAUAAAUAAUAAAAACUAUUUUAAAUAUCAAUAAUUUUUUAAUUUAUAAAAUAAUAUCUAAUUCGAUUAAUAUAAUAAUUAAUUAUUUUUUAUUUUUAAAAUUAGUUUUUAUUUAAUAAUUUUUUUAUAUAGGGAUGAUUAAAUUGUUAAGAAAGGUUAAUAGUAACUAUAAUAAACUAUAUGUAAUUGUUUGAGAUAAAAAAAAAAUAACACUUUGACUUGUUUUUCACUACUAAAUGUAAAAUCACAUAGCUUACAAUAAUACUACAUAUUUUUUGUUUUCUCUUAUAUUAUUAUGGAGCAAAGGCAUUGUUUUAGAUCAUGUAAGAAAUCAUUAUCGUAGACAUAUCAAGGAGUACAAUUUUUCUAACUACCUUGCUUAUAUGAUAAAAAAAAAAAGGCAUUCUCAAAGUCUUACCUAAAUUAUGAUAGUUUUAAAACGAGUCUCAAAUAUAAAGAGAAUGAGUUUCUAGAUAUAGACAUAUUUUGAAAGUUGAAUUUAAAAGAAGGUGUUCACAUUACUUGGCCAUAUAGUCAAUGAGUAGUGUCAUUGUUUUAUACAUAAUUCAAGGAAACAUCUUCCUAUGACUGAGAAAUUCAUUGUCUUAAUAUUUGUUUACAUCGUAUCAUAUGACUGAGAAAAGUAUUACACUGUUUUGAAAUUAGAUAAACUAAUGAAAUAAUUCAUACAACUAAUUGUUGUUUUGUCGAGGACGUAUACGACAUGCAGAAUGGAAGAUGGAAGUUGUUAUUUCGUAAUGUAAACUCACUUAAUUUCCAUAUAAAAAAGACCCAAAAGGACAAAAAGCUGAGACUAAGAAGAAAAAGUCAUGGCUUUAUACAGCACACCACCACCAUCACUGCAUUCUAUCCUCUCUAUAAAUAUCACUUCAUUUUGAGUUCUCCACAACAAUCACACUCAAACAACAACAACUUCAGAUCUUUCUUCUGAAAUGGCUUCUCAAGAGGGUGUCAUCGUGUUUCUUCCAUUCCUUCUUUCUGUAAUGUUGCUGCAUCAUCAUUUUCCCACUUCUGUCAUAAGGUAACAUUGCUACUCAUAUGUUUUAUGCUUUAUAGUAUGCUGUAAAAUUAUGCAGGUAGCAUUGUUUGUCAAAUGUUUUUCUGGUUUUUAAUGCAGUUUGUUGAGUUUUUUUAGUUGGAAGCUAGAUGUAGAAAGUGUAGGUUUUUUUACAACAGUUAAGAGUUGAGUUAAGAGUUGAGACAUUUUUAAAAUGUUUAUUUUUAAUUUAUUUAUUAUUGGAUGAUAAAAAAAGAAAAGGUUGUUAUUACCAAAAAAUUUGCAAGAACAUCACCAAAAAAAUAUUGGUAACUUGUGUAUUUUCUAUUUUUAAAUUCUUUGUUAAUAUGUUACAAUUUUUUUUAUACAGUGCUCAAAGUGAUAAUCUCACACUCCCAUUACUUUCUUCACCAGACACUCAAACUGAUAACGUAUUACUAAAUUCCGAUAUAAAUAUCCAAAUGUAAGUUGUUGUUACCUUUAACUUUAAAUAGUUAUUUUUUUAAGCAUAUAGCACAAUAAUUCAUAUAUUUAUUGUUGUUUUAUUUGAGUAUAAAAUAAUAUCCAAUAUAUAGAAUUUUAUUGAAUGAACAGUUUUUUAAAUGUAUUUAAGAAAAACAAAUGAUAGAAAGGGCAGGAAGAGGAUGAAUGAGAGAAACAAAUAAUAAUAAUAAGGAUAGUUAAUAGGACUUAAUUAAAUUGAUUUUUAUAUUCUUUAUAUUUACCAUCAACUUAAACUGAAAAUAAUUAAUUUUUAUAACUUUUAAUAGGAUUCAAAGUGAUUUUCACACUUCUCCAUCUCCACCACCAAGUGAAAUCCAGAUGAAUGUGUCAAGCAAUUCUAAUCUCAAAGUACAAAAGUGAGUUGUUAAUAACUUAAAAAUAUCAAUUAUAUAUUAAUUUUGUAUAAAACAAAUUAUUAACUCUUUGUUUAUUAACUCUUUGUUAGGACUCAAUCUCCAGCACCUCCAGCAAAACCACCAACUCAAACUGGGAGAAUUGGACCAAGCAAUUCUAAUUUAAAACAACAAAGGUAUGUUACUUAUAACUCAUGUAUCAAUUAUAUAUAUAUAUAUAUAUAUAUAAACUGAAUACUAACUUUUUUUUUAUAGGACUGAAAGUGAGUUUGAUAUUUCUCCAUCUCUACCACCAAGUGAAAUCCAGAAGAAUGUUCCAAGCAAUUCUAAUAUCAAAGUGCAAAAGUAUGUUUUUAAUAACUCAAAUAUCAAUUAUAUAUUAAUUUUGUAUAGAACAAAUUAUAUUGUUUUGUUAUUAGGACUCAAUCUCCUCCACCUCCAUCAAAACCACCAACUCAAACUACUGGCAAAAUUGCUUCAAGCAAUUCUAAUAUAAAUGUGCAAAGGUAUGUCACUAAUAACUCAAAUAUUAAUUAUAUAUAAAAAAAAUACUAACAUUUUUUUAAUAGGAUUAAUAGUGAUCCUCACAGUCCUCCAUCUUCAUCACCAACUCAAACUCAAAAGAAUGUGCCAAGCAGUUCUGAUAUUGAAGCACAGAAGUACGUUACUUAUAACUCAAAUAUAGAUUAUAUUAUUUUUUUUUAAAAUAAUUUCUUAUCAAACUAAUUAGUAGAAUUCAGUAGCUUUAUAAUUAAUGAGUAAUUAGUUUGUUUUUAAUUAAUUCAUUUCUAGAAUUCUAUGUAUAAUUUUUUAACACCUUGAUUAUAUAUAUAUAUAUAUAUAUAUAUAUAUAUAUAUAUAUAUAUCGAGACUAAUGUAUUGACAGUAAUAAUUUUAUUAUUGUCCACCCUAAUUAAAUAAAUAUUCUUUCUAAAGUUUACUUUUUGACAAUACCAAUUUUAUUUGAAUUGAAUUGUUUUUAAUUUAUUAUUUUUGUAAAAUUUAAUAAGAAAAUUCACACAUCUCUAAGUUUGUGGUUUUUAUUCUAUUUAUUUAUUUAUUUUAUUUAGCUGUCUCUCUCUAUUUGGACAUGCACACUUACUGUGGGUAAUAUAUUUUGUAAGAGAAUAACUUUUGUGUGAGAAGUAAAUUUAGUUUAUAGUAUAAGAAAUUAAGAGAGAAUAAAAAUACUAACGAGUUUUUUGUGGAUUUUUCAGGAGUGAAGAAUCUUUUUCAACUCACUUAGAGAUGGUCACAGGCCAUGAUGAUGAAAUUAUUCACACGGAGCUUUAAUUUGAGAGAAAUACAAUGUUACAAUAUUGUAUAAUAAUAUAGCAUUGCUUAUGAUUCAAUUCUACAAAUAAAAAUAGUUGUUUUGAUUCUAAAUGUUCAAUAACAUCAUUCUUAUCUAAAUGUAACAAUGUUUAUUCUUUUAUCGAAAAAUAAUUAAAUCAAUUAAAAUGAGCAUUUCAAGGAAGUUUCAAUCUUUAUACAAAACAGUUCUAACAAUUCUACAUACUACACUUAAACACUCUAGCGCUAAAAAUUAGAUAACUUAUAGCACUAGAAGAGAUUUCUUUCCACAUUACAAUGAAUCCUAUUGCGUUUCCCCUGAAGCGGUUGGGCGGUUUCCUAGGCGGUUACUUAUUUUUUAAUGUUGCCUAUUUAAUAGGCUUUUCUCUCUUUUGUAAAAGUAGAGCAAUAUAUACGAAAUGUAAGAUUCUGAGUUAUAUCCCCUUACGUGUCUCUUCUCUUGUUUUGUUUUCUUGCAUCUUAACAUGUAUUGUGUUUGCAUCUACACGUAUUAGUUUUUGUGCAGAGUUGCUGCCUUUCACACACAUUGUUCAUCUUUAAAUCUUUCAUGCCUCUACCAUGGAGAUAUUCCAAUAUGGUAUCAAAGAGGACUGAGACCCGCUCUAUUUUCGUUGUCCUUUAAUUUUUUCCCCUAUUUCUCUCUUCCUUCUAUCUUUUUGUUUCUUGUCUUUUGAUUUUUUGUUUUCAUGGAGAGCUCAUCAAAUGCCAACAGUGUUAACAAUCCUCAGAAUCCUUCUAGCCCCCAUUAUCUUCAUUCUGGAGAAAAACCAGGCAUGAUCUUGAUAAAUAUACAACUUAAUGGUGCAAAUUAUCAUACGUGGAGCAAGAUUAUGAAACGUGUUUUAUUGUCUAAGAAUAAAUUGAAGUUCAUUAACAGAUCUUUGGAUACGCCACAACAAGGAACAUCUCUCUAUGAAGCAAGGAGAAAAAAGUGUUUUUGGAUUUUUUUUACAGACCUGAAGAUCCUACGGGAGGAACUUGAGUCAUUAAAACCAACUCCAAAAUGCAUCUGUAAGGUAAAAUGUAACUGUUCUUUGAUGAAAAAUGUUAUCAAAUAUAAAGACUUGGAAUAUGUUAUCUAUUUUGUGAAGGGUUUUAAUGAUCUUUACGACAUGUUUAAGACUCGAAUUUUACUCAUGGAUCCCUUACCAAGCAUCAACGUGUGUUCUCCCUUGUUCAACAACAAGAAAGGCAAUUAACAGGGAGUGUAGUCUUUGACAAUAAAGUUCUGAUAAAUUCUGCAAACCAAAAUAAUUGGAAACAAGAUAGAGUCAUUGGAACCGGGUGGAAAUCACAAGGGAGAGGAAGAAGCCGAAAUCAGAAUUAUGGUAAGCAAUGUAGUUAUUGUCAUAAACUAAAUCACAUUUCUGAUGAAUGUUUUUUCAAAACAUGGAUUUCUCCAUGUUAUAAACACAAGAAUGAUCGAGCCAUUAACAAUAUUGUUUCACAAAGUUACGCUGCUACUGAAGAGAUUGAAGAUAUUGAUCAAGAAGGUCAUAAGCAUUCCCUUAGUCAAGAGAGUGUAUAGUUUUCACAAGUAUAGGUUCAACAAAUCUUGAAGAUUUUUCAAGAAUAAAAAAAUGAGUCUACUCAUAAGGUGAACAACUUCACUAGUGAGUUAUCUUAUCAUUUUCCUCCUCUUUUCAUUGGAUUGAUAUUAUUAGUUCAGAGUGAAAAAUGAUUAUAAUGUUUUGCUAAUAUUUUGACAUCAUUGUCAUCACAGAUUGCACGCUAUAGAGGUCAAGGGAGGAUUGCAGAGCCAGGAUUUCAGAAUCCUCGAUGGGUUGAUGGUGAACUCGUGAUACUAGAUNNNNNNNNNNNNNNNNNNNNNNNNNNNNNNNNNNNNNNNNNNNNNNNNNNNNNNNNNNNNNNNNNNNNNNNNNNNNNNNNNNNNNNNNNNNNNNNNNNNNUAUGAAAUUUAUGUUUUAAAACAAAAAUAUAUUAUUAUAUAAUUACAAAUUUAAAUAAUUAAAUUUUAUAUUAUUUUUAUUUAUUUUUUAAAAAAAUUAUAUGAUUUUUUAUUUGAAAAAACAUUUAAUUUAAAUAAGUUGAUCUAAUGAGUAUUAAUUAAAUUUAAUAUUUAUUUAAUUUUAAGAAUUUAAAUUUUAUUUCGUAAUUUGAAAUAAUAUUAUAUUAAAUUUAUUUUUUACACUUUUUAUUGUAUGUUAUGAAGUUUUUACAUAGUGUAUUUUUUUAUUUUAAUUUGUACUGUUAAAAGAUAUUUAAUUUAAAGUGCAUAAAAAUUUAAAUAGUUUUAACCCAAUAACUGCUAAAAAAAUACUACAAUAACCAGUGAUGUUUACAAGAUUGAAAAUAUCUAAUAAUAAUAAAUAUAUAAAAUAAAAUUGAAGAUGAUAAGAAAAUAAAUUGAAAAAUAGGGGAUCGCGGUGAAAUUAAAUAAGAUAAAAGUCACUUAGAAUAACCUAUGUAAAUUUAGGGAAUUAGGGUUUGCGUGGGUAAUCGGAGGCUGGAUUGGGGUUGAGCUUCGUGUCUCCUCCUUCUCCUCGCUUCGGUCUGCAAUUAGCGAGGUGCUGGACGACUUCUUCUCGUUUCGCGGAUUGGUGCAGUUGCGUCGCUUUCUCUUCUGUGGAGCGGUGCAGUUUCGUUCUGAUUGUUCCUGUUUGGCUUUGGUGUGAAAUUGCGUGGCUUUCUUUUGUGCAGCGGUGCUGUCAUGGUGAGUUUAUUUGCGUUGCUUUCUUUUGUGAAGCGGUGUUGUUCUGUUCGGUGUAGUCCUUGUGAGUUUAAUGUGUGGCUUUCUUUUGUGAAGCGGUGGUGUUCGGUGCAGUCCUUGUUAGUGUAGGGCGUUUUAUCCUUGCAUUCUGUUUGUGCGCUAGUUUGGAUUGGUUGCUUGUUAACAGUUGAGAAUUGGAUUGGUUGCUUGUUAAUACUUGAGAAUGAUGGAGGGUUUUACGGAUUUUCUUAUUUCAUGGAGUUGUUUCAUGGACUUAGUAUGUAAUAAGAGAGUGUAUGUUAUGUUUGGUUAAAGGAAGGAAGACAUUUGCUUAGGUUUUUAGAAAUAUAUGUGACAUUUCUUUGUUAGAAUUGAUGAGAAAGAUCAUUUGGUUGGUCUUGAGGAUUGCAAGGUUCAUCUACAUGGUCGGAUUAUUCAUUAGUGUAGAAAGGUUAAAAUAUGACAGUUAUUUUCAAUUUAUAACGGCAGUUAUAUAGUCGCAUUUGAUGUACACGUAAUCUUAAAUUCAAUACAUAAGAAGACGGUUAUUUAGUCGCAUUUGUAAAUGCGAUUUAUAAUUGUGGCUAUGGUAAAUAGCCGCAUUCUUACAUGCUUAUGAAUGAUUUUAAGAGGGAGGAGUAAUGCAUUUACGAAGACGAUUAUUUACCAUAGUCUCGUUUCUAAAUCGCAUUUACGAAUGCGACUAUGGUAAAUAGCCGCAUUUAUAAAUCUUUGCGCUGGAUUUAAGAAUGCGACUAUGGUAAAUAGCCAUUGUUGUAUAUGGUUGUUUUUUUUAGCACAAUAUGUUUAAUGUUUAUUUUCAUCUAAAUUAACAUGUUCAAUUAUAACUUAGCCAGACAAAUACAUAAAUUCAAAGAAUUAAUUUUUAUAUAUUGAUAAAAAUGUAUUACAAAUACUAAUAAUAGAUCUCUAUCUAUCUAAUUCCUACACUAUUCAUCAACUAACCCAGAGUUAUAAAAAUUUAGAAAAUAUGUUGACCAAGAAUGUCUCACAUGUUAUGGCUUUCGAAGACAUUGGUUGCUCAUCCGUGAAGAACUGCGUUACACAAUACGGACAUAAAUUAGUUUUAGGAUACAUAUAUGUUAAAGAAUUAUAAAAUAAUUUACCAUCAUGUUACCUCAUGCCAAUCACUUUUAAGGCUUAAUCUUACAAUAGUAACCAUUCAUUACAUAAUGUAAUAGCCACACUCAUAGCGUUCUGGUUGUUUAUUACACUAUAAUUCAAUACAAAGUAAAAGUUAAUAUUGAUAAACCAUGAAAAGGGAAAGACAAAUAUUACAAACCUUUAGUUUUAUCCCGUUCAAAUUUUGAAAAUUUGAAUUGAAUCAACCUUUUAAAAUGUUAUAUCAACGCCAUGAACUGAAUAAUACAAAAAAUCGCAUUAGUAGAUGCUUAAUUAGUAACAUACGGAGUUAAGUUUAUAGUGUACUUACCUAUCAAUGAUAUUCUUCAGACUUGUGGAUGACUUAUUGUGUAGGGAACAAAACCAUACAUCAGUCUUUUCAACCAUUGAUAAGACAAGUAACUGCCAAUGACCCCUAUAUCAUCCAUGAAAAGAGUUAAUAAAUAUUUAAAACAUGAAAUAAAAAUAAUUGACGACUUAUAAUUAAACUUACUCAUUAGUAUAAGGGCAUAAAUAAUUUUUUUCCCUCUUUUUCCAAGGUGUUAGUGAUGUAUGAUUGAGUUUCAUUUGUCUUUGUUCCAGUGGGAUUAGUAUAUCCGGGAUCUAAGAAUCCAUACACAUUUUCCUUCCCCUCAUGGAUAAAGACUUCAUUAAAAAAAACCUACAAGUUAUUAGUUAAAGCAUAAUCAAUAAUAAUUUAACAAAAAAUAAAUUGAAAUAUAGGUAAAGAUACUUAAAAAAAUGAAUUAUAUUUAUAGUGAGCUUCUGAUUCUUAGCUACAAAUUCUAACAAAUCGGACAUGUAUAUGUAUAGUGGCAUGUCAGUGUUUAUUUCAAAAAACGUAUCAUCCCACAGAACUUCCAAGGGGUCUUGACUAAUUUGUCCAGCAAUUAGAAGUUCAGAUUGCUAUGGUUGCUGAGUUUUAUGGAGUUAUACAUGCUAUGGAGGAAACUCAAAAGAUGGAACUUACUAAUGUUUGGCUUGAAUGUGAUUUUGCCUCGGUUUGUGUUGUGUUUACUGCUAGAACUAAUGUUCCAUGGACACUUCAUAAUCGCUGGAAUACUUGUCUUAAUUACUUUGGGAAAAUUAGGUUUAGGGUUACUCAUAUUUUCGUGAAGGGAAUGCGUGUGCUGAUAAGUUGGCUAAUUUAGGUUACUCAUAGAGAAUCAUUUCAUUGGUAUAAUAGGCUUCCAUCUAGUCUGUUCUUAGAAUUCUUUACGAAUAGGUAUAGUCUAUCUAUGUAUCGUUUUUGUUAACAUGUGGGUUUUGGUCUAGUCCCCCCAUAUUUUUUUUGUAUUUUCUUUCUUUUUCUUUUUUUAAUAAUACUUUUUUAUGUGAGGGCAAAUGAUUCUUGUAACUUGAGGUGUCAGCUUAACUGAGAUGUCAAGUUGCAUAAUGAUGUCUAACAUGAAAGCUUUUAUAUAUAAAAAAAAUAUGUUUACCACCGUAAAAAUAUCUUUAGAGACAACAGUUUUAAAACAAUCUUAAACGACAGUUUAAAAAUCGUAGUCCAUGUAGACAUUAUAAGAAUUUUUUUAAAUAAAAACCGGUUUUAGAGAGAAAAAAAUAAUUAGUCACUAUAUUAACUAAAUUAGAUAUUAUUUUAGAAACUAAAAAAAAUUAUUGCUAUCUGAAGUAGAUUCUAAAUUUAUAAACUAAUUUCUAAUUGAUAUCUAAUUAGCUACCAAGGUUUUAACUACCAACUACUUCAGUUUCUAAAAUUGGUAACUAAAACUUUGGUAGUUAAUUAGAUAUCGAUUAGUUAAUUAGAUUCUAAAAUUGGUAGCUAAAACCAAUUUUAAAUUUGUUCUUGUAAAAAUGAUUUAGACAACGAUUUUUAAAGAUCUUAGACGACGAUUUUAGAGUCAUAGUUAGUGCACAUGUUGUUUAUAGUUUUGAAUUAUAGAAGACGGUCACACAAUUGUAGUUUAUUAGACAAUGAUAGGAAAAUAUUAUGUACAAAAUUGUCUAUAGCGUAGAUGACCCUAAAAUAUUUUCUUCAGUUUUGUUCUUAUUUUUCUUUUUGUUAUUGUUGAUAUCCCAACAAUUGGUAUCAUCACUAGGGACAAGAAAAGAAAGUUAAGAAAAUAAAGAAAUGACCACCAAGUUUGAUAUUGAUAAAUUUUCGAGAGAGAACGACUUUGGGAUGUGAAAACUCAAGAUGGGGGACAAAGCUUGUUGUAAAUGAACAAAGGUUGUGAGGAGCUCAAAAGCUUCAACGGUAAAGCAUAACAACGACGCUGAGGAGAACACAAACAAUAAUUUCAAACUUGGGAGCACACUCGUUCAACAUUGAAAAUGAAGAAAAACCCAUAAAGAAAACCCCAAAAGUAUGAAAAACAACAUAAAAAUAAUAAUAAAGAAGACAUAUUACAAGAAAUGAGAACAACAACAAGAAAAAGUUGUAGAAAAAACAACAGGACCAUCAAAGAAGAAAGUGCGAAGACAAAAAGGCCUCGAGUAAAAAGUUAAAAACAUAUAGACAACAAUUAUGACCUAAUAAUCAUAGUUUAUAUGGUAGACACAUGUAUAGACAACGGUUUUCUAAAAACCAUAAUCUAUAAUAACAAUUAUAGGCGACGGUUCUCCUUAUUUGCAAAUUCAUGUUUUCUUUUCAAGUUUGGUUAAGUUGUCAUAAGUUUGACUAAAAUUGAAAGUUUGAUUAACAUUCAAUUUAGUUGAUGUCGAUUAUAAUUUUUCUAUUAAUAUUAAUAAGAUUUAUUUUUACGAUUUAAGUUGUUAAUUUUUUUAUUAUUGUAAAUUAUUAUUAUUUCUUGUUAAAUAUUAGUUAGAAUUUUCUUAAAUUGUUUCAUUUUAAGAAUGUGAAAUUGUUAAAUAUUAGUUAGAGUUUUCUUAAAUUGUUUCAUUUUAAGAAUGUGAAACAAAUAAGUUUUAUUAUAAUUAACAUAAAUGCUUUUUUUUCCUUUCAAUACUUCCUAGGAUGUCUUUUCUAAUGUUAAUUGGAAAAUUUUCAUUGUUUUUUUCCGAAUAUAAAUUGGAAAAACUCAUGAGUCAAUUGAUAAAAAAAAUAGACAAAAAAUCUCAGCUGUAAAAAUAAUUUUGAUCACUAAUAAUUAUAAUACAAACUAUAAACAAUCUCGGUUAACGGUAAUUGAAUUUUUUUAAACAUUAAAUCAAAAACUAUCAUGAACUUUGACAGAAAAAUAACAUAAAAAGUAAACUAAAAAAAUUAUCAAUAAUGACAUUUUUAAUCUUUAAAAAAUUAAAUAAUUUUUUAAAUUUAGUGUUAAUUGCAAACACUUUAUUUAAAAUUAAAAUUAAAUUUAAAUAUUCUUAUCCAAACUAAAUAUUUAAAAAAUAAAACAAUUCAAAUUCAACCUAUUUGAGUGUCGUAAAAAUCCUUAAGUUUUCUAUCCAAAGAUAAGGUUAAAAUAAUAAUAAUAAUAAUAAUAAAUUAUUUUUUCCAAAAUGAAAAGCUUUACUUUUUUCUGUUUGAUUAAUACAUUUCCCCUUAGGAGAAAUAGGAUUGAGCCAAAAAUGAUUGCCAAUCAUUGAUACCAUUUGUUUGGACAUGGUUUUGCCACUAUAAAUAGGCUGGUUCAGUUUCUCUUAACUCAAACAAGAAAACCAUAAGAAAAAGCAAUGGCCUUUCAAAGACUAGCUUCCAUCAUACUUCUCUUAUCCCUUUUCACCAUCUCUUACUCACACCGUGACAAUGGCGGAAUUGCUGUGUACUGGGGCCAAGACGCGCGAGAAGGUGAUUUGGUAACCGCAUGUAACAGUGGAAAGUACAAGAUUGUACUCCUUGCUUUCCUCAACAAGUUCGGUGCAGGGAGAACCCCAGAAUGGAACUUCGCCGGUCACUGCGACAAUGGUGCCUGGAAAAAGUGCACCGAACUAGAGCCCGAAAUAAAACAGUGCCAGGUAUAUAAUCUCAUCUAAUUUGCAGUUUUAUAAGAUUUUUAGGUUAAUAUUCAACCCUAAAUAUUUUUCUAAUUGUUUUGUGUAAUGGUUACAGGCGAGAGGCAUCAGAGUUCUCCUUUCAAUCGGAGGAGCCCCUGACUAUUCAAGCUACUUGCUGAGCUCGCCGGAGGACGCAAAGGAGGUGGCCAACUACCUCUACGAAAACUUCCUCAGUGGCCAAUAUGGUCCACUGGGAAGCGUCACGUUGGACGGAAUCGACUUCGACAUCGAAGUGACGGAGGAUUACUGGGACGACCUUGCCAGGGAACUCGACUUCUUCCGACGAACGACGGGGCGUUACUUUUACUUGUCCGCCGCCCCUCAGUGCCCAAUCCCAGUCUACUAUCUCGGCAAAGCUAUCGCCACCAAACUCUUCGACUACAUCUUCGUUCAGUUCUACAACAACCCUAGUUGCUCCUACGUCAGUGGCACCAACGCCCUCUUGAACUCCUGGGACAAGUGGGUCGACUUGGUCCCCUCCAACAACUCGCUCUUCGUGGGCCUGCCAGCGGCGCCCAGCGCCGGCAACGGUUACAUUCCGGCGGAGGUGAUGAACGGCCGGGUGCUUCCGCACGCGAAGAAAGCCUCGAAUUACGAGGGAGUGAUGCUGUGGGAUAGAUACCGCGAUGUUCAGAAUGGUUACAGUGAUAAGAUACAUUCGAAUGUGAUUAAGUCGAAGUUGCCGGCGUCUGUGGAGUCAGUUACCGACGCAAUUUACCAGUCCGUGUAUAAGGCGUUGCGCCGCGUCUUCGUUUAAGAGGUAGUUGAAAAGUACUACCUAGGCAUGUACUAUCUCUACUGAAUAAAUAACAUGUCAGCUGCAGCGUUUGCCUUUGCCAAAAUAAAAAUCUAUUUUCACAAUCCACAUUAAUAUUAUUUUACUCAACAAUUUAAUUAAAUAAUUUGAGUUAAUAUUUUAUUAAUCACUUGUGCAAAUGUAAGUUUCGUUCAUCUUUCUUAUUCGAAUGUAAAAUAACCACACUUGUUUAGCAUUUUUGUGUAGUUAAUAUAUGAAAUUGUUAAGGGAAGUAAGAGAAAAUGUGAAAUGUUAAAAAAAAAAUAUUUUUGAAAAUUAUAUACUCAAAUGCAUCAUUUUACAAUUUUUUAAACUUUCUACACCUUUUCACAUAAAUCCACAUUUUAAUAAAAAAUUAUUUUUCUUUCUAAUUUUACCAUUUAUAGUUUAAGGAAUUCAGUGUUGGAUGUGAAAAAAAAUUUUGGUGCUCAGUGGCGAAUUUUUCAUUUAAAGGCAAAUUCUUUCAGGACUUCCGGACCUUCUCCCUGUAUUUUUUUUUUUAUAUGGUACUUUUUUUUUUUUACUUUUUUUCAUUUUUUUAAGUCAAAAAAUUUAGAAAAGAUUAUGAAAAAAAUAUAAAACUAAACAAAAUUAUCGUUUAAAUAAUGGAACUAUUUUCUUAAACAUUAACUAAACAAGAAUAAAAAUGAUGUGAAUUGAAAGAAGGUAUGAAAUGCGAUAACGUAGGUGUUCUGACCAACUUAAGGUCGGUCAGAAUCUAAAUGAGCUCCUUGUGGUCUCUCUUCAAAAGCUUUUUGAAAACGAGAGGAGCUCCUCCUACGAUGACACUCGACUCUCAAAUCAGUAAGAGCAUAAAUAUAAUAAGUAUAAUAUGAAAUAGGAGUUGAGAGUACUCAUCAUGUUGUUUAUUAAAUGUUUAGAUGAUGUGUUCAUUUCUGUAGAGCAUAAUGAGAUAUUGGAGGAGAUUAUUUAAAAAAUUAGAUUAUACUUUACUAUUUGAGACCAUUUUAAACAAGAUAAAACCGAUUAGAGAAUUUGUCUCAUUCAAAUACCAUACUUUUCUUUUCUUUUUGUCUUUUUUUUCAAAAACGAUCAUGUUAGAAUUCUAUCUUCUCAAAGCUAUAUUGUAUAACCUCUACUUGGUUGCAGUGUCACCGAAAAAUCAACCGAUUCAUAUUUUUAUUUUUUCUGUUUUUGCUUUGAAAAAUAAAGGAAAGAAGAAAAAGGUUGAAAAUAAAAGAUAAAAAUUAAUGAAUCUAAAUGAAGUAUUUUGAGGAUUUUUUUUGAAAUAAAAGUGUUUUAAUUUAAAAAUUUAAUAAAAAUAAAAUUGAAUUAGGUAAUUAUAUUUAGAAAGUGUGUAGGAUAUAAUUAUUAAACAAGAACAAAUUUAGAUAAAUAAAUACGUAUAAUAGAUAUAUUUUAAAGAAAUUUAAAUUAGAAAAAUUUGUAAAUAAGAAAAAUUUUAUGGAAAAAAAAAGAAAGUAACGGAAAGUGUGUGAUAUAAUUAAAUUUAUUUAUGUGUAAAAAUAUAUAUUAAUUUUUAAAAAUAAGUCUAUGUAAUAUAUUAAUUUUGAGAAAUAAAUAUUUGGAUAAAAGAUUAGUUACUAGUACACAUAUUUAAGCAAAUUAAAAAAAUGUAAAUAAGAAAAAAUUGUGAUGAAGAAGAGGCACUAAAAAAAAUUAUUUUACGGGGAUUAUUUAUCCAGGAUUAUAUAAACUUCAACAAUUUAUUUGACUAGCAGAGGUUUUUUUUUAACCCCAUUAAAAUCUAAAGGUUUAUUACAUAACCUUGAGGAAUUAUGUUAGGUUUUGUGAAACUCCAUGAAAUAAAUUCAAUUAAUUAAUUUAAUAUAUAUUUUAGUAAAUUUUAUUUUUUUUCCUGCAGACUCGUAAUUUCUCUAGAAAAAACUCCUGAUUUUCUCAAUUUUCCUCUAAACACAUAAUUUAUCCUUUAUCUCUCACCUCACCGCAUCGCACUGUAUAGCACCGCAUAGCACCACCGCAGCACCACCGCUCACCACCGCAGCACCACCGUACUGUCAAACAUUUUCGGAAUAACUUUGGAAGCUUUUUCCACCAUUGGUCCACCGCCGAACCGAUUCCUUUGUUCAAAGUGUGUUUCGAUUACUUCGACUUAUUUAUUUCAUAUACUCUUGCUGAAUUUUGUCGUCUUCAGUGGUGAUUUUUGUUUUUUUUUCUUAAUUUUCUCAAUCUAUAAUCAAAUUUGGAUUCUCUUUAUUAAACGAGAUAGAACGAUUGGAGUGAGAGAGGUUGGUGAUCUUUGUACAAUAAAAAGCAUUUAUUGUGAAAUUUUACAUUCUAAUAGUGAAUGUAAAACAAGAUACCAGUUGAAUGAAUAAAAAAUUAAAGUUAAAGCAUAUGAUUGUAUAUGCAAGAACACAUUCAUCUCUGUAUAUGCUCUACAUUCUGGAAGGUUUUAUUAUUUAUUUCUUUUUAUGGAUGCAUUUUAAUCCCGUAAGGCAUUGUUUUGUCAACUCUCACAUGAAAGAACUGUUGAUUUUGGCUUAAUCCCAAGUCUCAUAUUGGUGGGUUCAUUGUUAGGGAAGGAGGUUUGAGGGUUAUAAAUUAAACUCUCCUUCUUCACUGUUAUAUAUCCCAAUUUGUAAUAUCUUUUCCCAUAAUAAUAAAAGUGAGCUAUUUUUGCUGUGCUCGAAGAUUAGGCUAAAUUGGCCGAACUCCGUUAACAAUCUUCUGGUGUGUUUUCCUCUUUAUCUCUUUUAUUAUUCUGCUCUGUUUAUUCAAUAUUAUUUGUCGGGUAACUCUGUUAGGGUUCUGUUUUAGAGGGGAAAUUACCCGUUUUUCCCAACAAGUGGUAUCAGAGCCGAAGGUUCGCCUUGGGUUGUUUGAAAUUAUUUGUAAUAUUGAAUAUUAUAUUUUGAGUUUGUAAUGACAAAUCAAGAAGAAGAAGCGAAGGAUGUAUCCAGAGUGUCGGGCUCCUCGUCAUCAUGGUCGAGGUUCCCGGUGUCCACUUUGAAAUUGGCGGUGGGAAUAUUUGAUGGCACUGGACAUUUUGGUAUGUGGCAAGGAGAGGUCUUGGACUCUCUUUUUCAGCAGGGUCUUGAUAUUGCUAUUGAAGGAGAGAAACCAGAAGAGGUAGAGGAGAAAGACUGGAGCAUCAUCAACCGGUUGGCAUGCGGAACUAUUCGGUCCUACUUGUCCAGAGAGCAGAAGUAUGCUGUAAAAAACGAGACUUCUGCACACAAACUGUGGAAGGCAUUGGAGGACAAGUUUUUGAAGAAGAGUGGUCAAAACAAGCUCCUAAUGAAGAGAAGGUUGUUCCGAUUUGACUACCAACAAGGUACUACUAUGAAUGCACACAUCACUAUGUUUAAUCAAUUAGUAGCAGACCUGUUGAAUUUAGAUGUGAAGUUUGAGGAUGAGGAUUUGGCUUUGAUGUUGUUAUCUUCUCUUCCUGGUGAAUUUGAACAUUUGGAGACUACGCUCCUUCACGGGAAGGAGAAUGUGUCGUUAGAUGUUGUUUGUUCUGCUUUAUAUAGUCAUGAAUUGAGAAAGCAGAAUAAGAUGAAAACCAAAUCAACGACAUAAGAAGAAGCAUUGGUGGCAAGAGGUCGUCAGCAAAGCCAAACAAAGAGGAGAAGAGGGAGGUCUAAGUCUAAAGGUCGAGCCGUUGCCAAAGAUGAGUGUGCUUUUUGUCAUGAGAAAGGACAUUGGAAGAAAGACCCAAAACUGCAGAAGAAAGGGAAGAUUCCGCAAGAUGCAAAUGUUGCAGAAUGCAAAAGUGAUGUGGAAUCAGAUAUCUCUUUAAUUGUCUCGCUUUCAGCGUCAUCGUAUCUAUCAUAUGUGUCCCAUUCAAGAAUGGUUCUUUGAAUUUCAAGAACUUGAUGGCGGGAUUGUUUACAUGGGUAAUGAUAAUCCAUGUAAGACAGCUGGGAUAGGUUCAAUCAAGUUGCGAAAUCAUGAUGGAUCCACCAGAAUUUUGCGGGAUGUACGGUACGUGCCAAAGUUGAAGAAGAAUCUCAUCUCAUUGGGGACUUUAGAAUCUAAAGGCCUAGUUGUGACGAUGCGAGAUGAAAUUUUUAAAGCAACUUCAGGAGCAUUGGUGAUGUUGAAAGGCGUGAGGAAGAACAAUCUAUAUUACUAUCAAGGUAGUACAGUGGUGGGGACAGUAGCGGUAGCAACUUCUAGCACUAAGAAGGAUGUCGAGGCAACGAAGUUGUGGCAUAUGAGGUUGGGACAUGCUGGAGAGAAAUCCUUGCAAAUUCUUACCAAGCAGGGACUGUUGAAAGGUACGAAGGCUUGCAAACUUGAAUUUUGUGAGCAUUGUGUUAUGGGAAAAUAACGAAGAGUGAAGUUUGGCACUGCAAUUCACAAUACCAAGGGUAUUUUGGAUUAUGUGCAUUCAGAUGUGUGGGGACCUGCCAAGACUCCGUUAAUCGGAGGUAGGCAUUAUUUUGUCACUUUUGUGGAUGAUUUUUCCAGGAAAGUUUGGGUGUUUACUAUGAAGAACAAAAAUGAUGUGCUUGAAAUUUCCUUAAGUGGAAAGCUCAAGUUGNNNNNNNNNNNNNNNNNNNNNNNNNNNNNNNNNNNNNNNNNNNNNNNNNNNNNNNNNNNNNNNNNNNNNNNNNNNNNNNNNNNNNNNNNNNNNNNNNNNNNNNNNNNNNNNNNNNNNNNNNNNNNNNNNNNNNNNNNNNNNNNNNNNNNNNNNNNNNNNNNNNNNNNNNNNNNNNNNNNNNNNNNNNNNNNNNNNNNNNNNNNNNNNNNNNNNNNNNNNNNNNNNNNNNNNNNNNNNNNNCUCAACAUCUCGUCAAUUGUUUGCCAUCAUCUGCUAUAGAUGGUAAAACCCCGUUAGAGGUAUGGUCUGGAAAACCUGCAACUGAUUAUGAUUCUUUGCAUGUUUUUGGUUCUAUUGCAUAUUAUCAUGUGAUUGAAUCAAAGUUGGAUCCACGGACAAAGAAGACUCUUUUCAUGGACUUUAGUCCUGGAGUGAAGGGAUACUGUUUGUGGUGUCUAGAGGCAAAGAAGACGAUUAUCAGCAGGGAUGUUACCUUUGAUGAAUCUUCCAUGUUAAAGAAGGUAAAUCCAGAAGGAGCUGAUAGUACUCCACAACAGGUGGAGUGUGCCCGGAAGCAGGUGGAGUUUGAGCCGACAGUGGUGAUCCCAACACGAAAUACCACAAGUGACUCUCCUAUGGCAGAAGAAGAGUCAGAUGAGGAAGAGGUUCCUACCCAAGAAUCUCAACAACAAUCAGCGCCAAUUGCAGUUAGAAGAUAGAGACGAGAUAUUCAAAAGCCUGUUCGUUUCAUGGAUAUGGUUGCCUAUGCACUUCCAGUUGUUGAUGACAUUCCAUCCACUUACCCAGAAGCCAUUUUGAGUUCACAGAGUGGUAAUUUGGCAGGUGCGAUGGAAGAGGAGAUGCAGUCUUUGAAGAAGAACAAGACGUGGAAGCUGGCACAAUUACCAAAAGGUAAGAAGGCAAUCGGGUGCAAAUGGAUAUUUGCAAAGAAAGAAGGAUUUCCUAAUAAAGAAGAUGUUUGCUACAAGGCAAGGUUGGNNNNNNNNNNNNNNNNNNNNNNNNNNNNNNNNNNNNNNNNNNNNNNNNNNNNNNNNNNNNNNNNNNNNNNNNNNNNNNNNNNNNNNNNNNNNNNNNNNNNNNNNNNNNNNNNNNNNNNNNNNNNNNNNNNNNNNNNNNNNNNNNNNNNNNNNNNNNNNNNNNNNNNNNNNNNNNNNNNNNNNNNNNNNNNNNNNNNNNNNNNNNNNNNNNNNNNNNNNNNNNNNNNNNNNNNNNNNNNNNNNNNNNNNNNNNNNNNNNNNNNNNNNNNNNNNNNNNNNNNNNNNNNNNNNNNNNNNNNNNNNNNNNNNNNNNNNNNNNNNNNNNNNNNNNNNNNNNNNNNNNNNNNNNNNNNNNNNNNNNNNNNNNNNNNNNNNNNNNNNNNNNNNNNNNNNNNNNNNNNNNNNNNNNNNNNNNNNNNNNNNNNNNNNNNNNNNNNNNNNNNNNNNNNNNNNNNNNNNNNNNNNNNNNNNNNNNNNNNNNNNNNNNNNNNNNNNNNNNNNNNNNNNNNNNNNNNNNNNNNNNNNNNNNNNNNNNNNNNNNNNNNNNNNNNNNNNNNNNNNNNNNGAAGGUACUACAACGUUUUGGUAUACACGAAUACAAAACCUGUAAGUAGCCCACUUGCUCCUCAUUUGAAAUUGAGUAGUCGUUUAUCUCCGACGACUGAUGAAGAACGAGAAUACAUGGCAAAAGUCCCAUAUGCAAAUGCAGUUGGAAGCUUGAUGUAUGCAAUGAUGUGUAAAAGACCAGAUAUUUCAUAGGCUGUGAGUGUUGUUAGCAGGUACAUGCAUGAUCCGAGCAAGGGUCAUUGGCAAGCUGUGAGAUGGAUUCUACGGUACCUCCAAAAUACCUUAGAUGUUGGAUUGACAUUUGAGCAAGAUGAAUCACUUGGUCAAUGCAUAGUUGGAUAUUGUGAAGUUGGUGCCUGGAGGCGCAAAUUUGAAGCACUGCAAAGUUUGUUUUUGUUAUGUUUUGAGAAGAUUUGUUUUAGGUGGGACUUGAAAUUAAGCCAAGGUGGAGAUUUGUUGAUUUUGGCUUAAUCCCAAGUCCCACAUCGGUGGGUUCAUUGUUAGGGAAGGAGGUUUGAGGGUUAUAAAUUAAACUCUCCUCCUUCACUGUUAUAUAUCCCAAUUUGUAAUAUCUUCUCUCAUAAUAAUAAAAGUGAGUUGUUUUUGUUGUGCUCAGAGAUUAGGCUAAAUUGGCCGAACUCCGUUAACAAUCUUCUGGUGUGUUUUUUCCUCUUUAUCUCUUUUAUUAUUUCGCUAUGUUUAUUCAAUACUAUUUGUCGGGUAGCUCUGUUAGGGUUCUGUUUUAGAGGGGAAAUUACCCGUUUUUCCCAACAAGAACUGCUAGGAUUUGGUCCAUGGACAGGAUGCAACCCUUAAGAUGACGUUGAUGUAAGUUAUUGCAUUCAAUAUUCUUUCUUGCUUCUGUUUUUUUAAAAUUUUGUUUUUUUGGGAUCUAUAUAUGUCACUAGCUUAUUUAAUUUUAUAAUUAUGUAUCGAUUGCUUGGGAUUCAUAUACCAGUGAUUUAAUUAAACUAAUUUUUUCUUUAUGUUGCAAUGCUCCCAUUUAUCUUGAGAAUUUAAAUGUAAUUGUGGAAAGUAUUUUUGAUUAAAAAAAUUAAUAAAUUUAAUCCACGUUAAUUUUGGAAAUUUGAAAUUUAAAAGAAACGGUGGAAAGUAAUAUUAUUGGAAGCAAUUUAGAAAUCGUUAGAAGUAAUUGGAUUUGAAAAUUGUCAGAAAUACAGUUUGAAAGUCGCUGGAAAUAUUAGGAGUUUGAAAACUGUCGAAAAUAUCAAGAGUUUGAAAACUGUCAUGACUCGGUCUCGUUAAUCGAGCAGACCGAGAUCUCCGCGGACGGUCAGGCCGACUGACACAUUUAAUCCAUUAACGUUCAACUCAAGGUAAGUGAAGCUAAACUACCAUUAAGAAUUAGGUAAUACAACCAUAAGUGUGAUCUAUUCCACUAAUCAUAAUAAAAUAAAAUUUAUUAUGUGAAGUGUUCUUAAAAUAAAAUUAAAUGAUCAUAAUAAAAUAAAAUUUUAUUAUGCGAAAUGUUCUUAAAAUAAAAUUAAAUGAUCAUAAUAAAAUAAAAUUUUAUUAUGUGAAAUGUUUUUGUUAAAAAUUAGUUUUAAGUGAUAUAAAAUUAAAAAUGAUAAUUUAAAAUUAGUAAAAUAAAAUAAUUAAUUUGAAUGGUAGUUGUUGGAGAUCCCACAUCGACUAGAGAUAAUAACAUUUCAUUAUAUAUAAGUGUAGUAAAAUAGGCUUUAAAACGAACAAAAAGGUUUCCCGAGGCGUGAGUAAUCACUGUCCGUAAGGACUUAUCCGCGGUGUAUUCCGCAAGUCCCCCAGGAUACAACAGGAACUUCCCGGUAAUUUCCGAGGAUCAGAACUAGCAAGUUUCUCUUCUAAAAGAGUAAUAUCAAAUAGAACCCAGAAUAUUAUAAUAUUAAAAUAAAGAGGAAAGAGAAAUUAAAAAGGGAAAAAUUGGGGAAAGGAAGAAGAUGAUGAAUCGGAGGAAGAAGAUGAAGUAGUGAGAGUGAGAGAUGCAUUUCUGAAGAGGGUGGAGCUCUCUUAUAUAGGGAGAGGAUCCAAGAAUCCGUUCCAACUUCCAAACCCACGUGUUUCCGUCCAACCUUGCAACUGCGGCGGCAACGUUCUAAAAUCCCGAAGGACCAGGCACAGCGUGCGCGGAAGCGGAGCAACGUUCUUCAACUUUCGAAGGGCAAGGUAGUGCUUUCCCGGUCAUGCGGCCAUGAUCCAGGGUGGAGAGGGCCACGAAUGCGAAGAUCUCGGUAAGUUCCAGUUUCUACUGCACUUCCGAGAUCUCCUCCAACGGAAUCAAAAAGCUAGGGUUUUCCACGCACAAACCAUUUCCGUUUCACACACUCUGUUUUUCGUUUUUGUUUUGCUAUAUUAGGUUCUGUUUUACAACAAUCCCCCACAUAUUGCAAAAGAUAAAACAUAGAGAUAGAGAAAGAAAAGAAUAUUCUGGGUUCAUCUAAGAUGUAAUGCAUCAGAUCUGGUAUAGCAAGCUAUAUGAACCAGUCUUAGAUUGAUGAACGUAACACAUAGUGUAGUUGGUAUAGCAAGCUAUAUGAACCAAGACACUUAGUAUGUGUUAGAGGUUUAUCAGUCACAAUACACCCCCACAUUACUUGCUGUUAUGCUGUGUUGCGCUAAUAGGCCAUGCGCGUGCCCGGUAUUCAUGAGUGCUCUAGAGAUCUUNNNNNNNNNNNNNNNNNNNNNNNNNNNNNNNNNNNNNNNNNNNNNNNNNNNNNNNNNNNNNNNNNNNNNNNNNNNNNNNNNNNNNNNNNNNNNNNNNNNNNNNNNNNNNNNNNNNNNNNNNNNNNNNNNNNNNNNNNNNNNNNNNNNNNNNNNNNNNNNNNNNNNNNNNNNNNNNNNNNNNNNNNNNNNNNNNNNNNNNNNNNNNNNNNNNNNNNNNNNNNNNNNNNNNNNNNNNNNNNNNNNNNNNNNNNNNNNNNNNNNNNNNNNNNNNNNNNNNNNNNNNNNNNNNNNNNNNNNNNNNNNNNNNNNNNNNNNNNNNNNNNNNNNNNNNNNNNNNNNNNNNNNNNNNNNNNNNNNNNNNNNNNNNNNNNNNNNNNNNNNNNNNNNNNNNNNNNNNNNNNNNNNNNNNNNNNNNNNNNNNNNNNNNNNNNNNNNNNNNNNNNNNNNNNNNNNNNNNNNNNNNNNNNNNNNNNNNNNNNNNNNNNNNNNNNNNNNNNNNNNNNNNNNNNNNNNNNNNNNNNNNNNNNNNNNNNNNNNNNNNNNNNNNNNNNNNNNNNNNNNNNNNNNNNNNNNNNNNNNNNNNNNNNNNNNNNNNNNNNNNNNNNNNNNNNNNNNNNNNNNNNNNNNNNNNNNNNNNNNNNNNNNNNNNNNNNNNNNNNNNNNNNNNNNNNNNNNNNNNNNNNNNNNNNNNNNNNNNNNNNNNNNNNNNNNNNNNNNNNNNNNNNNNNNNNNNNNNNNNNNNNNNNNNNNNNNNNNNNNNNNNNNNNNNNNNNNNNNNNNNNNNNNNNNNNNNNNNNNNNNNNNNNNNNNNNNNNNNNNNNNNNNNNNNNNNNNNNNNNNNNNNNNNNNNNNNNNNNNNNNNNNNNNNNNNNNNNNNNNNNNNNNNNNNNNNNNNNNNNNNNNNNNNNNNNNNNNNNNNNNNNNNNNNNNNNNNNNNNNNNNNNNNNNNNNNNNNNNNNNNNNNNNNNNNNNNNNNNNNNNNNNNNNNNNNNNNNNNNNNNNNNNNNNNNNNNNNNNNNNNNNNNNNNNNNNNNNNNNNNNNNNNNNNNNNNNNNNNNNNNNNNNNNNNNNNNNNNNNNNNNAACCAAACUUCUUUAGAAGUUUCUCAGUGUAUUUUUCUUGGGAUAGUAAUAUACUAUCUCCCUUCCUUAUGAUUUUAACUCCUAGAAUCACACUUGCUUCACCCAUGUCUUUCAUCUCAAACUUAGAUCCAAGAAAUAAUUUUGUUUUAAAAACUAUAUCAUUGCAUGUACCAAAAAUUAGCAUGUCAUCCACAUACAAACAUAUAAUGACAUAUUCACCAUUCUCAGAUCUAGAAUACACACAUUUAUCAGCAUCAUUGGUAGAAAAACCUUCACAAAGUAAAACAUUAUCAAGUUUUUCAUGCCAUUGUUUUGGUGCUUGUUUCAAACCAUACAAAGAUUUUAAAAGUUUGCAUACUUUUUCCUUUUGACCUAGGACUACACAACCUUCAGGUUGAGUCAUAUAAAUUUCCUCUUCUAAUUCACCAUUCAGAAAAGCUGUUUUAACAUCCAUUUGGUGAAUUACUAACUUAUGGAUAGAUGCUAAGGCUAGCAAUACACGAAUAGAGGAAAUCCUAGUAACAGGUGCAAAAGUAUCAAAGUAAUCUAUGUUAUGUUUUUGAGUAAACCCUUUAGCAACUAAUCUUGCCUUAUAUUUCUCUAUGGAUCCAUCAGGAUGAUACUUCUUCUUAAAGAUCCACUUACAACCAAUGGGUUUUGCUCCUUUAGGCAGAUCUACUAAGGUCCACGUAUUAUUUUUCUUAAUUGAUUCAAGCUCUGUUUUAAUGGCCUUAUCCCAAUGUUUAGCAUCAGGAGCACUAGUAGCUUCUACAAAACUUAUUGGAUCAUUCUCAACUAGAUAAGUAUAAAAGUCAUUUCCAAAAGAUGUUUCCUUUCUCUGUCUUUUACUUCUUCUAACAUCCUCACUCAAGGUAUCACUAACACUAUCUAUAGGUUGUUCAGAUGUACCACUACUCUUUAGCGGAAAGAUGUGUUCAAAGAACUCAGCGUUUUUUGUCUCUACUAUAGUGUUGCGUUCAAUUAUGUCACUAUUAAGAACUAGAAACCUAUAGGCAGCACUAUGUUCUGCAUAUCCUAAGAACAUACAAUCAGAUGUUUUAGAGCCUAUUUUCCUUUUCUUAGGAUCAGGUAACAUCACUUUAGCUAAACUCCCCCACACUCUUAGGUAUUUCAAAUUAGGUUGAUAACCUUUCCACAAUUCAUAGGGUGUUUUACCAGUUUUCCUAUGUGGUAUCCUAUUUUGUAAAAAACACGCAGUAAGCAGAGAUUCACCCCAUAAGUUAUCAGGAGCAUUAGAACUAAUAAGCAUGACAUUCAUCAUUUCUUUAAGAGUCAUAUUUUUCCUUUCAGCUACUCCAUUAGACUCAGGUGAAUAUGGUGGGGUUACUUCAUGAAUAAUACCUUCUUUUACACAAUAGUCAUUAAAUAAAACAUAUUCACCACCUCUAUCUGAUCUAAUUCUCUUAAUUUUCUUAUUAAGUUGAUUUUCUACUUCCGCUUUGUAAGUUAAAAACAUGUCAAAAGCUUCAUCCUUAUGUUUAAUUAAAUACACUUUGGUGUAUCUAGAAAAAUCAUCUAUAAAGGUUACAAAAUAAUUUUUACCACCUCUAGACAUGGUUUGUUUUAAAUCAGCAAGGUCGGUAUGAAUUAAACCAAGAAUUUCAGUUUGACGUUCUACAGAGUGACAUGUUUUCUUCGUUAUUUUGGAUUCUACGCAUACAUCACAUUUACUACUUUCUUUGUCAUGCAUGUUGAUUAAUCCUAGUCGUUGCAAUUUUAUAACAUACGAAGAAUUCACAUGUCCUAAUCUAGCAUGCCAUAUAUCAUACGAGUCAACAAUAUAAGCAGAAGAUGUAGAUUCAUUCAUAAUUUCAGAAAUGUUUAAUACAAAAAGGCCUUGAUCACAAUAUCCCUUUCCCACAAAAACAUUGUUUUUUGUCAUAACAAUCUUAUCAGAUUCAAAUGACACUUUAACCCCAACUUUGCUUAGUAAUGCCACAGAGACCAAAUUAACUCUAAUUGAUGGUACAUGUAGCACAUCAUUCAAAGCUAGAGUUUUACCAGAUGUGAGCUUCAGAAGAACUUUUCCUUUUCCUAGGACAAAAGUUGUCCUGGAGUCACCGAGAUAUACUUGUUCUUCUCCAUCCCCCACACUUGUGUAGGAGGUGAACACAUUUCUGUUUGCACAGAUGUGUUUGGUAGCCCCAGAGUCUACCACCCAUUUGCUCACAUUUGUCACAAGGUUUACUUGUGAAACGACUGCCACAAUAGUAUCUUCCCCUUCGGCUAGAUUUGCCUUAGGAGGAUAGUCGUUUUUAGNNNNNNNNNNNNNNNNNNNNNNNNNNNNNNNNNNNNNNNNNNNNNNNNNNNNNNNNNNNNNNNNNNNNNNNNNNNNNNNNNNNNNNNNNNNNNNNNNNNNUUCCACAGACAAAGCAAUUACCCUUUUUCUUGAAAGUGGGGUUAGUUCCACUGGGACGAGAGAAUUUGUUAUUAGGUUUCUUUUUGUGAUCAAAUUUUUUCUCGUACCUUUUUGGAGCUGGUUUGUCUUCUAUCACGUUUGCUUUGGCAGACAAAGCUUUGGCCUUUGCAGCAGCGCACUCCUUCCUGUUUGUGUCUUCAAUGAUGAUGUGGGUGAUCAAAUCUGAUAGAGACAUUUGUUUCUGUCUGUGCUUCAGUUGUUGUUUGUAAUCCGUCCAAGAUUGCGGAAGCUUUUCGAUCAAAAGUUCAGACACGAAUUCAUCUGGCAAUUUUAUGCUUUCAGUUUUGAUAUCUUCUAUCAGCUUGUGAUAUUCGUUUAUUUGGAUUUUGAUGUCUUUGCCUUCGAUCAUCUCCCAGCGGUAGUAUUUUGCAAUUACGAACCUUUGUCUGACGAUGUCUUCGGCAGUAUAUUUGAGGAUAAGAGAAUCCCAAAUAUCUUUCGCAUUCUUAUAAGAAGCAUAAACAUCGAACAGAUCGUUAGAUAACACACUGAGUAAAGUGUGACGACAUACCUUAUUCGCAUGGAUCCAGUCGUCAACUUGUUUCGCAGCCGUGGUUGAGUCGGGUUUGGCAGUUGNNNNNNNNNNNNNNNNNNNNNNNNNNNNNNNNNNNNNNNNNNNNNNNNNNNNNNNNNNNNNNNNNNNNNNNNNNNNNNNNNNNNNNNNNNNNNNNNNNNNNNNNNNNNNNNNNNNNNNNNNNNNNNNNNNNNNNNNNNNNNNNNNNNNNNNNNNNNNNNNNNNNNNNNNNNNNNNNNNNNNNNNNNNNNNNNNNNNNNNNNNNNNNNNNNNNNNNNNNNNNNNNNNNNNNNNNNNNNNNNNNNNNNNNNNNNNNNNNNNNNNNNNNNNNNNNNNNNNNNNNNNNNNNNNNNNNNNNNNNNNNNNNNNNNNNNNNNNNNNNNNNNNNNNNNNNNNNNNNNNNNNNNNNNNNNNNNNNNNNNNNNNNNNNNNNNNNNNNNNNNNNNNNNNNNNNNNNNNNNNNNNNNNNNNNNNNNNNNNNNNNNNNNNNNNNNNNNNNNNNNNNNNNNNNNNNNNNNNNNNNNNNNNNNNNNNNNNNNNNNNNNNNNNNNNNNNNNNNNNNNNNNNNNNNNUGAAGAGGGUGGAGCUCUCUUAUAUAGGGAGAGGAUCCAAGAAUCCUUUCCAACUUCCAAACCCACGUGUUUCCGUCCAACCUUGCAACUGCGGCGGCAACGUUCUAAAAUCCCGAAGGACCAGGCACAGCGUGCGCGGAAGCGGAGCAACGUUCUUCAACUUUCGAAGGGCAAGGUAGUGCUUUCCCGGUCAUGCGGCCACGAUCCAGGGUGGAGAGGGCCACGAGUGCGAAGAUCUCGGUAAGUUCCAGUUUCUACUGCACUUCCGAGAUCUCCUCCAACGGAAUCAAAAAGCUAGGGUUUUCCACGCACAAACCAUUUCCGUUUCACACACUCUAUUUUUCGUUUUUGUUUUGCUAUAUUAGGUUCUGUUUUACAACAAUAAGUGGGUGCAAACCUCACCUCAUGAGUCGGUUUUAUGGGGUUGAGUUAGGCUUAGAGUCCACUUCUCAUAGUUGAGCUUAUCCUAGCGAGUGUUUGUUGGCCUUAUCAGGUUACCCGCUAUCGGGCCGUUAUCGGACCACCCAUAACAUAUAUCUCUCUCCACGCACGAGUUGGUAGGCUCGUAAAUAGAAAAUAUGGUAUUUUAGAAACUUCUUGAAAAAUACUUUUUUUAUUGGUUAAAAAUUAUAUAAAACAGGAGAAGGGAAAAUUCUCUCCCCACAUGGUACCUUAUCCUUUAGCUCCAUAUUAAGUAUGAAAAAUCGACUUUAAUUCAAAAAUUUAAAAUAAUCAUAAAUUCUUUAACAGUCGAAACACUUCCAUUCUUAUUCAACUGAAGUGUUUGAAAUGAAACUUUUAUCAUUUAAGCGUGUGUGAGAGAGUUGGCGAAAAGAUUUGUCGUAAUAUAUGUUUCUCAUUGCGAAAAUAUUUUUUUUUUAGUUUGUACUCAUUCUUGCACCUCGCUAGUUUUUUUUUCUAGAUUUUGUAGCUUCUAAAAAAAUGAAAAAAAAUAAGCCAACAAAAACAUAACCGGCCACCAGUAUAAACACGACAAAAUUUAUCUCAACCACCAACUAAUAACCAAUUACUAUAAACAACCACCACCAUACUCAAAAGGUAUUAUUGAAAUUUUUUUUAAAACAAAUAUAAAGGUGUAAGGAGAAUUUGUCAUUUUUAAAUAGAAUGUAAGACCGUUAAAUUUUAUAAAUAAUAAUAUGACUAAAAUAUUUAAAUAGACUGUAAGACCCGUGAAAUUUUAUAAAUAAGAAUAUGACUAAAAUGUUGUAUUAAAUAUUGCAACUAUGAGAAAGAAAAGGAAAGAGAGAAUAAAAGUAAGAAAAUAAUAUUUUAUUUUUUUGAUUUAUUUGGAACGUGAUUUCAAUGUUAUGCAAAUAUUUAUUUUAUAAUUUUCUCUUUCAAUAAAAAUAGAUGAAAACAUAUUUUGAAACUUGAAUUUCGUAAAUGAGAUGAUGAGGAAAACUUCUAGAGCAGUUUAAAAGAAGAACGUGUUCACAUUACUUCGCCAUAUAUGUUCAAUCAAUUUCAUUCUUUUAUACAAAAUUCAACAUAUGAGUUUAAACAUGAGAAAAUAAUAAAACUUAGACUCAUUAAACCCAUAUAAUAAAAAUGAAUAAAGAGAGGAAUGGUUACCAACAGUUUAUUUAUUUGGCUUUCAGCUUGAAAAUCUGUAUUCUCACAACAAAUUGCCCUUUUUAUAUAUUUGUUUACAUCAUUUGACCGAGAAACGUAUGUUUAAAUAUACAUGUCAAAGUGCAUCAAAUUGUUCAGUCACACAAAUAAUUACAUAUUCUUUGUGAAAGUAAAGAGGAGUUUCCAUAGUAUUCCACUAUUGUGGCGUAUACGACAUGCAGCGACAUGACACCAGUGCAGAAAAGGGAUUUUACUCUGGUUCUAGGAGCAUUUUGUACUGGUCAUAUAAUCGGUGUAGAUGUGAGUGUUGUAAAAUGUCAAUUAUAUAUAACACUCACUGCUUAACCGGUGUUAUAUUUACCCAUAUUACAUCUGUUGGCUCUAAUAACCGGUGUAAUGGGAUCUCUGGAGUACAUUUUUAUUUAAUUGAGCCCCCAAUCAUAAAUAAAAAAAGAGCACAUGAUGUGUAGCAUUUAACGCAAUUAGAGAACAAAAAUCAGAACGAUACAAACCUUUGUAUAUGGUCCCUUCACGUCCAUACUUCUUGGUAGUUGGCUUUGGAACAUGCUGGGAAGGGGAAACUCAACAAUCGCUUUAUGUUGAGCACCUGAUUUUAGAUUCACCAUUGAUAAUUUAAAAAAAAACAGUUACACAGUGAGUUAAAGACGUGAAGUGUAAGAGAAAAAAAAUAGAAAAAAGUUAUCUCUCUCGUUAACAAAAACAUGUCCAUCGAAGAACUGAGCAAAAUCGAAAACAUCAUGAGGGGAAUUAAACUCUAUAUAGGCUCAGGAAUGCCUCUAACGCUUGUUGUUGCAAAUACGGUUAGGGUUUUGUUAGGAAAAAGUCGAGGAAGGAAGGAAUAGCGUUUGAAUAGAUUGAGAGGAACCCGGUAUUGUUGGGUCUGAAAGAGAACCAAUUGUAAUAUAUGAAAUUACAAAUUAAAACUACAAUUAAAAUUACAAAUUAAAAACUCACCUUGGAGCGUGAACUGAGGCGAUGUGGAUGCGGAACGAGUGCAAUGUGGUGCAACUAUGGAGGUACAUUGACAGAAGGAUUGGUGGCAACGAAGAGGAAGAACAAUGGUACUGAAGAGGAAGAGUGGUGGUCGCGAACGUAUUGAAGGACCAGUGACCGCGAAGAGGAAGGAAAUAUUUGAAGGGGUGGUGGCAACGGAGAGGAGAUAAACAAAGUUGGGGACAACGGUGGAGGAAGAAAAAUGGAGGCACACGAAGGUGGAAGAUCAAUGAAAACGAAGGUGGAAGUUGCCGUGGAAGACAAAGCAACAAAAUGAAGGCAAAGAGUAGAGUAGCGCAAAUGAGUAGUGAGGCGUGAGCAUGAAAAUAGGUUAAAAGAAAUUAUAUUACACCGGUGUAAUAUAUAUAUAUAUAUAUAUAUAUAUAUAUAUAUAUAUAUAUAUUUACUCAAAAAUUGUAUAUAACACCGGUUAUACAAGGCAACUGGUGUUAUAUGUUUGGUUUAAUAGUGCCAAAGUUCAAGAGGGGGGGGGGGGGUGAAUUGACCUUUUAAAACUUUUGCGCAGAUUCAUAUUUUAUCACAGUACACAAAAAAUAAAUCGAUUUAUUUAGCAAUGAACAAAUUUAUUUUUACACUGUUUAUGUAUUAAAAACGUUUAUAUCAACCAAGUACUUCUUGAAGUUAUGCAGAUUAAUUUGCAACCCACACACACUGAUUUUAACGAGAAAACUAUGAAAAGUAAAAUCAGUGACCUUCAACUUUUAAAGCAAGAGAUAAAAGUUCAAUUACAAGCUUGACAAUUAAUUGGGUAACCUUCCACAAUCAAACUGUUCCAGUAGCAUUCAACAGUUCAUAUAUCAUUUUAACAUAACGAACAAGCCCAAAAGGAACAUAUUUAUUUGUAAUUGAACAGAUUCAAUUUCUGACAGAUUAACAAAUAAAGCAAUAAACGAGUGCAGGGAUGAAGAGAAAUUGAACACACAACAAUUAUACUGGUUCACUCAAAUGAGCUACAUCCAGUCUCACCUAAUCCAAGGUGAAAUCCACUAAACAAACGUAUCAAACACACUUACACAGCCACUGUUCUUGAACCCUACAAGAAACUUGGCACACAAGCUGAAAAACACUAUUCCAUCACACACACUCUUCAAGAAACACUAUCAAGAAGAGUUUACAACCACACUUUACAAGAAAUUAAAAUAUGAAACGAAUACACCUGAUAGAGAAUGCAGAAAUCUGCCUUAGACCAGUAGAACAAAUUGCUCACACAGUGACAGCACCUCUAACCAAGCCUUAGAACCAACCAAGAACAAGCACACUUUGUGAUUUGGAAAAUCUUUCAAGAACACAUGCUAAUUCUCUGAAAAUCCUUAGUUCUCUGUUGUAAAACUUGUUUUCUCAAUUGUAUGAUCAAUUUUUAAACGCAUGAACAAGCUCUCCUUUUAUAGAAAAACAUCUUAUAAAAUAUUUUCAAAAAAUAGUUAAAGUUGUUAUAAAAAGAACAGAUUGAAAAUAAAAUGAACAGAUUUAUUUUCAAAGACAGUUAGAGAAUCAGUUAUGUGAAGGAGACUUAGUCAAACACCCUGGUGCAAGGAUAAAACGCAAAAAGCCUUUUAAGGUAAACAUGCCACCAGACUAAAAAGAAUCUAUUCAUUUACAGAUGAACAAAUUUAUUUUCAAAACGAUAACAAAAACUUCUUAACAAGUGAAACACAGUCGUUUUGAUGCAAUGAAGACUUAGUCAAAAAACAUUAUGCAUAAAACCUAAUUUUCAAAUGUACUUUAUCAAAGCAUCAGUUUAAGAAAAGAAUGAUAGUUGUCGUUUUGUUGUCAAAUUAAUAUGAUUCUAGCGUAGACUUGUCUAACACUAGAGAGAUGAUAGUAUAGUUGUGGUCAGAUGACCCCAAGUCGUCUCCCAACGAAUCUAAUAGUAAAAUCAGUUGAUCAGGGAUUAAAAUCUAUCUGCAAACAAUAAAAGUUAGCAAUAACAAUAAAGAUAAAAAGGGGGUUUGAGAUAGUUGUGCAGAAAAUAUAAAAGAGAUUGAAAUAACAAAUAAAAAGUGGUUGAUCCCCAAGUUCUUCCACCAUUGAAUUCUUCACAGGUUCUCUAAAGAUUAAUCUUUUCUCAAUCCUCCAAUAGAGCUAAACCAGAUUGAACAUGCGCCAAUCUUAUUCAACUGAAACUCACUAGUAAAACAUGUGUUUAUUGGUUUAAUCAAUACCCACUUUGUUCCAUGCGUAUACUCCAUGGGAAUGCUUACCUCCUCUCUCUUGAAUCAUGCGCCCGAUAAAUUAAUUAGAACAAUGCGAACUAACUAAGAAACCAAAGUUAAAGAUAAGGAAGACUCUCAAUCAUGCGUUCAAGUACAACCUUUCACAAAAACCAGUUUUCCAGGAGAUUAGACAAUAAAAACAACUGCUAUAGAGAAUUAAAAAUCGAAACUUUUAUUGAACAAAACCUCAGAACUCAAUGGAAAAUUACAAAGGAAUCAACCAAAAAGGUUUAGCCUUCCAUGCGGAGGCAAAACAAAAGAAUUACUAAGAAGAAAAUAAACUAAGAAAACCCUAUGAAGCUCCCUCUUUUCUCCUUGAUGCUUGUGUCCUUUUAUAGGGCUUUUCUGCUCCAAGGAUCUUGGUGAAAAUAUUGCAGUUUAGAUUUUGUAAACAGUUUCCACUUUCCAUAAUUCUUUUUAUUUUGCAGAAAAUUUGCUUCCAAUUAUGUUUCUAGAAUCUUGUAGCUUUUAUUUUCUAUUUCUUCUCCUCAUAAUUUGUUUUCUGUUUUGAUUCAAAGAAGCAACUUGGACUUUUGCAUGUUUGGCCCAUUCACAAAGGUAGAUGCUUAAGAUAAUUUACCAUAAAAGCACAAAAUUAACAAUAAUAAUAUAUAAGGCCCAAAUAAACCCAAUUAUAAGAAUAUUAAUUAAAAUGAUGGAUUUAUUUAUUAUUAUAGUCUAAUAAUCUAUGAUUAAGGCUAUUGUGUGUGAAUAAAUAUAUGUUCAUCAAAGAAUCUAUUCAUUUAGAAAAGAACAUAUUCAUUUUUUUUUAUGUAGUGAGGAUAUUUUUGCAAAACAUGUGAAAAACAGUUUCAGAAAACUUGUGCUUGCUCUUAUCACAUGGUAUGGGGUUAAAAGGUGAGUUACCUAGCAAAAAGCCUACUCUAAACUAUACCUAAGACAUUCUUAAAGCAAAAGUAAAUACAAAUGGAAUUUACACAAAUGACUUCAUCAAACACAUGUCUUGAAGGGGAAGCAACCAUCUUCAACAUUAUAUACCUUUUUUUAAAACUUAUAAAUCUUUUUUUCCUCUGGGGCACUACAUAUUACAUCAGUUGAGUUAUCCAAUCGGUGUAAUAUAUGUUGCUAACAACAACAAAAAGUUUUAAAAAAAUGUAACUAUUACAACAGUAUAUUACACCAAUUGGGCUAUCCAACGAGUGUAAUAUGUACCAAAUAUUUACAAAACUACCACCGUGUUUUUAUUUACACUAGUUCUCGUUUAACCAGCCUAAAAUGUCUUUUUUUGUACUAGUGAGGAAUUUGUUAGUCAUGAGGUCAACUCACUUAAUUUUGAGUUAUGGUAUUCUAAAAGGAAAAAAGUUGAAACAAAAAACAGACUAAAGAGCAACCCAAAGUAUUGUUCACCAAUGCCACUUGAUGUGAAACAGAAACGCACACACAUAGAAGAUCAUGAGUACAUGUAAGAGUACAUCCACAACGAUUUUUAUUAAAGCCCACAAAUUUAACUCUAACAAGCUAUUUGACAAUAAGGUUUAAAUCAUAUUUAGACACAAGACCUACCAAUUUGUAUAUGUUGUAACCUUAAACCGAUGUCCCACGAUAUGAAAGCUCUUUAGAAAUGAAGUUUUAAUUGCAUUAUGUUGUAAAAUAAUCAUUUUGUAGAUUGAAUCCCAACAAAAACAUAAGUCCCCUAUGGAGUUUUGAAGAAUUCUCUUUAGACUCUAAUGUGCAACCUUAACCCUGUUCCUUGUUGUGUUGCCUAAGUGCAUCAUCUUAUUCGUCCAUGCCUUCAUAAAUUUUUCUUUAUGUUGACAGCGUCGUUUCCUCGACCGGCGAUCAUAUUGCCCUUUGCAUAUUCGACGACCACCGACUACACAGUGGGGGUCGUCGUUCCUCAACCGGCGAUCAUAUUGACAGCGCCGCUUCACCGACCGGUGAUCAUCUUUGACUUUACAUACCUUCGACGACCACCGACUACGCAGCAUAGGGAUCGUCGUUCCCUCGACCGGCGAUCAUGUUGCCCUUUGCAUAUUCGACGACCACCGACUAUCAAUCGGCGAUCAUGUUGACAGCGCCGCUUCAUCGACCGGCGAUCAUGUUGACUUUGCAUACCUUCAACGACCACCGACUACGCAGACAUGGAGAUCAUCUUCUCAUGAACCGGCGAUCAUGUUUACCUUAUAUAACUUCGACGACCACCGACUCCAUGUCUGCGUAGUCGGUGGUCGCCGAAGGUAUGCAAAGUUCAACAUGAACGCCGGUUGAUGAAGUGACGUUCACCUUAGGUCUCCAUGAUCGCGAUCGAUGAAGCGGUGAUCUCCAUUUGUGUAGUCGGUGGUCGCCGAAGUAUUGUAGAGGUCAACAAGAUCGCUGGUCGAGGGAGCGGCGUUCUCCAUAUGUGGGUAGUCGCGUGGCGAGGUGAAAGUAUGUGGCUUGGGUCCUGGGAGGUUCGGUAUAGUUGAGAGUUGCUUUGAGGUAACAUGAUGGUUAUAUUUUUUGGGUAUGGUUUUCUCUCUUUAAGGUUGUUCUGCUGCAACCAUAAAGGAGAGCUUCUUUUGUGGAUGAUGUAGGAAGUCCACUAGUGACUACUGUAUAUGGGUUGGGAUACCUCUGAAGUAUCCCCUUAAUUCUAUUUAUUCAUUGCUGAUAAAAAAAAAAAAGUAAAAAAAUAUAGGUCAUGGAGAACAAACAACUUCAAAAACAUUCAGAUGAUCUUCAAAGGAGUCUACAAUAUCACAAUCCACAAUAGAUCCCCAAGCUUGCAUUACUUGACCUCGCGCGUCUCUUGGAUACACCAACAUUUUACAUUUUGCUUUGACAUUUUUAUUGAUGUGAAAUUGACACAGCAAAUUAUAAGCUUCAGGAAACAAAAUUUUUAUUUCAUUCAUUUUUUGAACAAGGUGCUUUGAUGUCUCUAAAUCCAAGAGGAAUGCUUGAAGAUCUUUGCUGCUGGUUUUUUGUGUGUGUUUAAUAGUCUUUGAUUUGUUAAUCCACUCUUUAUGAUGACCCAAGGUUAAUUGAAUCCUAAUCCCUUUGAAAAACAUGAGUUUUCUAAAGAGUGUGAAAUUUCAACCUAUUGGAAUGUCGAUUCAACCGGUUGUUUUACACUUAGUGGAUUUUGAAAAGGAUUUGAAAAGCUUGACUUUGUUUUGACUUUGUUGUCAAACCAAUUCAACCGGUUGUUUCGAGAAUUAAACUGGUUGUUUUUCUGAAAACCUUAACAAAAUUUUGUUAAGAGACUUUAAUUUGUUUUAAUUAUUCAAACUGCUUUUGGUUCUUGAAUUAAAUGCUUUGACCAUAUGAUUGAAGUGUAAAAGGGUUGUUUUACGCUCCUGGUCAUUAACUAAGAAAGAGAGAUCAAUUAAAAUAAGUUUUCAGGAUUUCAAAGAGCUUUUGGAUCAUCUCAAAGUGUGGAAUAUGAUCGUCUUGUAUUUCUGGAUUGUAAUCUUUGAUUUUAUCCAAAUGUAUUCUAUUCCCUUCUGUGUGAAUUGGUGUGAUGCAGUUUCAGAGGGUUGUUCUGAAAACUGUGUGGUGUGUUUUCUUGAAGGGUUCAAGAUAAUCACUUUGGUGUGUGUUGUGUAAUCUAGGUUUGAUUACAUAGUGAAUUCUCAGUGGUUAGCUGAGGACUGGAUGUAGCUCUUGGUUAAGAGUGAACUAGUAUAAACAUCUUGUGUGAAUCUCUCUAUCCUUACACUCAUUAAACUGUUUUAUAUUUGAUUUUCAAUUCUGCUGGUAUAAAUAAUCGGUUGUUUCGCAAAAACAAUUGGUUGAUUUUAUGGAAUCAAACUAAAAACAGUUUUCUCUUUUGUUGAACAGUUUUCUAAUUGAUUAAUUCUUCAUAGUCUUUCACUCUACCUUCAAUACUUGCGAAAAUCUUUCAAAAACAAUUCACCCCCUCUUGUUUAAGGCCUCUAAUUCUAACAUCAUUAAGAUAACAUCUCUAUCACAUACCACGACCCUAGGGUAUCCAUUAACUAUAAAAAAAACCCUUUAAGUAUGUCAAUGGCCCACACAAAGUUAUUUUCCUUUUCAGUUGCUAGUAAACAAAAUGCAAUAGAAAAUGUCAACCUCGUUUAUGUAAUUCCAACAAUCUCAAGUAACGACAUCCUGUACCUGUUAGUUUUGUAUGUAUACUAUCCAUUAAUAUGACAAUGUUAAAUGAAUUCACUAGUUUCACUGAAUCUAGGUGUGUCCAAAAUAUAUCUUGCACAACAUUUGACAACUCUUCAAACUUACACCAAUGCACAUACAUUUCUCACUCCAGUAACAUCAUCAAUUGUUGCAUUUUUAUCCUGUACCUCGUUGUGAUCUUUGAUGAACAUUCAUUGCAUUAUAAUCUUGCUUUAUCAUUGUCACAUUCUUCUCAUUUCUCUCUUUCAUGGUUAGUAAAAUAUUUCUUGGCUUUACUGAAGUCUUUGUCAUAUCCUCAACCAUAUCCUUUUCAUCAACACUUAACCUUCCAGCGUACAAAUGACCCAAGUCAUGAUUGUGAGAUCCACAAAUUAAUUUCACCAUCCACCCUUCACCACAAAUUAAUCUAUGUCUUUUUCAUAUUGUCUGUAUUUGCCUCCUCUCUCACAACCUAAUAAUACGUACAUCAUCCUUCCUUGUUGCCCAAUCCAUGUAUCUGACCUUAAUAUAACAAUAAAAAAUUCAUAACUAUAGGCAACACUUCUCACCCACUCCAAGAGCCCAUUUUGAUUAUUAAAUACCUACAAUAACAUAUGACAAAUUUAUAUAUCAUUCAUAAAAUACACUUCACACACUUGUGUAUCUCCCCGAUACCUGACCUGACAUAACCUUAUCUGGCAAAAACUUUCUCAAUUUCUUGCUAAGCCUGCAAUUGCUCACUAUAAAGGAGCUUUAAGUCUUGGUUUAUUUUUCUCUUUCAACACUUCUGCUAAGUUAAAAGCCUUUUGUUAUAGUGAUUGGAGCACCUAUAGUGAUUCAAGACUAUUAGUUACUGGUUUUAGUGUGUAACUUGAGAAUUCCCUCAUAUCCUGAAAAUCAAAGAAGCAAGGAACAAUAUCAAAGAGUUCUUGUGAAGCUGAAUAAAGGACAAUGACCACAAUUACAUGUGAAAUUCAAUGACUAACUACCUUGAUGGUUGGAUUACUCCUUAUCAACUUAAACCCGAUAGGUUGAGUUAGGCUUAAAAUUUACUUCCUAAUAUGAUAUUUUAUGAUUGAAGGAUUUUAUUAUAUGGGAUUAAGAGAUGUUAGAAAUAUGAAGAUACAUUUUAUUUUUAUUUAGGGUUUUAUUUAAUUUUUAAAAUAAUAUGACGAUCAUAUUUGUAUAGGAUCAACACCCAAAUAAAUAUUGGUAACUUAUAUAUUUUUAUUGAAUUAUUGUAUUUACAAAUUUUUUGAUACAGUUAUCAAAAUGAUAAUCUCACACUUCCACUAAAUUUCCUACCAACUCAACCUCAUGACCUGGUGCCACGCAAAGUCAAUGGAAGAAUAGACUUGUACGUUACAAAUAUCUCAAAUAUGAAUUUUAUUUAGUUUAUCACGUAUUUAAGGUGAUUUUAUUUAUGUACUUUUGUUUAAUAUGUUCAAUAAAAUAUAUUUUAAUUCAUUAAUUUAAGUUACUAAUAUUAUAAAUAAUAUUUUUUAAUUUAAAUAUAUUUUUAUUCUCAAAAUAUUUCUUAUCCUCACACUCCUCCAUCUCCAAACAUUAAUUAUAUAAAAAAUCAUAUUUUUUUAAUUAGACACAAAAUGAUCCUCCAAUUCCUCCACCUCUACCACCAAUUCAAACUCACAAGAACACAUAAAAAAAUUUCAAUUUCAAUGCAUAAAAGUUUGUAGCUAAUAACUCCAAUAUAAAUUGUGUACAAAAAAUCAAUGACUUUUUUUAAUGGGAUAAAAAGUGACAUGUUCCUUCACCUUCACCACCAACUCAAACUCAAGAAUGUGUAAAAAAACUUCGAUCUCGAAGUACAAAAAUAUAUUGCUAACAACUUAAUAUCAAUUAUUUAUGAAAAAUUACUAACUCUCUUUUGUAGAACUUAAAAUGAUCCUCACACUUUACCAUCUUUACCACCAACACAGAGUCAGAAUAUAUCUAACAAUUUCAUUCUCAAAGUACAAAAGUAUAUUACUAAUAACUUAUAUAUCAAUUAUAUUAAUUUAUAUAUAUAUAUAAAGAGGAUUCUUCUUCAUCAUCCUUUUUUUUUACACAAUUUUUUUCUGAUUCUACCCUUAUUUAAUAUGUUGGAAAUCUCACAUCGACUAGAGAUUAAAACAUUUUAUAGUAUAUAAGUGGGUGCAAACCUCAACCUACAAGCAGAUUUUAUGAGGUUGAGUUAGGCUUAAAGUUCAUUUUUUAAUAUGGUAUGAGAGUCAUUUUCAAGCAUAUCCUAGUGAGAGUUUGUUGGGCUUAUCAGGCCACCUGCUAUCACUUCUUAAUAUAUCUCAUUUUAUUAGUAAAAUAUAGUAUUUUGUCAUUUCAUAUUUUUUAAUUUUUUAAAUUAAUGUUCAGGAUCAUUUUUAUAUGCAAACUAACUCCUCACUCUUCCCUUAAUUCUUUAUUUUAAGGCAACAACCGAAAGAAAGAGAGAGCAUACCUCACCCUCAUUUGGUUUUCACACCAAAUCUCACAUAUCAAAUAAAAUAACCUCCAUUUCUAAUCACUCUCUCCACUCCAUUUUAAGAAAUUCUAUAUUAAUUGGGUAAAAUCAUCAUUCUUUUGUAUUUACCAUCAAGUGAAUCAUAACCUUAUGUGAACAUCAUCACACUCUCUAAUCCGAAAACCACCAAUGGAAGAAGAGAAAAGGGUUGAAGAAGAGAAGUUCACACAAGAGAAAAAGAAAAAAAAAAGUUGAUUAAUCAAUUCAUUAUUUUUCUUUUACAUAUUCUUUUUUUCUUUUCAAUUUCGACUCAUCCAAAAUGUGAACACACACUCUUCUCAUAAGACUCAAAAUUCUUUUAAUAAAACUCAAAGUGAUCCUCAAAUUCCUCCAUUUCCCCAAACAAUUCAAUUUCAGACAAAUGGGCCAAUCAAAGAAAGUUGCUCAUAACUACACUAAAAAUUAUAUAUCAAUUAAAACUUAUUUGUUUAUCUUAUUAAAAUAAUUUCUUAUCAAAUUAUAAUUAGUAGAAUGCUAAGCUUUACCAAUUAUGAUUUAUUUGUUUUUAAUUUGUUAGUUAUAAGAAUUCUAUUUAUAAAAUUCUAACACGUUGAUUGAUAUAUAUAUAUAUUUAAAAAAAAUUACUUUGACGUUAAAUGUAAGUGUUUGAACCGUAAAUGUCAACCUAAGAUGUUUUAAAAUUAAAUAACUCUUUUAGCCUACCGUAAUAUAAGUGUUUGAAUACUAAAUUCUAUAAUCAUGUUGACUUACAAAACACUUAUCUGGUAUAUUCUUUGAGUUGAGUUUCAACAUCCGAUUAUUUGUCAUUUCCAUGUGUGCGAGCACUUGAUCUUAUUUGUCCUUUAAGUGCAAUAUUCAGUCUUUCAUGAAAAUUAAACGUCCUUUCUUCAAUAAUUGUCUCAUAUUAAGAAUUUACCUUUCAAGUCAGGUACAUAAUAGACAUUCUCCAUAGUAUCUUUUUUUCAUCUUUUUGGAAAAAAACAUAUUUUUCCUCGACCUUUGAGUAGAACCUUCGUUGAGUCUCCAAAGGACACAUCAAUACAUAUUAUGAGUCUCCCUUCAUCUUUUGUCUCAUCUUCCUCGACUAAAUUCGUGUUUUCUUUCAUUUUCUUCUCGGUGUAGCAAUCUUUCCAUAGUAUCCAUAUUUUUUUUUUGUAAUUGUAGCAUUAGAUAUUUGAAUGAUUUAAACGACUAUCUCUUCCAGAACCACGACCUCGUCCACGCCAAUUUUGAUGGUUCAUUUAUCCACUCUCUUCAUUCUUAUUUUUCCUAAGAUAAAAGUUCCCUUGGAAUUAUCGAGAUAAACUUGUUCUUCUUCAUCCCCACACCCAUGUUGGAAGAAACACAUUUUUGUUUUCACGUAUGUGCCUGGUAGCCCUAGGGUCUACCACCUAUUUGCUCACAUUAGUCAUAAGAUUCACUUAUGAAACAACUGCAACAAUUAUAUCUUCCCAUUUUACUAUAUUUGCCUUGGGAAGAUCUUAAUUAUUGACCUCAUGUUUGCACUGAGGUGCAUAAUGACCUAGCCUUUGCAUAGACAAAGUGUUUCACCUUCUUCUUGAAGGUAAGGUUAGAUCCAUUAGAACGAGAAAAUUUAAAUUUACUUUUUUCUUGUGAUUGGGUUUUUUCUCAUACCUUUUUGAAGUUGGUUUAUCUUCUACCAUUUUUCUUUAACAUAUAAAAACUUAGCCCUUGUAGCAAUACAUUCCUUUCUAUUGGUGUCUUCAAUGAUGAUAUCAGUGAUAAGAUAUGGCAAUGACAUUUGUAUGUUCUUGUGCUUCAGUUGUUUUUUGUAGUUAGGAAAUUUUUUCAAUCAGAAUAUCUAAAAUGAAUUCCUCAACUUAGGCUAUGUUCUUGCUUUAAUCUUCAAGUUGUUUGUGGUAUUCGUUGAUUUAAACCUUAAUGUCAUUAUCUUUUAUCACUCCCAAUGGUAGUAGUUUCUGAUCAUGAAUCUUUGUCUAAUGACAUCUUUGGCAAAGUAUUUGAGAAUAAGAAAAUCACAAAUAUCUUUUGUUUUCUUGUAGGAGCAAUACAUCAAACAAAUCAUUAGAUAAUGUGCUAAGAAAAGUGUGAUGACAUACCUUAUUUGUAUAGGUCCAAUCUUCAAUUUGUUUUGUAGAAGAACUAGAGUUGAGUUUGAAAGUCGUAAGAGCGAAAACAACUGAAUACAUGUCUAACAAAGUUGACGUGUUCCUAGUAGCAUUGAAAGUUUUAACUUGUGAAAACUUCAAUUUUCAAAACAUCCGAUAACAAUUUUGAUAUGACUUGAGGCAACACAAUUUGGCUUCUCCGAUGUAUAUUUAGUGUCAAUGUCCAUGUCAUUAACCAUAAGUCCUUAAGAUUGUUGUAAAACAUGGUUGAGAGCACAAAUAAGCUAGGUUUCCUAAGGUGUGGAUGAUCAUUGUCCUUAAGGACUAAUCCACAAUGUGUUUCUUGAGUGACAUCAAGGAACUCAAAACUAGAAAGUAAGCUUGUAAGAGCCAAGAACUUAGGAUUGGAGAAAUGGGAGAAAAGUGUGUGAAUGUAUGCUUUGGAGAAGAGUAAGAGCACUUAUUUAUAGGAGGGAAAAAUGGCCAUAGACCCCAUAGUAAAUGGAAGUAGAUCUUUGAUCAAAGGCUGUUCUGGAAAAGGAGAGAAGAUAUGAACAGAGAUGGAGGAGGAUUUGGUCGAGGCAUAUUCCUGACUUGUGGAGGAACUCAUGAUAGGGAUGACAAUGCAAGCUGAUCCGUCCUAUUUUUGCUAGUCUAGCCUUUAGCCCACAAAAAAGUGGGUCGGAUUGGCUCGUCUCUCAUAAGGAUUGACUUGUGCCCUCAUAAGUUAUGCUCAAUCAUAACAUCCGAUGUAUUGUCUAUACAUAUAUAUAUAUAUAUUUAAAGUAUCCUUUGUCUAGACUUGUAUUCUUUCUCUAGACUUUUAAGUAAUGUGAAAUCAUUUAGGAAAUAGUUUGAUAUCAUUUAGGAAUUAAGAUUAAGAUUAUUGUAAAAAUUAUUGCAAAAUAAUAUAUAUAUAUUAUUAUUAUUUUGUUUUUCUUCUUCUUCAACCUGUACAACCACGUGCAUUAAAAGGUAAUGUACGCAAGACGACAUAAUUUCAAAAGUGGUCCUACUAAUUAUGAUUCACUGAGUGUACGUACUUCAAUUAUUGUCAUAGGUUUUCUUUCAUUAUUUAUGUGUAUAAAGAUUAAACAUCUAUGACAGUUUGAAAGAUAUUAUAUAGGUGGAUUUCAUCAUCACACCAACCUAAGUAGGACAAAAUAAAUUAAUCUUAGUUAAGCAAGUUAGUGAAAACAAAAUUACAAUCUUAAUUAAAGGUGAAACGUGAGAGAAAAAAUUUGCUUUGAAUAUACUUUAAAUUCUAAAAAUAUAUUUAAUAAAUAUUUUUUAAUUAAUAAAAAUUAAAACUUAAAUAUGUUUUAAUUAGAUUGGAUAUACGGUGAUAUUUUCGUUCUUACGAAAAACUUCGACAAAUGUAACAUUUCAAUUAGAUUGAUACCAUACUUUAUCAAUUAUAUGUUAAUCACAUAAAAUAUAAUAUAAAAUAAAAUUAGAUCAAACCCAUUAGAAAAAAAAAUUCAAGAAAAAAACAACCCUAAAUUGAAAACUAAGGUGGAAUAAGUAUUCGCUUUUUAACUUCUUUUUCAUCUUUAUCUUCCAACUUAAAGUUUUUUUACUAUAAUAUUUUUAACAUGAAUCGCGUGAUAUUGAAUAUAUUGUUUAAAAAUAUCAUGCUUUGUUAAUAGAAUAUAUCGUGUUUCACUAAAUUAAUGAAAUAUUUUGACCAACUUAAUAAAAUAAAAAAAAGUAAAUGUGAAAAGAAGUAGUUAUAGAAUUUAAGUCCCAUUAAUAAAAUAGUUUUAAUUUUUAGAUAGAUUUUUCACAAACCCUACACAUUCUAAUAAUAAUAAAAAAAUAGGCCUAAAUUUUAAAGGAAAAUAGUCAAACAAAUUUUUUAAAAAUAAAAAAAAAAUUUAAAAGGAAAAUAAAAUACAAGAUUUAGUCUUUUAUUUAUUAUAAAAAAGGUAAAACAAACAAUACAAAUUAAAAAAAAAAAAAAAACUCUCACGUUCCGUAUGUUGUCAGGGAACGACUGGCUAGAAAACCCCUCACACCAAAAACGUGUAAAAAUUACUACCAACUAUUAUUGGCCGUGAAUAAUAGAUAAUAACGAUGUGGAUUUUUAAUAAAAAAAAUAAUUAUUUUUAUUUAUCAUUUUUAAAUUUAAAACAAUAUUUUUUUAUAAUUAUACUUUUGAUUUAAGUAAUGUAAAGAUAAAAAUUUAAUAGGGAUAAUAACAAAGAAAAAAUACAUAAAUAUGAAAUUUGUAACAUCAAAAAAAUACAUCUAAUUAUUUCAAUACAUGUUCUACAUAUUUCUAUACAAGCUUAGAGUUUUUCAUAACAAUUUUACUGCAUGAUUAGAGCUUAUAGAAAUACAAAUAUUUACAAAAUAUAAGUUUGAAAAAAAAUCCUAAAGCUCUCCAUACCCUCCGACACCUGUAUAAUCAUCUGCUUGUAUAUGUAGAACAGUCAUCGCAUUUCACAACACAACAAUAAAAACAAGGAUAAUCUAAUGAAGAGAAAUUCCAUAACAUAUUUAAUUCAAUCAAAGUAAUUAUUAUUAAACAUUUCUUUAAAUGUUGUCAUACAAAAUUUCAAUAUCAAUUUCAUCAUCCAUAUAGACCACACAUGGAUCUAUUUUCAAUCACAAUCAUUGGAUUUUAUUUCAAUUUUACUUUGUCUUUCGAAAGACUCAUUAAGUAUGUCUCUACCAAAAAUUAACACCUGAUUCAAAUAUUACUAGCGAAUCAAGAGAAAGGAUCCGGGUAAUUUCAAAUAUUCAAUACCGAGUGUUUACCGCUGCGGAACCGGUGUGUAUGAACUUCUUCUCUUUAAUGGUGACGCAUAAAAGGGAUGCUGAGGAGAACACAAAUCACAAUUUUAAACUUAGGAAUCCACUCAUUCAAAAUUGAAAAUGGAGAAAAACCCAUAAAAAAACACAAAAAAGUAUGAAAAACAAAAUAAAAAAAUAAUAAAAAAGACACAUUAUAAGAAAUGAGAGUAAAAACAACAAUAGAAGAAGAAAAAAAGUCUAAAAAAUUAAAAAAAAACAAAUAUAAAUCAUAAACCCUAAAUUAAAAAAGUCUAGAAAAAACAUAUAGUGAACAAUUAUGACAUAAUAACCAUAUAUAAACUCUAAAUUCUAAAUUAAAAAAGUCUAGAAAAAACCAAUUAUGACAUAAUAUAGGGUAUGGUAGACACAGCAGACAUAACGAUUGCCUACAAAAUUAUCAACAAUACAUUUCCCCUUAGGAGAAAUAGGAUUGAGGUCAUCGACACCAUUUGUUUGGACAUGGUUUUGCCACUAUAAAUAGGCUGGUUCAGUUUCUCUUAACUCAAACAAGAAAACCAUAAGAAAAAGCAAUGGCUUCUCAAAGACUAGCUUCCAUCAUACUUCUCUUAUCCCUUUUCACCAUCUCUUCCUCACACCCUGACAAUGGCGGAAUUGCUGUGUACUGGGGCCAAGACGGUCGAGAAGGUGAUUUGGUAACCGCAUGUAACAGUGGAAAGUACAAGAUCGUGCUCCUUGCUUUCCUCAACAAGUUCGGUGCAGGGAGAACCCCAGCUUGGAACUUCGCCGGUCACUGCGACAACGGUGCCUGGAAAAAGUGCACCGAACUAGAGCCCGAAAUAAAACAGUGCCAGGUAUAUAAUCUCAUCUAAUUUGCAGUUUUAUAAGAUUGUUAGGUUAAUAUUCAACCCUAAAUAUUUUUCUAAUUGUUUUGUGUAAUGUUUACAGGCGAAAGGCAUCAGAGUUCUCCUUUCAAUCGGAGGAGCCCCUGACUAUUCAAGCUACUCGCUGAGCUCGCCGGAGGACGCAAAGGAGGUGGCCAACUACCUCUACGAAAACUUCCUCAGUGGCCAAUAUGGUCCACUGGGAAGCGUCGCGUUGGACGGAAUCGACUUCGACAUCGAAGUGACGGAGGAUCACUGGGACGACCUUGCCAGGGAACUCGACUUCUUCCGACGAACGACGGGGCGUUACUUUUACUUGUCCGCCGCCCCUCAGUGCCCAAUCCCAAUCUACUAUCUCGGCAAAGCCAUCGCCACCAAACUCUUCGACUACAUCUUCGUUCAGUUCUACAACAACCCUAGUUGCUCCUACGUCAGUGGCACCAACGCCCUCUUGAACUCCUGGGACAAGUGGGUCGACUUGGUCCCCUCCAACAACUCGCUCUUCGUGGGCCUGCCAGCAGCGUCCAGCGCCGGCAACGGUUUUAUUCCGGCGGAGGUCCUGAACGGCCAGGUGCUUCCGCACGCGAAGCAAGCCUCGAACUACGAGGGAGUGAUGCUGUGGGAUAGAUACCGCGAUGUUCAGAAUGGGUACAGUGAUAAGAUACAUUCGAAUGUGAUUAAGUCGAAGUUGCCGGCGUCUGUGGGGUCAGUUUCCGACGGAAUUUACCAGUCCGUGUAUAAGGCGUAGCGCCGCGUCUUCGUUUAAGAGGUUGCUGAAAAGUACUAUCUAGGCAUGUACUAUCUACUCAAUAAAUAAAUAAAUAAAUGACAUAUCAGCUACGUUUGCCUUUGCCAAAACAAAAAUCUAUUUUCAUAGUCCACAUUAAUAUUAUUUUAUUCAACAAUUUAAUUAAAUAAUUUAAUAAGUUAAUAUUUUAUUAGUAUAUGAAAUUGUUAAGUGGAACUAAGAGAAAAUGUGAAUUGUGAAAAAGAAGAAGUUAUUUUGAGAAUUAGAUACUUACAUGCAUCAAUUUACAACUUUUUAAACUUUCUACACCUUUUCACAUAAAUCCACAUUUUAAUAUUAAUAAAAGAAAAAUAUAGUUUGACAAUUUUUAGAGUUCUAUAUAACUCUCGAUGAAUUCAAAAAUAAAUAUAUAUAAUAAAAAAAUAAAUUUGAAAUUAAAAGUUGUAGUAUAAUUAUAUUUUCUUUCUAAUUUUACCAUUUAUAAUCUAAGUCAUUUAUAAUCUAAGCAAUUCAGUGUUGAUUGUGAAAAAAUCUUUAGUCCUUUUAGUGGCGAAUUUUUCAUUUAAAGGCAAAUUCUUCUUGGAUCUUCAUAACUUUUUUUCUAGACUUUCGUAUUAUUUUUUUUUUAAUUUCAACAAUAACAUUAUCAAUAUGAUAGAAAGUGUGGUGCAUUUUUUUUUAUGUCGGUGAUAGUGGUUGCUUGUGAAAGAUGGUGAUAGUUGGAUAGAUAAGUUUUGUAAUAUUUUUAUUGGUGGUGAUUGUGUUUUUGUUUGUUUUUUUAUUCAUAUUUUUUUAAGUCAUAAAAUUCAAAAAAAAUCUAACAAGAUGAAAAAAAAAAUACAAAAUAAAAAAAAUAUCUUUACACUAAAAACGUCAAUCCUCCUACAUUUACUCAAAUGAUAUGAAACUGCUUUUUAAAAAAACUGUGACUAAAAAAAAUAAAAGUGAUGUGGGUAGAAAAAGAAAAUAUGAAAUACGGUGAUGUAAUUGAAAUUAUUUAAAAAAACUGAAAUAUUUGAGACUAUUUUAAAAUUUAAAACAAAUUAAAUCGGAUUUUUCACAAUUGAUAUCAUGGGGAAUUACGGAGUUGGGAGAAUUUGUCUCAUUCUAAUACCAUAAUUUUCUUCUCUUUUUUGUUUCGUUUCGUUUUUUUUCGAAAAACGAUCAUGUUAGAAUUCUUUCUUCACAAAGCUAUAUUCUAACCUCUAAUUGGUUGUAGUGUCACCGAAAAAUCAACCAAUUCAUAUUUUUAUUUUUUCUGCUUUUGCUUUGAAAAACAAAGGAAAGAAGAAAAAAGUUGGAAAAAAAUAUAUAAAAAUUAAUGAAUCUAAAUGAAGUAUUUUGAGGAUUUUUUUAUAAAUAAAAUUGUUUUAAUUUAAAAAUUUAAUAAUAAUAAAAUUGAAUUAGGUAAGUAUAUUUAGAAAAUGUGUAGGAUAUAAUUAUUAUACAAGAAAAAAUUUAGAUAAAUAAAUACGUAUAAAUAGAUAUAUAUUUUAAAGAAAUUUAAAUUAGUAAAAUUUGUAAAAAAUAAAAUUUUUAUGGAAAAAAAGAAAGUAAGGGAAAGUGUGUGAUAUAAUUAAAUUUAUUUAUUUGUAAAAAUAUAUAUUAGUUUUAAAAAAUAAGUCUAUGUAAUAUAUUAAUUUUGAGAAAUAAGUAUUUGGAUAAAAGAUUUAUUACUAGUAUACAUAUUUUAAGCAAAUUAAAAAAAUUUAAUAAGAAAAAAUUAUGAUGAAGAAGAGGAAAUAAAAAAUUGUAAAAAAUUAAAGGAAUUUGAUAUAAUUCGAAUAUGAUAAAAAAUAUUGAUCAAUUGGAAAAUUUAUUUUUGAAAUAAAUGCUGAAAAGGAAAUGAAAAAAUGUAUAGAAAUAAAUUUUUGAAGUAGUAUCAUUGUAUUAUUUUUAUAAUUUAUGGUUAUAAUAUUGAUGUUUAUGAAUAUUAAUAAAUUUGACACAAGUAAUUUGAAAAUUGACUUGGACUAUUUAUUAUUUAGGAUUUAGUUUAUAUAUAUAUAUAUAUAUAUUAAUAAUUUUACGUAAUAAAAUUGGAAAGAAGUAAAAUACAAAUAGAUAAUAGAAUAAUUAAUAAGAAAACAGUUGAGUAUUUAAUUAAAUAGGAAUUGAAAUUUUUGUAAAGAAAAUACAUAUAAUUAGAUGAAGAAAAAUAUAUAUGAAAUUAAACAUAUAAACAUUUAUAUUUAGUUAAUUGUAGAUCUUUUGAUACUGUGGUGGUCGAUGUAAGUAAUGUCUUAUAAGUUACAAAUCAAUUUAUCAGGGUUGUCCUACAUAAAUCUUUGGUUUGGAUGAAGAGUUCAAUGUUGCUCCAUGAUUCUUCAAGUUGAACGCUUGGAUAUAAUAGUUGAGUUUUUUUUCCAAUGAUUGAUCCUUUGUGCAACAUUAGUGUCAUAUUUGAUUUCUAUUGAAUUAUGCAUAAUUUUUUGAUUAACCACUCUAAGUGGGGAGGUGAUAGUUGAUUUCGGUGACUUCUUUGCGGUCUUUGUAUUGUAGUACUUGGGUUAUGUUCUGUAGUUGAUGGAAAGACUAGUUAUGUUGGAUUGUCGUUGUUCUUGGAUUGUUACAUUUAUAGGUAACAUCGUAACAUUUAGACUUUUCAUUAUGGUGGCUCUUUGGAUAAAUCCUCCAAGGUAAAGUAUUCCUUGUACGAAAAAGAUUUGGAUAUCUUGUUUCUCACAAUAUUAUGUGAAAGUGUAUCGACAUGUAUUCUUGGUCUUUGUCCGAUCAUAAAGCCUCGAUGUAAAAAUAGGUUGUCUUCUCCACCAUCGCUUUGAAUUUUUGGAACACCUCAAAUGCUUUUGAUUUUUCCAUAAAAAAGUAAACUCAAGUCUUCCUUGUAUAGUUGUUAAUGAAAAUAAUAAAAUACCUCUUCUCACUAAAAGACUUCAAAGUGAUUAGGCCAUAUAUGUCGGUAUGAACCAACUCAAGAGAUCUCCUUGCAUGAUAUUUUGUCUUUUUGAAAAUCUGUCCUUACUUGCUCACCAAGUACACAACCUUCACAAAAUUUCUUGAUGUAGUCCAUAUUCGGUAACCCAUUGAACAUUUGCUUAUUUCCUAACUCUUUUAACCUGCCAUAAUGUAAGCGUUUGAACCAUAAAUUCCAUAACCAUGUUUUGUCCUCCAUGUUGAAUUUGAAGGUUCAUUUGGCUCCAGAAUGGGGGGUUGAAUAAAGCCCGCACUCAAUUUCUAAUAUAUAUGAAAUAAAAAAAAGUAACCAAACAAAGAGUAUAUAUAUAGAGAGAUACACAAAGAUGUAUACUUUCACCCACCAACAAGGGAGUAUAAAGAGAGAGAUACACAGAGAGCAACCCACUCAAGAGCCUUUCAAUAAUAAGUAUUUUUACACCUUUUUAGGUCACCAUUAUUAUAUACAUCUGCAAGUUACAAGUAUUUUAAAUCUCUUCAGGUUCUCCCAGUAUUCUCAAGCUCUGCAAGUUAACACAAUAUUCUCUACCUCUGCAUGUUCACCAAGUAUUCUCUACCUCUCUAGGUAACCAAGUAUUCUGACCUCUCCAGGUACAAAGUCCUACUCCCCUUGAGAUUAGGACCUCUCAAUACAAUGAGAAAAACUCUCGUUCAAAGAGAACACAUAAGGCUCAAAAAGUAUAUUUCACAAUGGUGAAUAAUUUACAAUGAUUACCCUCAAAACCCAAUCUCACAAAUUUUCUAUUCUCUAGUCGACUUUGUAAUCUUUUCUCAAUAUUUAAGUGUUUCGUAUGAUGCACGUAUGUACUUCGUUGUUGUGUUCUUUACCCUUGAUGUAUUUAUAUAGACUUUUUAAAUGUGUACAUUGCAGCUUUAGGGUUUCUCCAAUUCUUCAUAUAGCCAUUAGACGCUUGAUAUAGAAAUAUUUUCUCUGAUUCAUCUUCGCAUUUAAGGCUCUUCAAAAUCUUUCUUUAUCUUAUUCAAAUAUGAAUGUUGGCGUUUAAUUCUUCAUAACUUCAAUAUCUGCUAAAUCUGCCAUGUUGUUCUUCUUCAAUGCACUAGAUGUUGGAUAUGGAAACUUUUGUUCUUGUGCAAUCUGCACUUCUCUAAUCAUAUGAAACAUUUCAAAAUGUUACUUUAAUCAUAUAUGAUGUAAACAUUGAGGCUUGAAUUACUUUUGCCUUUGGAUAUUCUCUUUCUGGUUUGGUUCACCAUCGUCUGCAUGUUAGACACUCGAUAUGGAAAAGAUUGCUUCUCUAUGGUCUAUACGUCUUUAAGUUGUAUUUGAAUUUCAGAUGCUUUCUUUAUUUGUAUAAACUCUAUUUGUUAAGCUUUGAUUAUCUCUGGACUUGGAUAUUUCCAUUAUGCACGGUUCAUCUUCAUCUUCGUGGUAGACACUCAAUAUGGAAUGUUCUAAUAUAAGUCUUCAAUGCAUUUUGCCACAUGUUUGCACUUUGAAUAAUCUUUCUCUUAGAAUAUCUUCAUUCAUAUAUCCUUGAAAUUGCUUUGAUAUUCAUCUGUGUGAUUCUUUCUUAUCAGCUUCAUCUCUUUCCUAUUAGACGUUGAGAAAAGAAACUUCUACUUCCAGCUUUGUGUUCGUCUUUCAUUUCCUUUGAUAGAUUUUGGGAAUAAAAUAAGUAUCAAUGAACAAUAUAAUUUACAAUUUAAAUAAUUGGUAUCACUAAACAAUAUCUUAGAAUCUUUGUGGAUUAUAUCAACUUUAUAUACCAAAAUAUUUCACUUUUAUUUCUACAUUCAAGAACUUUCAAAGUUAAUAUUGAUUUUGAAUGUUGACGCAUAAUUACAUUUAACCUGGAUAUUAUCCCAUUAAUUAUAUUUUGAAAAAACUUUGAUAUAGAUAUAAUUCAACCUCUGGUUUUCAAAAUCUUUUACAAUCAUGUAUUAUUUAUUUAAAUUCUUUUUAACACAUUUAAUUCGUUAAUCUUUUUUGAAAAUAUAUUUUCUAUGAUUAAGAAAUACAAAAUAAGAUUCAAAAAUCAUAAAUUCAGUGUCAUAAAACAUUUUAAGAAUGUAAAAGAUCAAGCAUGGAAAUUCCCUAUUCUCGUGUUCUGUGUGACGCUUGGACGAUGCUUGUAUCGUUUGAUAUGUAUAGUUCCAACUUGCAUUUGAUGCUUAUGAACUUUUACAUUUGAUUAGUGUUGCCCAAAAGGGUUUUGUCUGAUGUGAGCUUUUAAAGUGUUCACCAAGACAUAGAUCGUCUAGUGUAAUAAUUCUUAGCUCCAUCGUCUCAUCCUUCAUUUCAUGUGUUCUCUUUAUGAGUUUCGUCUGAUACGUCUUUUAUUUAACGAGAAAUUCGUCUCAUUUGAUGUUUUUGCAUAUGAUUGACUUAUUUGCAUAUCAGUUCAUCUUUUCAAUGUUUUCUUUGAAUAUAUUAUUCAUUUCAAGAAUGAACAUGAAAAUUGGAUCUUCUGAUCAACGUAUAUAAUUAUUUUGUCUAACAACUUUUCUCUUAUUGUAUUGUCUAGUGAGUCUUGCUAAUUUUCUCUUUUUGUUUUUGUCUAUUCUUGUACUAUACAUGAGUGAGAUUUGUCAUAUCGUAACACUCUUUAUAGUGUUUGUUAUCAUCAAAACAUGUAGACACUCAUGUCAUGAGAUCGUUUAAUGUGUAUUGUUUUGUCUAUUGACUCAAAAAACUUGAAAACACCUCUCUUGUAUAUUCUUUAAGUUGAGUUUAAAUAUACUAAAAAUAUUAUUUUUUAAGUUAGGUACAUAAUAGACAUCCUUCAUAAUAUCUUCUUUUUCAUCCUUUUAGGAAAAACAUUUUUCCCAUCCUCAACCUUUGAAUAGAACCUUUAGUUGAGUUUCUGAACAUCAAUAUAUAUCCAUCUUCUAUAUCUUGUGUAUCAAUAAAGAGAUUUUUGUUCCCACGUAUAUGAUUGUUAUCACCAAUGUCCAGAUAUUAUACCAUGUCACCAUCCAGAGUGAUGCCUUCAUUCACUAUCAUGAGAGUCCCUUAAUAUUUUUACUAAUUUGUGUUUUCUUCCACUUUCUUCAUGGUGUAUCAAUCCUUUGUGUAGUGUAACAUUCGACAUUUGGAUGAUUUAAGUGACCACCUUUUCCAAGACUGCGACCUUGUCCAUGCUAGUUUUGUUGGUUUGUUUGUCAUCUCUCUUCAUUCUUUUUUUUCCUAAGACAAAAGUUUUUCGGGAAUCAUGUAGAUAAACUAGUUAUUCUCCAUCCCUCACACUUGUCUAAGAAAAUUUUUCUUUUGUUUGGACAGAUGUGUCUAGUAGGCCCAAAGUCUACCAUCCAUUUGCUCACACUAGUCACAAGGUUCACUUGUAAAACAACUACAACAAUUGUAUGUUCGUCUUUAGUUAUAUUUUCCUUAGAAGGAUUGUCGUUCUUAACCCUACGCCAACAUUGGGGUGCAUGAUGACCUAGCCUUUAACAGACAAAACACAUUCCAUUUUUCUUGAAGGUGGCGUUACAUGCAUUGGAAAAAAAAAGUUAUUUUUUUUCUCGUGAUUAGGUUUUUUCUCGUACCUUUUUGUAGUUGGCUUCUCUUCUACCAUAUUUGCCUUAACAGAUAAAGCCUUAGUCCUUGCAACAACCCAAUCCUUUUUGUUGGAGUCUUCAAUGAUGGUAUGAGUGAUAAGAUUUAGCAGUGACAUAAUUUAUUAUUUGUAAAAACUUCAAAUUUCAAAACAUCCAAAAAUGGUUUUGCAAAGAUGGUAUGUGUUGAGGCAACACAAUUUGGCUUCUUCGAUGUAGAGUCGAUGUCCAUGUCCAUGUCAUUAUCCAUAAGUCUUUAAGAUUGUUGUAAAAUAUGUAUGUGAACACGAAUAAAAUUGGUUUCUUAAGGCAUGAAUGAUCACUGUCCUUAAGGACUUAUAUGCGAUAUGUUACGCUAGUCCCAAAGAUACAACAAGAACUUUUACGGUGACACUGAAGAACUCAUAACUAACAAAUAAGUUCAAUAUAUUAUGCCCUUAUAUUAAUGAGUAAGUUUAAUUAUAUGUCGCCAAUUAUUACUAUUUCAUUUUCAUGUUUUAAAUAUUUACUAACUCUUUUUAUGGAUGAUAUAGGGGUCAUUGGCAGUUACUUGUCUUAUCAAUGGUUGAUAAGACUGUUGUGUGGUUUUCUUCCCUACACAAGAAGCCAUCCAUAAGUCUUAAGAAUAUCAUUGAUAGGUAAGUACACUAUAAACUUAACUCCAUAUGUUACUAAUUAAACAUCUACUAAUGCGGUUUUUUGUAUUAAUCAGUUCAUGGCGUGGAUAUAACAUCCUAAAAGGUCGAUCCAAUUCAAAUUUUCAAAAUCUGAACUGGAUAGAACUAAAGGUUUGUAUUUUUUUUCUUUCUCUCUUCAUUGUUUAUCAAUAUUAACUUUUACUUUUUUGAAUUAUAGUGUAACAACUAGGAAGUUAUAAGUAUGACUAUUACAUUAUGCAAUGGAUGAUUAUCGUUGUAAGACUAGACUUUAAAAGUGAUUGACAUGAGGUAACAUGAUGGUAAAUUAUUUUUUAUAAUUCUUUAACAUAUAUGUAUCUUAAAACUAAUUUAUGUCAACCAUAUUUUGAAAUGCAGUUCUUCACGGAUGAGUUACCAAUGUCUUCGAAAGCCAUAUCAUAUGUGAGACAUUCUUGGUCCACAUAUUUCCUAAAUUUUUAUAACUCUAGGUUAGCUGAUGCAUAAUGUAAGAAUUAGAUAGAUAGAUAAAGAUAUAUUAUUAGUGUUUGUAAUACAUUUUUAUCAAUAUAUAAAAAUUGAUUCUAUGAAUUUAUGUAAUUGUAUGGCUGGGUUAGAAUUGAACAGGUCAAUUUAGAUGGGUAUAAACAUUAAACAAAUUGUACUAAAAAAAACAAUCAUAUACAACGACGACUAUUUACCAUAGCUGCAUUCGUAAUUGCGAUUUAUAAAUGCGGCUAUGCUAAAUAGCCGCAUUCGUAAAUGCAUUACACCUCUUUCUUAAAAGAUCAUUCAUAAGCAUAUAAGAAUGCGACUAUUUACCAUAGUCACAUUUAUAAAUCUCAUUUACAAAUGCGACUAAAUAGUCAUCUUCUUAUGUGUUGGAUUUAAGACUACGUAUAGAUCAAAUAUGACUAUAUAGUCACCAUUAUAAAUUGAAAAUAGUCGUCGUCGUUCACGAGUGAAACUACGACUUAAACGGACUAGAAUUUUAACAUGAGUUCGUCUUGAUUUUUUCCUAUCCGUUUGUGUGACCAACUCAUACAUCCCUUCCCAACAUUGUGAUUCUUAACCCACGAUCCACACAGAAGAUCCAAAUUCCUAUUUUCACUAAACAGGGUUGUGUCCAAAGAAUUCUACUGCAAGAUCGGCAGAUCUGAAGCUAUCCAAAAAAAAUAGAACAUGUACUAUCUACGGAAUAAAUAACAUAUAUACUUUUAGUUUCGUCCUUUUUUUUCUUGUUAUUUCUUUCCUAUUAAAUAUCAAAUUAAAUUAAUCUUUUUAUCUUUUUAUCUUUUUAUUCUCUUCUUCCUCCACCAAACCUACAUAAGUGUUAUCUUCAUGGUUGAACCAACAUAUACAAUUAUCACCUACAUUAAAAAAAAGUAUACAUUUUUUUCAAUUCUUUAACCAAAUCUACGAUUAUAAAACGAUCACCUGCAUUGAACACGUGUUGAAGCAAGACGACAAUUAUAUAUUCCAAAACUGGUCCCAAUAAUUAUGAUUCACUGACUUUGAUUGUGAUAUGUUUUCAUUUAUUAUUUAUGUGUAUAAAGUAUAUGAAAUAUGAAACUCAUACACUCCUUUUAAAUGAUGUAUCGGUGUCAGAUACUCAUAUAGGACACCAACACUUGUAGUACACGUAUCCGUGAAAUGUCCAAUUUAAAAUGUAUUUGUUGAAUUUUUGAUAAUUCUAGUACGGUUUUAACACAAUAUUUAAAAAGAAAAAAUACAUUAAUUUUUUAAAAUCUUAAAUUUAUUGUAUAAAUUUUUAUUAUAAUUAUAAAAAUAAGAAACAAAUCAUUUUGAAUCAGUCAUGAAAAACAUAUUUCUGCUCCAAAAAAUAAUUUGGAACACACUUGUGCACAUAAAUCUUUAUUGUCAAUUUAUAUAAUUCAUAAUUAUAUAAUAUAUAGAUUCGUGUCCCGGUAUCCUAUUUUAGAGAUUAUACGUAUUUCCGUGUCUGUGUUUCAAUCAUCUAUGAAAGUUUGAAAAAUAUUAUAUAGGUGGAUAUCAUCACACCAACCUAAAAAAAAAAUCUUAGUUACACAAGUGUUAAUAUAUUUAAUUUUCUAUUUUAAAUUAUUGGACUUUGUUUGUUUGACCCNNNNNNNNNNNNNNNNNNNNNNNNNNNNNNNNNNNNNNNNNNNNNNNNNNNNNNNNNNNNNNNNNNNNNNNNNNNNNNNNNNNNNNNNNNNNNNNNNNNNAAACUAGUUGACCGAGUAGCUGAAAGUUCAAGAUCACAUCAGAAGACCGUGAAGUCGAAAAAUUUUAAAAAAAAGUUAAUUGUUUAUGGAACUUAUUAGAAUACUUACCAUUAAAAAAACCCUCACCAUAAAACUAAUGUUCUAUUUUAACUUUUUUUUAUUAUAUUUCAACUUAAAGUUUUUUAAUAUAAUAUUCUUAAUAUGAAUCGUUACAUUGAAUGUAUUGUUUACUUUUUUUAGUUUCAUGUUUUCUUCACAAUUUUAUUUUUAAAAGAUAUUUCAAUGAGUUAAAAGACAAAUAAAUAUAUAUAUAUAUAUUAUAAAUAGUUUCUUAUGACAUUUUUAAUAUCAAAAUGAUUAGUUUGCGCCGCUGUAAAAAGUGUUAAUCCAUCUCAAAUUUCAAUAUAGAAGGUGAUUCUUUUGGUUGAUUUUAUUCGAUGCUGAAUUAAUGGAUUAUUUUCACCAACUUAACAAAAUUGAAAAAAUUAAAUUAAAAAGAGGUAGUUUCAGAAUUUAAGUCACAUUAAUAAAAUAAUUUUAAUUUUUAGAAUGAUUUUUCAGAAAUCCUGCAUAUUCUAAUUAUAAAAAAAAAUCAAAUAGACCUAAAUUUAAAAGGAAAAGAGUCGGACAAAAAUUUUAAAAAUCAAAAUAUUUUUUUUAAAAGGAAAAUACAAAGCAUUAUGCUUUUAUUUAUUAUAUAAAAGUUAAAAAAAAUAAUACAAUUUUUUUUUGUCACAUUCCGUUUGUGAUAAGUAUGAGAACGAGUGGCUAGAAAAACCCUCACACACAAAACGUGUAAAAAUGUCUAUCAAAUGUCGACAAUGAUAAUAGAUAACAAUGAUAGCCAUAAAUUGGUUUUUAAUAAAAAAUGUUAGCUUUUUUUAUUCAUCAUUUUUAAAUUUAAAAAAUAUUUUUUUAUAAUUACACUCUUGAUUUAAGUAAUGUGAAGAUAAAAAUUUAAUAAUGAUAACAACAAAGAAAAAAUACAUAAAUAUGAAAUUUAUGUGUUUUUUUAAAUAUAUUAUUAUAUAAUUAUAAUUUUAGAUUAUUUUUUAAUAAUUAAUAUUUUAGUAAAUUGUUAAAUAUUUUAUUUAGUUUUUGAAAAAUUAUAUGAUUUUUUUAAAAGCUCUCAUGUUAGGCAUCAGUAUGUGACAUAUCAACUAUGUUAACACCUCAAGUAUCAACAAUAUCCGAUACCACAUGAAAAAAUAUUAUUAAAAAAAGGAAAAAAGAAAGAAUUAAGACAUUCAAAAAAUAAAUGUGGAAUAAUUCUUUUUGCUUUUCACAAAGAGUACACAUAGAACAUAUAUACAAAUCUCUGUGCUGAAUGUGUUGAUUCGUAGGAAGCCACCCAUGAAAACUUUCCAAAGUAACAAAGUUUUAUAAGAAUGAAUAUAUUGAGACCAAAUGAUCUUACCCCAACCACAGGGAAAACCAGUAUUUAAGAAAAUUUUCCUAGCAAAUUUGAGAGUGAAAUGACCAGAGUCUCUAGAAUCCAAUUAGGAGUAUCCUGUUCCUGCCUAAUCAUGAUUAAAAAAAAAUGAUUAAUCCAAUCACAAUCAUUCCAGAAAUCAAAAAUUGUAGUCAUCAAGGUCUAGAACCAUCAGGUACCCCUGCAAUGUUUGAUAAACAAGUAGAAGAACACCAUUUAUCAUUCCAAAAAUUAAUAACAAUACCUGUACCAAUAGUCCAAGAGGUAUGUUCAAGAAUAGUGACAUAAAACAGUUUAAUCUCAGGCCAAGUAUAAGAGGAUCCAUAAGUCAAUAUAAGUUGGUACUUUUAAGAACUCUAGCUUUCAGGAGAAGAGACCAAGGCUUAUUAGUAUAAGCAAAGUUCCAAGUAAGCUUGAGAAGGUAAGCAUUAUUUUCGUACUGGAGGUUAUAAAUCUUCAAUUCUUCAUUCUCAAGAGGAGAACAGAUCUUAACCCAAUUAACCUUAGUUAUGCCUUUCUUCAUAAUAUCACAAAUAAAAUUUAUGUUCCACUACUCAACUUGCUUAAGAAUAGAAGCAGGUCAUUUAUACACACUAAAACUAUAAACAAGGAAACCAGUAACCACAGUAUUAACUAAUUGGAUCUGACCCAUCAUGUUAAGAGAUUUCUCUUUCCAAGACGUAAGCUUCAAUUUUACUUUAUCAGCCAAAGGUUAAAGAAACCUGAUCUUGGGAGCACCAACAAAGAUAAACACCCUUAAAUAGUUAAAAGGUAAAAGGCCAUGACUGUAACAAAGAAAGACGUUGAAUUUUCGUAAUGAAUCUUUCAGAAUUAUCCAUAGUGAAAAAGCUAUGUUUAGAACUGUUAACAUAAUCACCAUAUUUUUGAACAAAAAUACUCAAAUUUUUAGGAGACUUACUAUCAGUCCUACAAAAAACAAAUAUAUCAUCAACAUAUAAAAUGUGAGAAGGAAUGAUAUUACCUUUAGGGCUAGCCAUAUGUAGAACCCACUUAUCAUUCACAAGCUUAGAAAUGUCUCUGCUCAAAACCUCAUUCGCAAGACAAAAAAGCAAGGGAGAUACACGAUCACCUUGUCUCACACCUCUACUACAAGGAAAAAAGCCCUCAUAACUUUCAUUUAUCCUAAUAGAAAGCAUAGUUGAUCGAAGAAUUGUACUAAUCCAACUGAAAAAUGAAGGAUGAAGUCCAAAACGUGUCAAAACCAACAAUAAGAAAUUCCAAAUCAGAGUGUCAAAUGUUUUAUAAAUAACAACUUUAUAAGCCACAUAACAUUCUCUAACCUUUUUUGAAAGUGUUAAUAGUCUUAGAAGAAAUACCAAUACAAUCAUGAAUUUGUAUGCCCUUUACAAACCCAUAUUGAUUAGGGGAAAUGAUUCUAGAAGACACCAUAGCAAGCCUAUCUGUUAGUAUUUUGGAAAUGAUCUUAAAUUUCAAAUUGGCAAUGACAAUGGAUCUGGAAUCUUUAAUAGAAUCAACACCUUGAAUUUUAGGAAUAAGGGAGACCACAUUACUAUUCAUCCCAAGAAGAAUCCAGUUUUGUUUAAAAAACUAUUGAACAACUUUGCAAACAUUUGUCCCAAUAAUCUUCCAGCAAGAAUGAUAGAAAACACCACCAAAACCAUCAGGACCAAGAGCAUUAUUACCAUUAAGGUUAAAAACAACAUUCUUGAUUUCCAAAUAAUCAGGGUAUUUAAUCAACAUAAUAUUCUCCUCAGAGGAAACCAUGAUAGGAAUAUAAGUACCAAUAAAAUCUUAUGUAUUACCAGUAGUGUGAGCAUUAAGAUUAUAGUCAACAUAGAGGUUUCUAUAAAAAUCCAAUAUAUGAUCAUUAAUAAGUUAGUAUCCUCAAUAACACCAUUAUUAGUAAUCUAUGACUCUCAUUAUAUAUAUAUAUAUAUAUAUAUAUAUAUUUUACCACAGUAUGGAAAAAAGCAAUAUUUCUAUCCCCAUCCUUAAACCAAAGCAUCCUGAUUUUCUCUUUCCAAAAUAAGUAUUGACAAUGAAGGACACGAUCAAACUCCUCUUUAUCAGUCUUUUCUUGACAAAUAAGCAUUUCAAGGAUGGGUGAAAAAGAAUAUUUAGUAUAAAAUUAUAUGAUUUUUUAUUCGAAAAAACAAUUUUACUUAAAUAAGUUGACCUAAUGAGUAUUAAUUAAAUUUAAUCUUUAUUUAUUUUUAAGAUUUUUUUUCUUAAUUUGAAAUAAUCUUAUAUUAAAUUUAUUUUUUACAAUUUUUUAUUGUAUGUUAUGCACUUUUUUUACAUAGUAUAUUUUUUUAUUUUAAUUUGUACUGUUAAAAGUUAUUUAAUUUAAAGUGCAUAAAAAAUUAAAUAUUUUAACUUAAUAAAUGUUAAAAAUAAUACAAUAACCAAUGAUGUUUAUAAGAUUGAAAAUAUCUAAUAAUAAUAGCUAAACUAAAAUUAAAGAUAAUAGAAAAAUAUAUUAAAAAUAAGAAAUUACGGUAAAAUAAAACAAAACUCACAUAGAAUAAUUUGUAUAUGUUAUAGGUUUGAAGUUCUUAAAAUAUACUAUUGUAAAUUUUUUUAUCAAACAUAUUUAUAUUGUCAAAUUAGUUUAUAAGUUAAUUAAAGAUUUAGUAUUCUUAUAUUAAGUAUUAAAAAUUAAUUUAGCCUUAAGAUUUUAAAAAGUUUGAUAUGAUCUUAAAUUUUUUUUAAAUAUUCAAUGUGAUUUCUUCUGUUAUAUUAUAUUUAUUAAAAUAAAUUACCUCAAUAAUUCUAUCAUCACAUAUUGAAUUAUAUGUGUUGUUAUCACAUUCGUUUAAAAAAAUUAAAACUACCACAUGAAUUGUUAAAAAAGUUGAGAUCACAUUGAACUUUAAAAAACUAAAACCAAAAUAAACUUUUUAAAAAAUAUUGGGACAACAUUAAAUUUUUAAAAUAUGAAAGAUGAAAUUAACUUUUCAUCGUUAAUAUAGGAAUUAAAAGGAUAAUUAAACUUUAAUUAAAUAAGUUAAAAACUAAAUUAGUAACUUUAUAAAAAUAUAUUGUAAAAUUAUAUAUCUGAAAAGUUUUAAAAAAUAAAAAAUAAACUUUAGAUUUGGAAAUCACUGAUAAGAAAAAAAAAAUGCUUCUUGAAUGAUUGAUUACAUUUAUGCUUUGCCGUGUGUUCGGAUUGGAAUAUCACGAACUUGUAAUUCUUCAGCAAUGUGAGCUGUGUUUUGGUGAUAUCUACAUAUUUUGUUUGGAUUGGCCCAGAAAGGAUGGUUUGUGGAAUAUGUAACAAUUCAAGGUUAGAUGCUUCUUGAAUAAUUCUAUAUUGCCUACCGUUGAUAUAGUUAUCGUACUUCCUCUUGAGUCACAUAUUGGACAUUAUCGAAAAGUGUGGGGCAAUAGAGGAAAAUGGACUUGUAACGUUCUUUAUUGGUCAUUUUUGCAUCUUCGUAUUUUCUUCGAUACCUAUAGGAUGACAAUGUGGGGCGGAUCAUACGGGUCGGUCUGCAGCUCGAUAUCGAAAAGCGUGGGUCAGACACACUAAUCUAACUCACUGACUUGUUUAGGUCCGUCUUGCAAAACCCGCAGUCCGCGCGAUAUAACAGCAGGGUGGAGCGGAUUGACCUGCUGGCCUACAUAAAUUAAAAAAAUAUUUUAUUGUUUUUUCAAAAAAAAGAAAAAUCAUAUCCCACUUACCCACUAUUGCAGUGUGACAUUUUUUUUUAUUUUUUUUAAAAUGAGUUUAAUGUAUUAAAGAAAUGAAAGUUUCAUUUUAAUCAUCUAAAUGAGUUAAUAUUAAGAGUGAUAAUGAAUUUAGUUUUAAGUAAAGUCUUAUAUUUAAAAAAAUUUAAUAAAAAUAAUAAUAUAAAGAAAAAAUUUCAAUAAGAUAGUUAAAAAAUUAGUCAUCUUCAUUAAAAUAUUUUGUAGCAAAACAUUGAUAAGAUACUCUUAUAUAUUUACAUACAUAUAUAGGAAAAAUAAAUGCAAAACAAAAUUUUAAUUAUUUUUAAUCAAGCCUUCUAACAACCCUCAUACUUGAAUUCAUAUUUUUAUCUUAACUAAAUGAAUUUAAAUAGGGAUAAAAUUUUAAUUUUUCAACAUUAGGAAUAAGUUUUUUAUAAUUAAUGAUAUUUUAAUUUUUGAAGAAAAAAAAAUUCUUUAUGCGGCCUGGCCUGCAGGUUAUCUCUAAUGUAGGGCGGGUCAGCCCACAUUGCCACCCCUAAAUACUUAUAUACCUAGUCAUUUGCUCGCGAAGCUCAUUCAUGUAUUUAUUGGGUCGACAAGUAGACUAUUCAAAAAUUAACUCACUUGUAGUCCAAUCAAUAUUGUGUGCAUGGAUAUUAUUGAAUGGAUAUAGAUAAUAUUGAGUGACGCUUUAGUGAAACAAUCCAUGUAUUUUUGAAGGAGUUCAUUCUUUCCUUGUGUGAUGUUAUUCAAGGUGACCAAAUUUUUAACCUAGGUUUGUUGACUACAAAUCAUGUUCAAAACCUUGCACAAAAUGUUUAAAAUAAGUCUUUUUAAUUUCUCGAUAAGGAAUAAUACCAUUGUAAAGAUGACUAUGUGAAGGUGGUCCAAAUAUUUUUGUAAUGCACAAUCAAGUUAUGUUAGGUCUUCAAUAGACUGAACAACCUCAUUCAUAGUCUCCUCACAACUAUCAUGUUAGGUCUUCUUCAAAUGUUCAAUAAGAUACUUUUUUUUCAAACGAAGUCGUGCUAAUGAGGCACAACUUACCCAAAUUUAUGCUAACUAGGCACGACUUAACCAAGAUCAUAAAAAACACUUCUUCCCAUUCUUAUAAUAAACAACUAAAAUUGCACCAUUUUGGUUAAAAAACCACCCAUCAUCAUCAUGAUCGUCGUUAUUAUUAUUAUUAUUAUUAUAUUUUGGAUGGAUUUGGUAAAGGCUUCAUGUCUUGAACCUAAACCAACAAUGAUAUCAAAGUAUAAACCAUUAACCAAGCUAUACAAACUUUAUUAAUGAGUAAGGAUGGAAAAUUCUAAUGAAGAAAACUAUUUUGAUAUUUUUUUCUCAAUUUAUUUUAUUGACACUUAAUUUUAUUUAAAAAAUAAAUAAAUAGAUUUUGUUAUUGUUCUUACCAGAGAUGAGUUGGAACUAUUUGAGGUGGAUGAUUGAGUUGUUGGGCGAGUUAGGUUCUCUAUUGAUUGGUUGCCUAGCUUUUUUUAUGAAGACUAAGGGGUGAUUCACUUGCAAAAGAUUUUAUGAUGCUCAAGUUAGUAAGAUCUUUUAUAUAUAUAUAUAUAUAUAUAUAUAUAUAUAUAUAUAUAAAUAUCUAAGUAAUUGGAUGGAAUUGAGUGAGUACUCCUUGGAGAAUAAAAUUAUAUUUAUUGGGUUUUGGUCCUAGAGAAAUAUCCAUUUAAGUAGUUACCAAAGAUUGGGUUGAUUAGUUUGUUAACAUAGAAAUCAAUUUUCAAGUAUAUGAGUUAAUCGAAUUUGCAGGUGGUUUGGCCCAACUGUCUGAAGUGGGUACUAUAUGUUGGACAUCUCGAGGAUCCCAAAUCAAAGUGUUUGAUGAAGUUGUGAAUUGAAGCCUUGUGUGAAGACUUGCUUCCUUAUGUGUCCAGGUAGCUUAGGAUUUGUUUUGGUUGUCUUGAUUUAUCUUUUACCUUGAGGAAUGAUGAAGGGUCCAAGAGCAAAAUCAUUUUCAAUUGGUUAAACUGUUUUUUAAUUUGUUAAAAAGUUUUUUCAAUUGAUUAAAAUUAUUUUCAACUGGUUAUAAUUUUGUUUUCUAGAAAGUUGCAGUUUUGUAAUUGAUUAAAACAUUUUUCAACUGAUUAUAUUUUUCUUUACUAGAAAGGUGCAAUUUUUCAAUCGGUUAUUUUGUAAAUCAAUUGAUUGAAAUGUUUUAAAUUUUUAUGUAAUGUGUUUUACCUUUGAAAACCAUAUUUUAAUGUGUAAUAUAUCAAGUAUUUUCAUUUUAAAUACAUUCCUUUUAAGAAAAAAAAAAUAGUUUUGAGGCAAACGUAGUGUUUUAAGUAAAAUCAACUGAUUGUUUUGAUUUUUAACCUGUUGAUUUUCUUGAUAGUAUCCAAUUAUAUUUUAAAACAAUUUUUUUUUAACUCCUAUAAAAUGGUGAGUUUGUAUUCUGAAAAAGGUUUUGAGAAUUGCUUAUAUACAAUACACUUUUACAAUUGGAGAGAAUCAAGAGUGAGUUUUUUUUGGAGAAAAUUAGUCUUUGUUAAUCUUUGAGUAUUUUUGGUGCCUAAUUUUCAUUAUUCACUUGAGGUCAAAGGUUAUUCAAAGUGUUGUUGUGAAUUGGGAGAUCCCUUUGAGUUUGUGGUUCAUAGUUAAGGUGAAUUCGUUCCUUUUCUUAACUAUGUUGUAAUUAUGAGUUUGUAAGUGGCAAGAUGGGUUUCUUGGCAGGCAUCAUAGUUGUGACAAGGUGUUGCAAUGCGUGGUUUGGUUCUUGUAGUAUUCAAAAAUUGUUUUUGAUCUUCUUUUGUAAAAAUAAAUUGUUGAUCUAGUGAAUUCCAUCUUGGUGUGAGAUGGGACUGGAUGUAGCUCUAUUUUGAGUGAACUAGUAUAAAUCUUGAUGUGCUUUAAGCUUUCCUUAUCACUGCAAUUUAGUUUUCUGCAUCAUUGUUCUUACUAGUGGAAAAAUUAAUCAGUUGUAUUUAAAAAUUAAUCCUUAACAUAAUUAAGGUUUCAAGCAAUUGUGUCUGAAUCUCUUUGUAUUGAUUUUGUGUUUGCAUUGUUUGAAUAGAAAAGCUUUUUGAAAACUAUGUUGGAUUGUACUGGAUUCUUAAUUGAUUCUUGAAAACUAAAAUAUUUUCUAUCUUUUACCAAAACCAGUAAUAAUCAGUUUUUUAAAGUUCAAUUUGUUGUGUUACUAAAAUUGAAAAAACAAUCAGUUGUUUUUAAAAAUAAUCUAUUGAAAUUAAUUCUGAAAUUUAUUUCUUAAAACAGAUUCAAAUCUUUUCUAAGUGAAAUUGAUUUUCACUUGUGUCUUGUGUGCCUAGAAUUUUUAAUUAAUUGUUUUUAAUAAUAAACAAAAAAAAUUUCUGAAUCAGUGUUUUUUUAGAAAAUUUCAAUCUAUUAUUUCAAAAAACAAUCAAUUGAUUUUCUGUCAAUAUUGAUUAAACUACUUUUUGCGAAAACCUACCUAAAUACAAUUCACUCCUUCUUGAAUUUAGUCCCCUAUUAAUUCAACAUUAUAUUCUCAAUAAAUUUCGAUAGUAACUGAAAAAUUCAUCUUAUUAUUAAAUGACAAUAAAAGUAGACAUUUUGUGAGGAUCACAUAUACAAGAUUUUAAGGCUGAUAAAAAAGGAUUUUAACAGUUUCUAAACAACAAUGUCUUUAUAACCUUCACUUACAAGAUGUAAGACUGUUAAGUUACUUUGCUUGUGAUCCAAGUGGAGGCACUAUCGUGAUGCCUCAACAUUGAGGCUUGUUGGGUGCUGGUUUUGUUUUGGUUGUGGGACUGUUUCUUCCUGCACCUCCAUACAUUCUUCUCUCACCUUCAUAAAUUUUCAAAUUUCCAAAAAUGCUCCUCUAUAAUAUUCUAAAUUAUGUAAUCCGAAAGUUAUUUUUUAAAUUUGUAGUUAGCUUCCAAAUUACAUAAUCCAGAAGCCUUUUUUCAUAUGCAUGAUUACUUUCCAAAAUACAUAAUCUGGAAGUCUUAUUUAGCUUCCGGAUUAUGUAAUCCAAAAGUCUUUUUUCAAAUGAGUUUUUGGAUUACAUAAUCCGGAAACUACUCUAUGGAGGUGAUACAAAGGAUAAAAAUGUAUUUUCAUGUUGUGUAUGGAAGUGACAGAAGAAGAUAUGGAGGUGCAGGAAGAAACAGUCUGGUUGUGACUGGCCUUAGUGAAGGCAUAGAUCUUCUAGAGUGGAGGGCUUUGGGCUAUCACUUUUUUUUAUGUCAAAAUCUGUUCAUCUUAUUUAGCAAAAGAGAAUAAAACUUAAUAUGAAUCUGGCUGGUGUGAGCCUUGUUGCUUGGAUCAUAAUUUUUUGUAUGAAAAUCUCUUACAAAAUAUAAGUUUUAUUUGUAACCAUUUCUAUUGCACAUUUUAGAAGUACUAUAAGUUGCUUUGUAUUUGGUUAAUGGAAAAUUUUCCCAUUGGCACAAGUUUGCUCACCUUAUCAAAGGGAUAAAUAUGAUGAUUGGUAGGCCAAAUUUGGAUCUCAAACUGUGUUUGGAUACUGUGAGAAGAUAGAAUCAAUAAGUUGUUUUGUCUUCUCUACUUGCAAACAUAUUUGUUACUAUUUGUUACUUUGAAAUUAAACCAAACAUAUAAAAAAACAGAAAGCAUAUCAUAAACUAAAUAAUGAAAUGUCUGAGAGAGUGAACAAAUGAGACUGUUAGACACUUUAAUUUAUAUAUCAGAGGGUAUAUUAUUUUCUAACAAUUGUUUACUAAAAUUAACAUAUCAUAUGAUUCUAAAUCAUUACCUAACUAUAUUCAAUGCUGCAUAAACUUUUUUUAUGCUUUAAUUUGCUAACCACAUGACUGUGUUGAACUUAGAACUUAGUAAUAUUAUAAAAUUCAUUAUAUUAUAAGAUACUUUGUGAAACAGAAAUCUGAAGAAAGAACUUACAAAACUUUAACAAGUUCAAACAUUUAACUAUUUUAUAGGGAUCACAGGCUGCAGCAAGUCUGGUGAGCCUGGUCUGCUUGAACCAUCACUUUUUUUUGACAAAAUCUUUGAAAUGGUAAACAGAUCAGAAGAAAAAGUGUUAAAUUGCUUUACAAAUUGUUGGAGAAUGCAUUUUCUAUGUGUUUUAUCAUCUCAUUAAUGAGUAGCUGCAGAGAAAAAAUUGAAUUACUCAGAUUUAGGUACUAUUAGAAAAAAAAAAUAACACUUUUUUUCAGAAGACUUUCUCAUGCCAACAAGUACAUGAAUUACCAUGACUAACUACUAGACUUUUCACAAAAUCCAUUUUUUCUCUAAAUUUUAAACACAGAAAUCAACAAAACUGUGGCAGUAGAAUAUUAAGUCAACAUCAUUUUAUGUGUUUGAGCUAUAAGCUGAUCAAACGCAAGUAGAAGCAGUAGUAGAACAAUGAUUGCUGAAGUUCACUCAAUAGCAGAUUUAAAAUAUAGCAAACAACAAAUAUUAAAAUACAAUAAACAAGAGUUAGAUCCUAAAAUUAAAAUGCAACAAAUUACAAAAUACUAACAAUAUUUUUAAAUUACUGCACACAAGACAAGCAAAUCUUUGCAUAAAAAUUAAUUUCUAGAGACAAGUAUUUUCAUACAGCAAAAAUACUACUGCAACUAGCAUUUUGUAAAGAAAAAAGAAAUUACUGUAUAUACACUGUUUAAAAAAAAUUUACAUAUAACAACAUUUUCAUGCAUUAUAAAAUUAUACAUUCACCAAUUCUAAAAUCAUUUUGUUCAAGCAUUCUUGAAAAUACGUCCCACAUUUCCUACAACUCUGACAAGAACAGGAUGGCAGAAUAUAAAAACAGAAUACUUAGACAGUACAAAGCAUACCUUUCUCGGCCUUUUGGCUAAGAUCAAGUGUAGUAUCUGUUCUUAUCAGUUUAAUAUCUGAUAUGUGAACCAUUGGUUCACACGAUAUUAAAUUUAUUUUUCAAGGGAGAAGGCCAACUGCAGUAGCUUGCUACUGAGGCUUUUGAAGCAUUGUCUUUGCUUUGCACUACAGCAAAAGACUAGUGCAUCCCACUAAGUUCAUUUCAAAUUUUUAUAAUCUUAAAAUCUUAUAUUUUUAUUUUUGAGAUUGAGUGUCUCUUAUUCUGUUUUUCUGUGUGGCUCUUAUUACAAAGAUCCUUCUUUUGACUCUUUUUUGUUUAUUUUGCUAAUUGUUUACUUUUAUUAUCUCUGUGACUACUGAAUGAUACUUAGUAAAAGCCUUUAAGGAAGUAAUUUGCAGAAAGAAUCAGAAUCUUGGUUUUAGGAGAAAUGCACCAUUCUAUGGAGUGUUGUAUUGCAUAUCUCUGCAGAAUGUUUGGCAUGGUGCAUGAAUAUUGAAAGUUCAGUGUGUAUUGAAAGUUCCGUAAUUCUUCAGUUGUAUCAGAACAAUUCAUCCUAUUAUGAAAUGAAAUGGCAAUAGAAAACAUUUUUUGAAUACUAGAAAGUUGCGGAGAAUGCUCACAUUCAAUAUUUUAACAGUUUCAAAUAUUUCAUCACUUUGUACCAGAUCUUAAAGCACAAAUUAGGAUAUUUUUUCUUCCCGAAAUUCAUCCAAAUAUUCUAUAUUUCAUACAAAUGAAAAAAAGGACAGAAAUCUUUUUAAAUUGAGGAGUAACUUUAUGCUAAUUAUAUCCCACAUCAGAAAGAAAAUGAAACAAAAAUGUCUUUAAAAUAUCACUAACAAGAUGUUAGAUUGCUGAUUUGAGUUACUCCAGCUUAUGACCCAAGUCCGUGGAGCAAUCAUGGUACUUACUACUGGCCUGGUUAUAGUCUAUUAGUGCAGUGGAUAGGUAAAUGGAAUUGCUUAAUUUUCAUUUUGUUAAAUGUUCUUGUUGCAAAUUAGUUUUGAGUGAUAUAAAAUUAGAAAUAAAAUAAUUAAUUUGAGUGGUAGAAAAUAGAAAUAUUAUAAAUAUGUUAUUUAAUAGACUUCAUGGAAAAUAUUUUCUUAUUGGUUAAAAAUUAUAGAAAGGGAGAAUCUUCAAAUAAGACUCGUGAAAUUUUAUAAAUAAUAAGAAAGGAUAGAGAGAGUUCGAAAGGCUGUUAUAGGGAAUAUAUUCAUAAUAUUUCUUGACAGAAAAGAUCACAAAAGAUUUAAGUGAAACGUAUGAAAAUUUAAAAGAUGGUAUAUGUACUCCCGAGUACCGAAUGGUAUUCUCGGGGCAUAUUGGUUAUUCGGCUCGAAUAUGAAUCAUGUUAAAAUAUAACUCGGCCUCCAGAUACAACGAGACAAAUCAACACAAAAGCAACUAAUCAUUCCCUAAAUAGGAUUUGGGGAACAUUUAUAAGAAAGCUAUAAAUAGAAGAAGAUCCCAAAGAAAAAUAGUAUGGGCACUUGAUAAUCCUCAAGUGCAUAAGAAAGCUAUAAAUAGAAGAAGAUCCCAAAGAAAAAUAGUGAUAAUUUUCUGGUUAUAAUACAUGUAACCUAGACAUAUUCACCGUUGACUUGAGCGUCAAAGUGUUUUUGCAGGUACCUACCACCAAAAUACCAAGACACCAAAGAGACGAAGAACUGAGGGACCGAAUAAUCGAAGAAACUAAAGACUGGAACCUUGAGAGAGGAAAUCUGACCUUGUUCAAUUGUGUAAAAUCAUUUUUGAUGUCCACCGUAGGAUCGAAAUAAAAAUCUAUUGAGAAACCAUAUGGUAGUACAAGAUGUAUGAUAGGAAGUGAAAGAUAGGUGAUAAAGGAGGAAGAUCACUCGAUAGAUCCGGUGGCAGCAAUGUUAGAAAUGAAGAGGAAGCUAGAAAUCCUGAGAGGAAGAAUGCCAAGGAGAUGGAUGCAUUAAGGGUUGAGGUUGUUGCGAUGAAGCGAAAAUUGAAAAUCGAAAGAACGCCUAUAGUUCACGAGGACAACCAAAAUUCAGAAGGUUCUAAUGCUCAAACGGUUAAAAGAAUGGAAGGAGAAAAUAGUUCAUAACACCAGGACAUGAAGCCAAAGACAUCAACCAAUACCUUCAAAAUGUCGUCACAAAGAUACCCUUUUACGAACACAAUUAUGGAGGUAUCACUCUUGAACACAUUGGAAAAGUCUAACACUGGACAAGUAUGACGGAACCACAAACCGGAUGAGCGUGUGGACGCCUAUGUAACACAAGUUAGUCUUUAUACGACUGAGGACGCGUUAUGUAGAGUGUUCCCGACAUCUCUCAAAGGGACCGCGCUGAACUGGUUCACCCAUUUACCCCCACAUUCCAUAACUGCUUUUGACACCUUGGUAUCUAAGUUUGCAGCCCAAUUUGCAACAAAUCGACCUCAUCAUCUAACGUUGAUAACACUUGUGAACAUUUGGCAAUAAAAUACUAAAUCGCUAUGAACGUUCAUGGAAUGGUUCAGAAAAAUGAUGUUGAGCAUCUUAUGAAUAUUAAUUGAUAAGAUGGCUAUAAUAUAACUCUUAAUUUAUGAAGAACAACUUAUUUCCAAAUUUGUGUUAAUUUCAGGGUAUAGGGAAGAAUGGAGAUGAAAGGGCAAAAGGAGAAAGAAAGCAAAAAAGGGAAAGCUAGAACGCUCCAGCACUCACCCAAGCGAGAUCACUCCAAUGACUUGUUAAAUAUGAGGCAUGAGGCACAACCUUAGAGGAUCAAUUGGGAGAAUAGAAGGUGUUAGAAGCCCCAGAGGAGGCUACUGUCAAAGAGAAACAUCCUAGAUCUUCUUUUCUUGCUUUCCCUGGCCAACAUGAAGGGUUAAUUUUACCCUUUGCGAUUGGGAGUAAUUUUUUCAAACUCUUAUGUAUUGAGGUGAUAUUUAAAUAAAAUAUUUUGUUCUUGAUUGAUGAUUGGUAUUAUCAUUUUAUUUGUAAUGCUUGUUUACCUUGAUCAAGAUCUUUAGAUUUGACUGGAAAGUACUUCUAAGUUUCUGACCUAAAAUGAUAAUGCUUAACAUAUUUGAAUACUAAGAAUAGAUUUGAAAUGUUAAUUGCUAUCAACAUUUAAUCGUAAUGCUAAGGAUUUUUUAUAAAUAUGCGAUGAAUCAAUAUUUAGGAGACUCUCUUAAUAACUUUAUAUGCGAGAAAUCGAUAUAAAUGACUUUUAUAUAGACAUCAACAUCAAUUAAAGGAUAAAAUAUUACUAUAUGUUAUUCAAAAAAAAAAAAAAAAGUAAGAAGGAUGAACCCCAAUAUCAAUUUUCCCAAUUGAACCAACAAACUAUUUAACUUGCUUUCUUUACAAUUCUUGCAAUCAUUAUAACAACCUCCCAACAAACUUUAUUAUUUUGUUUUCUAUUUAGUGAAUCUUAUACUUGAUAAUUCAAGUGUUCAUUGUAGAUUCAAUAUUUUUUCUUAGAGACAAAUUAUUACUUAUGACAUGGUACACUUGCCAUAAAAUAGUCAUCAGAAGCCGACCGACAACAUAGACAAGUUGCAACAAAGGACUGCUAAGUUCAUGCAACUUGAAGAGCUACUGAAAUUGCAAUAUAAUUUAUAAUAUAUAAUAUAUUUUUACAAUCAUUAAAAAAACAUAAGAGUCUCUUUCACACAAUACUUCUCACAUUAGAUUACCUUAACAUAUUGCCUUUCUCAAAUAAAAAUUAUGCUCUAAUAAAAUAAAUUUCAUACUUAAAAUAUCUCAAUUUUAUAUUAUACAAUAUAAUUAAGUAUUUUAAACCAAAUAUAUUUAAUGAGCAAAAUUAGUUUUCUAAAGUAAAAUACAAUAGAAAUAUUUCACACUAAAGAAAACAAUAUACAUCAGAUUUUUUUUAAAAAUGUAGUAUAGCAGAAUUUUUAUUUGUUUUAUAGAAUACAACAAUAAACAAGGUUAAAUACAGCAAACAUCAUUUUAAAUUACAACAAACAAUAAUUGCAAAAGUUCAGCAGGUUUAAAAUAUACCAAACAAAAAAUAUUUAAAUACAAUAGACAACAGAAUUAAAAUGCAACAAAUUACAAAAUACUAUAACAAUAUUUUUAAAUUACUGCACACAAGCAAAUUUUUUGUAUAAAACAUUAUUUUACAAACAAGUAUUUUCAUACAGCAAAAAUACUACUGCAAGUAGUAAUUUUGUACAGAAAAAUUAAAUUACUGUAUAGACACGUUCUAAAAAAAUUUACAAAUUACCAUUAAAUAAAUUUCUGCAAUAUAAAAUUUAAAUGAUACAUUCACCAAUUCUAAAAUAAUUUUGUUCAAAGCAUUCUUGAAACAUAAGUUCCACAUUUAUUAAAACUCUGACAAUAACUGGAGAAAAGAAUAUAAAAACAGAAUAUUCAAACAAUUCAAAGCAUACCUUUCUCGGCCUUUUGGCUAAGAUCAAGUGUAGUAUCUGUUCUUAUCAGUUUAAUAUCUGAUAUGUGAACCAUUGGUUCACACGAUAUUAAAUUUAUUUUUCAGGGGUGAGGGCCAACUGCAGUGGCUUGCUACUGAGGCUUUGAAGCAUUGUCUUUGCUUUGCACUACAGCAAAGACUGGUGCAUCCCAUCAGAUCAGUACAAAUUUUUAUAAUUUUAAAUUUUUAUUUCUGAGUGGCUUUUAAUUUUUCUCUGAGUGGCUCUUAUUUUAGUUACAAAGAUCCUUCUAUUGUUUUUCUAUCUUUGUAACGACUGAAUGAUACUAACUAAAAGCCUUUAAGGAUAAUAAUUUGCAUAAAGAAUCAGAGUCUUGAUUUUAGGAGAAAUGCACCAAUUCUAUGGAGUGUUGUAUUGCAUAUAUAUCUAUCUAGAAUGUUUGGCAUGGUGCAUGAAUAUUGAAAGUUCCAUGUAUUGCAUAUAUAUCUAUGCAGAAUGUUUUGCAUGGUGCAUGAAUAUUAAAAGUGUGUAUUGCAUAUAAGGAUGUCAAAGUGUCCUACAUGAAAAUAUCAUGAAAGUUCAGUUUCAAUUUCAAUAUCAUUGAGAUUUUAUAAAUGUAUCUGUCCCCAAUUCUUUAAUUGUAUUAGAAGAAUUCAUCUUAUAAGGAAAUGAAAUGGCAAUAGAAAAAAACUUUUUUUUUUGUGAAUAUUAGAAAGUUGCAGAGAGAAUGCUCACAUACAAUAUUUUAAAAGUUUCAAACAUUUAAUCACUUUGUACUAGAUCUUAAAGCACAAAUUAGGAUAUUUUGUCUUCCCCAAAUAUUCUAUAUUUCAUACAAAUGAAAGAAAGGACAUAAUUUUUUCAAAAUUUAAACUUUAUGCUAAUUAUAUCCCAUAUCAGAAAGAAAAUGAAACAAAAAUCUCUUUAAAACGUCACUGACAAGAUGUUAGAUUGCUGAGCUGAGUUACUCCAGCUUGUGACCCAAGUGGGAGCAUUAAUGCUUGGACAUCAACAUUGAGGCUUGCUGGGUUGUGCUGUAUUUGCAAUAUGUUGGCCUGCCCACUCCAGUUGGGAGAGAGUCUGGGGACUUUAGUGAAGGCAUAGGUCUCUAGGCUCUUAGAGUGGAGGACACAGCGUGAGGCUGGUGUCACAGAGCAGCGACAACCUCCCACUCCCAUCAGUGGAGGGAUCACAGGCUGCUGUAUCCACAGUACUUAAUGGCCUGGUGAGUCUAGUAUGCUUGGACAUCACCAUUUUUUGUUAAUAGUAUUUUAAUUGAUACAUAGAAAGACUUGGUUGUUUUAUGAUUUGUAUACAAGAGAAGUACAAAACUUAGUUCUUUUUGUUUGUAUACACAUCUUUUAUGUGCCAAGCUAGGUAGGACAAUGUUGAAGAAAUGAAAACUUCACCAAUCUUUUAAAGAACUUUUACUUUGAUCACCAAUCUUUUUAUCUCCAGUAUUCAGGGAAAUUUUAACUUUGGAUAUUCAAACCAAUACACAAAACUUUACCAAACUUAUUGUUUUUAGUCUCGAAAGCUUCCAGGCUCUAUGAAACCCGUCAAUUUCUCCUGGGACACAAUUUAGUGUUUCUAACCACUUAAAAAUGUUAUAAUUAAUAAGAUUAACGUAACUAAACUAAAAGUGUUCUUUGAAACAUUCAAGUAGAACCCAUUUACUUUAGUUACAUUUAUCCUUAUCACUAAGAAAUCUUUCAUUGGACCUAUCAAGUAUGAAUUACUAACUUACAUUUAAACUUUCUAUUAUUUCAAAGUGCAUCUUUAUACUUGGAGGCAUAUCAGCAAAAUAUUACCUUGAGAAUACUUUUAUUUUUCCCAAACUCUUAGGGAUUUCAGAUUCAAGAGAUGCAGCAUUUUGUCCUUUUCAUUCCUUACCAGUCACUCCAUUGUCUCGGUGUUCCAUGAAGGAUGAAACGGAGUUGAGGAGCUCCUUGCAUGAGCCUUUUGGAGAUUCUCUCAAACACAUCAGUGUUUCAGACCAACAUCAACAUAGUGAAUAUCGCUGAUGCUGUUCAGUAUGUCUUCCUUUGUUUUAGGAACAACGUAAAUAUCUUCAGAUCCUACAUCGAGUGAAUUCACAUUGGAACCAAGAUUUGAGAAUCCCAGUUCAGUAACUAUCUGGUUAAGCACAGUUCCACCUUUGCUAAAUCCAAGGAUGAAUGUCUUGGGCUGAGAGAAAGAACAGGAAGAGUGCAGCCAGACUUUGAAUCUACGUUCCUAAAAUUACUUCUUUUUUUUUCCUUCAUUACAAGAAAUUCAAAACAUGGAAAACAUCCAGUCCAAGUGGUAAGUACAAGUUGCAGACAUAAGCAGGGACUUUUUUAGUUUAACUAUUACAAUCACAGAAGUGAUAGCACAUUGGGGUUGUUAUGCCUUUUAUAUAGGAUCAUUAAUUUUGAGAAGUUAAGAGCAAGAACUUGAUUAGGAUAUGUAAUAGACUUGCUAAAGAUUUUUGUUCGGCCUCAAUGGUUAUUAAGGUUAGAUUUUAAAUCUUUAUGCAUAAAUCCCUGACUUCACAAAAUCCAACUAUAGUUCAGGUAAUAAACAAAAGAUGCCAAUCUACCAUAAAAAAAUGCUUACCAUUGAUUACUUUCAAUGAGUAGAAUCAAAUGAUUGACUGAUUUCUACUCAUGCAUACAUAAAAAGCAUUCAGUAAGUCCCUUGCUAAAAGAAACUCUAAUAACUUGCAUUCAUUAUAUUGCAUGAUUUUCUACUUCGGUAAGAAACAAUGUUAAGCUGCACUCUUAAGCUGCAACACAAUUAAAAGACUAAUACAUAGUAAGCAACUGACUCAGUUUUGGUUGAUCUGAAGUAAAACUCAAUUGUUAUCUAUAAGCAAUGUGGUUCUAGUUCAAGGAAUUACUUACACACAGCAUUUUGGUUUCCGGAGAAAGGCAGAGAGACGCACCAACCCUAUGGAAUGUCCUGCUAUUAGGAUGCACAGGGACUCUCAAAACUCCACUCCAGCGUUCCAUCUAUAAAUCUACAAAAUAUUUGGUGGUGUCAAGCACAGUGAAUAUUGGAAGUUGAGUUUAAAUAUAAGAUAUGAAACUUACGAUAAGACAAAAGAAAAAGUGGCAAAAGAUAAAACUUACGAUAUUGAACUUGCACUAAUGUGAAACUAGCAAAAAUAUUACUGCAACUAGCAUUUUGUACAGCAAAAUUAAAUUACGGUAUAUACACUGUUCUAAAAAAUUUACAUAAACAACAGUUAAAUACAUUCACGCAUUAUAAAAUUAUACAUUCACCAAUUCUAAAAUCAUUUUGUUCAAGCAUUCUUGAAGCAUAAGUCCCACAUUUCUUACAACUCUGACAAGAACAGGAGAGCAGAAUAUAAAAACCGAAUACUUAGACAGUACAAAUCAUACCUUUCUCGGCCUUUUGGCUAAGAUCAAGUGUAGUAUCUGUUCUUAUCAGUUUAAUAUCUGAUAUGUGAACCAUUGGUUCACACGAUAUUAAAUUUAUUUUUUAGGGGAAAGGGCCAACUGCAGUAGCUUGCUACUGAGGCUUUGAAGCAUUGUCUUUGCUUUGCACUACAGCAAAGACUGGUGCAUCCCACCAAGUUCAGUUCAAUUUUUUAUAAUCUUAAUUUUUUAUUUCUGAAUGACUAUUGUUUUGGUUACAAAGAUCCGUUUCUUUUGCGUUUAUUUUGCUAUGUAACAACUGAAUGAUACUUAGUGCAUUUCUGUUUAAUUUACCCAAAGACUCAAUUGCAUAAGUGUGUUUGGCACUAAUUCUAUGGAAUGUAAGGAAUUAAUUUGCACAAAGACUCAGUUGCAUAAAAAAGUGUUUGGCACUAAUUCUAUGGAAUGUCCAAUUGUUUGGAGUGCUGUUUGACAUCUUGCAGAAAAGUGUGUAUUGAAAGUUUGGCAUGGUGCAUGAAUAUUGAAAAUUCAGUGUGUAUUGAAAGUUCCGUAAUUCUUCAGUUGUAUCAGAAGAAUUCAUCCUAUUAUGAAAAGACAUUUUGUGAAUACUAGAAAGUUGCAGAGAAUGCUCACAUACAAUAUUUUAACAUCUUAAAGCACAAAUUAGGAUAUUUUGUCUUCCCCAAAUUCAUACAAAUAUUCUAUUCUAUAUUUAAUACAAAUGAAAAAAAAAAGACAAUUUUUUUAAAAUUUAAACUUUAUGCUAAAUAUAUUCCACAUCAGAAAGAAAAUGAAACAAAAGUGUCUUUAUAACUUCACUAACAAGACAUCAGAUCUCUGAGCUGAGUUACUCCAGCUUGUGACCCAAGUGGGAGCAUCAAUGUGAUGGAACAACACCGAGACUUGCUGGGUUGGGCUGUGUCUGCAAUAUGUUGGCCUGCCCAUUCCAAGUUGAGAGUUAAGUCUGGGGAUCUUAGUGAAGGCAUAGGUCUCUUUACUCUUAGAGUGGAGGGCACAGCGUGAGGCUGGUUUCACAGAGCAGCGAGGGAUCACAGGCUGCUGCACCCACAGAUCCUAAUGGCCUGGUGAGUCUAGUUUGCUUGGACCAUCACUUUUUUUAUUUAUUUCGUUGCCAAAAAAAAUUCUAAGCUACAAAUAUGAAGCUAAAACACAAAAAACAAACAAAUCAUCUAAACUUUCUAUUAUUUCCAAGUACAUCUGCAUACUUGGAGGCGUAUCAGCAAAAUAUUACCUUGAGAAUACUUUUUAUUUUUCCCGAACUCUUAGGGACUUCAGAUUCAAGAGAUGCAGCAUUUUGUCCUUUUCAUUCCUUAUCCAGUCACUCAACUGUCUCGGUGUUCCAUGAAGGAUGAAACAGAGUUGAGGAGCUCCUUGCAUGAGCACUUUUAUACUUUUCCAGUGUCAUUCAAUCACAAAUCUCCGUGUAUAGUAAGUUCUUGACUUUUUCCAUUACUAUCUUAAAAGUUAUUUGGUAAUUGAAUAAUAGUAUGAAACGACCUAAUACUGGCAAUGCAUCACCGUUAAACUCUUCUUAAAAUAAUUCUUAACAUAAGUAAGCUUUUUGUGCAUCAGAAUUUAUGAUCAGAGAAGAGUAUAACAAAAUUUCUGGUAACCUUAAUGUUGAUACGGAUUAUUCAUAAACAAUGAAACUACCAAAGACGAUGAAUUGAUAUAACAAACAAACAAAAAAUGCGAAUAUAAGGAACAGAAGCAAAUCAAAAUAUAGGCACAGUGCCAAAAAACAUAACCAAAAGCUGAAAGUUGUGAGAAGUAUUACUCUGAAAUUGAAGACAAAUUCGAAGCCGAAACAGUUGAAGAAAAUAAAGAAUGCUUCUCACUACGCUUUUCGUCUUCAUUAUCUGAUUCUCAUUGGUCGAGUUCAUCUCCCCCAAACUACAAGGACGUUAUCUUUGUAUAUACUAGUUCUUCUAUAAAGAACUCGAUGUCAUGUUUCCUUUGUCUCCCUUUGAAAACCGAAUGCUCACUGCAAUAAAUGUGGCUCUAAGUCUACUUCAUCCAAACAAUUGGAUCUUCUUAAAAUCCUUUCAAAUACUUUUUUUUGCAACCUUAGCAUUAGGCCUUCUAUAAAUACAUUCAUGUAUUUUUUCAAUUAAAUCAUGGUUUUGAAUUCGGUUGGAUUUCGUUGAAUGGAACUAAUCAUGCUGCUCUUUUCAAAAUUCAUACCUCGUCAUUCAAAAAUUUCAAAAAUAAUUUUUUUAAAUUGAAAUGUUCGCCUCAAAAUCCGCAGAAAUGUCUCUUCUUCUACCCAAACUUCACACCAAUUCCCCCCGUAGACAAAGGGUAAAUAAGUUUAAUGUUGAGAAGAGAAUAAACAUAGAAAUAAUGAAAAAUCUACCUUGACUCAUUAGUAGUAAAGGUCUCCUCAGCAUCCCAUUCACCUAUUUGUAGCACAGAUACGGAUACGGACACCGACACGACACGGAUACGGACACAGAGAUACGUAUAAUCUCUAAAAUGUAGGAUACGUGGACACGGAUCUAUAUAUUAUUUAAUUUUGAAUUAUAUAAAUUGAAAAUAAAUAUUUAUGUACAAAAGUAUGUUCCAGAUUCUUUUGGGAGCAGUAAGAUAUUUUUCACGACUAGUUUAAAAGAAUUUGUUAUUAUUUUUAUAAUCAUAAUAAAAAUUUAUAUAAUAAAUUUGAGUUUUUAGGAAGUUAUUGUAUUUAUACCUUUUAAAAUUAUGUUAGAACCGUGUUAUAAUUUUAAAAAAUUCAACAAAUAUUUUUUUGAAUUGAACACUUCACCGAUAAGUAUUCUACGAGUGUCGUACGUGUGUCGACACGGAUACGUGUGUCCGACACGGAUACGCCAUUUAAGAAGAAGUGUCUGAGCCUCAUAAAGGACCUACUAUCUUAUACUGUUAAUGGGUAAGACUUCGAGUUUUCUUUCAUAUGUUAAAUUCUGUUAUUCAUUUUUCUAAUCUUCGUUUUAUUGUUUAGAUAUCAUGGGCAAGGAUUUCAAUUACAAAAUGUUGCGCUCUAAGGUUGGAACACCUACCUUUUAGAGAAUACCUUAUUGAUCGAAUUCCAAAACCCUUCUAAAUGGAAGAUGUAACUUUAUUUAAUUUAGAGAAAGAUAUCGUCGAUGGACUAAUAGGCCACGACUAAUUGUACUUUAAAAAAUUAAUCAAAUAAGUAAUUUUGACUGUGUUCUAACUUGGUUUCUUUGUUAUCUUUGAAGCCCAAUAUUUUAGCUCGCCAAAUAUGUUUGAUUUGGUAACCGUGUUCUUUUAAUAAUUGUCAGAUAACUUUGAUUUGAAAUAUGCUUUGUUAAUUUUCAAAUGCGUUAAUCGAACUACUUUGAUUUUGAUAUGAUUUCUCAUUUUCAGACGUUUUUAACUGAAUUACUUUGAUAUGCUUAAUUAUCCUAUUUUUUAAUGUAAUCCAAAUUACUUUGAUUCAAUUUAGUUCAAUUUAGUUGUGUUCAUUUUCGAACACAUUAACUGAAUUAGUUUGAUAGUUGUGUUCCAUGAAAUUAUUUUCAUUCGAUUUAUUCAAGCUUUUAAAUUGAAUAAAUUUUUAAAUUUAUUUAGGAACGUGUCUCAUUAAAACUUUGCUCAACAAAACCUCCUUAAUGAUAAAAUUCGAGCUAAGGAAAAAUAGUGCAUCAUCUGUAUUACAAAUGUUCUUAUAGGGAAUGAGUUGGAACCAUCCAAUGUGGAUGACUGAAUUGUUGGACGAUCUGUUGCCAAGCUUUGUUUAAUGAAGAUCGAGAGGUGAUCCACUUGCAAAAAAUUCUUUGAUGCUAAAGUUAGUAAGAGUUUAUAAAUAUUAAAGUAUUUAAGUGAUUGGAUGAGAUUGAAUUAGUACUUCCCAAAUAAUAAAGUUAUAUUUAUAGGUUUUUGGACCGAAAGAAAUAUUCAAUAAAGUAGUUACCAAAGAUUGGUUGACGUUGCAAUAAAAAUCAAUUUUCAAAGUAUAUUCAAGUUAUUCGAAUUUGAAGAGAUUUGACCCAAAUAUCUCAAAUAGUUAUUAUAUUCUCAAUAUUUUCUCAUAUUGAGUAGUACCGAAUAUAAUUUUUAAUUUUAAAUAUUAAAUAAUAUUAAUAUUUAGUAAUAAAUAUUUAGUGUAAUUUAAAAAUAUUAUAAUAAAUAGACUUUUAAAAAGUUUACAAAAAAUGAAUAAACAGGGGCUGCAAAAUCAUUUUUAUUUUAAAAAAUUGCUAGCAAACCUAAUUCCAGGUUUUCGUUAGAUCUUCUAAAAUGAACUUUUCAGUUUUAUUAUUUUAUAACUAUAAAUAUAGUUAUACUGAAACUAAAAUCGUUACUAGUGCAACGAUAUCUAUACACACGUCAUGGGAGAGCGUCGGACGUUAAGGUAAUUUUGAAAUUAAUAUGAUCAGACUAUUGUUUAAGGUAAAACAAUAGUUUAUUGUUCAAAUUUUGGGUAUAAAGUACACUUAUUUAUAGGAAUGGAAUUUUAUAAGUUUGACAUAAAGUAUAUUUUUUGGGCAAAAUGUAAUCUAUUGUUCAAAUUUUGGAGUAUGUAUGAAAUGUUUGUGCCGGUUGUAUAAUAGUCUAGGAUAGAUACUAGAAGAUGAAUGAAGAAAACUAUUAUAUUUGAAAGUCAUCUACUUCCUUUUAUUUUGAUAACUUAUUAUAUAUAAUAACACACCACUCUGAUAUCUGUAGGAACAAAAUAAAUCCCACACAGAAGGUGCUACUUAUUCCAAGACAGAAUAUCUUUAUAUAUAUAUGGAUCUGUAAUGUUAACCUAAAAGAAACUAAACACUUCCUUUGAUAGCAUCACUGUAUUUAGUUUGACCAUCAUUGAAUCUGUCCCACAGCAUGACUCCACCAUACUUGGAAGAACUCUUGAUGGCAGGAAGAACCUGGGAGGUUAACACAUCAGAAGGAACAAAUCCACUUCCAGCAGCUGCUGUAGAAGCCGGCACUCCCAAAAACAGUUGCUUCGCCUGGCUUGUGCUCCACUGGUUCCAGGAACUGAUGAGGCUGUUCGUGUCGCCACUGGAAUACUGACAAGAAGGGUUGUUGUAGAAUUGCACCCACACAUAGUCAAAGAGUCCGGUUUUGAUGGCGGAAUCCAAGUGAGCAUCGGGAAUCGGACAUUGCGGUGCAGCGGCUAAGAGCACGGAGCUAAAUCCCUUCAGGACUCUCGCCAGCUCGUCCCAGUGUUCGCCGCUGCCGGCUUCGAUGUCGAAAUCGACACCGUCCAGGACGGCGUCGCCCAGCGGACGGGAGCUCGACUGCCCGCCGAGGAAGUUGUUCCAGAUGAAGUUGGCAACUUGUGUUGCGUCGUCGGCGGAGCUGAGGGAGUAGCUGCCGCUGGCGCCGCCUAGUGAGAGCAGCACUUUGAUGCCUUUGCUCUGGCACGCCUUGAUCUGGUCGCUGAACUGGGUGCAACCGUUGGUGGAGGGGUCGCAGUGGCCAGCGAGGUUCAGUUGCGGGGUCUGGCCGCCGCCGAACGUGGACAAGAAUGCUAUGUUGACGAAUUGGUAGUUGUCGGUGUUGCAUGCGUCGGCCAAGGUGCCCUCGUUGCCGUUUUGACCCCAGUAGACGGCGAUUCCUGCGGCGUUGGAGGGUUUGAAGAGGGAAAUGAGCAACAGAGGGAGCAACAGGGGUGAAAGUUGUUUGAGGGAAGCCAUGUUAAUUUCCAUGAGUGUGGUUGUGUGGGUAGUGUUGUUGGUUUGGUUGAAGAGUGUGGUGAGGUAGGUAUUUAUAGGCGGUGGAAUGCAUGUAUGAAGUAAAGUUUGGAUAGAAGAAAAAGUGUUCAUGGAUGAUUCUAUGGAAUACUUGUGUUUUUAAAGAUAAUAAGUUUAGUCAUAUUUUUCGUGGAGAAAAAUAUAAUAAUAAGUUAGUUAAUUUAAGAUUUAUUCAUAAAAGAUUUAUUCAUAGAUUUAAUAAUAAAUUAUUAUGAUGUCAAGUAUCAUAAAACUUUUUAUAAAAAAAAAAAGAAAUUUGGGAAGAAGACCGUGUCACGUAGUGAGAUAGUAGCGUGCCUUGUAGGGAAGAAAUUUGUUGCAUUCGUCUGCGGGAGGAAAAGUAAGAAGCAUGGAACUUUCAACAUUCUCUACAUUAAGUUCCAACUGCACUCCUUUUCACGAACUUCUUUUUUAAUGUACUAGGAAAUUUUUUUAACAAAUGAUCGAAAUUGGGUGUAUUUUUUGAAAGUUACAAAUUUGGAAUUAGUUGGGUGUAACAACCAUAAUUUCUAAACUCAUCAUCAAGAUAAAGUUGUGUCAAAGUGUUAAAAUAAUAAUACAAAAAUCGUAUUAACGUAUAAGAAAUCAUGUUAAUUUGGUAUGAUUUUCUUAAAAAAAUGUUUUACGUUGACACGAUUAGUCCUAAAUUCAUAAUUUUAAAAAAAUUAUUUUAUUUUGAUAAUUUUGUAAAACUUUUACCCUAAUACAGACAAUAAAAGACCAUGAAAAAACUCAUUAAUUAUAAGCUAAAUUUAGUGUAUAGCCACAGAGAAAAAAAUUUAGUUGACUUUAUCGUGUAAGUUAAAAUUAAUUUAUUUAUAAGUUAAUUUCUAAAAAUGAACUGUAUAAUUUAAAAAAAAAUAACUUACGGGGUAAAUUACAUUUAUGGAGAAUUGUUUUCACAUUCUUCCCUUCUAGCAAUUCUUGCGGAGAUAAUUUAUCCAAACGUACCUAUAAAUUAAUUUAUAAAAGUUCUUUCACAUGGUUUAUUUAAUGCUUUACUUUUUAAUGUAUGUGUAAGUUCUUUUUAAUGUAUGGUUUAUAAACUUUUUAGGCAAAGUUUGUCCCAACUUACACUUCAAAAUAAAGAUUUUAUGACCACCAUCUAUGUUUAUUAUAAGACAACCAAUAUAGAAGAAAAUGGGUUUAGUCUAGUUUUUUUAUACUUUUCUUUUUAUGAUAUUUUAUGUGAUGACACCUUGCCUAGUAUGAAUUUUAUAAAACAAAUUGUAAUUGUUUCAGGAUAACAUUUUACAGUAUUUUUAAUAUUUGUUAUUGUAGGAUGCAUAUGACGAUGGUUCAUGAUCUUUUACAUUGCAAUGGUAGCAUUUUGUCUCCUUGGUGUAUUUUUCUCCUCUCCUUGGUUGUCUUGCCUUCGUAUUUGUCACUGUAAUUCAAACACAAGAAAAUCAUGAAAUAAAAAUCAAUUUUAGAGACUAAAAUUAAUUAGUUGUUAUAGUGACUAAAUUAUAGACAAUUUUAGAAACUAAAAAAACUUUUAGUUUCUAUUAUUGUUAAAUGGUUUCUAAAUUAGUAUUUGGCUACCAAAGUUUUUGCUACCAAAUUUAGAAUUUAAAUAAUUGGUAGUUAAAACAUUGAUAGCUAAUUAGAUAUCAAUUUAAAAACUAUUUAACAAUAAUAAAAACUAAUUUAGAAAUAAAAUAAAAAAGUCUCUAAAAUGAUAUCAUUUAAUCAUUAUAGUAACUAAUUAUUUUUUAUUUCUAAAAUUAUUUUUUGCUUAUGAUUUUCUCCUAGUGUAAUGUUGUUUGUAUUGUGGUUUUCCAUUAUAGUUGCACCAUUAUCCAUUGUGUUCAUCAUUGGUUGCACUGCUGUCUUGUUGCACCAUCACUAACGCACCUUAAUGCUCUCAUUGGAUUAUCUUCGUAGGUUGUCUUAUUCUCUCUUUGAUAAUUUUUUAAGUUUAGUUUGCAUUGUGAAAAUAUAAUGUACUUUGUAUAGUUUUCAAAUACAUUUUGAUUGUAUUAAUUUUUUUUAAUACUUAUAUUGUUAAAUAAAAGAAAGAUAACUACCUUGAUAAGUCAUCUGGAUCAUUUAUAUAUGAUAAAAUGACUUUGGUAGAAGAUGAUCCUCAUAGGUCUUAAUGGUGUAUAUUAGUUCUAACGAUGUAGACUAGAUAGAUUCUAAAUGUUUAUUUCAAAUAACACCAAACCUUCAAUGGUUCUUGGAGAUUAUAGAACUUGAAGGUGUGUUAAUUCUCCUUGGUGAUAAUAAUGGGAGUUGGAAUCAUCAAGUUUUAUUUGCAUGAUGAAACUGAAAAGUUGUUUGAUCACUAGUGCAGAAAGACAAAACAAGGACUCCUUAUUAAGUGCAGUUUUACGAACAGACGCACUCGUAAAACACGCUGUGACAUUUUUUAAAUUAAGUUCGUUUACAAAUGCGACUAUUCGUAAAUCAAACGCUUUAAUUUAAGUUGUUGGGUCCAAAAUCCUUAAUAAUGCCUUUGCUAAAAAAUCUCCAACAAAAUCAUCGUUCCUAACACUACAAGAAAAUCAUGAAAUAGAAACCAUUUUUUAGAUACCAAAAUAAUUAGUUGCAAUAGUAACUAAAUUAUAGAUCAUUUUAGAAACUAAAACAAAAAUUUGGUUCUAAAUUAGUUUCUAUUAUUGUUAAAUAGUUUCUAAAUUGGUAUCUAAUUAGCAACCAAGGUUUUAGAUACCAAAUUUAGAAACUAAAUAAUUGGUAGUUAAAACCUUGGUUGUUAAUUAGAUACCAAUUUAGGAACUAUUUAACAAUAAUAAAAACUAAUUUAGAAACCAAUUUUUGUUUUAGUUUCUAAAAUGCUCUCUAAUUUAAUUAUUAUUGCAACUAAUUAUUUUGGUCUCUAAAAUUUAGUUUCUAUUUGAUGAUUUUAUUGUAGUGUAAAUCCCUAGUGAUGAAUAUAAUCAGUUAGAAUAUAAUUACCCAUCUAAAUAGUCCUUUUGUGUUGGGUUUUUUCUAUCAUAAAGUAUUUUUAAAAAAAAACAAAUAAAAACUCAUUUAUAUGCAUAUUUAAAAUUUCAUGUGACAUUUUUUAUAACUUCACUAACACACACAAGAAACAAAAUAAAUGAAAAAUAAUUGUUUUUUAUAGAAGAUUAUAAUCGAGUUUACUGAAAAAUCCCAUUAAAAAAUAUUCGAAAUAUAUUAAUCUUCAAGAAGUUAAUUAAUAUUUAACGUUAAAACAUGAUAAAAUAAAAAUAUGGUGCACAAAGAACCUACAAAAUAAAUACAAUUAUGUGUUUUAUUUUAAAUUCUUGUGUUCAAAAUUAACUUGUUCAAUUUUUAAAGAAAAGAAGACUUUGGUCGUUAAUUAUUUAGUUUUUAAAUUUAGAAAAAAAACUUUGAUUGCUAAUUAGAUAUUAAUUUAAAAAUUAUUUAAUAAUAGAAAUUAAUUUAAAAACUAAUUUUUUUUUAAUUUUUAAAAUGAUUUCUAAUUUAGUUACUAUUGCAAUUAAUUAUUUUGAUAUUUAAAAAUUGAUUUAUAUUUCAUAAUUUUCUUAUAGGUGAUGGUAUGGUUUAUAAACAAUCUAUAUAAAUUACAACUCUCUUGAAGGAAAAUAAUUUUAAGAGUCACUGUUUAAGGAGUAUUCGUAAAAAAAUUUAUGAAAAUCUUUAUUUUUUUAUAUUUUUCAAAAUCCGUAAAUUUUUUCUUUAUUUUUAAUUGAAUAGUAUUUUCUAAAUGCCAAUUAAUAAUUAAGAACAAAAUGUAAUCACAAUAUAAAUUAUUUAUUCAUUAUGUAAGAUAUAAUGUGUAUACGGUCAAAACUGUUUACCAAUCUAAUAUUAAUAUACUUUAUAUAUUUAUUAUAAAUUUUAAUUAUAUAAAAUAAACAUUAAUUGUAUACAUUACAAAUAUUAAACACUAGUUGUUUUUUUUUAAUCACCACAAGAAAACCAUCAAAUAGAAACCAGUUUUUGGAGACCAAAAUAAUUAGUUACAAUAGAAACUAAAAUAAAGACCAUUUUAGAAAUUAAAAAAAAAAUUGGUUUCUAAAUUAGUUUCUAUUAUUUCCUAUUAUUGUUAAAUAAUUUCAAAAUUGGUAUCUAAUUAGCAACUAAGGUUUUAACUACCAAUUAUUUAGUUUCUAAAUUUGGUAGCAAAAACCUUGGUUGCUAAUUAGAUACCAAUUUAGAAACUAUUUAACAAUAAUAGAAAAUAAUAUAAACUAAUCUAGAAACCAAAUUUUUUUUAGUUUAUAAAAUGGUUUCUAAUUUAAUUUAGUUACUAUUGCAACUAAUUAUUUUAGUUUCUACAAAUUCAUUUUUAUUUCAGGAUUCGUUAUAUAUAUAUAUAUAUAAUAGAGAUUGGGAUCAUUCCUUCUAGAUUAAUUGACUUCAGAUUGUUUGUAUUGUUUGUAUAAGAAAAUAAAUAAAUAACAUUAAAGAGGAAAUUUCAAAUGAUUAGUUAUUAUAAUCAUUAGAAAAAGAGAAAAUCGUAAAAUCAUUCAAAUCAAUAUGUUCCAAUAAUAACUUAUUAACCUUUAAAUCACAAUACAGUAGCCGAGCCAAGAAUAAUUAAAUUUUUGAGUGAAAUAUUUUUUAAUCUCGAAAAUUUAAUACUUUUUUGUUUUAAUUUAUAUUAAAAGGUUAUUCGUUUUGAGUCUUGAAUAUUGGAAAGAAAGAAAAAAAGCACAUUAUAUAUCUUUCUUAAAUAUAGUUGUUCCUACUAGGGAGAUGGGAUCUAAAGAACUAUUGAAGUCUUCUUCUCUUUCUUUCGGUCGGUCAGAUUGCUAGGUGAUGAACUGAGAUUCUUCUCGUCCUCCUGCUUCUCCUUCGGCACUCGGUCUCGGGUGAACACCGGAGGGGGUACCUGUGAAGGCACUUCGACGCUCAAGUAGGUGAACAAUAAUAAAUGACAUACCUUACUCUUUAGGAUGCGUGCUAUUUAUAUUAUUCUAAUGGGCCUGCAUUGUUGGGCCUGUUUUUCGGAGUGGACCCUGCUUAGGGUUGCAUUACCUAAUUCUUAAUGACGGGUUAGCUUCACUGACCUUGGUUUGAGCAUUAGCGGUAAUAUGGGUCGGCCGUCGGCCAAGUUCUCCUGGUAUCGGCCGUCUUGACCAAGUCUUCUAAGGUCUCAGCCAAGUAUACCGUCGGCCUCGUCGUCUCGGCCAAGUCUCUUAGGUCUCGGCCAGGCCUUUCAGGUCUCAGCCAGGUUCUCCCGGUCUCGGCCAGGUUCUCCUGAUCUCGGCCAGGUAGACCAGGUCUCGACCAGUCAAGUGGGUCUCGGUCAAGUAGACCGUCGGCCUCGUCGUCUCGGCCAAGUCUCUCAGGUCUCGGCCAGGCCUUUCAGGUCUCAGCCAGGUUCUCCCGGUCUCAGCCAGGUUCUCCUGAUCUCGGUCAGGUAGACCAGGUCUCGGUCAGUCAAGUGGGUCUCGGUCAGAGAGAUCGGGAGUUAGUCUCGCCCAUACCGGUACAAUAGUGAAUUAAAAUAAUCAAGUCUUUAUAAAAAAAAUUAAAAUAUAUUUGAAUCUUAACUUUUAUUUUAUUCAUUUUGCUUAGUUCCAAGAAGAUAAACUAUCUGUGACAUUUUAGUGAAUAUUGACAUUGUUGUGAGAGCCAUCAAUGUUGACAUAUGUAUCAUAAAUUUAGGCGUAAUAUGCGGUGAAUGGUGAAACCACACAAACUCUUAAGACUUGUUUUGUUGACUGUUGUUCAACUCUUCCUUCCAUAAUCAUCUCGUCAAACUCACUUAUCCCAUAAAUUCUUUCUGACCAUUUUCAUUAGGAACUGCAAAGUGCCUUAUUCUGGAGGGCUGGCAGCCUUUAGGUAGGACAAAUCAAUCUUUUAAUCUCAUCGAUAUAUAUUCUCUGACUUCUCUAAUUUGUUUAAUUCGUCAAGAUAGUAGGGUGAGAUGGACUAUGUUUUUUUUUUUAAUUAAAAUUGGUAUUGAUCAUUUUAUUUACAAUUUUUUUUAUAUAUAUGAUUCAUUGAAAUAUUAUUGAUAUUUACUUUAUUUUAUUAGACACUAAAUUUUUUUUAUUAGAAUAUUAAAGUUUGAUUUAAUUUUAUUGUUUUUCCUUGCAUUUUUAUUAUCUAAAAAGUGAUAUCAAUAGCUAUAACUAAAUAAAUAGAUACAAAAUAAAACAUUACAAAAAAAAUUGAAAAGUGACGGACCAACACGACAACCCGUCCACUCACCCUAUGGCGGGACAAGUUAUAAUUUUAGCAUGUAUAACCUUGACGAGUAAACCCUUCUCGUCAUGUUUUUGACGGGUCAGUGACAGGUCGGGUCAAAAUGGAUCAGACUGACCCGUUUUAUCACCCAUAAUUUUUAUAACAAAAAUAUACGAAAAUAGUUUAAUUUCAUUUUUUUAAAAGUUAAAGUUAGUUUAUUUAUAUGCUAAUUUAUAAAAUAUUAUAUAGUUUUUUUUUCUAUGAAUUUGUGCAUAAAUUAAUUUAGUUUAGAGAAGUUCUUUCAUUUUUUUUCUUUCUUAGAAGUCACUAAAAGAAACAUCAUCCAAACAAAUGCUAAGAUCAAUUGAUAUUUGAUUAAGACCAUAUACAUUGCAUGAGCCAUUUCAUUAUGUCUUAAUUUAAUUUUUGUAGAUUUCAAUGCGUUAGGUUAAUUUUAAUGAAUUAUUUGUAAUAUUUAGUUCAAUGCAAGAGUUUUAUAAGACUCAAAUUAACAUUAAUUCAAACUAUCAUUAAUGUUAUAUUUAGUUAUUGGCAUAAAUACAUAUUUUUAGUAUAGGAAAAUAAUUUUUUAUUCUUAUUUGAUCUAGAUUUUUUUUUAUCUUACGUUAAUUAGUUUACUUCAAUUAAGAAAAAAUCUCAUAAAAUUCAGGUAUUUUAUCUUAUGAUAGAGUGUAUGAUCCCUUCAAUAAAUAAAUAAAUAUGCUCUAAGAUUCUUAAAUAUCCUUUUUAGAAUAUUGAAUUUGGUUUUAUUGAUGUACUUAAUUUUGGUCCCUAUAAUGGGAGAACUUAAGGAAGAAUAUUAUACAUUUAGCAUUAAAAUUACUAAAGAUUAAUUUUGAUAAUUUAAAUUAAAUCUAAAAUUGAGAUUUUUUUUAAGUUUUUCUUAAUUUGAGAAAUUAAACUAAGAAUGAAAUAAUAUUAUUAUCUGUUUUGUUAAAACAUAGCUAACCAAUUAGAUAUAAUUUAGAUACUAAUAAUUUUUUAAUUUAUAAAAAUAAUAUUUAAUAUAUUUAAUAUAUUUAAUAUAAUUAAUAUAAUAAUUAAUUAUUUGUUUGUUUUAAAAUUAAUUUUUUUUUAUAAUUUUUUUACUAAUAAACUCUAUUCCAUGCACUCAAUAGUAUAUACACGAGUAUAUAUACACAAAUACUAAUGAGAUAAAAAAAAAUUAUCUUUACGAAUCAAAUUGUGGAAAUAAUGAGGAAUGAGCUCAACCUAAGUGAAGAACAAACUCAUAACUUAAAAGUCAAUACGUGAACAAGUGAAUAUAAUAAGUAAAAAAGUAAUUAUAAGUAUUUGAAAGAGUUUCCCUAUUGCAAAGGUGUUCUUAUAUAUACAUACUUUGUAGCGUUAACUUUAUAAGUCUAAGUCUUAUGAUGAAGUUGUAACCAAAUAUCACAUUGAAGAUAUAAUAAAAGAUAGAUAAGUUAUUAAUCUUUAUCUUUUCAUUGCUAACUGAUAUAUUGAUUUUGUUACAUUCAAGUUCUGCAUAUUUUUGUUAUUUUAAUUAAGUAUUUAAAUAAUUAAUAUAGUAUAAAUUAUGCGAGUGUUUCAUCUAACAAACAUAAUCAAAUUAUGAGUUUAGUGAUUAGACACAAACAAAAUAUAUUGGCAUAGAACUCUUCAUCUUAUGUUAACUUAUGUUAACAAGAAGAUCUUGAAAUUCGCAUCUACAUUAAAGAUUUUCUGGAAAGCACAUUAAAAUCAAUUUUUAUUCAAUUUGGAAAAAAUUCUCGAGCAAAGGCAUGUUUAGCCCAAUCAACUUUUGAAUAUUGUUUGAAGAAGAGAACCACAUUUAGAUGUUGAAAAAUUGUGAAUAAUAAAGUUAAAAAUUUAUUUGGACCAAUCCAGUGGUGUUUUUACUCGAUUUUUCUUACAAUCUUUCCAUAUGUUGAAUUAGAAAACUGUGAUAAAAAUUUCAGUGUCAAAUUUAAUAAAAAAAUUGCAUAAAUAUGGGAAAUCCUGCUGCCAUAACUACUCUAAUUUUUAUUUUGGUUCGUAAUCUAUUAUUAAACCAUUACUAGGCUUUCUUUUAGAGUGUUGACCUUUAUUGUGUGCUUUAAUUUUCUUGAUUGUCAAUUUUAUCACAAAUCCUUUGAGUUUUGUCACUAUUUAAUUUUCUGAGUUUAGCCUUUUCAAAUUGAGUUUUAUUGCUUUCUUCUUAUUGACUUAGAAGUGACUACAACUUGUGGAAGAGAAUUUGGUUUGAUGGAGGAACAAAUUCAAUAUUUAGUGGAUUCACACGCCCAAAGCUUAAGAAGAGGAGUUCACCUAAGGAGAAGCAACCAUGUGAAGUUGAAAGUGAGAGAGCUAAACAUAAAAUGAAAAAGGACUACAAACAUCGAGGAGCUUUAUAUUUGUCUUUUGUACUAAUUCUCUUGUAAAAUUCAUUUGUACUAUUAAAUAGUUUACUAGUAAUGUGUGUAGACGGUGAGUGUGUCUCAAAUGUCAAUAGGUGCCAAUGAGCCUCAUGUAGAGUUGUCUAGUUUUAUUUCAAAUUUUGCUUAGUCAAUGAAUGUGUCUAAAGGGGUUCAUAGGUGACAAUGAGUCUCACUUAGAAAAACAUAGAGUAGAUUAGCAUUUUGUUUUCAUUUCAAAUUUUUUUUCUCUUUAAAAAAUUUAUUUGGAGUUUUCAUUAGGGCAGACUAGUGAAAGCUAACCGAGGAAAACUCUGACUAGGAAAGACUUAGUUUUUAAGUGGUUCGAGUACCACCUCUCUUUCUUGAAAGUGAAUUUGGAAAACUUUUGACCUUUCAACCUACUUGUAAACUUCUAUUUUAAAAAAUAAAAUGAGUGAUUGUUUGAGUAGGUCUAUUGGACAAAUAGUCUUAGGGAAUAAAUAAUAGAUACAAACAAAGGAAUAUCUAAACUAAAAGAUAUGUUUGCUAAAUUUUUGAAAAUUCAAAAUAGAGAUAGGAGCAAACAUAGGGAAGGGUCAUGUAGGGUAAGAGAUUUUUAUAAGAAACCAUGUAGGGUAAGAGAUUUUUAUAAGAAACCAUGUAGGGUAAGAGAUUUUUAUAAGAAACCUUAUUCUCCAAAAGAAGGGGUACCAAUGGAUGUUUGCCAGGCUGCUUCUUCCUGCACCUCUAUACUACCUUCUUGUGCCACCUCCAUAAUUUUUUCAUAUUCCAAAAAUACUCUUCUCAAUAUUUCGGAUUACAUAAUCCGGAAGUCUCCAGAAGUAGCUUCCGGAUUCUGUAAUCCGGAAGCCUUUUUGUGGUUACAUAAUCCGGAAGCUAAUCUUAUGUAUAGAAAAGACUUCUGGAUUAUGUAAUCCAGAAUAUAUUCGGAUUACAUAAUCCAUAGGCUUAUUAUUUCAAAUCCAAGGGGGUGAAAAAAAAAGGAUAGAAUGGUAUUUUCACAUUUUAGGAAGAAAGAGUCUAUUGGCCAUAUCUUACUUGGAAUGCCAUAUCAAUUUGAUAAACAUAUGGGAAAGUUAAUUUAUUUAGCCCAAACCAAGUGUGACGGCAUUGCUACUAUAACAAUAAUAAUUAGUAAAUUUACUCAUGAAUCAUGACAAGGGGGAGACACAGUUGCAAAAUAAACUUCUUCAAUCUCUGAAAGUAAGAUUAGGACAGGAGCUCCUCUGUAAAAGGAGAAAGAAUAUGCAGAGGAAUACAUUGACACAGACUAUGCAAAUACACUUAAAGAUUUGUAUGUUCUUGGGUGGAAACUUGGUGACCUGGAGGAGUAAGAAACAAAGCAUAGCUGUGCAGCCAAGUGUUGUGGUGGGUGACAUUUCUGGCUAUAUACAUAGAUGAAGGUUCUUCAUAAUUUUAAAAUAUGCAGCUCCUAUGAAGCUUCUUUACAAUAAUAAGUCAAUCAUUAACACUGCCAAGAAUCCAAACUAGUUUGACAGGACAAAGCUCAUAGAUAUUAACUAUCACUUUACUAAGAAGUUGAUCAGUGGCUGUAUGGCAAGAACAUAUGCCAGUUAUGUUCUAAGAUCUUUUCAACGAGCUAGGAAUGAUAGAGAUCUAUUCUCCACACCACACUUGAGGGAGAGUGUAGAACACAUGAAUUUCUUUCCUUGUUAGAUUAUUUCAGUUUCAUUUAUAAAACAAUCCCUGAAAUUUAGUUUCAUUUUUUAACUAUAAUUAUCACAGUAACAGUAUAUCUGUACUCAUAAUCAACAUGGCAUAUGUUAAAGAAUUGAAACCAAAAAUGACAUGCUCAUCAAAAAGCAAAUUCCAGAAACCAUAUACAUCAUCAUAUCCAUUUAUUAGUAGCUAACGAAUAAACAAUUCAUCUAUCUAUGCCAAAAAGAUUACCUGAAGGGCAUCAAGGCAAAUGAUCAGGAAACUCAAUUGCAUUGAAUAUUCAAAUGAGGUAGAAAGAACACCAGACUUCUUUCAGCCUCAAUAUAGCCUGAAGGAAAGCCAACAAUUGAAAACAUGAAGCUAAACCACUGAAACAGUAACCUGAAAAUGGAACAUGAACAACCCAACAAGUGAUGUACUGUGGCUAAACAUGCAAUCUAUACAAAUCACUUAGUGACGUAUUGCACAUAUUGUUGUUGAUCAAUAUCCAAAAGCAAAGCAAAUGAUUAUUUGUCAAAGAAUGUUAAUAGAGGAUACAAUCAAAGGAACAUAAAUUAUAUAAGGUUACAACUUUUAUGAAAAUCAAAAUAUUUUCGUAUGUUAGGGUGGGUGUAAAGGUCGCUAGCUUUCAAAUUUUCAUUCCAACUCCAUUUAAAAGGAAAAGUUGCAACUUGUGAUUUCAUCAGCAACAGUCUGAAUCUAACAGACUAAAAGAACAGAAACAUGUAAUUUGUAUUUCUAACAGAAAAAAAUAAGAGAAUUAUAGAACGGUAAUAACCACCACAGAGCAAGGCAUUCACUGCGAAGAAAUUAUCUACCCAAGUCAAAGCUAAAAAAAGAGAACAUUGAGAAUUCUUUGAGUGAAGACUAAUUUCUCUUGUGUACGAAUAAAUGAUAAAUUCACUUAUUUAUAUACACGGCAGCAGACGGCAAUGAGAAACAGUAUUUUUACCACACAAAGACAAACAAUGCGGGAUCACUCCACUUUGAUGCCAACUUGAAAAUGAACAGUGAGAAAAAAGCUUAAGUGAUUGAUUUAUCCUUCAGCUCAUUCAUGUAUAUAUAUGUAAAAGUUCUUACAUCAGAUCAGAAGUUAAUCUCAAAACAAAGGCUAUGCCUAGUAACAGGUAGAUACAAUAAAAAAAAGCCUUUUAUCAGAGGGAUGUACAGACAAAUUGACCUAUUCUAACAAGAACCAUAUUGAUGCGAAUAUAUUGAUUGUGUUAGUUACAAGAACACUGGGAAAGCAAAAUUUAACUCCAACUCCAGUCAUUUACUUUCCAUCCUUUGUUUUCAAAGGCUGAAGAUCCUGUUAUUCUGUUCUGCAGAGAAGCAUAUACAGUUUUUCUAUGGAAAAAGCCCGGUUUACUCACGUCAAAGAUCAUCCUUGAACAAUGCCUUAGAAACUGAGCCAUAUGGUUUACUUCCAUCAGCCAGACCAUGGUCAUGAUCAGAACCCUGUGCCCUUGAGUUUGAAUGCUUAUUUACUGUCAUUGGGGUCUCACAUACAGUGCCAUAGUUUCCCCUUUCUCGUUCCUUCCUUUUUCGCACCCUUUGAAGCAGAUCUGUCUUGGAUUUCACACUCUUCUGCGUUGGCGCCCUCACUCUUCGUAAAACAGGCAUCGAACUUGUAAAAGAUGACAAUCUUAGAGCUCUCACUCUCUUCUCUUUAGCUUCAAUUAGUUUUCUAUCACAGUCAUAUACGAUCCUUGGUAAUCUUCCACUGACAUCCUUUUGCAACUGAAAGGGCACAUUUUCUGCUGAAGUAGGUUCAUUACUGACAUCAUUUUCAAAUACCACAUCUCUGUAUGCUUUUCUGUUCAAGGAUUUGUUGCUGUCUUCACUGUUGAGUAAACUAUUUGGUGUUUCAUCUUCAUCGGCAAACAGCAUCAGGUCCAUUUUGAAGUAUAUUUUCUGAACCACAUCUUCAAGAGUGAGUGCAUACCUGCAUUUUGGGGAUUUCACUUUCAUAAAUCAACAAUCUUUCAAUAUUUCAAUGCAAUGUGAAUUUAAUUUCUUUAGAGGAAAAAGGGAUAAAUGAAUAGAAACUCAUAACAGGGUUUCUUAUUUCAGGUUUGGAGUCUGAACAAAUAAAAGUGGGGAUGAGAGCAAAAAGAAUUUUGCAACAACUCACAAAAGGUUGUGUUAUAUCCAUACAGAAGUAAUGCUUUAGGGAAACCAUUUUCAAAUCCAUCACUUUUUUUGUUAAAUUUUCAACUUCAUCUCUGGUACUUAGCAUAUUGGCAAGCAAGCAUAAAAAUGUUAUAUGUAAGUACAAUUGCAGCAAAUGAAAAUAAAUUUUGUUAUUGUUCAUAUUCUAAAUAGAAGCUACUAACUCCACAAAAUUCCAUAAUUUGUGCAAAAGCACGUUAUUUUCGGAAGAUAUAUCAAUCUAAAACAUCUCAGUGACUUGUAUAAACUUGUACCUGUCUUUUAUUAACUUAGUCACAUAAUUUUCAAGAGUCCAAUCACCAAAGAAUCCCACUUCCAUGUGACACUGAAUGUUCUCUAAAAGCAGGCAUAUUUGUUUUACAAACUUCUGUUUGCAGGAAUCUUCAACUUCAUUUCCAACCUCUGAUUGUAAAAUCUCCAUGCGAAAUAAAAUCUGCAGUUCAUAUCUAAUGUUCACUAAGGAAAAAGCCAAAAUCAAGAAACACAUGUUGCUACAAUUACAGCUGAUUAGAAUAAUAAAAAAAAUUGCAUCACAUAAACUAUGAGAAACUUAAUUGAAGGAUACUCUCUAACUACAUGCUCUGCAAUAGGUGUGGUAGGUCCAGAAUCAAAUGUCUGAGACUGAGAUAAUGGAUUUUGGCUUUUAUGCUCAGCGGCUAUCUCCUUCGGCUCCCUUAAUAGAAGCUUUAUUAGCUCAGAUGCAAUCAUUCCACCACUAGUAUCAUGAUCUUUCAAAGGAGACUGACCCUGAGAAACAGUUUCUUUAUCAACCUUCUGACAUAGCCAGUGUAUACAAGAAUUUACUAGUCGCUCUGCCAAGGCCCCCAUGUCUACAACUUUUGAUUCAAUUCCCCGUUUGAUCCUAUCAGCAAGAUUACUGAAAAAUGUUUCAGAUGUUUCUGACCUAAAGUCUAACACAGCAUCCUCCUGUAUUUGCAAAGCCUCCGGCUCCGGAUUAAUUUCAGCUGAUGCAAAUGAGUACAGUGGUGGUUCAUCAUUUUGAGGCAAGUCAUUCAACUUACCGCUACCCAGUUCCGCUACUAUUGAAUUUGGCUUGAGCUUUUCUGACAAAGUUAUAUCAGAACAGCUAGAUUUCUUCAUCUGUUUCAUCCAGCAUUUCAAAAAUUUCAACUUUUUAGACUUGUUAGCUUCUAUGGCACAAUAAACAUCAAGCAAAUCAGUCUCUAACUGUUCUAACACUGACUUGCAGAAUGAGCUCCAUGUGAGGUCUCGAAGUGUAUUCAAAUUCAUCCUCUUCUUACUCCGAGGACACUCAACGGCCACAUCACUCUUCUUACCUCGAGAACUCAACAACUCCUCAUUAAAUUUGGACUCAGAUUUGCAAACAUCAUGAUCCACCAUCUUUACAUAUUGCUCAAUAUUUGCUUCACCAAAACCACUAGCCCCAUGUGGAUCCCCCAACACAGUCAAGAGACCAGCAAGCACAGUAAAAGGUCUCAGAAUACCAAUACAUGACUCACCCUUGCCAUUAGAAACAGCCACCAACGCCCAACAAUCUUCUUUAUACAGAAAACUCAGCAGCAUCUCCCAAAUGGGCACCUGUUUUCGCCGCCACUCACAACCAAACUCAGUGGCAACAAGCUCAAGAACCCUAUCAGCAAAAAAAUCAUUCAAACCCACCUUCUCUUUCUUCUUCAUUCCCCUGAAUUCCUCACGCACUAGAACCGAAUCAGACAACCGGUCCUCCGUCCAAACAAACCCAUCACACUUCCGCACAACCUUAACCUCCAAUUUCACACCUCCACCCAAACACAUCUUCCAAAAACCCUCCCUCCUUUCACCCCCUCCACCUAAAAAAUUCAAAUUUCCCUUCACAUCAACAAACUCAAGAUCACAACAAUCAUACUCAAUGGGACUCUCAUUCACAUCCAAGAUCGAAAGCCUCAACUGCCCACUAACACCAACACCCCCAGAACAACAACUCAACGAAACCCCAAUCAAGGGAUAAACCAGCCCAAACGGAACAAGCCCAGAACCAAGAAGAAGCGAAUCCAGCGAGCAAAAGCCCCAGCCGAGCCCCCGAACCGCAGUCCGAAGCAAAGAAGAAGCUUCUCUAGCCCCAUCCUCAUCGCUAGGGUUUGUCUCAAUAUUUUCUCCCCCAACGCUAAUCCAAGUACAGUGAAUUCCCCUGGAGGUGAAUGAGCGAGCAACAUUGGCAAAGAAGGAAGAAACAGUGUGACAGAAGGAAUUGGCAUCAUGGAAAAGAAGAGCAGGAUCGGCGUUGAGGAAAGAGGCGAGGGAAGUGAAUGAAGUGAAAGAGGGGGAGAAAAGGAAGAGCAAAUUGGGAGGGACGAUGUGGGGGGAAGGAUGGUCCCAGGAGUGGUCGUGGAGGAGUUGGGAGAGGGAGUGAGCGAGGUGGAGGGCGUUGGGGGCGGAGUGAGGGUGGAGAGCGGAGGUGGGGAGGGAGGAGAGGGCGUGGGAGAGCCGUGGGAGAGCGGAGGAAGGGAGGUCGAAGGAGAGAGAGGGGUUUGGUAGGAAAGGUUGAAGCUUUGAGAAGGAAAGAAGAGGGGAGAGAGAAGAGAAGAAGAAUUUGAAGGCAAAGAGGGAAGAAGAAAGAGGAGGAAAAGAGUGUAGGGUUUCCAGAAACGAAACUAACUGUUUUUUCCGGUAGGGAUCCUCCACACUCCAAACGUCGAUCAGAAGGAUGAUGCGGCGGCUGUCGGGGUAAGACCGCUUCAUUAGAUCUGGUGUCACUGGUUUCUCUUCUCUAACAUCAAUUCCAACUAUAAUAUAUACUUACUUUUUCUUCACUCUCUCAUGCCCAAACACACACAACACUGUGUACCUUAAAUAAAUACCAAAAAAUAUUCUUUUUUCAUUCAUAUUAUCUAAAACAAGACAUUAAUAAUUUAUUGUAAAUAGUUAUAACAAUGCAUGAAUAACAUGAUUCAAUACUUAUUAAUUAAAUAGUUAAAGAAAUCAAAUUUUAUCCAAAAAAAAAUAUGUGAUAAAAAAGUACCUUGUAAAAAUAAAGGGAAAAUAAAAGUUAGAGAAUCUGAUUCUGGGUUAUUGUUGUUGUUGUGAGAGAGCAGACAAAAUAGUAAAUUUAACAGGAUUUGUAUUUGGAGGGAAAUUUGGAUUUGGAGAAAAUUUUGGUGGCGGGAAAAAAGAUGAAGAAGGUCAACUUCUACCAUAAAUAAAUUGAGGAAAGAGGGACCAUGUUCUAGAAAACUACAAUUGUGUUGUGUUAGUGGAAGUACAACAGUUCAACAGAACAUUUAUGUGUCUGUAUUUUUAUCAUAUUAUUAGAUUUUAUUAUCUAGUAAUUUUUUGUUAUUUUAUAUAUUUUGUAUUACAUGAUUUUAUAUUAUUUAUUUGUUUUUAUGUUAUUUUGUUUAGAUUUGAAAUAUUAUUUAAAAGAUUUAAAUUUAGAAUUAAAAAAAUUGAAAUUCAAUUAAGACAAAAAAAAAUGGGAUUUAAGAUAGUAAAGAACUUGAAAGUUAUAAAAAAACAAUGAAAUGUAAAUAUUGAGACAAAAUUAAACCUUUAGUUUAAAAAAAUAAAACAUAAGAAAAUAAAUAAAGUGAUGAUUAUAUUGAAAAGUAAGAUUUUUACGCAUAAAAGGAAGUAAUAUCUAAUUAUACAAUAAGAAAAUAAUUAUAUUUAUAAAAUAGUAGCUUCAAAAUCAAUAAAAUAAUGACAUUUUGGUAAGAGCUGCUUAUAUUUAUUUUAUUCUCUGAAAUAAGGAACCAAAAGGUCCAACAUUAUCUUUUUUAUAAUGCAAAUAUAUAGUAAUGCAAUGCAAAAAUAUAAUGUUAUUAUUUUAUUUUUUUUAUAUCCAAUUAUUAGAUGCAUUCAUAUACAAAUUCGUGCAUAGUAACCUAAUGAAUAAGACAACAUAUUUUGACACAGUAUAAUAGUCAUGGUAAAGAAAGACUAUGUGAUUAAAGAAAUCAAAAAGCCUUAACUAAUGAGACCAAGAAAGAAAGUUUCAUCACAUAAUAAUAAUAAUAAUUAAAGAGAUGAUCCCGCACAAGUACAAGGUUGGGGAGAAAUAAAUGAUAAAUCAAUGGUUUAUUAUUAUUGUUGAAAAAAUAGGGCAUAAGAAUAAAAUCAUUUAAAAGUCAUCAAAUAUUCUAAAUGGUGUAGUUAUUGUCCAUAACAUUACAAAAUUUAUGUGUGACAUGUGAUAAUGUAAUUCAAGUGGUUAGCUGUGUCUUAUUCUAUGUAGGAAGGAAUGUCUUCAACUUUUUAUCUGUCAAGAAUAAUCAAUUUAACUACAAGUUAUAUAAAAAAAAUUAUUGGAUAAAGAGUAAAAACUAUUUUUUUUAAUAAAUUCUGUCAGAAACAUAGUCAACUUUGAAAAGACUAUUUGCUUUGUAUAACUAUGUACUUUAGACAGAUUCAAAUAAAGAUACAUUGUUCAAUAAAAGAUAAGUACAUUCAACUAUUAUGACACUACACAAAAUUAAAAGGAUCUCUGUGGGACAUGUGGUAUUGCAAUCUAAGUGCUUAGUGAUGUGUGUUAUUCUGUGUUGUAAGAAAUGUCUGUUAUUUUUGUCUGCCAAGAAUGACCAAUAUUUCAAGCACAAGUCACAUAAAAUUAUCCAUUGGAUAAAGAGCUAAAACCCUUUUUUUUCAACAAAUUCUCUGACACUAAGCGUAUCAACUUUGAAAAAACUAUUUGUUUUGUCUAACUGUGCACUUUACUAUUAUGACAUUGCACAAAAUUAAAAGGAUCUUUGUGGGACAUGUGGUAUUGCAAUCCAAGUGGUUAGUGAUCUGUCUUAUUUUGUGUUGUAAGAAAUGUCUGUUAUUUUUGUCUGCCAAAAAUGACCAAUAUUUCAAGCACAAGUCACAUAAAAUUAUCCAUUGGAUAAAGAGCUGAAACUUUUUUUUUCAACAAAUUCUUUGACACUAAGAGUGUCAACUUUAAAAAAACUAUUUAUUUUGUAUUACUGUGCACUUUAGACAAAUUCAAAUAGAGACACAUUGUUCAAGAAAAGAUAAAUACAUCCAACUAGUAUGAUAUUGCAUAAAAAAAGAAAAUAUAUUUAAUAUUACACGGAGUGCAUUUAAUGCGUCAUUCACAACCAAACUCAUCACAAGCAAAAAUAAUUAAAUUUGAUCAUUCAAAUUAAUAAACUCAGUCUUGAUAUCCCUGAUAAAAUCUUUUAUCGAAUAAUAUGAUAAUCAAUCUCAAUAUAUUUGGUUUUAUAAUGAAAUAUGAAUUUGAGCUAAUAUGAAAAAUAAUCUAAUUGUCACAUAUAAGUGUAAUUCCAGUGACCUUUUUAAAUUUCAAUUAUUUAAGUAAUUGUUUAAGUCAAGUAAUUAAGAUCAUAACUCUAUAUUAGGUUUUUUCACUAUCACAAAAUUUUGUUUUCUACUCUUCCAAGAGAUCAAAUUAUCACUAAUGGAGAUACAAUAUUUGAAAGUAGAUCUCCUAUCAGAAGGAGAUCCUGCCCAGUCAACAUAACAUCUAAAUAACAUACAAAUUUAACAUGAUUAUUGUGUUCAUAUAAUAAACAUUUUUCAGAACAAUCUUUAAUGUACUUAUACAGAUGAUCACAUUCUAAUCAUUUGUAAAUGGAGAAUUAAGAAAUUAACUCACUAAACUGAUUAUAAAGGAAAUUUCAAGAUUAAUAAUUUAAUAUAGUUCAAUUUCCAACUAAUCUUCGGUUCUCGGAAUCUGAGAAAAGCUCCUCCCUAAUUAGGUAAGAGUUUAAUACUAGGAUCAUUGAAUGUGUCAACUGACUUUUGAAUUCAUUAACUCAAUUUUCUCCAAAAUAUCCAAUGCAUACCUUUGAGAGAUAACAAUUUCUUUGUUAGAUUGUGUUACCUCAUUCUCCAAGAAGUAUGAGUUUGUAAGGUCUUUAGUAUAAAAAUAGUGACAAAUGUAUUGUUUUACUUAUAAAAUGUCAUGAUGAUCAUUGCUUAUAAGUACAAUAUACAUCAAUAAUAUAUAUAUAUACCAAAUUUCUGAAUGAUAAACUUCACUGCUAUUCAUACCAAAUUUUUAAACAAUAUUGCUAAAUUAUUUAAGGUUUUGUUAAAUUAUUUAAGGUUAAAUUAUUUAAGGUUAUAUAAAAAUUUAUGGAGACGAUAUAUCAAUACAGAAGAUUUCUUAUGAUUUCUACGUACAAACUUCAUUAAGAAAAAUAUUUUUGAGAUUCAAUUCAUAGAAAUUUGUCAUUGAAGGACAACAUGACUUUGAAUAAUAAGAGAUGAUUGAACAUAAAAAAUAAGGGACUAUACUCUUUAAAGAUGUCAUGUGUUUGACUGAGUCUUGUGCCUGGUCGACAUCAUCCUGAUAUUUUUUUUUUAUCAUGUAUCAUAGAAAAAAAAGGCUAUAAGAGUAAUAUAAAGAUAUAAUGGUAUGGUGUACAAGAUCUUUAAAGGGUUUUAAGUCAAUCAAACUAUAUGGAUAUUUAUAAAUUUCAUUUCAAAUUAUAAUAAAUUAAAUUUUAAAAAAUCUAUUAAUUCAUUUUAAUUAGUUAAAAAUCUGAUCGAUUUAAAAAAAAUCAAUUUAACCAAUCCAUUAACACAUUUUUAACGAAGAGACAUUCAAUUCAUCUACAAAAAUAAUUUUUUUAAAUUAUAAACAAUAUUCUUUUAAAAAAAAAAGUAGUCAAACAAAUUAAAACGUAUAUUUUGCAUGGUACUUAAUUAUCAUUUUUCAAAACAGAUGUAGUAAUAAAAGUCUAGAACAUUUAAAAGAUAUUUAUUUUAAGCUCAAAAUCAUGAUUUAUAUGCUUGGGUAUGAUAAUUUUCUCAUAAAUUAUGUAGAAAUUUGAGAGAAUUUCACAAAAUGGUUACAAAUGCCAAAAAAUAUGCAUUAAAAACCGAUCAUAUUAUGAUACAUCAAGAGAGUGCCUUAAAUAAAUUCUUCUCUACAGGACUGGUAGUUCGCUCCCAUAUAGCCCAUAUUUUCCAACAUUGCCAUUUUACAGCUCCUUCACACAUUGUUCUUCAAUUUCUCAAACUUCUCAACUAUUGCAUCCUGUUGUUUUUCUCUGUAUAAUUCAAUCAAUGACUGUAACGCACUACAUAUCAUUACUCUCUUUCUGUCUGCAAUGCUCUUAUCUUGAACAUCAUGCAUGCCCUCACCGGAUGAGCAUAAUCCCUUGAACCAAUCUUCAAGAAUCAAGGCUUUCUAUUACACAAAUGAAGCAGAAGGAAAAUUGAUUAGUCAAAUUUCUAUCAAAGAUUAUUAGAAAAGACAGGAUCAUAAUCUGCAAGAAAUUACAACAUUAAAAAUAAAAGGCAGGCAUCACCUUUAGUCCAGAACACAAACAUAUACAAGAUGAUUAUUAGGAUAUACUACUUCAAAAGUUCUUCGGUCUAGUUUUAUUUUUAAACUACACAACAUUUUACUUUUUCUCGUAUUUCAAGUAUAGGCUGCCCUAUCUCAUUUCCAUCACAAAUCUCCCAAACCAUUUAUUGGAAGAAGCUGUUUUGGCUGUAUAUUAUACUUUUCGGUUGUUAAUAAAAUCAAGAGACAGAAUUAUUUUCUUCAAACUGUUAUCAUUUAUUGCUCUUGGACAAUAGCUACUGAAAAAGUAAUUCCCUCUGCAUGUGCUUAACUAUAUUUUUUCAUUCACGAUAAAAUGCUUACCAUCACAAGAAAAUCUUUCAGCUGUUGAUCAUUUGAGUUUGAGGUAAAGCUUAGAACGUGUAACAUUGUCAAGGUAAGCUGCAUCCAGAACAUGGUUAGUUCAGUUAAGUAAUGACAGAAGCAGCAGAGCAAGAAAGCAAUGUCACAACUCCCUAAUUAAAUAACAGUUAAAAUAAUAAGAAUAACUCGUAAGUUCAUUCAAAUUUUAAACUUUAAAUAUAGUACUCUAGUUUUGAAAUCAAAGAUAUUAGUCUGAUCUGAUAUAGUAAUAUCUCAUCUCUUAUGAAAUUAUAAUAACUUGAUUACAGAACUAGGGUGUUCAAAAUGUUGAACAGAAAUAAAUUGUCAAAAAUCUAAAGUAAACUAAAAUAAUAAUUCACUCGAACUAAACUUAACAUAAAAAAUUAUUUGGACAACUUAAAUUGAACUAUACCCUAAAGUAAUAAUUACAAAGAGAUCUAUAAAAUCUUCCAACAACACACUUGCAAUAAUAAUAAAGUUCUACUGUAGCUUAUCGAAAUAUUUUCUCCCGAGUGAACAAUAUUAAUACGUAGAUCUAAAAGAGUGAACCGCAACUAAGACGACAAUGAGAGAAAAGAUUAAACUGCUUGAGAGAAAAGAUAUUUUAGAAUUGAUCCAAUAAAACAGUACAUAGGUAUCCAUAUAUAGAGAACUCAUACCCUAAAGUAAUAAUUACAAAGAGAUCUAUAAAAUCUUCCAACAACACACUUGCAAUAAUUAUAAAAUCAUAUUGUAGCUUAUCAAAAUAUUUUCUCCUGAGUGAACAAUAAUAAUACGUAUAUAAUCUAGAUAAUCGUAAUUAUAAUAGAUUUUUGCCUUAUUCAUAAUAGAUAACAUAAUAGUUUAGAGAUUGAGAGAUUUCUAGAAAAAAAGAGCAAUUCUAUUAAUUGAUAAUGAAAUAAAACAAGGUUUGUAAAUUUACACAGUUUCAUGCCUAUUUCACUUACCAAUCCAAAUGAUUAAUUCCAUGUGUGAUUGAUGAAUAAGAAGUAGUUACCUGCUUUUUUAAUGAAACCCGGUACUUGAAAUUUGAUGGCCCUGAAAUUUGGUCCUCAUCCAUAUUCUCCAGUAGAUGCUCAACAGAUUGAACAAUCUUUGAGAAUGAUUGGCCAUAAUCUGCAAAAACCAAAAACAAGUUAUAUUCAGAUGAAGCUAUGAACAGAAAAUUGUUUGAAUGAAGGAAAAGUUAUUUGUACAAAACAAUUUAUACCAAAAUAAGUAAUAAGGUAAAUGAAAAUAAAGGAAAAUACAAUGUGGCAAAGCAAAUUAGUUAACUUUUGGACUCAAAUGGUUAAAUGACCCAGUAGUUGAUUUGAUGAAUACUAAUAGACAGGUUCAAUUACUUCAAAAAGCUAAGGUUUCAGAUUUCAAAAGCAAUAACACUUGGCAGAUUCCAGUAGAAAUUCCUGGCAAUAAUAUCAUAUUACACAUCAUAUACUCAGUAUAGUACACCUUUGAGGUUGUAGGAGUAAAUGUUAGUCAUAUGAAGGAAAUCUUGUGUCUCAAGAAGAACAAAGGAACAUGUUAUAUAUAGAAUGUACAUUGCUCACAUAGAGAUUGGCAUAGUAAAAUGCAUUUAACACUCCUCCUCAAGCUAGUACAUAUAAAUCAUAUGCACCAAGUUUUAUAAAUAUAAUCAAUUCUAGGACCUAGUAAUGAUUUGGUGAAAGUGGCUUCCCCUAACUUGUAGAAGUUUAGCAUUGGGAUCCAUAUGUGUGUCAAGGGGUUUGGAAUUCAUUAGUCCAGUCUCCUCCAAAAUAUCCAAUACGUACUUCCUCUGAGAUAUUACAAUUCCAUUUUCUAGUUGUGCUACCUCAAUUCCCAAGAACUAUCACAGUUUGCAAAUUUUUUUUGUCUAAAAAUGAUGACAAAGGUGGUUUUAUCAGUAAAAUGCUAUGGUGAUAGCUACAUGUAAGAACAAUGUCAACAACAUACAUUACCAGGUAGAAAUACCCAACCUUGAAUGAUGAUAAAACACAAAAUGACCAAACUCACUAUGAGUCAUACCAAUUUGUUGGACUAUUGUACUUAAUAUACCAAGCCAUGCCUUAGGAGAUUGUUUAAUACCAUAUAAAAGAUCUAUGGAGAUGACAUAAACUACAAGAAAACCCCUUGAGCAACAAAACCAGGAGGUUGUUCCGUAUAAUUUCCUCCUGCAAAUCACCAUGUAGGAAGAGAAUUUUGACAUCCAACUAAUAGAGGGGCAACGUUCUAGAGUAGCCAUGGCUAAAAAUAAUUUGGAGGUCAUCUUGGCGGCCAGAGAGAAGAUGUCACCAUAAUCUAACCUGAAGAAGAUCUGAAUAUAAACUUUGGUGACUAUUCGAGCUUUGAGUCAACCGCUAGUGCUAUUAGAGACAACUUUGACUAUACAGAUCCAUCAACAACCAACAAAAGAUUUUUUGGGAGGAAAAAUAACAAAAUAUAAGUACAAUUGUCCUUAAAAGCACAUAGUUCACCAAGCUUGGCUUGUCUUCGACUAGGGUGGGCUGAGGCAUCGCUCGUCGUUCUAGGAAUUGACCAGUAGGGUGAGCUAAGGCAUCACCUAUUGUUUUAGGAAAUCACUGGGUGACAAGUGGGCUUUCUAGACAAGACACAUGCACUCAUGUUGAUACUAGUGGUGGCAACUCUGUUGAUGAUGCACAUGUCAGUGUUGUGAUUGCCAAAGCGAGGCACACAACGAAGAUGGUGGCUGUUAACAAGGCAACAAAAAUAGGGCUCAGGAGCUCUGAUAUCAGCUUGGAUUAUGUCAAGAAAUAAAGAAUUAUUUUAUUUAUAACAAUCAUACCAAUUACAUUCUCAUCAUUUCUAUUUGUAAUAAUCAAAUCCUUAAAAUAAGGAAAGAAAAAUAUGUUGAAAUGAAUAGGAUGAUUCUAAAGAUAAUUUUUCUAAAUUACUACGGAGAUAUUGAGAAUAUUUUUAUCCUAAUAAUUUGCUAUUUACAACAUAAGCUUUUUUCUGUUUUGUAAUGUUUAGUCUGUUUAUAGUUUUGAAACAGCUUUCUGUUGUCUGUGGUUUGACAGUUGUAUUUUGUUACGAAUUUUCUUUCUUUAUGUAGUGCUCCUCUUUCACGGGCUUUUGUAUUUUUUUAAUAAUGAAUUACAUUUCUUGUCAAUUUCAAUAGCAUCUACUCUAGCUUUACAAGCCUUUUCAGAUGCUGAUUGGGCAUCUGAAGUUGAUGAUGGAAAGAACACUUCAAGAGCAGGUAUAUUUUUGGUCCGAACCCAAAUCAUUAUAAGAAAAACAGUUACCUAGCACUGACACUGGCACAGCCAAUGCUGCUGCAGCUUGUAUCCUUAUUUUAAAAUUUGAUGAAUCACGUAGUAGCUGCAGAAGUGUACCAAACAGCACUGGAGACCUGAAAAAUGGAAGCAUAAGGCAUUGCUCAGUAGUUUACAUUUCAGUGUUCCAGAAGUAACAAGUUGCAAAAAGAUAUCUUCAAGAAUAGAGCCUGUGAAAAACAGGACUACCGAAAACAAGGCAACAAAUAUCAUUUAUCUAAUGAAACUGAAACACAUUGAACUACAGUACCUCUUUCUUAAUACGACACUAAAGGAUAAUACUAGAAAUGUAAUGCCUUGUAUAAUUCAGAAACAGCCAAUCUAGCCUUUAUUCCAAUUUAUGAAAGGGAAUGUUUCAUCCUCAUAUUAAAUGAAAGCAUAGCACAAAAUAUUCAAGUUAUUGGACAUGAAAAAUAUGAAUCCAACUGAAGACAGUUCCACAAACUUUAAGUCAUGAGUGAAAUACUCCUACAAAUAAAUUUGCCUAUUUAGACAAUUAUACCUUCAAUACUUUCCCACAAAAUGGAGGGUAUAUGUCAUAUGCACCAAGAUUGUUACAAAUAAGUGUACACAAGAUCCCUUGAGAGAUUUAUGAAGACAUGCCAGUUGGCCAACGAAGCUAACAAAGUCAGUGGUGAUUUCUCCUAACCAUAUUUUUCUCACAAAAUGACUCUAUCUAUAUGUAUUUAGAUCACUCAUUAGAACACUAUAGUAUGUGGUGAGAUACUAUUGGAUUUUAUUAUAUAUGAAUUCUUCAAAGAUAGGUUUAAUCUACAUUUUCAUAGGUUUACGCCUCGAGUGGGUUUUGGUAUAGUCCCCCGAAUAUUUUGUAUCUUCUACUUCCUCUCAUAUAACUAAAUAUUUUAAGUUGGUAGCAAAGCUCCCGUCAUGGGGACUCUAGUUUCGUAUCUUAUUCUUUAUCACCUUAGCUAUGUUUUUUUUAGGGUUGCUUGAAGUGCAUCCAUCUUCCUCUUUUUUUGUUUGUGUUGCCUGGAGUCCUCCCAAGCUGUGUUCUCACUGGAUUUUAGCAUGCAUUUUCAUCAUCACCAUUGCCUCAAAUCUAGUAUUCCACGAGAGGAAGAAAUAUAUUGAGAUAAGUUGUCCUUUUUUACGCAAUUUUUUAUUUAUUUGAGACAUACUACUUAGUUUGUUAACUCUAAUCAGCAUUGGUAUAUCUUCACCAAAUCUUUGAGGGACCCAAGAAUUGCUUAUACUAAUAACAAGCUCAGUACAUGUCAUUUAUAUGAAACAACUUGAGGGAGGCUGAUUCUCCCUGCACCAAAUCAAUUCAGAUCUGCACCUAACACAUGCACAUGAAAAGUCCCGUUCGCCCUUACUGAUUUAAAACACUACCUAGGGUUCAUUGAGGCACACCAGUGAGCACGGAGACGAUGGAGAGAAGGAGUUGUCGACGGAGAAGAAGUGUGCAUCUGAGAAGGUGAGUUUUUCAUGAAACUGGUGACUUUCCCGGAUGGUGUUGUGCGGAAGCUUAAAGAAGAAUUGAUUGCUUCCAGAUUUGGAUAUCCGUAACUGUUCCAAAUAUGGAAAUCCAGAAAGCAAUGGUGUUUAGGAUGCAUAAAUCCAGAAGUCAGUGUGUGUGUUUGUGUUUUUCAUUUGAUGCCAUUUUUUGAAAAUAAAGAUGACAAGGGAACUUUCGGGUUUAAAUUUUAUGUUGGGUGCACACUAGAAUUGAUAUGGUGCAGGGAGAAUUAGCCCUUGAGGGAGUGUUAGAAGUAUUUUUCUAUGAGUCUAGGCCCAUAUGUGUUUAAUAUUGUUGUGUGUGCAUAUAUAUAUGUAAAUAUAUAUAAUAUUCUUGUGUUGUGCUCAAGACACACAAGGAUUCCAUCAUUGACUCCAUAUCUUUAUCACUAAUGUUGCAUGGGACCACCAAUUAGGACUAUAGUAUUUUUUAUUUAAAUCUUAAUUUAUUAAAGUUUUAUUUUUCAUUUCCUUAGUGAAGCUCUCAUUUCAGAUAACUCUUUAAUUAAGAUAUUUUAGAUAAGAUCCCUUUAAUGGGAUCUCUUUGUUUUUAUUUUAUUAAUUAGGAUCGUUUAGGAAUUUCUUUAUUUUUAUUUAACCAAUUAGGAUAAUUGUUGGGGAUCUAUGUAGCCUCUUUAAACCAUGAGAAAUAAUUUCAGAAAAACUGUUGAAUUAGGAGGGGCCAGUUAUGGAGGACAAAAUGAGUCUUUCUAGUCAAGGUCUGAUACAAAUUAUUUCGUAUAAGCUACCAAUUGCAUGCAGUAACUAGGAGAAGAAUAAAUAUAUGUAAUGUAUUGUACAUGAUAAACAUAAGAAGCAUGUGCUUCAUUUUAACGUACCACUCCAUAUCUUGCAGCCUUAAUGUCUCGUUGAGGAACAGGUUGCCUAGAGCAUGACAAACAUUCCACUGGACCUAGUAAGAGAGAUUCCAUCUUCAAGAGGGAUAGAGUGCAUUGAUACCAAGAAACCAAAAUAUUCAGAUAAUAACGAGACAAUAUAAGAAUAUGGUACCUUAACGUUCCCCGUAGUUAUGGAAGCAAUAAAUGCAUGAACUAUUCUCUCUAGCCUAUUCAAAUCUUGUAAACAAUGCUGUUGACAAGCCAUUGCAUUUUUAGUAUUGAGAAAUGCUUCAUUCAUGUGGUUAUGAUGGUCCAUUCGUGUGUCUUGAAAUUUUGAUGUUGAACAUUUUAAGAUUCUCGAAAUAUACCCGAGAGCCCUAACAGCAUUAGAUUUAACCUGGUAAUUGAAAAAAGAAAAAAAUAAAUAAAAGAAUCCAGAAACACAUGUGCAAAUCAGAGGCAAAUAAUCAAUAUACAAUUUACCUAAAUCCUAUAGAAUGGUUUCCCCGUUAGAUAUUGAAGAUAACUUGGAUUACGGUAAUUAGGCAAUCUUUAAUUAUGUGAACUAGAAAUUCUAGGAUUUAUAGCAAUAGAGUAUAUUAUCCAUGGGUUGGAAACAUUUUGAAUUGCAAAAUUUGGAAAUCUAUUACUGAUUAUACAAUCCAAAAAUCUAUUCCGGAUUACGCAAUUCAAAAUUAAAGUGUGUUUUAGAUUACAAAUCUAUAACAUAUUCAAAAUUAUACAAUCUGAAAUAUGUUUCUGGAUUACGCAAUCCUAUGUUUCCAGAUUGCAUAUUCUGGAAAUACAUUUCAGAUAGUACAAUUCAAAAUACAUUUUUAGAUAAUAGAAUUCAAAAAUGCAUUCCAAAUUACGUCAUCCAAAUAUGCAUUUCGGGUUACAUAAUUCUAAUUGAAAAUCCGGAAUACAUCUCCGGAUUAAGCAAUUCAAAAUAUAUUUCUAGAAAUACAUUGUGAAUUGUACAAUCCAGAACAUGUUUCCAAAUUCAAAAAUACAAUCUGGAAUAUGUUUCUGGAUUACGCAAUCCUAUGUUUCCAGAUCGCAUAUUCUGGAAAUACAUUUCAGAUUGUAUAAUCCAAAAUACAUUUUUGGAUAAUAGAAUUCAAAUAUGCAUUCCAAAUAGAGGAACAUUUGUAUUUUAACAUUAGAGAUUGUGUAGUUUCAAUGAGAUGUCUAUUCUUCCUCUUGGCAAUGCCAUUUUGUUGUGGGUGUGUGAGGACAGGUGGCUUGAUGUAAAAUACACUAUUUAGCAUUGUCACUUCGGAAGACUUUAAUUAUGCUUAGAAAUUGGUUCUUAAUCCCAUUAAAAGGCAUAAAUAUGGACAAAAGUUCAGAUUUGUCUUAUUAAAUAAACCUAAGUACAACGUGAGAAUUUAUCACUAAAGGUUACAAAUCAUCUAAAACCAAACAAUGUGACAUGUCUAGGUCCCCAAAUAUCUGAAUGAAUGUAGAGAAACAGAGUCAUUAAAGAUAACAUCUUCGGAAAUGAACAUUUACCCGUAGGAGAGAGACAUUUGUACUCUGUUAGAUGGAGAAUAGCUAAAAAACACGCUCAUGAGAUCAAAAAUCAAAUUUGUGUUUGUUCUAAAUCCUAACACUAGAAAACAAGCUCAACCAAAUGGUCUUUAAGAAUUGAAAAUCAGGAGAAGCCUAAAAGAGAAUAGUAUAAAACUGCAUUAUCUUUCUAAUAUCAAGUUUGUUAAGAGGUUGUGAGAAGUCUAUAAAUAAAAUAGACAACAGUGGUGAAGGCAUCAUCCCACAUAAUUAGAGGAAGAGAAGCAUAGCUAUGUAAGACCAAGAUCAACAUGUUUGUGUUUCUUUUCAUCAACACCAUUUUGAUCAUGAGUAUGAGAACAAAUAAUCUUGUUUUGAAUUCCCAUAUGCAAGAAUCUUAAGGCAAGGAUAUGAACUCAUCAACCCAAUCAAUUUGAAAGCUUUUUAAAGGAAGUUUAAACUGAAGUUUAGUCAUAGACUUUGUAGAGUGAAAACAUUAAUAAAGAAAUCAGACUUUUUUUUGAGAAAGAAAAGAAAAAAAGACGUAAAAUAAAAGUUGAUAAAACAAUUAUAACCAACUUAAUACAACACUAACAAUGGUAAAUAGGCAAUUUUUGGGGAUUUAUAUAACUGUAGCAAUUAGGCAAUUAUUUUCUCCAUAACUAUUCAUAUAAUAAUACACUAUGUUGAGUACAUUGACACAAAUUCAAUCAUGUCUCUAGUUACUCCCUUCAAAAAUGACAUUUUUUCAAUAAAGAAAAUUCAAAUUUAAAGAAAUACAAAACAUAAAUAAAAAGAUACCUUGUCUCCAUCCUUGGUAAGAUGCAAAGCACAUUCACUCAACAAUACAAUCAGCUGGGGAUUGGAGAUUGAACCUACAUAAAAAGGUGGCAAAUAAGGAGAUUACAAAAAGAACAUUGAAAUUUUGUCUUGACACCAAAUGGUUGACCAUUCAAUCAAGGACAUCAAAUCAAGCUCACCCAUCUGCUGUCUAAACGGGGGGAUUCUUUCAGAGUGACAAAUAGCAUCACAUAUAUUUGCCAAUGCCCAUGAAGCUGUUAUCCUAACCUGCUUUACGGAAAAUAAUGAAUUACUAAUUAAUUACAAAAAGUAUGUAGGAAAGUGUAGACUCAGAAACUGAAGCCGAACUUACUGAGAUAAGUGCAUCUCGAGUGUUGAUCUCAACAGCAUGGAUAAACUUCUCAAGUACCUCUGCACUACAGAGAUUAUUGAACUUUUUAGAUUUUCUCUAGUGAAUCAGAUAUAUGUUUCAAAAAGAAAUCAUAAUAUUCACAGUACAAGUUUUAGUAUAACCUCUGACACACUUGUGGAAAACAUGAAAUGAUACCAAUGGCUCGACAAGCAGAAGAUCUCACUGAUGGCACAUUAUCACGUACAGCAGCAUGUACCUACAAAAUUUUAGCUGGUUAGUAAAUUCAUUUCAGCAGCAUGGUAAUCUAUUCGAUACAAUACUCCAAUCAGAUAGCAUUGAGAAUGAUUUCUAUAAAUACUUACUAAAGACGACAAUAUAAAGUCCUGUUUCUCCUUAGUGAAACACAUGAACACAGAAGAAGUCAUACCCGCAAAACAUGUAAUUGAUGCAGCUCUCACCUUUAAAGGAAAAGCAGAAACAGGUACACUGUUAGGAAAUUGGAAAAGAAAAUCAUAAAUAUUUGAAAAACACAAGCACAAAAUAGUAUAUAUGCAUAUUGAGACAAACUUCUACCACUUCCAGAGCCUAUGGCUCGUCAUAGAAAUACUCUGUCCACCCUAAGGCUCUAUAAAACUUUCCAUACUAAGCUGAAAAACUACCUUACAAAAGUAUUCUUAGUUAUUGUUUUUAAACCUCCUCCUAUAAUAAACCUGCAAUCCUGUCUUAUGUCAACAUGCUAUACUUGCUUUUGUCUAUCAAUACUUCCCUCCUCAGAAUUAACCUUGUCCUUUAGGUUAAAAUUAAGAAAUUGAUUUGAAUAGUAGAUAAAUUUUUUAACGUGGAUUCCUCAGAUGUUUUUCCCUUCCAUUGAACUAACACAUGUUAUACUGGUGCAGCAUCUUUAGUGAUUGUACGUCUUCCCUGAAUGUAAGCUAGGAUGAACACUUUUGUAGUUCCUUGCAAUUCUAGAGGUAGAGCAACAUCCACCAAAUGAUCCCCGAUGGCUUUCUUAUGUUGAGAUACGUGGAACAUGGGAUGAAUCCGAGCUUGCUGUGAUCAUUCUAAUUAGAAAGCCACUUCUCCGAAUUGCUUAAGAACAAAAUAUGGUCCACAGUAACGUGCUGAAAGUUUGGGAUGAAGCUUAUUAGACAUAGAACUUUGUCUGUGGCAAAAUUUAUCGACACACACAAUCACCCAGUUUGAUCUUGGAAGUGUGAAAAAAUAUAUAGUAAGAAGUUAAGGAAUUACUUUUCUUGUCAACACACACAAGCACCCAGUUUGAUCUUGGAAGUGUGAAAAAAUGUAUAGUAAUAAGCAAUAAUUAUGGAGUUACCUUUCUUGAUCUAAACGAGAAACAAUACAUUGUUACAUUGGUAUUUAAAGGAAAAACAAAAUCCUCAUAAAGAAAAUAAAUCUCCUGACAUAAAGGAAAUAAAUCUGUCUACAUAAAGAUUCUAAAGCUGGAGCAUAUCUACUAAAUAAACACCUAAUCCCUCAAUCCCUUAACUUUUGGGAUUUCUUACAAAAAAUCUAUAGUUAUUAUCCAAUCAAUCUAUAUAUAUUGUACAGUAAAUGUGCUAUAUUUACACCCAUAUUUCAACACCCCCCUAACAAGUUGAGGAAGAAGUGCACUCCAUUCCCAGCUUGAUUAUGAGAUUAUGGAAGUAUGAGGUAUUGAGUCCUUGUGUCAGCUCAUUCGCCACCUGUUGCUUGGAAGAAUGUAUGACAUGCAUACUAAACCUUCUUCUAAUUUUUCCUUAAUGAAGUGUCUAUCUAUUUUAGUAUGUUUUGUUUUGUCAAGUUGAAUGGGAUUAUGUGUAAUGUCUAUUGCUAACUUAUUAUCACAAUAGAGCCUCAUGGGUCCCUACAAAUUAAUCUUCAACUCACCUAAGGUCCUUUUUAGCCAUAAUUUUCACACUUUGUUUCUGACAAACAAAUGAGACGAGUUUUUUUAAAUGAAAAAGUUGAAAACAUGAUUAGAGGUCACAAAUUCCUUUACUUGGUAGCAAAUCCAAAGAUUCUAGCUUAUUGUCUGACAGACAGAAAUAGAGAAUUAUCCGAUAAUCUUCAUAAAACAUUUGCAUGGUGCUAAGUUGACACUUCUUUUGGUCUAUGUACAUAAGAUGAUUAUUGCAGAAAAUGAUGAAGGUGAAAAACAAAUGUGAAAGGAGGAGUUAGCAGCUCGACAAAACUUCGUCGAAAUAAAUGUUUGCUAUUUAAAGUGUUUUUGAUAGUCAACUUGAAGUUGCAUCUUACAUUCUUGAGAAAACACUACUCUUAAAAAAACUCACCCGACAAUGCAUUUGUCCAGCAUUAAGCUUCUUUUGUCACAUUUAUCAAACGUUUAGCAAAAACUUCUCAAAAGUUUUAAAUGCACAAUUCAACCCUUCCUUGUGUAUUUCACCUGUUUUUACAAUAUUAUAUGGAGGAUUUUUGGGUGUGUAAAAGACUACAAUGUAAUAUAAAAACAUUCAUAACUGGUUUAGAUUUAUAUCCCACCUGAUUUUUCUAAUAAAAAGUUGAGUUUCAAUGUAAGAUUGGUGGGCUUGUCCAAGAUAGGCAAUGCUAGAGACAUGAUAAAAACCAUUCAUGUGUCUUCACCUAACAACUUAACCUUUCGCUAUUUUGAACACCAUAAGCUAAUCAUGUUCUCCAUGAUAAGAAAUAUUUUGAAACAUGAUCUCAACAAUUAGCAUGUGAUGUGAAUGCAGCUCGUUUCCUUUUCUGACAUGAUGGACAUUAACCCAAAAGAAUUAGAGGUAGUUGUUGGCCUAAAGUAAGCUGGCCUUCUGAUGUUGUGGCAGAUCCAAAUAUGAAUGAGGGGUUGAGAGUUUCGCAGAGGAAAAGGAGAAAAAUGGUGAUUAUUGGGGGCAGUUGGUUAUCAUUAUCACUUGUGAAUCUUAUGGAAUGGAAGGCGUAUAUUUAGUAAAGUAGCAGAGGUGAAGCAGAGAAGACAAUUAAUUUUGUGUAUGGUAAAUAGAAAUUUAAAGGUCAGUCUGUCUCUAAGAGGUCUACUUUCGCUGAUUAACAAUACCAGUGGCUUGCUUCUCUCUCCUUUUAUUCUCCAUUUUUGUUUCUGUUAUGCAACAUCUGACUUUGUAUAGAUCAAGCCAAUUUGUGAAUGAAACUACUAAUACGUUCUCAUAAUAUUCAAUUUAGAGAGAAAGAAAGGUAAUUCAAAAAAUUAAAAGAUUCAAGAUAUCUGAACAAGAUCACUGAUUCAAGUUAGCAAACAAGACUCAAUUAUUUAGUAUAAAAAAAAAAAACAAAAACUAUUACAUAAGAAAUGAAAAUUCUCACCAUUGCUGAAGAGUGACACAAGGUAAGAGGCAUAUGCUUCUCAAUUGCCUCACACCAUUGCUGAAUUACUGAAUCACUAGCUUCAAAGUUUACAAUAACAUCAUCUUUUCCCUCCACAUCAUACGAUGGAGCAGAUGACACUUUCUUCAUCCUAAUGCAAUCAGAUGCAAAAGGAAUAUCCAUUAAUUUAUCAUCUGAAAGAUCUUCUGUUCCUUGAAAUCCAGAGACUGCCCGAAGACUCUCAUCUAGAACCUUAAAAUAUUAAAAUAAAUUCUCAUUAUUUCAAAUAGAUACAAGAAAUCAUGUCUCUAAAAUGAUAUCAAUUCAAGUCAAAAUAAUAUUUAAAAUAAGAAUGGCAAAAAUUUAGAUAAAGGCAACAGUUCCUCAGGUGCUUUUGCUGUUCUCCAAUCAGAAUUGGAUUUUCAAAUAAUUAUAUGAUAAAGGUCUGUAUUAUAGGUGACCAUAGGUUAUCAUGGCAAAACUUCAGUCCUAAUUGGAGAAUGGCACCAAAACACGCAAGGAAUUCCAUCUAAGUUUCGUCAAAAUAAAACUUAGAUGAAAAGUAUAUACAAGUAAUAGUACAAGAAACACGAGAUCAUGCCACAAGAAAAAUGUAAUGGUGUUAAUAGAAUAUCCUAAAUAAAAAAAUUAAAAAAAAGUAUAUAAAAGCUCACUGGAAGCAAGUUCAUGCUCACAACAUUAAGUGAGAAACAUAUCAAAUUGAGAGAAUUAGGAUUUGAGAGAACAAGAAACUUAUUUUAAUUUGAAAUGGAACAAACAACAUUGGAAAGAGAAGUUGAUUAAUGUUCAAAGAAUUGCAUCUAAGUGUUGACAAUUAAUAAAAAAGUCAAAAAAGAAAAUUUGACACUUUUCUAUGCAAAUGAAAAGAAUAUAAAAGUGCUAGUACGAGACACAAUUGACACCAUGUCACAAGAAAAAAUGUAAUGGUAUUAAUAAAAGCACUUCUAACUCAAAACAAAAGAACCAAAAAUAAAAUCACAUCAGAAGCAAGUUUAUGCCCUCAACAACAAAUGAGAAACACAUCAAAUAGGUUUUGGGUGAAAAAGACAAACUUAUUUUAAUUUCAAAUUGAACAAAAAUAGUUGGAAAGAAAUGUCCAAUGUUCAGGGGAUAGAUACCAUUAACACAAACUCAAUUAGAGUGGAAAGAAAUAGAUGAAAUAUAUUUCUGAGAUUUCUUACAAAUGUAAUUACAAUCUCUAUUUAUAGACUGUUUUACAACCUAAUUAAAGAAAGAAAUAAUAGGCAAUGAAAGCCAUAAAUAAUGAGUGUUUAAAGCUGUACAAAUCAAAUAAAAUCAAAUCACUAACAAAUCUGUCCUAAUAAAUAUAAAAUGGAAUCUGCACUUAAUUAUAACAUAAUUCUCCUGAUUAUGCAACACUCCCCCUCAAGUUGGUGAAUGUAUAUCUAUCAUUCCCAACUUGCAAGUAAGAUCUUCGAAUUGUUUUGUGGGAAGUCCCUUAGUAAACAUAUCUGCCAAUUGGAGUCUUGAAGGGAUGUACUCAGUGGCUAUAAGACCAUCAUCCAACUUCUCUUUAAUAAAGUGUCGGUCUAUCUCUACGUGCUUUGUUCGAUCAUGUUGAAUCGGAUUGUGUGCAAUACUGAUAGUGGACUUAUUAUCACAUGCCAAACCCAUAGGAGCUUCAUAUUUUAUUUUUAGGUCAUCAAGUAUGAUCUUCAUCCAUAAGAGUUCACACACCCCUUGAGCCAUGGCUCUAAAUUCUGCCUCUGCACUUGAUCUUGCAACUACAUUUUGCUUCUUGCUCCUCCAUGUCACCAGAUUUCCACCCAAGAACAUGCAGUAGCCUGUGGUGGAUUUCCUAUCAACAAUCGAUCCUGCAUAGUCAGCAUCAGUAUAUACUUUCAUGGAUAAGUUUUCCCCCUUUUUGAAUAGCAAUCCUUUUCCUGGAGAGGCUUUUAAGUACUGAAUAAUUUUAUCUACUGCCUGCAAGUGUCUUUCUCUUGGAUCAUGCAUAAAUUGACUAACCACACUAACUGCAUAGGCUAUAUCUGGCCUAGUGUGUGAAAGAUAAAUGAGUUUUCCCACAAGUCUUUGAUAUUGUGUCUUCUCCACUUUUGGGUUUUCCUCAUCAUUCCCAAUCCUAUGAUUUUGCUCUAUUGGCACUCCAGUGGGCUUACAACCCAACUUACCAAUCUCUUUGAGAAGAUCAAGGAUGUAUUUCCUUUGAGAAAUAAAGAUGCCCUGUCUCGAGUAAGCNNNNNNNNNNNNNNNNNNNNNNNNNNNNNNNNNNNNNNNNNNNNNNNNNNNNNNNNNNNNNNNNNNNNNNNNNNNNNNNNNNNNNNNNNNNNNNNNNNNNNNNNNNNNNNNNNNNNNNNNNNNNNNNNNNNNNNNNNNNNNNNNNNNNNNNNNNNNNNNNNNNNNNNNNNNNNNNNNNNNNNNNNNNNNNNNNNNNNNNNNNNNNNNNNNNNNNNNNNNNNNNNNNNNNNNNNNNNNNNNNNNNNNNNNNNNNNNNNNNNNNNNNNNNNNNNNNNNNNNNNNNNNNNNNNNNNNNNNNNNNNNNNNNNNNNNNNNNNNNNNNNNNNNNNNNNNNNNNNNNACUUCUUCCUCCAAGCUUCCAUGCAAGAAGGCAUUUUUAACAUCAAAUUGAUGCAUUUCCCAACCAAAGUGUGCUGCCAGGGAGAGAAUAAUCCUGACGGUAUUCAUUUUUGCCACUGGAGCAAAAGUCUCCUCAUAAUUGAUCUCAUAGGUUUGAGUGUACCCUUUUGCAACCAACCUUGCUUUAUAUCGAUCCAGUGUGCCAUCAGACUUAUACUUAACUGUGUAUAUCCACCUACAACCAACUGCUUUCUUAUCUUUUGGUCUCUCUACAAUCUCCCAAGUCUCAUUCAUUUCUAACGCGCUCAUUUCUUCAUUGAUGGCUCGAAUCCAGUUCUCAUCUUUUAAGGCUUCUUGUACCGAUGUAGGGAUUUUGAUAGAAUCAAUAGCUGAAAGAAAACUCUGGUGCUGCAUAGAAAGUUUUUCUGUAGACACAAAUUGGGAUAUAGGAUAUUUGGCACAAGAUCUUUCUUCUUUUCUCAAGGCAAUAGGUAAAUCAUUUAGGUUAGGUUCAAAAGCAGUAUUUAAGGUGUCCUCAAGAGUCUCACUGGUAUGAGUUCUUACCUCCGAUUCAGACAAUUGAAGUUGUUGUUCGACCAGGACGGGUUCUUGUUGCCUUCGCUGAUAUUGUUUNNNNNNNNNNNNNNNNNNNNNNNNNNNNNNNNNNNNNNNNNNNNNNNNNNNNNNNNNNNNNNNNNNNNNNNNNNNNNNNNNNNNNNNNNNNNNNNNNNNNNNNNNNNNNNNNNNNNNNNNNNNNNNNNNNNNNNNNNNNNNNNNNNNNNNNNNNNNNNNNNNNNNNNNNNNNNNNNNNNNNNNNNNNNNNNNNNNNNNNNNNNNNNNNNNNNNNNNNNNNNNNNNNNAUUUGUACCCCUUUUUGUUGGGGUCAUAACCGAUGAAGACACAUUUGAUGGCACGAGGAUCUAACUUACCCCGAUAAGGACUAUGAACAUGGACAAAAGCAGGACAACCAAAGACACGAUUUUGAAGACUAUUCAACAUGGGAAUAGAAGGAUAGAAUGUGGUCAUAACCUGGAUAGGAGUAACACCCUCUAGAACCCGAGAGGGUAAUCUAUUAAUCAAAUAAGUGGUAGUCAGGACAACUUCUCCCCAGUAAGAUCUAGGAACAGAUGUUUGGAAAAGUAAAGCUCGAGUAACCUCAAGGAGAUGACGAUUUUUCCUUUCAGCAACCCCAUUUUGUUGAGGAGUGUCCACACAGGUUAAUUCAUGAACAACUCCAUUUUCCUCAAGGAACUUGGAAAGGUUUUGGUUCACAUAUUCUCUUCCAUUAUCAGAACGCAAUCUCUUAAUUGGACUUGCAAAUUGUGUUUGAAUCAUUCUGUAAAACUUUACAAACAAGUGAAAAACUUCAGACUUAUCUUUCAUGAGAAAUAUCCAAGUAACCCGAGUACAAUCAUCAAUAAAUGAAACAAACCAUUUUGCACCCGAGAUAUUAGGAAUAGGUGAAGGUCCCCAUACAUCUGAAUGAAUAAGAUCAAAAGGUUUAGAACUUUUAUUACCAUUGGGAGGAAAAGUUGUCCGAUAGUGUUUAGCAAACUGACAAACAUCACAAUGAAAUAACUCAGCAGACACUUUUGUAAAUAAAACAGGAAAUAAGGACUUUAGGGUACUAAAUGGAGGAUGACCAAGACGUCUGUGUUGAAGCCAUAUCUGAGAGGAUGACCAAGAUUCACGACCUUGCUGAAGAUUAGAAGUGUGUGCCUGUAGUCUAGCACCCUUUUUACUUUCUUCAUGCUGUAAAUAAUAUAACCCGCCCUGCUCUUUAGCAAUUCCAAUAGUCUCCCCCGUGGCAAGAUCCUGAAAAACACAAUGGGAAGGGAAAAAUACCACUGCACAAUUUAAAUCUUGGGUAAUCUUUUGAAUAGACAAGAGGUUAUUGGAUAGUUUGGGAACAUGAAGCACAUUUUUUAAAGGAAAUGAAGGUUGAAGGUGAAUGUUACCACGACCAUUAAUUGGGGGUAGUGGAACCAUUAGCAACAGUAAUAUAUGGCUUACCGGAUAAAGUAGUGUAGGAUGAAAAAGAAGAGGAAUGAGGUGUCAUAUGAUCAGUAGCACCAGAGUCUAUAAUCCAGAUAUUUUCAGUACUAGAAGCAUUAAAGGAUAAAAAACUAGAACUCUUACCACUCAUAGUAAAGGAACAAUAGCUAGAUGGCUUACUAAAGGAGUCCAUGAGAGUUCAAAACCAACUGAGCGACGGCAGUGGUGGUCGGUGGUGGUGGUCGGCGGUGGUCAAUGGCGGUGGCAGUAACGGUCAAUGGUGCAAGGUGGUGGUGGUGGUCAAUGGAGAAAGGAUAAGAAAAAUAGAAAGUUGCAGCAAUGAAGGCUGUCCAAAAAAAAAAUUAAUUGCAGCAAUGAAGGCUGUCAAGGAAAAUGAUUACAGCAAUGAAGGCUAAAAAAAAAAAAAUUGCGGAAGCAAAGUCUCCUAGAUCAGGAGCUCUGAUACCAAGUGGAAAGAAAUAGAUGAAAUAUAUUUCUAAGAUUUCUUACAAAUGUGAUUACAGUCUCUAUUUAUAGACUGUUUUACAACCUAAUUAAAGAAAGAAAUAAUAGGCAAUGAAAGCCAGAAAUAAUGAGUGUUUAAAGCUGUACAAAUCAAAUCAAAUCACUAACAAAUCUGUCAUAAUAAAUAUAAAAUGGAAUCUGCACUUAAUUAUAACAUAAUUCUCCUGAUUAUGCAACAAUUAGCAUUCACAGUUUUUCCACCUUAGCUGCCUCAACUCAACUGUGAUACCGACUACGAAAAUAUUAGCUCAGCAUGUGAAAAUUGGCAUACCAUAGCCAAAUUAGAUGACAUUGGUUCCAAAAAUCAGCUGGACCUUACUAACUCGGUCCACAUCUAUUGACAGUGUUUAGGACAGGCAGGGAGUAGAUUGGGCAUCUUUUAUUUUCGCAUGUGCUACACCAAAAAGGUUAUUCCUUGGUCUACUAGGUGAAUUAUUUUUCAUCCAACACUUUAUCCCUUGUUUUGUGCUUCUCCAUAAGCACUUUUAUAAUCAAACAAUGAACAAUUUAAUGCUGGCUAGUCCAUUAGUUUCAGGUAAAUCAAACAGACCAAAUGAGCAAUAGAACUAAUAUAACAGACUAUAGAAAGAACAUAAGGUUUGUUUGUUUAACUUUCUCCAUAAGCCCUUCUACAAGAACAAAAUAAGAAGAAAAAAGUGAAAUAUGUUUCUCAAUGAACUAAGAAUAGAUGCAUUAGUGAAAAAUCUAAAUUUGGAUAAGUUAAACAAAAGAGCCUCUACAAGUUAGUUUAUGCAUAAGCUACUUGUAGCUUAUAAAAAUCUUCAUUCAUUUUUUCUUCUUAUUUUCUUUUCACAGAAGUCUCUAUGGAGAAACUUAUUCAAACAAAUCCAAAAUCUUUAUGGUAGAAAGGAGUGCAAAGACGCCAACUAACUUCAAUGCAUACAACACAUGCAUUUUCAAACUCGAAUUGACUUCUGAUUCUACACCAAUAAAUCUAACAGAAAGGGGAUUAAGAUCAGUUCAGGGAAAAGAAAAGUUGCUACCUUAAUAGCAGCGAUAGUAACUUUUUCAUUAAUAAAUGUAGUAGGGCUACCAACAUGUUCACUUGAUUGCCUGGAAGGAGCUUCAACGCAAGCAGUGCUAAUGAAGUGAUACACAAUAGCAGAAACUUGUUCCCAACAAGCAGUCACUAUGUUAGGAUAAUUGUGGAAUGCAGAUUUAAGUGCCUGUAGAAAGUUAAUCUGAAUACAUCAAUAAACUGGCAUAGAAGCACUCACCAACUUACUAUUUAAACAUCAAUAGAAAAAUACAUGUCCAUCAAUAACUACUACUUUUAAAUUUGAAAACAGCUUGAUGUUUAAAACAUCUAUGAAACUUUCGAUGACAAAAUAAGAAAGGCAAGAUACCAUUAAUCUUUCAGAAUCAAGCUCCAAGUUAACACCAAUACUACCCUUAAUCUUCAAUUUGCAGUAAGUCAUUAAAUUUCACUAAUCUUUGGCAGAAAAAAAAAAUAUACAAAGCUGUCAGUAACAAUAUUUUAAUACAAUCGCAAGACUUUAUGUUGGAACACAUGAUACUAUUUUAUUACCUUGAGUUUUUGUUUGUACAGUUGUUGUAGUAUGAGAUAUGUAUUUCCUCGUUUCAAUUUUGUACAAAUUUUUUCAAAUUUUUUUCAUUUUAUUAGUUUCAGUUAUUCCUAUAGUUAGAACCAGUGUAGUUAAAAAACGGAUGGCAGAUUUCUUACUGGCUGCUGUUUUAUCCGCAUUACCUGGUGAGUUUUGCAUGGCGGGCUAUGGCAAUAAUUUUCAUGUAGUAGUCAUUGCAGAAAUACUAGAAGAUGUGAAUUUACUACAAGUUUUAUUAGUCAAUUUAUGCAUGGCCCAAAUGUAGUGCACCUAUAGGCCACUCACCUUGUUGCAACCACUAGGAACAAGAAUUUUAUAUAAAAGAAACAUAAUUCAUGAGGCUUUACUCCGAUGCUAACUAAGCAAGGUCUACGACUACAAUAGAAGGUCCACUACAUGAUAUUGGACAAUUCUUGAAGAGUCAUCCCCACACCUAUCAAAAUUGAAGAAAAUGGUUCCUAACCUUGGCAAUCUUCAAGUCCUAGAGUGUGAGUCAUGUCAACAGAGGAAACAUGUUAGAUCUCCCUUUCCAAAAGGAUCCGAAACAAAAUAUAACGUUAUCUCUUCAAUAAUUCAUUUUGACAUUUGGGGUCCUCGUCGACUCACAUCUUUUAGAUUUUCGUAUUUUGUGAUUUUUAUUGACAAACAUUCUCAAUGAACUUGGGUUUAUUUAAGGAAAGAUUGAUCUAAAUUGUUUUUUUGCUCUUUCUUUAAUGAAAUCAAAAAUCAAUUUGGCAAGGUUAUCAAAGUUUUGAGGAAUGAUAAUGCUAAAGAAUAUUUUUCUUCCAACUUUCAUACUUUUUUUAAGUUCACAUCGUAUUUUACACAAGUCCACCAACCCUCACACACCUUAGAAAAAUGGUAUAAUAGAAGCAAAACCCAUGAUAUAAUGCAUAGUGUGUCUCAAUGAGCAAGCAGACCUGAUAUAAUGCAUAGUGUCUAUGUGCAAGGUUUCACAUAGAUCAUAAAAGAGUCUCAUUUGAAGCCUGCCAAGCGGAUUUUUCGGUACCUUAUUGGGUCUACUAAUCUGUGUUAUAACGGAAAAAAAAAGUUACAAAUUAGAAGGCUUCUACGACAGGAACUAUGCUGGAGAUCAUGUCGACAGAAAAAGCACAAACGGAGGCUGCCACUUUCUUGAACCUUGUCUAGUGUCGUGGUCAAGCAAGAGGCAAAACUCAAUCGCUUUUUGUACAAUAGAGGUUGAAUAUAUGCUUGGUACAAGUUUUUCUCAACAGCUAUAGGUGAAGUAUUAGAUGAAAGAUUACUCUAGCAUUGAACACAAUAUACUAAUAUAUUGUGACAACACUAGUGCAAUCAAUCUAUCGAAAAAUCCUAUACAACAUUCUAAGGCUAAGCACAUUGAGGUAAGAUAUCAUUUCAUUUGUGAUUAUGUUCAUAAAAAUGUUUUUAAACUAAAGUUUGUGAAAACAAAUCACUAAUGGUUCGAUAUAUUUACAAAGGCUUUACCUGAAGAACAUUUUAAUUCAUUUUAAAACAUAUUUAAGAAUGAUAGGUUUUAUAGACGUUCUUAAUCAGACAACAUGAUCGUUAGUUUAGUUUUAAUGUGUUUGUUAAAUUUGUGGUGAGACUAUCAGGUCCUGAUAGUCAUUACAGUCUUACAGACAAUUAUUGCAUCAUGACAGACAACAUCAAACACAUGAAGGUUGUUUUUGAACAUGCAUCACAAGGUUGCAUUUGAAACCUGAAGUGUCCUCCUCCAAUUCUCUCUCCUACAACAUGACUAAGUCCUAAGGAAAGCUAUAAAGUAGCAAGCAUCUUCAUAAUGGCUUCUGGCUUUGCAAACCAAGCCUCAUCUUCCCACUGCUUUAGUGAUAGAAGUAGAACAAGUUUUAAAGUGGCAAAAGUUAUCCUCUAUUGGACUAAGGUCAUUUUUCUCUUUUUUUUUAUGGCCCUUAAGGGAUAGAAAGAUAAAAUUUAAAACAUAUAGUGGGAGAAAAGUAUAAGAGAAGAGAAAGUUAAAAGACAUUAAGUUUAAAAGAGAAGGAGAUCUCUAGUUGAAGGGGAGCUUAGAUGAAGAAGAACUUUAAAAGAUGCUAAGUUAAGGAGAAGCUCAACAAAUGAUAUUUGUUUAACGUUUCUUUAGUUUCACUUUUUCCAUUGCUCUAUGCUUUGAUAUAUGAAAUAUACUAAGUUAUAAAAGCCUGGAUUCCUUUAUUUGAUGAUUCUUUAUGCACUAUAAUUUGUAAUCACAUUGAACAAGAUUAUAUCUCCUGAUAUAAUCAUCUAUAAUGAACAUUACGUGAUAAAGUUUCAACCCCAUCAAACUUGUGCUAAACUACUUUUUAUGUGUCUUGAGUGGGUUUUAAUUAAAAACGUUUGUGAAAACUUGAUCUAAUAAAAAUCUUUCGAAAAUGAUAUUGUUUAAAAUGUGUUACUUAACAAUAAAAAAAGGGGAGAUUGUCAGAGAAAAAAACAACAAACUGCGAGUUAUUUUAAUUAAGUGCUUACAACGGUGUUAAAACCUAAAUUUGUCUUAGCAUGACAAACAAAAUGUUUCAUUUGAUGACUAUGGACGCAAAUGUUUUGUUUGACGCCAAUAGAUGCAAAGCACCUUGCGUACAUAUCAUGUCUGAUAAGAUUAUGCUUAAGAUGGACGAUUAGAUGUGUUUCAAAAGCUUACAUAGUAGAACUCUUAAUCUACUAAUGUUUUUAGUAUAUUUGCAGAGAAUGCUUCUUCAUCUAACCACAAUGAAUAUCUCCAAGGAAUAACAACAUCAAAAGAUUUCUCGAGAAUUGUGUCAGAACUGCCACACGCCAACAACUUCACUUUCGUCAUUGUUGCAUAGUUUAUCCACUUUGUACAAUCUUGACUUUUACCCUAGUUGAAAUAAAUAUAAUGUAACCUAGACCUGAUAAGUUAUGUUCAGUAUCAAAACAUUCCUUCAAAUAGAAUUAUGCAAUGUUUCAUGGAGAACAUUUAAUGCAACCCUCAAGUCUACAAGGACAUACGCACACUGAGAAUGAAGGACUUCUCUUUGUCUCUCAACGACCAACUAAGAAUUUGCAAAGACUCUUACAUAAAUCUUUAUUUACAGAAGAUAUCUUGGAAGAGUAAAGUUGAAGAACUAAUGAUCUUAUGAACAACUAUAAAGUUGAAAUCUUAAGCUUAAUCUAGCUCGUUGAUAGAACAUUGUUGUGUUCUUUGGCUAUCUAGAAGUGAACUUAUCUUGCAUGCAUUGUAGGAUACAACACCUUUUUAAGUGAGCAACCCUACGAUUGUCUGAUCACAUUUUUUUGAAACCAAGUAUCUUAACUAGAAGUGACUACGGUCCAAACAAUACCCUGUCUUUGUUAGGAGUGGUUGGAAUCCAAGCAAUACUCAAUUUUGGCAAGGAGUGGCUGCGGGCGAAAUAAUACUCAGUCUUUGAGUGAUUGCUUUCCAAAAAAUAUUGGGUUGUAUGUAUAGUCAAGAGUGGUUUGAGAUUCAAAGAAUACUUGCUCUGUAUUUGCACUGAUAGUCUACGCAGUGAAACUUCAUCAAGAAUUAGACGUAGUUCUGGUUAACACAUGAUCAAGUAUAAAAAAUCAAGCUUGUUUAUAAUAAUAAAUCUAUCAUUAACAUUGUUCACAAUACAAGCAAGUUUGGCAAAACAAAGCACAAAGAUUGACUAUCACAUUACAAAGAAGUUGAUCAAUGACCUUAUAGCAACAACAUAUAUACAUUAUAGUUUCAAUCGACCAAGUAUAUCAACCAAGUGAUAGCUGAACAUUUCUAACAUCUUUCCAACGAGGCAAGAAUGAUAUAUAUAUAUAUAUAUAUAUAUAUAUAUUCCCCAAACUUGAGGGAGAGAGUAGAAACACAUGAAUUUCAUUCUUUGUUACAUUAUUUCAGUUCUAUUUAAAAAAAAAACCCUGGAAAUAUAGUUUCCUUUUUUUAACUAUAAUUGCCUUACUAAUAGUAUAAGUUGUAAAUUUUAAAAUUAGUUGCCUCACUAUACAUAUCAUUUAUACUUGGACUCAUUAUCAACAUGGAUUUUGGUUAAAUAAUUGAAACUAAAAAUGAAAGGCUCAUUACAAAUCACAUUCCACAAACCAUAUAUACCAUCCUCCCCAUUUAUAGAUGCAAAUGAAUAAACAAUUAACCAAACCAAAGAAAUUACCUGAAGGGCUUCAAGGCAAAUGGUUGGGCAACUCGAUUGCAUCGAAUAUUCAAAUAAGGUAUAAAGAACACCAGACUUCUUUUUAGUCUCAAUGUAGCCUGAAGGAAAGCAAACAAAUGCAAAGAUAAGGCUAAACCAAUUAAGCAGUAACCUGACAAUGGAAUAUGCACAGUCCAACCAGUAAUGUCUUGUGCCUAAACAUACAAUCUAACAAAUCAGUCGUGCCAAUCAGUUAGUGACCAGAAAAACAUAAAGCCUUAUAUUCUUGUCCUCAAAGCAUGUCCAUAGAGGACACAAUCAAAAGAACAUAAAUGUUAUUUGGUUACAACUUUUUUUUAUAAUCAAAAUAUUUUAAUAUGUUAGGGUGACAAGUCACUAGCUUUAAAUUUUCAUUCCAACUCCCUUUAGAAGGAAAAUUGUGAACUCAACACUAAUAUGAAUCUAGUGGAAACCCAAAGAACAUAUGCAUGCAAUUUAUAUUUCUAAUAAAAAAAAUCAUAGUUGUAUCAAAAUUAAAGAUUUCACUUGUCUAGUGAGAAAUUCGUCUAAAGCUUUAAUGAAAAAUGAUAUGUUGGAUUUCAACGUGAUUCAUUUUUUAGUAUUAAUACUCGUAGUGGUAAAGUUCGUCUUUACUCUUCCUGUUAGAUGAGAGUUUCAUUCACCAGGCUGGGUUAAAAUUAACACUGAUGGUGUGGCUAGAUGUUAUUCUGGUCUUGCUACUUGUGGAGGUAUUUUCCGUGGGAGUAUGAGGGAGUUUAUUGGUGGGUUUUCUACGUUUAUUGAUGUUCAAACUGCUUUGAUUGCUGAGUUAUAUGGAGUUAUAUAUGCUAUGGAGUAAACUCAAAAGAUAGGUCUUAGUAAGGUAUGGCUUGAAUGUGAUUCUUCCUUGGUUAGUGGUGCAUGAACUGUUAGGACUAACGUUUCGUGGAUGUUUCGUAAUCGGUGGAACACUUGUGUUAAUUACUGUGGGAAAAUAAUGUUUAGGGUUACUCAUAUUUUUCGUGAAGGGAAUGCGUGUGCGGAUAAGCUGACUAACUUAGGAUUCAUUCAUAGAGAUUCAUUUCAUUGGUAUAAUAGACUUCCAUCUAGUCUAUUCUUAGAGUUCUUUAUCAAUAGGUAUAGUUUAUCUAUAUAUCGUUUUUGUUAACAUAUGGGUUUUGGUUUAACCUCCCCAUAUUUUUUUUUGUAUUUUCUUUUUUCUUUUAAUAAUAUUUUUUAUGUGCAGAUGAUUGUUGUUACUUGGGGUGUUAGCCUAGCUGAAAUGUCAAGUUGCGUAGUAAUGCCUAAUAUGAAAGUUUUAUAUAAAAAAAAGAAUCAAGUGGUUCAGUGAGAAGAAAUUAUCUACCCAUGUCAAAGCAAAAACAAAUGAGUAAACGAUGAGAAUUAUUGAGCAAAGAUUAAUUUCUCUCAUGUAUUGUUGAGUGAUUAAUACAUGUAUCUAUACAUAAGAGGGUUGAUUCAAUCCUUAGAGUUUAGGGAUUAUUAUUAGGGAAACAAGGACAAUUAAUGAAAAUAAGGAAACAAGGAAACAAGGAAAAUUCAUGAAAAAAAAAAGAAAAAAAAGGAACAACAAAAAUAAGUAAAUGGAGACAUAUGAAAUAAUAUCUUUUAUAAUCCCAACCGUCCCCUUCAAAGUAAAAUAUAGACUCCCUCGAGUCCUUAUUAUAAGGCACAUUUUAGAAGAAAUUAUUGGUUUCUUUUACAAUCAUAUAGUGGAAGUUAGCUCACAUCCUUCACCGACACCAUCUCCAAUAUCGAAUCUAGUUUCCUCUUAAAAUGAUUAGCCUAUUGCUAUUCAAAAAGGUACAUGUUCAACCCAUUACCUUCUACCCACUACACAAACCUCUUUUAUCAUCGGUUUUCCAUCAUAGAGUAUGUUUGUUUGUCCUUGUUAUCUUCUAAUCCUAUUCCUAAGUCUCUAAGUGAAGUUUUAUCUCAUCCAUAGUGACAACAUGCAAUGAUUGAUAAGAUAUGUGACCUUCAAAGUAGUGGUACUUGGGAGUUGGUUGUCUUCUAGCUAGCAAAUCAAUGGUUGGGUUUCGUUGCUUCUAUAGUCUUAAAACAAAACCUCAUGGAAAUAUUAAUACUAUAAAGCUCGAUUGGUUGUCAAAGGCUACACAAAAAUUGUAGCAAAGAUUAUAUUGAUACUUUCUCACAUGUUAUCAAAAUGACAUCUAUUUGACUUCUCUUUUCCAUUGCAGCUAUUCACCACCAAGGUUACCGAUAUCGGAAAACAAAAUUUCGAAGAUCCAGAAAUCCUUUAUAAGAAUAUAUUGGAUACCAUAACGGGUUAUGGCAAAAACAUCGCGAACAAAAAAUAUAUAUUCAUAUCAAUAAUAUACAAAAAUACAAUAUAUAUAUUAAAGGAAAAGAAAGAAUAGGGUAAAUCCCUUGUGUAUAUUGAACACAUAGGGUUAUGUUUAUAUAGAAAAAGAAACAUAUGGGCUAAGCCCAUUACAUAAAUAUGAGAUAUCUAACAAUAUCUAUAAUAUCUCAUAAUAUCAAAUAAUAUCUAAAUAUAUCUAAUAAUAUCUGACACUCCCCCUCAAGUUGGUGCAUAUAGAUCAUAUAUACCCAGCUUGUUACAAAUAUAAUCAAUCCUAGGUCCUCGUAAGGGCUUAGUAAAAAUAUCUGCUAAUUGAUUAUUUGAAUUAACAAACUCAGUCUUGAUAUAUCCUGAUAUAAUCUUUUCUCGAAUGAAAUGACAAUCAAUCUCAAUAUGUUUUGUCCUUUCAUGAAAAACUGGAUUUGAGCUAAUAUGAAGAGCAGCCUGAUUAUCACAUAUCAGUGUCAUUUGAGUAACUUCUCCAAAUUGCAAUUCUUUAAGUACCUGUUUAAGCCAAAUAAGCUCACAAGUAGCUGGGUCAUAGCUCUAUAUUCUGCUUCUGCACUAGAUCUUGCCACAACACUUUGUUUCUUGCUCUUCCAAGAGAUCAAGUUAUCACCAAUGGAGACACAAUAACUAGAAGUUGACCUUCUAUCAGAUGGAGAUCCUGCCCAAUCAGCAUCUGAAUAACAAAUGACUUUAGUAUGGUUAUUAUGACCAUAUAACAAACCUUUUCCAGGAGAGCCUUUAAUGUACUUCACUAUACGAAUGACUGCAUUCCAAUGAUCUUCACAUGGAGAAUUAAGAAAUUGACUCACCACACUGACUGCAAAGGAAAUAUCAGGACGAGUAACAGUGAGAUAGUUCAAUCUUCCAACUAAUCUCCUGUACUUUUCAGGAUCUGAAAGAGGCUCCCCCUGAUUGGGUAGAAGCUUGACGUUAUAUCAGCGGUGUGUUUACCUGGCACGCGCAAAAGGGUAGAACAAGUGGAAGUAAAAUUGGGCACAAUAGGAGAUCCCAAAAUUUGAUCACGAACGUGAGAAUAAUNNNNNNNNNNNNNNNNNNNNNNNNNNNNNNNNNNNNNNNNNNNNNNNNNNNNNNNNNNNNNNNNNNNNNNNNNNNNNNNNNNNNNNNNNNNNNNNNNNNNNNNNNNNNNNNNNNNNNNNNNNNNNNNNNNNNNNNGUCAUUGUACCAUCAAGACGUUUGGGAGCAACAAUUGUGAGAAGAUUUUGACACACACCAUAAAGACGUUGAGUAUCAUUGGUGUAUAAUAAUUUUGCUUGUUCCUAAACUUCUGAACAUGUCUCAUAGGUACGAAAAAUUUGUUUUAAAGAUGAGUGAAUGGUCGAUUUGAUAACAAUGCAUAAUUGAGCAUCAAUUUUCGACUAACGAACAACCUCAUUUUCAGCAAGAGUAGGAUGAGUAAGAUGAUCAACAUAACCUUGACUCUUAAGUCAUAAUUUAAUAUCUGAUGCCCAAGUGUCAUAAUUGGUUCCAUCCAAUUUGUCAAUGGAAAGAUGAACAUUGACGUAAUUAGUAUAAAUAGAUGAAUCCGGNNNNNNNNNNNNNNNNNNNNNNNNNNNNNNNNNNNNNNNNNNNNNNNNNNNNNNNNNNNNNNNNNNNNNNNNNNNNNNNNNNNNNNNNNNNNNNNNNNNNCGGAAGAAGCCAUAGUGGCAGCGGAAGCGGAAGAAGCCAUAGAAGAUAAGGACAAAUCCAGUCACCGGUUAAUUGGCGGGAGCAACAAAGAUGAAGGCUCCGACAGCGAUUCCGGCAACGUCUCCGGCGAGAUUCCGGCGGCGGCUUCGGCGAGGGUCCGGCGAAGGUCCGGCGAGGGUCCGGCGAGACAGUGGGGUGGUGGCUGGAAAAUUCCAGUGAAUAGUGGGUUCACCAAUAAAAAUUGAACCCUAAACCCUAACCUUAUGCUCUAGAUACCAUAUUAAAGGAAAAGAAAGAAUAGGGUAAAUCCUUUGUGUAUAUUGAACACAUAGGGUUAUGUUUAUAUAGAAAAAGAAACAUAUGGGCUAAGCCCAUUACAUAAAUAUGAGAUAUCUAACAAUAUCUAUAAUAUCUCAUAAUAUCAAAUAAUAUCUAAUUAUAUCUAAUUAUAUCUAAUAAUAUCUGACAAUAUACAUAUAGAUAAUUUAAAAAAAAUUACAAAAAUAACGAAAGACAAUUAGUAACUAAUAAUAAUAUCACGGUUAAGAAAUUCAAAUAACAAUAAAAUCAAAUUAAAACCCUGCAAAUGUCAAGUUCAAAACUUAAAAUAACAACAAAACACAAUCAAGGAGUUGCAAGUUCAAUGUGAGUAGGGUGGAGUUGCAAUCCACAGUGAUAGUCGAAAUAGCGGCAAUGGCAAUGCCAGUGGAAACAACAACAAUGUCAGCAAAAGCAGCAACGGCAGCAGCAGGACUGGACUAUAAUGAAGGAGACUAGGUCAACAUUAUGUUGUAAUGUUUCGUUUGGAAAAGGUUGUAUGGCCCAACUCAUUUUUUUAAAAGAAAAAACACUUGGGCUUACUCCAAUUGGAAAAAUAAGAAAAUAGGAAAGAAGAUUAGUGUUUCAUUGUCAUGGACUGGGUUAGGUCACGCAGACUCGAGACUUCUCCUUCAAUUCGCUCAGGUGUCACUGCUAAUCAUUCGUUUCACAAUGGUGUUGCUACUACUUUGUUUCACACGAGCAUCGCUCUGACAAUCCUCAACUUCCGCCAGAUCAGUUCCGCGACGCUAUUCUUUGACAUCCAAAGCAACCACAAUGCUCCUCCAUGAAAAACUUACAUCACCACGUGGUUGCAAGCUAUAACUCCACCAUCGAUUUCCAUCAUAGUGCCGCCAUAGCAAAAUUGUUUAUAGCACUGUUCACCAUUGGACUCUUUUUCAGCUUCACAUCAAAAUGGAUUUCUACGUGGUGAUCUCGGUGAAGAAGUCUACAUGGAGCAACCUCUGCAAUUUGUUGAUCAGUAGUUGUCUAAUAUGGUGUGCCAUCUAUGAAGGUUCCUAUAUGGCCUCAAGCAAUCACCCUGUGCAUAGUUUGUGCGUUUGUAGUUUGGAAUGAUACAAAAUGAUGUCGAUCAUUCUAUAUUUUAUUUUCAUUCUCCCCAAGGAUAUAUUCAUCUCAUUGUAUAUGUAGACGACUUUGUUAACACAAGUAAUGAUGAGGAUAUUGAUAACUAAAACAAUACCUUAAAGUUCUAAAGAAUGAUCUUGUACAAUUAAGGAAUUUCCUUACUACAAAACUAGCACAAUCCAAGGAUGGUUGGCUCAUAUCUCAAAAAAUAUGCUAUCAACAUUCUCAAAAAUACAAGAAUGAUAAAUGAUAAGUAUGUCGACACACCAAUGUAUCUGAGUGUCAUAUUUUGAUCCUGAGAGAUACAGAAGAUUAGUUGGUAAACUAAAUUAGGUCACCAAGACUUGUCCUGAUUUUGUCAUUGCAAUGAGCAUAGUAAGUCAAUUUUUAAGCUUUCCAUGUCAAGACCAUUAGGAUGCAGUCAUAUCAUCGCAAUCCUAAAGUAUCUUAUGAAGCCUCCUAGAAAAGACCUCAUUUAUGAAUAUAUGGAAAAUGCUCAAAUUGUUGGAUAUUCUGACACUAACUGGACAUGGUCAUUAAGUGAUAAAUGCUCCACUUCAAGGUAUUUUGUUCUUGUUAUGGGCUGAAGUGGAUUGUAAUUUUGUAAGAUAGAUUUGUCAACUAUAGUGAAUAGUUGGUUGAGAUAUUCACUUAGUAUAAAAGAGGACUAGGGUUGAUUAUAUUUGCAGCAAGUUAGGCUGAUAUGACUUAUACACUCCAGCUUAAGAGGAGAGAGUGUUGUAGUUAUAUAAAGGAAUUGAUCCUUGAUAAUUAAGAAUAUAGAGAUUAUAUAUGUAUUAUUAGGAACAUUUUUAUUUAUUCAUAUAACAUAUCUUAGUUAUUACGGCAUAUCAAAUCUCCUCUUUUUAUUUUAUUGAUUCCUUUUUCUUAAUAUAAACAAAGCACUCAUGCAGUCUCAAAAACACAUAGUUUCAAUUCAAUGUUUCACUUAUUCCUAGAAUUUAACAUAUAUUAAUGAAUAGUGAGAAGAAAAUUUUAGAAGUCAUUAAUAAUGAAAAUUAUUUUGGUACAAUGGUAAUAUUUUUAAUUCAACUAGAGUAAUUGGCUCAUUGAUCUAUGUGAUUGAGGACCUGAGGGAGUAUAUCGUAUGUAUCCCACCUUGUGAAUUGUUUGUUGUCUAAAAUAUUUGUUGAUAUCGCACUAAUAAUCAACAUUUUUAACGAUGGCUGAGCAAGAAAAUUGAGAAAGAAAAAUUGGGUGGCUCUAAUACGAUCAUAGGAUGAGAAGAAUAAUUUCGUCAAAGUAUUAUAAACAAUUUAUAAAGUUGGGAUUAUAAAUAGGGUAACAACAAUGCCUACUUCCAAUAGCUAAGGUUGGCUACAUGGAUCACAAGAUGCCAUGUGGCUCAACAAGUAGGUAAACAAAGAAACUAAAUGAAAAUAAGUAAUCAAGAAAACUAAAUGAAAAUAAGGAAUCAUAUAAAUAUGAAAAUGAUUUCUCACCUAAUUCCUAAGUCAAAUCUAGACACAUGCCAUAAAAUACAAUUGUGACCAUGACUUAUUGCCCCACACAGGUUCCACUCCCUAAGAUUCUACCAACUCUAGCCUCUAAACCAUGCACUUGGCACAAAAUAAAAUAUUUUUUAUUAGACAAUGACAACAUCCUUUUUCGUGCCUUCCUAUGACUAAGUAGGAUUAAUCAUCCUUAAUCUUAAUUAAUUUUGCACACAAAACGAGAAUUUACUUGUGAAAGUAAAUGCAGCACUGUCCAGUCAGGAAUGCAGUUCAAGUUUUAACUUAACUAGUACGCCAAACAUGGACAAGAAGCAAUCCCAAGGAUAUUAGAUUAAUAAUUGUGAUGAUUGUUUUUGUUCUCACUAGUGAAGCAAUUAAGACAAGUACUUAUCAUACACAAGGAAAAGUGUUACAAGGUCAACUUACUAAGAAUCUUUUGGCCAGGGCCUAUUUAAAAGCCUAUUCAACUAAAAAAGAUAGCUUUAGUUCAUCAAGAAAAUAAUUAAGUAAAUACAACUAAUAUAAUAACAAUAAUUUUAUUAUUAUCAUUGUAUUACUUUUUUUCCUGAGAUUUUGGCAUUAAAUAUUUGUUAUUACUGUUUAAACCAUGAAUUAUGAAAAAAUUGAUGUUAAAAUUUUAGACUUUCAUUAAUUUUAAGUAAUAACUUAUAUGUGUGCUUUUAUUAUCAAUAAUAGCAGGAGUUACCUGAAGAAACCUCGUCACAGAGAAUAUUCCUUAUUUGAGCAGAAGAUGGUGAGGUAGACAACGCUAAUGUUAAGCAACCAAUAGAAGCUGCCUGCUAACAACAGUCAAUGUUAUACAUGCAUAUCAUUGCUACAGAAGGACAAACAAAACUUUGGACAAUUAAUUGGACAACUGACCAGCACACCACUUCGUUCACUUUUCAACCAAAAGCCUUCUUCAAUCCUUGUCCUAAUAGAUGUAACAACAAUAGGCAACAAAUUUGGUGGCAUUCUUGAAUAUCUGUCAAAAUAAUUCUUUCAUUAGACAUAAUUAUUUUACAUUCGGAAGCAAAGAAGAAAAUAAAAACUUAAUCUGCAAUUACAGAAUCAAGAAGCAUAAAUGGAGUUAGUGCAACUUAUGCAGUUAAAUAUUUAGCCUACAGUUAAAUUGAUAAAUAUCACUAUCUUGAAUUAAUUGUUUUAUUCUAACUAGCAGAAACACAAAUACAAUUUUAAAACGACUUUUUAGACCGAAUGGAAAUAAAGGCAAUGAAUUCAAUUGGAUUUGUGUUCUAUGAAAGAAAUGGGAAGGGUAAAUAGUAAAUGGGUCUCACUACUAUUUUUCCUCCAUAUUUCUCCCUUGUUUCUACUAAUCUCUUUCCUCAUCUCCAUUCAAACUGAAGAGAAAUGCAAUCCUUGCUUACUGAAAAUACAAAAUUCAGUGAACCUCUUAUAGAGCGCAUAAUCAAAGAUUAUUUGAUUAUUAAGUUGUAACAAACUGCAACUGUCAAACUACAAAUGAUAACAGAUAGCAGUUUAGAAACUACUAACUAAAAAGAAAUAAACUAUACAUUACACAAAAACAGAGAAACGCGUAUCUCUAACACCACCCCACAAGCUUAAGGUGUAUAUGAAACAAUACGCAACUCCACCCUGAGCUUGAUCUAAAAGUAAUUUUGUUAGUGAAAAUAAGAAAUACAUGAAGGACAUCUGAAAAAUAUCCCAAAUACAAGUUUCCAUAUGUCAGAAUUGUGUAACUUAUUUAGAAUAGGCUAACUUAUUAAAUAGUAUCCUAUCUAACCUAUAUGGUGUAAUUAAUCAUUACUUCUCUGUAUCUUUGAUGUGGAACUCCUCUAAAUGAGAGAAUGCGCUAAGAGAUGAAAUGCACUCAACCAUUUUUUCUAUACUUCUAUCUCAAGUUGGUGUCAAAGUGGAUCAAUCUCGCUUUGUCACUGCCAAAUGAGUUCACCGAUGUCCGCCACCAGCCACCAUCAUCAUUCUCUCCAAUGAGCACCUAGUUGAAUUUGUCUCAUUGAGCGAGGCAAAACCCUAUAGUCACCAUCAUCAUCCGCCAUCGAACAACAUGUAGACCCCAUAGAUUUCCAAUACCAUAUAUGAAGCACCUCUCGGAGCAACAAAGGAAACCACUAGUCACAGAGGUACAUUCCCCCACACAAGCUGCAACGCACGAAAUUUUUGUGCGACCAACCUAGAUGCUUACAGUCCAUGCACUGCCUUCAAAUAGCCAAAAUGAUGUCAUGUUGUCUCUAUUGCUCUAGUUGGCCUUCUCCUUGUUCCAACCUCCUUUUCCUCCUUUCCCACUAAUUGGAGUUUGGAUCCGAACACUUUGAAAGAUCCUCUUUUACUCAUUUGCUCUCCGUGUUUUAUUUGCAAUGACAUUUGGACAUGUCCUUCCCAUUUCUAGGUCACCCACAACUACUUCAGAAAAGCUUAAUGGCAAAACUUAUUUGCCUUCGUCGGCAUGUGUUGAAUUGUGGUAUCUUAUUAUUAUGGUGAUCAUCUGUCACAAAAGUCAUUUGUCUUUACUAAAUUCCUAUGUCACCCACAACUGUUGAAUCAUGUUUCAUAGUAUCUACUAGCUAAGUGGUGGUAGUAGAAAUAGAGAACAAAAUGGUUACAAACGUCCUCAAUGCACUUAUUCUAAAAGAAUGGGUCAUACUUAGGAAAACUACUUCUGUUUACAUGGCUUCCCAAAUAAGACAACAAAUGUCUCCAACUUGAGAGGGUAAAACCACGUUUUCUAGUGAAUACAAGGAAUAUGUGCAAUUAAAGCAUGGUUAUCGAAUCAAGAUUCGAAUCAUGAAUCGUUUUUCGAUUUUUUUGAGUCGUGAAUCGAAUUUUAUUGUGAAUUGAAAUACAUGAUAAAUAAAAUAUGAUAUUUGUUAGUAAGAACAAGUGACAUGGAAAUAAAAAGUAGAAAUACCCCUCUUCCUUUUCUUGCUUUGAGCUCCCUCUUCAAGAGUAAAAUUUCAUGUAUAUCCUUCCAUGAAACAAUGUUUGUUAGGCAAAGAAUGGCCUUAUAUACAUUUGCAAAUGUCUAGAAUCACCAACUCUCUGCCUUAAAACAUUUCAUUCAUGGUUUUUUGCUUUAUAACUCCUUCUUUCCCUUUCCUGGAAAAUGACUCCACUAUCUCUUUUUUAUCAAUAUCUUAGAUAUCCACUUCUUCAAAACAAUCUUAACGAUAUACUUCUUUAUUUAUUUUUCCUUAUCUUCUAAUAACUUCAAAAACAUGUCUUUGAUAUCGUAUGAACAAAUGUACAUGAAAUGACAUUUUCCUUUGUUAUAGCAAAAUGAUGUUUCAUUCUUGCAAUACCACCCCCAACAAAUAUGUGAACAAUACUUGCACUUGACUAUAACUCUAGGAGGGGGAACGCUCUCAAAUGAUUCCAUGCAAUAUCAGUUUCUUUCUUUUGUUUUCUCUGACUCAUUGCCUCUACCAACCAAUUCAAACAAUAGCUAGGUUUUUUUUUCCUAAAAAAACAAACAAAAUUGUUGAACAAUUAACUUUUAUAGGAAAAAAAAAAAGAAACAAAAAAUAGCCUUGUAUUUCUUUUACUGAUUCUAUUGUGUUUCUUCUCCACCUCCUUAUUCUUUUCAUCUUUCUUGCCCUUGUCAAUUUAUAGGCAAAUAGCCCCAUCAAACAUGUGUCACUCUUUAUUUUACUUUCUUUAUUUUUGGGAUUUUUCAUUUCCCAUGUGUGACGCUUCAUUAAGUGUAUGCAUGACGCUUCAUGAUGUAUACGUCGCCAUGAAUCAUGUGUAAGGGAACUGAAUCGUGAGUCACACAAUUCGAAUCCGAUUCAUGUCACGAUUCAAGCUAUAAAACUAUUCAUCUAUCGAUAUGUAUCGUGAAAUAAAUAUUUUACAUCGUGCAAUUGUUAUGAUUCUAACUACCAUGGAUUAAAGUCCAACAAUCCAACACAAGACUUUAACCAAUAUGGUUUGUCACAACUUGCAUCCCUUAAACAAAGGAAGGUCAAAGCCCAUGGAUAAGUGAUUCAAGUACUUUAGAUCACAUUUCUAGUAAAACUUCCUUAUUUUCUUCCAUUUCUACUCCUAGAGUUUCUCGUUCUAUUACGUUAGUCAAGUCUCCUUUUCUCCUUCCUUGACUCUAAAUUUUAUUCUUCUUUUCCCCACUUAUCCUUUUAACCUCCUUUCUCUAACUCAAUUAACUAUGUCAUUAUAUUGUUCAGUAACUUGGAUGUCAAUUCUUUUGUUAUAUAUAAGAGCAUGGUACAGGUCAAUUGAUUGGUGAAAGAGAAGAAGCUAGGGGACUAUUGUCUUGGAACCAAAUCUUUUGUUUUGUUUAAGUCCCCUCUCCUAAACUCUACAUGGUCACUUAAGUCAUCCACACUUAUCAAAAUUCAAAAAACAAUACCUAAUUUCCAAAAGCUUAUAGUCUUAGAGUGUCAAUCACGUAAACUAAGCAAACAAGUUAGAUCUUCCUUUCCAUGGAGACAUGUUACAAGAUGUAACUUUGCCUUUUGGUAUAAUUCAUUCUGACAAUUGGGGCCAAGCCAAGUCACCUCUUUUAGGUUUCAAUGUCAUUACAUUUAUUGUUGAUAUUCUCAUUAUACUUUGUUAAUUUAACAAAAGAUCGAUAUGAAUAAUUGUUUAUCUGUGGAUUUUCUUAAUGAAAUCAAUAAUCAAUUUAGCCAAGUUAUCGACAUUUUUUAGAGUGAUAAUGCCAAAGAAUACUUUUCUUUUAGCUUUUCUACUUUUUGAAGUUCAGAUGGAAUUUUACAUUAGUCCACAUGUUCUCAUAGACCUUAGCAAAAUGGUAUAGAAAAGAGAAAAGAUAGACACAUUGUUGAGACUACAUGUACCUUAUUCCUUGGUGCUAAUGUGUUAGUUCACCAUCGAGUUGAUGUUCUUAUAGCUUGCUUCCACAUAAAUAGGAUGUCCUCUUCCUCCCUCGACAAUAACAUCCAAAUUCCUAAUGAACCUUUGUUCCAUGUGUCUCUCCAAGUCUUUGAGUGUGUAUGUUUUGUUCAUGACAUGUCCCCUGCAUUAGAUAUGUUAUCUAUAAGAGCCCUAAAAUGUGUCAUCCUAGGUUAUCUCCUAAAAGGGUAUCACCCUUAUUCUCCAGAAACUAAAAUGUAAACUUUUUCGAGGAUAUUCUCUUUUUUCUGUUAUAGAUCCCACAUCGACAAGAAAUAAGGUCAAUUCAUAGUAUACAAGUGGAUACAAACCUUGCAAGCCGGUAUUGUAAGGUUGAGAUAGGCUUAAAGUCUACUUUUUAAGACUUGAAGUUAACUUCUUAAGAUGAUUACAGAGCCAUAUGAGUUUAUCCUAGCGAGAUUUUGUUAGGCCUAUCGUGUCACCCGCUAUCGGGCCUUUAUCAAAUCACCUAAAAGUAUAUAGCCCCACCCAUGACUUGGUUGGUCUCGGCAUGAAGGAGUGUUGGAGAUCCUAUAUUGGCUAGAGAUAAGGUCAAUUCAUAGUAUAUAAGUCAAUACAAACCUUAUCAUAGAAGUCGGUUUUGUAAAGUUGAGUUAACCUUAAUAUCCACUUCUUAAGACUUGCCUUUCACUUCAAGAUGCUAAUUUUGUGUAACAAGUCUCACUUGUUCCCUUUGUUGAACCAUUGUAUUUUCUCCCUCGUGAGUCUCCAAGUCAAAUCUCUUCUCAAAGGUCAACAACCAUCAACUCCCCUAAUCAAUUAACUCUAAACACACGGUUCUAAUUCCAUGUUCCCUUGUGAGUCCUCUUCUUCACGUCCUUCACUGCCAUCUACAUAUCCCAUUAGCUCCUGAUGAUGAAGAUCCUAGUUGGCCCAUUGCUCUUUGAAUAGGUACUCACUCUACCUUAAAUCCUCUUCAUAUUUCCAAUGUUCUAAGCUAUCAUCAUCUAUGUUCUUAUUUCUUUUCCUUCAUCUCAUAUAUGUCCUUUAUUAUUGUUCCAAAAAAUAUACAUGAAGCACUUGAUCAUCCUAAUUGGCAACAAGCCAUGAGUGUUCAAAUGCAGACUCUAGACCAAAAUCAAACAUGGGACUUGUUCCUCUUCCACCUGACAAUAUGAGAAUUGGUUGCAAACAGGUUUAUGCUAUUAAAGUCGGUCCAAAUGAUAUGAUUGACUGCAUUAAUGCUUUGUUUGGAUUAAAAUCAAGGUAGUAAAGGAACGAGAAGAGAAAGAGAAAAGUAAGGUUGGACUGAGGGAAGGUAGAAGAAAAUGAGUGGAAAAUGUGUGGUCAAACUAAUUGAUGUACCAUAGUAAACUUUUUAGUAUAUGUUUAAGAAGUAUAUUUUAAAAAAUAAUUUGAUGUCUAAAUUAACUUUAAAAAUACAAGUUAAAGUUUAAACAAAUUUUAAACUGAAGCAAAAAAUAUUAUAAAAUAAAUUAAUUUAAAAAAUAUUAAAAUUUUAUUUGUUAUUAUUUAAAUAUUUUAAUUUAAUUAUUUCUGAUAAAAGUAUAAAAUAUAACUACUGAUAAAAUACUAAAGUAACUUAUUUUAUCUGUUAUUUUAAUAUUUUCAUUUUAAUUAUUUACUUCUAUAAUAUAAGAAUAUAUUAAUAAAAUAUAUGUCACUAAUAUAAUUUUUAAAAAUGUUACUCAUUUAUAAUUUAAAACAUAAAUAAUGAUAAAAUAUUUACUAACAUAAUCAAUUAUUUGAGUUUAUUUAAUUGAUUAUGUUAAUAAAUAUUUUAUUAUUAUUUACACACAAUUGGUUCGACAAAGAGAAGGUUUAUUAUUAUUGUAUAUACUUUCUUCACAAAUAUUCUAAUUUUAUGGAAAAAAAAGUUUAUCACCAUUUCCUACUUCAUUUUUUGACACUUUCUUUGCUUAUUUGUCUCUAUAAAGAGUAAAUUGUCAAAUUCAAACACACUUUAAAACAAGACUAGUUGCCAAAGGGUACAUAGAUAUAUGGUCUCAACUAUGGUGACACAUUUCCACAGUUUCCCAAAAUUUACCACUUCUAGACUUUUCUCUGUCAUGGCCACUAUUCGCCAUUGGCCUCUCCAUCAAUUGGAUGUCAAGAAUGUAUUCCUUAAUGGAGAUCUAAAGAAUAAAACUUACAUGAAACGAACUCCUGGGUUUGUUGUCCAAGGAGAGUGUGGGUUAGUGUGUAAAUUGUGUUGAUCAUUUGGGCUAAAACAUAGUGAAGCAGAUCAUUUGAUUUUUUAUUGGCAUAUAUCUGGAGAUAAAUGUAUACAUAAUUGUGUAUAUUGAUGAUAUAAUUACCACAGUGAAUGACACCACUAAAAUUUCCUAUUUAAAGAAACAUUUAUGCAAUCACUUCCUAUCGGAAGAUCUUGGAUGACUUAAAUACUUUUGAAGUAUUGGCGUAGCUCAAUCAAAUGAAGGUACUUUAAAUCCAUAAAGAAAAUAUGUCUGAGACAUCCUACAAGAAAUAGGUAAGAUUGAUUGUAGACAUGUUGUGUGGAUAGUCUUGAAGAUUUUGAUUAAGUCCUGGAGAGGACCUCCAAUUCAAUUUAUAUGUUCCAAGCUUGGUACAUACAAUCUACAUAUGCUCAAGCUUGAGGGAGUGUCAAACUUCAGUAACUUUCUUAGAAUAAGUUAACUUAUGCAUAGUUUCCUACCUGAUCUGUAUUGUAGGAUUAAUCAUUGCUUUUUUAUAUCUUUGAUGGAAGAAACUCCUACAUAUGAAUGAAUGAGCUAAGAGAUACAAUCUUAAGCAUUUUUCCAUACUUCUAUCUCAAGUCCCCCUUUACAAUUAUCUAACAAGAUCUUUUACAUCUCCAAUCAUGAAAUCAUAAGAGAAACAAUAACCAAAACAGAAAGAAUAUUAUAAAAAUUUGUAAGAGUAGAAGAAAAGGAAAAAUGUAUCAUUACAAUUACAACUAAAUUGAACAAAUAGAAUAGUAUGAGAACCAAAGAAACAUACGGUGUAGAUGAUAUCAAAAGCUUGAUAAUCCUAAAUAACAAAGCCAACAAUUUUGUAUGAGCUUCAUGCUCUAUUAGGUAAAGAAGACCUACAUCAAUGGAAAAGAGACAAAAAGUGCAAAAUUAAGCAAAAUAUGAAAAUAAAUAAUGAAGAGCCGAGAAAAGAAUCAAAAGCACAUAUGUCUUUAGACCACAAUCUAUUCAAUAAGAUAUUGCAAAUGUUAUAGAUACCUCUAUGAAGUUCAAGUAAAACCGUGCCAAGGGAGCUUGAAAGUGCCAUAAAAGAUCCAAGUUUGUUAGAUUCCUUAUAUUCUGCUACUUGCAGGAAAAUGGAAGAGAGACCAUCCAUCAUGGUCACUAGCGUGGCUGCAGAUGCCAUACGUGCCUGAGUAACAUAAACAACCUUUUCUUAGACAGGAAAUCAAGAACUCAAUAAAACCACAACACACAACCAUGGGAGGUCAGGGGGAUAGUUGAGCAUUAUGUAAAGGAUUAAACUAAUUAGUUGCAUGCAUAUGAAAGGAGAUGCACAUGGAAGUUGAAAAAAGAACAAAAUUGCACACUCCACAAAGCAUGCCAAAAGAAAGUUUGUUAGAAUAGAGUUAAGUGAAUGCCAAAAAAAUGAGACAGCUACCAUAUGAUGGAUGGAGAAGUAAAUUCCAAUAUCAUACCAGAAUUUAGGAAAAAGAUUGAGGUUGAGUUCUCAUCUCAUAUCAAUAUUGGGAUGAAACCUUGACUAUGUUAGAAUAGGUUCAAAAUAGGCUGAGUAAGCUUUAUUCAAAAGCUCUUUUGGAUAGUACCUAUUUGUACUUAUAAUUACUUGUCUUCUACUUUUUCCUUUCACAUCAUUGUAUCACAAAUCUAUUGUAAAUAAAUGAGCACCUAAGGGAAACCUUUGCAAGCUCUCAAAAAUAUAUUGUUCUCACUUUCUUUAUUCUCUCAAGUUGGUAUUGGAGCGAGUCGAUCCCACUCUUCUUAUCCUUGUCUUAUCUGGGUAUGUUGUCCAACGACCACCUUAUCUAGAUUGUCUCCCCAAGCAACAACCAAACCCAUUGAUACCAUCAUUAGAAACGUCCACACCUUGCCUCUUGUUGCAACCCAGGUGCGUGAAACUCACGAGUUGCCUUACUGCCACCAGAACAACUCCAUGUCUCCAUCGUGGGGCUUGCCAAACUUUUGUACCCCUAUGUGCUCACUUUCCAAUCUUGGUUGAAGGGAAAAUAUAAAUAUAAAGUUGUUUCUCAAAUUUCCAUUUCUCCUUUAAACAUAAAAUUUGUUAUAAUUGAAUUGUACUGUAACCAUUGAUGUCAAUUUUUUUGUUAUACAAUAAAGUGGUACAGGUUGACUAAUUGACUAAGGAUAUGAAUCAAAAAGCCUAUACUACUUAAGAACUAGCUCAUUUGUGUCUUCUUUUUUCAUCUCCAUCUCCAAAACAUUUACAUAAACGCUUAGGUCAUCCUCACUUGUUAAAAUUAAAGAUGGUCCUUGAACUUAGAGCUCUUCAAGUUUAAAAUGUGAAUCAUAUCAACUAGGAAAACAUGUUCUUCAUUUUUUAGACAUUUUAAAUCUAUGUCUAACUUUGUUUUUCUAUCAUCCAUUUUUAUAUUUGGGGACCAAGUCAUGUCUCAUCUUUAGGUUUUAGAUAUUUUGUUACUUUCAUUUAUGAGUAUUCUAGAUGUACUUAGGUUUAUCUAAUGAAAGACCGUUAUAUAAAUAGUAGUGUUUUCAUUUCAUUUCUCAUCUCUGAAUUCACAGUCCCUAUCAGUUGGUAAGGAGCAAGGCGCCCUGUUUUUUGUUCUAAUUCCGAGUUCUAGUCAAAAUAAAUACAACUAACAAGCCAGAAUAACAUCAUAGGAUAUGUCUAAAACGUCUAAAAUAUUAUAUCAAAAUAUGUGACAAUUAAAAUUCAAAUAGAAAUAUAGAACAAGACAGCACAUAGGUAUCAAGAUCAUUGUCAUUACCUUUAAACAAGGAUCAAACAGCAAGCAUGUCAUUAAAGUUGCAUCAUGCAUCCUAUGAAAAUACAAAUUAAAAAAUUACACAGUUAGAAAAAAACAUCAAAUGGAGAGAGAUUAAAGUUUGAUUGAAUUCAUAAAAAAAGGAAUGGUUAGCUCAUACCUUGCUUGUAGUGCAUCACUAGUUGGCAAAAGCAAUGACCAUUGCAUGGAUAAAGAUUUAGAAUCAGCUUGACAAAGAUCCUUCCCAUCCCAACAUAUAAAAAAAUAAUAAGAAAAAGAACAAUCAAUCACAACAAAGUUAGCAAAGCUUAUAUGUCAUAGAUGAUGUUAUCCAGGAAGUUAAACAAUAAAGACAAAAAAUCAUAUAUUUAUCUCCUUUUGGGUUAUUAGAGCAAGAAAGGGUAGCAAAAACUCAGUUUGGAAAAGGUUUUUCUUCCCAAUGAAAAUGUCUGGAAAAUUAAGGAACUAGAAAUCGGUUCUCUUACCUUUGAAACCGUAAAAGAAACCAUUACCGGGUGCUCUCAAAAGUUAUUCUAAUUUUUUAUAUUAAAUAAUGGUAGUGUUAAAGUGUCCAUUUGUUAUUUGGCAUCCCACUUAUGUCGGCACCCCAAAAUAACAACAAUCAUUUGCAGCACCCCGAGUACCAUAAGCAAGUGGGAGGACUAGGCCAAAACCCACUAAGAAAACAAAUAAUGUGUAAGAUAAAAUCUAUGAUUCUAGUUGCUUUAAUUCUUUCAAUUUUUAAAGAUUGGUUUCUAAAAAGACAUUAGACGAAGUCACCAAAGGAGAUCUCAAAUAAAAUACUUGAAUUGUGUAAGAAAAAAGAAAUAAUAACUAUCAAGCCAUUAAUGUGUAAGAUAAAAUCUAUGAUUCUAGUUGCUUUAAUUCUUUCAAUUUUUAAACUGAUUGGUUUCUAAAAAGACAUUAGACGAAGUCCCCAAAGGAGAUCUCAAAUAAAAUACUUGAAUUGUGUAAGAAAAAAGAAACAAAAUUUGGUAGCAAGAUCCAAUGUUGGAGUACAACAGGGCAAUGACAAAAGGGCUAUGUGAACUACUAUGGCUGAAAAUCAUCUUGGAAGACUUAAGAAUAAAGCAGGAUGAACUAAUGAGACUUUACUGUGAUAACAAACAUGUUAUUAGCAUAGUCCAUAAUCCAGUGCAACAUGAUAGAACCAAACACAUUAAAAUUGAUCGGCAUUUUAUCAAAGAAAAAUUAGACAGUGGUCAAAUCUUCAGUCCAUUUUAGAUGUCUCCUCUCAAGACAACCUUGCAAACCUUCUAAUGAAGGGGCUGAAUAGCAACAAUUUUGACAGGAUUGUUUCCAAGGUAGGAAUGGAAAAUACAUAUUCAGCAGUCAUAUCUUAUUACUUCCAUAGCAACAACAAUGUGAUAAUGGGGAAGUUGAUGACCAAAUGGUAAAGUUAAUGGUUCUAAUUCCUUCAAAACUACAUCAUCACCAACUCGUUACUCACUUAUUCUAGACUUUUGACAAUUUAAAUUUCAAGCAAAUCUCAAAUAAGAAAUUAUGAGACAGUUUUGAAAAUUUACCUGUAUGCAAGUUAUGGCAGCUACUCUAACCCUAGAACUCUGCACUCUGCCACUAUCAUUAGCUGAUCCAUCUCCAUCACUAAACUCUGAAUCUGAAGACGUAACAUUAAUAGUAGAAGACUCGCUAUCUGACAUAUAUUGGGAAUGCCUAACACUACCGUGUUUUACAUUCAAGCAGUCCCUUUUGCGCAAGUGUGGUGGCCUAUAUGUACCAUGAUCUGAUUUUUUUAGUAGUUCCCUGCUUGCCUUGGGACUCAUACUAUUAAGCUCCUUCUCCUUGUGACCAACAAGUAAAGAAGUACCUAGUGUUCUACCAGAAAGGCCAUAAACUAAGAACAUUCGCAGAACAGCAACAAAAACUGACACCUAGAGGAAAAAUAAAACAAGUCACAGUGAUUAGGGUGUAACAUAUUUCUUUAUUCUUUUAUUAAAAUAAAAAUGUCUUAACUUACAUGAUCUAAAACUGCACAUUUUGGAUCAAUAAGGAUCAGAUGUAGACAGCACAGAAAAGAUUCAUAAAACCUACAGAAAAGAUGCAUGUGACUUGUAGCAAAAUAUACAAAUGAUGACAUAUGGCCAAAGUAUGAACCACGCAUGAGUUUCAUCAUUGACUUCUAAUAAGUUCCUACAACACACAGGUUACCUGGACAUAACACUAUCUUCCACAACAGGGGAUUUUAAUGCCAAGACAUCCAUUGUUUUCCUGAACACCUGUUUCAAAAGAGACUUUCAAACAAAUUUCUACAACUAAUAUAGUUUUACAAAAAAAAGAAAUGCAAAAUUAUCAUAUACCUCAAGAAUUGAUCUCCAAAUGUCAACAGGCAAGGAUGACCCAGCUCUUGAGAUUGCUUCACUGAGCAUCUCAAAAGCCACUGUCUGUAAUUCACUGGAACUUCUUUCAAUAGAAAAUCUCAUAUUAAUUCUAGUAGAUUUUUCUUUACAAAUUGAAUGAGGCAUCCAAAAUGACACACCAUGAGAGCAAAUGAUAACGUCAAGUAAAAAUUUAACCAGCAUAACAUCUUCAGAUUGCAACCAUCUUCGAUGAGAUAUAAUAAUAAAUCUGGAGAGUUAGCAGAUUUUGAAGUGUCAAUUAAAAGUAUCAUUUACUAAAGCAAAAAAGUUGAGAGUACUAACAGUAAAAGCAGCAAAAUAACGAAACAUGUUAAUAGUAUAAACACAAAUUUUGGAACAACAUUUAGCCAUUUAAAGCAAUAGAGAUCAACAUAUGUUAUUAAAAAAACACAAUUUUAUCAUUCAUAUUUAAAAACAUAAAAUGACAGAACGCGUUAAAAUACAUACACCAGAAACUUGGAAAACUGCAAACUACAGAAGCAUAUUCAUAGGAUUUAAAAUAUAUUAUGAAUUGAUACAUUAUCACUUUGAAAAAACCUUAAAGAAAAUAAAAUCCCACGCGAAGUUCUAGAGACUAGCACAAGGCACCUCCAAACCCUUGGGGUGUAGAGCUAAACCCCAUUCAAGGAUGGUACCCUGGCUACAAGGUGGUUCCAGUAGGGAAUUUGAACCAUAUACUAAAAAGCAAAGUCUGUGCACUCAAGAACUUAGGUUGUCAGCAUAGCCCAGGUUCACAACUAGCAAUUAAUAAAUAAUAAUAUCCUAUUAGGAUAAAUAAAAGAAAUAAAGCACAAUAACCACAAUCCACAGUUUAUGUAAACUAAAAUGUAGAAAACAAAACUUACUACUAUCAUUUUAAAUAAUAGAAUACAUAAUUCAACAUUGGUGAAGAGAAAAAGAAAAGUCACGUUUUAUCUUUAUCAAAUAUAAUAGAAAAGCAAAAAGGUAUCGGAUAAAAAUAAUAAAAUACAUAAUCUCAAGAUUUUCAAAUAGGUAGGUAAAAAUUAGAGAAGAGACGGUAUUAAUCAGAAAACAUGUUGUGUCUACUAUGCUUUUCAAGUAAAAGCAUUACUACAGCCUAACAAUUCCAAAAGUAGACGUAUGUAAAGUGCCUAGGCAAUAUUACAUCAUGCAUCAAUUCCUUUUCAGAGAACAAGCGAACCUGACAGCCUGUAAGCACUCAAUGGCAGGAAUUAUUGUAGUAGUACUGCAAAUUCCACUUAUAUCGCCAUUGGUAGCAACGUUUCUAAGAAAAAGAUUCAGCAUCUUCCCGAAACAAUUAAGCACACUACUAUAAGAGGAGAAAUUUAAAUCGAACGAGACACAUCGACAUAUAUCAUGAAUCUGCGAUAAGAGCACGAGCAACAAAAUCACAUAAAAAACGUCAACAGUGCCAAGGUUUAUACAAGGCCAAGGAAAACACAUACCAGGCGUGAUGUCUGUGCAUAAAUACGAGUACAAUCUUCUUCAUCUGAAGAAGUUGCAGCAACCAAUUCCAUCAUAAACAAAAUGUCCGACAAAACCUUGGAGAAAAAAAAUUAAACAACAAAGUCAGAAGAGAGCCAACAAUUUAAAGCAUGUUUUCAAAACCAAAAAAAGCACGCCUAUAAUGUGGAAAAACUAGAAAGCUAGAACUACUUUCCGUCAUGAGUUUCCAAACACGCUCUAAAUUCUCGCAAGCAUUUACGUAAAAGUGAAGACGCAGAAGAUACCUCGUGAGAGGGAAGUUCAACCGCGGCCGAAACCAAAGGUUUUGAGUGGGAGAGAAUGAGAUUGUCGAGCAAUUGCACAUUGGAAUUGCGAGAAGGAAUGGUUAGGGUUUCAUCCCUCAGUGUUAAAAACGCAGUUCUCCACGACCUAACCAACGACGUCGGUGCCGCUGCGCCAAAUCCCGUUCCCGCCAUGGAAGAAAUGGCGAUCAACGAAUAGCGUUUUCAAGUUUUUACUCAAUCAUCACUUCUGACUUAGGUGGAAAUCGAUUCAACGAACACCUGCGACUGUUGUGAAGAUUUAGACAGAAAUGGCAGUGGAAAGAGGAGCACACAGUAACACCAAAGUCUUGCCAGCUUCCGAUUAUUGGCCUCCGGUUUGAUCAAGAUUUGUAAAAAUAAUUUUUAUUUCUUUUAUAUAUAUCAAAAUAAUUAAAUACCUUCUUUUUAAGUUAUAUAAUUUUUUUCUGACUACUUUCACAAAACUAUAUUAUUUUUCUUUUUCUAAUUACUUACUAAUAAAAAUAAUAAAACUAUUAAAUUAUAAAAAAUAUGUAUGUUUUAGUAUAAUAAAGAUAUAUUUUUAGCGAAUAUUUCAAAUGUUCAAUUUUAAAAACAAAUCAUUUCUAAACUUAAUAAAUAAGGGCAGUUUCUUCUCGCACCCUACAUUUUCCUUCCUGCACCCCACAGUUUUAUAUAUUCCGAAACUGACCCUCACAAUUUUGGGAUCUGAGAGUGUGCUACGAAUUCAUCAAUCCGGAAGUGAAUCAUGUUGCAUUCUGGAUGAGGGUGUUCUGGAAGCAAAUUUUGUAUAAAUUAUUGAUUUCUGGAUUGUUGAAUCCGAAAGCCUAAUUUUUAUUACGAAUUGGGGAUUGGUUGAUCUGGAAUGAUUUGUUUCAAUUAUGGAUUUCUGAAUCCGAAAUGCAUAUUUUGAAUUACGGAUUGGCGGAUCCAGAAUGGUUUUUUCAAUUAUGGAUGUUUUGCAUUUUUUUAUUUUGGAUUAAUACUAUCAUUCAUGUACUUCUGGAAGCAUCAAUCUGGGAGAUUACUAGAUGCGUCAAUCCAAAAAUUUACCGGAAGCGUCAAUCUAAAAAUUUACUGGAUUUCAUAAUCCGAAAUAAAAAAAAUGUAUAGUUUAUAUGGGACAAUUUUGUCUUUGCGUAACCUUAGUUUAUAUGGGACAAUUUUGUCUUUGCGUAACCUUGUGGGGGUACAGAAAAAAAAAAUGUAGAGAUGCAGGAAGAAACUGCCAUAAAUAAGUAGCGAGCUUCAAAUUUAUUUCGGGUGCAGUUAAAACACUAGUACACUACAUACACGAAUUUCUCUUUCUUUUUCUAUUUUGAAAUUAUAGUACAAAAUGAAUGAGGACACUGAUAUAAAAGAUAAAUAUAUAUAUAUAUAGUGAAAUGAAAAAGUGGAAAAGAAAUAACAAACAAUAAUAUAUAUAUACUGUACCGGGACGGCCGACCGGUCUAUUGACCCGGUCAACCCAUGCGUCAAAACCAUACUUUAAGGCAUGAGGUCGACCACGUGUCAUGUGUGGCCGACCGACAUAAGGUGCUCAAGUCAAACCGUUGACCCAAUUAGCAAAGGUCAACCUACGGUUAGGGAACGACCUAAUCCAACCCUAAUCGCUAAACAACCCCCUAAUCCGGCCCAACAGCGAGGGCCCAUCAAGGUAAUAUAAAUAUCACGCAUUCCAAGGAAGAAGGUACGUCAUUAUCUACAGUAUUCUAACCAGCCAAAUACGAUACCCCACUGACUUGAGCGUUGGAGUGUCAUCUGCAGGUACCCCACCCACUCGAGGAAUCAUUCAGCGUGAAGGACCGAAAGAGAAAGUGAAGCACGACCGACCGGAUGACAUCCGAAGACAAUAGUUCUCCCAGUCCCUAACCUAGUUCGAGAACAUAUACAUAUUUUUAAAAUUAUAAAAAGAUAUAACAAAAAAUAUUAAAACAUUCCUUAUUUUAUUAGCUAUUUCUUCUUACAUUUCCAUAGUUUUUUCGUAUACCUCUAUGGGAUCUGAAAUGUCAAAAUUAUCUUUUACAAUUUUGUGAAAAAAAAUAAUUGAAUUGAGUGAUUGAAAAGUUUAAAUGAUACAAUUCGGAAAUUAAUAAAUUUGAGUGUUGUAUUAAUCCAGAAUUAUUUAUUUUUAAAGUUGUUUAUCAAUCUAUAUUGUACCAAUGAAAAUGUAUUUUUAUAUUGUAUAAUUCAAGUGUUUUAGAUUACAUAAGUUGUAUUAUUUUUUAUUUCUGAAUUGGUUAAUUUAGAAUUAGUUUUGUGAGUUCCAAUUUGUUUUACAUUGAAGUUUUGAUCCCGAACUUGUUUUAAUACAUUAGUGAAAUAAAGUUUUGAUCCCAAACUUAUUCUAUAAUCGAGAACUAGUGAAAAUCAUACCAAAUGAUUCCAAAUCUGAGAUAAAAAUAUCAAUUAUUUUAUUGUGUAUUUACUGGUAAAUUUAUCAAAAAGGUAGAAUUCCUGGGUAUUAGAGGUUUCUCUACAUGCUAUACAAUGGGAAUAGCUUCAAGUUUAUCUUUUAAUAAAUAAAAAAUAAUUUUUAUUUAAUAAAUUAAGUAAUUUAACGAGUUCUAUCUACACCAAAAUAACUAAAAUACUUCUUUACUAUUAUACAAUAUGAUUUUAGAGAAAAAAAUAAGAAAGAAGGAGAGAAAAAGAGAAUAAAGUAUUUUGAUAGAUUUCUUCACAUUAUAAAAUGUAAUAGUAAGAGAAUCAAAAAGUAAUUAAGGUCAAUUAAUAAUCAUAAUGAAAUGUAUAACAUCAUAAAAAACAUUUAAAACAUCAUAAAAAUCAUUCGUAACAACAAAAAAUCAUUCAUAAUGGCAUAAAAAUAUAACACUCUUCCUUGUAUGUCUAUUUAUUGAAAGAUGUGUCUUGUUAAAACUUUAAACCUUAUACCCACUAAAGAAGAAAGAGUACUCAAACCUGAGGAGGAGUAUAUCAACAUGAAAUAGACUCACACUUUAGGGGGAGACAUUAGGAAUCCAAGUGAGUUUAAGUUUCAUAUUGAGUAAAAAUAAGAAAGUUGAGCAACAUACAAGGAAGAAGACCUAUAAACUCAUUGUCUUAAGGUUUCAGAUAGAAGGCGAUGUCUUAAUCUCUUGUAUGGGUUGAAUCAUUAGUGUCGAAUAACCCUCGUGAAUUUCCCUUUUAAAGACCCAACAAUGGAGCAACAACUGAAGAAAAUGCUAGUGUUGUGUAUGUUGAACAAUGCAUAAGCCUUGAUUUUAGGUACCCAUGUGGAAAAGGCUAUAAGGUUAUCUUCUUUGAAAAUAAUUAUUAUUCCAAGUUGGUUUAGAAGAAUAAGUAUUGUGUUUGAAUCCUUUUAGUUGGAAAUGUUAGACUUGAAGAAUUGACUCAAACCUCAAGCAAAGUUGUUUAGAUGUUGAUGUUGUAAAUGUUUUUGAGUAUUUUAGCUUUCAUUGCAUGUUUUUAUAAGUCUUUUCACAAGGUUUUAAGUUCAACACACAACCUAUAUAAAAUUAGUUAAAAGAUAAUUGUUUUUGAAAAGUUAAAGACACGAGAAAAAUGUUUUGCGGCUAUGUUAAUGGAUUAAGAUUUUAAAUAAUCAAUUCUUUUUUUUAUUUGACUGACUAAAACCAACAACAAAAAUAUUUGUUUUCAAUUUUCUGAAAAAUUAACUGAUUCAAAUCUUGCAUAAUUUAUUAAUUUCAUUUUUUAAAUCUACAGCUGAAUAACAGAAGCAUUGUAACUAUUUUUUAAAUUUUAAUAAGCAUAAUCAAUUACUAACUUGAAAUCGAUCAAAUGCGCUUGAACUUGUUUUAAAUUAGUAUUUUCUGAACUAUAUAAUACAAUCUUGGUCUCACUCUUUUAUCAAUCUUGAUUUUCUAAUUAAUUGAAAUUACUUUUACAAAUUAGUACAUUUUUUAAAGAACUUGAAUAAAAGGUAAAUCUUUUUCAAAAAAUAUUUAAAAUCAAUUCACCUCCCUCUUUUUAGCUAAGCUUCAUUCUCUUUUCUAACAUGGCAAAGCGGUUUUCUAUUCUCAUAUAGUUGUAACUAAAAGCAAUGCUAUAUCACUUUCACUAAUGUAAAUAAAAUGUCAUGUAUUAACUUCAAAUAAAUGGAGAAAAGUAUAUUAUGUCUCUAACUUUGUAUAAAAUAUCAUAAAAAAUUGAUGACUUGUGAAAAGUGGUAUUUCUUUAUGAAACAAUGAUUUUCAAUUUGACAAACUUUAUCUAUAGUGCCUCUUUAAUUAUCUUAGACAUUGGGAUUUCUAGAUUUUCCUCUUGUGGAGUUAAGAAUUGAGAAGAAAUGUGUACUUAUAACUCCUUUAGUGGGUAAAAAUUUUCUAAUUAGAAGUAUAAAGGCUUUUCUAUAUUUCUCAUUAUGGUUCAAAUGUAAUGUUAUUUAGUGUUAUUGUUUGGUAUGCUUAUAACAUUGUGACUAUAUAUUUAUUUAGCUACUAAAAGUGCACCAUAAUAAAAGCCUUAGUGAUGUUGUAACUCCAAUUUCAUGGAAUCCCUUGGUUCAAGGGCAAGCAAUAGAAGGAAGCUAGAUCUUUAAUAAGGUGAGCGUAAUAGAUUAGUGAUAAAUAUAAUCACAAAGCUUGAAGCUUAGAUAUAAAGAAGAAUUAUAUGAAAAAUGGCAAGUCAUUACACCGAAGUUCAACAUGCUUCCAUUCUCUCACCAACCCCAAGUUGAUUUGCUAAACAAAGGACUUGGUGAUUUGUAGUUGGUUUAAUAAGAGAAAUUUUAUCUUAUUGUCUUGUUUAUUCAACUUGUUUGAGUAAACCCUGUCUUUUUUUCCUAAAGGCACUUUGCCACUUCUUUUUUCGUAGCUUAAAAAACAUCCCUUUCUAUCUAUUAUGUAUUUAGAUAUGGUAUUUCUUAUUUACGCAAAUAAAUCUAUCAAAUAAUGGGAAGGAUAGACUCUACCAAGUAAAGCAACUCCAACUUUUUAAUACUCCAGAUGUGUGUUAAAAAGAGAGUUUUCAUAAUAACAAACACUAACUGAGCUAGUAAGAUGUGUGUAUGUUAUGUUUUAUGAACCUUCUAAUAUUUGUUUUGUACAAGUUGUCAGUUAUCAAACUAUCCAAAGGUUACUAUCAAUGUUAGACGAUCUAUUAACUUUUACAUUUUAAGGUUAAACACAUUAUGUAACCAAAGUUGUAAUCAUAAAUUAUUUAUAAAGAUAAAAGGAAUCAUGUUUGGUAACAUUGAAAGUGCAUAGAUGUUGUAAAUGACUAAACGUGAAAUGUUUUAUACCAAAAAGUUAUAUUCUACAACAUUUAUACUAAAAAGUAAAAAUGGAAACAAAAGAAAUAAGUGAAUUGCAAUAUAAUUGAAUCAUGCCUUUAUUACUUGUUUUUGAAAUGUUUCUUUAAGAAUAGAAGAUAGACUUCAUUAAAGCUUUCCUUUUAAAUCUUUCAGUCAACAUACACACUGCAUGAUCCACGAAGUUUGAAAACAUGACUAAAUAAUAUCUUAUCAAAGUAAAUACUGAAGCAACGAUAAGUGAAAUCAAGGAAAAAUACAAGAACAAAGGGUUGAAUUGUGUUUUUGAAAAGUUUUAAGCACUUUUACAAUACUGUCUAAAAUAGAAUAUUGAAAUCAUAGUUUUAUAUGUUCAGUGAUCAAUUAAUGAUAUUUGCCUAUGAUGAAAUAUGUUAGAUGAAGAUUUUCAAUUUAACUUGUUUACUUAUGUUAUUUAAGUAAUUUCUUAAUAGUAAUUUUGUCUAAUCAAGCCUUAUAUACACAACUUUAGUACUUAACAGAUUUAUUAGUUUAAACGUUUUAUUGCAUGUGUUCUUCGACCAACUUUACUUCUUCAUUAGUGAAGAUAUAAAUUAUAGUAAAUAUGGAGAAAUAGAGAUAGAGAGAACAUACACAUAGUAUUUUAAUACUGGUUCGUCUGCCGCAAUAUACUACAUCUAAUUCCCAAUCAAUAAAUUGAGUUCCACUAAACAAACUAAUGUUGUGAAGAACAAUGUGAGUAUUCUUUGGGCUUGUAGCCACUUCUAACUAACCCCUUAAGUAUUAUUGAGACAAGUCACUCCCUUAUUAAUGAGUAUUCUUUCAGCUUGCAGCUACUUCUAACUGACCCUGUUCAAGUAUUUUUUUCACAAGUCACUUUUGACUCAACUAAGUAUUCUUUAACAAGUCAAUCCCAACUUAAUAAGUAUUCUUUUAGCUCCCAACUUGUUAAGUAUUCCUUUUACAAGACACUUAUGGCUUAACCAAGUAUUCUUUCACAAAACAUUAUUCGCUUAAUGAGUGUUUUUAAAAAACAGUCACUUUUGACUAAGAUAUAAAAGUUACAUAAGUGGUUAUCAAUCAAUCACUAACUUUUUCUCACUAGAGAUAUUGAUCCUUUAUUAGCAUGUAUAAGAUUGAUACCUUCUUCUUCUAACUUGUUGAAAUGAACACUAACAAUGUUUUUCUUAAAGUUGUUUGUUGGCUCAAAAAAUUUACCACUAUUUUUGUACAAUACUACAUUGUAUACUUUUUUCUUUUUAUCAAAAUAAAAUUUGGUGUGUUGUUGGAGAUUUCAAUGCAGUUAGAAAACCAUAAGAGAUGAAAUUUGUAAGUAGAUUGUGAUCAAAUAAAUCUGAGAUUGAAAAUUUUAACCUCUUUAUAGAAGAGAUGGAUUUAUUUGACAUUCAUAUGAUUGGGCGAAGGUAUACUUGGUAUAGACCCAACCGUUCAGCUAAAAGUAAAAUUGAUAGGUGCUUAGUUACCCAGGAAUGACUCCAAAUUUGGAAAGACAGUAAACAAUAUGCUUUGGAUAGAUCGGUUUCUAAUAAUUGUGCACUAAUUCUCACAAGAAAAUUUUUAGAUUGGGGGCCUAGACCUUUUAGAACCUUUUACAAGUCCAUUUUACUAAGUACACUUCCUUUUAUGCUAUGUAAACAUACUGUAGCCUAUUUUGCUAUUUGGACCUUAAAAGUGAGCCCAAAUUAUUUACAAGCAUGUUUUUGUCUUUUAAGAAGAACAUAGGAAAGAAUAGUUGAUGUUCUGGUCUAUGUCAAGUUCUUCUUCUAGUGAGGUCCGUCUGAUAUUUGGUGGGAUUAGGUUUUAUGUGAGGUGUGAGGUGUUAAGUGACGUGGAUUGAGAAAUUAGUUUAGUGAAAAAUUAAUUGAAGAUUAGGGUUUUUAAACUUUAAUUAAAAUUGGGGAUUAGGGUUUUUUAAUUGGAAUGGGGGAUUAGGGAUUUUUAAAUUGGAAUUGAGGAGUGCACUACACAAGAAAAUUCGCCUGCUUCGCCAGCCAAUUCGCGCGGGAGGGGUAGUGUGGCGGACAAAGGCGAGUUGCGCAACAGAGGUUGCACGGUAGCGUUCUUCGCGAGAGAGAACCAAAGGUGUUUUAUUCCAAGGUGUCUCCACAACCUGUGCUCAUAAACAAACUAAUGUUCUCAUCUCUUAGCUACACUUCACUGCUCCCGCUCACCCACCCCCGUCGUGGAACUUUAACACGACCGACAACUUUUUCCAACAACCAUCCGCCGACGGUGAAGAGUGUUGCUACUGUGAGGGCGAAGCCAAUUUCCUCACCUCUAGACAAGGCUAUUCUUUCUCCCCCAAUUGCAAUUGAGAAAACCAUAAAUCCCAAUUAAUUUUCACUAAACUAAUAUCUUUAAAUUAUAAGCUAAUUAGGUAGUGAUUCACUAAUCAUGAGAUUCUAUCAUUAUUAAAUUAAUUGCGCGUACAAUAUGGUACAAUAUCGUAUAAUCUUGCAUAUGAUAAUUGCAUAUAAUUUGAUAAUUAUUAUUUCCUUAAUAAAUUAUGUCUCGCAUUCUUGUGUGACGACGUUCUUCCACUUCUCCGCUGGUGGUGCUCAAAUGUCUCUCCUUGCAUUUCUGUGACGACGUUCUUCUCCGUUGGUGGUGCUCAAGGGUCUCUCCUUUCUUAAUAAUCAGUUCUCAAAAUUUAAGGUGAAUAACAUAUAUUUAAUAUUGUAUGGUAAAUAAUUUGUUUACUGCUUGUUAAUAUAGUCACUUCAAAUUUUAUUAUCUUAGAUGGAGAAUGCAGCAGAACAGCGAAACAUAAAUCUUGUAUAAGCAUUGAUCGAGCAGAAUCCACACGUUUUUGAAGAGAUGGAUUCAAUACCAUUUGUUGAAACUCAAUUGCAUAUUGCUGCACGUGCAGGGCAUAUUCAAUUUGUCAAUGAGAUCAUGCUAUUAAAGUCGUCCUUUUCUUGGAAAUUUAAUCCCCAAGGAUUAAGACCAGUCCACCUCGCUCUACAACAAGGCCACAUCAGAAUAGUCCUUGACCUUGUUAAGAUGGACAAAGAACUUGUUCGAGCUAAAAGGAGAGGAGGUCUCAUUCUUCUACAUUUGGCAAGUCAAUUGAGAGAUAUAACCCUUUUGGCUGUCUUUCUUGAAGCUUGCCCAGAUUCAGUGAAAGACUUUACGGUUAGAAGUGAGACUGCAUUGCAUUUAUACGAGAGGUUUGAGGUUUUCGAGUUCUUAUUUAGAUGGCUCAAGACAAAGAUAGAUAUUGAUAAGCUCCAAACCAUUCUGAACCAGAGAGACGUGGAGGGCAACACCAUUCUACACAUUGCAACAACAAGAAAUGACACAAAGGUAAAUUCUUGUCUCUAUGGAUUUAGUGUAGUAGCAUUUGUUGAAAACCGAAAAUGUUUUACAAGCAUUACAAGCUAAUUACGUCUAAUCAUGAAAUUCUAUAAUUAUUAAAUUAAUUGCAUAUAAUUGCGUACAAUAUUACAUACAAUAAUUGUCUAUAAUUUGAUAAUUAUUAUUUCCUUAAUAAUUUAUGUCUCGCUCUUGUGUAACACCUUCCACUUCUCCGUUGGUGGUGCUCAAGGUCUCUCCUUGUAUUUCUACCUCGCAUUCUUUUGUGACGACGUUCUUCCACUUCUCCGCCGGUGGUGUUCAAGGUGUCGCUGCUGGUGCUCAAGGUCCGCCGGUGGUGUUCAAGGUGUCGCUGCUGGUGCUCAAGGUCGAUGUUGCUGAGAGCAUCGCUUUUGUUGCUCCUGAUACUUUCCAAAUAAAUGAAUUCUUUAAUUUAUUGAUUAUUUCGUUUGUUUUAAUUUCUAAUUUUCCUUUUGCUAUUAAACUUUUAUAUGUUAUCUGUUUCUCUGUUUCUAAUUUGUCAAUAUGUAUGAUAAUGAAAGUGUCAAUAAGGAUAACGUAGGGAUGCACCAGUCAUGUGAUUCUAUCAUUAUUAAAUUAAUUGCAUAUAAUUGCGUACAAUAUCAUACAAUUUUGCAUACAAUAAUUGCAUACAAUAUCCCUAUGUUGUUAAUAUGUUCACUUCAAAUUUUAUUAUCUUAGAUGGAGUCAUCAAGUUUUUUUUUUUUCUAGUUUUGAAUAUGUAAAAAGUUUUUUUUUAUACGUGAAUAUGUUUGUUUUUUUUGUACCACUGUUAUUUUUAUUUUAAUAAUUUUUCUUUUAAGUUUUUUUUUAUUUGUUUACUUUAUUUUGAUUCUGUUUUGCUAUAUUUUAUUUUAUUCUUUACUUCUUUAUUUUUAUAUUUUUUACGUAGUUUUUUUUACUGUAAUUAUUUUUUUUUUUUUAUUCUUAUUUUUAUUUUUAUUUUAUUUUGAUUUGGAUUUUUUUUAUCAUAUUUUAUUUUUAUGUUUAACUUAAGUUGUUCAUUUAUAGUUUACGUAGUUUUUAUUUAUUUAUUAUUUAUUACUAUUAGUUUCUGUUUUAUUUUUGUUUCAUUUUUAUUUUAUUUUAUUUUAUUUUAUUUAUUUUUCUUAAUAGUUAUUUAUUUUAUUUUUACUUUUAUUAUUUUCUUUGAUAUCAUUCUUAGUUUUUAUUUUACGCAAGUUUUUUUCUAUCUAUAUAUUCCGUUUUAGUUUUCUUAGUUAGUUAGUUAUUUAAUUUUUUUUUAUUCUAGUCAUGUGAUUCUAUCAUUAUUAAAUUAAUUGCAUAUAAUUGCGUACAGUAUCGUACAAUUUUGCAUACAAUAAUUGCAUACAAUAUCCUUAUGUUGUUAAUAUGUUCACUUCAAAUUUUAUUAUAUUAGAUGGAGUAUGCAGCAGAACAGGGAGACGUAGAUCUUUUAUACACAUUGAUCAAGCAGAAUCCACACGUUUUUUAAGAGAUGGAUUCAACAUCAUUUGUUAAAACUCUGCAAAGCAUAUUCAAUUUGCUGAUGAGAUCAUGCUUGAUUCAGACCAGUCCACCUCGCUAUACAACAUGGUCACAGCAGAAUAAUCCUUCUCUUGAAUAAUCCUUCAUUUUCUUGGAAAUUUAAUCCCCAAUGAUUCAGACCAGUCCACCUCGCUAUAUAACAUGGUCACAGCAGAAUAAUCCUUGACCUUAUUAAGAUGGACAAAGAACUUGUUCGAGCUAAAAGGAAAGGAGGUCUCACUCUUUUGCAUUUGACAAGUCAAUUGGGAAAUAUAAACCUUUUGGCAAUCUUUCUUGAAGCUUGCCCAGAUUCAAUAAAAGACUUGACGGUUAAAAGUGAGACUGCAUUGCAUUUAUACAAGAAGCGUAGUGAAAAUUUCUCUCUCCAAAUUACAAACAUUACAAGCUAAUUAAGUGGGAAUCACUAAUCAUGAGAUUCUAUCAUUAUUAAAUUAAUUACAUAUAAUUGCGUACAAUAUUGUACAAUAUUGCAUACAAUAAUUGCGUAUAAUUUAAUAAUUAUUAUUUCCUUAUGUGACGAAGUAGGAAUCACUAAUCAUGACAUUUUUUCAUUAUUAAAUUAAUUACAUAUAAUUGUGUAUAAUAUCGUACAAUAUUGCAUACAAUAAUUACGUAUAAUUUGAUAAUUAUUAUUUCCUCCGCUCGUGGUGUUCAAGAGUCUCUCUUUCCAUUUCUGUGUGACAACGUUCUUUCACUCAACUACUCCUUAUCUGUGAUUGCCAUAUCUUCUGUUAAUAGCAACAACAUACUGGUUAUGGUCCUUUUAAUCAUCCUUCUUGCAUACAAUAAUUGCGUACAAUUUUUUGUUGGUCCUUAUACUUUUCCAAGUAAAUGAAUUCUUUAAUUUGUUUAUUAUUUCGUUUGUUUUAAUUUCUAAUUUUCCUUUUGCUAUUAAGCUUUUAUAUGUUAUAUGUUUAUCUUUCUCUGUUUAUACCAUAACCAUUUAAGAAACUAAUUUGUCAAUAUGUAUGAUAAUGAAAGUGUCAAUAUGGAUAAAGUAGAAUUUUGUUCUAGAUAUUAUUGUAGCCCUAUGUGGUUAUUAUGGUCACUUCAAAUUUUAUUAUCUUAGACGGAGUCUGCAGCAGAACAGGGAGACGUAGAUCUUCUAUACACAUUGAUCAAGCAGAAUCCACACGUUUUUGAAGAGAUGGAUUCAAUACCAUUUGUUGAAACUCCAUUGCAUGUUGUUACAUGUGCAAGGCAUAUUCAAUUUGCCAAUGAGAUCAUGAUAUUAAAGCCUUCCUUUCUUGGAAAUUUAAUCCCCAAGGAUUCAGACCAGUCCACCUCGCUCUACAACAUGGUCACAACAGAAUAGUCAUUUACUUUAUCAAGAUGGACAAAAAACUCGUUCGAGCUAAAAGGAGAGGAAGUCUCACUCUUUUGCAUUUGGCAAGUCAAUUGGGAGAUAUAAACCUUUUGGAUGUCUUUCUUGAAGCUUUCCCGGAUUCAAUAAAAGACUUGACUAUUAGAAGUGAGACUGCAUUGCAUUUAUACAGGAGGUUUGAGGUUUUAGGUUUUCGAGUUCUUAUUUAGAUGACUCAAGACUAUGAAGCAAAUAAUAAUUAUCAAAUUAUACGCAAUUAUUGUAUGCAAUAUUGUACGAUAUUGUACCCAAUUAUAUGGAAUUAAUUUAAUAAUGAUAGAAUCUCAAUUAUAUUGUACGUACAAUUUUCUUAUAAAGACAAAGACAGGUAUUGAUGAGCUCAAAACCAUUAUGAACCAGAAAGACGUGGAGGGCAACACCAUUCUACAUAUUACAGCAACAAGAAAUGACACGAAGGUAAAUUUCUGUCUCUCUAUGAAUUUAGUGUUGUAUCAUUUGUUGGAAACUGAAAAGGUUUUAUAAUUGGAUUGUAGUCAAACCAAUUCAAAAGUUGUUUGAGUAAUUUAUCUAACUUAUUGGAUGACAUUGCAUAUAAUAAACAAACUCGAAAUUAAAAAGAAAUUGUCGAGUGUUGAAGCAAGUCGUGUUAGGAAAUUUCAAAUCCUUCGUUACUUCAAUGCAUGAGUUGAUGAUUCGAAAAAUUGGUUCCCAUGUCAGCAUGUCGAAUGAGAUAAGAAACUUGUACAUGAUAUGGAUCACUCUUAUUGCAACAGCAACCUAUCAAGCAGUACUUAGUCCACCUGGUGGAUUGCAUAAGAUUGAUGCAGCGGAUACUAAUAACACUCUUUGCGACAUCAGAUUCAUACGAAGUCUUUGAAGGGAAAUCUGAAACAUCUCUUUUUUAAGUUUUCGGCCAUAAAUAUAUGUGCCUUUAUGACAUCCAUUAUCACAAUUAUGUAUUUGAUGCCUAAUAAUCUUGGACGGUUUCUACCAAAUACGACCAUACUUCUUCUAGUAAUCAGCUACUCCUUAUUUGUGAUUGCCAACAUAUUGGUCAGACCAGUCCACCUCGCUCUACAUGGCCACAGCAGAAUAAUAUCAGAUUCAAUUAAGGGUAAAAACGUUAUAUAUUAAGUGUAAAAAUGUUAUAUAUUAAGUGUAAAAACGUUAUAUGUUAAGUGUAAAAACGGAUGCACUCACAAUACAUUUUCUUUCUCUACUGGGCGUUCUCUCUGGUGCGUUCUUACUUUCUUCAUUUUUUUUCUUUCCCGUGUGUGUUCUUCGUGUUUUCUUUCUCUUUAUUGUACUUGUGGCUACUUGCUUUCUUACUUUUUCCUUGCAUUUCUAUAAGAAAAUUGUAUGUAAGAAGAUGGACCCAAAUUACAAGCUAAUUAGGUAGAGAUCCAUUAAUCAUUAUUAAAUUAAUUGUAUAUAAUUGCAUACAAUAUCGUACAAUAUUGCAUAUAAUUUGAUCAUUAUUAUUUUUUUAAUAAUUUCUGUCUCGCAUUUUGUGAUUUUAUAAAUUAAUUUUAAAUAUUUAUUAUUAUUUUAAUAUUUAUAUUAUUAGUAUUAAUAAUACUUUAUAUUAUUAUUAGUUACAGUUUAUUUGAAAUAAAAUUAAAAAAAAAAAUUAAUUAUCUUUUAUAUAUUGAGGGUAAAAACAUUAUAUAUCAAGGGUAAAAACGGAUGCACUCACAAUAUAUUAUUUUCUAUUGUAUGUAAAAAGAUGAAAAUAUAAAGAAGAUGUUUAUUCUCUCCAAAUUACAAAGCUAAUUAGGUAGGGAUCUACUAAUCAUUAUUAAAUUAAUUGCGUAUAAUAUCGUACAAUAUUGCAUACAAUAAUUGCAUAUAAUUUGAUCAUUAUUAUUUUCUUAUUAACUUAUGUCUCGCAUCCUUGUGUGACGACGUUCUUCCACUUCUCCGCUAGUGGUGCUCAAGGUCUCUCCUCGCAUUUUGUGAUUUUAUAAAUUAAUUUUAAAUAUUUAUUAUUAUUUUAAUAUUUAUAUUAUUAGUAUUAAUAAUACUUUAUAUUAUUAUUAGUUACAGUUUAUUUGAAAUAAAAUAAAAUAAAAAUUAAUUAUCUUUUAUAUAUUGAGGGUAAAAAAUUAUAUAUCAAGGGUAAAAACGGAUGCACUCACAAUACAUUAUUUCUAUUGUAGGUAAAAAGAUGAAAAGAGAAAGAAGAUGUUUUAUUCUCUCCAAAUUACAAGUUAAUUAGGUAGGGAUAUACUAAUCAUUAUUAAAUUAAUUGCAUAUAAUUGCGUAUAAUAUCAUACAAUAUUGCAUACAAUAAUUGCGUAUAAUUUGAUAAUUAUUAUUUCCUUAAUAAUUUCUGUCUCGCAUUCUUGUGUGACGACUUUCUUCUACCUAUCCGCUAGUGGGCUCAAGGGUCUCUCCUUGCAUUUCUGUUUCGCAUUAUGUGAUUUUAUAAAUUAAUUUUAAAUAUUUUUAUUAUUUUAAUAUUUAUAUUAUAAGUAUUAAUAAUACUUUAUAUUAUUAUUAUUUAUAAUUUAUUUGAAAUAAAAUUUUAAAAAAAUAAUUAUCUUUUAUAUAUUGAUGGUAAAAAUGUCAUAUAUUAAGGGUAAAAACGGAUGUACUCACAAUACAUUCUCUUCCUCUUUUGCGCGUUCUCUCCAGCGCGUUCUUUCCAGCACGUUCUUGCUUUCUUUAUUUUCUUCUUUUCCCGCGCGUGUUCUUGUGCUUUCUUUCUCAUUCUUGCACCUGUGGCUACUUGCUUUCUUACCUUUUUCCUCACCGUUCUCCUUGCAUUUUUAUAAGAAAAUUGUAUUUAAGAAGAUGGAAAGAAGAAAAAAGAUGUUUUUAUAAUGUCCAAAUUACAAGCUAAUUAGGUAGGGAUCCACUAAUCAUUAUUAAAUUAAUUGCAUAUAAUUGCGUAUAAUAUCGUACAAUAUUGCAUACAAUAAUUACGUAUAAUUUGAUAAUUAUUAAGAGUUGUAAUUUGAUUGUAUAAAAAUUUUAGAUUUUUAAAUACAAUAGAAAAUUUACAAUUUGAAUGGUGUGUUGUGAUAUGCAUACACAACAUUUACUCCAUUUGUUCAUGUCAUCUAAUGAUCGUGUCAUUCAUAUUGUCUUCUCAUUAAUUAGUGUUUAUUACUUACUUAACACCAUGUAACUUGAUUAAAUAAACUAAAAUUUGAUACUCUUUAUUAUCAUUAAAGUCAUCGAUUAUUAUGGUGAGACUCUUGGUAUUAUAUUGUUGUAACUAGGAAAACACCCUUAAUUAUAUAACCAGGUGUCACUAUUACUAGGAGAAAACUUUUAUAAAGAAAAUAACAACAAAAUAUAAUGAUAACUACAUAUGUACAUUAAUCAGAAUAAUGAAGAAACAAAAGCUUAAAAAAAAAAAAAACACUUCUAACUUAAUUCAUGAUGAAUUUACAUCCAGCGAGGUUUGUCCUUGACACUGUAAAACAAAAACCAUAUUAUUCACAACCACAUUUCAUAUCAUAUAUGUACAAGUGUUUAACUUUAGAUCACAAAAAUACUUAUAUCCACAUAUAUUAUAUUGCUGAUAAAAUUUGUAAUAAAUAUUUAAGGACAUCCAUUUAUCAACACCCACAAAUAUCCACUACCCAUCAAAUUAGAUAAAUGUUUGUAUAUUCAAAUAAUUAAAUUAAUAUUUUAAUUAAAAUUUUAUAUUAAUGAAAUAUUUUUCAUGAAUUUAUUUGCUCUUCAGAAUUAAGGUGGUCAAUGUAAAGUUGAAGAAGAGAAAAAUAUCAAUUAAAAUUUUGUAAUUCUGUUUUACUUCAUGUACUUUACUUUUCUUGUGUUUUAAGUAGACAAUUUAUUUAAAUUUGUUAUUGGAAUUAAAUAAGCUUUUCUUUUUGUUGAUUAAAACAAUUUUUUUUAACCAAAUACCCUUGGAAAUUUGUUGAUAUCUAGGGGGCACAAGUGAGAUUUUAGCAUACAAGACAGGUAGUUAAAACCCACUUGACAAUUGCUUCCUGCACCCAACGAACGUUUUAAAAUCCCAUCAUGUUUUUGUCUUCUUUAUUUUGAAAAAAUGGAGUAGGGUGCGGAAAAAACUUGGUUUUUCUCUUUGGUGGUGGUUUAAGCUUCAAAGGAGGUGGUUUUAGUGUGGUGGUGGAGGAUGGGCCAUUUGCAUUGUAAGGUCCGCCAAUUGACAUUGUUGUGAGGUAAGAAGAUAUUUAAGCUAUUUUUUCGCAUUUUGUUUGAGCUGGGAUGGUCACGGAUAUCAAUAUCCAGAAGCUUGGUUUUAAUCUUAUGGAUGUAAGUGUCCGGAAGCCAUUAUUAAAUGCGUAGUAGAGAAAUGCGUUACGGAUAUGGUUAUUCAGAAGUGGAGAUUUUGUAUUCUCGAUGUGCAUAUCCAAAAUUGACUUUUGAAUUCCGGAUGCACAUAUCCAGAAUAGUUAAGUGUGUUCUGGAUUUGGACAUCCAAAAGUAUAUUUUUUGACUUAUGGAUUUCUAAAUUCAGAAACUAAGUCUUUUUUUCAAUUUUAUUAAAGGUAUUUUGAUAUUUUCUCGAACCAUGAUUAAGUGCCGGUUCAAAUGUGUUGGUGCAAGGAGAAUCAGCCAACCCACUUCCAUCCAUACUUAUUGUCAUCCUAGUCGUACAAUUACUUCCUGCACCCCUCCCCAUUUUUAACCUACACCCCCACAAUUGCGUGAAAUGAUUGAAUUGUCCCAUCCGCUUCUCCCUCACUGCACUCCACCACAGCCGCCACUUCCACACCAUCACCGCUGCAGAAGAAGAGAAGGAGAAUGCUGGAAAAAAAUCUCAUUUUAAAAAGCUUCUUCCAGAAAAUUCAUAUAAAAACUUAUUUCAGAAUGUAUCUCAUGUCUUUGGCCCAAAAUUUUAUUUUGGAAAUCAUCAAAUUCUUGAAAACAUGUUCUGGAAUGUAUUUCAUGAAUUCCAGAAAGUGUGUUCUAGAAGAAUAUUUCGGAAUCUGGAAGUCACUUUAAAUAAGAAUAAAAAAGUAAUUUUAAAAAUUAUGGAAGUGCAGGUUCAAAUUGCGGGGUGCAGGAAGCAAUUGUCUAAUCCUAGUCUGGAGUUCUUUCUAGCUUGGUUGGUUUAACAAGAUGCAUUAGUUGUUAUAAACUCCCUAAGAUAAAAACAAAAACUUAGUCCCAAAAGCAAGUACAUUUAUUUAAUACAUUUAGUCCCUAAAAUAUACAUGCUAUCAUCAUAAUAUUUAAUAUUGAAUUAGUCCCUUUGAAAUGACCUAUUAAACAAAAAAUUAUAAGAAAAAAAAUCUUUCUUAUUAUCUUGUGUGUAUGUACAUCACUAAAUGUAUAACAAAUAUAUAAAAAUGUACGGAGACUUUCUUUCUCUAAAUUACAAGCUAAUUAGAUAUGAUUCACUAAUCAUAAAUUCUAUAAUUAUUAAAUUAAUUAUAUAAUUGUGUAUAAUAUCGCAUAAUAUCACACAAUAUCAUACAAUAAUUACAUAUAAUAAUUGUCUAUAAUUUUAUAAUUAUUAUUCUCUUAAUAAAAAUCGUGUAGCAAAUAGUCAUCUCAAGUUCGAGAUACAUAUUUUUGUUAUUUGUUUUUAAAAUAAUCCAUAUCUGGAAAAAAAAAUCCCACAAAUUGCACCUUUUUUUUGAUAAAUUUACCGAAUUUGUUUUGAGUAGAAAGACAUGUGAUAUGUAAGGUAAUAGGUUAUAGUAUCGGUAUUCACUUUUAACCCACCUAUCUAUUAUGAGACUUCGUGUCCACACCACUAGGUUUCCCUAUUUUUUCUAUUAACAUACUUUCCAUUACUCAUCCAUAAUGGUAAAGAGAAGAAAAAAAGAGAAAUUAAAAAAGGUAUUAGAGGUUUCUGUACAUGCUAUACAAUGGGAAUAGCUUCAAUUUUAUCUUUUAAUAAAUAAAAAUUAAUUUUUAUUUAAUAAAUUAAGUAAUUUAACCAGUUCUGUCUACACCAAAAUAACUAAAAUACUUCUUUACUUUUAUUCCAUGUGAUUUUAGAGAAGAAAUAAGAAAGAAGGAGACAAAAAGAGAAUAAAGUAUUUUGAUAGAUUUCUUCACAUUAUAAAAUGUAAUAGUAAGAGAAUUAAAAAUUACUAAAGGUCAAUUAAUAAUCAUAAUGAAAUUUAUAUCAUCAUAAAAAUCAUUCAUAACAUCACAAAAAUCAUUCAUAAUGGCAUAAAAAUAUAACACUCUUCCUUGUAUGUCUAUUUAUUGAAAGAUGUGUCUCGUUAAAACUUUAAACCUUAUGACUAACAACCACUAAAGAAAAAAGAGUACUCGACUUGAGGGGAGUAUACCAAUAUGAAAUAGACUCACACUUUAAGGGAAGACUUUAGGAAUCCAAGUGUGAAUUUAAGUUCCAUAUUGAGUAAACAUGAGAAAGUUGAGCACCAUACAAGGAAAAAGACCUAUAAACUCAUUGUCUUAAGGUUUUGGAUAGAAGGCAGUGUCUUAAUCUCUUGUAUGGGUUGAAUCAUUAGUGUCGAAUAAUGUUGGAGAUCCCACAUCGACUAGAGAUUAGAGCCUUUCAUUGUAUAUAAGUGGGUGCAAACCUCAACCCUAUGAGCCGGUUUUAUGGGGUUGAGUUAGGCUUAAAGUCCACUUCGUAAUAUGGUAUCAGAGCCAUUUCGAGCCUAUCCUAGCGAGUAUUUGUUGGGCCUAUCGUGCCACCCGCUAUCGGGCCGCUAUCGGACCACCCAUAAUAUAUAGUCCCACGCACGAGUUGGUAGUCUCGGCGUGAGGGGGGUGUGUUGGAGAUCCCACAUCGACUAGAGAUUAGAGUCUUUCAUUGUAUAUAAGUGGGUGCAAACCUCAACCCUAUGAGCCGGUUUUAUGGGGUUGAGUUAGAAGGCGAUGUCUUAAUCUCUUGUAUGGGUUGAAUCAUUAGUGUCGAAUAACCCUCGUGAAUUUCCCUUUUAAAGACCCAACAAUGGAGCAACAACUGAAGAAAAUGUUAGUGUUGUGUAUGUUGAACAAUGCAUAAGCCUUGAUUUUAGGUAUCCGUAUGGAAAAGGCUAUGAGGUUAUCCUCUUUGAAAAUAAUUGUUAUUCCAAGUUGGUUUAGAAGAAUAAGUAUUGUGUUUGAAUCCUUUUAGUUGGGCAUGUUAAGAGAAGUUAUUUAGAUGUUGAUGUUGUAAAUGUUUUGAGUAUUUUAGCUUUCAUGGCAUGUUUUAUAAGUCUUUUCAAAAGUUUUUAAGUUCAACGCACAACCUAUAUAAAAGUUAUUAAAAGAUAAUUGUUUUGAAAAGUUAAAGACACGAGAAAAAUGUUUUGUGGCUAUGUUAAUGGAUUAAGUUUUUAAAUAAUCGAUUAUUUGUUUAUUUGACUGAAUAAAACAUGCAACAAAAUUAUUUGUUUUCAAUUUUCUGAAAAAUUAACUGAUUCAAAUCUUGCAUAAUUUAUUAACUUCAUUUUUUAAAUCUACAAAGCUGAAAUAAUUGAUUAAGCAGGAAGCAUUGUAACUAUUUUUUCAGAUUUUAAUGAGAAUAAAUUGUUCUUGGUCUCGAAUCCGGAGUGAUGUGAGACUAUAUUGGCGGUACUAGAACAAGUCUCCAGUCGAGGUCUAAGGGGAGUGGAUUCCCCCAAAUUGAAGGGCUUGUGACACAUUUUCGGUCUCACAGACGGCGUCACUGUUCCAAAAAGAGUCAUUCAUGAUGAAGAAAUCCCAAAUUUGCUCGGAAAGGGCUUGUAACUAACCAGAACCAAAGAAGAGAGGUUUUAGAUUCGCUUAGGCUUGGCUUAGAGCGAACCCUAAGCCUAAGAAAUCUUCAUGCUUAAGAAAAGAUUUUGAUGGGCUUGGCAUGGAGCAAAUCCCUACAAAAUUAAAAACUUGUAUGUUUUUUGACAAGAGUAAUUAUCUUUUUAUCAAAUUUGAGAGUUUAGUUUUAUCUGUUGUUACUCAAGAGUCCCACCCAAUAAAAUAAAUUUGCAAAUGAUGAACCUACAAUGAAGAACAUGAUUCAUAUGAAUAAGAAAAUUUUGUCGGCAUCAUUAUUAUCACUACAACAAAUAUCACUUUAAGCAACAACAUAAAAUCGUGACUUAAACUUUAGAUAAUAAUUUUUCAAUCGUGGAGUAUUAUGUCGUGACGUAGGUCAAAGACAACGAUUUUUGUCUUAUGACCGCACUUGUUUUCAAAACCAUGUUUAAAAUAACAAAUUUUUGUCAAUGUUUAAACAACACUUUUUAUUUAAUAAUAAAAUAUACUCAAUAAAAGUUGUUUAGAAAAAAUAAUGAAAUAAAUUUAUAUAAUAAUAAAAUUAAUAAUAAAACAAAUAUAAAAAUAAUACUAAAAUUAAAAUUAAAUUAAUUUAUAAUAAUAAAAACAAUUUAUUUGUUUUAGAAAUAUAUAUUUAAUAUAUUUUUGAAAAUUUAUUAUAACAAUUAGAUCAUUCACAAAUUUUAUAAAUUUUCUCCUUAUUUUUUUAUUUAUUUUUUACUGUCUUUUUCUUAAUCCAACUAAUUUCAUGCACUUUUCAUUCUCUCUUUCCUUUUUUCUUUUUUACUUUUCUUUCCUUCUUUUAUAAAAGGUAGAAAAAACAUUAACAAAUGAGGUAAGACUCUUCGUUUAGACUUUUCACCCUUACAAACUUUAUUAAACCUAACAUAGUCAAUUAUUGAAUGAUAAUAAAUUCGGUUGCAUGUAUUAUACUCGUUCUAAAUUUUAAACAUAUUAUUGAUUUUGUGAUAUUUUUUUUCUUUGUAGAUUUUUAUAAUCUAUACCAUAUAAAAAUUUCUGUAUAUGUUUUUUACGAACGUAUAUUUUAUACAAUUUUACCCUUAUGUACGCCAUUUUAAUAACUAUUCCUUUCAUAAAAACUGUUAUUUUUUAUUUUAGUAAAUGUCACUUUAGUAUAUAAGAAAUAUUUAAAUGUACUAUACGUAUUUCCACCACCACCAAUAAUAAAUAUAAUAAAUAAAAAAAUAAAAAAAAUAUAAUUUUAAUUUCCAUUUUUUAACUCUGUUCGAUCAAAUUAUCUAUAUUUCAAAUUUAUUUUUCAUUUCUUUCUUUCCCUUCAAUCAACCUACUAUCCUAUUUAUCUUUAAAAAUAUAUUAUUAAUUAACUCUAAUUUCAUAUAUUAAUUAUCAAAAUACAUAAUUUUUUUUAAAAUUAUUAAAUUUUUUUUUAAAUUGUCAAAAUAUAUAAAAUUUAUAAAAAGAUCAUCGAAAUGAUAAAUAUUGAUAGAACUUAACCAUCUCAUUAAUCUUUUAAAAUUUUAAUUAUUUUAAUAAUUUAAGUAUGAAAUUCUUAUUUUUUUCUUUCUUUCUAGUUUCUCUAUUUAUUUCAUUUUUACAAAAUAAAUAAAUAGUUGAGAUUAUUUCCUUUCUCAUUAACUAUUAACUGAAAAAGCAAAAAAGUGGCUUAAAUCUGUCACAACUUAAAUAGUUGAAAUGAUAUUGAAUAGAAAUUCUUAAACAAUUUUUUUCUCACUCUCUCCCUUCAUAAAAUCAAAUCUGAAUUUAGAGUGACUAUGAUUUAAUAUUGAAUUCUCUUGUAUAUUGUUUGAGAAGAUAAUGAAUUGAAAUAUAUGCAUGUAAUUUUGAACAACUAAAAAAAUUUAGAAAUGCACUUGUGGGUGUGAGUGUGUAUAUACUACUUGUUUAUUUCUUUUGAUAGAGUGAUUAUUUUUUUUUAUCAAAAUUGAGAGUUUAGUUUUAUCUAUUGUUACUCAAGAGUCCCUAUCCAAUAAAAUAAAUUUAUAAACGAUGAACCUACAACAAAUAUUACUUUAGACAACAACAUAAAAUCGUUGCCUAAGUUUUAGACAACAAUUUUUUAAUUGUAAAGUAUUCUAUCGUAGGACAUAGGUCAAAGACAACGAUUUUUGCUCUAUUGUCUUAAGAUUGAUAAAGUGGAUAACACAUUUUUUCUCAAUGUUUAGAAAACACUUUUUUUUUCAAUGUUUAGACAACACUUUUAUAUAAUAAUAAAAUAUACUAAAUAAAAAUUGUUUAAGAAAAAUAAUAAAAUAAAUUUAUAUAAUAAAAUUAAUGAUAAAAUAAAUAUAAAAAUAAUACUAAAAUUAAAAUUAAUUUAUAAUAAUAAAAAUAAUUUAGUUAUUUUGACAAUAUAUAUUUUAUAUAUUUUUCAUAAAUUUUCUUUUUAUAUUUUAUAUUUUCCUUUUCUUAAUCCAGAUAACUUCAUGAGACACUUUUCAUUCUCUCUUUUCUUUUAUUAGUUUUCUUUCCUUCUUUUACAAAAGGUUGAAAAAUCAUUAACAAAUGAGGUAAGAUUCCUCGGUUAGACUUUCCACCCUUUAAAGCUUUAUUAAACCUAACUUAGUCAAUUAUUCCAUGAUAAUAAAUUCGGUUGCAUGUAUUAUACUCGUUCUAAAUUUUAAAGACAUGGUUGAUUUUAUGAUAUUUUUCUUUCUUUCUAGAUUUUUAGAAUCUAUACAUAUAAAAAUUGCUGUAUAUGUUUUUUACGAGCGUAUAUUUUAUACUAUUUUACCCUUAUGUACGCCAUUUUAAUAAUCAUUCCUUUCAUAAAAAUUGUUGUUAUUUUUUAUUUUAGCAAAUGUCAGUAUAUGAGAAAAAUUUAAAUGAACUACACGAAUUUCCACCACAACCAAUAAUAAUAAAUAAAUAAUCAAACAAACAUAUAAUUUUAACUUCCAUUUCCUAAUUCUCUUCAAUCAAAUUAUCUAUAUUUAAAUUUUUCUUUUCAUUUCUUUCUUUCCCUUCAAACAACCUACUAUCACAGACAUUUACACUGAUUAGAUAUGAACACGGACACGAAGAUACAUAUAAUCUCUAAAAUAUAGAACACGGAGAUAUGAGAAUACGAAUUUAUAUAUUAUAUAAUUAUGAAUCAUAUAAAUUGACAAUAAAUAUUUAUGUGCAUUAAGUAUGUUUCAGUUUUUAUUGGGGUAAAAAAAUGUUUUUCGUGGCUAGUUCAAAAGGAUUUAUUCCUUAUUUUCAUAAUCAUAACAAAAAUUUAUACAAUAAAUUUAAGUUUUUAGAAAAUGAAUGUAUUUCUUUUUUAAAAUUAUGUUAGACCCAUGUUAGAAUUGUAAGAAAUGCAACAAAUAUUUUUUGAAUUGAACACUUAACCAAUACGCGUCCUAUGAGUUCCUAUGAGUGUCAUACGAGUUUCGGUAUCUAUGUUUGAUACGUGUUUAAUACAGACAUACCAUUUAAGAAAAAUGUUUGUGCUUCAUAGCUAGUAUCCUAUUUAUCUUUAAGAAUCUUUUAUUAAUUAACUAUAAUUUCAUGUAUUAAUUAUCAAAAUACAUACAAUUUUAAAAAAUUAUUAAAAUAUAUAAAAUUUUUAAAAAACUGUCGAAAUAUAUAAAAAUUUUAAAAAAAUUGGAAAUGAUAAAAUUGAUACAACUUAACCAUUCCAUUAAUCUUUUAAAAAUUGAAUUAUUUUAAAAGUUAAAGUAUGAAAUUCUUAUUUCUCACCUUUUUUUUUCUCUCUCUCUAAUUUCUCUAUUUAUUUAAUUUUUACAAAAUAGAACAUGAACUUACUUAGAAUAUCUAAAUAUGCAUUGGAGUAAGUGUAGUGAAAAGUAAAAAAUUGGAAAAAAGUUUGGGUAGCCGCCACUCCGACAGACAAGCAGGAACAAAGCAUCAAAAUUUAUGUCACAACCGAAUGCGUGUGUUGACUGCGGAUUAACUCAUCUCACCAAAUCGAAAACCAUUAUUGUUCCUUCUAACUUUUCUUUACCUUCUUAUUUGUUCUCCUUCAAGUGAUAUUGGUAAAAAAUAUCUCAAUUUUCAAGGCCUCUCUCUUCAAACAAACAGAUACAAACAACCACAAGACAUACAAAUCCUACUAACCACUCCUUUUGUUUUCCUAAAGUGUUAUCAUUACACAGUGGUCGGUUCUGUCUCAAACCCAGCGAGUUUUCAAGCUUUGAGACAGCAACAUGCGGUUAAUCCAUGUUCUUGUCUUAGGGUUUGUGGCUCUUCAUGUUUUUGAAUCCAAUGCUCAACUCAUACCACAAGAUGAAGGUACGCUUCCACGCUUUUGUUCUCAACCUUGUUGGUUUUCUUAAUUCGUUGCUUUGGUUGCUUGUAGUGCAGUUAUUUCAACAACAGAACAACUCUUCUGAAACUUUUUCAUAACAAGGCUUUGAUUAACCACCCUUCUAACCGUUCUCACUUUUGCAUUAGAUGAAAACACAAACAAGUUAUGAAAAACACUACUUUUUUUAGGAGAAGUUGAGGUUCUGAUAAUAAGAAUUGAGUGUUCUGCAUCGUUCUCCUCUUUAUGCUUAGGAUUCAACACAAGGGUGUGCUUGUGCUGCUGUUUCUUUCUCUAACUUCCUUCUUUAGAGAACUUUUUAAAGCACUGUUUUUUUCUUCUUUUCCUAUCUGGGUACUUUUGAUGAUUUUCCUUGGAUCUUUCUCAGAGGUUUUAUAUCUUAUAUUAUCAAAUUCAAUUCAAUUUUGUCUACUGGGACUUUGGAUUGCCUUUUAGGAAUGGUGGAUUCUUCAUUGUUUCAAUUUUUUUUAUGUAAUCAUAUCAAGUUUAGGUUUUUCUUGAUUGUUUUGGUGACACUCUUUGGUUGACACAUCCCAUGUGAGAUGACACCCUUUUGAAAAUGAAAUGACAAUGACAGGGUUGGAGGACCCCUCCUUGUGUUAAUGGUCAUGGAUUUAUUUUUUGAGUACUGUCUCUUCCACAUAUAAAAAGUUUGGUUGUCAGAAAUCAUUUUCGUUAUUUUUUUUUUAUAUUUUGGAUAAGACCAUUGUUUAUGAUACAGUCAAUAAUCUCAAUGGUUAAACACAAUAAAUUAUGUUCAGAAGAUAUUUUCUAAUUAUAUAUGGACCCUUCAAAACAAUGAUUUUAGCCAAACAGUGACAUUUUGGAAAACCAUUUUGCAUUGAAAUGUGUUCGUCAUAGAUUUGAAGAUAUAUAUAUAACUGGUUUGGCCAUUGGGUCAGCACCACUUUUUGAUUUUUAAAAGCUAACAUUGCUGGUAGAAAAUGUUAAUUAGAAUUUAUUGAAUAUAAUUAACAGCUAGCAAGUGGAGAUAGUUAAACAUCAUUAAUGGCGAAAGCAGAGGAAAUUAUUUAGCUGUGCUGUCACUUGCUACAUGUGCAGCCCAUACCUUCUUCUUGUACUGAUAAUUUGUUUCUGCUACUUUUUUUUACAUCUUACACAUCAUUAGAAAUUGGUUAAAUAAAUAACUUGUUACUGUUCAACACAUUUUUAAUUUUUAUGAAAAAUUAAGAUUCAUAUCACACUUUGAACCAUUUCUGAAACAGAUCAGUAACACUAAAUCAGAAAAAAAAAACCAUCUAAAACAGAGGAAGUGUCUGUGUAUAAGAGUGGAUAUAGUUCAUUUUAAAAAAAGUUAGUUAUUUAAAAAGUGCAUUUAAAAAAAAACUCAAAUUAGUAAUUUUUUAUUAGUUAAGUAAUUAUAAAUAAUAUUUUUCUGCACAUAUAAUUUAUAUAUUAAAGAGUUUAAUAAUUGUUUCGUGUUAGUGUAAUAAUUAUAGAAUUGACUUUCAUAUAAAUAACCAAAAUUAUUUAAAAUUUAUUCAAUGUAAUUUAUUAUUUCUUGGAAAUUUAAGUAUGAGUUAAAAAGUAAAUUGGGUAUAAAUGUUCAAGAGAAAUAAUAUAUAAAAGAUUACAAAUUUAUAGUUUUAAAAUUUUGUGUUAAAAGUGGUAUUACUAUUUAUAUAUUUUUAAAAAAUUGAAGAUUUUCUUUUUUUAAAAACUACUAUAAAUACCAGAUAAAAAAAGUCAGAACUAUAUAAAGUAAUAUUUUAAUUUAACUUUAGAAAUUUAGAUUUUUGCAUGUAGAUUUGUGUAACAGUACCUUUCUAAGAUUGAUUUGUUUUGACAUGUGACACUAUUAUUGAUUGGACAAUCUUAGCUACUUUUUGACCAUGUUGUUUCUUUAAUGUUAUGGAUAUGGUGGGUAUAAGAUUCCAUUCUUUGUAUACAUUUCAAGAUAAAAAAAACAAAUCCAUGCAUAGUGAUGAUUCUGUUUUUGACAAGGGAAAGAGCCAUGCAGAGUCUUUGAAUGAAAAUUAAAUUUUGUAUUCUAUUUCCCACCAUCUCUGACUUGACUUGAUUCAGAAUUGAAGAAUAAAAAAUGAAAAUGAAGUUUCUUAAUUGCUGUAUUUGGUGAAAUAAUUUUAUAUUUGAGUCAGAUUUUAACACAGUUAUAAAGAUGCAAUUGUUCCAAAUCAUAAAAACAUUCAAAAGUUUAAGAAAUCAAAAGAUCUGUCUAGUUUUUUGACUUCUGUAUAUAGUUUGAAACAUAAUUACUCAAUAUCUAGAAUUUACCAAAAAUGAUUAGAUUCAGAAUAUAUUAAAGAUUUUAUUAAAAACUAUGUUCAGAUUAAUGUUUUGUAUAUUAUUAUUAUUAUAUAUAGUUGAACCAAUUAUGGGGUUGGUAAACAAUUUUAAUAGUUGACAAUGGAGCUUUGAAAAAAUUCGUACAAUUACAAGUACAUAGUUGAAAAAAAAAGUAUAAUCUAAAUUAAAUCGUUUACCUUUUGUCAGACUGAUUAACUUCAUAUUUAUAUUAAUCUAGGAUAGACCUUUUUUAAAAUAUCAUAAUGUGAAAAAAUUGUAGAUAAUAUUAUUUUAUUAAUAUAUAUAUAUAUAUAAUUUAUACAUCAAGUUUUUUUUAUCUAAAAUUUAAAAUUAAUUUCAUUAACAUGGUUUAAAUUUUAAAAAUAUAUAUUAUUUUUAAUAUUUUGAUUUAUUUAUUAUUUUAUUUUUUGAAACACAUCAAAAUGCCUUAUUAGUUAAUCUAAGUGAUUUUUUACUUUCUAUAUUUCCAUGGUAUUGAGAAAUGUAAAAAAAUGAUCUCUUUAUGCGAUUUGAUCAUAAAAAAUGAUUCGAAAAGCUUUUAAAUUGGGUUUAAAAGAAAUAGAUAAAAUCUAUCACCAAAAGGGGUGAGAUCAAAAUAAAACUACUGAUUUCUAAUUCUAUGUUGUGUGUGUAAUGGUUAUGCAAUUUGUGAGGGUGAGGAAAAAAUUGUGGUUUGUGUUUUGAAUGGUUUAACUGAUUCUUAGAAUGUGUAAAAAAAGUAAUUGUUAGAGAAAAUGGUUGUGUUGUGGCUAAUGCAAUUGCUUUGUGUUUGUGUUGCAGUGAAAGUACUGCAAGCAAUAUCUGAUAAACUAGAGAACUUGAAUUGGACAGUUACCGAGCAUUCCUGCGCAGAAGAUGGAGGGUUCGGUGACAGGAUUAAUAUAAGGAAUGACACCGUGAGGAAUGUCUCAUGCGAUUGCAACUUCCAAAAUAACACAGUUUGCCAUGUUGAUAGCAUGUAUGUCUUUUUCUGGCUACUAAUAGUGAAUCACAGUCUCACAUUAACACGUAGAAAUGAGCAAAAUUGAACAAAAUAUAAAAAGAAGACCUACAAAUCUGAAAAAUUCAACAAUUGUUAACACUUUAUUUGAAAAAUCAUUAUUGGAGAUCUCACCUCUACUAGAGAUUAGAACAUUUCAUUGUAUAUAAGUGGGUGCAAACUUCAUUUUAUGAACUGGUUUUAUGGACUUGAAUUAGGUUUAUCCUAGCGAAUGUUUGUUGCUUUUAUUAAGACAUCUGCUAUCAGACCGUUAUCGAACCAUCCAUAAUAUGUUAUCCCAAAUGACUUUAAAGUUGAACAUUCAAGUUGAGUGUCUUGUUGAUAGUGAAACAUGUUUUUUAUAAAUACUAGUUAGUUGUUUUUUAUCCUUUGAAUUUUAACUAAUAUUAUUUGAUCUUUAACGUUUUAUAUUUUUUUCAACUAAUCACAAUUAUAUAUAUAUAUAUAUAUAUAUAUAUAUAUAUAUAAAAUGUGGGUAGUAGUUUUAUCAAAACUAUCUCUUAACUUGACCUUUUAGAUUUCUCUUUAGGUUUAAAUAAGUUACAUUCCCUUUAGUAAGAAAUAAGACUAAUUAACCGUAGAAGUUCAAAUAGUUUCUGGCUUAUUAUUUCCUAAUAUUUACAUUUUUUAUGAUUUUAUUUAUAUUAACUAAAUUCAUUGAAUGUUAUAUAUUUAAUUAAUUAUUUGUUUUUAUUUAUGGGAUACUAAUACCAUUGUUUGGCUGUGCUAGCUUUCUGAAGGCUCAAAAUAUAGCUGGAGUUUUUCCCAGUGAAUUUGGAAAUCUCACUCAUCUGAAAGUGCUGUAAGUUUAGAAAUAUUCUGAGUUUUCUCAGGGAUAACAUGAUAAAAAUGGAAUUACUUUUUAAACUUUCUUUUCCUAACUCAUGUGACUGUACAGUUAUGUCAUUAUUUUAACAUGCAAAUGCAUUUUUUGAUGAAUUGUUAUGUUUGUUUAUGCGAAUGCCAAUAAUUAUUGUUAGAACUUCUAUGCCUUGUGCAGUGAUCUAACACGCAACUAUAUCAACGGCUCGCUUCCAAAAAGUUUUCCACCCAAUGCUACACUCACCAAUUUGUUAGUCUUCCAUGCCCUUGCUUUUGUGUUAAUUGUUUUUCAUGAUUCAGUCUAAAAAGUGUUUUAUAUCUAACAAUUUCUUAACUCAAACUUUUUUUGAGUUUAUUUCAUUAUUUUAUCUGCUUUCUUGAUGAAAUGACCAAUGUCCAAUUGUUACUGUGGCCCAGGUUACUUCUGGGAAACCGUCUAAGUGGUCCAAUUCCCUCAGAAAUUGGUGAUAUUGCUAAUUUGGAGGAACUGUAAGUGCUGGAGAAUUUUGAUUUUCAACAUUCAAAAGUGGUUGAUAUUGGAGGUUGAAUAAUGAUGAUAAUGGUGUUCAUGUUUAUAGGGUCUUAGAUUGUAACCAACUUGAAGGACCACUUCCUUCUAGUCUUGGAAAUUUGAGCAACUUGAAGAGACUGUAAGAAGACUCUUUCAUUCUAGCCAUUUUCCUUUGAUAUAUAUAUGAUCAAUUUUAAUCAUUCAUUUUUCUGUGUACCAAGUGUUUGUUUUUAUGUUGCUCAAGGUUUUUGUAAUUAUUUCAUACAAAUUUUGCAGGCUUCUUUCUGCAAAUAAUUUUACAGGGACCAUACCAGAAACAUUUGGAAAACUUGAAAAUCUGACUGAUUUGUGAGUGACAAACUGAUAGAAUUGUUCCUUUUGGUUUCUUAUUUUUAUAUCUCUGUUAAAUCUUAAAAUUCUUCUCUGCAUUUUCUGCAGUAGGAUAGAUGGAAGCAGUUUAUCUGGACCAAUACCCAGUUUCAUUGGAAACUGGACCAAACUUAACAGACUGUGAGUACACAUUUAGAACAAUUCCUUACUAUUUUCUUGUUAGGUAGUAGGAAAACAAAUUUGAUAUUCCAUAUCAUGCUUAGUGUAAGAUUUAAAUGUUGCUCCAUUAGUAAAACAAAAAAUAAAAUUAAGACUUAAUAUAGUAACUUGCAAUGAAAAUUGCCUAAAUGAACUAUGUUUUUGUUAGGGAUUUGCAGGGAACAAAUAUGGAAGGCCCAAUUCCUUCCACUAUAUCUCAGUUGAAACUUUUGACUAAUUUGUGAGUACUUGCUUCUUUCUAGAAUAUUCCUGAAUUGGAGUAUUUUAUCUCUGUACAUUGUGCAAUGAUUGUGGAACAUUACAUUUCCUUUUCAUUGAUGAACAUUUCUGUACCAGGAGAAUAACAGAUUUGAAAGGAUCAGCAACUAUGAAUUUUCCUGAUCUGGAGGAGUUGAAAAACAUGGAGCGACUGUGAGUUCAAACAUUUUCAAGUACUUAUGAGCAAUUACUUCCUGGACCAGAUGAAAUUUGAACUAACUGAAUUUUACUCGUGAAUGAUAAAAAUACCCUUAAAUAAAAGUUUUCUGGAUUUCAGAAUUUUUUUCUGAAAUAUGUUUUCAGAUUUUAUUUUUUGGAAUAUUUUUCUAAAAUAUAUUUUUUGCAUUUUGAAAUUACUUUUUUAUAGAAUGAGAUUUUGAUGUUUUAAUUUUAUUUUUGGAACACAAAAAUUUAUUCCGAAUUUACUUUUCAAGUAUUUUCUUAAUUCCAGAUUUUUAAUUUAAAAAAGAAGAACAAUUUUAAAUUUUUUAAAAUGUAUUGAGUGCAGUUCACAAUUUAUAAGUUGCACAAAGAAAUUGCUCUACUUAUUUAAGUUUAAGAAGUAUAAGAUUGAUUUGGGCUUUCAACGAAGGUGUGCAUUUCUGUGACACAGGGAAUUAAGAAAUUGCUUAAUCAAGGGUGACAUUCCAGAUUACAUCGCUCAAAUGUCAUACUUAGACACUUUGUAAGUUCCAUCAAUAGUCACCUCAAGUUUAUUUUUGCCACCAUAGUCAGUAGUUAAAGCUUGUGUUUGGAUAACUAAUUUUAUAAUUUUCAAGAAAUUUUAAAUAUUUUUGAACUUGAAUUCAUUUUAUUUUAAAUUUUUAUUUUUUUAAGAUUUUGUUUAAGAAAUUUAAAUUUAUUGAAGUUUAAUUUUUCUUAUUUAGAUAAAAUAUUUCAUUUAUCACUAAAUAUAUAAAUUAUUUUAAUAUGAAAUGAUUUAAAAUUAUCAGCUAAUGCUUUUCCUUCGGUAUUACUUUUGCCUUAAUUUGCUAAGAAAAUUUUAGUUAUGUUAAUAAGCAUUUAUUAAGAUUAACAUCAAGUGACUAUAUCUUUAGAUGAAGUUGACCACAAUCAUUUUUGUGGAAAAAAUUACUGUAUUUUUUUGAAGUAAAGUGUGGAAUUUCUGGGAUCCCAUCAACCUUGAAUAAUAUUAAUAUUUACUAAUAUCAAUUGAAGAUUAUUGACAAAAAAAAUUUCCUAAUAAUAACAACUAGGAAAUAACUAUGAUUGAUUUCAACCUAAAUUUUUUUUUUCUGAUGAGUUGAAAAAACUAUGUGGAACUAGUAAAACUCCACCAAUGUUCCUAUCACUAGAAGAGAAUGUGAAGAGAAAAGAGGAAUUUGAGAGAGGAGUAUGAAAAAUUUCAUAUUAUUACUUUUUUAGGUAAAAUUUGAUAUUAUAUUACUUUAAGAAAUAAUAGUAUUCAUAAAUUCCUAAAGUUCAGUUUCUUUUAAAAUAGAACAGUAUCUUUUGUGCAUUUCAAAUUGCCUUCUAAAAAUUCUCCUUCCAAACGCGGUAUUAAUGUUUUCUCCCCAUGUCAUUUCCACAACUUCAAAUCUUUGAAGAGACAACUCCGUUUUGUGCUGUUAAUCUCUUGUUUAUUUCUGGCCUCAAAAUUUGUUUCAAAGGGUUACUUUCAUUAGAAAUUGUUUAUGCAUUAUUUACAUGCAAAGAUUGUUAAAUGCUUCCCAACUUUUUUUUGUGAACUAAUUCUCUCGGCUGUCUGUCACUCUUUUUUAUAUCCCAUCUUUGGAUAGUUGUGAUAAUGCCAUUCAAGAUUGUUUUUAACACCAUUGAACUAAUUCAUCACUUUGAGGGGAAAAAAUAUUGUCUAUCCUCUAUUUAGGGUGAUCUGGAGCAAAUUUUUUUUGCAUAACCAUGGUGUGAUGUGUACAAUAAUAAUAAUUUGGUAGUAACCCUUUUGGUAGGAAUAAUUUCUGGAGCAUUGUUAUCCUGUGUGUAUGUGUUUUCACAUGGGACUGAAUUUUUUUUUCUUAGGAUUUGAUGUCAUGUGAUUCAUUGCUGCAUCAUUAUAACUAUCUUAUUUUACUUGCAGGGACCUAAGCUUCAACAUGUUAACUGGUCCAGUCCCAGAUUUUAUACCAAAUUUAGGGAAGCUAGAUUACUUGUAAGUGAAGAUUCGAUUUCCUUACCAGAAGAUUAGAAAAAAAGUAUCAUAUAUCUUAUACUCAGCUAGUACUUUGAUAUCUGCAAACUUUGUUGCUUUUUAUUUAUUGAUCUAAUUCAGGUUUCUGACAAAUAAUUCGCUGAGCGGAGAAAUUCAGGACUGGAUACUGAGCUUUAAACAUAACAUGUUAGCAUAUUUUCUUUAUCUUGGUUUCUUGAAUUGCAUAAUUUAAAAGCUUUACUGAAUUACACCCUGUACUAUAUCAGUGAUACAAUGAUACAAAAAUUACCAUAUGUCCACUUUCAGAGAUUUAUCUUACAACAAUUUUACUAAGUCUUCUGCAUCUAGCUGCCAGCUCUCUGAUGUGUAAGGUUCUCUUUGUCUAGCAAUAUAUAAGUAUUUCUUUUAGUUAUGUCAAUACUAACCUUUUACUAUUACUUACCAGGAACUUGGCUUCAAGUCAUUCUUCUUCUUCAGUGGCAACUACGGCUUCGUAAGUUUUUUGUUUUUGUAUUUUCUACUCUGUUUAUCACCAUUCUAUCAUACCUGUUAAAACUAACUAUAUUCAUUUUGUAGAACUUUUUGUUUGAAGAGGAACCUUCCUUGUGCAGGACAACCCCAGUGUGAGUGUUGUUUGAAGAAUAACCUUCCUUAAUGCUUGGCUUGGCUUACUAUUGUUACUUUUCGAAUUUGGCCCCAUUUUUUGUUGUGAAUUGCAAUAUUAAUUCAUGUUUAAACUUAUUAUUCAAUAUUUAAUAGAAAUAUAACUUAGCAGUACAAUAGAGUGCAGCAUUAACAUUUUUGUUAAUAUUCAAUGUCAAAAUGUUGUAUCAACCAAAAUUGCACAAUUAAAAUAGUGUCCGAUCAAAUUGGCCAAAAAAUGGGGGGACUAAAUUCAAGAAAUGACGAUAAUAAGGGAACCAGAAGUGCGAACUAAGCUAGAGCGUUUCCAUACACCACCAUAAUUCUGUGAAUAAAGCUGUUUGAUGUUUCUGUUUGGAGUACUUCUGAGAUUUCCCUACGUCUUUGCAGAUAAGUCAUUGUUCAUAAACUGUGGAGGAGGUGAGGGGGAGUUUGAAGGCAAUAACUAUGUAGGUGACCUCCAUCUAAAUGGCAUUUCAAACUUUGAUCUUAGAAGUGAAGAACAAUGGGCAUAUAGCAGCACAGGAGUAUUUAUGGGAAAUUAUAGUGCAAAUUAUGUAGCAGAAAAUGUAUUUUCUUUGAACAUUAGUGGUCCAGAAUAUUACCAGAACGCUCGCCUUUCCCCUAUGUCGCUUAACUACUAUGGCCUUUGUAUGCCAAACGGCAACUAUAAAGUGAAGCUCCAUUUUGCCGAGAUAAUGUAUUCUGAUGAUCAAACUUAUAGAAGUCUAGGAAGGCGCAUAUUUGAUGUUUCAGUUCAAGUGAGUGCUGAAGCCAAAUAUUUUGUUACUUUGUUUUUGUCUUUUCUUACAUCUUUUGUCAUAUAUCCUAUCUGGUAUUUGAAUAAAAUAGAAGUUCUGAACUGAAGGUAGAAAUUUUCAAUAAUGCUUCUUCACAGGGUUUUAGAUAUCUGCAAGACUUUAACAUUGUGGAAGAGGCUGGUGGAGUUGGAAAGGGCAUCACUAAGGAAUUUGAUGUUGAUGUUCAUGAUGGUACCUUGGAAAUCCACUUAUACUGGGCAGGGAAAGGAACUACUUCCAUUCCUGAUAGAGGUGUAUAUGGACCUCUUAUAUCUGCUAUUGAGAUGAUACCAAGUAAGUUUUUUUUUCUUAAUUAUUAAUUAUUCUUUCAAGUAUCAUGCUAUGUCCUGUUCUGUAAGCAUUUCUACUUGUUGUAGACUUUGAGAAUCCUUCAAAAGGGCUGUCUGCUGGAGUCAUUGCUGGAAUUGUUGCUGCAUCAUGUGGGUUUGUCAUAUUGAUACUGGUUGUCCUUUGGAAGAUGGGUCUUCUUUGUAGGAAAGAUACAACUGAUAGAGGUAUGACAGCCAAAAUAUAAGUUCCAAGUUGCUGCUCUUGUAAAUUGCCUUUUGUUAAUAAAAUAAUAUUUACAGUCUAUAAUAUAAUGUAUAUUAAUUUAAUACAUUAAAUUUACAGUGAACUUCCAAAGAAAUUUUAAAGAAAUGUGGAUACGGGUUCAUUAUUGUUGCAUUCUAUUUUUCUCUUUCCGUGCGUCUCUUUUCAUUUUUCAAUUCCUUGUUGCAGAACUUCUAGAUAUGAAAACGGGCUAUUACAGCUUAAGACAAAUUAAAGGAGCUACUAAUAACUUUGACCCUGCAAAUAAGAUAGGUGAAGGAGGAUUUGGGCCUGUAUACAAGGUAACUAACAUAAUCAUCUGAUAUAAUCAGUGUAUGAUUUCAAAACAUUUGGCCAUGCCACUUAUACCACAACACUAUUGUACACGAAACAUAAUUCUGAUGGCAUGGUUUGAUCACAGGGUGUGCUGUCAGAUGGUGAUGUGAUUGCAGUUAAGCAGCUCUCCUCCAAAUCAAAGCAGGGGAACCGAGAAUUUGUCAAUGAAAUUGGAAUGAUAUCUGCUUUGCAGCAUCCAAAUCUGGUGAAGCUAUAUGGUUGUUGCAUUGAAGGAAACCAGUUGCUACUGAUAUAUGAAUACAUGGAGAACAACAGUCUUGCUCGUGCACUUUUUGGUAAAUUCUUUAUAUGGCAACGUAUACCUUGAGUUUGUGUGUGUGUAUGUUUCUACUUCAAAAUUAAUGUACUAAUGAAUACAAUCUUCUUUCCUUCCCUUCACAAUUCCUGUAGGUGAAGAAGAGCAGAAGCUGCACUUAGACUGGCCUACAAGAAUGAAGAUCUGUGUGGGGAUAGCAAGGGGACUGGCUUAUCUUCACGAGGAAUCAAGGUUGAAAAUAGUGCACAGGGACAUUAAGGCAACCAAUGUCUUACUUGACAGGGAUCUGAAUGCCAAGAUCUCUGACUUUGGUUUAGCUAAGCUUGAUGAAGAAGAAAAUACUCAUAUCAGUACACGUAUAGCUGGAACAAUGUUAGUAGUACUUCGCCACAUCCAUUAGCUUGAAUCAUGAUUAAGAUCAUAAUUGGAUUAUAUUUUAUUAGUAGCAUAAUCAAUCAAGAGUCCAAGACUUGGUUCAUAAUUAGUUCAUAUUUCAUUAUAAUUUUAUUAACAUAAACAAUUAAUAAUCCUAGGGAAACUUAUGUUUCAUUGUUUUGUGAAAUCACUGACUAUUGGUUACUACGUGUCUUAACAGUGGUUACAUGGCCCCGGAAUAUGCUAUGAGGGGUUACUUGACUGAUAAAGCAGAUGUAUAUAGCUUUGGAGUUGUAGCUUUAGAGAUUGUUAGUGGAAAAAGCAACACAAAAUACAGGCCAAAGGAAGAGUUUGUAUAUCUUCUAGAUUGGGUAAGUUGAAGCCAGAAAGAAGCAAUGUGAGACCAUUUGGAUUCAAUAUUAUCUGUAAUAAAUUACUCUUUGCUCUUUUCUUUUUUCCUUGACAAUUGAUCUUAUGUUUGGCUAAUUUGUAUUUGCUACAUAGGCUUAUGUUCUCCAAGAGCAAGGAAACCUUCUGGAAUUGGUGGAUCCAAGUCUUGGUUCAAAGUACUCUCAAGAGGAAGCCAUGAGAAUGCUGAGCUUGGCACUCUUGUGCACCAAUCCAUCUCCUUGACAUUCUUAGGAAUCAUCUUGAGUUGGAUAUGAGCUAGACACUUUAAGAUAGAAUUGGAUCAAGGUUCUAUAAUCAAGAACUCACCAAGACUAGUACUAAAACCCAAACUCAUAUGGAAGUUCCAUGUAUUGUCAAAUUUGACCGAAAAAAUGGAGNNNNNNNNNNNNNNNNNNNNNNNNNNNNNNNNNNNNNNNNNNNNNNNNNNNNNNNNNNNNNNNNNNNNNNNNNNNNNNNNNNNNNNNNNNNNNNNNNNNNUGACCAAGGAUUCUCUCUUUAAAAAGAUCUGCAACAGAUAGAAAUUAAAUUGAUUUCUUCACAGUGUUGUCAGACUCAAAACAAUCGGUUGUUUCGAAGAAACAAUCGGUUGUUUUUCUGCAGCAGUUAAAAUUGAUUUUGAAUUUUAACCAUGAGCAGAAAGAGUUCAAAGACUUAAGAUUUCUACCCAUUUAUAUGUUAUAAAAGAAAAUAUUUUUAUAAAUAAAAUAUUUUUAUCUCUGUUCGAUUCAAUGACAAUAUCAUUAAUUUUGCCCCCGUAACUACAUUCUAUAAGUAUGAGACAUAUAAGUGCUAACUUUCUUAUAAUAGUUCCAUUCAGCUUUUAUUUUUCAAUAUCUUAUAUAUUAUAAUUUUUAGUUUUUUAAACUGUUUCAAUCUUCUUUUAUUUUUCAAUAUCUAGAAUAAAUGAAGAAAAAAUUACUUCACUUUUUCUUAUAAUUUUUAAACUAUAACAUUUAAUAAUAAUUUUAACUUUUAUGUUUUAAAAAAUGCGAACUUAGGACUACGAUAUCACCGUUGUUUUCACUAACCAGAGUUCUAUUUGGGGAUCAAUAGUAAAUGUAUAUUAAAAGAAAUGCAAAAUGUUUAUAGUUAUAUUAAUAAUUUAUUAAAAUAAUAGAAUUUUUUUAUACAAACUAAGUACUUUUAAAUGAUGAAAAUAUUCCUAAGAAAUUUUAAAUAAAUCCUAGCAGUGUCUUCCUCCCUCUUCUUUGUAGUUUUUCUUGACACUAUUCCGGUGAAUAUUACAUACAUAGACUUUUGUGGACCAUGGAUGCUUUUCAGUGGUUAGUGAGAGGGUUUAGAGUUAGUGUUCGUCCAAGAAGAAAGGUAAGAUUUAGUUUUUUUACUUAUGAAAUCCCUAAUAUGGAAUUUUUGCAGAAGUGGUAAAUUUGAAAAGCAUUGGGGGAGUGCAUGCAUGGAAAUGGAAUUUCAUAUCAUGUUUAUGGAAUAGGAUUUUUAGAACUGCUUUCUGGAAUGGACUUUCUAGAAUAGGCUUCCAGAUUGGGAAUUCUUGAAUCUUAUUAUGAAAAGGCAUUAUGGAAAUUCUAUUAUAGAAACAUGGUUUUGUUUGCCUUUUCAGUGUUUUUCUUGAAUGAGUGCUGCUUUUGUGUAAUAAAGUGUUAUGUAUUAGUUGGAAUAAUAAGUUGAAAUGAUAUGUGCAUAUAAAAUGGUGAGAAUUAGAGAAGAAGGUAUACAACCUCUACAACCUCUACAACCAACAACAUCAGUUAAAAAAAAAGAGGCAGUGAUGAAGAUGAAUGAACCUGAAGAAGUCCAACUCCAUGUGGAGGAUAAAGCCCAACUCAAUAUGGAUGAUGAAGCAUAUCUUGGAGGGUUAGUGGAUAUGUCAUUGUUGGGAGAUUACGAGGACCAUAUGACGAGGUAACUAUGGAAUGAUGUGGUAAGUAAAUAUGUUAAAAUAUGAUAUAUGCACGUAACUUGUUGUUUUGUAAAUUGAAAUUUUGUUGUUAUCUUGGUUGGUUAUUAUAGGAUCAUGGUGAGUUGAAAUUGAUUUCUUAUGAGAGAAAAAUAAAUAAGAUGGGUGCUUCUCAUGGACGCAUACAAGCUGCAAUGAAUUUGUUGGGCUAAAUUGGUCUUGUUGGUGCAGGUUAUGACACGAUAAACAAAUGAUUGUUGUAUCCUAUAUAGAGAAAUGACAUGUAGGUAUAAAUACCUUUCAUCUUCUUAUAGGAGAGUUGACCAUUAUAUUGAAUGAUAUGUCAAAUUUGUUGCAUCUCCCGAUUAUCGGGCAAUUCCACACCUACUUGAGUUUACGAUUUUGUUGGUAGGGUCAUUCCGUGUUGUUGUGGAGCAACAAUUGUUGAGACGAGGCAUUGUCGGGGUGAUCACAUUCAUCUAAGUUGGUUGAAGGAGGUUUAUGAGGACACAUGCAACAACAAAUAGUGGAUAGUGGCUGCUAGAGCAUAUUUCUUCCACAUUAUUGGUUGCACCAUCUUUGUGGAUAAGAGUGUUACAUUAGUUAUUGUGUCUUACAUGAGAUUCUUCGUAGAUUUGAGACACACUGGGGAUACUCAUGGACAACAUGGAAUUUGAUUAGUGUAGACUUUCUUGAAAUUUAUAUUUUGAAUGGUCACGAAAUUACUUUUUUAAAUCAUAAAUUCUCGCGUAAUUAUAAUAAAAAUAAAUGUUUACAUAUUCAAUUAUCAAUUGAAAUACAAGUUGUCAACUACAAAUGUCGUCUAAUGAACAUAAUUUGCAUAAAAACUUUCAUCUAACUAGUAUAAUAUGAUGACUAAGCUUGUUGGAUUGACAACUCUGCUGAAGUAUCAGAAUUUAAAAUGUCUGAAAAGCUUAAUUGUGUUAUAUGAAAUGCACUAACCGCAAUGGUAUGCUACCUACACCAAAGGAAGUCAAUUCAUAAGCAUAAGUAAGGCCAUGAGUAGAUCUAAGGGUGCAUCCACAAUGAAUUAUCUAAGUCAACAUAUUCAAGUCGAUCAAUCUCUUCUGCAAUAUGUUGUAAAGCAUAUUUCUACACAAAGUUAAGACAUGACCCACCACAUACAAAUUCUUUUCAUGUGAAAAUUUAAUUGCAUUAUGUUGCAAGAUGAUCAUCUUGUUCAUGAAAUCCCAACAAUAACGUAAGUCUCCCAUUGACGUAUGAAACAUCCUUUUUACAUUCCAAUGUGUAGACUCAACCCUAUAAAGAAUAUUAUGUUAGUAAAUCGAAUAUGCAACCUAAACCCUACAAAGGAAAACAAAUAUUAUCACAAGUAAAACAUAUGCGUAGCUAUUACUUGUGGUGUUACCUAAAUGUAUGACCUUAUUUGUCCAUCUCUUAACAAAUUUUUCUUUGUGUGGAUUUAACCAAGUGCUAAUCACAUAUUCAAUAAAUAUAGACCAUGGUGAACGAACAACUUGAAGUGUUUGCACGCGAUGUUCAUAGGCUUGUACAUUAUCACAAUCGACAACAACUCCCAAGAUUCCAUCACUUGAUCCCAUUACUCUUCUAAAACUAUCCAAAUGAAAAAUUCAAGAAACAAUAUAUUUAAUGUUGGUAUAUCCUCAUAUGCUUUUUAUAAAAUGUUUGAAAAAAACAUAUUUACAAUUGGAGGAGUACUAGACAAAUAAAUGUAAUAAAUCUCAAACGAAACACUAAGAAUCUCUCAAUGAAAAUUUGUUUAAAGUUGGACAGUAUAAUGCUUAAAACAAUUUUUUUUCAAAAUUUAAUAAUAUUUAUCGGGGGUCGGACAGCCUUAGACCCAAUACCAACCAGUAUUAAACAAUUCUAAUUAUACAUCCAAUUAAAAAAUUAAUCAAUUCUAAUUGUAGAAUUACAACUAAUAAUUUAAGUAAUAAUUUAAAUAUAAAUCUAACUAAUAACUAACCAAUCAAUUCUAACUUCACGAUUAUAACAAAAAUAUUAUUAAAAAAAUUAUAAUUAUACAUCCAAUUCAAAAACUUAUCAAUUAUAUAGCUUUACAAUUUUAACUAAUAAUCUAAAUAAUUAAUUAAUUCCAACUUUAUAACUAAUAAUAUAACUAAUCAAUUCUAAAUAAUCAAACAUAUAUUAAAUUCAUGAAAUAUAAUAAUUAAAAAAAUAAAACUAAAUAUAAAAUAAAAAACAUCUGGUGAAGGUGCGUGUGUUGCGGCAUAGGUGGGUGGAGAUGAGACACAGAUGGUUGGAUCGUGUAGAGGAGCAAAACAAACCCAACACGCACAACAGUGGUGACUGUAGAGGGGUGUGUUGGCUUUGGUAGCAUGGUGGUGGCUCUGCGAACUCAAAGAGUGAUUGAUGUGAUGACAAUGAAAGGACCUGUGGUGGCACUGGAAGCAAAGAAGCAAGGAGUUGCGAUGUAAGGAGAGAACGUGAGAGAAUGAAAGAAAAUACAGAUCACAAAAACAAUAUAAGUGAGCGCAUAUGUGUAAAAAAGACUAUAAACGACGAUUUUUAAGUCAAAAUCAUCGUCUACUUGAAAUUUUUAAUUUAGAAGAAAAUUUUUUAGACGAUGAUUUUUGAACAAAUCGUUGUUGUCUUUCAAAUUUUUUAUAUAGAAAACAAUUUUCGUGUUAACAAUUGCCUAUAUGUUGGAUUUAUUUUAAUUUUUUUUACCAUAUUUAUUAAGAUGACAAAGAGCAUAAAAUGGUUUUAAUAAGGCUUAUUUUUACAUUAUCGAGGGUUAAAACCUCUAUUAAGUAAUUUACACAAGGUUGCAAUUUUUCAUGCUAAAUCAUCCUUGGGGAACGUGUUUCCCAGGAUUUUUUUAAACCUCAGGAAAAGCCUUUUAAAAUCUCUGUUGAAUAUUAUGGGUUUAAGAACCUCUAUAAAAUAUCAUGGGUUUCAAAACCUCCAUUAAAUACCAGGUUAAAAACCUCUAUAAAGUACCAUGGGUUUAAAAACCUCAGUAAAAUACCAUGAGUUUUAAAAUUUUCGUAAAAUGACUUUCUGCUUGAAAUGGCUCUCCGACACAGGCUCAAUGAGCGCCAACAUUAGUCCUAGCAAGGAAUCACAAUUCAGCCACAUUUAUGUCUAUUAUAUUUAAGGAGAAGAAACACUAAAUAAGACACUAUCUUUUUCUUACUCCAAUAUUGCUUCUUCCAUCACCUUACUGCGUCAACUUGGGUCAUAAGCCACCGUUACCUAGCUCGGGAACAACUAGUGUUUAUCACUGCUUUAUAUAUUCUAAAUAAUUACAUUAUCUAUCAGAUGUGGGCUUCAAAGUCAUGUUUGUUCUUGGCUAAAGAUUGCAAGAAAAUAUUGCAAGGAGAAAUUAACUUUAUCAUUUCUCACUUUUACAGUGAACUAAUUAUUAGAUGCAUUUUAAAAUAAAGGCCAUAAUUUAAAAUAUUUCAAAAUUAUGAGAAUUAAAUAUUAACAAUUAUAACUAAAACUAAAAUUGCACAUAAAAUAUACGUACAUCAAAAUGUAAAACAAAAUAAAUCAGAUUUUUUGAAGUAUGAGCUCAUAAAAAAAACUAGAAAUUAUAUAAAUCAACUACUAUCAAUCAUAAAAAAUAUGUAAAUAUCGUUGAAAUACUUAUUAUCUAAGGUUAUUUUGCUGAGUUUUUAAAAUAAAUUUUUUAAACUUCAAAAAACUUAUUUGUAAUGCAAAGUUACACUUUGAAAAUUUUAGAGAAUUUAGUUAUAAAAUAUAUUAAAACUAUGUAGUUUUUAAUUAUUUAUUUAUAAAUAGAUUUGAUGAUAUUUAUUUAUUAAAGUUUGAAAAUUCUAGAAUGUUUUAUUGAGGUUCUAUAAUAAAUCUUUGGAAUUUAACGAAGGUUAAAAAAAACUAUGUUAUUUUGCUGAUGUUUUAGAAAAAAUCUUUGGAAUUUAGCAAAUGUUAAAAAAAUCUCCGUUAUUUUGAUGAAGUUUUAGAAUAAACCUUUGGAUUUUAGCUAAAGUUAAAAAAACAUCCAUUAUUUUGCUGAGAUUUUAAAAUAAAUUUUUGAAAUUUAACUAAGGUUAAAAAAACCUACGUUAUUUUGUUAAGGUUUUAAAAUAAACCUUUGAAAUUUAACGAAGGUUAAAAUAAUCUCCAUUAUUUUGCUAAGGUUUUUGAAUAACCUUUGAAAUUUAACGAAUGUUAAAAAAUUCUCGUUAAUUAAAUCAAUUCUUAGGGUUAUAUCAAUAUCUGCUAAAUAACUUCCGUUAAAAUCCAUUUUUCGUAUAAAUGAAAGUCAAAAUAUUAAUUGAAAUUAUUAUUAUUAUUGAAAAAAGUAUUUUGUGUCUCAAACCCUAAAAAAAAUUAGUUACAUAAAAAAUAAUGAAUGAUUACAUGACACUUAAUUUUAAUAUUUGAAUAAUUUUUUCUAUUCUUUUAAUUUUAAAAUAUAAUUAAGAAUAAAAUAGAAAUGUAAAAUAUGUACAGGAGAAAAGAAAAAUAUUUUUAUAUAUUAUUAUAGAUAUCCAAGUAGAUUAAUAUACAUAUUCUUAUAAUUAGUUUGAAAAUAACUUAUUAUUUGAAGUAACAAGAUACAUCAUUAUGUAUAUUUGUCAAUAUAAAUGUAUUACAAUUGUUAUUGUUAUUCAAAAGUAUGUUUCAUAAACUAUUUUUUUGCUAAUAAUUCAAUAUUUAAUAUAUAUAUAUAUAUAUAUAUAAAUAUACGUUGGAUUUAAAUUUUAUAACAAUUUUUUUAGUUUAAAAAUUAUGAAAAUAAUUAAAUACAUUAUAUUUAUUGAAAGCAAUAUAAUUAAUAGAGUUUUCAAUAGAGUUAUGUUAUUUAUUAAAUAUAUUUAAUGUCAAGAUAAAAUUAGUUAUAUUUAUUUAUUAAUUGUAGUAUUUAAUAAAUAUAUCAGUUAAUACUAUAUAUAAUUAUAUCAUUAAUAUAAUAAUAUAUAUAUAUUUAAUAUUUUAAAAUAUCUUAGGAUAAAACUGUAAUGAAGUUUCAAACUUUGAAACAGACAAUAUAUUGAAUUGAAUAUAGUGAUUGACUCUAAUGUUAUCUUAACAUACUUAAUACUUAAGGUUGGAAUAUCGAUGCCUAUUGUGGAAAUGAAAAAAUGUUCAAAAUAUGAAUCCUAGUUCCCCUUAGCCUCAAUUAGAUAGAAUGGAAAAGUGGUGAACCCUUGUUCCUCUUAGACAUUGACUAUGAGCUUUGUUUCGGUACAUUUAAUAGUCUCAUAUGGCUUAAGAGUGAAAACCAAAAACAAUUUAAAUACAACUUUUUAAGACACUUUUUAAGGGAAAAACCAUGAGAGAUUUGUUCCGAUACACCCAAUAGUCUAACAUUGCUUAGGAGUCUAGGCCAAGAACAACUUAAAUACAUCUUUCUCCUUUAACCCUUUAAAAUUCCCUUUAAGGACAAAAUUAUGAUGAAUCUCCAAGCUCCAAAGCGAACAAUACCUUUGAUGAGUGAUUGACCCUAAAGAUAUUAUCUAAAUGGACUUGGGGUUAGAACAUUUCAAAGACGAACCCUCAUUCCCCUUAGAUAUCGAUUGAGGGCCAAUGACAACUUAAAUACACAUUUCUCCCUUAACCUUCUAAGGACAAAAUUGUUAUAGAGUUUGAAGUUUCAAAGCGAAUAAUAUCUCGGAUGUAGUAAUUGACCCUAAUGAUGUUAUCUUAAAGGACUUGAGGUCAAAAAAUUGGUGUUGUCGAUGAGGAUUGAAAAGUUGUUCCAAAGAUCAACCCUCGUUCUCCUUAGAUCUCGACUAGAGAACUUGUUCCGUACGCUCGAUAGUUUCAUAUCGCUUAAAAAUCAAGGUUAAAGACAAUUUAAAUACACAUUCUCACUUAACCCAUCGAGAAGUCUUUUAAGAACAAAAUCGUGAUCACGAUGUGAUCUCCAUGAAUUUAAGAUCAGAACAAUAUAAUUAAUUAAAGUAUUUAAUAAAUAUAUUAAUUUUUUAAUUUUUCUACACAGUAUUUCAAAUAACUACUUUCAAUGAUAUAUUUAUUAGAUAAAUAGUUAUAUUAAAUAUUUUAUUCAGCAUUUAUAGUAAAGAUAAAAAUAUAAUUUAUUAAAUAUUUUUAAUUAUUACAUCAAAUAUUUAAUAUAAAUAUUUUAGUUAAAAAAAUAUAGCAUUUACAUAGUCAAUUGUAAAAACGUAUUGAUGUAAUUUAAUUUUAAUUAAAUUUAAAGAAUUUUACCUGCCUGUGAGAGCAUGAUAAAGUGAUCCAUUGUUGUUCUCUAUAUAAAAGUAAUUAUAAUGGUCACUCUUAAAUAAUUUAGUUAGCUUAUUAAUUUUAUGUUAUUUUCAAUUUCUCUCAUAAAUAUAUACAUAACUUAUCAUUUCUCGCAAAAUAAAAUAAAUAUACUAAAUAAAAUAAGUAUCUAACUCCAUAAACUGGAAAAUAAUUAAGAUUGAAAAAGCUUAUAAAAUUUAACUUUUAACUUUUAACUUAGUUUUACAGUUUUAAAUAAGCUUCUUAUAAUACUCAACUAGUAUAGUUAUACCAAAUAAAGUUAAAAUCUAUUGCACCUGUGGUUUAAGACAAAAUUAAAUUUUCAUAAAAUUCUCUUAAAAAUAUCUAAAAUUUCCUUAUGCACUUGACAAAAAAGUCAAUAUAUGUAGAUAAAAUAAGUACAUUAAGAUUUGUUUACAUUUUUAAACCUAACUAUGUUUCCAAAGUUUUACUUUCAUGCAUCUUAAUGUUUAUGUUUCUUCCACACAUUUAUUCAGGACCUAAAAUAUUACUACUCUUCUUUCUUAAUUAUCAUCUUUUCCCUGUUCCUCUUCAGCUUUCUCAUCUUUCCCAUCUUUCUCAGCUUUCUCAUCUUUCUCAUCUUUCUCAGCUUUCUCAUCUUUCUCAUCUUUCUCUUCUUCAGCAGCAUCUUCUCCUUCUUCUUCUACAAUGGCUUUGGUAACUUCCUUAAGGAUAAGCUCCAAAAGUCUCUCAUACAUUUGAAUCACAGUUUCCAGCAUGUCAAUGGCCUUUUUCUUGUCAUGAAACACAACAUCCUUCACCUCCUCAAGCUCUGUGAUUUUGUUUAGGGUUCUAAGCAUGUGCUCCUCACAUAACCCAGAAGAAAUGAAGGAACCACUACCUUUCCCAACUGCAAAAUUAUUAUUACUCCCCUUUCCAUCUCCAAACCCACCACCAUUUCCCUUGAUCACAAUCAUGUCACUAACGGUUAUCAGUUCAUCUCCAAACACCAUUAUGACUUCUCCUUUCUCAACAUCCCACAUCCACACACUCCCAUCUUCUGCAGCAGACACCAAACCCCUCUCUCCAUUCACCAAACCCAAUGCCACAACUGACCCACCAUGAACCCUAGCCCAGUUCCUCACCUCACAAGCCUCACCCACCACUUUCAUACUCCCAUUAUAAACAUACCCAUCUGCUCCACCAGCGUAAAACGCUGUCUCAGUGGAAUCCAAGGCAACCCCAGAAAUGCAGCAUGGGAAUGCCACAGUCCGCAUAAGGAUCCCGCGGUCCCCCAGAUUCCAAAACUUGCAUGUGCAGUCUGAUGAGCAAGAAACCAAAGUCUUCAUCACAGACUUCAAAUCAGUCACGGAAUCAGAAUGUGCCUUCCAUUUGUUCAUGACCAAGUCUUCCUCAUCCUCCUCCUCCUCCUCGGAACCCCCACCAACGAUCUUAAAGCUAGGGACAAUAACAAUAGUCCCAUCUUCACUACCUGAAAUAACAAGGUUUUUUUUUUUUUUAAUUCUAUCAGAAAAAUUGUACAAUAAAAAGUGACAGAAAGAGUAAAUAAAUAUGAACUACUUCACUACCUGAAAUAAGGAGUGACCCAUCAUCGGUGAGAUGAAGACUAGAAACUGGACUGGAGUGUACAGCAAUUGAUCUGAUGACAUCCCCGGAAGAACUUGAAAGAGAUACAACACUCCCUGAGAUGCCACCACCAAGGAGAAACGCUCCAUCGGAGGUAGCAAUGAGAGGGGCAACGGGUUCAGGCACAGGGAAGUUACGGAACACACCAGAACCGUGCCAGUUGUAGAUGUUGAUGGAGCCUGCACCCGUGUCUGGGGACACGUGUGAGGCAGCCAGCAGUCUCCGGCCCACUAUGGCGAGGCCACGAGACGGCGAUCGGCUGCUGGAGAACUGCGUGACGGCGGUGGGGCUAACGGUGUCGUACACCAUGAUGGGCCCGUCGGGGGAGCUAGUGAGGAUGAGUUCAUUGGAGGAGGAGGAGGAAGAAGAAGAAGACAUUUUCUGUUUGAGAAGGGAAAUGAGGAAACAAGAAGAAGGGUGUGUGAAUACAACUACUUGUGGUUUGGUUUUAUAGUGUUUUUUUAGGUAUUUUUGUCUUUUCAUGUAAAAUGUUCUAAAUGUAUUAUCAAUUUAAAAUAUCAUUCUAUAAAAAAAAUUACAUUUUGUAUGUUUUAUUAAUAUAUUUUACUUUAAUUCUUCCUUAAUGAAAUCUUUUAUUUAUGUUUCUUAUUUGAGUAAAAAAUAAUAAUUUAUGUCUAUCAUAGGUGUGACACAACAAAUUUACUUUCGAAUUCAAUAGAUUAUAUCUUGAUAAUCAACUCACCAAUAUUAACAAAGUUAUAAAUAUUAAUAAAGAUUCUAACACAACAAAUCAAAUUAUUAUCAAAAUGUAUAUUAAAUGUAUAUUCAAAAGAAAAAUUGUUUAUGUACGUGCGUUGGACAAAUGUCUUGGCUAAAAAGCUACUAACUCAAACAAACUUGAAUAGAAACACUUAAUUACAUAAAAUGCAUAAUAAUGUGGGUUAUAUGUUGCUUUUUCUUUUUUGUUAAGACACUUUAAUAAACAAAAGUUGAUAUGAUAAAUUAGAUUUUGCUCACUACUACAAGAGAUUAACUUACUUAGAUUAAAACAAAUUUGAGGAUACUUUUUAGUUGGUUUUGAACAUAAAUAAUGUUAUUUCCCAUUAAAAGGAAACUUAAAAUUUAAAAUUGCUUGAAAGCAUUUAGAACAAAUGUUAUAAGCGUUAGCAUUGUCAACCUUUUUUUUACUUUUAUAUAUAGAGUCGUUGUAAAUCUUUUUUGAGUUGUUAGUGAAAUUUACAACUGUUUCAUCUUCUUCAGCUAUUAUCUAAGCAUGUUCAAGUGCAUAGACACAUCAAAAGUUCUUUAUGUAGGUCCAUGUGACCUCUUUACGCAACUUUUCUAAUACACGAUAUGACUUAUCAUGUAUAGACAGGUAGCUUAUUUUCUCUUCAACAAAAAACAUGAAGCCUAAUAUAAUUGAAUGACUUCGCAACACUCAUUUGUUUUUUCAUAAAAGUUGUUUGCGUAUGCCCUUCAAAAGACUUGACGUAGGCAUAUUAUUGCGAGAUCCUCUUAAGAGAAAUGAAGAGAUGAACAUUCCUUGCACACAAAGAAUAAAUAUUCACUACACAAUUUUUUACUUUAGGCAAUACUGAACUAGGCCACACGUAUAUAAUUGUGGUCUAAACAUAGAAAAUGUAACAAUUUUGCAAGUGUGGUUAAAAAACUAACAAAGACCAUGUUUAUAAAAUCGUUGAUUUUUAUACUACAUUUGUUUAAGUGCUGUCUUUAAAAUGUGUGGACUAAACAAUAAAAUCAUGACCUAAAAGUGGCCACAAGCAAAUAAAUGUGGUCUAAAGGUGUCAGAUACAACACUUGUAAUAAAACUAUGUUUUUACGAUCAUGGAUAUUUAGGCCUAAAAUAAAAAAAGAAUAAAUCACAUCAAGGUGUGUCGCCUAAAAUAAAAAAAGUGACAUUUAAUUGUGAGUAUUUCAAGUCAUAUUUAAUUAAAGUUACAUUUCAUAUAGGCAACGAUUAUUAAAAUAUGGCUACAUUAUUUUGUUUUUAAAAUUGUGGAUAUUUUAAACCACAUUUAAUUAAUCCAUUGAUAAAAUUUAAGAAAAUAAAAAUUAUGCUUUGGAAUCCAAAUAUACAAUAACUUUUAAUUUAUUUUUUCAUUCUCCAACACGUUUACAAAUCUAAAUCACAAGUUUUUACUAGUUUAUAAAGUAAAAUCAAAAUUAUUAUUAUUAUUAUUAAUAAUAAAAAUAACAUUAAUAAUAAUAACAAUAAUAAAAAUAAUGAUAAUAUAAAUAUAGGAUGAAAUAAAAAGUCACAAUUAUUUAUAUGCAAUUGUCACAAUUAAAUAAUUAUGACCUAAAUGUAAAUACAACACUUAAAAAAAGUUAGAAAGUGUGACCUAUUCAGGGCAACAUACUAUAUGGUUGGAAAAUCGUGGUAAAACUCAUGUUUAAAGUUUAUGUUACGAUUUUUAUGUUUUAGGUAAAAAAAAUUUGUUAUUGUCUAAAGUGAUAUUUGUUGUAGUGAUUUUUAAUUAUUUGAUAUGUUUAUAUUAACUAUAACAUGUGUAAGAUUUAUCAUCGGUUAGACGUGUAUAUUUAUUGUUUGUCCGAACAAAAAUAUAUGGAACAAAGAGUACUAAUACUACAAGUAAAUAAAUUAGUUGCUAUAGUGACUAAAUUAGAUAUCAUUUAGAAAUUAAAAAAACUUUUGAUUUCUAAAUUAGUUUCUAAUAUUGUUAAAUGGUUUCUAAACUGAUAUCUAAUUAGCUAACAAAGUUUUUGCUACCAAAUUUAGAAUUUAAAUAAUUGGUAGUUAAAAGCUUGGUAGCUAAUUAGAUACCAAUUUAUAAAUUAUUUAACAAUAAUAAAAACUAAUUUAGAAACAAAAUGUUUUUUUAGUUUCUAAAAUGGUCUCUAAUUUAGUCACUAUAGAAACUAAUUAUUUUUUGUCUCUAAAAUUAAUUUCUAUUUCAUGAUUUUCUUAUAAUGUAAGUAAGACUUUGUAUAGACGAAACACACAAUAAAAAAAUAUUUACACACUUGCAUGUGAUAGGUAUUUAUAUAGAAAAAUAUGUUUAAUACUUUUUUAUUAUUUAAACACAAAAUAAAAACUAAAUUAAAUCAUACGUUGACUUUGAUCUAACUAUAUAUAUAUAUAUAUAUAUAUAUAUAUAUAUUUNNNNNNNNNNNNNNNNNNNNNNNNNNNNNNNNNNNNNNNNNNNNNNNNNNNNNNNNNNNNNNNNNNNNNNNNNNNNNNNNNNNNNNNNNNNNNNNNNNNNAAUAAUAUAUUUAAUGUUAACUAAAAAUCAGUUAUAUUUAUUUAUAAUAGUAUUUAAUAAAUAUAUCAGUUAAUACUAUAUAUAUUUAUAACAUUAAUUAUGUUACAUUUAAUAAUAAUAAUAUAUUUAUCAAAUGUUCAUUAUUUUUAUCAUGUUCAAUUCUUUAUUAUGAAAAAGGAGUUACAUAGUAUAUUUUCAUAUAAAAGAUGAUAUCAUCAUAAUUUAAUCCUUUAAAAUGUCUUUCAAGGAUAAAAUCAUGUCUAAGUGCAAGAAAAUCAUGAAAUAGAUACCAAUUUUUAGAGAAAAAAAAAAUUAGUUGUUAUAUUGACUAAAUUAGAGACUGUUUUAGAGACUAACAAAAUUUUGGUUUCUAAAUUAGUUUCUAUUAUUGUUAAAUGGUUUCUAAAUUGAUGUCUAAUUAGAAACCAAGGUUUUUGCUACCAAAUUUAGAAUCUAAAUAAUUGAUAGCAAAAACUUUGGUUGCUAAUUAGACACCAAUUUAGAAACCAUUUACCAAUAAUAGAAACUAAUUUAGAAACCAAAAUUAUUUUAGUCUCUAAAAUGGUCUUUAAUUUAGUCACUAUAACAACUAAUUAUUUUUUGUAUCUAAAAAUUGGUUUCUAUUACAUGAUUUUUGUGUAGUGUAUAAGCCAAAGACAACUUAAAUAAGUCUUCCUCUUUAACCCUUUAAAAAUGUUUUUAAGGAUAAAAUCAUGAUGGAUCACCAAACUCCAAAACAAACAAUACUUUAGAAGAGGGAUUGACCUUAAAAAUCAGUUAUAUUUAUUUAUUAUAGUAUUUAAUAAAUAUAUCAGUUAAUACUAUAUAUAAUUAUAACAUUAGUUAUGUUACAUUUAAUAAAAAUAAUAUAUUUAUCAAAUAUUCAUUAAUUUAUAACAUGUUUAAUUCUUUAUUAUGAAAAAAGAGUUACAUAGCAUAUUCCAUAUAAAAAUGAUAUUAUCAAAAUUUAAUCUUUUAAAAUGCCUUUUAAGGAUAAAAUCAUGUUUAGGCCAAUGACAACUUAAAUAUGUCUUCCUCUUUAACCCUUUAAAACUUCUUAAGGAUAAAAUCAUUAUGGAUCUCUAAACUCCAAAACAAACAAUACUUUGGAAGAGUGAUUAACCUUAAAUAUCUUAUCUCAAUGGACUUGAGGUCGAACCAUUUAAAAAACGAACUCUCAUUCCCGUUAGACCUCGAUUGAGAACCAAUGACAACCUAAAUACACCUUCCUCCCUUAACCUUCUACGGAGGCUUUUAAGAACAAAUGCAAUUAUUGAUCAUAAUGAUGUUAUCUUAAUGGACUUCAGGUCAGAACAUUGGUGUUGUCUUUUGGGAUUGAAAAGUUUGUUCCAAAGAUGAACCAUCGUUCCCCUUCGGCCUUGAUUGGGGGGGGGGACGAGGGGCUUGUUUUGGUACGCUCAAUAGUUUCACAUUGCUUAGAAAUCAAAGCCAAAGGCAAUUUAAAUACACCUUCUCCCUUGUAUGUUGGAGUUCCGAGUUUCAAAGUAAAUAAAAAUCAUGAUGGAGUUCCGAGUUUCAAAGUAAAAAAAUACCUCGUAUGUUGUAAUUCACCAUCACGACGUGAUCUCAACGAAACAAUAUAGUUUAUUAAAUCUUAAUUUUUUAUGUACCAAAUUAUGUGCAUUCAACAAAUCUCUUUGCUAAAAACCUAAUAACUCAAGCAAACUUGAAUAGAAAAGUUGCAUGCAAAAGUGGUCAAUGGUCUUAUUCACAAGGCCUAUAAGUAGAAGCACUUAAUUACAUAAAAUGCAUAAUGUAACAUGUUGCUUUGUUUUUUUUUUCGGUUAAAACCCUUUGUUAAACAAAUGUUUUGAUACGAUAGGUUAUAAAGUCUUGCUAAAAAACAAAAGAUUAACCUCCUAAGAUGAAAAUAAAUAUAUAGAGUUAACAUUGUCAACCACUUUUACAUAUAUAGAGUUAGGAAGAAACGAUGCAUUGCAAAUCCUUUUAGAGUUGUUAGUGAGAUUUAUAACCCUUUCAUCUUCUUCAGUUAUCAUUUAAUCACAUUCAAGAACGUAGACACAUUAAAUGCUCUUCAUGUAGCAUUAAGUGCAUGUGACCUCUUUACGCAACUUAUCUGGUACAUGACACGACUUAUCACACUUAGGCAGGUUGUUUCUUUCCUCUUCAACAAAAAAACAUAUGAAUGACUCCACAACAUUGAUAUUAUGCUUUUUCAUAAAAUUUGUUUGUGUGGAUCAACUUUAAGUAUGCCCUUCAAAAGAUCUUGAUGUAGACAUAUUAUUGUGAUAUCCACUUAAGAGAAACGAAGAGAUGAACAUUCCCUACAUACAACGAAUAAAUACUCACUACACCAUUUUUUACUUUAGGUAUCACUGAACUAGGUCACACGUAUAUAAUCGUUGCCUAAACAUAAAAAAAUGUAAUGAUUUUGCAAGUGUGGUUUAAGGACUAUCAAAGACCAUGUGUUAUGAAAAUGUUUAUUAUUUAUACCAUAUUUGUUUAAGUGUUGUUUUUAGAAUGUGUGGGUUAAACAACAAAACCAUGACCUAAAAGUAAUCACAGGUAUAUAAAUGUGGCCUAAAAGUGAAAAAUACAACACUUAUAAUAAAAUCAUAUUUUUUGAAUCAUGGAUGUUUAAUGCGCAGUUUGUGAUAACCGUCUUUAAAAAAUAAUAAAUCACAUAAAAAUGUAUGGCCUAAAAUAAAGAAAAGUGACAUUUAAUUAUGAGUAUUUUAAACUAUAUUUCAUUAAAGUUAUAUAAUUUUAUAUAGACAUCGAUUUUGAAAACAUGGUUAGUUUAACUCACGUUUUUUAAAUAAUGAAUAUUUUAAAUCACAUUGAACUAAUCCACUGAUAGAAUUUUAAAAAAUAUAUUUUGCUUUCGAAUUCCAAAUAUACUAUAAGUUUUGAUUUGCUUUUCAUUUUCCAACACAUUUUCAAAUCUAAAUCACAAGUUUCCACUAGUUUAUAAAUCGAAAUCUAAAUUAUUAAUAUUAUUACUAUAUUAUUAUUAUCAUUAGUAUUAUCUAUAUUGAUAUUCUUAUCAUCAUUAAUAUUAUUAAUAUUACCAUUAAUAUUGUUAUUGUUAUUAAUAAUAAUAUUAAUAUUAAUUACAAAAAUAAUAAUAAUAUACAUAAUAAUUAUCAUAAUCAUAAUAAUUAUAAUAAUCAUUAUAAAUAUAAUAAUAAUUAUAAUAUAAUCACAUAAUUUGUUUGGUGUUUGGUGUAAUGAUUAUAAGUUUUAUGUCCUAAGAUUUUAUUUUGAUUUUUUUUAACAUAUUGUUAAUAACAAUAAUAAAAAUAAUUAUAAUAUAAAUAUAGUAUGAAAGAAUAAGCACAAUUAUCUAAAGGUAAUUAUCACAAUUAAAUAACUGUGGACUAAAUAUAAAUAUAACACUUAAAAAAAAAUUCCUAAAGAAAAGUUAAAUGUUAACAAUGUGACCUAUUUAGGUCAAUAUAUCCAUGGCUGGAAAAUCGAGACUAAACUAUUGCUUAAAAUUUAAACCACGAUCUUUAUGUUUUAUGUCACAGUUUUAUAUUGUUAGCUAAAAUUAGUGAUUAAUAAGAUCUUUAUGUUUUAUGUCACAGUUUUAUAUUGUUAGCUAAAAUUAGUGAUUGAUAAGUCUUUGUUGUGUAUUAUAAAAUAUUUAAAGUUUAUCUGUUAGACGAAGUAUAUUUAUUGUUUUUUCAAAAAUAAUUUAUCAAAUAAAGAGUACUAAGUAAGACGAGAUGAGACGAAACACAUAAUUAAAAAAUAUUUAUACACUUGCGUGUGACAAGACUUGAUUGCGUGUGACAAGACUUGAUACUUAUAAAAAAAAUAUUUUAUACUUUAUUAUUUAAAAACAAAACAAAAUUAAAAGAUAUACGGACUUUGAUCAAACAAAAUAUAUAAAAUAUAUUUGAAGUAAAAUUUUAUAAAAAUUCUUACUUUUUAUUUUGAAAAUUAUGAACACAAUUAAAUAUACUAUAUUUAUUAAAUAUAAUAUAAUUAAUAGUUUUUAAUAAAGUUAUAUUAUUUAAUAAAAAUAUUUAAUGCUAAGUAAAAAAUAGUUAUAUAUUUUUAUUUUUUAUAAAAGCUUUCAUGUUAGACAUCAUUAUGCAACUUGAGAUCUCAGUUAGGCUAACAUUUCAAAUAACAAUAAUCAUCUGCCCUCACAUGAAAAAGAAAAAUUAUUCAAAAAAUACAAAAAAUACAAAAAAAUAUGAAUGGACUAGACCAAAACCCAUAUGUUAAAAAAAACGAUAUAUUGGUAGACUAUACAUAUUCAUAAAGAAUUCUAAGAACAAAUUAGAUGAAAACCUAUUAUACCAAUGAAAUGAUUUUCUAUGAAAAAAAAUCUAAAUUAGCCAACAUAUCAGUACACACAUUCCCUUCAUGAAAAAUAUGAGUAACCAUAAACCUGAUUUUCUCACAAUAAUUAAGACAAGUAUAACAUCAAUUACGAAACAUCCACGAAACACUAGUCCUAGCAGUAAACGCAACAUAAACCAAUGCAGAAUCACAUUCAAGCCAUACAUUAGUAAGCCUCAUCUUUUGAGUUUUCUCGAUAGCAUGUAUAACUCCAUAAAUCUUAGCAAGCAUAAUAGUCUGAACUUCAAGAAACGCAGAGAAAACACCAAUAAACUUCCCCAUACUCCCAUAGAAAAUACCUCCACAAGUAGCAAGACCAUGAAAUCCCCUAACAGCCCCAUCAGUGUUAAUUUUAACCUAACAUGGUGAAGGAAACUCCCAUCGAAUAGGUGGAGGACGAAGAACUUUACCAGUACAAAUAUUAAUACAAAAAAACUUAAUCACGUUGAAAUCCAACAUCUUAUUCUUCAUUAAAGCUUUAGACGAAUUUCCCACUAGACAAGUUAAAUCUUUAAUUACUGAAAUAGCAUAAUUCCUCAUGCGCCAUAUCAUCCAAAUAGAAAAAUUUAUCACAACAAACUUAAUCAAUUUAACCAAAGGACUACCAUCACUCUUAAUAAAAGAAAGAAGAUCAUACUUAUUAGAGCAAUGAGAAGUAAGAAAAAUCUUCCGAACCCAACUCCAAAUAUGCAAAGAAUUAGAACAUUCAAAAAAAUAAAUGUUGAAUAGAUUCCUCGUGCUUUUUGAUGACUUUUUACGGCAAGUGCACCGCGUUUGUCAGAAGUAAUAAUUGUCCCUAAGGACGGAUAUCGAUCCCACAAAGAACAGUGAAUUAUCGAGUACAAUAUUCGCUAAAUAUAACAACAGAACAAUAAAAAAGAGUUUGAAGUGAUUAUGUUGGCACUGAUCAAUAAGAAAACAAACAAAGAAUUAGUUGCUUCAAUUGGAAAAAUUGGGAUUAAGUUUCAUCUCUCUCACUCUCAUGUAUUUUGAUUAGCAUGUUAAUAUUAAGUUCUUUAAUUGAAAUUGAUGCCCGUAUAAAAAUCAUUUAUAUCGAUUCCUCGCAUAUAAAAUCCUUAAGAAUGUUCCCUAACUAUCGAUCCCUCGCAUACUUAUAAGAACAACUUAGAACGAAGCUCAGACGUUUAAUAGCAAUUAACAUUUCAAGUCUAUUCCUAGCACUCAAAUAUGUUAAGUAUUGUUGUUUAGGUCCGAACCCUAAAAAUACCUCCCGGGCAGAUUUAAGAUUCUCAAUUUGUCACGGAGAAUUAAAAGUAAAAACAACAUACCAAUAAUCAAUCAAGAACUGAAUAUUAAUAUUUAAAAUAUCACCUCAAUACAUAAGAGGUUGAGCAGAUUANNNNNNNNNNNNNNNNNNNNNNNNNNNNNNNNNNNNNNNNNNNNNNNNNNNNNNNNNNNNNNNNNNNNNNNNNNNNNNNNNNNNNNNNNNNNNNNNNNNNNNNNNNNNNNNNNNNNNNNNNNNNNNNNNNNNNNNNNNNNNNNNNNNNNNNNNNNNNNNNNNNNNNNNNNNNNNNNNNNNNNNNNNNNNNNNNNNNNNNNNNNNNNNNNNNNNNNNNNNNNNNNNNNNNNNNNNNNNNNNNNNNNNNNNNNNNNNNNNNNNNNNNNNNNNNNNNNNNNNNNNNNNNNNNNNNNNNNNNNNNNNNNNNNNNNNNNNNNNNNNNNNNNNNNNNNNNNNNNNNNNNNNNNNNNNNNNNNNNNNNNNNNNNNNNNNNNNNNNNNNNNNNNNNNNNNNNNNNNNNNNNNNNNNNNNNNNNNNNNNNNNNNNNNNNNNNNNNNNNNNNNNNNNNNNNNNNNNNNNNNNNNNNNNNNNNNNNNNNNNNNNNNNNNNNNNNNNNNNNNNNNNNNNNNNNNNNNNNNNNNNNNNNNNNNNNNNNNNNNNNNNNNNNNNNNNNNNNNNNNNNNNNNNNNNNNNNNNNNNNNNNNCUUAAAUCAUUCAUCUUUAAUCCAAAUCUCCAAUCUUCCUUAGAAAUCUGCAAUUAACACCAAAUUUGGGAAUAAAAUACUCUUAUUCAAAUAAAGAUCAUAAAAAUGUAAAAAGGUAUAAAUUCAUAAAUUAGGGAUUAUUUUAUAUGUAAAUUAGCAAUAAAUCCUCAUAAGUGCCUAUAUUUUAAUAUGAAAUAUUACUGAAAUUAGACACUUAUCACUUUUCACAAAGUGUACACAUAAAACAUAUAUGCAAACCUUUAUUCUGAAUAUGUUGAUCUGUAGGAAGCCACCCAUGAAAAGUUUUUCAGAGUACUAAAGUUUUGGAAGAUGAAAUAUAUGAAGACCAAAUGAAUUUACCCCAACCACAGGGAACCCCUGGUUCCAAGAAAAAAGUCAUAGCCGAGUUAAGAGUGAAACGACUAGAUUAAUCUAGAAUCUAAUUAGGAAUAUCAUGUUUCUCCCUAACCAUGAUAUGAUUAAAAACAAAAGAGGUAUCUGCUGUAAAGACAAGGAAAUAUUCCAAUCACAACCAGUCCAAAAAUGAAAGACUGUAUCCAGAAUGAACUUGAUGACUUUUUACGGCAAGUGCACUGCUUUGUCAGAAGUAAUAAUGUGUCCCUAAGGACGGAUAUCGACCCCACAAGGAACAAUUGAAUAUUAAAGUUAAAGAUUCGCUAAAUAUAAAAACAGAAUAAUAAAAGUUGGUUUGAGAAUUAUUAUGAUGGCAAGAAUUAACAAGAAAACAAUUCAAAGAGUUGUUGCUUCAAUUGGAAAAAUAGGGAUUGGGUUUCAUCUUUCUCACUCUUGUAUUUAGAUUAGCCUGAUAAUAUUAUGUCCUUUGAUUGAUAUUGAUGCCCAUAUAAAAAUUAUUUAUAUCAAUUUCUCGUAUAUAAAAUUCUUAAGAUGCUUCCUAAAUAUCAAUUCCUCGCAUAUUUAUAAAAACAACUUAGUUAUAAGAUCGGACGUUGAUAGCAAUUAACAUUUCAAGUCUAUUCUUAGUAUUCAAAUAUACAAAGUAUUAUUGAUUAGGUUAGAACCCUACAAAUACUUUCCAGUCAGAUUUAAGAUUCUAGAUUAAGAAUUAGAAGAAAAACAAUAAUACCAAUAAUUAAUCAAGAACAUAAUAUUAUGUUGAGAGAUCAUCUUAAUACAUAAGAGUUUGAACAAAUUACUCCUAAUCCCAAAGGGUAGAAUUAGCCACACAUCUUCUAAUACCUUUUAUUCUCCCAAUUGGGUUACAAGUCACUCAAUGGUGUUUUUUUGUCAAUCUUGCACACUAGGGUGGAGCCUCAAGCCCCUUAUUUAACCUAAUUUGCUAGGGUUAGGUGACUUCUUGCGUCGCGCUAAUGGGCUUGUUGAUUAAAACAUAAAAUGGCCCAAUGGUUCGAGUGUUUUCUCGCUCAAGAGAGAUAUAACUCGUUGAGUGAGAAAGGUGUCGAUUUUUAAACACUGCCACUAGAGCAUUCUCACUCAAGCGAGAAGAGACUCGCUUAAGCGAGUUGCUCUGUUGCUGAGUUGAGCUUUUUGUACUUUUGUGUGUUCAUGUGCCUUCCAACUUUCUCCUUGUAACUUAUACAAUUCUGUUUUAGCACAAUCAUCUCCAUUCUUCCCAAGAAACAUGAAAUUAACACAAAAUUUGGGAAUAAAAUGUUCUUAUUCAAAUAAAGAUCAUAAAAUAUGUAAAAGGUAUAAAUUCAUAAAUUAUGGAUUAUUUUAUAUGUAAUUUAGAAAUUAAUACUCAUAAAUGCCUAUAUUUUAAUAAGAAAUAUUACUAAAAUUAGGCACUUAUUAGUAAACACCAUGAGAUAACCUUGCAAUAUUUGCUAAAGAUGUAGUAGAACACCAUUUAUCAUUCUAGAAAUUAAUAAAAGUACAUGUACCAACAGUCCAAGAAGUAUAAUAAAGUAUAAUAGAAUAAAUCUGCUUAAUUCCAAGGCAAAGAGAUGAGGAUUUAUAAACCAUUCUAAACUCGUAUUUUGAUUUAAGAACCCUGGUUUUUAAGAGAAAAGAUCAAGGUUUGUUACUAUAAGCAAAAUUCCAAGUAAGCUUAAGAAGAUACACAUUAUUUUCAUGAUGAAGGUUAAUAAUCUUCAAACCUCCAUUCUCAAAAGGAGAACAAAUCGUAGCCCAAUUAACAAUAGUUAUUCCUUUUUUUUUUUUUUCAGAAUAUCACCAAUCCAAAUAAAAUUUUGACGCUACUGCUCAACUUGCUUAAGAAGUGAAACAAGCCAUUUAUACAUUUUAAAGCUAUAAGCUAUAAAUCCAGUAAUCACCAUAUUGACCAACUAAAUAUGGCCCAUCAUGCUAAGAGAUUUAUCUUUCCAAGAUGUUAGCUUCAAUUUGACUUUAUCAGCCAAAGGUUGAAGAAAUCGACACUUUGGAGCACCAACAAAGAUAGACACUCCUAAGUAAGUGAAAGGGAGUGAGAUAAUCUUGCGGACUAGCCAUAUGUAGAAUCUUUUUACCAUUCACAAGCUUCGAGAUACCUCUACUAAGAACUUCCUCUGUAAGACAAAAAAGUAAAGGAGACAAAUGAUCACCUUGUCUGACACCUCUACUAUAAGGAAAAAAACCCCACCAAACUGUAAUUUAUUCUGAUAGAAAGCAUAAUUGAAUGGAGAAUUGUAAUAAUUGAACCGACAAACGAUGGGUGAAAACCAAAGCGUGUCAAAAGUAAUAAUAAGAACUUCCAACUCAGAGUGUCAAAGGCUUUAUGAAUAUCAACUUUGUAAGCCACAUUACCUCCUCUAACUUUUUUAGAAAGCAUGUUAAUAGCUUCAGAAGCAAUACCAAUACAAGCCUGAAUUUGUCUACCCUGCACAAACCCAUAUUGAUUAGGAGAAAUGAUUAUAGCAGCCACAAGUGCAAGGAUAUCUGCCACUAUCUUGGAAAUAAUCUUAAAUUUGAAAUUAACAACAACAAUUGGCCUGUAAUCUUUAAUGGAUUCAGUACCCUGAAUCUUAGGAAUAAGAGAUACCACAUUACUGUUCAUUCUAGGGAGAACCCAAUUUGGUUUAAAAAACUGUUGAACAACAUUGCAAACAUCUGUCCCAAUAAUUUCCCAUCAAGAAUGAUAGAAAACACCACUAAAACCUUAAAAAAAAUGGUUUCUAAAUUAGUUUCUAUUAUUGUUAAAUAGUUUCUAAAUUGGUAUCUAAUUACCAACCAAGGUUUUAACUACCAAUUAUUUGGUUUCUAAAUUUGGUAGCAAAAACAUUGGUUUCUAAUUAAAUAUCAAUUUAGAAACCAUUUAACAAUAAUAGAAAUUAAUUUAGAAACCAAAAAUUUUGGAGUCUCUAAAAUGGUCUCUAAUUUAAUCACUAUAACAACUAAUUAUUUUUUGUCACUAAAAAUUAGUUUCUAUUUCAUGAUUUUCUUGUAGUGUUAUAAUUAAAGAUUAAUUUAGAAUCUAAAGUAAUUAGUAGUUAUUUUUUUUCCUUUAACCAAACUUAUGUUACAAGAGAGAUAACUCCUAAUUAAAUUCUAAACAUAGGAAGUUGAUAUCUAUAUGGAAAAAAUCUAAACUAUUACAAGAUGGUUGAAAUCAAAUACCAUAAAAAAUCCAUUCUAUUAUUAAUCACCAGAGUAGUGAACUUACUAUGAUCUCAGUGUAUAAUGAAUUUCGAUCCCCCGAGAAAGCAGAGAAACUCCUUAUAUAUCCCUCUCUACUACCUUUAAAGAUGUCAACACAAGCAAGUAAACCUGGAGAACCUAUAGUAGCUCUAUCGGUAUUGACUUUAAUCCGGCCAACAUCAGAAAAUUGUCAAAUCCCUUGAAAUGGGACAAAAACCUUGGAAGGUCUCAUGCUGAUAAAAUAAACUUUAACAGAAAAAAUUUAGAAAUAUCAUUAUGCAUAUUUUAUGUUUUUAAGCAUUAACUGACAUAUGGACACAUUCCUUAACAAUACCAAAGUCUAAGGUGAUGUAUUUUUGAAAUAUAGGAUAAUUCCUCAUUCUCUAAAUUAUCAAUAAAGUGAAGGUGAUAGUUGAAAGCCUAAUAAGCUUAACCAAGUGACUACUUGGAGAUUAAGGAAAGAAAUAAUUUGUGCAAAAAUAAUGUUAGACAAGUACUAGAAGGAAUUAUGAACCCAAGUCCAAAAAUAUUAGGCAAAAAGACAAUCAAAGAAUAAAUGACAAACAUGUUUCCCAUUCUUCCUGCAUAAAGAACACAUAGAACAUAAAAUAACAUCCAUUUUUUGGACAUCUUUAUCAAUAGGAAGUCUAUUAUGCAAAACUUUCCAAAUAACUAAAGAUCUGAAAGGGGAAUGAAGUGAGACCAAACUAACUUUCCCCAUUCUAAAGGAGAAGAAGAAAAGAAAAACUUCUUGACAACUUCAUGAGAAAGCAUACUGAUGAGCAUAAUUUCAUUCACACUUUAAAGUUUUAAUAAUAUAUUCUUGGAAUGUAAUCAUGAAUAAAUCCACUAUUUUAAUUGAGAUUAAUCUAAUUGAGUUUACUUUGGCUUUAACUUUAUUUUUUUAAUCUUAUGUUUUAAUUGUAGUAGAUUGUUUGAUAGAAGUGUCUAACAAGACGAUCUGAUAGAAGCGCCUACCACUAUGAGUGGGUCGAAUAACGUGAAAGUGUAAGUUGUUGUUUGAAUUAAAACAAGAAAUGAAAUAUGAGUUAAAUAAUUAGAGAAUUAAAUCUGCAAUAUCUUAGAAAAAGAAUUAGAAACAAAUCUUUUGCAGAGAUAUUCUCUCGAAAUUCUGAAAUUAAAAAUCCCCUGUUAAAUUCACAAAAAACUGAGUAAAUAUUCUUCAAAGAUAUUGUUCAAGUAAAUCUUCUUCAGAUAUUUCUCACAACGACACUAUGUUUAAUUAUAAUGAAUGCACAAAUCUAAAUCGAUUUUGGAAAGAAUAUCUAGAAGAGAAGCGAGAAAGAGAUCCGGAACUUAUCAGAAAAGAAGAUAUUUGCUUGAUAAUUUUUUAAAAAAGAAAGGAAACAUUUAAUAAUUGUAAACAAUAUCCUGAGGUAAACUUUGUGCAAAGAAAAAAAAAAUUAUAAAAGAGACUUUUGGAGAAUAAACACGGGGUGGCGUUUUUUAGCAUCACGUUUCAAAGGCGCACAACACACAUUAAACCUACUUUUAUUUAUUUUUCUUAUUUUUUGCAUCCACAUGGAAGGCUAAAUUUUUUUAGGUUGAUUCCCUUGUGAUUUCUCAUUGAAUUUUAAGGUUUUUUUCAAUAAAGUUUUGUUUUUCAAUUUUCUGUAGCAGGUUAUGAUUUAUUUUUUAUCUUUUCGAAAUUGAGUUUCUAUCAAAGGAAUUGUUUUUGAACGCUUGUUGAGAAUUAAAAUAUUUUCUUUAAUUAGAUUUCUUGGUUAGUUUGCUUAGUUUUAAGCAAUAUCUUGUUUGCUUAUUUCAAGAAGUAGAAUUAGAUAGAUUUGGAGUCCAAAAAUGAAAAGAUUUAAAUCUAUGCAUAAAAUCUAUUCGUCCUUAUUUUUAAUGUAUCUUUAAAAUCCAUCUUUUCCUAAACAGGUUUAUUCAAAUAAACCUUAGAAAUAUAUUUUCUAAUGAAUUGUGAAUAUCUCCCAAUCUUCUUGGAACAAAAUCAAUUUUGAAUAAAUUGAAAAUCUCAAGUACCCGAUUUUCGCAUCACGCGUUGUCUAUAAUGAAACAAUUUUUUGAUUAAAAUUUGAUUUGCUUUUACUAACCCAUAUUGCAAAUACAUUUAAAUUAGUUUCUUAAAUAGGUUUGAAGAAAAAACAAAUUGGAAAUCCAAGCUUUAUACUUUGAGCGUAUAGCACGAAAAGAUAAAGAUACUGUAAUAUCCAAGUUUAACCAACUCAAGUGCCCAAGUGCAAAUAUAAGGAGAUUGAAGGUGGAGAACAAAAGGCAUGACAAACAACAAAAAGAGAUAUUAUGAUCUUGUUGAAUACACUAUUGAGUGUUGCAGUGAGUUUCUACUCUAGUCUUUAGAGCAUUAUGUCUUUUGAGUUGCGUGUGAAAUCAGUGUAAUUCUUCACUCUGUGAAGUUAUACCCAUGUCAACUUUCUUUGUAUCUCUAAGAGUGUUCUUUAUUUCUUUUGAGAUUUUUUAAUCUUAGGCGAAGUUAAGUUGUAAUCUAAAGAGGUUUGAAUAGUUGUUGUAACUCGAAGAAGUGAGAAUAUUCGUUGUAACCUGGAGAGGUGAAAAUACUCGUGUAACUAGUUGGUUAGUUGAAGCUCUUAAGAAGUUACUUAAGGGGAUUAGAUGUAGUCUGAGUUUAGGUGAACUAGGAUAAAUUAUUGUGUGCUAACCUCUCGUUACACUUGUUAUUGCUCAUACUUUGUUAUUUAUUCUAUUAUUCUCGUUAGAGGGUUUGCCUAAACAAUUAUGCUAGACAAUUUGAUUUUUUAUUACUAGACGGUCUAAGAGAUAGUCUUUAUUUAUUCGUUGAAAAAAGAAUCUAAGGGUCCAUUCAGUCUCUCCUUUUUGGAGCCAACUUCACCUAUAUGUCUAUCAAACCCUCUAGUCUAUGUUAUUCGCAUCAUACUCUUUCUACACUUUUGUCUUUAUUACACUUGAUGUUGUUUAGGUGCUUUCUUCAGUUGAGUCUUGGCAGAUGAGUGGUUAGACUGUCUACUCCAUGUAACCACUAGACUGUCUAUUCUAAGAAAUAUUAUACCGUCUACGGUGAUUAAGAAUAUAAAAUUAAUAGUAAAAGAAAUUAAGAUCAAAAUAAAUCCAGUUGGAUAAAUUCUAUUUAAAACAAUGAAUUUAUACAUAAUUUUAUAUCAAUACAACUAUGAUUAAAGGUUCUAAAUUUGAAUAAAGUUAUGAUCAUCAUUGGGUUGAUUCAAGUUUCUUUCCUCUUGGUGUGAUCCAAGAGUUGGACAUAUCGUCCUUAAUUGUAUUCAAGAGUUGAUUUCCUGUGUUUUUUUUUGUCCUAUAUAUGUUUUGCAUAUGUUGAGUGCUUGUAGUAAACAUGCAAGGAUAAUGAAUUUUGGCUAUUCUAAGGGUGAAUAGCUAAGACUAGAUGUAGGAUAUGUUGUGAUUUGAACCAAUAUAAAUCUUAUGUAAUAUAUCUUAUCCGUUCUUUAUCACUUUCAUAUUGUUACUACUUUAUAAGUUUUGGUGUGUGAAAUUUUUAUCAAUCUUAAUUCCACAAUCAAUUGCAUUCAAUUUUCUCAUAAGAUGAGUGUUUCAAAAGAGUUUAAGAAAGGGUUAAUCUUUUCAAAAAGUUUUCAGAACCAAUUCACCCUCCUCUUGGUUUAGCUUAGCCUCACAUUUUUUCCAACAAAAAGUUGGUUGGAUGGAGCAACUUUAGGAGCUUUUGUAAGAAACAACUAGUGAAACAUUCCCUAUAAGAAAUCUAAUCAGCAUAAAAUAAACAUUUAUAAGUAUUUAACAUUUACCAUUAAAUGCUUCAUACUUAUCAUUUAUGCAAGCAAAAUCUAAUCAAUUAAUGAUGUAUAAGCACUUAAGUCAAUUAAAGCAAAAGCUUACCAAACAAAGUGUACUUAUCCUUUGUCUAAGCAAAAGCUUAUCAGAUGAAGCAUAUAAGUAAAACAUGUGUGUCUAUUUGAUUAGAUGAAGUGCUUGUGUCUAUCGAGACCUGAUGCUUAUAAAAUAAUGUUUUAUACUUUGUUAUUAAGCAUAUAACCACAACUAAACAUAAGGUUGGUUCAACUUUGAUCUAACACUUUAGGUUUUCCUCUCUCCUUACUUGAAUUUUAGGUAGAAGAACUAUAAUGUAUAUUAAAAUGCUCAAAACAGUAUGAGUCAUGCUUUUGUAGACCUUGCAAACCUAUUAGUUUUGAGUUUUUUUUGUAAUCCUUCGGUUUUGAAUUUUUCUACUAGUGCACACAACAAUGUCAUAUAUAGAUAUGCAAUUUUACACAACUUCAUUUUAAUUGUAACUUUACCAACAAUGUCAACCUCCUUAAAAGGAUUCAACAUGACAUUAGUUUUGUGCAUUAAGUGGUAUAUUAUACCUGCUAUAUCACAUAUAUGGUAGACCAUGUGUACAUAUAAAUGUAAUCACAAUGUUGAGUACCAACACAAACACACAUGACCUACUCAUACUCUUCAUCAAUAUGCAUGAAUGCAUAUUUUAAGGCAAACCUUUGUGUUCUUUUUUUUUAUAAAGUUUAUGUUAAAUAUAUGUUUCGCAACGUGUAAACUUUUCUUAAAAAAUGAUGCUUUAAUUUCAUUACGCUAUAAAGUUAUGAUGCUUUUCAUUGCAUCCUAAAUCCAAAAUACAAAUUUAACCUUUCGAUUACUCGAUUCAAAACUUAAUAAAGAGUAUUAUAAAUUCCACAAUCUCAAACACAAAUUUGAACUCAAUUUUAUAUUUUACUUUAAUAAUUCAGCUGACUAUUUUUUAAAUUUUGAAUUACACAAUAAAAAAUUUGUAUUUUAGAUCGUCUAAUAUGAAAUACUAUUCUUAAGAUCUAAAUUGUAAAAUAAAAAACAAAAUCAAUUUAGAUAUUCAUUUACAAAUUGUUGAAUCUCACUAGCUUGUUGCUCAAUCCAAAAAACUGUAAAAUUAUAAUAUGAAAAAAAAUAAUCAAAGAGAGCAUCAGAUCUUCGAAACCACGAAAAAAAAAACUAUCAAUAUUUAGUAAAUGAGUUACCCACCUUAAAACUCUACAGCACCUUGAUUUUUAACUAUUAACUUUCUAAAAUGUAAAGUACUAUUAGUGGAGUUUUAUUAGAUGCAUGGAAGACUUAAACUCACUUUUAAAAAAUUACUUAGAUAUUAAAAACACAUAAUACAUAUAGUAAAGGGUUAAAAAUGUAAUAAUUAAAUAAAUUUAUAAUAUUAAAUACCGCAAAAAUUAAUCUUAAUAUUAAAAAAUAGUUUUAUAUGCGUAAUUAUUUUUCUCAUUAUCUUCAAUUUAUUUAUUUUAUAAUAUAUGUCAUUUAAUUUUAAUAAAUAUUAAAAUAUAAUUAAAAAUAUAAAAUAGAUAAAAUGUAAAGAAGAAGAAAAUUAAAAUAUUUUUUAUAUUCUUUUUUUUAUUGUUCGGUUCAUCCUCUCCUUAACACUAAAACAUAAAAUUUCUUAUUUUUAUUCAUUUUUCACUUUUUCUUAAUCAUUUCUGAAGAAAGAAACGAAGGAAAACAAAAACUCAUUGUUUCUACUCGUGUAUUACUUGUUGUGUUUCAUUUAUGAAGAGAAAAGAUAAGCCUCUCUUACCUCACUAAUAUUGAAAAACUAUUUUAAUAGUAUAUUAUUUAUUUAUUUACAUAUGCAAAGAAAGAAUGUUUGAAAUAUAAAAAUUUGAAUAAUUAUAAUUUUGUCUUGUUUUUUAUUCUAAUUAAUAAGAUCUUAACUAUGAUGUGUUUUUUUCAUAACCAAUUUUUAAAUGUGACUUCUUUAUUUUAUUAUAUCUCAAAAAAAUUUAAUUCUGAUAUUAAAUUAUUAAUGAAUUUAAGAAUUUUAAAAAAGAAUAAAAUAUGUAUGAUUUUUUAGAAUUAUAGUUAUAUUAGUGGGAAUGAUAAUAUAUAUAAAUUUUGAAUAUAAUAUUUUGAUUUAAUUAUUGGUCAACCAAUAAUUAUAUAAAUAUUUUUCCUAUUUACUGUUGUUAAUACGAGGAUAUGCAUUAUUUGCUUGGUUUGACUAAGUUUUUAUAUUUUUUUAAUCUGACACCAAACUAAAUCCUCUUCAUGAUUGACUUAUUUGAAAGUAAAGUGAUAUUUAUUUUUCACGCAUUUCCAUUAUCAGUUAAUCACUUAUUAAGAUCAUAUUUUGGCUGUUUCUUCACGUGCUUGUGCACCUCCAUACUUAUAAACAUACCAAAUAAUACUCUUUAUUCAAUUAUUUUUUUUCAUUUCGGAUCUGGACAAAUUAUACUUAUAGAUUCCAACUUCUACCAUUCAAAAUAAGUUUUUUUUCUUUUAAAUUUAUAUUAUAGAUUAUAAAAUCUAAAAGGUAUUUUUAUAGAAUCUAUAAAAUAUUUUUUGGAUCUAGAAAUACUUUAUGAAUUCUAUAAUCAAUACGUAUUUUUUUUAUUAAAAAAGAAUUAGAAAUACUUUCUGAAUUAAUUCAGGAAAUAUAAAUAGAAAAAUAUAUUUUCUAAUUGUAACAUCCGAAUAUAUAUUUUCAAAAAUAAAAUGGUCUUUUUUGUUAGGAGUGACAAUGUGAGUUGACCCACCCCACAUAGGCUCGUCCCGCAUUUAGCCUGCAAAAUGAGAGUCAGGUUGACCCAUUUCGUACCAGAAGUGCUCAUCCGCAUAAGGAAAAUAUUUUUUUUAAAUUAAAAUUUAAUUAUAAAAAAAAUAUUUCUGCUACUGAAAAAUUAAAAUUCCAUCUUUGUUUUAAUUCGUUCAAUUAAGAUAAAAAAAAAUAUAAAGGCAUUCAACUAUACGGAUUGUUAGAAGACUUGAUUAAAAAUAAUUAAUGUUUUGUUUUUGCAUAUAUUCUUUUUCUGUAUGUAUAUAAUUGUACGAGAAUAUCUUAUCAAAAUUUUGCUACAAAAUAUUUUAAUGAAAUCUCUUCUUUAUAUUAUUUUUUUAUUAACAAUUUUUAAAUGUAAAAUUUUACUUAAAACUAAAUGCACUCUUAUUUUUAAUAUUAACUUCUUUAAAUGAUUGAAAUAAAACAUAUUUUUUUUUACAUUAAAUUUAAUUUUUUAAAAUAAAAUAAAAUAAAAAUCACAUUCCAAUAAUAAUGUGUGAGUAGGUAUGAUUUUUUUUUUUAAAAAAUAAAAUAUUUUUUAUUUAUUUAUGCGAGCCAGCAGACUAACGCGUCCUGCCCCGUUGUUGACCCAUACGGAUUGCGGGUUAUGCAGGACCGACCUAAGUGGGUUAGUGAGUUAGAUUAGUGAGUUCAUCCCGCACUUUUUAGUAGCGGCCCGACCCGCAUAACCCAUAGGCCAGCCCGCAUGAUCCACCCCGCAUUUUCAUCAUACUUUUCACCUACUUUUCGUAUAACCUAUUGAGUGUGGGUUAUGGAGGUGAAGGAAGAUACAGCCAUAUUUUUUUAUAAAUUACAGCUUUAGUUUUACUUUGCAUGACCUCUCUACCAGAGUAGAUGCACAUAGCUUCUACUUCCCAUUCCCAAAGAUCUAAGUAAGUUUUGCAUCAUCACUUGAUGAGUAGCACAGAAUUCGCGUGAGAAGCCUUUAUUAAUCAUUGAACGGUGAGCCACCUUUGAAUUCAACCGGUAACAAUAUUAACUACAACCAGAGGUGUUUAUUGGGGUCCAAAUUUCAACAAUUCCACUAGCGGUGGAUCUCAUAUGAAACUUGCCAACAUCACUAUGAAUGCUUCAUCCUUUUAUCAUCAUUCUACAUUAAUUACUAAACAUAUUCUACUAAAAAACAAACUAGGCUCCUCCUCAGUUCACUUGGUCAUACUCAAAGUAGAAAAGGAAAAAGAAAACUCAUGGAAGCUUUGUGGGAUUUGGAAGACAAAUUGAAGAUUUCAACACUAGGUGCUGUUCUUCUACUUGGAUGUGCAACCUUUGCUCUUGUGUGCCUUUGCAUUGUUAUCACACUUAGAAGGAAGGCCUUUAACAAUAAGAUUGUACACCAAGAGGGUGCUUUGGAUGAAGAGAAUGAAAAGGAUACCACAACAACUACUAAUACUAAUGCUAAUACUAUUAUUGCUGCUACUGCUUCACCUACAGAAUGGUCAGAGCCAAGUUGUGUAGGGUGGAUUUCAGUGAAGAGGGUCCUGAUGGGGUCAAUGCUGUGGAGCAAGGCAAGCAAAUUGGAGGAGAACAUGGCAUGGCAGAGAGAGAGGGGAUCCCCACUACUUGGCUUACAAAGGCAGGGUCUUGAAAGUGGGUGGCAAAGCAAUAACUCAGAAUCUCCAGUGUGGCAAAGACCAAUACUAAGAGGGGGGAAGUGUGAGUUGCCAAGUUUUAGUGGCCUCAUUCUCUAUGAUGAAAAAGGAAGACUUCUUCGUGAUUCAGAGAAUGAAACGCACCACUUCAUGGAAACUUCACAACAGGUAAUUCUUCAUCACCUUCAUACUCAUCAUAUAGGAUAAUCAAAUUCUUACUUGUAGAUAGGAUGAUUCUUUCCACUCUCAGUUUUAAGACUAACAUGAUGAAUUUGGACAAUAAUGAUUUGGUACCUAUAAAGCAAAAUGAGUGAUUGCAUGAUACUUAUGUCCAUUUCUUUAAUAAACCCCAAGAUAUCCCAAGAAGUUUUGGUCUUAUUGCAGUGCUGAUGCUUAAUCUCACCUAUAAUUCUGUGUCCCUCAUGGAUAUGUUCAAUGAGAAUCAAACUCAAAUCCUCUCCUACACCCUCAACAUGUGUUGCCAAAAUUGAGUUGUCUAUGUUCAUUUUAAAUGAAUGCAUGAAUGCACACACAAAAAAGUUUGAAUUUUCUUCCCCAAUAACUUCUUGUUACUCAAUAGGAUGCAACAGUAUUUGCUUCAAGAUACUGAAUCACAGGAAUGUCAUUGUUUCAGUUUCAGACAACAUUUUGGCUGCAUUUGUUUAUUUCUAACUUUUAUGCUGUUUGAUGCAGGAAGUAGGAACUGUUACAGUGAGGACUACUCUAAGAGAUUUACUUUAGUACUCGCUUACUGGGUUUUUCUAUCUUGUAAGUUGUAUCAGACAGACAAUGCAGCUUCACAGUAAUGACAUGGUGUGAUCAGUUCAAAUACGUAAUUAUCAUUUCAUAAAAUUGCAGUUUUUUCCUAGAAUUCAAUGAUGCAUCUUCCAUUUCAAUAUCAUUUCAUAAAUGACACAUGAGGAAGCUGCAGUAAAAAAAGCAAAGAAUAGAAAGAACGCAAAGGAAGUUUAUGGCUAUCUGAAAAUUGUGGAAACUACACAAAAUGGUAUCUAGUUUAGCUGACAAGUUAUCAAGUAGGAGAUCAUUUACAACUUUUUGUUAACUUCAUACUUGGUUUACUGUGAAAUCCUCUUUUUAUGAAGAUGUCAAAUUUUAACAAUAUCCUUUUAUGUUUCUUCCUUCAAUCUCCUAAUGGCCCUAAUCUUACUUCUUAAAAAUUUAACUACAUUGUUCAUGCUGACAUUCAAUUUUGCUAUAAUUGUACAUUAACAUUUGUUGAAGAUCUCACGUCGACUAGAGAUAAGAACAUUUCAUAGUAUAUAAAUGACUGCAAAACUCAUCUUAUAAGCCUAAUAGCAUUACAUUAAGAUAAAGUUCUAGAAUAAUCUUCAUGCAACAAGGUUGCUUAUUAGACCACCAACUGAAGCCCGACAAAUACAUAAUGGGGAAAAUUAGCUAAAUGGGAUAUCAUGGGUAGGUUAAUUGAGGUUAGAUAAACCCCACUUUAGAAGUAAUGACAGCACUUCAAAAAACUUCAUCAGAGUCUUAAAUCUGAAAUUAAAUAUGGAUAAAAUAAGAUUAUGAUCCAUGAUGACCUUCAGAAAAUUGAUGUAUUUUAAAAGAUAAGAGAAUUUUCAGUUUAUAGGUUCCUAACAGAAGAGAUUGAAUACCUGAAGUAAGAAGGUUUUAGAGUUUUCAUUGGUACUAUUUUCCCUUUUAAGGUGUAUCAAGGUUGUACUGAACAUCAUUCAAAGAUUGCAAAGAUUUCAUCCUCUCAGUUCAGGAAAAGCAUUCAUUCUCACAUAGCAACAAUAGCAAGUUGACAAAAAAGACACAGGCAGAAAUGAAAUUAAAAUAUAGUGGAAAGUUUCAAUUCAAACAUCUCCAUGAAUUGCAUGGAAAAACUUCACACUCAAAACCACAAAAUUCACUCAUUCAACUCAUGGAAAUCAUUUCAAACACAGAAUGCCUGCUACUAAUUUCAGAGAACCAUUUCACUGCUGCCAAGACCAUAAAUCUUAAUCACCUAUGAUGCAUUUGCCUAUGCCUCCACUUUGCCAACACUCACCAGCAUGGAUCAUUCAUACGAGACUAUCAAGGGUUGUCUGCAGUUUUCAGUGGAUAAAGUCUUGUAAUAGAAAUAUAGUAUCAAUUGCACAAUUCCUAAAACAGUUCCUAUCCCAUUUGGUACCUACAGAAUCAAACACAGACAGGUUUAUUUCACAUAAAAUCCAACCAAAAAAAGAGAUUUGAAACUAAAAUGAGUAUCUCAAAAGGAAACGAGCUGAAAGGAAACUCACAGAAAUGAAGGCAUCAUGGCUGAGAAAUCCGUAAAGAAAGAAGGAGAUGCUCAUCAGGAAGGUGGAAAGUGAAAGAUAAAAAGGCAUAAACUCUACACUUUUUGUCCGAAUGACCAAUUUCUGAGAAGUUAGAUAGACAAAAUAAGAAAACAAAAUUCACCAAGCUAACAGAUGCAGAAACUGAUAAAUGGAUUGGUGUCUAGGAAAUGACAAGCAUACAAUUAUGAACAAUGGAGAGGCAAACAUUGAAAUGAGAGAAGCACAACUCAAGAAUCCCACAAACAUCCGGCGCAUUGCACUGUCAUCAAUUUGCAAGCUCCCAGCCAGUAUGAUCACAAAUAUGCCCAAAACUGCUAAGAGUAAUCCAAGCAUUCUCACCUAUCAAAUCACAAUUUAUAGUACACAACAGCUUAAAAAUAAACCAUUUCUCUUUUGUAUUUAUCAUUCAUAACAUUCCAAUAGUUUAUCAAAAGAUUAACCUUUCUAGCUUUCUCAGCAUAUAUCAAGAAGAGGAUUAUGUACACAAGCUGAAAGGCUGCCCCAAUUGUAUUAACAGUUGUCACCAACAGAUUAUGAGGUGAUAUAAGAGGUGUGCCAUACCACAAGCAGAUCAAGCAGUUCAAGAGAGAAUAAACAUAUGGCAACCCUGAGAACAUUUCUGUUGACCCAUUUCUGAUAAUUCUCCUAAAUGUAGGUCUACAGUUCAGAACAGAACAAGAGUUGUUAUUAUCAAUGAAAAGAUUCACAAACAACAAUUUCUUCUCAGCUCAAUUAUCGUCAAAAAGUGUCCACUUUAAGAAACUUACAUGGGGGAUAAAAACAACCCAAAAGCAAAGAUGUUCCCUGCAACUCAAAAAGUGUAUAAUCAAGACAGAGAUAGGUCUAAAUUUUAUCUCAUCGAAAAAGUAAAGUUUUUUCUUUUGGUUUUAAAUCUAUGUAACCAGAAUAAAUCACCCCAGAAGCUGAAGGAGGGAAAAUACCAGCAACUCCAGCUGCAUCUUUGCCAAUCUCACAGAUGGAAUAACCACCAAACAGAAACAUCACUGUUCAAUCGACAAAACAAACUUCAACAGAAACAAAUAACAAACUAAACCCUCAGUUUAGUACAUAUAUGUACAAGAACAUAAGAAAUUGAUAUGAAAUUUAAGAUAUGCUUGUUCUCUCUUUUUUGUCUGGUCAAGAUCGCCCACGUUUGCAAAAACACUUCUCUUUAUCUCCAAACAUCUAAUGAUAAGGGUUGGUCACUGUCAAUAAUAUGUUUUCUAAAGACACAGUGGCAUGCUUAAUGCCAUAGCUGGCACUUGACAGAACCACUCCCAUAGAACACGUUUUUGUGCCGUAAAUUGAACCUUAAUUGCUUUUGCUGAUGUGGAUUUAAAUGUUUCUACAUUUUUUAUACAAUGGAGUGCAAAACAACACAAAGAAAACUACUAAACAUAUCAAAGUGUGUUUCCACAAUUGUUCUCUCAUACGUUGUCUGAGAAUAUUUCUAAGAGGGUAUAUUCUUACAAGAAAUUCUCGUAUAUCUUGUUCUACUUUUGAAUAUAUCUUACAUGUCAUAUAAUCUAUAAGAAAUUUUCAAAAGUUUUACUGGAAAAGUCUUAUACUAAGAUAUACCUUACAUUGGAGAUAUUCUAGAAGUUAAAUAAGAUAUAAAGGAGGAAAACGUGCUCUCUGAUUGUUCAUUAAUAAAUUAAUAUUUUAUAUUUAUAAUAAGAUAAAAUCUGAUCUUAUACAUUUACAUACUCUAAGUUAAAUAAGAGAUAGAGGAGAAAAGAGUGCUGUGUGAUUGUUAUAGAUCAAUAUUUUAUAUUUAUAAUAAGAUUAUUUGAAGACUAGAAUAAGAAACAUAAUUAAAAUAAUAGAUAGUUUUUAAGAAAUUAAUUAAUAGAACUAAGUCUUAAAUAUGAUAACUUUUAUGUUUGAGUCUUUUAACUUUUUUUCUGGAUUAAGGAAUAGAAAGUGGGCAGUGAAAAAGGAAAGAAAGAAAGAGAAAAAAAGGAAAAAAAGUGAAAAGUAAAGUUGUUUUGAUAGAGAAAUAGAAAGUGGAAAGAGUUGAGAAAUAUGAGAAAAUUGUUUAAAUUAUUUAAUUAAUGUGAUAAAAUAAAAAAGAUGGUAAUUUAGUAAAUUAAACAAUUAUCAAAGUAUCUUUCUAUUAAAAAAAUAAAUAUAAAUGAACAUUUAAAUACUUGUUACAUUUCUCGGCUAAAAAAAAUAUCAUGUUACAAGUUAAGUGCCCAUUUAAAAAAUGGAGGAAAAUUAUUUGAUACCCCAUGGACUUCUUAGAUAUUCAUGGAUACUUUCUUUUAUUAAGUACUUUUAAAGUUUUAAAUAAGAUUAUUUAAAAGUAAAAAUUUUAAAUAUAAAUUUAAGUAAAUUUUUAAAUAUAAAUUAAAGUAAAAUAAAUUUUAAAUUAAUUGAAAUAAAAUUUCAUAAAAAAAUGUGAGUGUAAUGAAAUAAGCAUUGAAUUUGAAAUAACUAAGAAUAACAUUAAACCAAAUGGGAGUAUUUACAUUAAUUCUCAUAGUAAGACAAUUAUUAAUCUAUAUUAUAAAAAUUAUGAGACAUAAACAAAGUAAAUUAUGAGACAUAAACCAAGGUAUAAUUUAAUGCUACAAUAUAAGAAAAACACAAAAACUUGAUUACACUAUUAGUCCAAGUUAAGAAAAAGAAGAUGCAAAACCACACCUCAACUUUAGACUUUUAUAAACAAUCAUAUUUACUUAAGGGUGUUAGAGUUCUUUAAAUCUUUAAUUAAAAUCAUCAAUUAUUUUGUGAAUCUUGUCAAAAUAUUAACAAAUAUUUAGGUUUAAAGUGUUUAAACCUUGUUAGAAUGUUUGAAUAUCACCCAGAUUGGAUUACGAAUAUCACUAUCAUCGUCAAGUUAAGGUUGUGGUCUCCUAGCCAUAACACUUAAUUUUCUAUAACAACCAAUCACAUAAUCUUAUCCUAAUAUUUAUGUUGUUAAUUAAUGACACAUUUUGUACACUAAAAACAUUUUUUAUAUGUUUUAUUUUUAGUUUUUAACUCAUUUUCUUUUAGUAGUCAUAAAUUGGAUUUAAUGUACAUAUUUAUUUUAAUUUUGUAUUUUCAUCUAAUUGACCUUUAUUUACUAUUUUGGCCAUAACUUUUUCUUUUUUUCCUACAUAUUAUUUUCGGUUGAUUCCAAUUGCAUUUGAUUCUACAUUUUCUGGAGUUCAAAAUGGGAUAUAUAUGGUUUGUUGGAUUUGGAGUUGUAUGUUAUUUUCUACAAUUUUAAAAGUUAAGGUAGAUUUGCUUAAUUUUUAUAAAGAAAAUUAUGAAUUUGUUAUUCCUUGCUUUUAAUUGGACUUUUGUAAUUGGGCUUGUAAACCUAAAUAGAGCUAACAUUUAGGCCCAUAUUUGGUUCAAAUUUUAGACAAUAUAUAAGGCAGUUUCUUCCUGCAGCCCUACGUUUUUCUUCCUGCACCCCAAAAUGUUAUGCAAAGAUCAAAUUGUCCUUAUUAUUUUUUUAAACCCCUAAAAUGCACUUGAACUGCAUUUAUUUUUUUUGCAUUCUGGAUUAUGGAAUCUGGAAAAUUUUUGGAUUGACACUUCCGGUAAAAUUUCGGAUCCACCAAUCCGUAAUUCAAAAUAUGCAUUUCACAUUAAAAAAAAGAAUUUUGGAUCCACCAAUCCAUAAUAGAAUUAGGCUUUCGGAUUCAACAAUCUGGAAAUCAAUAAUUUAUGCAAAAUUUGCUUUCAGAACACCCCCUCAUAAAAAAAAAAAACGAUUCAGUUCGGAUUGAUGAAUCCAUAACACACUCCCAGAUCUCAAUUUCCGGUAACCACGGUGCCCUUUUUCAAAUAAAAGGUCAAGGCCAGUUUCAGGAUUUAGAAAAUUGUGGGGGUGCAAGAAGAAAAAUGUAGGGGUGCAGGAAAAAGAAGCCUUAAUUGUUAUGGAAAAGUCUAACACCCAUGAUUUGGUUAAGUGCUGAAAAUAACUAAGUGUAAAUCAUGGUUAUGCUUUGUUUGUAAAACGAUAGUUUUAGUUUAACAAACAAAUCUGAUGAGGACAAUUCAUUGUAUAAAAGUGGGUGCAAACCUCAAGUCCACUUCGUAAUAUGGUAUUAGAGCCAUUUUCGAAACCUAUCCCAAUGAGUGUUACAUUUAAUAUGCUCAGUUAGUUAGGAGAAAAUACAAUUUUAAUAUUAGUUUAAGAAAAAAAAUUAAAGUUCAAACUAAAUAAAAACCUAAUACAAACUUUUAGAAAGAAACAAUUAAAAAAGCAUACGUUUAAUUAUUAGUUUUUGUCCUCCCUAAUUAAAAAAGAAAGUUUAGUCUAAUUUUUUUUGUGUGAAAAUUAGUUCCUUAAUUCUAAAUUUGAAGAAUUAAAAUGACAUUUCAAAGUCAUUUUUACUCUGUCUAUAGAAAAUUAAAAUCAUAUUUUUAAAUUUUAAAUUAAAAAAUAUUUUUAACAUAAGGUAAUUCACUCCGAAUAUUAUUAUUAACUAGAACAAUCGUAAUCAUAAUCAAGCCAAAAAUAUUUUCACCUAGUGUAAAAUUCUUUGCACAAAAAGGAAAAAAAAGUGAAGAAGUGUUGAAUUCAUACCGCAAUAACUUAUCUCUACGAGUCCCAUAUCGCUCAACCUUAUCCAAGCACAUACUGAAGGAAGCCAUUUAGGCAAAGAGAUAGAGCGAUAAAGCAAAAGAAUGGCGCUGCUGUGUGGUUCCACUUCUGUGCCUCCGUUUCUUUCCCACAAGAAUGUUGUUGCAGCCUCAACAAAAUCUUCCUUUGUGGGCUUCCAAUUGCCACUUCCAAAGCUUACAUUAUCUUCUUCAGUUCGAACCCUUUUACCCUCAAAUUCCCGUAUCCGUUGUCAACAGGACUCUGCUACUGCUGCCCCUGUAACGGAAGACCCGCGCUUCGCCUGCGUUGAGCCCGAGCCACGAUUCAAAGGCCCGGUACAGUACAACCCUUGUUCUUCCUUUUGUCAAACGGUUUCUGCUAUGAAUGUGUUGUCUUCCAAUUUGAAAUUGAAGUGUUCAGAUUUGUGAUUGAAGUCACUGGUCUACAUGACUACCUGAAAUUUAUGCAUUUUGUUUUCUUCUCUAAUUAGCUUAUCUUGGGAAUGUGCAGGUGAUUUCUUUUUUUUCCUAUUUGUUGCGAAUGUUCGAUUUGUUUGAACGAGCUAUGAAGGAAAAAACUUUACUUCUUCGCAAACUUUUGGACAAGUUAAGAGAAUUUGUAUUAAUUAGUUUAUAUAAACGUAAUUUUAAUUUCAUUUUUUUGGGAGAAUUUUUUUGUAGAAAAGCUCAUCCAAACAUACCUUUAAUAAUCACUAAAUUUAACUAAAUUCUUAUGUAUUUUUCUCCUUUGCUUUAGUGCUUAGAUUUAACUAAAUUGUAAUUCAUUUUAUCUAAGUCACUAAAUUUAAUUACUCAUCGUCAUUUUGGGUCCUUUGGUCCCUGAAGCAGAUUUUAGUAUUAUCACUUAGUCACCUAAAAUGAGUGGUGUAUGUUGGGGAGAAUUUUUGAAUUUGGUUAAUAGUAAGGAUUAAUGUGUCGGUCAAUUACAAUAUUAGGAACUAAAUUGACCGGUUAUUAUUUUUUAAUUUUUUUUAAGUGUUUUUUAAUCUUUACUUAAGUUUUUCCAUUAAAGUUAGUUUGAAGGUGUAUUCUAGUGUUUGUUAUGAAUUUUAAAGGAAUAAUGAUGUUAAAUUUAAGUGUCUGAAUGCAAUUUCUGUAUGUGUUGUUUUCUUUUAAAAAAAUUUAACUUCAUUGAUUUUUUUUUGCUGGGUGAAUUUGAAUUCCCAUACCAAAAAACAAAUUGCAGGACAUUUGGAACAAGAGCUGGUAUCCAAAAGCUGUAGAUCAUGUGAAUACAGAGAAAACAUGGUAUGUUGUUGAUGCUACAGAUAAAGUUCUUGGAAGAUUAGCUUCUACGAUUGCUAUUCACAUCCGAGGGAAAAACUUAGCAACCUACACACCCAGUGUGGACAUGGGUGCAUUUGUAAUUGUGGUAUGUAGUUCUGCAUAGGUUAAUUGUUAUGUAGUUAUGAUUAGUAUUUCUUCAUUCUCCCUGUCUGUUUGCGAGGGGCAAUAGAGGUACUAUUCCAAUUGUAUAAACUGUUUGUUAAUUUGUUAGAACAACUGGGUAUUUAUAUAAAAAAUAGGAGGGAAAUAAUAGAGGGGGAAGUUGUAAAUUUGGAAUAGGAAUCUGGGGAGGGAGUAAACAUAGUAUCUUGAAUACUUGGGAUUUCAGAAAGAGAGAGAGAGAGACACCCUUUGCGGUUUCUGGAAUUGACUGAUAGUUGAGAGGAGUUUAUUGCAUUUUAAUCUUUCUUUUAAAUGGUAGGUCUUAUAAUUUAAAUUUGAACCUAACUUAAUUACACAAAACUAACUUGUAGGGUAAGAUUACUUCCUACUUAUAUACUACUAUCAUACUAUGGCACAAAGCUGAUGUGAUGAGACUUGGGUUUUUUUGCAAUAGUAGGUAACAAUGAAAAUGGAUUACAUGCAACAUUGAUAUCAUGUUUCAUUAGUUGCCAUUAACAUUUUUAACUCUAUUUCUGUAAUAAUCUCCUAUUUCAAUUAAAUUUUAUAUUUUUUGUAUAUUGGUUCUCAAUUUAAUCUGGGAUCGAUGUAUUGUUUUUGCGUCAUAUUUGGAAAAGUCUUGAUUAAGCCGCGGUAAUUCGUUUUAUGUCUGAAUACAUGAUUUUUGCAUCAUUUAAGUGGCUGCAAAAGCAUUAUUCUUUUAUUUAAUCAGUUAGUCGUCAUUAUGUAAAUCUGAUGAUAGGAUUCUUCUGCAUUUAACUUUCCCAGUUUCCCCAUAUUGUAAACAUUUUCUAUGCAAUAUUUUCUGUUGAAGUUUGAUUUCAAUUAUAUAAGGUUGAGGACAACUUAUGGUCCAAGAACAGUUAUCAAAUUUCCUUUGAUAGACAAUUUUUCUAGAAAAAAAAAUGAUAAGAUAUAUUAAGGAAACACGAUCCUUUCUGAAAAUAUUCUAUACUAAUGAUAAUAUUACUGCUUAGUUUCUCACUUUUCACACGAUUGUCUGUGUUAAGCAGCCUGAACCUUAUGGAGAAGGUUUAAGUUAUAAGAAUGUAUUGUAUUAUAUUUUCUUCUAUUCCUAUUGAUGAGUGAAGCAUAUGUGUUAAUUACAUAUAAAGCUAUGUGAUGCCAUACCAAGUCUGAAUCUGUUUAUUAUUUAACUUGGGGCUCUAAAGGUAAAUGCAGAAAAGAUUGCUGUAUCUGGGAAAAAGAGGACCCAAAAGCUUUAUAGAAGACACUCUGGAAGGCCUGGUGGUAUGACGGUGGAGACAUUUGCUCAGCUGCAAAACAGAAUUCCUGAAAGAAUUAUUGAACAUGCUGUUCGUGGCAUGCUUCCAAAAGGGAGGGUAAGUUCAAGUAUAGUUGAAUAUUUUUCCAAGACAUGCACAUAUCCGAAGUAGACAUGUUAAACUGAGUUGUUAUAGCAUGGUAGUUUUAGAGAUGGUGACGCAAUUCUAAAUUAUAUGAUUAAUUUUCAUGACAUGUCACAUAUGUAAGAUUCAUCCCCAUAAUUGAUGGAAGAAUUUAACGGUGAAGAAUGAAGUAAAAUCCCUUUAAAGUUUGGAUUGAAAGGAAUGGUUGGAUAUUUUGAAGGACAGACUAUACCCAUGAUCAUGCUUUGGAACAUGAUUGUCUUUUUGCACUGUUCAAUGCAAGAGUCCUUUUUCUGGUGUUUCUGUAUUUCAGGAUUGGACAACUCUUGUAUUGUAUGCUAUAUGCUCUUCGAUUUAUUUAUUUAUUUCUGUGAAAAUAAUGCUUAGCUCUUUGUUGAAUCCACAAUAAUCAAGGGUUGCUUGUUUUAUUUAGCUUGGCAGGAGACUAUUCACCCACCUGAAGGUUUACAAGGGCCCUGAUCAUCCACAUGCAGCACAGAAGCCCGUUGACUUGCCAAUAAGGGAUAAGAGAAUACAAAUCCAGAAAUAGGUCAUAGGUGCCGCAGAGAAAAUGGAAUGAAAUAUGCCAUUUGUAACUCUAUCCAUUUCACAGAACAUCGAGUUUCCUGCUUUGCCUGCCACCUUACUGAUGUCUUCCAUUAAUGUUUAUAUUGUCUGUAGAGGUAACUGAUUAUUGUGUUAUUUGUGUUUGUUCAAGGUCCUUUGAUGAAUCUUCAUAACAUUUUUGUUGUAGAUUUGAAUCUUAGUCAUGUCAUUUUUUAAUAUGCUUGAGUUUAAUGUCAUUUUUUUUUAUUUGAAGGAAACAUCCAUGCCUUUUCCUUUUUUCUCUUUAAUUAUUUAGACCACCAAUUAAAUAUAUUGAAUCUAAAAUCCACAUUCAUUUUAAUAAAAUUAAUUUAAUUUAAAUUUUUUCAAUCCAAUUUUAAAUUGAAUUAAAUCCAAAUUAUAUCAGAGUUUCUCAAUUAGAUUAAGGUUAGAUCAAUUUUUCUAAACUCAACAUGAGGUGAGUUUGGUUUGAUCCAACCCAGUUUGUUCUUUAAUCGAUUAAAAUUUUAGGUUAUCGGUUAAAUUUAUUAAUCAUGUGAAUGCAGAUGUAGAUAAUCCAUUAUUAUUCAUGAUAAUCGAUUAAAACAGAGUCCCAAAAACAAAACAUUCAGAAAUAAUCGAUUAAACUAUGAUGAAAUUGAUUAAUAUACAAAAUACAGCAACAAAAUACACUUAGAAUAAUCGAUUAAAGAGAUUGCACUGGAAACAUUUUCAAGCGAAACUUUUAACACAUCCAAGUAGUUUAUCAAUUUAUCUACAAUACUUAAACAUUCAAGAGUAUGUCCAAUGAAUCAAACAACAAUUUUACAUAUUAAAGAACAUCUUCUUCACCUGGAUAUUUGGCAGGAGCUUCCUGAUUUCAAUCUUCCCUGCAAAAAAAGUAAAUCAAAUUCUAACUAGGUCACCAAGACAAAUUUGAAUCCUUUAGAGUUAGUUUCAAAUUAUCUACCUUUGGGAGUCUAGGUAUACUUUCCCUAAGUUACUUUAACUUUUUUGAAAUAACAUUAAUUCACUAUAUGACCUCUUGUUCCAAAGGUUGCAAAUCCACAACAACUGAAUGAGUUUAGACCGAUCUCUUUGGUGGGCUGUGUAUAAAAUUAUCUCUAAAAUUCUUUCUUCAAGGUUAAAAAGGGUUCUAAACAAAGUUAUUGACCCCAGGCAGUCUGCUUUCUUGGAAGGAAGAGGUUUGUUGGAUAGCAUGCUAGUGGCUAAUGAGACAUUGGAGGAGGUAAAAAGGAAAAAAAAAGAAUGUGUGGUGUUUAAGUGGAUUAUGAAAAGGCAUACGACUCAGUAAGCUGGGAGUUUAUUUACUGCAUGAUGGGAAGAUUGAGGUUUUGUGGUAAGUGGAUUGAUUGGAUAAAAAACUGUUUAGAAUCAUCUUCUAUAUCUGUUUUAGUAAACGGAAGUCCAACAACUGAGUUUAAACCUACGAAGGGCCUCAGACAAGGGGAUCCUCUAGCACCUUUCCUUUUCCUAAUUGCGGCUGAAGGACUUGCAGGGGUAGUCAGACAGGCAGAAGAAAAGAAUUUAGUAGAAAGUAUUGAAGUCGGGGAAAAGCAAGUAAAGGUGAGCAUGCUGCAAUAUGCAGAUGACACUCUAUUCUUCUGUAAAGCCUCAAUCCAAAGUGUUAUGACUCUAAAGGCUAUUCUGAAAUGUUUUGAACUUGCUUAUGGUCUUAAGGUGAACUAUUCCAAGAGUAAGGUUGGUGGAGUGGGUGUGGUAUGGUCUUAAGGUGAACUAUUCCAAGAGUAAGGUUGGUGGAGUGGGUGUGGAUAUGAAUCAGACGUCGAUUUUCGCCUCUAUACUUAAUUGUGAUAUUAUGAAGGUACAUUUUAGUUACUUGGGGGUGUUGGUAGGUGGGAAUCAUAAGAGGUGUGCCUUUUGGGAUGGUGUGAUCACUAAGAUACGGAAUAGACUAAGCGCGUGGAAAGGGAAAACCCUCUCUUUGGCAGGCAGAUUAUGUCUUAUCAAAUCGGUGCUUACGUCUUUACCGCUCUUCUAUGUCUCUAUAUUUUGUAUGCCGGCAACUGUGAUGAAGGAAGUGAAAAGGAUACAAAAAAACUUUUUGUGGGAUUGGGGUUCAGAGAAUAGGAAAAUUGCUUGGGUGGCGUGGGAUAAGAUUUGCCAAUCGAAAGAUAAAGGCGGAUUAGGGGUCAUUGACAUAGAAAAGUUUAACUUGACUCUGCUAGGGAAAUGGAUUUGGAGACUUAAGUCUGAAGAGGGUAGUUUAUGGAAGGAUAUUAUAACGUCAAAGUAUGGUGGGUGGAGGGGAUUAAGAUCUCAAGAUCAGUCUUGUAAAGAGUCGAUGUGGUGGAGGGACCUUAGGAAGGUAUGACAUUUAGAGGGGUGGGGAAAUGAUUUUGAAGACAGAGGUCGGUGGGAAGUAGGAGAUGGGAAAGAAAUCAGAUUAUGGGAGGAUAAAUGGUUGGAAAACAUCCCUCUACUACACAAAUUCCCGAGGCUAUUUUCAAUUUCCUUAGAUAUUGGUUGUACUCUCUCACAACUUGGGGGUUGGAAUAAUAAUAUUUGGUCGUGGAAGCUGCGGUGGAGAAGGAAUCUUUUUGUGUGGGAAUCCAGUCUGGUUGAUCUCCUAAUGCAGUUGUUGGAUAACAAAAGGUUAACAAGAGAGGGUGGAGCUAAAUCUGAUAGAUGGCUCUGGAGGGACGUGGAUUAUACGGAUUUCUCUGUGAAGGCAGCCUAUAAGUGUCUCAUGGGGGAGGAGCCCGUAGUGGGGGAGGACUUGUUUGCGAUUUUUUGGACUCUAAAAACCUUACCUUCGGCACAAUUUAUGGCUUGGAGGGUGUUACGUAAUGCUAUUCCUACUAAGGACAAUCUUUCGAGACGUGGCAUUCCUCUGACGAGUGAUCGGUGCCCCCUGUGUGGUGUGGAAGAAGAGUCGGUAAGACACUUAUUUUUUGAAUGUAAGAUAUCUUGGAGAAUUUGGGGUUUGUGUCUCACUUGGUUGGGGCUCCCUUUGGUGCUUCAUUGUGACGCACAAAAGCAUUUUAGGAUGUUCAAACCUUUUGGUCUGAACCACGCAGUUACCAGGUGUUGGGGGGGUAUUUGGGUAGGUAUUGGAGUGAGAAUGGGCGGGUGGAUCUUGUGGAGGUUUUUACCGUGGUACAAAGGAAGACUUGGUCUUGGGUCACAGUAAAAGAAAAAUCUGUUGUUUUCUCUUACUCGGACUGGUGUCUGGAACCUCUUUGUUGUAUGAGGUAUUUGAAAGUCUGAUUCUUUGCGGUUUUAACUAACGUUUUUUCAGUCUUGGUAGUCGUGAUGAGGUUUGUGCAGGUUUCAUCGGUAACUCCUAUCUGGCAAGGUUGGACUGAGGCUUGGAAGGUAUUGCAUGGAUGUGCAGGUGUCUUGGUCAUUCCUUUUUUACAGGGUCGGAUUGAUGACUUUGUUCUGUGCUGCAGUAAAGAAAGUGUUUCUGUUGUAUGCUUUUUGGUUUGGUGCUGGAUUUUUUACGGUGUUUGAAUGUGGCAAAAGCUUUUUGGCCUAUGUUUCUUUCUUAUAAGGAUCGGUCUGUCAUUGUUAGCAAUUGAGUUUUUGGUACAACUUAGUCGGUUCAUAGUUAUGACUUAGGUGUUGAAUGGUGUGUAUUGUAUUGGUUUGUUGUGUUUGUCUCUUGGGUAAGGCCCUCCAGCUUGAUGGCAAAGACCUUGUUUAGUUGUUGGAUGUAUGUUCUUGUUUGAGGGUGUGACCUCUCUGGUGGGGUGAUAUAACUGUAUUUGUUGGGUUUAUUUACCUUUGUAUGGGAUUUUAGCUUGAUAGGUAGUACAAUGUUUGUUGGAUCCUUAGUUGGUAGGGUUCUAGGAAACCUGUUUUGGAGUUUUGUAUAAGGGUUGAGACACCCCUGAAGUGUCUCUUUUUAUUUUAUUUAUUCUUUGCUGAUAAAAAAAAACUAUAUGACCUCUUUUUAUGUAAUAGAAACAAGUUACUUGAUAUGUGUUUGGGUGUUUUUUUAAAGUUUUUGAAAUUUUUUUCUUGGUUGGAAUAAAACCAAGUCUAGAUUUGUCACCUAUAUGUCUUUGAGAAUCAAGCAUGUCAUUUAGGUUGAAUUUUCAAAUUGUUAAUCUUGCAACUUCAUAUUCAUAAUUUUUUUCUUUCAAAUGAGUUUCUCACACAAGAGGAUUUAUAAAUCAUUUUCAAACCUUCUAAAUUAAUUCUAAUGUUUAUAUUCUUCUUUUCUAAUUGUUUGACUCUAUUUUUCAGCUAUCUUCUCACCCUUCAUUUUAUUGUUUAAAAGGGAUAGCCUUUCGGCUUCUCUUCAUGCAUUUCAUUGAAAAUAUCAAAGAAAUGAAUCUCUAUUUAUAUUUUCAGAAAAAUUAAAAUCACACUAUUUGAAUAUGAAAUCUUAUCAACAAACAAACAUGAGUUUGUUUCUUCUCCCACAUUCAUAACAAAUUAUACCAUUGGAUUGAUCAUGCUUCUUAGUUUGCCUUUAUUACUGAUCUUGUUCUUGUUGACUUCUUCAUUACAUGGAGGUUCUUAGUGUUGCUAUCAAGGUUUUGACACCAUCAUUCUCUAUCAAGGUAAAUUGGAAAGAUGCUUGCAUACACUACUUCUUCUAUUAAGGUAAAUUGGAAAGAUGCUUGCAUACACUAGUUCUUUUAUUUUGUCCUUCAUGAAUGUUCGUUCUUCCAUCAUAUGCCCAUAAUUGAUAUGAUAAUAAAAUUGUUUAUUCUAGUAAGCAUUAAGAGUUUCUUCCAAGAUUCUUGCUCUAUUAGAAUUCAAGGGGGUGUGUUGGGUGACUCGUGGUUAGUGAUGUUCUUGAGGUUUCUCAUGCAUCGUCUUGUGUUUAUCUUUGGUGGAUUUCUUCUUCUCAAAUGCGUUGACCCUCAUUGAAUUACGAAAAUCCUUCAACUUUUCUAAUUGCAUAAAUAUCUUCAUUUUAUGUUUUAAUUCAUUAAGACUUGAUGCUAGCUUCAUUCACAAACUAUCAAAGAAUAAUUCUAGUUUUAAUAUCAUGAAUACAUGAUGGAGUGUAACCGUUAGGUUUAAGUCUUUGAUGUUUAGAAGUUUACCAAACCUUUCCAUGAAGGUGCUUAAAGAUUAUCACUUCUCUUAAAAAAUGUUCACCAAAUUAAUGGAAAUGAGGUAAUACGGUUAACUUGUGGCAAAUUGCAUUAUGAACUUAGCAAUGAAUAUGUUGAAGCAAUCAAUUGAGUUAAAGGGAAUUUUCGUGAACCAACUUAGGUUCAUCUAAUGUAAUAAAAAACUCUAAAAAGGGGUUGAAUAGAGCUUCAUACUUUCUUUCAUAUAAAUUGAUAGAUUGUCUGAUGAUAGAGAUAACAAGAAGGACACAAGAUUUUAUCAUUCACUCCAACUCUUGGACUACAUCCAAUUGUCCUUUAAGAAAGGUUCAAUUAUAAUAAACAAAAAAUUAAAAUCGAGUACACAUGUACCUUAAGGGUACAUCUGAUGUGGACCUCAUUUACAAGGGUGACAUAGUGUGAACUCUUGCUUAAUAUUCAACUUGUUAGUCAUCGAGAUGCAAGAUGUUCUAUAUUGACCAUACUUUCACAAUUGGAAGCUUGUUAGUGAAUUGGAAAUAAAUUCUACAACCAAUAGUAAUAUUGUUCACUGAAGUUGAAUGCAUGGUUCUUGAAGAGGCAAUAAAGGAGAGAAUCAAAAUCAAGAGUCUCAUUACUAAUAUGAGGUUUGCACAAAAGAAGGCUAUUAUCUUUUGUGAUAGUCUUACUGAAAUUUACUUGAAUAAGGAUUAAGUUCAUUGUGAACGAAUCAAGCAUAUUGACAUCAAAUAUAAUUUUUUUUUUUGCAUAACAUAAUGAGUUUUGAAGUGCAAAAGAUUAGUACAAAGAAGAAUCUAAUUAAUAUACUCACCAAGUUUGUUCCUAAAAUACAAGUUCACAUAGUGUUUGGAUUUGUUGACGGUUGAUUGUUGGUAACAAUUAUUUGAUAACAUUGAUAUGGAAGAAGACUCAAGUUAAUAUGAAGAUUUAUUGAUUUAUGCAUUGUCUCUUCUUCGUCUCUUGAAGUCAUCUAAUAACAACGUCUCACUUUGGACAUCUAAAAUGGACAUAGUAUCUGAAGAAGGUCAUGUAUAUUUUGUAUCACAAACAUAUGCUCAUAGUCAUUUUUUGGUAAUAUUUAUUGUUUAAUUUGUUAAGAUUUUUGUUAUUAUGUAAUUAGUUAUAAUUGUAGUUAAACUAUGUAUACUUAACUCUAUUUAAUUUAGAAUUGGAGUGUUGGUGAUACGUACUAGUAUAAUUCAUAUUAAUCUUCUCCAUAAUUCAUUCUUCUUUUUACUUAAGCAUAUGCUAAUGUAAUUAAUGUACUUUUUUUUAUGUGUUCUUUGUGAAUAAAUUUAUAGAAAAUAUCAUUAUUCUAUUUUCAUCAUAUUUUUUUUUUUAUAUUUCAUAUGUGUUCUAUAUAAUUUGCAUCAGUGUUUAAAAUUAUUUUGGGUUUUUCAUGAGCUUCUUAAUCUUUGGAAUUCAAUAAAUUUUGUAUUUAAAUUAUUUUAAAAUCAUUGUAAACUAAAUUCAAGAAAGAAACAUAUGUUUAGGGGAAAUUAAUCUUACACCUUUUACUAUCAAAAUAAACAUACAUCUCCCUUAAGUGUAAAUAAAAUGACACCCAAACUCAUUUUAGUUUUUGAAUAUAUAUUUACCUCCCUAUAUUUUUUUAAAAAUACACAUUUCUUUAUGUUUUUAAUAAAGUCACAUUCAUCUCCUUAAUUUGAUUUAAAAGUAACAUAUUUACUCAAAAUAAAACAAACAAAAAUUAUAAAAAUUAGAAAUUAUUUUUUAAAUUAUAAAAGUUAAACAUUUUUUUAUAAAAUAAAAUUGAACAAUUUAUUUUUAUUUUUCAGAGGUGAGAAACAUGUUACAGGAUCAAAAAAAUAACAUCACAAUCUAAUUCUAAAAUAAACAUUCAAUUUUUUUUUUGUUAUUACUAAAAGUUUUUAUGGUGUUAAUAAAGUAAAAAUUAUAGUUUUUAUUUUAUUGAUAUUUAUACAUGUAUAUGAUUACUUAUAUGAUUAAUCCUUAUAAGUAUAAAUUCGACAUCUUAAAAAUACCAUUUUUUACCUUAAGAGUCAUACUAUUUCCAAAAAAAUUCAAUUUUUUAUUCAUUCCAUAUUCAAAUAUUAUUUUACUAUAAUUUAUCCUCUCAAAGUCCACUCCAUAUAAAAUCAAUAUACAAUGUAAAAUAAAUUAUCAUUAAAACUUAAUUAUAUUUUGAGUUUUAAAAUUUAAGAUAAACUUGAUUUUUAAUUUCACAAAUUCCAGAAAACGUAUUUUAACCAAUUUAGAAGAAUAUACAAUUUUAGUCUUAAAAUACUAAAUUUGAUGGACUAAAAUAUUUUUAAUUCCUCUAAAUAUAUAAGGUUUUUUUUUAAAUUGAAGAACUAGCAUAUUUCUCUCUCUUUUUCUUUUUUUUUUUAAUUUAAGGGAUUCACAAAAUUCAUGCUAACUAAAGUAAUAUGGGAAGAAGUAAAACUACUUUACACUUUUAAAAAAAUGUCAUACUUCUAAUUUUUUUAUAAAAUUGUCCUAAAUUACUUUACAAAUAGUUAGCGCAUUAUUUCAUAUUUUUAUCUCGAUUUUUUAAUCGAUUGUAUGUAUUAUUUAAAACUUAUUCUUUCAAACAUUUAAUUUAAACGAUAUAUUUAGGAUUAAAAAUAUAAUUAAUAUUUUUUCUCAUAUUAAAAUUAUUUAUAAUUUCUAAAUAUACCUUUCUAUACUUGUUGUUUAUUAAAAGAAAAUUUAUCUACAAUAUGGUAGAUAUUGUUGGUAAUAUGCUUCAAUUCAAUUUGAAGAUUCAGUUAGGUAAUUUGUAUUUUAUUAAGGGAAUUGUAUAUUAUUAAGGUGAGACUCUAAAUAUGAUUGGAGAACAAUACAAAUCAUACUAUUUGUAAGUUUUCUCCUAUUUAUUACUAUGAUAUUUCCUAUAAAAUUAAGAAGGAAAAGACUUAACAUAUUAACACAUUAUAAAAAAAAUCAUUAAAUAGUAAUAAAUUUUGAGAUAAAAAAUACUUAGUCACUAUAUUAACUAAAUUAGAUAUUAAUUUAAAAAUUAAAAAAUUAUUCAUAUCUAAAGUGUUUCUAUUAUUAAUAAAAAUUUAUAAAAUAAUUUAUAAAUUGGUAUCUAAAUUAGUUAUAUUAGUUGUAGCUAAUAAUAUUUUAGAUUAGUCUCUAAAAGAAGAAUAGAGACUAAUUUAGAAUAUAAAGUAAUAAAUAAUUAAUUGUUAGAUACCAAUUUAGAAACAAUUUUAUAAACUUUUAUUAAUAAUAGAAACUACCUUAAAUACCAAUAUUUUUUAGUCUAUACAAUAAUCUUUAAUUUAAUAAAAUAAUAACUAAUUAUUUUAGUCAUUAAAAUUUUUUAUUUCAUGAUUUUUUUAUGUAACAUUUCACUUUGGUAAUAUGCACUUUAUUCAAUAUGUAUUGCAUAAUGGGUAAAAUUUCAAAUGUGAUUAAAUAACAACACCUACAUUACCUAUGCUAGGUUAUAUAUAAGUUUUCUCCUAAAAUUAUCUCUCUCUAAAUAUAUAUACAAAUGCAUGAAAAAUGAAUAAAAACAAAGCUAAAAAUAUGGUGCAACUACAAGGUCACAAUCAAUAACAUUAAGCUUUAAAAGAAAGCAUAAAUAAGACUAAACUUUUUCUUCUAAAACAACAUAUAUAUAAAGAAAAGUGAAAGUAGUAUCCAAGUUCAUGGUAGUCCUAUUUGCUAAGAAAAGAUGAUGGAGUAGAGAGAAAAAUGAUGAAAAUGUUAAAGUCCAAGCAAAACAGCAUAAAGGAUUUGAUUCCAAGCAUCAGGAGCACCAGCUAGACACCAGUGACUACAAUCCUCAUAAGAGGUGCCUUUGCCUGUGUAUAUAGAAGGAUGUCCAUCUAUCCUCAGUUGAGUAAGGAAUGUAAUGUCAAGCAAAUAUACAGGAUAUGACAUAUUGCUCAAAAUGUUCUUCACAAUUUCUACACCAGGAUAAGGUGGUUGUGGUCCUUGUUCUGGCUGAGUUUCUUUGAGACACCUCUUUCCCCUUCACAAUUCAUCACAAACAUGAAUCUUUCAAUACAACUUUCCUAAAAAUCUUAAUAUUUCAUAAAACAUUGGAUGGUUAUUGUUGAAAACUUGUCUUCAUUGUAGCUUCUUUUGACAAAUGGUGUUCAUAAAUGUUUAGCUGACCCUUGUUUGUUAAUUUUACUUUAUUUUUAUUUCUAUAAAGGCUUGUGAAAAUGAAACUGAGAAGACAUGAAUUUACUAAACCCUCACAGUAAGGAGAGGGUUUCAAGAAAGAAAAUAGAAUUGUACCUCAGAUUCAUGAACACAAAUGCUAAUGACACACAUGCUGAAGUUGACAUGUGAACUUGUUCCAAUAAUUCAUUAACAAGAAUCAAAAGUUAUUUCAAAUUAAAGAUAAAAUUUGCUAAUUUACAUGUAUCUGAAACAUCUUUUUAUCUAAAGCUCUUAAUGUGAAAUUUAUCUUGAAUGGAAUGAACAAUUAAACUUACUCAGAAUGGGAUGCAGCAAUUCCUUGAAACAAAAUUUUUGUCUUUGAGGGAUCAAUGUUAGCAUCAAUCCAUUUAGACCAAGUUGUUAACCCAAUCUUGUAAGCUUCCAUGUGAUCCAUGUUCUUUAUUAUUUCAUUGCCUAGUUGAAAUUUAACCCUGUUUAAACAUAACAUGAAUACACUAUUAGCCAUUUAACAUCUCUUUAAUAACAUCCUGCAUCCGAAAUAUGCAAAAAGAUAUAGUUCAAAAACUUCAUUACCUUUCAGACUCUUGUGAGUGAGUCCACCAAUGGUAGGUAUUGAAAAUCAUUACAUCUCCUUUCCACAUGUACCCAGAUUUGAUGGAGUCCAGUUUCACAAUUCUACCCUUUUCUUUGUCAUGAGCCACAUCCACUAGGAACCCAUUUUUCAACCACAUGAUUGAAGCAUCAAAUUCCUAUGAUCCAAAACAAUUAGACAGUUAUUACUGGUAAUCUGAUGAAUCAAACAGUUACCCAGGCUUAAAAUUUCCCUUCAACCAAAAUGAAAAUGAAGAAAACUACCGGAAUUGAGAACACAGAGAGAUGCUUUGUGGGUGUUGAUAAGGCAUAACUUAAUUUUGGGACAGCAAUGUGAAGCAAACAAGUUAGUGAUUGCCACAUGUUGUUGCUUAAGGAGUCCCCAACAAACAUUAUCUUCUUCCCUCUGUAUUUCUCCAAGAACUUCACCCCAUCAAACCUGUUAACCAACACAACAACACUUGUGAACAAUAACUAAAUCUUAUUCAUCUGCUGAAGUUAAUAUAUGGAUAUCCAUUUGACUCGAUUAAAGAACAUUAUCUCAAAGAGAUUCUAUUUAUUCAUCAGCUGAAGUUAAUAUAUGGAUACCCAUUUGACUCAAUAACAUUAUCUCAGAGAUUGUAUUUAUUCAUCAGCUGAAAUUAAUAUAUGGAUACCCAUUUCACACAAUUAAAGAACAUUAUCUCAUAGAGAUUGUAUUUACCACUAGUGAAGGAGCAAAGAAAUUGAAAAUAAAUCACAAUGGCUUCCAAUUGAAAGCAUUAUAAGAAGCCUGAGUGAUUAAGUGUGUUUCAAAACAUGUUGAAGAUGGAAGAAAUACGUCUCAGAUACACACAUAUAUAUAAUGAUUAACUUCUGAAAAGUAUAUCUAAAACCAGAAAAAUUACAUGGGAAGCUUGGAAAGAAAACAUGCUACAAAUGCAAUAGAAAUGAAAUCUAAAAGUGAAAACUUUACCUUGGAAGAUCACACCCAGAGGGUUUCCAUCUAUACUUGAGGUAAUCCUGAUCAGGUCUACCAUUUCUGAGGCAAUUAAAUCCAUGACCUAUGAAGGGACAAUCUCUUGAGGCAUCAUAGAGAGGGUAGUGUGAUUGAUCAAGAACCCAAUCUCCGAGAGAAAAAUCACAACCAUUGCCUUGCACAAGGUAUAGUGGAGAUGCCACUGACAAUAGAACAGCAAAAGCCAGAGCACACAACCGAAAAUAGAAUGCCAUUUGAAAUUGUCCUACGCAUUUUCACACCAUCUUUGUAUGCCAUUUGUAAUACCUCUAAAGAGAGAAGCUUCCAUUGAGGAGAACAAUGAGAUUGAAAAUAAUAUAUAUAUAUAUAUAUAUAUAUACAUAUAUAUAUAUAUGUAUAUAUAUCUAUAUAUAUAUAUAUAUAUGUAUAUAUGUAUAUAUGUAUAUAUGUAUAUAUAUAUGUAUAUAUAUCUAUAUAUAUAUAUGUAUAUGCAUGGCAAAAGCUUAUCAAGGUUUUAUAAAGUUUUGUUUUAGUCAUCAUUGCAAAUAAAAUUACCCACAGAAGCAUUGGACUUAACUUUGUUAUCUCAGAUUUUUUUUUGCUGAAUGAAAAUAUUAAAUGAUAAACCAUCAAUUUUAUCUUUGAAGUAUUAUUUUCUCUUAUAACUAGUUUUAAAAUUGAUAAAAUAAUAUAUGAGUAAUUAUGAAAUAUCGUAAUCAUGUUACAUAAACUUUUGACGUAAAAAAUUAGUCAGAUUAAUCUCCCAAUAUUAAGAAAACUUAUCGAUCUAAAAAUUAAAUUGAUAAAUAUUUAAUAUUUUAGAAACUACUUAUAAAACUCUAUUAAUUUGAAAACUAUUUAAUAAAAAGAUGAUAAUUUAAUAAUUUAUUGAAUAACGUGAAAUACGAACAAAACUACAUCUAUGCAAAGUAACAUUCACAGUUCAGUGUAGUUAAACUUCUACCUACAGAUUGUUAAUGUGGAUAAAACCUUUUUAAUAUUAUGAAUUUAUUGAUCACAAUCAUUAAUUAAGUGUUUUAAUUAACCCUACCAAAAACUAGUUAAAAAAAGAACCAUUUAAAAAAACAAUUACAAGUCACACUUUUGUAUCGAGGUGGAAAGUAGGGAAAAUUAGACGAAAAGAAAUAAAAAAGUUAAAAAUAAAAAAAUGAAAAACAUGCACAAAUAUAAAAAAAUUAUGAGUUAUAUAUAAACUACUAUAGUUAAAGAUAUAAUUAUGUUUAUAUUACACGAUUAAAGAUAUAAUUAUAUCGUUAGUAUUUUAUCAAUAAUAUAUAUUUUUAUAAUAAAAUAAAUAAUUAAAAUAAUAGUAUUAAAAUAAACUAAAGUAAAAUCUAUUAAUAAAUAAGUAUACUUCAUCUUCUAAUUUUUUUAGUUUAAACAAUUUUAUUUUUUUAUUCUUUCAUUCUUUACCAUAUUAUAAAUUUUAAUAGUAAAUUAAAAGAAGUGUUUGAUAAUUUUGAGAAUCUCUAGAAAACACAUUAUGUUUUUAUAUUAAUUAGUCAAAGAUCUCUCUAUUUGUCUACCUUCAUUUUUUCAACUUUCUUGUAUUUGUAUCCUGUAUCUCUUCGUCCUCUCAUUCUCAUUUUAUCUUUCAUUUUGUCUUUGAUUUCUCUGUUUUAUUAUUGAGUCAAUUCAUGUUGGUAGUGACAUAUUGUUUUUGCUUAGAAGAGUUUAGGAAUUGAAGGUUUUGCAUUAGAGUUAUGGAUUGAGGAGACAUAAUUUGUGAAUAAUUUGAUUGUUUUACUUAUUUCAAUUUCAAAAUAAAUGAUUUAUACCAGUUUUUCAUAAAUGUUUUAAAGAAAAAUAAAUAAUAAAAAUAAUUUAAAUUUCUCUAUAAAUUAAAAUUAAUUUAAUUACAAAUUAAAAAUUAGAAAUAAAAGAAUUGGAAAAACGGAAGAAGAGAAUUCAUACAAAUCCUCGAUGUGUGGUGAACCCGGCUUCAAAUCUCAAUCAUUGGCUCAACUUUUGUUCCUAAUGAGUUACUUAUUAAAGGGAUUGUCUCAGAGUCCCUUAAUGAAACAAUCCACAAACAUCUCUUUAUUUCGUUAGUGAAUGCAUACCGCAAUAUCGCAAAAGUGAUUAAGGUAGUCUUUUAAGGGUUUGUUCUCUUAUUGUUUAAUAUAAAAAUAUUGAUGAUCCUUGGUGGUUUCACCAUGCUAGAAGUGAACUAUUCUACAAACAUUUGAGAGAAUGUUAGAAAGGAGGUGAUUGCCUUGUCUAGAAUUCCACUAAACCACUAUAGAGCAAAUCCUGAGAAAGUUUCGAUGAAUAUCUUACGUCGAAUUGCAUCUGAUCAUUUCGAGAUCAACAUCUAGGCUUAGAAAGCCUUGAUUCUCCAAGUCACCUGAUCCAAAAAAAAUGAGUGAUUUUCAGGACCAUGUAAUGUCGCAACUGGUUCAUCCAUGAUAUAUUGGAAGAAAGGUUGAGUGUCUGUUUAGGCAAAAGUUGGAUUUGAUUCUGUCUACCCUUGACGAGUCACUUGUCUAUGCAUUAUCUGUUGCAGCCCCUUGUUCAUCUUCCACGACUCUUUGUGUGCUUUCAGGGCCUUUUCCAUCCAACGUUAAGAAUCUUUAACUUUUUUAUGUAAUCUUCUCCUGCAUUUUUCAUUCUCUCAUUGCAAAUCUCGAGCGAUGUCCAAGAUUUGUUGAAGGUUUGAUAUCUCACCGUCUUCUUUUGGCUAUAUCACAUGUUGUUGGUUCCUAAUGAUUUGUGUAGAGGUAGGAUUAGUUUUAUCUACCCCAUGGUGGACGUUAAUAUUCUAGUUUAAAGUUUUAAGUGACUUCAAGCUAGAAUGUUCAAGCGUCCCAGCUAGGUCAUAAUUGCCUUAUAUUUAUAAAGGGUUUCCAGUAGGGUAAAUCCUUUGUACUGGAAAAUAAACCCUUGAAGAGAAAGAUUUUGAGUACAAGAAAACAAAUUCCGAAGGUGAAUAAUUUAGUGUACUAGAAAGCUAAUUUUAUUAAGUCGUGAAUCUUGGUAACUAAAUAUCUUUUCCAAAUUCGACGCAAAUAUAUUUUUAGGUUGGUCUUUGGGUGAUUUAAAAGUUAAGAUUGGCUUGACCACUUAUUCAAACUUAGAACACAUGAUAAAGAAACAAAUUCACUUACGAAAAUCAGACUAUGACCCUCAAUCACUUAUUGAUGAUCUACUUUAUUAUAACGGUACACAAACCAUUCUUCUUCCACUUCUAAUUCCUCUCAUCUUUUGCUUUUUUUUUCAUUCAUUUGGUCCUAAUUUAUAGUUCUUGUUCUUUUAUAUCUUUAAUUUUUUAUUAGAAUCAUUAACUCAGUUUAUUAUCAAACUAUUUCAUAAUAGCAACAAAUGAGGAGAUUCAACUCUUUUCUCUAUUAUAUGUUCAUAUGUUUACAUACUUCCUAAACUUGUAAGUAUCUUAUCAUAUUGUUAAUUAUUUCUAAUGGGUCAAAAUUAGUCUUUUAAGAUGAAUCACAUUGUUAAGUGCUUCCCUCUUCCCUCAUAUGCAUGGUUUUCAUGAUAGAUAUAUUGAUAUAAUAAAUAGUUUUGAUAUAUUGUGAGUAGUUAAAGGAAUGUCUGUUAUUUUGGCUUAAUAUGAUUAUGUUUUACAUUUAGUAUAUAUAAAAUCUCAACUAAAUUUGUCACUAUAUUCAUUUAAAAAAUGAAAAAAUAUAUAUUCAUAUUUCACCUUAACAUAAUCUAUCUGACAAUCAAUAUUUAAGUUUUUGUUACAAAACUGUGUAUAAGAAUUAGAAACAAGUUGAUUUUUUUUUAUCUAGCAUUUAAAAGUGAGAUAGAGACUUCAUUGACUGAAGAAGAUGUUUGUCUAUUAGAAGAAUUUUCUCCAUCUUUUGAGGCCCUUCUAAUUAAGAAACCAGGCUCCUUAGGUUCAGGUAAAGAAUUCUCGCUGGUCAACAUAACAACAACUGAUGUCAUGUUUGGCCUAUCAUUUGGAUGUUGCUGUAGACAUAAAAGACCGAUUUGAAUGCAUCGUACAACUUGCAACACAUUAUAUGAGUUUUCCAAACAAGCAUCAAUCAAUUGCUCUGGAGUACCUUCUUUCCACAAAUUCCAGGCCUACAAUAAGUUAAUAUAUUUGUUAAAUGAGAUUAAAUAAUACGAGAUUCAUUUUGUAUUUUGCGAUACUUACAUGGUCAAUAAGGUUAUGAUUGUUGUCUUGGAAGGUAAAUACUCUAUUUUUCUUUCCACUAAGAAUUUCUAGUAAUAACACUCCAAAGCUAAACACAUCCGAUUUUGUUGAGAACAACCCAUCAAUAGCAUACUCUGGAGCCAUGUAACCACUAAAAGGACCCACAAAAAAUUAGUUUCAUAUCCAAUAAUGAACCAUUUAGCAUAAUAUUAAGAUACUUACUGAGUUCCAACUAUGAUGCUUGUACUUCCUUCGACUUGAUCACUUCCACAUAUUCUUGCAAGACCAAAAUCAGAUAUUUUUGGAUUCAUAUCAUUGUCUAGUAGAAUAUUACUUGCUUUGAGAUCUCUGUGUAUGAUCCUUAAUCUAGAAUCUUGAUGAAGAUAAAGAAGUCCUCGAGCAAUUGCAUUCAAAAUGUUAAAGCGCAUUUGCCACUCUAAAUUCUUACUUUUAUAUGAAUCUGGCAAGAUUUAUCAAGAGGUUGAUUAGUCUUUUCUUUCCAAAAUGACCAUUAAAACAAAAUCAAUCUCUUAUUUUACUAAAAUAAAAACAUUGUAGAAACCUUACCAAAAAUAAUUAAAUCAAGACUUUUGUUGGGCAUGUAUUCAUAAAGCAACAUCUUCUCCUCUUGUUCAAUGCAAUAACCAAUAACCUUAACAAGAUUCCGAUGUUGAAGUUUGGCACACAAUAUUACCUCAUUUCUAAAUUCUUUCAAUCCUUGUCCUGAACUUCGUGAAAGUCUUUUGAUUGCAAUUUCUUGACCAUCUACUAAUGUACCCUAAAUUUUAUAGUUUCAAAUUUGAAAAUGAUGAGAUUCAUGAGUUUUGUUUAACUAUAUUAAUAAUAGAAAGCUUCUGAAACUACCUUGUACACAGGUCCAAAACCACCUUCACCUAGUUUAUUCUCAAUUGAGAAGUUAUUAGUGGCUCUAAUCACUGUAGUAAGAUCAAAGGAAGGAAGCUCCAAAUCUUCUUGUUUUCCAUCAUUUUCAUCCUCUGUCGCCAUUUUUGUUUUUGUUUUUCCUUUGAUUCAUUAAACAAGAUCAAAAUCUCAUGUAAAAACAAAAUCAAAACUUUGAUUCAAAGUUAUAAUCACAAGAUGACCUCAUUUAAAUCCAUGCACUCAACAUUUAUGCUUCAACUCAUGGUUUUUAAAUGCAACAAGUCUCAAAAUUCUUAAAAUUUGCAACUAGUUUAAUUUUUAAACUACUUUUUAGUUUAAGGUAAAUUUAAGUUUUAAAAACUAAGUUCCUUUUCUAGUUUUAGUUUCUAAAUAAAUUAGUUUAAGAAUUUAUUUCAUGUUAAAAUUAAUUUAAAGGUAUAGUUUCUAAUGUUAAUUAGUACUUGUAGUAGGUAGUAACAAUGACAUUGGUAAGUGGUUGUGAUGGUAUUGGGGUGAUUUGAUGACGAAUGAAUGUAGUGAUGAUAAGUGAUAACUAUGCAAUGAUACCAUCAAAAUAGUUAUCAUAAUGAUAAUAGUGAAGAGAAAGAAAAAAUGAUUAUUUUUUUUAAAAUUAAAAGCUGAAUUUACAAAAAAAUAUUAAGUUUUGGAUUAAUAUAAAAAAAAUAGUAAAGAGACUAUUUAGCUCUAUUGUUUUUGUUUUGAAAAGAAAAUUGAAUUUCAAAACCAAAAACUAAAAACUUACCACCAUUCCAUACCCAAUUAUUUACUUAAACAUUUUAUGUUGUGUGAGGGGCUCAAAUUUACAAUAUCUAUUACAUUCUAAUUAAUCAAGUUCAUUGUAUAUCAAGAGAAAUACACCAAAAGUCUUCAAAUAAGCAAGUUUACUUAGCAUUUAUAUGUAGGACAAUUAGUAUAGUUUCAAUACCCAUUCAACAUUCCUUUUAUAAGUCAUUGAAAAUCUGAACAAAAAACAAAAAGAUAAUAAACAAAGGUAUAUAUAUAUAUAUAUAUAUAUAUAUAUAUAUAUAUAUAUGUGUGUGUGUGUGUGUGNNNNNNNNNNNNNNNNNNNNNNNNNNNNNNNNNNNNNNNNNNNNNNNNNNNNNNNNNNNNNNNNNNNNNNNNNNNNNNNNNNNNNNNNNNNNNNNNNNNNAUCAUCAUUAGACUGGAAUUGAAAUAUCAGCGAGGUCCGGGUCACUAUUUGUAUCAAUUAAACAAAUUGUUGGAAUUUCCAAAGUGAUACAUUCUCGAAGAGCCGUAUAUUCUUCUUGUUGAUCGAUGAUUAUUACAAUAUCAGGUAACCCCUUCAUAUAUUUAAUGCCGCCAAGAUAUGUUUCCAAUUGAGCUAAAUGUCUCUUCAAUAUAGCUGUUUAUAAUCUUUGUAUAAUAAAAGUGUUUUUGGGAAAAAAAUUUACCUUUAUAUUUUCGUUUGACUAUGUAAAUACAUAAUGUUAAUAGCAUCACUAACACGAACGAUGUUGUGACGGAAGCCACCACGAUUAUCUUUUUCCUUUGCCUAUGUUUACCAUCUGCAUAUAUAGACAGGUUGAUAAAGAAACUAAGCAUCAAAGAUUCAAUCAGUUAACUGAUUAUGUGAUUAUGAAAGAAACUGAUUAUAUUAAGAAUUGAAUUUACCCUAAUUCAUUAUCACAAAAUUGACUUGAAAGAACUAGGAUUGUCGUAGUUAUAUAUUGUGAAGAAAACUCAUUUCUAAUUAAUGUAGAAUCUUCAACACAUUUCUUUCAUACAAAAUAUAAAUAUUUUGUUUAUGAGACUAUAUAUUUAUAAGUAAUCUAUGAUCAAAUCAUACUCUAAUACCAUAUUAUAAAGUAAGUUUAAUUUUAACUCUUUAUUAUAAAAUUAAUUUAUAAAAUAAGAAUUGUGGUAGGUAAUUACUCCAAAGUAUCCUUAACUUUAGUAUGAUAUAAAUGUGCAGUCUCAAACCAAUUAUGUGAUAAUAUAUAAAGACCCACAAGUUUAAUAUGAAAUGAAACUAAACCUUGAAAUAUUACUUUUUUAAACAAUAAAAAAUUAAUUAAUUAAUUAAAGAGAACACUUGAAUAGUUCAACCCUUAAUAAAAAAAAUCUAUUACCCAACCAUCUAGCUUACAAAUUCAAAACCAUAAGCAAAACAAACUUCACCAGCACAAAUACCUACCUGCAGAAUUAUGCAUUAAAUUCUGCAUAAUUAUGCAUUUAAGAACUGCAUAAAAACUAUAAACCUUGAAAUAUAAUAUCUUGGAAAAAAGUUCUUACCAUAAAAGGUUCAUUAAAGAAAUUAAGAUGAUAUAGGGUAUAUAUACCUGUAUCUGAAGUGGCAAUUCGAACAUACAAAUCUUGCCCACUUUCUAUAACUCUCAAAUCAUAGAGAUCUCCAACCCAAAUAGAGCAGCCACUACCUCCUCCUCUGGUGUCCAAACUCGAAUAAGCACUGCAAGAACAGUUUUUCAAACACUUAGCCCUACACUCCUCAAGUCUCAUACUUUCAUUCACCCAAGAAUGUGUGGUGUUUGGCAAUUUCAUCCCACCAAAUCUACGAAAACCAUCUUUGUUCUUCACCCCACAUUUCCACUCUCCACUUCGCACACACCCUUGUCUCCAAUCCAUUGCAUUCCACUGCUGUGACGACUUCGGCACGAACCCAUCUAAGCACUGGCAAAUCGGUGAGCCAGCAAUGGCACAAUUCCCAUUGGGUCCACAGGUGUUGUACACAUCACAACUGUCUCGUGGCAAGGACUGGUAAAUGGUCCAAGCUUUGGCUUCGGGAAUCCACGUAACACGAUGGCGAAGAUAAAGGGUUUGGUUCAUCACGAUUAUGGUGAUGACUGAAGCGUUUCUCAGGGUGUAUCUGUAAUACACUUCAUCUUUCUUAUUCACAAAAACAUAAUCAUAAAGAGGGUUAUUCCUGGGACCAUAUACUCCACUGAACAUGUUCCCAGUGUAAGGUCCAGUUCUGAAGUACUCAGUUUCACCCUUCCACAUCACGAUAUCAGGGUUGCUUCCUAACUCCACUCCCCAAGAAAAGUCCCCUGAAGAUGGAUCAUCCCAUGUUUUCCAUGCAGUGAGACGCCGAUUAAGACCACUUUCUAAGUCCCACCCUAGCUUCAUCCCUGUUCAUAUCAAUCACAACAAUGCAUAAACUGAAUCACUGUAAAGUUUCAUUUCAAAUAGCUUAACAAAUGGAACUAAACUAGAACUAUUGUAAACUCUUUCAACUUAACUAUCUCCACGAAUCAUUUUAAAAUAUAUUUUUCAUUUCCUAUUAUCAUAUAAAAAAAUUACUUAUCUAUAUUCGUAUGCUUUAUUUUCUUUUAAAUAACCCUUAAAUUUUUUUUUUCACUUAAAGUUCUAAUAUUUUAUCUGUUAUUUUAUUAACUUUUGAACAUCUGAUUUGUUCUCAUUUUAGGCAAUUGCUUCCUUGCACCCAAUGAUUUUUACCUACACACUCAAUCAACUUUUGAAUUUUUAAAAUUGUUCUUCAUCGUGGAAUUAAAAAUUUAGAAUUAAAAGAUAUAUUUUUAAAAAGGAAAUAUGGAAUAUAUUUUUGUGUUCUGGAAAUGAAAUUCCAGAAUAGAAUUAGAAAACCAAAAUCAAAUUAUGAAAAAACAAUUUUAAAAUAAAAAAUACAUUUCGAAAAAAAAAAAUUCAGCAACAAAUUCUGGAAAUAGGAUUUCGAAAACGUAGUCCAAAAAAAAAUUAAAAACGUAUUCCAUAAAAGAGAUUAAGAAUCCAAACAAAUAUUUCAAAAAUCCAAAUCUAAAAUGUUUUUCAGAAUAGUAAAUCCAGCAGAAUGUAUUUUGAUUCACACCUCUUAUUUAUUAAGUGCAAGUUCAAAAACAUAACAUUGGGUGCAGAAAGUUAGUCUAAAUUUAAAUAUGUUAAAUAAGAUUUCAAUUUCAAACUAAACAUAUAAAAAAUAAGUAGAUAUAUAUUAAAAAUGUAUAGUAAAUUUAAAGUUAAUAUAUAAUAUAUUAUUACAACAAUUAAAUUUUAAAUUAAUGUGAUAAAAAUAUGGACACAUUAAAGUUUGGGUUUAUGCUACUAAUUAAAUUGUAAUUAAUUUAUUUAAACAGAUAUAUUAAGAAGAAGAAAAAGAGUUUUUUGAAAAGUAAAAAAGAAAUUCAGUUGAAUUCUGUAACUCGUUAUUUCAGUUCACCCUCUACCUGGUAGCAGUGUGUCACAGGGAAAGUCAAAGCUUUGCCAUAGAAAAACAGAAUCUUCAUUUGCAUCUCUUAUUACAAGGUUUCCAGAGUCCAAGAGCUGCACAACUGGAUUCGAAACCUUCUUCGUUGCAUUUGCAGACCAGACAAGAGUGUCGUUCUGGGUGACAAGUACGAGGUUUCCGUCUUGCGUUACGACCAUCUUGUUUGUGGUCGAGUUGUCGCGUGUGAUUGGAUUGUCGCGGUUCGCAACCCAAACCACUGUUUUGACAGGGAUGUUUCUGUACCAGAUUCCGACGUAGCGGUUGUUGGAACUCCCCGGAGAGAAGAAACCCAUCUCGAAGGUUCCCUCCUCGGAAACCAAGGUGGUGCCGUCGUCGGAAAGUGGGUGGAGGUCGGUGAUGGUGAGAGCUGCAUUGGAGAUUUGAGAAAAGAGAAACAAAAGCUUGCAAAUAAGAACAAUGGCCAUUUCUCUGUACACUGCGAAAUUGUUAAGAAUAGAAUAGAACGAUUAUGCUACAAUACCUCUUCCUUGGCGUUGACUUUGCUUCUUUGUCGGUUAUGCCACGUGGCAAGCCGCGCCGCCAUGUGUGACCUGUUGUUACGCUUAAACUCACGUAUAAGAUUUUGUUUUCAGUCUUCCGUUGAAUUUGGAGUGAUGACAGCUAAGCAAAUUUUGAAUAUUAUUAUAAAUGUUUAACGUGAUUACGUCCACUUGUUUUUUUAGUCCUUAAAAAAAUUAAUAUAUUUAAUAUAAAAUUCCAAAUGGCAUGAUAAUUUGUAAGAUGAGUGUAAGUUUGACCAUCAUAUAUCUCCGGUUUGAAAAUUUGUGUUUUUCAUAUUUUUAUAUUUAAUAGUUAUAUAUUUUUUUGUCUCAUUUUAUUAUUAUUGGAUAAUGUAUUCAUGCUUGUAUCUAUUUGUUUUAGAUAUUGAAUAAAUAAUUUUAUAUAAAAAUAAAGAUAUCAGAAAACAUGAUAUUAUCAUGUGAGAAGAUCGUACACAUUCUUUUCUUCUAUAUGUAUCAAUAAAGAAAUAAUAGUUAUAUAAAUAAGAAAAUAGAUAAUAAAAAAUAUUUAAAUUAAAUUAAAUUAAUCAAAUGUGUGCAUCCUGUAAACAAUAUAAACAAUUUUGAUUCAAUGAAAUUGAGGUUGUUGUUUCUUAAAAUGAAAUACACAAUUUGAAUGAACUUAAGAAAUGAAAAAAAUGUAUAUAAUAUUAUAAUAAGAAAAUAAAACUAGUUUAAGAGUAUGAGAGAACUUUCUAAAAGAAAUAUUUUUUUAAUCUUUAAAAAAAAGUAAAAAUUAGUAUGUGUCAUUUUGUAUUUUUAAAUUAUUUUUGUAAAUUUUAAUAUUGAUAAGAAGUAUUUUCUCUUAGCAUUCUUUGAUCAAUAAUAUUGAAGUGAAUAAAAAUGAUGGAUACUUUUUUAAAAUAAAUUUCUGCAAAAAAAAAAAGUUAUGUACACAAACUAAAACAAUAUUUAAGAACUUAAUUAUAAUUCGUACUUUAAUAAUAUUUUUUUAAAUAAUUAAAGUAGAAAAUAACAUCAUUACGUGAUUAUUGAUUGGGUAAUUUCUACCAUUUUUUUAAAAUUAUUUUUGCUUUCAUAGUCAGAGAAGUUCAGCUAAACAAAAUUUCUAAAUUCUAAAAGUCUUGAAAAGUCAAGCAUUUUCAUUUUUAUAAUAAAUAAAAAAGACAACAAAGUUUUCGAAAAAAAUUGAUUUCAGUUUUCUCUUGAUUUCUUUUUCUUUCUUGCUUCCUCCGAACUUUCUUUCAUUGUGUUUAGCUUCGUCACUUUCUUUGUUUUUUUUUUUCUUAAUUUCUUUUUCCUGGUCUUACUUACUCUAGAGACUUAUUAGUUAAAUUAAUAUAAAUGAAAUUUCUAUGUUCCUUAGCAAUAAAAUAUAAUAUUUUGCAAGAACCCUAGUUUCCUCAAGUGACCCUUGCAUCUUCCAGUUGUGAUAUUUUUUUUCAACCAUUUCUUCAGCAGUUUCUUGAUCUUGAUUAUUUCUGGCACAAAGUUCAUCUGCAUGGUUUUUUUUUUUUUAAGCAACCAAGUUCUUUGUAUAUGGUAUUCCCUUUUUAGGUUUUCCAUUAAGAUGUUGUGAUCUUCAAUCUGCAGUUAAAAUAACCUGCAAAAGCGAUAGCCCCUCAUGCACACUAACAUGCCAAUAAUCAGCAAUCCUAUUAGUAUAAUGUUAUUCUUCUAACAUGUUUUCAGCAUAUUGAGAAGUGUGAUGGAAUCUACUCUUAAGUGCAAAACACAUUCUUUUUUUGGUCAAAUUAACAUAUAUUGUAACGUGAAAGAAGUUAGAGAAAGAUACUGCUUAACCUUAUUUAGAAAUUAAAGUCAAUGAUAUUUAAUGUGUAAUAAUGACUUUCUCUUAUUGUAGAAAUAGAGUAAGCUAUGAAAAAGUAUUACAACAUGCCUAAAAAAAAAAGAAAAAUUCCAAAAAAUUAUAAGAUUUUAUUAUGAAAUUCCACUGCUGUGAGUUUUUUUUAUUAUAAAAAUAUUUUUAUAUUAGAUAUCAUUAUGUAAGUUGAUAUUUUAUCUAAACUGACACAUUAAGUAACAACUAUAAUCUGAUUUUUACAUGAUAAGAAAUAUUGAGAUAAAAAAUACUAAUAUAUGAACUCAUGUAUAAUUCAGGAUUCACUCGGUUUCACCCGAGAUAAGCUCACAAUAUUUAUAUUUAUUUAUAGUAUUUGACUAUAUUUAUAUUUAUUUAGACAAAUUUUGGAGUUGUUUUAAUACUUUUAUUUUUCAUUUCUUUCUAUUAGCUUUCAAGAGGAGGAUAAGGGUAAAGUAAAAAUUAUGUUUAUCAUUGUAUAAUUUUUUUGGGAAUUUGGUUAUGCACUUUAUGUUUAGAGAUAUUCAAAUCUUGAAAUAUAUAAAAGAAAUAUUAAUUGUAUAUUCAUUUUUUUAUGUAAUAUAUAUUAUUAAUAAUAUAAAUUAUUUGAUAUUGUUAGAACCAUUUUAAUUAAUAAAUAUAAAUAUAGUAAAAUAUUUAAAUUAUAAAAUUAUAUUGCUUAUUAAAAUAUAAUAGUUUUCAAAAUUUUAAAAUAUAAAAUUAUUAUAUAUGACAUGCUAUUAAAAUAGAAAUAUAAAUUCAUAAAUAGAGUUAUCAGAUUCUUAUAAUAAUUUCACAUUAGAACUUAUGACACGAAAGUGAAAGAUAUUUGUUAUCAUUUUGCUUUUUUUUUUCUACGUUUAUUGUUUCUAAUGAAAAUGAUAAAUAUAGUUUGAAUACAAAUAUAUGGCCUCCUUGUUUGUUGAACAAUUCUCAGCAGUAAUAAAUGGCACAUUUUCAAGAUUGCAAUGGAUCGUAAAAAUAAUACAGGGAUGGUCAGAGGACAAUGAUUUUCCUUAUUAAAAUUACUAAAUGAAACUACUUACAUCUCUAUCAUAAGUCAAGUCAAGUACUAUUGUUUACUAUUCUUAGAACCAUAAUGCAUGUUAACUCAUUUUAUACUAUAAUAGUUUAUCAAAUUUCUUAAUUAUGAUAUAACUAAUUUUGUAAAUACAUAUAUCAUUUAGCAAUGUUUUUCUACUAAAUUUAAAAAUUAAAUAAUUGGUAGUUAAAAACAUUGGUUACUAAUUAGAUACCAAUUUAGAAACUAUUUAAUAAUAAUAGAAACUAAUUUAGAAACCAAUUUUUUUUUAGUUUCUAAAAUGAUCUCUAAUUUAGUUACUAUUGCAACUAAUUAUUUUGAUCUCUAAAAAUUGGUUUCUAGUUUAUAAUUUUCUUGUAGUGUUAUGAAUACUAACUAAGGGUACAAAUAUCUUGUGUUUUCUUAUAUGAGUAAAUAACUUUCUAAAAAAGUUUAUAGUCUUAUUAUAUAUCUCACCUGUUAAGACUUUGUAAUUAGUCUUAUGGUUAAUUCUUGGCAGAUAAUAUGUUAAGAUUGUUAGUCUUACCAUUUUCGAAUACUUAGAUGAAAUAAAUUUACUUUGUUCAUAUGAUUAUUCUUUACAUGCAUUCCAUGCAAGUUUUGUCUCUUCAACAUAGAUUGUUUGUCAUUGAUAUGAAUAUGUCAGGCAAAAGUUAUUAUUUUUUUCAUAUCCAUCUUGUCUCUUUUCAAAAUGUCAGACAAUACUUUUUAUUGUAAAAUUUGUUGUACUAAAGAGUCGUCUCACGAAGUCUUAGAGUUAUUUAUGUUGAUUUAUUUAUUUUUAGACAAAAUUAGAUGAAAGACUCCAUAUUAACCUAUUUCUAACUUCAUCAUACAAAGAUUCAGUUUAUAAUAUCAAUUUAUAUUAAAGGAUACAGAUAUCAGAGUUACAGAAGGAUCCUAAUAUUAAUUGGGAGUCUUUUCUAAUUAUCAGUUGUUUCUCUUUAUAGAGAAGAAUAAUUGGGUGUCUUUUCUAAUUAUCAGUUAUUUCUCUUUAUAGAAGGGAAUAACCCUUUAUUUUAUUUUUGUGUGUUAUGAUUCUAGUAUUUAAUAUUGAUUAUUUCCUUCUUUAGUUAAACCCUAGAAUGAGUGUACUACUUGUAUAUUCAGUUUACUCUUUUGUUUAUCUCUAUUCCCUUUUGUUCAUCUCUGUUCUAUUUUGUAAUAUGGUAUCAAAGCCAUUUCGAGUCUAUCCUAACGAGUGUUUGUGUUGGGCCUAUCGUGCCACCUGCUAUCGGGCCGCUAUCGGACCACCCAUAAUAUAUAGUCCCACGCACGAGUUGGUAGUCUCGGCGUGAGGGGGGUGUGUUGGAGAUCCCACAUCAACUAGAGAUUAGAGCCUUUCAUUGUAUAUAAGUGGGUGCAAACCUCAACCUCAUGAGCCGGUUUUAUGGGGUUGAGUUAGGCUUAAAGUCCACUUCGUAACAUGGUAUCAGAGCUCUGCUUGCUACAUUUAUUCAUGGGUGAAGUUGAUGAUCCCUCACAAGAUCUUAGUUCACCUUACCAUGUUAGUUCAUCAGAUAAUCCUUCCUUUCUUAUUGUCCCUAUUAUUCUUGAGGGACCAAAUUAUCAUCAUUGGUCUCAUUCGUUUCAAAUGAGCUUAAUUUCAAAGAACAAAAUAGGUUUCAUUGAUGGAACUAUAGAAGCUCCCAAUCGUACCAAAUCAUUAUUUCCAACAUGGCAGAGAGCCAAUAUCUUGGUUGUUUCGUGGAUUCUCAAGGUUGUUUCUCAAUCCAUCGCGCAGAGCAUCAUCUGUAUGGACAAUGCCUUUAACAUAUGGAAUGAUUUAAAGGAAAGGUUCUCAAAAGGAGACAUGAUUCGUAUUUCUGAUAUCCAGGAGAUGAUUUCUUCUUUUAAACAAGGUGAGUUGACUUUUACAAACUAUUUCACUCAGUUAAAAAUUCUUUGGGAUGAACUUGAUCUUUUCCGCCCGCUAUCCGCUUCUUCAUGUGCCUCUAAAUGCAAAUACUCUUGUGAAUGUUUCUAAAUAUAAAAACACAAGACCAAAUUAUCAAAUUUCUAAGGGGGCUAAAUGAUAAUUAUUCGACUGUGAGAACUCAAAUUCUAUUGAUGGACCAUUUGCCAUCCUUGAAUAAAGUUUGUUCUCUUGUUACACAACAAGAGAGGCAAAUAUUUGGUGAUCAAUCCAAGGCAAUGAUUGCUACUAGCAAAGGAGGUUAUAAAAACAAUGCUACAACCUAUGGUAGAGGUGCUGGAUACGGAAGAGGAAGCAAUGGAAGNNNNNNNNNNNNNNNNNNNNNNNNNNNNNNNNNNNNNNNNNNNNNNNNNNNNNNNNNNNNNNNNNNNNNNNNNNNNNNNNNNNNNNNNNNNNNNNNNNNNNNNNNNNNNNNNNNNNNNNNNNNNNNNNNNNNNNNNNNUCAUAAUACAAAUUUCAAUAAUAAUGAGCAGAAUCAUGAAGGUUCAAAGUUAGAAGUGGAGUCUUAACAAAUUGGUUUUACUUCUGAGCAGUAUCAAACAUUUUUAGCUCUUUUACAACAGACCAAAUCCAGUGGCAAUGCUUCUAAUCAAGUCUCUAUUAUUCCCUCCAAUCCCUCCAAUCAAACAGGUAACAAUUUUAUUUCUUCUUUUAGUUCUUGGAUUAUUGAUAGUGGUGCUACUAAUCACAUUUGUUCAUCCUUAACUUAUUUCACUUCAUAUCAUCAAAUUGAUCCUAUUUAUGUCAAAUUACCAAAUGGAAAUCAAGUCAUUGUCAAUUAUUCUGGAAGUGUUUUUCUCAAUCAAAAUCAUGUCAUAGACAAUGUUUUGUACAUUCCUUGCUUCAAUUUUAAUCUUCUUUCCGUAGCAAAAUUGAUUGAUAAACUAUCUUGUGUUCUUACCUUUGACUCUAAUGGUUGUCACAUUCAGGACAAAAUAACAAUGAAGAUGAUUGGAAUUGAUAAGACGCAAGAUAGACUUUAUACUCAGGAUCCCAUCUUACCAGAAAUUUCAAAUUAAACCCCUCGAAUGUACACACACCAUCAAUACUGUUAAUGUCGGUGCUAGUGAUCUAGAAACCCUUUGGCAUUUUCGAUUAGGCCAUAUUUCAAAUAAAUGUAUUGAUGUUAUCAAGAAUAAAUUUCCUUUUGUUAAAUAUAACAAAUCUUUUGUUUGUGAUGUUUGUCAUUUUGCAAAGCAAAAAAGACUUUCUUUUCCUAUCAGUACAUCUAAAUCAAAAAAAUGUUUUGAUUUAAUUAAUGUAGAUGUUUGGGGACCAUACUCAAUACCAUCAAUUCAUGGUCAUAAAUAUUUCUUGANNNNNNNNNNNNNNNNNNNNNNNNNNNNNNNNNNNNNNNNNNNNNNNNNNNNNNNNNNNNNNNNNNNNNNNNNNNNNNNNNNNNNNNNNNNNNNNNNNNNNNNNNNNNNNNNNNNNNNNNNNNNNNNNNNNNNNNNNNNNNNNNNNNNNNNNNNNNNNNNNNNNNNNNNNNNNNNNNNNNNNNNNNNNNNNNNNNNNNNNNNNNNNNNNNNNNNNNNNNNNNNNNNNNNNNNNNNNNNNNNNNNNNNNNNNNNNNNNNNNNNNNNNNNNNNNNNNNNNNNNNNNNNNNNNNNNNNNNNNNNNNNNNNNNNNNNNNNNNNNNNNNNNNNNNNNNNNNNNNNNNNNNNNNNNNNNNNNNNNNNNNNNNNNNNNNNNNNNNNNNNNNNNNNNNNNNNNNNNNNNNNNNNNNNNNNNNNNNNNNNNNNNNNNNNNNNNNNNNNNNNUAUGCUAGCACCUUGUCAACAAAUAGAAGAAAAUUUGAUCCAAGAGCAUCAAAAUGUGUUUUUAUUGGUUUUCAACGGGGGACAAAAGGAUAUAUUUUGUUGAAUAUUCAAUCAAGAGAAAUUUUUGUGUCUAGGGAUGUUGUCUUUUAUGAACAUGUUUUUCCAUACCAAAGGGUUCAAGAUACUAGCAAUGAAACUAACAAUCCCGACGUUAAUGAUCAAAUUUUGUUUGCUAAAGAUCAAUUUGUCUUAAGUCAGCCAUCACAAGCCAUUCUUGCACCUUGUGAUAAUACACCUUGUGAUAAUGUUGAAAAUAGCAGUGAUAAUAAUUGAGUCACAAAUUGAGGUUUCAGAAGAAGAUUGUUCCCAUAUAGACCAAAACCUCAAUGAAAAUCAUGAUAUAGAACAAAGUUCUGAAUCAGAUCCAUAUAUCCGAAUGAGCACAAGAAUAAAAAAUCNNNNNNNNNNNNNNNNNNNNNNNNNNNNNNNNNNNNNNNNNNNNNNNNNNNNNNNNNNNNNNNNNNNNNNNNNNNNNNNNNNNNNNNNNNNNNNNNNNNNAUUCUGUUUUGUCUUAUAGCAAUUUAUCACCUUCUUACAAAUCUUUAGUUAUGUCUCUUUCUUCACAUGUUGAGCCAAACACUUAUUCUGAAGUUGUGAAACAUGACUGUUGGAGAAAAGCUAUACAAUGUGAGAUAUCUGCUUUAGAGUCAAAUCAAACUUGGGAGACUGUUCUUCUGUCUCAGAACAAAGCUGUCAUAGGUUGCAAAUGGUUAUUCAAAAUAAAAUAUAAGGUUGAUGGAACAAUUGAAAGGUAUAAAGCAAGGUUAGUGGCAAAGGGAUAUACACAAACAGAAGACAUUGACUACCUCGAUACUUUCUCUCCAGUAGCAAAGAUGACCACCAUAAGGUUGCUUCUUUCUUUAGCUUCUAUUUAUAAUUGGGAAUUGAAACAAUUAGACAUAAACAAUGCCUUUUUACAUGGAGUUUUGAAAGAAGAUGUAUACAUGGUUGCUCCUCCUGGAUUGACUUCUAUUCCACCAGGAAAAGUUUGUAAACUAAAAAAGGCUUUAUAUGGCCUUAAACAAGCUAGCAGAGAAUGGUUUGCCAAACUGUCAUCAUUUUUGCUUUCUAUGGGAUAUACUCAAUCUAUGAAUGAUCAUUCCUUGUUCAUUAAUUCUUCUAAAGGAUCUUUUACAGCAUUAUUGGUAUAUGUGGAUGAUAUUAUAUUGGCAGGAAAUGAUAAAGAAGAAAUUGUUCGAAUCAAACAAGCCUUGAAUCAGACAUUCAAGAUUAAAGAUCUUGGGAAUUUAAGAUACUUUCUUGGUCUAGAAGUAGAAAGAAGUAAGACAUGAAUAAUGGUAAAUCAAAGGAAAUAUGCAUUGGAAUUAUUAACCGAUGCAGGUCUUUUAGCCUACAAACCUGGCCCCACUCCUAUUGAUAAUCAUGAGAAAUUCUCUUCUACUGGAAGUCUUCCUUUCACGGAUAUUCAAGCCUACAGAAGAUUGAUUGGAAGGCUUAUGUAUCUCACUAAUACCCGACCUGACAUAACAUUUUCUGUGCAACAACUUUCUCAGUUUCUUGCUAAGCCUACAAUUGUUCACUAUAAUGCAGCGAUUAGAAUUCUCAGAUGUAUCAAAAGGGCUUCAAGUCUUGGUCUAUUUUUCUCUUCCACUACUUCUGUUCAUCUCAAAGCCUUUUGUGAUAGUGAUUGGGGCACCUGCAGUGAUUUAAGACAAUCAGUGACUGGUUUUAGUGUGUAUCUUGGGAAUUCUCUCAUAUCUUGGAAAUCAAAGAAGCAAGGAACAAUAUCAAAGAGUUCUUGUGAAGCUGAAUAUAGGGCAAUGGCCACGGUUACAUGUGAAAUUCAAUGGCUAACUUAUCUUCUUCAAGAUUUCAAAGUUCCUUUUGAGCAACCAUCUCUUUUAUACUGUGACAAUGACUCAACAAGAUACAUUGCAACAAAUCCAGUAUUUCAAGAGCGUACAAAACAUAUAGAAAUAUAUUGUCACGUGGUCAGAGAAAAAUUAAAGAAGGGUCUCAUUCAUUUGCUAGGUUUCAUAAAUAUUUGUUCUCCAGCUUGUGGCGGGGUAUUAAAGGAUACGAAUACCAGAGGUACAGAAGGAUCCUAAUAUUAAUUGGGAGUCUUUUCUAAUUAUCAGUUGUUUCUCUUUAUAGAAGGGAAUAACCUUUAUUUUAUUUUUGUGUUAUGAUUCUAGUAUUUAAUAUUGAUUAUUUCCUUCUUUAGUUAAACCCUAGAAUGAGUGUACUACUUGUAUAUAUUCAGACCAUUUAUUUUGAUUUGAAUAACAAGAAAGAAGAGAUAUUCAUUCUCAUAUCCUUUGUCUUCAGUUUACUCUUUUGUUUAUCUCUAUUCCCUUUUGUUCAUCUCUGUUCUAUUUUGUAAUAAUUUAAGAAUUAAUAGACAUUAUCAUUUACGAAGAUUAAGCACUUGAUAGUUGUUGAGCUUGAGCACUUAUGUGGUGUUGAAGGCUUGGCUUAAGAACCUUGUAAGGAAUAAAUAUAAAAUUUUAUUAGAACAACGAGUGAAGAGUCAAAUAUUUUUCAGUAACCUUUUUUUGUUUUGUUUAAUUUCGUCUUAGUAAAAUUUGAUCUCAAAUUCAAACAAUUCUUUUUCUCUUUAUCCAACUAAUGACUUUCGGACUAAAUAAGUUAUAGGUUCUCAAUAUAUUAUUUUGAGUACCUAUAAUAAAUUAUUUUUAUAAAUUGAUUAUUUAAUAAAUUAUAAACUUUAGUUUAAGUCUAUGAAAAAAUAUUUAUUUAUUUUUAUUUUAUUAAUGCAUACAAUUGUUAACACUCUAAAUGACGAGACCUAUAUUUAAAAUGUAUAUCAUUUUUAACACUCUAAAUAGGUGACAUAUAUUUUAAAUUAACUAACGUAUGAAUAGUAAAAUUGACGAAACUAAUGGAAGGGACUUAAGCAAAAUGUUUAAUUCAUGAAGUACUCAAUUUGAAAAACAAAAUUAGGUACUCAAAGUAAAAAUCAAUCAUAUAUUAGAGAUCUAAAACUUAUUUAAGCCUUAAUAAGAACAUAGUUUGAAAAUUUCAACAACUUAAUUUAUAAAUAAUGAUAAUUUAUUUAUAAGCAAUGAUAAUUUAUUAUAUUUGGUUUUACCAUAAUGUGGAGUAUUGAUGGAUGAGGUCUUUCUUGUGCCCAAUUUAUACUCCAAAGAGAUAGAUAAUAUUCAAACACUAAAUGGGGUCCACUAGAAGACUUUCUAACGCUUAAUUUAUAAAAAUAUAAGUGAAAUUGAUAAUGUAAAGAAUGAGUGUGAUAUGAGACAUCACUCUCUUUGGUGGUGGCAUACUUAUAUAAAUGUUUAGUCUCCAAAUAAUAAGGUAAAAUAUCAAUUUGAUAAACAAAAAAAUUAAUAAUUUGAUAGUUUCGUUGGGGAUACAUGGUUGUUAUAUUACAACAUAAGAAAACGAACUAUCUCAUAUCUUUAAUAAAUCAUUUGAUUACAAAAUUUGGUUGCUUAAAAAAUAAUGCAUAGAAAAUAAAAUCAGAAAAAUAUCAAGAAUUAAAUAUAAAAGAGAAAGAAAUACACGUUUGUUUUUGUAUUGGUUCAUUCUAUUUAAGAGAUACAUCCAAUUCCUCAGGCAUACUAGCCAAACUCACUAAAAAUUAAAAUUUUACAAACACAACCAAUAUAGUGAAAGUAAACAACUUAAAAAAUAAUAUUUUGAACCCUAUAAAAUUAAUUUAUACACCUAGUAAUACCUAUUACUAUACUAAAUUUGAAAACCCUAUCCAAAUAUAGUCUAAGAACUAAAAAAGAAUACAGAAAUGAAAACAAUAUGACCUAGAAUAAUAUAAGCAUAGUGGAAAAGAAAUAAUUCAGGUGAAGAAAUAUGUUUCUCUUUAAACUUGGUAUUGAUCUCAAAUAUACACAGUGAAAGCUUCAUGAACAAUUUUUACAGCUUGGACUCUAUCUCAAUUGUAGAAAAGAUUUUAGAAACUUAUGUUUUUAUCUCAGGUAAAAAAUGAUUUCGAAAUGACAAGUUUUUAAUCUGUUUUGUUUGAGUUUUAAUUUGUUCAUUUCACUAAUCGAUCGAUUAACUCAAAAUUUUAACAUAUUAAAAUAGAAGUAUCCAAAGCUUUUAUAGAGCUUAAGAACUUUUAAUUUACUUAAAAACUCAUUUUAACAAAUUAAAACAGAGAACUCAUAAAUUCUUAAGGUUCUAAAUUAUAUUAAUCAAUUAAAUCAAUUAUCUAAUUGAUUAAAUAAAUUUAGUAAUGGAUUAAAAUGCUUUUUUUUCGGUCAUUUCAAACUCAAACAUAAACAUUUUAACAAAUUAAAAACAUCUUUUAAUUAAUUAAAAUAUAUCCUAUCAAUAAGACAAAUUCUAAUUCUAUUCAGAAAGCUUUCUAACUACAAUUAUAAGAUCAAAUCAGGAAAGAGAAACUUAUCUUAGGUCCUAAUCAACACAACACAUCCUAAACACAAGUCUUCAUGAUCAUGUCCAAUCUUCAAUUUCUUCAAAAGAGGCGUUGGAUUCAUCAAAUACACCACAACUUUAACAAUGAUAACAUGUUUUAAUAUAUUUAUAGAGAUAAAUAAUUCUUUGGUUGAUAACUUAUUUAUCAAGAUUUAUGUAUAUUGGUAGUGGGUAUGUACACAAGUCUCCCAAGCUUCAAAUGCGAUUUUUUUUUUAUUGUGCAAGAGGACGAUUUUAGUGGUUCCUCAAAUUUGAGGACGAAUGAGAUUUAUGGUUCUUUAUAUUGUACAAUUGAAUGUUUAAUACUUUUCUUUGAGAAGUCGAGUUUUCUAAAAUUUUACUUUAAGGUUUAUUUUUUGAUGUUGUGAAAACUGUUGAAGAUGGAUGAAGCCUCUUCUCUACCUAGUGUUAAGUGUGUGUUUGAUGUAAAAAAAUAGCUAGUUUGAUGUAAUGUUUGUAAUAGGUUUAGAUGAUCUUGUAUGUAGGCUUGUAUUGUGUAAGGUUGCCUUUUGCUACAUGAUCUAUCCUAGAUGCCUAACCAAGCCUAGAUCAAGCACAUGAUGUGGUUAAAUGGUUUUUGAAAAGCUUUUUAAAGUGCUCUUAAAAGUUUUAAAUCAGUACACAAAUAAAUCUGUUUUAUGGAGAAAGAAUCGGUUUAUUUCUUCUCUGUUAAAAGGCUUUUCUAAAAUUCUGAUAAAACCCCACAGGUAAAGCUUAGUUAGUUAUUUCAGUUAAAGCUGAGCUGACUUACUUGCUAUCAUUUAAUCUGUUUCACUGUGAAAGAACAGGUUUAUUCUUUGGUCAGCUGAAAGGUUUUUCACAUGUUAGUUAGGGCACCAAAGGUACAACUCAGACAGUUAUUUCAGUUAGCUGAGUUGGUGGUUUUCACAAAAUAAAUCUGUUAAGUUCAAAAAUGAAUCUGUUGUUUUCAUAACUNNNNNNNNNNNNNNNNNNNNNNNNNNNNNNNNNNNNNNNNNNNNNNNNNNNNNNNNNNNNNNNNNNNNNNNNNNNNNNNNNNNNNNNNNNNNNNNNNNNNCUUUUCAACUGUUUUUUGAAAAGAAGUUAGAAACUGUUUUCUAUAUAAAGAAAAGUCUCUCUCACAUGAAAAAGCGCUGAGCAAUUACGUUUUUAACAGAGAUCAAACAAUUUCCAUGUGAGAAGAAGGAUUGAAAGAUUUUUGAAAGGUUUUUCCAAAGAGAUUUUCAAGUGUGCUUGUUCUAGGAAACCUUUGAUCUUGGUGAAGGUGCUGGUGCAGUUCUGCAGCAAAUUGAACUACUGGUUUUGAGUUCUUGCAUCUUCUUUUCAGGUGUAAUCUUUCCUUUAUUCUGUUUUGUAAAGGUGUAAAUGUUAGUCACUCCUUGAUAGGGUUUCUUGGAGUGCAAGGUGUGCUGAAAUAGGGUUUUUCAGCAUUGUUGGUGUUGUUCUUGUAGUGUUCAAGAACUGCUGAGUUUGUAAGUAAUUGGUACUGUUUUUAGUGGAUUCCACCUUGGGGUAAGGUGAGACUGGACGUAGCUCUGUAUGAGUGAACCAGUAUAAAAACUUGUGUGCCUUUCUUCUCAUCCCUACACUCAUUUCUGGUUUUUCUUAAUUCUGUCAAGAACUAAAUCUGUUCUUUUGAAAUUGAAUAUGUUAAUUAUGGGUUUAAGUAAAAACUGUUCUUCCUGAUUUGUUAAAGCUUUCUAAUCACAAACAAGGCAGUUGUAUAUGAUGGUUUAAGUGAUCUGUGAACAAACAGUCUAUUCAUUAAAAUCUGAGAAAGAACCAUUCUCCUUAGAACCUUGUGUUGAGUAAAUUUGUUUGAUUUCUAAGCAUAACUGUAUCUUUCAUCCUCAUAAUAUUCAGCUGAUCUGACUCUGUUGUAAUUCUCUGUUAAUCACAAUUUUACAUUGAACAAAUUCAAAUUGUGCUAGAUUGCUCUGAAGAAUCAAUCUGUUUCAUGUAAAAACAAUCUGUUCUUUUUACCUCUGGUAUACUGAAAAUUGUGUGUUCCUGCGAAAAUUUUAUAAGCUCAAUUCACCCCUCCCCUCUUGAACUUAGACACUAAUAGACCCAACAAAAACAAGUAAAAUACAUAAGAAAUGAUGGUUGAUUUGUGUAUUAAAAAUUUUCACAAAAUAUUUAGCAAGAAGAAUGUUUGAUGUGAUAAAAAGAAGAGGAGUUAAGACUAAUGACAAAGAGUUAAAAAAUUGGAAAUUUUGACUCCAAAGUUGACAAAGGUAUAUUUUGGGGUACUCCAAAAAAUCAAAGGCUUAAAAAAUACUUUGAAUAGACUAAUAGGAGACUAUCUAAUAUAGAACAUGACUUUGCAAAUCAACUCAUAAAAGCGCCAAAUGAAACAAGGCCAUCAAAUAUAGCAAGAUCAUCACAUAGUCAAAAGAUUAAAUGCAAAGGAAACAACAAAUAAAGGACCAUAUACUUCAGAUCACACAGUUCAAACAUAAUUAGCAACCCUAUGAUCAUUUCUCUUGUAAUCAAGUGUUUUAACCAGGAAUGAUUGUUGUUUCAAAGAAUACUCAAUGUAUUAGCUAGAAGUGGUUGUUGUUUCAAUAAAUACGGUCUUACCUAACUAGAAAUGUUGUAACCCUAGAACAAUAUUCAUCCAAUAUAAUUGGUCUUUCACUCAAUUAUUUACAAGUCAAUAAAAUAUUAAACUACAGAGACUAUAAACAAGUCACAUAAAUUAAGUAACAUCCAAAUAAGUUCCUAAUCUAAAGAUAUGACUCAGAAAUCAAAAUUGAUGUUAACAUGACACAAAUAAUUAAGUGUUGGAAAAAAUCUUCAAACUCUUCACUUAAGUAGUGAUGAUAAAAUUGAAUUAUUUUCCAAAUCAAUAAUUUACAAGGUAACACCAAAUAAAAUUAUUCAUGAGUUAAAAGACUAUAACUCCGUUCACAAACACAAUAUAAGAAGAUCUACCUUAACUAAAAAUAAAAAAAUAAUUUCAAUAAUAUUUUGUGUUUCCUUUUAUUUUUUUUAUUUCGUUUCGAUUAUGUUUAUUGAUCCUGCCUGUUGACCGGAGCGCUGGAGAGUGCCUCGUCAAAGGAUCGACGUGCGCACCGCUUAUCACCUUCGUUCCUCCUCUGGAUCUACUUCAAGAACCUGCAAAGAAACGACACGGCGCCGCUGCGGCCGAUCGCACUCCGACGCUCAAGUCAGUGACGGUAUCACCAAAUACUAAGAACUAGAACCGUGCAAAAACUCUCUCUCACAACAGCUCUGUCACUCGCAAGCGUAAAGUGUAUGAACUGAACGUGCGUACCUCAGAAAGUUCGUUUAAGAGCUCUUAUAUACCUGGUGAUUUUCUCUCUCCUGGCAGUUACAGACUUGGACACGUGGCUCGUAUCCAACUGUACACGUGCCAUCAUCCGGAGGCUUACUGACUUGGCGCUGCUUCUACUCUCAUUUUGGCUAAGUUACCUAUGCAUGGUACUGCCCAGUGCAUAGCUAACUUAGGAGUGCGAUCUCUACUGAAACUGGCGAGUUAGGGCCUUCAUACACCUUCCCUGUGGUCUCGUCGGCCGCCUUCAUAAUCUGCUUCUCCUUCAUCUUCGGCGAUGUGCUUGUUCUGGCGAUCUCCGAUUGCUUGGUCGCCUGAGUCUGCAUCUGGCGACUCCAUCCUCAACCUGGCGAUCGCCUAUUCUGGUAAACUGGAAGUCGGAACACGCCAACUUAACAAUCGGCGACUACACGUGCCUCCCGACUUCCUUCCUAACUGCCAACCUGGCGCCUUGUCAACACGCCUACACUGUAGCAGGGUGCCACGUCAUCAUACCCGACCACCAGGGCGGUACAUUUAUAUUCUUUGAACUUCAUUUAUUUUUCUUCCUUCUACCUUUAACUUUCAAACAAAUGAAAUGAAUUAAUCUUAUGUAAAAAGUUAAAUCUCCCUACAUUUCAUUGUUAAAUAUUAUUUCAUAUAUUUUUAAAUUAAUUAUUUUAUAUUAUUACUUCAAUAAAUAUAUAAUAAAAUUUUAUACAUUAAAUAACUCUUUUGUGUUAAUUAAUGCUUAUUAAUUAUAAAUAUUAUAUAUAUAUAUAUAUUUAGAAUAAAUUUUUCAGCUAUAUUAUUUAUUUUACCCCUAUAAUAAUAUACAGAUUUUAUUAACAAAUUAUUUUAAUUAUUUAAUAAAUAAUUAAAUUAUAAUUAACAAUAUUUGAAAUCAUUACUUUAAAUUUUUAAGAAAUCUAUACUUUCUAAUGUAUUUUUUACAAGUUGUAAAUUCAAAUUCAUACAUUAUAUUAUUAAUUACAUUAUAAAUUCAAAUUCACAUUCCAUAUUAUUAAUUACACAUUAGUUUUAUUUUUAAUUUAUACUAACAAUCCUUAAUACAAAAUAAUAUUAAUCAAUUUUAAAUUAAUAUUCAUUUAUUCAUUUUUAAAAUAUAUAUUUCAUUUUUAGCAUUUCAAAUUACUUAUAUUAGCUCUCGUUACUUCCGUUAAUAUAUUAUUAUUCUUAUUAAUAUGUUUUCGCAUACUCUUUUAAACUACUCUCAACAAUGAAUUUAAAUAUUUAAUACUUUUAUUAUGCUUUAUUUCAAAAUCACUAUCUUAAUAUAAUAUAUAUUUUUUUUAAUUUUCUUUUAUUUCUAUUAACUAAUUCCUCUAAUUAUAUUGUUUUUGUUUAACCAUUUUUUUAAAAUUUAAUUCAUUAUUUAAAAAACAAAAUUUAAAUAUAAUUCUUUUUAAAUACCACCGGUUUUGUGACAUGAGAUUUGCAAGCUUUAAAAUCUGGAUGGGUUUAUAAUUAGCAUUGAGUUAAUUUGGAAAAUAAUUUUUUUUUCCAUUUUUGUGGUAGAUUUUCAUUUUCUGCAAUGAUUGUUAUUCAUGAUAAAAACAUGAUUAGUUGUUCUAGUUUUAAUAACUAAUUAAGAAUACCGAACACAACUACUGUGAACCAACCGGUUCGGUCCCAAUCCAGCAACGUCGGUGUCCCAGCCACGUGGCAUUCGUCUUCACGCCCUUCAAAAAUAUCCCGCAUUUUGUUCUGCUCUCCACCUUCUUCUUACUUGGCCCUCGUGUUCCCUUCUCUCUCACACACCCAAGCUUUAAACUUUCUCUUCUCUCUCCCACUUCUUCCAACUGGGUCACUGUAACUCACUCUAACUCGCUCCAACUCGGUUCAGAAUCGCCAUGAAGAUUCAGUGCAACGUCUGCGAGGCUGCGGAGGCCAAGGUCCUGUGUUGCGCUGACGAGGCCGCACUGUGCUUGGAAUGCGAUGAAAAGGUUCACGCCGCCAACAAGCUCGCCACCAAGCACCAAAGAGUUCCCCUCUCUCUCUCUGCUUCCCACGUGCCAAAGUGUGACAUAUGCCAGGUAUGUAUCUCCUAUUAUUGCUUCUUAACUUUCCUUUCAUGAAAAGGGGAUUUAAUUCUAAUUCAACCCUUUUAAAAUUUAUGGACUUUAAUACUUAUUGCAAAGUGAGUUUAUCAUUUGUGUGUUAUAAUUUGGCUUUAUGUAAGUAAAAUCUUCAACAUUUUAGCUGUUUUUCUACCAUUUCUUUAGUUGUUUUCAAUAAUUAAUGUUUGGAAUCAGUGAACUUAACUGUGCUGGAUUUGUGGAAAAACAACUCAGAAGCCUCUUGUUAGUAGUAUUUGGGUCAUACAUGUUUUGUUCCAUCAAGGUAUUUCAAAAUGUCGGUUUUGUACUGACAGAAAUUAUCAUGUUUGUAGUUCAUAUGUUUACUAAGUCGGUUUUAGUUACACUUAAAAUUUACUCUAACAUUCUUUCAGAUCUUAUCUUUUGGGUUAUAUGCCAAUUGCUAUCAAGUGUUAGGUUCUUUGAAGGUACACAUUGAGAUUUGGCACCAAUGAACGAUAGACAAAAUCAUAUAAAAAGACUAGUACACCACCUUUAACUCAAAAUUUUAAGGAAAUAAUUUGAGUCUUUCUACUACUUAUAUAUUGUUUGUCUAAUUCAUUUUUAAUUUAAGACUUUUAAUUUACUUCGAAUUCCUAACUUUCAAGUUGCUAUUAAACUAUCUACAAAAAUUUAAUUUCAUAUCCAGGUUCCACUAAGUGGGUGCCUAAAAUAUCUAAUUUCAUUCUGGGGCAAUAUUCUCCAUAUCCAGGUUCCACUAAGUGGGUACCUAAAAAUAUCUAAUCUCAUUAUGGAGCAAGGAACCUCUCUAACACACUUUUCCUAAUACCCCUUCUUGUUGAUCAAAAUUUAUUGGAAACUACACAAUCAUGAAGGGGGUUCGUUAAAUAUGAAGUGAGACCUAUAAAAUUUUUGUGAUUGUCAAUAAACUGCAGUCAAUUAUGAAUAACGUUGUUAAAUAUUGGGUUGUUAAGUAGCAUACCUCUUCUGGAUAAAUGCAGGGACUAACAGUGUAUUGAAUUAUUUUAGGAACUAAAAGUAACAGUUCCAAAAUAAUUUUUUUACAAGGUUACUUACUAGUUACCAUUGCUGACUUGUAAGUUGUAACCAUUUGUGCUGCUAACUAAAUGGAUGUUCUUUCUUGUUAAAACAAGGAUUAAACUUUGAUUCAACUGCUUCAGGGGACUUCACUUUCAAUUUAUGAGCUUUUAUGCGUUUAGUGACCUUGAUGUUGUUCAGCUCUAAAUGCAGUUAUUAACUUUCCCUUCUUUGAUUGAGUUGAUUAAGCUACUAUUUUACAGUUAUAGUGUAUUAGUAAACAUUUGUAGAUAGAUAUGAUAAACUCUUCAUGGAAGAUCUAGUCUCAAAAAUGAAUUUCUCGUUGGAGCUUUGAAAUUUUUUUUCCUUACCAGGUUCAUUUAUCUUUGAUUUUAAAUUGGCAUUUUGAGGAUUUUUUGUUAACAAAGUUCCUUCUGUUGUUAUAGAAAUGGUUUAAUUGUGUUUUCUUUCUGGAUUUAAAUUACAAUAUCAUCCUUUUCUAGAAAUUCGCUUUGUUUUUUUGUAUUUUGCUGAAUUUUGUCAAACCAAAUUAUUUGUUCUUUGAAUCUGUGGUUCACUAUUUGGCAUUGUUACCAAGAGAGAAUUUUCUUGAUUUGUUAGAUGUUCCGGUUCAGUUACAUAUGAGUCUUUCAUUAUUUUGGAUUGCUUGUGAUGCUAAUGUGUGCUAUUCACCGUACAGGAAAUGGUUGGUUAUUUCUUCUGUUUAGAGGAUCGGGCUUUGCUAUGUAGGAAUUGUGAUGUAUCUGUUCACACUGCUAAUGCCUGUGUCUCUGGUCAUCAAAGGUUUUUGCUUACUGGUGUGAGAGUAGGCCUUGAAGCUACUGAGUGUGGUGCUUCCUCGUCCUCUGUCAAGUCACAAUCUGGGGAGAAAACAUCUGAUGCUAAAUCUUCAUCCAUCUCCAGAAAUGUCUCCUCCCUGCCUCAGCCAUCAAAUUUCAAUGAAGUGCUACCCUCCCAAAUGGGAGCAUUUGAGGACUUUCCACCAAACAAGGUGUCUUAUGGUGGUGGUUAUACUGCUGGAAACGUCUCACAAUGGCCCAUGGAAGAAUUUCUCGGGUUAAACGAAUUCAGUCAGUAUUAUAACUAUAUGGAUGGAUCAUCUAAGGUAUGCUUUAAGUUGCAAUGAAGUCUAUUCGUCUUGUGUAGUUUUGUGGAGAUCCUACAUCUACUAGAGAUGAGAUCAAUUUAUAGUAUAUAAAUGAGUACAAACUCACCUUAUUAAGUUGGUUUUGUAUCAGAUCUUAUCCUAGCGAAGUUUAUACAAAUGGUGCAAAUCUCAACUAUGUUAGUGCCCCAAUCCAUGCUGUAAAACCAAUGUACAAAAUUUGACCUAUGAGAAAUUCAAAAUCCUGUACUAGUGUUCUAGAUAGAGGAAUUUAGGUGCUCAGUGUUCACAUGAUGCCUAGUUGGAUUUCUGUAAGAUCUUCAUGAAAAUCUGCUAAACUCAGUACUGUAAGCUGUAAAAUUUAAUGUAAAUCAUACAGAACUAUGCAAUGACUAUCUUUUAUGGAAAUUCAUGAGUAGUAAGGAGUAUUCCUGUUGAUUUUGACUACCACAAAACGUCUGAUAUUAUCAGUAAGAGAAUGUGAGAUAGUUGAUAUAGUUUAAAAGACAUGCACUUGUCAAAGGCAGAUGUAUUCCAAUGUUUUAUUUAUCAAACAUCUCUUCUUGUGCUUGUAAUCUUAAUCAGUUGUCUGCUCUUUUUCCAUGUAUUACUAGCUAGGGAUUAUGCAUUGUUUCUACACCUAUAUUUUACCCAAACUAGUAUCCAAGUUGAUGUAUUUUGACUUUGUUUUGAGAUUGUAAAUGAAGUGGCAUUCAUACUUGUCAACAAUCUUGAUGUUGGCUUGAUAUGGUUAUCCAUUAUCUAUUAUUCUUGAUCUCAUCUCGUCCCAAUGAAUCUCUGCAGGCUGACAGUGGUAAACCUGGGGAUUCUGAUUCUUCAGUUUUGAGGUCUAUUGAAGAGGAAAUGGAUGAUGACUCCUUCUUGGGGCGUGUCCCAGAUUCAUCCUGGACAGUUCCUCAGAUCUCUUCCCCUCCUACGGCUUCCGGAUUACACUGUCCGGAAAUCCGUCGGUAUACAUCUGACAAUGCUAUGUUUGUUCCUGACAUAUCCUUUUCUGACGUCCGGCGGCAGCCUCACCAUGUUCUUCAUAACUCUAUUCAUUCAAAACGGAGGAGGAACCUAUAAUUUGAUCACUUUCACUAGCUUGGUAUGUUAAAAAGAUUUUUAUCUGUUAGAGAUGGAGUGAGGUUUUGAAGUUGUAUCCUUCUUUAGAGCAUUUGAAAUUCAUUUUGCUACAACAUGUUUCUUGUAUUCAUAGCAGUCCUCAAUUUCUUUUUGGGAGUGAAUCACUGAACUCUUCAUCUGUUGUUGGAAAUUUGACAAAGAAAGUAGCUGUAACACCAUUUUUAAAGGCUUUUCUCAUUGUUUGUUCAUCAUAGAUAUCCAUUCAACAUAUGCUGGUUCUUGUAAGGGUGUUCUUUGAAGUAUGUUUGGAUAAAUUUCUUCUAGAUAAAUGUUUAGAAGAGAAAAAUACCAAAGGAAAUGAAAUGAUUCUUAAAAUUGAAAUUAGUUUAUGCAUAAAGUUAAAUUAGUAUAAAUAUAAGUCAAAAGAUAAAAAAGUUAUAUAUGUUGUGUAUGUAACUAAAAAAUUUAUAAGAUAUGUAUUUGAUAAUAAAAUUGUUGAACUAAUUUAUAAAUGGUUAUAUAUAUUAUUGGUUAUUAACUAAAUUCAAGAUAUUACUAAUAAGAAUUUAAACCAAAUGUUCUAUCUGUAUAUGUUUAUUUAAUAAUGAAUUGUCAUGUAAUAAAAUUGUUAUUUCUUUUGUAAAAACUGUAAAAAAAAACAUAUCUUUAGAUUAAUACUGUGUCGAAUUUAAAAUAUUUUUAGAAGUUCCCUUUUUUAUAAAAAUGAAUUUUUUUAAAAACAAUAUGAGUUUAAUUAAACUUUUCCAGAGGAAUAAAAAUUACACCAAACAAAAUACACUUAUUAAGAUAUAUUUAGUUAACUUAGUUAAAAGUUAAAAAACUAAAAUAUAAUUAAAAGUUGGUAAUUACAACUAUUAAGUUACCUUACUAAAUUAGGACACAAAUCAUCUCUCAUUUUUCUUUCUCACAUGUUUCACCAAUAAAAUUUGGCAAUUAAUUAAAAAGUAUUCUUUUAAUCUUUUUCAUACUCUUUUUAAGGGGAAGUUUCAUAAUUAAUUACUUUUAUGGAGAAAGUGUGUCGCCUAUUAUACUAUGGUUAAUAAUGUCAUGAUUAAAAUAUACAAUAAAUUAGAAGUCUUUAAAAUAAUAAAAAAUAAAACAAAUCUAUAAUCACUCUAUAUAAAUGUCUAAAAGUGUAGUAAAAUAAAUAUUUUAAAUAAUAUAAUAAUUAAAAUAAUUAUGUAAUAUAAAAGUAUCCCAAUAAUAAUAUCAAUAUACUUAACUUUUUUUAAUUAUGAAUAUACCUUAUUUAUUAAAAAAAAAUUAAAAGAAAAUAGACUUAUCUUAUGUGAAAAAAAUAUUGAAAAUAGUGAAGUAUGUUUAUAUAAAUCGAUGAAUAAAAAAAAUAAUGUAUAUGAAAAAAGUAAAAAACACUUAAUAAACAUUGUAAUGAAAAAAUUGAAUUAAAUAUAAGAAGUUAGAAAUUAGUGUUCAAAAUAAUAUAAUACUCCAAGCAACGUUUCAAAAAAAUGUCACAAGUUACUUGAAAUUUUUUGUUUACCAAAUAGUACUAAUAAUGUAUAUUUAAUUUUUUUUCAAUUAGUAGAAAAAAAUAGAAACGAUGAAACUAGCCUUUGUAGUUUUCUUCAAAUAUUUUAAUUUGCAACUUUUUAUAUCUUUUAAACCUUACAAUAAUGCAUGGAAAUGAGUAUUUUUUACAAGAAAUCUAAUAAACUAUAAACUUGAUUACAUAUAUUUAUAACUAUUUACUUUUAGUUUUGAAAGGAUUUUUUUUAAUUUCAUAUUUGUGUUUUAUAUUAAAUUUCAAGGUGUCAAACUGUUGUCAUGUGUUGUGUUGGUCGAUAAGUGUUGUUUUGUUAUUAAUUUCUCUUUGUCUCCAUUUUUCAAAUAUUUUUUAUUUUUAUUUUUGAAGAAACAUUAUAAAUAGCUGGUUUUUUAGGUUAUAUUCUAUUUUGAAAUACCUAGCAAAUUAUUAUAAUAUGUUUGGACAGGUUUUACAUCUGUUUUCCUAACAAAAGACAAAGUGUCAGCAUCAUAUGGAGGACCAAUCUAGAAUGAGACAUGAAGACAAAAUUUUGAUGAUUAUGGGAAAGUUUGUGCAAACCAAAUACGUGAAAUUGUCGAAACAUGUCUCUACAACAUCACUUCCUCAUUAAAAAAAACAUCUAAGCAGAACNNNNNNNNNNNNNNNNNNNNNNNNNNNNNNNNNNNNNNNNNNNNNNNNNNNNNNNNNNNNNNNNNNNNNNNNNNNNNNNNNNNNNNNNNNNNNNNNNNNNCGUCACUAUAUAUAUAUAUAUAUAUAUAUAUAUAUAUAUAUAUAACCAAUCCUAAUGAAUAUUUAAAACUAAUUUUUAUGUUUAAACAAUAUCUAAAUCAAGGUUAAGAAUGACAUAACUUAACUUCAAAGAGAAGGUUAUUCAAAGGGAAGACUAGCACAAUUAAAAGAUUAAUUAAUAAUAUAAAUAGAUAACUAUUUUAAGGUAUUUAUUAGUGAUAUUAUUGUUCAUUUAUUAUUAUGUAUUGGUUGUGAUAUUUGUAUAUUGAUCUGAGUGUUAAGAGUGUUUUUAUAGGUAUAUCGCCUUUCUAAGAUUGAGAUGAAGAUUUGUCAAUGACUUCCAUGCACCCUAAUGUUAUGUCAAUAGAUGGUGUAGUCUUUGCUUCAUAGUGAAUGUACCAGAUGAUCCAAAGUGAAGAACGAACGUGAUAGAAUAUGUCAAAAGUGUUAAGACGUUGUUCAAGGAAGUGAUAGAAGUAGUCAAUAGAAGCAAGUGUUAGAUGAUGUCAAACACUAAAAACUCACACUUCAACAGAGAAGAUUUGACAAAUAACAUUACCAGAAGAAUAAAUUGGACAAAGUCCUAUACACCGUCCAACAUUCAAUACAUCAGAUGAUGGUUGAAAUGCACCGCAUCAGAGGAUGAUGCACUUUGAACGUAACAGAAGGUCAUGCUUCUGAAAUGUGUUGGGCGAUCAAAUAAUAGGAAAAUUUCCAAACUUUUACAUUGUAUAAUUAUUCCUGAAUGUUUUCUAAUUUUUUUUUAUAUGAUUAGUUUAUAUAAAUCAAAUAUUUAAUCAAAAUGAGUUUAUUAAUUUGAUAUAGAAAGUUUUUUAAAUAAAUAGUUUUAAUUGGAAAGUGAAAAACAGAACACGCAUAUUUACUACAUUAAAAGUUUUUGAAAAACAUUUUAAGGAAUUAAAAAUGUGUGCUCUAUUUUUCAACUUAAGAUAUUCAGUCUACAUGUGUCCAUGUUUCUUUUGUUCAUAGCGAACAAUAUCUUGCAAACCUUCAUCCUUCCUUUCUGUGUCGUCUUGUGUCUAUUUGGAAUUUGGGAGAGACCCAUGACUAUGCAUAUGCACAGAAGAAACCCGUGUGGAAAAUGAUACUCAGAUUCAGCUCGCCUCCCUCCUCAUAUAAAGACCGAUGCGAAUGGUAACGACACAUGACAAGAUAAGGACGACCGAAAAGCUCAACUCUUUAAUCACUCUACAACCUAGAAAAGCCUUUAAGCCAGAACCCAUUUCUAUUGUUAGGAAACCUCUUGUUUCCUUGUUUUCUUUGCUUCAGAAUCUGCUUAAAAUUUUGAAACAUGAGUGAUAUUUCCUCAUCGAUUGAGUUUUCAUACUCAACCUCGGACACAUCCACUUUGUCUUCUAGAUCAUUGAGACCUUUAGUCUCCUUUCUUCUAAUAGGUGUUGACUUAACUUUAUCUUGAAGACCUUCGUCAGAUGAAGUUGAUGCUUCCUUUAGUUUCGACCUUGUAAGUGAACUUCAUGCACUCUUAGAAUUCUGAAAAGCUAAUCCCAUAUGAGCUUUUUUUUAAGUGUUGAGCCUUUGUUAUGGUCAUUGUUGCUAAACCCUUUGGAACGCAACCACUCUUGCUAAACCACUUUGUUUAUACAAAGGUUGUGAUCUAAACGAUUACAAGUUUCGCUCACUAAAAUAAAUUUAACAUCCUAAGAAAAAUUCAAGAUUGAGCACACUCUUCUAGAUAUGAACACAUCAUUGUUCUUUCUCACAAAUUGAAAGCUUAAGAAUUUCUAAAGAUAAAGAGAGCUUGUUUAUAGAUAUUUUUGCUGUUGUCAAUCUUUCUUCUUUAAAGAGAACUUUUUUACAAAGAGUUGAGAAGAAAAGAGUUGUUGCAAAUAUUUUUUUGAGCCAUUGUGAGACAAAUAAAAGUUCUUCUUCUUCAACUAUCAUAUGUCCAUGUUUUAAACUUUUAGCCACAUUAAAUGUUCUUCAUGUAGCAUUAACUGCAUGUUGUGAGACAAAUACAACUAUUGUAUGUUCACGUUUUAAACUUUUAGACACAUUAAAUGUUCUUCAUGUAACCUUUAAUUCAUGUGGCCUCUUUACUCAACCUCUAUAAUACAUGGCAUUAUAGGCCUAGCCAGGGUAGCUUUUUUCCUCUUCAUCAAAAAGCUUGGGUCUAACAUAGUUGGCUGACUCCUAACAUUCAGCCUGUUCAGAAUUAUUUUUUUGGCAUAAAAUAGCUUUAAACACACCCUAUAAGAUAUCUUAAUGUAGACAUUUUAUUAUGAGCUUUUGAGAAAAAACGAAGAGACAAAUAUUCCCUGCAAAUAGAAAACAAACAUUUAUAUGUGUAUUAUGAAAUGCUUAAGGUUUAUCAUCUCUCAAAUGAAAUACAUAACAAAUAAUGUUUGCAUCUAACAAAAUACUUAUAUAUCUUUAAAAAAAAUCACUUGCAUUUAAAUCCUUAUGUUCAUUAAAUUAUGUUUUAUAUUUUAUUAUUUAAAUACAAGAUCAAAACCAAAUUAAAAGGACAAUUGAACUACGAUCGAUCUAACAAAUAAGAAUGUAUCACAAAUGUUACAUCACAUGACAUAGAAAUACUAGAUGAUAUUUCAUGUGAUGAGAUAAUAUUUAUGUAAUUUUAUAAUUUAAAAAAAGUUGAAAUUUAAUUUGUAAUUUUUUUAAGAUUUUUAUAUUAGUAAAAGUAACAACUUGACGAGUGAACAAAUAAGGAAAAAGAAAAUGGUAAAAACACAUUAUUUAAGGAAAAAUAACUAAGAAUAUAAUUAGAGAAAGGUAUAAUUAUUUUUUUUCCCUACAUUUAAAACCAAUAUUUAAUUUAAUAUAAUGGUUUUUAAAAAAAAUCAAUUUAGUUCCAAGAUUUUUUUAAAAAAAUCAAUUUGGUCUCUUCCACUAAAUUCUCAUCAACGACUAUUAACGGUUAAUGACGUGACACACUAAUAUUAAUUUAGGGUUUAGGUCACAAAUGGGGAGUUAAGGCUAUAGUCUUAUAUCUCAUUAAUUUUUCACAUUCUUCACCAUUAAUUCACAUACAUUACUUACUCCCCCUUCUAAAAGGUCUCCUCUUCUCCCUUCCCUUUAUUUACUCUGUUCUCCCUCUUAUUGUCCGAAAUGAAUGCUCUCUCAUCCCUUUUCCGCUUUCCCCUCUCUCCAUUUCUUCACACCCUCCCUCCCUCCACCGUCAAUGCUUUACUACCCCAACAAUCUAACACUUCCCCAAUAUGAUUACGCCACCCAACAAGUACACACACCACACCAAACUACUCAUACAUGAUGGAGAGUCAGAAGGAAGGUCUAGUGACUGAGCUGGGGAAGUUGCAGCAGAUGGAGAAGAAGCUGGACCAGGGUGCAGGUACUGGUGCUACUGCGGGCAGUGAUGGUGGGGCGGUUGUGGGAGUCUGCAAAAGAAAUUGCACUGCAGAAGAACCCAUGCUGUGAGUAACGAGAACAAAAACAUAAAAACUGAAGCUAGCUGCUGCAUGGUGCCAUUGGUGCUUCUUCAAGGUGAAACCCCAUGUGCUAGAACAACCUCUCGUUAUCAUAACAUUAGGAUUUUAAAUAUCUUUUCAUCAUCAAAACAGUAUAACAUAUAGGUUAAAUUAUUCAUGCAAACUCUUGUUAUUUUUUCUAUUUCUAUAUAUUUUUUUAAAAAAAUUAUAAACUUUAAAUGGUAGAAACUAAAACAAUGUGUAUAAGAAUGGAAAAAUACAAAAAAAAAGUCAAUAACAAAAUAUUUUUAUACAUUUCUCUUUUAAUAACAUUUUUUUAUUUUAAAAAAAGUAAACCACUAAAUGAUUGUAUUAAUUGUAUUAAUUUUGAUAUGCAGUUAAGCAUAUAUAUUAUUCCUUCAAAUAAAUAGAGUUCUCCAUGAGAGAAAAAUAUUAAAAAAACAUUUUUUUUAUAAAUUAAGUUUAGUUUAUAUAAGUUAAAAGCAAAAAUUUAAAUAAAUUAUGAAAAAAAAUCUAUAAAUUAAUUUUAAUUUAUAAAAGAGUUAUGUUUUUCUUUUUAACUCUCUUCUCCAAAAAUUCUACCCACAGCAGUGCCAGUACCUACACCCACCGCACCAGCAACUCCACCACCAUCAUUUUCAGGGAUGAGAGAGAUAUUCCUUUGGGACAUUAGGAGGGAGAAGGAGGGAGAAGAGAAUAAAUAAAGGGAAGGGAGAGGGAGACGUUUUAGAAGAGUGAGUGAGAAAUAUAUAUGAAUUAAUCAUGAAGAAGAAGAAGUUGGGUGAAAAAGAAGUUGGACAAAGAAGGUGAAAAAGAAGUUGGACAAAGAAGGUGAAAAAUUAAUGGAGACUGUAGCAUCAUCGCACAUUGUGAAAACUUAACAAAAAUAAUUAAAUUGAACCUUUUUAAAAAACCUCAAAUUCAAUUUUUUAAAAAUCAUUAUAUUAAAUUAAAUAUUGACAGCAAAUGUAGGGAAAAAAAUAAUUAUACCUUAGAAAAAAUGUUCUUAUUUACAAAAAUUAGUUUCUUUAGUUGUAUUUCUUGGACCUCUACAAAAUGUUCAAUUUCAAAUUGUAAUGAAGUUACCAAUUUAAAAUUUCGAACACUGUCAUAUAACUAAAAGUGACAACUUGAACGAGAAUAAAGAAAAAGUGUAAAAACACAUUAUUUGAAGAAGGAUAACCAGAGUAUAACAAGAGAGAAUAUUCUUAUUCACAAAAUUAGUUUCUUUAAUCAGGGUUAAGCCUCUUUUGUGCAGAAAAAGUAGUAUAAGAAAAAAUUAACAGAAAAUCAGAACCUUAAUGUAGCAAAACCUCGAAACAGAGCUUCAUAAAUAUAGAACAGAAUACAGUAAUACAAUAAAGCCGGAUAUCAUUAGGUGAUAAUUAAAUCAAAAGACAGAUUUGACAAUACGAGCCAUUGUUCUUGAAAUGCAGGAAGAAGGUCCCAAUUAGAAGGUAACCUACUAGUCAUGACAAUACAUAGCCAGCAUUUUUUAUGCCAAAACAGUCGUAUUAAGAUAUAACAAAACACAAAUAUUAUCAAGGACAAAACUUAAGGUUAAUACUUUACAUGUUAUUGUUGUUCUCCAGUCAAAAUUGACGUUUUACUUCACUAAUCUAAGCAGGAAAAGUCAGCACUAAAUGUUGGUGGUGCUGGUUAUAGAAAUGAAACUCAAACUUAGAAUAGAGAAUCACACCAAAAAUAUCUAGGGUAGAGUACACCUACGUCUUGCCUUUAUUAUAUAGGAGUUCACUGUUCUAUUUUUAUACUAUCUUUGUUAUAACAAGGGUAUCUCUCCAUAACAUAUAUCAAGAGACAUGGCAUGGCAUAUUUUGUUUUGUAAUUACAGCAUCAAUCAAGCUAUCACCGGCAUGAAUCAAAUAAAACAGAUAAAUGAUUAUAUGUUAAUACAAUUACUCACAGAACUAUGGCACCCAAAUAAUAUCAGAUCCAUCUACAGUCCUACUGCAAACACUACUUCUACAGCAAUACAAAAUACGUUUAAAACUGAGCUUCAAAGGGAGAGAAGAAAAGAAAACCUUCAAUGAGAAACCAUCCCUUCAAUCGGAUCUUCUGUCAAGCCUCCUCAACCAAACUCACUAGCAAAGUGUCGCUUCACACUCAUUGAUGAGCAAAUUGCCAAUACACAGUAUACUUUCAGCCUUCCAGACACUGCUUAGGAUUUUGAAGACUCGGCCAAAAUCUUGAGUUCUUGAUUUCUUAUCAGGGGGCUGAAAUUUAAAUAACAAAAUUUUCUUCAUACCCUUUGACCACUUCUGACAUCUAACCUAUUUUUGUUAUUUUAAACAUUUUAUCCACAGCUUACACUCUAGGAUGCACCGGUGCUGAAAAAAUGUUGUGUGCAGCUUGAGUGUUCCCUAAGUACUUCUAUUUUUGCCCAGUUUGAUGCCCAAUAAGUAACUAUACCUUGACACUGAAUCCAAAGUUACUCGGAUAUACAGGCUGAAUAGAAUUAAUUUAGCAUCAUUCAACAUGAAACAGUACACAUUUAACUUAAAAUAUUAGAUCUUCAAAGUAUCUUCCCUCAACUCCUUGCCUGUGUGCUUGAAACCUGAAGCAAUGGUGUGACCCCAAAUAUGGUCGAUCAGGUUUGCAACAUUACAGAAGCCAAAUAAGUCUAAAGUAACUUCCCCCAGACAUUCAAUCCAAAGUUACUUGCCGAUUUGAUUAAGAAUCUUUCAAAGUGAGACAACACACAUUUGGAUUAAAAUAGUAUAUCCUGAAAUUAUCCAUAUACAACCCAUAGAACAAAUCUUCAGGGACAAAACAUUGAGUCUACAGAUCAGAAACUCAAUAUAAUCAGCUGUCGAAGAGUGUUUGGAAUUUCACUCGCUUUUUAACACUACGCAUUCGAUCAUACCCAAUACCAAUCUUGCUAUGCAUUAACUUAAUCGCUAAAUCUGCAUUACCAGCCUUCCUCAAGGCAUUGAUCAGCACAGUCCGAACCUUUCCUGGUAUUUCCCUGCCCCUAUCCACAAUCCCAUCAGCCAAUUUGCAGGCCUCCUUAACACGGCCAGCCUUGCACAGCACACCAAUCAUGUCCUCAUACGCUCUCUCCAGAACAAUCCCCAUUGGGGCAAGCUCAUCCAACACCCUGCAAGCUCUUGCAACCUUGCCUGAAAGACACAGCCCAAAUGAAAGAGCCCUGAAACAUGCAGCAUUCGGCGUGACACCUUUGUCGAUCAUCUCCUCCCACAGCUUCAAAGCUUCCUCGUUCCUCCUCUCCUUGAAGAGCUCACUAAUAAGUAUAGUAAACGUAUAAACCGUGUGCUCACACCCCUCUUGCUCCAUCCGCCUAAACAACAUCAGAGCCUCAUCAACCCUCCCACUCUUGCACAAACCAUCCAUGAGAGCAUUGUAACAAUACGAAUCCGGCGGACACCCCUCUUCCGCCAUCUCCUCAAACAGCCUCUCCGCCUCAUCCACCCUCCCAACCUUCCCAAGCCCAUCAAUCAAACUCGAAUAAAACACAGCAUUCACAGCCACACCAUUACCCUUACAAAACCUAUAAUAAUCCAUGGCCUCCUCCACUUUCCCACUCUUGCACAAACCACCCACAACAGCCCCAUAAGUAACCUCAUCAGGCUCAACUCCAUCCACCUUCAUCCUCUCCAAAAACGAGAGCGCCACAUCCAUGUUCCCGCUCUUGGCAUAACCAUCAAUUAUGGCAGUAUACACAGCCUUGUGAGCUACACAGCCUUUCUUAACCAUACUCUCAAACACAGAACAACCCUCCACAACCUUUCCCUGCUUACACAACCCACAUAUUGUUAAACUAUACGCGUGAGAAGGGAUUUUCGUUACCAACACUUCAUCCUCCUCCAUCUCAUGGUACAGACUCACACACGAAUCCAUGUCACCCUCAUUGUAACACGCCUGCAUCAGGGUCAUGUACGUGACCUCAUCGGGUGGCACGUUUCCAGCCUCCAUUUCGCGGAGCGUGGCCAAAGCGUUCCGCGUUCGCCCGACCUUGCAGUAGCCUUUGAGGAGCGUGUUGUAACUGACGAUGUCGGGUUUGGGCGAGGCGCUUUCCUGCAUUGAUUUGAAUACGCGCUCCGUGGAGUCGACGAGGGAGGCGUUGACGAGGGCGUUGAGGAGGAAGUUGAGGGUGUGGAGGGAGGGGAGGAGGUUGUUGGCCGUCAUGGCGCGGAACAGCCAGAGGAGGUCGUGGAGGAGGCCGGCGGCGGCGAGGGUUUUGGCGAGGGAGUGGGCGGCGGGGAGGGUCAUGGGGAGGUUGGCGCGGCGGAGGGCGUCGAGGGCGGGAGGGAGGGAGGAGGGGGGAAGGAGGUGGAGGAGGGAGACGUGGCAGUCGAGGGAGUGGGAGUAGUUGGGCUGUGCGGCGGCCCAGGAGAAGAAGCGCGUGGCGGUGAGGUGGUCGGAGAGGGAGCGGAGGGUGUGGGAGAUGAAGGAGGGGGAGAGUGUGAUGAGGUAUUGGCGGCAGAAGAAGUCGAGGUUGGACUCCAUGGAAGGGGACCCGUCGAGGAGGGAGAGGAUUUGAGGGACCCACGGAGAGGUUUGAGGGGAGGAAACGACUUCGGAGAGGUUGCAGAAGGGUUCCACCACCUCGCGCGGCGGAGGGAGGGGUGCGCUGAACGAGCGUCGUGCAUUGUGGCAGCGCAAAGGGUAAACUCGUUUGAUCAGGGCAAGGUGGGCUCUUCUCAUCACUCUACUCUCUUGUCGGAUUUCCCGCAGAAGAAAAAGCUGCGUUUUUAUUCUCCUCUUAAGUGUUUGUUAAUUUGGUUCUUUACUCGUAAGAUGGACUUGAAUUUUUUAUUUUUUUUUCAAUUUGAUAAAAAAGUAAAAUAUAAAUUUGUUUGUGUUUAAAAAUAAUUAAAAAAUAAAUAUAAUUUAUUUAUGUCCUUUUAGUUGUUUGUAGUUAAAUAUUUGAGUUAAAAAAAUACAAAUUAUAUAAAAUUGUCACAAAUGAAAAAAAAAAUUGUUUCAAUUAAAAAAAAAUAUAUUUAUAAUUGUAAAAUAUGUAGGUGAAAAUGCAAUCAAUUUUAAUAAGUUAAAGCAUAAUUGAUUUGUAAACUACAUACAAAAGGAUACAAAAGGAGUAGUUGAUAUUAAAACAAUGUCUUUUGAAAAAAAUAGCUAUCAUAUAGUCAAAUAUUUAUCAUUAAAAAGAGUUUCGAAAAUAAUGAAGUUCAUGUUGAAGCUAGUCAAUUCUUUUAUGGAUCCUGUAAUUUUUGAAUGUCAUUUCAAAUUUGUGGUAUUAUUUCAUAAUGAUGAGGGAUUGGGGACUGAGGUGCAAUGCCUUAAUAUGGUCGUUGAUAUUGUUGGGUCUUGCUCAUCUUGGUCAUCCUCAUGAUUUCUACCAUGUUGUUAGACACCAUUUACUUUAUAGAUAUUCAACUUGUUUCAAGGAUUUUUUUUCGAGAUAAAAAUAGUGUGACCAUCCUAGCUUGACAGUUACAUCAAUCGAUAUGUCUACGUCACACAGUCAUGAUCUGUGUGAUAAGAAUGUCGUAAGGAAGAGGCAUGGUGUUGUCUUGACAUUUCAUCGUGUGUUGUAUGAUAUAAUAGAUCAAUUAAUUAAUAUAUUAGUUUUUUGGCUCAUAACAUAAAAGUAUUUUCAUGCAACAAUUGAAAAAAAUUGCUUCCCUAAAGACUCAAGAUGUGCACAAAGGUGUAAUGAAGUAGUAUGUCAUUCAUGUUCAAACUACCUACAUUCCUCGCAUUUUGACCAUGCAUGUCUGGUCUAAUCGUAGUUGCCAAUGUCAUAUCACGAUCAUAGUUAAGGUCAUUAGGGAUGUUUGAAGAACUAAAUUUCUGACCCUUGAUAUUUCUAAUGAGCCAAAGUAUCCAAUCUGAAGGUGUUAUUACAAUCAUCUUAUAGCUAACCUUAAUAAAAAGGUUACCAUCAUAUACGAUAUUUAGAUUUGAAUCAAACACUCUAAUAAGAUCUUCAAAAUAUGGAGCUUUUAGCAUUAGAAAAUGUUUUAAACCUUAGAAUUGCAAAUGAUGUUGAAACUCAAACUCUAACGACGCAAAUAAGGGAAAAUUCAUGAUAUUAGUUGUGAGAGCUUCUCUGGCAUAAAACCUCUUCAUGUACUCUAUCAUCUGCUCACCUUGACUAAAAUAAUGUGUCUGAUUUAGUAUGUCCUCAAUACCUUGGAGUUGUAGAGCAGGAACCGCAACAUCAGUUGUUGGGGCUUUUCCUUUAUUAUCUCUGCGACUUUGUUGUCUUUUACUUGAUGAAGAAGUCAUGCCUACAAAACUUACUACAUAUGAUGGAAGGAGCCCAUUAACAUUCAAAUAAUAUUAUAUGACAACAAUUUAAGCAAAGAUAUCAUAUAAAAUAAAUAAUGAGAUAGUUGCACAAUAUAUAUUUAAACACUUAAUAGGGUAUUUCAAUUAAAGCAAGUGCUAUAGUGGAGUCAUAUAUUGUAAUGAUUACACUUCUUUCAAUUUGAAUUCUAUUUCUACAAUUUGGUUCCAAUUGAAUUUAGAUUUCACUAGUUAGUUUGUAAGAGAUAAAUCAUUCAGGGGAUUGGUAAAAACAUAAUUAAGUAAAUUACACUUGGAAGGUUUUUAGUGGAAUAGAGUAACAGAAUAUUAUUAAGUUUAUCCCUUACAUUAAAUUUUUAUUGCCAUGAACAGUAAUUAAGAAUCUCUUUGUUCUUAUCUGAGUAAGUAACCUAGUAAGAAAGAUCCUAAUUUAUAGUUUUGUCACUCUAUUUAAUAUUUCUUUGAUUCGUCUUAUGAUAUUUAAUUAUUAUUAAAUGAUUAGUUAAGAUUCUAGCUAGUCUUAUCAUGUUCUAAUACUUAAAUGAAACAACUUGGUUUACACUAUUAUUUUGAAGAAUGUGUUAGACGAAACUAUUCGCUAUAAAAUUUGUUGAACCAAAAACAUCAAAUGGAGUUCUAAGGUUUGUUAUCUUUGAUAGCCUUUUGAUGUUUUGGGCUGAUUGGGCUUGAGUUUAUUUGGUUAAGUUUAGUUCAACCCAAUAGUUAUUUUCUUUCCACACAUCAUGUAUCCUUAUAAGGCUAUUAUGCUAGGUUUACAAUAAUCAAUAAUACACAAAUUAUUUUAUCUUUCUACGUGUCCCUCUUUCACACUCAAAGCAUAUAUCUCUGCCACAUCUUCUUCUUCCUUGAGCCUCUGGACUGUUCAUGGAGAAAAUCAAUAUGGUAUCAGAGCGGGUCUAACCCGCUCUGCUCCGCUACCAUCGGUUCUCUUCUUCCCCUCCAUUCCUUUAAUUUUCCUAUUCCGUUUCUUGUUUUUCUUUGCCCCUUUCCAUGGCUGCGACCCAACAAAAUGAUCAACAAAACCCUAUCAGUGCCUACUAACUUCAUCUAGGAGAAAACCCAGGUGUGGUUCUUGUUGCGCCACAGCUUGACGAAUCCAAUUAUCACUCUUGGAGUCGGUCUAUGAAACGAGCUUUGCUUUCAAAGAACAAGUACAAGUUCGUCAAUGGUGAUAUCUCGGAACCAACCCGUGAUGAUGAAAAUUACGAAGCCUGGGAAAGAUGCAACGUCAUGGUGGUUUCAUGGAUCACACGUACACUGACUACUCAAAUAGCGCAAAGCAUCGUGUAUAUUGAUAAUGCAAAGGAGUUGUGGGAAGAUCUUAAAGAACGAUUCUCAAAAGAUAAGAGAUAUUAGACGAGUAAAACAUUAUAAAACAAGGUAUUAUAUUAAAUUUCAUAUAUAUUAUAUUGAAUACUUAUACGCAUAAAUUAUUAUCUAGUAUAAAAUUAUAUUGAAUGUCAAACAAUAAUUAUAGAAGUUACGUUGAGUCCACUACAAUUAUAUUAUUUUUCUUGUACAAUCUCUCUUUUUCCCUUAUAAGAAAUUAGUUUUAUAUAUUAUUUUCACAUAUUUAUUAUAUUAAAGUAUAUAUUUAUUUUUUUAUGAAAUAUUAAUUAAAAAAUAAAAAUAAUAUAAUUUACAAAAAUAUAUGUAAUUUUGCAAAAAAGAUUACAAAAUUAUAUAACCGUUAUUUUUAAAAACAGAAGUUAUUUAGUUAUCUAAAAAUAAAUAAAAUUUAAUCAACUAUUUAAUUAUUAAAUAAAUAAAUUAUUUUUUUAUUAAAAAAAUUGUUUAAUUAAAAGAUGAUAUAAAAAAAAUUUAAUAAAUGAUGUAUCCUCUUUAAAUAAGGGUAUAAACUUCAUAUUACAAACAAUUAAAAUACCUGUCCUAUAAAUUUUUAAGAUAACUAUGAUAAAAUAUUUAAUAUAUAUAUAUAUAUAUAUAUAUAUCACUUUUUUAACUAAAUAAAAUAUACAAACUUUUUUACAAGGAUAUUUAAAUUAAAUUUAUUUUAUAACCCUUUUAUAUAUCUAUAACAUUAACAAUAUAUAAAAAUGAUAUAUAGUAUACAAUUUCUUAAAUUUUAUCCUUUAAAUAAAUAUUUUUUAAAUUUAAAUAAUUAUUUAUAAUAAAAAACCACUUAUAUAAAUAAAAAUAUCUACAUUAAAUUAAAAAAAUAUUUCUUUUAUAAUUAUUUUUUAUAAUUUAGUAAUAUAUUUUUAUUUCAAUAAUUAUAAUAAUUUUUUAUCAAAAGAUUUUUUUUUAUGUAUUUUCCGUAGUAUAUAAUAUAUAUACACUCACAUUCUCAACUUUGCCCGUUACUCUUCUUUUCUUUCUCUUUUAUGGGUUUUUCAAAGCAUAGAUACUGUGUUGCGCUUCAGUGUUCCCAUUUCAAGUUUUCGCGCCAAAAUUCGUCUUCGAUUCAUCUCUGAAAUUCAAAGCUUCUCUCGUUCCGUCUUCAAUUUAUCGACCAAUCCUGUUAGGUACUGCGCUCUUGAACCUCUGCAAUUGCUCUUGCUAUUACAUGUUCUUCCUUGACGGAAAAGAAGGUUCUGGAGAACUUCUAUAUUUAUAGCUUGAGUUUGCAAAAUUUUGAAAAACAAAAAGAUAUGUUGAACUUUUAGGCGUUUGAUAAAGUCACGGAUUUGGUUCUGCUGGCUGUUUCAGUCACGGUUAUCUAUUUAAAGGAAUUUAGUUGAAGUUAUUUCGUUGUUUGCAUUUGAAAUUCUGAUUCUGGGAGUUAGCGUGUAACUGAAAUUUCUUUUAUUCUACCAAUUAUGAAUGAAAAUAUGAUGCAUAGUCAAUUGAGUUGUUGAUGCGAUUAUUUUGCUUAUUCUACCUCUAUAUCUAGGUCAUUUAAUCCUUUUCUGCUCCCCAUUUAUCUCACAGUAGUUGAUGAAAUAUUUGUUGAUGAUGCAAAGGUGUAUAUUCAUUGGAUUUUUCGGUGUUGUUAUCUCUUUUUCCUCAUUUUUGAUGGUGGAACAUAAGCAUUAUGAAGUCCUUUUGUCAUUACUCUUCAUUCAAGUUUUCGUCUUCCUUUGUGAAACUGCAAUUAUAUAGAGAGUUCAUAAAACUUUAUUGGAAGUUGAAAGUGCUGAUUAGAAGAUAGUCAUUUGUUGCUUUUUGAUUUAUUCAUAAAAAAAGUGACGAAUAAGUUAAUGAGAAAGCGAGAGCAGCUGUUAGCAUUCUGUGUGUGAAUGGGUUUAGUGUGUGAGAACAGAGGAGGGGUUAAUAUUUAGUCAGUUAGGAGCUAGGACUGUGAAUUAGAAUUAGUAAGUUUAUACAACUGAAUAGUACUUCUAGGUUUUCAAGUAUGCUUAUGAAAUUCUAUACACAAUCCUUUGUUUGUAAGAUCUUUGUUAGACAAGGAUCUGGUAAUGAACUGAAAUCAUCGUUGGAAAUUUUCUGCCUUGUAUGAUUUCAAGUAUUUAAUUUUUAUGAUUAAGUAGUUUGUUAUCUGCUUAAUGUAUAAUGUAUCAAUAUUUAUGUGUGCAAGUGUUCUCACAUUUUAACUUAGAGUUGCCCUAUUAUUUAAUGGUACAUUUUCCUAUUGACCUACUAAAAGUCCAACUCUUUCUGUGUUCAACUUGUUAUUUUUAAUUAAGAAACUUAUUGCUUCUUUAGUUGUAGGACUUUUGCAAUGAUAUCAUAGUUAUUAUGUUUUGGUAGAUUACGCUUGCCGUUGAGCACAUAUGCUAGCUCCUUUUCCUUUGUCUGGCUUUAAGUAAAGCCUAGUUUUAUUAUUAUUAAUCCAUGAAGAAACCUGAUGUACUGUUUUGUCUUGCAGUCUUUUUUAAUUCGACCCUUAGACAUGUAUGGUUAAUAUCCAACGGCUGAAAUGAGAUGCAAUGCAUGCUGGCGAGAACUAGAAGGGCGAGCCAUUUCCACAACUUGUGGUCACCUAUUAUGUAUCCACAUGCAAACAGUUUUGACCUCGUGUUCCUCCUUUUUAGUAAAAUAUGAUCAACUUAGUUCAUAUCAAAUUAGGUUGAAUUUCUGCAUGUUUAUCAUUGAAAUGGUUAUUAGUUUUUAUUUAUGUGGUUUCCUUAACACUGUUAAAAGGCACAGAUGAUGCCAAUAAGAUAUUAAGCAAUGACGGAGCAUGUCCUAUUUGUGAUCAAGUCCUUUCUAAGAGGUAUGGAUAUGAUUGGUAUCUGAUUAUAACGGUCAAUUAAUGGAACGAAUCAUCCCUCAGCAAUAUAUACUUUAAGCUUCAUGGAAAUAAUGUUUUAUUAUAGGAGUUAUGCUGAUUAUUUAAUUUUAUUCUACAUUAUAUGCUGUCAAUUUUAAGUUUCAUGGAAAUAAUGCUGAUGUAAGCGGUCAUUUGGUAGCAGUAAUAUCCCCUCAAUAAUUAGUACGUAUAAUUGUGCGGAAAUUUGAUGCUUUGUCUUCAUUUUUAGAUUUUGAGUUGUCAAUUUUAAGCUCAUGGAUGACGUGUUGUUGUCUAAGUUAUAUGUUUCUCCUCUUGUCAGUCUCAUGAAACCUGUGGAUGUCAAUCCCAAUGAUGAAUGGGUCAAUGUAAGUAACUAUUCUCAUGUGCAAUACUUACUACAUAUUACAUAAACCUAAGAUACUCUGUAAUUUGCUGAAUUUCACAAUCUUAUAUCUUCCUUUUCUUUAUUCUCACUAGCUUUGUUGUCAAUUAUUGUGAUUUUUAUGCUGCAGAUGGCCAUGGCAGGAGUAUCUCCACAGAUAUGUAUCCUUUAUGUCUAUUGUGUAGAGGUAGAACUGCGUAAAAAUAUAAAACUAAGGUUAUAUGUUAUAUCCCCUGGACUAUCUAGCAGUCUGAUUAUCGUAAAUGAAGUGCAUAUUCUGAAAUUCAAGAAAUUAAGAGGGUACCUUGACCUUGCGUGUUUACCUGAGCCAAUUUAGUAAUGAAGAGUGCAUAUAGAAGUGUGAUGUUCUACAUUGGGCAAAAAGAACUGGAAAUGCAGUUUAAGAUGAACAAGAUUGUUGCUCAAUGCCGCCAGAAAUGUGAGAUGAUGCAAGAGAAGUUUACAGAAAAACUAGAGCAGGUGCAUACUGCUUACCAAAAGAUGGCCAAGAAGUGUCAGAUUAUGCAACAGGAAAUUGAGAGCUUAACCAAGGACAAUCAAGAACUUCAGGAAAAAUUUGCUGAAAAAUCCAGGUCAGUGUAAAUUACAUUUCCUCUUCUACAAAAUUAUAUGUCGUUAUUAAUUCGCUAAAUCAAUUUCAAUUUCAAUUUCAGGCAGAAGAGAAAAUUGGAUGAAAUGUAUGACCAGCUGAGGAAUGAGUUUGACUCAGUGAAGCGAUCUGCCAUACAGCCUGCAAACAACUUUUAUUCCAGAAAUGACCACGAUUUGUUCUCUAACCCGCCGAACAUAAUUGAUGACAGAGAUAUUGGCAGAAAAGGUAACCCUUUACUUUCAAUAGUCAGAGGAUACUUCUUUUCAGUGUCAAUAGAAAUUGGAAAGCUUUUUAUGUUAUGUUAAAGUUUCAAAUAACUAUAAAACCGAAUAAAGUAUGAUUUAUUUAGUGUUUGUUUGAUUAAACUUGUCUAUCAAUACAAGGAGCUGAAAAAGAAAUUAAACAGUUUCUCCAUGAACUAAGUCAAAUAGAAAAUUAUUUUAAAAAAUUAAUAUAAGAAACUUCUACAAAACUAACUUAGAUAAGUUAAUUUUAAUUUAUGAAGAAAUUUAUUUUGUCUUUCCUUUUUAUUUUCUUGUAAUUGAAAACAUACCCUUAAAUAAUGUAAUGAAAGCAAUGAAGAAAAUGACAUCUAAUUACUACUACAACCUCUCCCACCACAGUCAUAACCCCAUCAUUGCAACUACCACCAUUAACAUCAUUAUUGUUGUAACUCACAUCUCCACGACGGUAAUGGAGCAACAAAGAAAAUGAUGGUGAUGAUCAUGGACUGUGUUUGACCUUGUUUUUGCUUAGAUGUUUCCAAAAGUAGAAUAACUUAUUUGCUGCAGGUGGGCCGGUAUUCACUCCUGCCACUCCAGGACCAAGAGAUGAUGUCUGGCCAGCAAGACAGAAUAGCAAUAACUCCGGUCCCUUUGAUCUCUCUGUUGUCUCACCGGCAAAACAAACGGCCAUCGCCGGGGACGCUGGUAACAGAAGGGCUGGUGCUCAUUCUGUUUUUGGACCUGGUGCUACUAAUAAUCCAUCCAUGACUUUGAGGAACAUGAUACUGUCUCCAAUAAAGAGGCCUCAACUCUCACGUAACCGCCCUCAAUUAUUCACGUGAGGAUUAAACUCAACUCUCCUAGUUUAGUUCUGCUGCACAUUCUUAAUCUUGUUAUAUUUUGGUGUUUCAGAUUGUAGGCACAAAGGAGGCGUAAACCUUCUGUAAUACCAGUUAAGCUUUUUCCUUCGGUUCUGGCNNNNNNNNNNNNNNNNNNNNNNNNNNNNNNNNNNNNNNNNNNNNNNNNNNNNNNNNNNNNNNNNNNNNNNNNNNNNNNNNNNNNNNNNNNNNNNNNNNNNNNNNNNNNNNNNNNNNNNNNNNNNNNNNNNNNNNNNNNNNNNNNNNNNNNNNNNNNNNNNNNNNNNNNNNNNNNNNNNNNNNNNNNNNNNNNNNNNNNNNNNNNNNNNNNNNNNNNNNNNNNNNNNNNNNNNNNNNNNNNNNNNNNNNNNNNNNNNNNNNNNNNNNNNNNNNNNNNNNNNNNNNNNNNNNNNNNNNNNNNNNNNNNNNNNNNNNNNNNNNNNNNNNNNNNNNNNNNNNNNNNNNNNNNNNNNNNNNNNNNNNNNNNNNNNNNNNNNNNNNNNNNNNNNNNNNNNNNNNNNNNNNNNNNNNNNNNNNNNNNNNNNNNNNNNNNNNNNNNNNNNNNNNNNNNNNNNNNNNNNNNNNNNNNNNNNNNNNNNNNNNNNNNNNNNNNNNNNNNNNNNNNNNNNNNNNNNNNNNNNNNNNNNNNNNNNNNNNNNNNNNNNNNNNNNNNNNNNNNNNNNNNNNNNNNNNNNNNNNNNNNNNNNNNNNNNNNNNNNNNNNNNNNNNNNNNNNNNNNNNNNNNNNNNNNNNNNNNNNNNNNNNNNNNNNNNNNNNNNNNNNNNNNNNNNNNNNNNNNNNNNNNNNNNNNNNNNNNNNNNNNNNNNNNNNNNNNNNNNNNNNNNNNNNNNNUAAUUGGAUGAAGAGAAAUAAGUGAAAAUAAAAAUUAUUUAGUUAAAAAAUUAAAAAUAAAAAUGAUUUUAUUAAGAUAAAUAAAAUAAAAGUUAAUUUUUAAAUUAUUUAAUUUUAAAAAAUGAAUUAUUAUCUUUUAAUAAAAAUUGUAUUAUUUAAUUAUAUUAUUAGUGUAUUAUUAUUUUUUAUUGUUCAUUUUUUGUUAAAAUAAUAUUGUUUUAAUUUUUAUUUAUUAUUAUUAUUAUAGAUAGGAGCAUGUAACACAAACCUAACAAAAUAGCACAAUUGAGAGAGAAAUUUUGAAGCAUAAUCAAUUAAAUUGCAUAAUUAAUUAUUAUAUUAGAAACGUAAUUUCUGCCUUUGUUUUUUCUUAAAAAACAGAGGGGAAAAAAGUGGAACUUAUUUUUUUAUAUUUUUCUAUCUCAUUUUCAUCUCUACCAAACUAUUUUAUUCUUCUUUUUCUCUCCCUCCUUCCUUUCCAUUUUAUUAAACAGAUUGUGAUCAACAAAUCCAGAACGUAGGAAAACAAACGGGUCUUCAACAUGCUGUUUUAAAGUGCACUAGAUGGUUACUAAAUUCUAUGGUUAGUGUACUAGCAUGAAAAUCAAUCUUGGUUUUCAAGUUGUUUUCAAGAAAGGUCUGAUGAAGAUGAUGGUGGCUGAUAUAUUGUGUGAAUGACCUCUUUCCAUGUCCGAAUGUAAAAAUCCGUAGAAAAAAUUAGGUCAUAAACUUGCACUAGAAUAUCGUCUAUAAGUUCCGAAGAAUGGAUUGUGCUUCUAUUGGCCAACUAGAUUUCAACACCUAUAGUUUUCAAUGGGGCAAGAGACAAGGAAGGAAACAAAGGCAUAAGAUUAAUAGACACUCCUAAAUCAUGCAUAACAUUGUCAAAUGUGUUAUUAUCUAUGAUGCAAGGAAUAAUGAAUGUGUUUGGGUCUUUGCAUUUUUCAAUAAUUUCAACCCUAGGUUUCGUAAUAACUUUAGAGACAUUCAUGUCCAUGUUAACCUUUUCAUUACCUUUUAAACCUAUCUUUUUUUUAUAAAAGCUUUGAUGUUACCUUUUAAACGUAUCUGUGUUUACAUAGAUCCCUUAAAAAUUUGGCAUACUUUGGGAUCUAUUUAAUAAUGUCUAGUAGAGGAAUGUUCCUCUACCUUGAAGGUCUCCAAAAUCUCUUUAUACACCUCUUCCAAUUUCUUAUUCUUCUAUACAAAACCUCUAUGGAAAAGGAAGAUGGAUAAAUUGUUGUUCCAAAUUGGUAGACGAUUAUUUUCUGCCAGUAUGAUCUCUACUGUCAAAUCUAGAAUUCACUCUUUCAGUGAUGAGGACAUUGGAAUCAUAUAAUUCAGGAAAUGAAAGAUAAAUUGAACUGCUUUGAGGGGCAGGCGUAACUCUUCUUUGUUCGGGUUCCUAUGCUUAAACUUGCUAGACUAUCUAACAUUAUAUGAGUCUCAGUAUGUUGUAGUUUUUGCAUACUCUUACCUGAUCUCAACAUAAUUGCACUGACAUUUUUUGGGUUGAUAAUUGUCUGGAAAGGCAACUUGUUGAACCAUUGAGAUUGUAUCUCGUUUACCCUAGUGGCCAAUUGACCAAUUUGAUUUUCCAAGUUUUGAAUGGUGAUAUUUGUUCUCUGUUGGAAAUUCAUGUUGUGCUUAACCAUCUGUUUCAUCUUGUCUUCGAGAGACAAUCCAUUCUUGGCUGGUAUAGCAACUAGUGGUGACAAUUGUUGCUCUGUAGGCAUAAAUGUGGGGGUUUGUGAGGUGGCCUAGUAACAUGUUGAUAUGACAUAUUAGCUUGUUGCUAUUGUGCAUGUCGUUCCCCUAACUCAUACUAGGAUGAUUUCUCUAACUUGGGUUCUAUUUGUUGGAGGAGAGAUCAGGGUUGUAGUGUUAAAAGGAAAAAUCAAUAAAUGAUCCAUUGAUGAGAUAGAGAAAAGCGAAAAAGGAUGUGAGAGACAUUCCACGUGUGCAAUGUGUGCCCCAAAUCAUCAAGUUAACGCCGUUGGUGAAAACUUAACGGAAGGGACCAAAUUGAACCUUUUAAAAAAAUUUUGGAACCAAAUUGAUUUUUUUUUUAAAAGCCACUAUAUUGAAUUGAAUAUUGACUCCAAGAGUAGAGACCAAAAAGUAAUUAAAUCUUUUAUAAUUUACCUUAUAAUUAUUAAUAUUAAAUUUUUUGAAGUAUAUUUGUUCUGAAAUAUCACAUGAGCAAGAGAAAAAUGUUCUUAAUUCACAUUAUUGAUAAGGAGCACUAGAGUUUGCCUUCUUAAAGGGACAAAGUUUGAUGGGCUAAAUCUUCUUAUGGUAUUUGUCACAAAGCAAAAUAUUUACGUAAGGAGAGCAAUUUAAAAUAUAUAUUACAUAAAUGGAUAAAUAUUUUUUUAUUAAGAAAAUAGGUAAGUCGUGAUAAUGUGAGACGACUUUGUAAGAAUAUUAUGUGGCACCUCACGAUUAUUUAUCUUAUUAAUUGAUCAAUUAUCAUAAUUAUCCUAUUAUAUUAUUGGUAAUUACUUUAUGGACGUAAUUACUCUUACCAUAAAUAAUUAGGGUUUCCCCUUGGGUGUAUUAUAAAUAGAGAUUACCAGACAACUAAAGAGACACUCUCAUAUUCUAACAUCACACGGCCGAAACUCAUUCUCUAAAGAGAUUUUCGAGCCUCUCAUCUCUUUAUCUCUCUACUCACAUAAUUCCAUUCUAAGCGAUACACCCUAAAGGGGAACCCGAUCAAGAUCAUGUCUUCGUCCUUCAGUCAUACGAUCACGGGUCUACCAGUUAUUAUUUAAUCAUUAUUCUCGUUUCAUUAUAUGAUUGAGGAAUCCUAAUCCAACAUGUGGUAUCAGAGCGUUUAUGUUGCUUAAUCGAUUCUUCUUUCGUUUUNNNNNNNNNNNNNNNNNNNNNNNNNNNNNNNNNNNNNNNNNNNNNNNNNNNNNNNNNNNNNNNNNNNNNNNNNNNNNNNNNNNNNNNNNNNNNNNNNNNNACCUUGAUAUCAUAAAAUAAAUUUUAAUUUUUUUGAGAUCCAUAAAAAAUUUAAUAUGAAUGUUAUGUGUUCUUCAUAAUUUUCGUGAGUAUUCCCUUAUUUGGAAUGAAAUUAAUUUUGAUUCUAUGUUCAUCAUCAUUAUUUGUUGUUCAUAUAAUUUUCUUGAGUAUUACCUUAAUUAGGAAUGUAUUUGAUUUAAUUGUGUUUUCCUAAAAAAAUAAAAAUAAAAAUUGAUAUCUUAGUCUCCAAGUUUUUACUUAUUUAGGAUAGUAUAUUCUUGUCUUAUUAAUUUUCGGGUAUUAUUAUUAUUAUUACUAUUUUCGAAAAUAGCAGUCGUGUCAAACUUGGAAACAUAUCAAUCUAAUUAAAAUUUUGAAGACCAAAUCUAAAAUCAAAUCCCUAAUAUUCCGCUACUCACCUUAUUGGGUUUACGAGUAACAUAUUUACGCGGUAAAUCUCAUGAUACCGUAAUUAUGUUUAAAAAAAAAAAAUACUUAUUUUGUUAAACUCUUAAAAAAAAAAAUAUUAAGUUUGACAAAAUUAAAAUUAAAAUUUUUGCUUAAACUUAAUAACAUGAGUCUCCCUUCUGUCCAACGAUGAUGUGUUAUAUCUUGUUAUUUGAGUCUAAUUAAGUACCUUCACUUACUUGUGAGUACACUUAAUUAUUAAAUAUUCACAUGACAUUUGUCUAAAAACACAAUUAUUUCUAUUAUGUCCAACGAUGUUUGAUGCACUUGUGUUUUGCAACCUUAAUAUGUGCAUACGCUUAAAUGUUCUCUUCUGUCCAAAGAUGAUGUGUCACAUUCUUAUUGCACAUACCUUACUUAUAAUUGUUCAUUAUGCUUAAAUAAUUGGUAAUUAACCAAAGUGAAAGCUGAUUGUUUAAGUAGAACUUAAUUUAGUCUAUUAUUUUGAUGUUAUAAUAGAUUUUAUCACAACUUCAUUAUCAUAAAGGUUCUUACUUAUGCCUGCUUUAGAUCUAAGUUUGCCUAUGUCACUCUAACUUUUUCCUUAGCCUAAGUAUCUUAAUUCGUCGUCUAACCAGCCCCUAAUAUGGGAAUUGAGACCUUGACUGGUGAAAAUCAGUGAAGGUUUCCUAGUCCACUUCAUUAUGACUUCUCUUCCUUAUGUGUUUGAAGCCUUCAAAGUCAACUAUAAUACUCAAAAGGACAAAUGGUCCAUGGGUGAGUUGAUUACUAUGACUGUUCAAGAAGAAGAGCGCCUGAAGUUGGAGAAACCAGAUGUUGCUUACCUCGUGGCUGCUGAAUCGAAGAAGCGGAAGGGCAAAUUCCAUUAAAAGGAAUCUAAUAAGGUCCCUAAAAGUGAUGCAAGUGCACCCUCCAGCUCUAACAAAUCCACUAGCAAGUCCUACUGCAAGUUCUGUCGCAAGGUAGGACAUAAGCAGUCUGAGUGCUCAAGCUUUAAGGAGUGGCUGGCUAAGAAAGGUAAUCAUCUAAAUAUGAUAAUUGAGUCCUUUAAUUUAAAUGUUCCAACUAAUACUUGGUGGUUUGAAUCUGGUUCUAUGGUUCAUGUGACCAAUUCAAUCCAGGGAUUCCUUACAAUCCGGAAGUUGGAAAGAAACCAAAGAACACUUAAGAUGGGGAAUGGACAAGAACUAUUUGUCGAAGCUGUGGGAACCUUAGAAUUACUUAUGAAAACUGGAAAAUGUAUUAAACUUUAUGANNNNNNNNNNNNNNNNNNNNNNNNNNNNNNNNNNNNNNNNNNNNNNNNNNNNNNNNNNNNNNNNNNNNNNNNNNNNNNNNNNNNNNNNNNNNNNNNNNNNAUUACUCGGAAUCUUGUAUCAGGACCAAAGUUAGACAUUGAUGGUUUUUAUGUUUCCCAUGGUCAUGGCAAACUUACUAUUUCUUUAAAUUCUCAAUUGUUUGGUACUGGUUUUCUGGAUAACGGUCUUUAUAAGUUAGAACUAGAUGAUAGCUUCUCCAAAUCUUUUUUAUCAUAUAAUAUUAAUGAGAACUUAAAAAAGACCAAGAGAAAACGAGACUUAGAAACUUCAUCCAUGUUGUGGCAUCAAAGUUUAGACCACAUUUCACGAGAUCAUUUAUCUCGACUUGUGAAGGAUGAAGUCUUACCAUCUCUCGAUUUCACUGAUUUUGGAACAUGUGUCAAAUGCCUCAAAGGCAAAAUGACAUCCACGACUAAGAAAGGUGCCACUAUGAGUUCAAAAUUAUUAGAACUUAUUCAUACUGACAUUAGUGGCCCUUACAACAUCGUUGGAAUAACAGGACAUAAUUCAUUUAUCACUUUUAUAGAUGAUUAUUCUCGUUACAUGUACUUGUAUCUCAUUAAGGAAAAAUAUGAAUCACUUACAACUUUUAAAGAUUAUAAAACUGAAGUUGAAAACUAACUUGAUCUUCACCUUGCUAAAGUCGUUUCAAAUAAAGAAGAUUUAAUUAAACAAAGAAGAACUUGUUAUGUGUUUCCACAACUUUAGUGUUAUAUGUGAUUUCGCUUUGAGGUCGUUCUAGGUUGGAAUGACUUUGAUUGAGUAAUUUUCUAAUUUUCUAUCUCACGCCAUCAACAAAAGUUUGUGCAACAACACCUUGUACCCGAAGUUGUGCAUCUCAAGCAUAGCCUAUUAACCCGACUUGGUCGACAAAGCUUCCAGCAAUAAAAAUUUGAUUUUUUUAUCGACUAAGAAUAAAUGUAAUAAAAUAGAAUACUUAAUAGGUACUCCAAUCCUUAUAUAAAAACAAUCCAUAUAAGAGUACAUACUACCUAAACACCAACAACUAGUACUGAAAUAAUCCACCUCAUUAUCUCUUUGACUGGUUGUAACACCAGCUUGGACACCAUCUAGAUUGCUCCUAGUGCUACACCAAAGAAUAAAAAAAAAAAUACAAGAGGACGUAUGUGGCAAAAAUAUGUUACACUAGAUUGUAAUAAUCUAGUUUAUAUAAUGAAACAAUUAUUUGUUUGAUAUUUUAUUUUCUUUAUAUAAUAAAGCAAUUAUUUGUUUAAUAUUUUAUUUUCCUAUCAAGAGGUGCAAAUAUUUUUAUAUAAUCCAAUUAUAGUAUGAUAAAAUUAGUAAUUAUUUUAAAAUAUAAUCCGUAUUGUUUUUAAUUUAUUAAUAAUGCAACAAAAAAACUGUAGUAAAAAGUACGAAAAUCUAACAUCACAAAUGUUAGUAGUUUUAAAAUAUGUUUUAUUCACUUGUAAAAAUUAUUUUAUUCAAUUAUACUUUUUAGAUUUAGUUCUUCUUUAAUAAUUUAAUCCUUGUAUAUAAUAAAAUUAGUAUAGGUUUAGUCUUUCAAAACAACUAUUUUUAAAAACUAAAAAAAUAAAUUUUAUCUUUCAUGAAUGUAUACCUCUGUUUAGUCCUCAAUGGCUUUUAACUCCUUUAAUAUAUGCAAAUAUACAAAGAGGUAAACUUAUUUUUAAAAAUUGUUUAGAUGAAAUAGGACUUUCAAAAGAACUAGAGUAGUUGAAAUUAUUAUUACCUUUUUUAGUUUUUUUAAUAAUACUUUUUUCAUGUGAUGAUAAAUGAUUGUUGUUAUUUGAAGUAUCAACAUAGUUGAGAUGUCAAGUUUUUUAUAACCAAAAUUAUUAUUACUAAUUUAAAAUAUCCUUCCAUUUCUUCCAUGUUGGUUCCCCUUCCACUUUCAUUUUACCAUCAUGACCCGUUUAGUAACAAUAAUAAAAAUUAAUAAAAAUCAAACCUUUUCCUUUCAUAAACUUAUUCAUUUUUAGUUAAACAUUUAUAUAUGAUGUAAGUUUGAAAAUUUUCAGUUAAAGAUUUAUAUAUUGUGUAAGUUUGAAAAAAUUCAGUUAAACAUUUAUAUAUGAUGUAAUUUUGAAAAUUAAAGAGCAAAAACUAGAAAAUUAAAGAUUAUUAUGAGACAAAUAGGAGAGAGAGUUUCAAUAGAUGGAUCAUUAAUAAAUAGGAAAAUACAUGCUUGCUUGAUAUGAUGGAAGUGCCCCGAAACGAGAUUAAGAAAUGAAGAUAAAUUAGGAAGAUGAAAUAAGAAGAUUAAGAAAUGAAAAUAAGAAAAGUGAUUUUUAAAAUUAUGUGUGCUUACAUGAUAUAAUUCCAAAAAGAACUAAUAGAGGAAGGCGCCAUAAAUAAACCUAAGGAUGAUCGCCAUAAGAAUUGGUGGAUUCUUGAUAAGAUCGCAAGAUGAAGGAAAAAAACCCUAGCAGAGAAAUAUUCUCUCUUAAAAAAUCCCAAAAUAUUCACCCCUCAUUUUGAUUUCCAAAAGUGUAUAAAUACAAAUUUAGUUAUAGGUCUUGGGUUCAAAUCCUAACUCCAAGCAAAAUAAUAAUAUUAUUUUAUUUUAAUACUCCAAGUAUGUUGUGUAUGCAAUCAGCUUAGUCUUUUUAAAAUAAGGAUCAUUCAACAAUUGGACCUCUAAAAGAUUAGUCGUCUUUAGCUUGAAUGUUUGCAUCAUUACAACUUAUUAAAAGUGAUAUGCGCUUUCUCUCUAAAAUUGUUAAAAGUCGCCUCCGAAAAUAAAUGUGUAAAAAAGUGAAGUGAGAAAUCAAUGGAAUUUGUUGUAAAAUCACUUAAACUUACAAGAGGUCUCAUAAUAAAUUUCAAUAUUAAAAUUAAAUAUUUUAGUGUUUACAAGAAUAUCUUAAUCGUAGAAUUAUUAGCAACACUAUUUUUUUCAGAAAUCACUUGAAAAUUUAAACCCUUAAACAAAAUUAUAUUAUAAAAAACUAAAAGUACAAAUUAGAAUUUAACUUUAAAAUAUAACUGAGCAAAAUCACUUGAAAUAGUCUUUAUUGAUAAAUGUUUUAUUAAUAGAAAUUAGGAUAAGAAAUUAGGUCUUUCUUCUAAACUAUUCCAAGGAGAGCAUUGAUCUUUCUCUCCAGCAAAAAUCAAACAUGGUCCAUCUUCUUUGACUACCCAACUGCAUAAGGAACAUCUAGCGGCAUCCCUGUUUGCUUUGUAAAUAUCAAACCUAUGCACGACAGAAUCCCAUUGAAAAGAACAAUGGUACAAUGUUGUUUCAAAGAAGUUAAUUUUGAAACUCCAUGAAAAAGUACCUUGAGGAUGAAGAUGUUGCACACCAAGAUCAUUGUCAGCAGAUUCGCAGUGAAGGAACAGAUCUCGAUUUUCCUGUAAUUCAUUUCUUACAAUCACAGUUGGUUGUGGUAAUUUUGGUAUAGAAAAAGCAUGACUUGUUAAAGAUUGAACAAGCAACCAAAGUAAGAAAAAACUUUUAACAAUCACAUACAUAGUUCCUUUUCCAAUUAUCAUACUCUAAGUUUAGUUAGAAUGUUAUGAUUAUUAUUAUAUUUAUAGGUAUAAUCAUCAAUAUCAAUAUAAUUAAUAAUAUAGAAAUUAUUAAUAUUCAUAUUUUUAAUAUCAUUUUUAUUAUUAUUCAAAUCGAUGAUACUAUUAGUUAUUACAAAAAUAUUAUUAAAUAUUAUUAGCAUUAUUAAAUAAUAUUGAAUAUUACUAAUAUUAUUAAAUUAAUUAAAUAUUAUUAAUAUUAUAAAAAGUAUUAUUCAAUAUAAUUAAUAUUAUAAAAAAUAUUAUUAAAUAUUAUUAAUAUUAUUAAAUAUUAUUAAUAUUAUUCAAUAUUAAUAAUAUUUUUAAAUACUAUUAAAUAUUUUUAAAUACUAUUAAAUAUUAUUAAUACUAUUAAAUAUUUUUAAAUACUAUUAAGUAUUAUUAAUACUAUUAAAUAUUUUUAAAUACUAUUAAGUAUUAUUAAUACUAUUAAAUAUUUUUAAAUACUAUUAAGUAUUAUUAAUACUAUAAGUAUUAUUAAUACUAUUAAAUAUUAUUAAGUAUUAUUAAUACUAUUAAAUAUUAUUAAGUAUUAUUAAUAUUAUUAAAAAUUAUUAAUUUUAUUAAGACUAUUAAAUAUUAUUAAAUACUAGUGAAAACACUUAUAUAUAUAUAUUAACAUUUUUAUUUUUAUCAUUAUGAUAUGUAUAUUUAUAUUUAUUAAAAUAACUAUAAAUUUAUAUGUAUUCAAAUUUUAAAAAGCUCUAAAAAAAAAGAAAAAUACUCAUUUAAAAUAUUUAAUUUUAAAUAUUUGCUUGUAAGUUGAAAGUUCUUAGCCAUGGGAAAUUCUUUUAAUAUUUUCUAAGUACACACCUUUAAGGAAUAUUUAGUUGGAGAAUUCUUUUACACUAAAUAAUUGGAAAAGUUUAUAAUAUCUCUUUAUAACUCUUGAAUUUUAUUAACAUUUUUUAAUAUAACGGUCAUAUGCUAGAACCAUUAAAUUAAGGAAAAAAUAAUGGUGAAUUUUUUUGAAAAUUAAAAUAGCUGUGAGAUGUAGUUAAACUUAAUGAAUUCAAUUAUAUUUUUAAAAAACUAUCUAAAUUCAUUAUUUUUAAAUUCCACUAGUAACAACCAUAAUUACAUUGUUUUUAAAAAUUUUGUUUAUCUCAUUAGUUAUUGUCAAAAUUAUGUAGUAUGAAAAAACUUUGAAGAAAUUUCAUAUAUAAAAGAUAAAUUUACAAUUUUUUUUUGUAUGUUUGUUACUUGUAAUAAAAUCAUUAUGAUUGAAUUUUAAAUAAUAAUAAAAAUUUUAAAUAACGAUAACAUUUUUCUAAAGAAAUUUAUUUUAAUAGUUUAAAUUUAUUUAAAACUACAAACUUAAAAAAGAAAAUAAUUAAAUAUAAUUUGAGUUUUUUAUUCUUUUAUAAAUUUUUAAUAUUUUAUCAAUUUUGUGAAUCAAAUGGAGAAUUGAAACCAUGCAUUAAACCGAUCAAGUAUGACAUGUAGCAAACAUGUCAUACGAGAGGGGUGGUCCUUAAGGAGUGAAGGAAUGAGUUCUCAGAGUGACAUAAGUUGGUCAUACUUAUUUUUUUUAUCAGUAAUAAAAAAUAAAUAAAUAUGAACCUUCUCCACUUUGAUUGAAUCUAAGGAUGAUCGCCAUAAGAAUUGGUGGAUUCUUGAUAAGAUCACAAGAUGAAGGAAACAACCCUAGCAGAGAAAUAUUCUCUCUUAAAAAAUUCCAAAAUAUUCACCCCUCAUUUUGAUUUCCAAAAGUGUAUAAAUACAAAUUUAGUUAUAGGUCUUGGGUUCAAAUCCUAACUCCAAGCAAAAUAAUAAUAUUAUGUUGUGUAUGUAAUCAGCUUAGUCUUUUUAAAAUAUGGGUCAUUCAAAAAUUGGACCUCCAAAAGAUUAGUCGUCUUUGGCUUGAAUGUCUGCAUCAUUACAACUAAUUAAAAGUGAUAUGCGCUUUCUCUCUAAAAUUGUUAAAAGUCGCCUCUGAAAAUAAAUGUGUAAAAAAGUGAAGUGGGAAAUCAAUGAAAUUUGUUGUAAGAUCACCUAAACUUACCAAAGGUCUCAUAAUAAAAUUCAAUUAAAAUUAAAUAUUUUUGUUUUUACAAGAAUAUCUUAAUCGUAGAAUUAUUAGCAACACUAUUCUUUUCAGAAAUCACUAGAAAAUUUAAACCCUUAAACAAAAUUAUACUAUAAGAAAAUUAAAAGUACAAAUUAGAAUUUAACUUUAAAAUAUAACCAAGCAAAAUCACUUGAAAUAGUCUUUAUUGAUAAAUGUUUUGUUAAUAGAAAUUAGGAUAAGAAAUUAGUUCUUUCUUCUAAAUUUUUCCAACCAUAGCAUUCAUCUUUAUCAAAAACCAAACAUGGUCCAUCUUCUCUGACUUCCCAACUGCAUAAGUAACAUUUAUUGGCAUCCCUGCUUGCUUUGUAAAUAUCAAACCUAUGCACAACAGAUUCCCAUUGAAAGGAACAAUGGUACAACGUUGUUCUAAAGAAGUUAAUUUGGAAACUCCACGAAAAAGUACCAUGAGGAUGAAGAUGUUGCAGACCAAGAUCUUCGUCAGCAGAUUUGCAGUGAAGGAACAGAUCUCGACCUCCUUGUAAUUCAUUUCUGACAAUCACAGUUGUUUGUGGUUUUGGUACAGAAAUAGCAUGGCUUGUUGAAGGUUGCACAAGUAGCCAAAGUAAGAAAAAACUUUUAACAGUCACAGACAUUGCUCCUUUUCCAAUUAUCAUGUUGUAAGGGAUGAACACACCACAAAUGAUAUUUUUCCAGUUACAUAUACUUAAAUGUUACCUUACAUAAAUUUUAGUAACAUUUUUUUUAUAUAAAUGUUGCUAUAAAUAAAAUAAACACACUAUUGUUACAUUUUGUAAAUAAAUGUUACGAUAAAUAAAUGCUACGAUAAAUAAAUUUAACGUAAUAUAUGGUGUCAUACUUUUAAAAUGUCACUAAAAGAUAACUCUUUUAAUUAAAUAAAAUAAAAAUAAUAAUUAAAUGAGUUUGUAUUUCUCAGAAUUAGUAUUUCACUAAAAAAAUUAAUAAAUAUGGAUUAAUUUAAAAGAAAAAUAAUAAUAAUAAUUUUAUUAAAUUACAUGAUCAAAUUCAUGGAUUUUAUGCAGAAAAACAUCUUUGAGAGAAAAGAUGGAGAGUUUUCGUUUUUUCAAGAAGAGAUUUUUGAUUAUUCUAUAAGUUAAAAUACAGCUAACUUCAUGAAUGGGUUGUCCAAACAACACAAUUGACAUAUAAUUUUCAACUUUCAAAAAAUAAACUAACACUAUUAGAAGAAUAUAUACUUUACUAAUUUUUUAAAAAAAUCCUUAUAAAAUAUUUAUAAAUUUUGCUAUCAAUAAUAAUUUACAAGAAAUUAUUACCAAAUUUACUUUUAUUUAUUUAAGUUUGUAUAUUAAAAGAAUUUAGGAAGUUACAGAAUUUUUAAAGUUUUUCAUAUAGAGUUUCUUAGAAAAAAAAAUUAAAAGAUAAUUUUUUAAUAUUCUAGAGUGAAUUGAUAAAAUUUUAAGAAAAUUCUCCUUCCUUUUCCUCUUGUAUACUCUCAGUAGUAUCGUUCUUUUCACUCUCAGGUUGGUUCCUCUUCCUCAUUUAGUCUUUAGUUUAUCUUGCUAUGUCUUUGAGUCUCAUUGUAUUCUCAUUGUUAUAGAUACGUGAUUGAUCACUCUCACUAUCUCGUUCUCGCACUCAAACUCAGUUAAGCUUUUCUCGAUCUCUCAUAACUCUCUAUUUCGAUCUUACGACUCGCAUUAUUAUCAGUGACGAUGCUUAAACACAUGUACUUGAAUUUGAACUUUCAGUAUUACAAGCUUAAAGUUGUUCUUAGAAUUAGGUAGGAUUUUUUGUUUUUUUUAUUUGAUUUUCUUUUUCAUUUUCGCUUCAAAUUUAAUUAUUUGAUUUUGGAUCACUUUAUUCUAAAAUGUUUAUAUGAAAAUUACUUUGAGAAUGAGAAUUAUCCCUGCUUAUCAUUCUAUUUAUUAUUCUUAAUGAAAUGUAAAUCUCUGGAAUUAGUUGUGAUUGCAAUUAAGAUUUUGUUGAAACAACUUAUUGAAAUCAAAAUCAGUUUUAGUUCUUAUCAUGUAGAUUUUCUCAUUGAAGUUUUUUUUGUCCCUCACAGGUUUACUAAUUUGUGUUUCUGAUUUCUCGUUUAUCAUGCAUACUUACUUUAUUACUUUAUGGUGCUUUGAUUUGAAAUAAGGUUUUUGAUUUGGAGAUUUGAUGCAUACUUACAUCUUUAUCAACUUUUUUAUAGAGUUUUUUCAAAUUAAACUCUAAUUUUAAAAGCCAUAUAUAUGAGUAUGUGUGUAAAUCAUAGUUAAUCUCUCUGGUUGAUGAAAUUUAUAAGUAAUUCAUCAGGUCUAAAUUUUAACUUUAAGCUCAAAUAAAAAAAUUCCCAAAAAAACUCAAACUCAAAUUCACCCAAAAGCCAUUCAAAUAGGUCAACUCUUUUUUUUUUUAUUUACAUAUUCACCCUUAAUCAUGCCAUACAAAGAAGAAGGCAUUGUUAGAAAGUAAGUAACAUAAAUUAUGCAACGUAAAUUUUUAAAACAUAGAAACCCCCCUCCAUGGUGUCUUUUCCUUUUUCUUUCUUCUCUCUCUAUCUCUCUAACUUUCUUCAUUCUCUCUUUAAUUUUCUCUCUCAUACCUCAUAUAUUUCAAAAUCUGAUCAGGUCAUGUUGUACCUCAGGAGUCAAAGAACAUUUAUACCCGAUCAGAUUUUCAAAUAGAGUAAGUUCAUUUUUACCCUAAAGAUUCCUUAUUCUAUGUUUUUCUCUAUGAUUUAGUAAUCAAUCUUGAUGGGGACAAUUGAGAAAAGUGUUCAUCUCAACUUGUUUUCAACUUGUUUUACCAUAUUUUCAAAUUUGGUAAUAUUUCAGGUAAGGGAAUAAAUGAAAUUUCAGGUAAGGGAAACUAACGUUAAUUUUUAAUAGCACCAUAGGCUAGAAGAUUUGAAUUUGGAGGAGACGUGGUCCCAAGUUUCAAUUUCUCUUGCAAGGAUAUUAUUUGAUAAAAUUGUUUGAUUUUAUGUUGUGAGGAACAUGUAUAAAUAUUAGAUUUUGAUAGUUUGGAAGUUAAAUACUUUUUUUGAUGUAGGAAAGUGUUCUUGCCGGCGAACUAAGGUCGGGUCUUGGUUGUGGACUCCAGGUUGAAUCACCUUUACUUGUUGUUGCUUCAAGAUGCUAGUACUCUGCAACGAGAGGGGCUCCACUUGUUGACAAGACUCUGACGAUCAAGUCAUUCAGAGCAUACAACUAUGAAUAUCUAAGUGUAGGGUUACUAGAAAAAAAAGUCCUUUUACUCAGGGUCUCAAGCCCUUUUAUAGUUUUCAUAGACUUUUUGAUAUGAUUCCAAUAGCACAAUAUGAAUGAUUCUUGACAUUCUUAGGAAUCAUCUUGAGUUGGAUAUGAGCUAGACACUUUAAGAUAGAAUUGGAUCAAGGUUCUAUAAUCAAGAACUCACCAAGACUAGUACUAAAACCCAAACUCAUAUGGAAGUUCCAUGUAUUGUCAAAUUGAACCGAACAAAUGGAGUGAAAAAGCAAAGGCACCGAAUAAAAUGUGUAAAAACUAAAUUGCACCAAACAAAUAGCUAGAAAAGGAAGAAUAACCAAAGAUGAAUAGCAGAAUUUAAAAUGAACCGAAGCAAACCAAAAGAACUAGAAUUGCCGAACUGAAAAAUGCAAGAACAACAAGAUAAGACAUGAACAUAAAAGAGAAGGAAGGAAGGAGAAGAGAAAGCUCAUGAAGAUGGAGGAAUGGUUGAAUGAUCACGCCACUUAGAGGAUGGUGACUCCAAGAUGAGUGUGCAAGCCGCCACUUGAGGUAACCAUGGGACUCUCAAGAUAAGACUAGUGAGGAAGGCACAAAGCUCUCCAAUGCUCUCUCAAAAAUUGAGUAUAGUUUCUCUAAUCAAAAUUCAAAUCUGAACUGUACAAGCUAAGCACCUUUAUUUAUAGCCUAGAGGUGUUGAAAAAUAGGUGGGAAAUUUCAAAUAAACUCAUUUGAAAUUCCCACAAAAAACAAGUCACAUGGGAGGUGUGACCUUUUUCUACUAUGACACCUCCCAAAAACUACACCUACACCACUCUCCUAAGUCACAUGGGCAAUGUGACUUUAUUUUGCAUUUUCACACUCCUUUAUUUAAUAACCACACCUCCUAAAAACUAUACAAGAGUAUUUCAAAGCUUGGCCUUGCCCCUCAUGGGAUGGACUUGGGCUCUUUGGGCUUUGGCCUUCUUGGGCUUGGGCUUGGGCUUUGGGCUUGGGCCUCAUCUUUAUUUUAUGUCUUCUUUUAAUUUUGAGAAGACUAGAAGGAAGAACUUCAAAUAUGAGGGUGGAUGUCCUCUUCCUCCAUUAAUAAAAGCCUCCUUUAUUUGAUUCUCAUCACUUUUCUUCAACAAUUUCAUCAAGCAAGAAUAUUUUGUUAACAUAUGCCUUUCUUUUGCGGGUACAUUCAACAUUUUCUCCAACAGUUUUUAUUCAUCAUUAUCUCUAAUGAUUUUUAUUUACAUCAAAAUAUAUAUACGUUUAACCAAUUUUGUUGUUCUCUAUGUCACUUUGUUUGAAUUAUCUUUUUAGUAUGAAUUUUCAAUUAUUUGGGUCGACCUCAUGACACAUGGCCUAUUAUUCAUCCCAGGCCAAGCUAGGUACUUCCCAAGUGGGCCUGUCUGACCGAGCUAUCACACUUAAGUGCUUGGAUCGAGGACUUGAGCACGUCUGACCAGUACACAGCCCCUAGGCUCAAGACGAGGUUGACGAGGCGAAUAGGCUCUCUUGUAUCGAUGACUGACAUGACGUUUCUCACAAGGGGUAGUUGGGACGCGAUUACCAAAGCGACUCCUGAAAAUACAUCUCACCCUACUAAACACGAAGCGUACACGUGGCACGUAAAUCGACGGUGGAGAAAUCCUAUCAUUUCGCCUUCCUCAUUUUCAAAUAAAUCAUUUCUUUUCUCUUCAAACCCAUCACUUUUGCUUUUGAUCUUUCUUUAUGCUUAACCAAAAGCCUUUCUUCCUUCCUCGCGCCACCUCUCACUGUCAUUUCCCAUCAGAGAAUCAAGUAUGGUUUAUCCACUUAACUUUGUUGGGUGAUUAUCACUUUUCUUAGUGGAUUUUAACUUGUGAAAUGUAUCUUAGUCUACGUUGAUUCAAUUUAUUAUGCAUGUGUUUUGCCCUGAACUGUGUUCGUAUUGUAUCUUUGUUUAUGUGUUAGUUGCUUUUGAAGAUAGAUUAUAACUCUGCAUAUCCCUGGGCUAAAAUGGAAUUGCUUAAAGAAACUUCUAUUUUCACGCCCCGUUUGAGAGUUAGGGAGUUAAGGGAAUCAGGGGGUCUGAGUAAAAAAGAUGAAAACUUAGUAAAGGUCAUCCCUUGUAGGGAGGGUGAGCCUAUAUGUAAUGAUGAGUCAUCAGACCCCGACGGGCCGUUUUGUGUUUUCUAUGCCACAUUUUUCACCAAAGUGUUACUUCGUCUUCCCCUAUCAAUUUUUGAAAGAGAGUUGUUAACCGAGCUGAGCGUGGCUCCUAUCCAGUUGCAUCUGAACAACUGGGCGUUCAUCCGAGGCUUUAUAAUUUUGUGUUCCCAUCUUGACAUUUCGCCAACUGUGGAGGUUUUGCUUUAUUUCUUCGAACUAAAACACUUUGGUCGCCAUUUAUGGGUUUGCUUGAACGGUGCUCUUGGGAGAGGUCUAUUCACCCUUUUUUCAGUCCUUUUAUAAAAACUUGAAGGUCGACUCAUCAAAGUUCGUGCUUUGGCGGGGGACCCGUCCCUAUUGGAUGGCUUCCAUUUGUAUUGGUCACCCAAUCCUCGAUUCCAAAGUGCUCGGCGUCUGGAAGACCUAUUCCCAAGGGAACAAGGUAUUUGUGAGUUUCUGGAAAAUCUCAAGGUCAUCUUUGACACUCGAACGCUAAUGAACAAAGAAUAUCUCCCUGGUGCCCUCAAGGACAAUAUUGGCAUAUCUCAUUUCUUAUCUUCAAAAGGAAAGCUUAACUCGUGAAUCUGAAUAAUUGUUUUAUUUUUGCAGAUAACAUGUUAUCUAACAUCAGCAAAGUCGAGUUGGCCGAGCGGGCCAAGAAGAUGAGGGUAGCUGCGAACGUGACCAAGGAUUCUUCAUUAGAAAAAAGGAAAAUUUAUGCUGGCUUUAUUCAAGUCCAAUCCGAGCAAGAUGAGCACACCGCCUCGGGCAUUGUCUUUAAGAGGAGAAGACUAGAAGAAGCUUCCCCUACUACUCACACUCGGAUGGUCUGACCAUUCAAGAGUGCGAAGUCGUGGAGUGCUCGAAGGAAAAAGCCUAUAGGAUCCCCACUUCAAUAUUUUUGCACAUGGUGAGUCCUGCUUCUUGCUAGAUCAGGAUAGGACGAGGCUAAUGGCUCAUGACGAAUAUCGUCUCCGCCUAGACGCUAAGAAGUUGCUCGAUUAGGCCUUUUCCCUGGUAUGCCUAGCCGAUGUUAAAGCAAAGGACCAAAGAAAAGCUGAAGACAAGAGACUUCAACAAGCUGCCGAAUUCCAACAAGAAAUUAAACGCCUCCAUGCUGAGGUGGACCGCUUGGGUUUGGAGUUGGCCAACAAGACCCAACAAUGAACCUCUCAGAACUGGAUCUAAGAAAGACCAUAACUGAUGGAAGGCUAGUGGGGGAUUCUUAAUUUUAACCUUUAUGGGUUGUAUUUACUGCUUAUCUUUGAUUGUCGAACUUAUUGAACACUUAAAUUCUUCACCGAUGUUUACUUAACAUUUUUAGACAAUUCUAAACGUGUUGUUUAUCUUGGAAUUAAAGGUUUUACCUAUAGUGCAUAAAGUAUGCCCCAAAUGCUUUGUCAUACAAAUUGAUUUCACAUUUUAGCUUGAUUAACGUGGUACGAUGUGGUUAGCUCACAUGAGACUAUAAUGUUUGAACAUGCGUAAAAAUGUUGUGUCAACUGAGCUAACCUCACACACUGAUAAUGAUAGCAUUUUAUUCAUAACUGGCAAUGAUGACAAUGAAGACUCGGUUAGAGGAUAUAGUAACUAAUUAUUUUUUGUCUCAUUUCUAUUUAAUGAUUUUAUAGUAGUGUAAAAUAUCCUUAAUAAUAGGACAAAAUAUUCAUAAUUUAACAUAUUUAAUAGUAUAAAAUAUAUAAAACAAAUUCUAAAUAAGUAUAGUAAAGGUCAAGAAUUGUAAUUACAAACUUAUACUAUAAAACAAAAUUAAAGAACUAAGAAGUCUAAAGCUUAUCCUCACCUUUCAUCUACCUUAAUAUGUUGUAAAAUUAAUAGAAAAUGUUUUUCAUGUUGAUAUAAUGUAUUCAAUUUCUUUAAAGUCAAAUGGUUGUAUUGCAAAGAAAAUUAUUUCAUAAGAAUUAAUUUCUUUAUCAAUGAAUUAAUUAAACAUAAUUAUUUAGUCUCGACAUCUUUCAAAUCACUCACAAAAUGUUAAUUACAUUCAUAACUUCUAAUUUGUCUAUUACACUAAACCUAAUUAAUACAUUUUAAUUGACAUACACAAAAUCAAGCAAACAACAUGUACUCCAUGAAAUUAAUUAGCUUGAGUUGCACCCACAUCAAUAUUAUCUCACACUUAUCUAUCCUUCAUGAUGGCCUAUUAGAUAGGCAUAAAUAAAAAAAAAACAUUGAUUAGGAUGAAACUAUAUAAGCCUAACUAAUGUAAUAUAUAUAUAUAUAUAUAUAUAUAUAUAUAUUUUUUUAUUGAUUGUUAGCCCUUAUUUUUAUAUAAAAGAAAUCAAAACACGCAUUUUAAAUUAUAAGUUUUAAUAUAGUUGUUAUUAAAAACUAUCAUAAUUAUCUUUAUAAUACAAUACCUUUAGAUCGGUCACAACUUGUAUUAAAAAACUAGCAUUUAUUACAACUUCCACUUUAUAAAUAGACUAUAUUUUUUCCCGUGUUUUUCAUUCCUUCAUAUCAGUUCUUUUUUCGUGAAUUCUAAAAAAUGAAAAGCUUUAUUUCCAGAAAACAAAUUUUGACUUUGAAAUCUUCGUGUGAUUUCUGAACAUUUGAAACCCUUGUUACUCUCUUUAUUCUCUCUUUGAACCCUCAUUUUUCUCUUUGAACCUUCAACGCAACUAGGAACCCUCACCGUUAGCCCUCAAUCACUCCUUCGUUCAUACAUGACAUUGAUAGGUAAACUUCACUUUAUUUUUUGUGUGUAAAUGUCUAAUGUAGGAUACAUUGAUUUCUAUUUUAGUUACUCGAAUGUUGUUAUUUAGUUCUGUCUUUCUACUGUUUGGUUUUUGUUUAGUUUGAGGCUUGUAUUGUGGACAUUAGGACAUUAGGGAAAAAAAGUUGAGAUGCUAUGAAUGUUGCGUGUGCCUUUUCUAUUUCAUAGUUAAAAAAAUUGGGUAUUUAGACAACAAUGUGUCCUGGUCCCAAUUGGUUUUGAAAAUUAUUAUAAGUUCUUGCUUGUCCUAUAAUUUAGUUUCGAGUCUUUGUUGUGAUGUUAUGUUUUUUUUUAAGAUGUAAGUUCCUUUAAUUGGCUGGAAUUUUUUAAUGUGAUAAUUGCGAUGACAUUUAUUGAUGGAUUAUUCUAAAAUAGUGUGGUCGUUUUCCUUUUGGAUUUUUUACAUAUUUUAUGCUUCAAAUUGAUGUAUCAGUUUGCCAAUUUUUGGUUGUUUUAAGUUAUAACUACUUCAUGUGCUUGUUCAUGAAAAUGUUAACAAACUUAUAAGAAGUGAUGUUAUACUUGUAGGUUGCUGAGACUACGUGGAUUUGUACCCUGUUAAGACUAUUUCUACUAUUAGCAUAAUUUUUCAAAGGUAAUUUCAUUUUAUAUCUCAUUAAUUUAGUUCAAUAAAUUAUUUUUGUUUGAGACUAUUGAUGUGUUCAUCAUGUAUGAUAUGUUGGACAUUUAUUGCCUUGGUGAAUCUUGAAUUUGGUUGAUAGCUUUCUUGUAAACUGAUUGACUCCUACAACUGUUUAAGGUAUAUUUGAAAAAAGGUUUAGAAAAAGUGGGUGAUCUAAGUUAGAGACAACAAGGGACUUGGUUUGAUUUAUUGUAACUAAUUGCCUAGAUGGAAGGUAGUGUUGAUUGGGGUUUAGGUAAAAUAUCUAAAAUGUGAACUACUUUUAAGUUUGUUAAUUAACAUUUAUGAAUAAUUAGAGUACAUAUUGUGCUAGUUUGAUUAGUUGGUAGCAACUUUCUAUUUCUUAUUACAACAGUUUACAUUUAUUCAAUAUUUGUGGAAUAGAAGCUUCAUUAGGUCAGGCUCUUAUCCCAUUAUAACAUCCAACAAAUAUCUAUAACUUAAUAUGGUAGUUAAACUUAUCAUAAAUCUAAUCUUAGACAAUCCUCAAUUGUCCAAUGAUCUACCUAACCUUACAAUUUUCUCAUAUAGUAUUAAAAGAAGAAAUAGUCUCACAAUGUUCACAGUCCAAUCCUACACUUGAAAUGUUUAAUGUAAUAGAUUAAACUUAUUAAACUUAGGAAUCCCCACCUUAUGAACUCACUUUUGGGUUUGACUCAGGUUGAACUCAAAUAUUGAAUAUUAUAUUAGAGCUUGCUUUAAAUCUAAUGUUAGAUAACAAAACCUACCACUAGGAAUAAAGAAUUUGAAUCACGAUACACAUCUAAAUGUUCUUUGACUUUUGAUGGUAAACUUUUCUAUCUAAUAUCUGCAUACAUCUAUUGUAAAUUACUUUUUCAGUAUAGUCUGUUAUUAGCUCUAAAAUUAUUUGUGUAGAUCACCUGAAACUGUUUAUUAACUAUGUUUUAUUUAACUUUUUCAAGGAUAGUAACACAUUUCCUUGUAUUUAUAUGAUGCCCUUCCUAAAUAAGUAUUUUUUUUCUUUUUAUGUUUGUUUUGUAGUCAUGCUAAUAAAUAAAUCGUGGAUUUCUAAACAAAACACCAUUAAAUAUCCAAAUGGAUUGAAUGUAUUUUUGGAAUUUGCAUUCGAACAUGCUAAUGGUCAUGUCAUUAAGUGUCCAUGUUCAAAGUGUGAUUUUAAAAAGUGGCAAACAAAGGAUGUAGUUCACGAACAUUUAACAUGUAAAUCUUUCCUUAAAAACUACAAAACUUGAUAUUAGCAUGAUGAGGGACCAAGUGUAAUUGAGUCUACGACCAUUACAAGUGUGCAUGUGAUUGAAGAUUUUAUAGAAUCUCAAAAUCUAAUGAAAGACAUGUUAAACGAUGCAGGUUUAUGGGGACAUGGUGUCAAUGAUUUUGAUGAGGGUAAAGAAAUGAUGGUCUGCAAAUAAUAUGGUGCGUAAUAAAGGAAAUACAAAUUUUGAUGCGUUGUUGAUGGACAAUAAUGAAAAAGUUGUAUCAUAUAAAUUGCAUGUGUAGAAUGAGUGACAAAGCACUCUAAUUAUAGACCUACUAAAUGACGCAUUUAAACAUGCUAAGUUUCCUAACUUGCUUUAUGAGGCCAAAAAUGUUAUUAACAAACUUGGUCUUAAUUAUGCCAAAAUACCAGCUUGUCCAAAAAAUCGAAUACUAUAUUGGGAUGAAGAGAAUGGGGGCUUAGAAGAAUGUAAAUGGUUCAAGACGUCUAAGUGAAAAGAUAAAGAUAAGAAAAAAUAUGCAAAAAUCUUGGUUACUUUCCAUUUAAGAUUGCAAAGAUUUUUUUAUGUAUUCUAAGACAAUUGAUUUUAUGACAUGCCAUGCAUUAAAGGGUAAGGAAGAUGGAUUGGUGACGCAUCCUAGAGAUUCUGAGGCUUGGAAAACAUUUGAUCUAUUGCAUCCAAAAUCUGCAGAUGGUCAUCAAAAUGUACGACUAAGCUUAGCUACUUAUGGUUUCAAUCCUUUUGAAAUCAUGAGUACAAGUUAUAGUAUAUGACUAGUGGUCCUUAUCCUAUACAACCGUUCUCCUUCGGAGUGUAUGAAGUAAAAAUACUUUAUCAUGUCCAUAAUAAUUCAUGGAAAACAAAGCAAAGCAUCCUCUUGCUCAAACAAAAUCAAGGUUGCCAAAAUAGAUUUUGAACCAAAAACUAAUUAUAAAUAUUUGUGAGGUUGAACCCAAACAACCCCAGAAUGCUACACGACACAAUUCUACAAUACCGCUUUGGAAGAUCUUGCAUGCACUUUAAAUUUGACAUGGUGGAUUUUAAAUCAUGAUUGACUAAACCAAUACAAUAAUCAAACUCCAAACACACCAAUUAAUCCUAAAAUUGAUAUUAUAAUAAGCUGACUUAACUAAACUGAUAAAAUCAUCAAACUCCUAAUACACUAAUUGUUCCUAAAAAUUAUAUUAUUAGCUCACUGAAAGUCAAAACAUUGAAAUUAUUGUCUCUAAGCGUUUAUUCUUGGACAUAUCACUCCUACCCAUUCUUAACCAGUCUCCUUUACUUGAUGAAAACUUUUUGUCCCACAUCCUAUUUUUGCAAUGUAGAUGAAAACGUUUCAGAAAAUUAUCAGAGUCACGAUUAAUGCUCGAUUAAAUGCAGGAAUGAGAUGCUCCCUCACACCGUACUACCCUCUGUCUUUCAUCAGCAUCCAAAAAAUCCUCUUGCUCAAACAAAAUCAAGGUUGCCAAAAUAGAUUUUGAACCAACUAAUUAUAAAUAUUUCAUUCAUUUCUUAACUUUUUGGGGAUCAUGGACAAGCAAUAUGUAAAUGUCAUUUUCCAAGCCAAUUGUGAUGUUAAAAUAGACUUACUGAGUUCAUUUCUAAGAUGUAAGUUAUAAGGUAAGCUACAAAAUCAAAAUCCUCGUGACGAGAUUCCUAUUUGAAAGAAAUUCUUUAUAAGAUGGAAGAACAGAGAAAUCUUAACCUUAAUCUUAGAAAAAAAACCAUAGAGUGCUCUAUGUGCCUCCUCUCCCUCAUGCCACAAACGGUUCCUUGCCGCCGCAAGGAAGUGCAGGAAAGUUUAGUAACUUCACUAUGAAACUUGCCUAUAUCUUUCUCAUUGUCUUCAUCAUCCUCUUCUUCUUCGUCGUCAGAUUGGUAUUUUUCUACAUUCAAAGGCGCUUCUCCUCGACGAACUUCGAGGCCGGUGACAUCCACGGGCAAGCGGUGUCGAAUCCCGUGGCUUCGAGAUCUCUGACGGUGGUGGCCGAGACGGCUGGGGAGUGCACUAUAUGUCUGGAGGGGGUGGGAGAGGGAGAGGAGGUGAAGAUGACUACCCACUGCAAGCACACAUUCCACGCGAACUGCUUCGACAGUUGGCUGGAGAACCAUGUGACGUGCCCGGUGUACCGGUAUUCUGAGAUGAGUGGAGAGGAGGAGCUUGUGACGAUGGGAGGAGGAGAAGAAGAAGAUGCAGAAGUUUCUGGAACAAACUUGGAGUAGGAAGUGUUGAGUCUCUUAGAGGGCAUAUUUAUAUGUUAGGGGUGAGAAAAGUUUAUUUUAAGGUUAUUAGAAUAAUGUGGGCAAGAGUAUAAUACUAUUGUGUGUAAUAUUUAUAAAAUAAUAAUUUAUUGUGAGAUACGAUUGACUAUGCCUUUAAUAUUUUAUUAUAAUAAAAACAAAUGAUUAAAAUUAUAAAUAAAAUUUAAUUUCUACUAAUUUACACUUUCUUUUGAUUCAAUCUAUUAGACACUGAAUUAUAAUAGUAUAAUAAUAUUUUAAUAAAGAAUCAAAUUGUAAAAUUAAAAAAUACACUAAAGGUGUGCAUUUCGGAACCUAACCAACCCAACCCGAAACACAGAACUACUUGAACCCGUUAUUUGACCCACCCACCCGUUUCCUCUUCUCCUUCACCAACACCCACCCAAUUGGGUAUACCUAUCAGAAUCCGAUCCAAGUCCAAACACGCAAUCACCGGGUUCUCUCUCCGUCUCCCUUCGUUCCUAACCCUAUCGUUUUCUGCCGGACCCUCCGAUCGGACUCUAAAAUCACAACCAUCACCACCACCCUCUCUCUCUGUAUAACGAACACUCUCUCUCUUCAAUUCCUUUUCCUUUAAUUGGAACUCUUAAUUGCGUUAUAUGACGGUUCAAUUUAUCUGAAUUGCAAAAAUAUUUUGUCAAAUUUUGCUUUUAUUUAGAGCUUCUUGUAUACAGGCUACAAAAUUGUAGCAGUCUAUGGUUUUAAAUUGCAGGCAUACCCAAUUUUGCCUUCUCUUUUCUUCAAUUUACUGUGACUUUGAUGCUUAUUUAAGGGUUAAGUUAGUUUGAGUCAAUAUAUGUCUAGAUUCUGAUCUAAACUCAUUGUUCUUGCUAUAUUUUGCUGAGGAGUAUGCUAAGAUUCAAUUUUUUUUAACUCGAGUAGGGUUUUAAAUUGCAGUUGUAAUUGUGAUCAUCAUAGUUAAAUUGAGGACUCUUGUAGAGCAAUUGCAGCUGAUAGGGUCUAUAAUAUCGGCAAUCAAGAGGAUUGAUUUUGAGCUGCAUCAUGUGAGGCAGGUUGCAAUUUAAAACCUUGGAGUAAUGGAAGAUAUCUGGUUCAGGAAUAUAGGUUGUUGUUGUGAUAUUUCCGGUCUGAAUUUAACAAGAUUUGAGUGAGUUUAUUAGAAGAUAAGCUUUAGCCCUCUACAUCUUUGUGUAAUUCAUGAAAGAGUGAGGGUUGAGUCUUUGCUGGCGCAAUAGUGAAGUUGCAGCCUUAUAGCAUGGAGGUCACAAGUUCAAACCUAGAAAAGUUUGCUUGCUGGGUAAGAUUGUGUGCAUAUUUACCUUCCCCAAAACCCACUUGGUGGACGAGCCUUGUGCAUUCGCCUCCCUUUAUUUAGAGGAGGGUGGAACCGGCAUCAACUUUUGAUUUAAUUCUUCACAGCCAUCCAUAAAUGCUUUGCUACUUAACAAAUUUGGAAGUUUUGACUUUUUUGUACUAUAACAUUUUGGGUGAUGACUUAUCACUUAGUUUUGUGUGAUGUGCAGAGUUUUGGUAAUCUGAAGCCUAUGUGAUGGAAAAAUCAAAUGAUUCAGGUACUAAGAAACCAAAAAGGCUGACAUCCGUUGUUUGGAAUCACUUUGAAAGGGUUAGAAAGGCUGACAUCUGCUAUGCUGUCUGUGUGCAUUGUAACAAGAGACUUAGUGGAUCGAGUAACAGCGGAACUACUCAUCUGAGAAAUCACUUGAUGCGGUGUCUGAAAAGAUCAAAUUUUGACGUGUCUCAAUUACUUGCUGCGAAGAGAAGGAAGAAAGAUAAUACCAUCAGUCUAGCAAACAUUAGUUUUGAUGAAGGUCAGAGGAAAGAAGAAUAUGUAAAGCCAACAAUCAUCAAGUUUGAACAGGAGCACAAGAAAGACGAUAUCAUUAAUUUCGGAAGUAGUAAAUUUGAUCAGGAAAGGAGUCAACAUGAUCUUGCACGCAUGAUCAUAUUACACGGAUACCCAUUGAGCUUGGUUGAACAAGUAGGAUUUAAGGUCUUUGUGAAAAACCUCCAGCCUCUCUUUGAGUUCAUGCCAAACGGUGCUGUAGAGGUUUCUUGUAUAGAUAUCUAUAGGAGGGAGAAAGAGAAAGUUUAUGAUAUGAUAAACAGAUUACAGGGAAGGAUUAAUCUGUCUAUUGAAAUGUGGUCUUCAACAGAAAAUUAUUCGUAUUUGUGCCUAUCUGCUCAUUAUAUUGAUGAGGAAUGGACAUUACAGAAGAAAAUCUUGAACUUUGUCACACUUGAUUCUUUGCACACUGAAGACUUACUUCCAGAAGUGAUUAUCAAAUGUCUCAAUGAAUGGGAUAUUGACGGCAAGCUUUUUGCCUUGACACUUGAUGAUUGUUCCAUCAGUGAGGACAUCACCCUUAGAAUCAAGGAGCGAGUUUCUGAGAAAAGGCCUUUCUUAAGUACUCGUCAGUUACUUGACAUACGCUCUGCAGCACAUCUCAUAAAUUCCAUUGCUCAAGAUGCCAUGGAGGCAUUACAGGAGGUGAUCCAAAAGAUUCGAGAGAGCAUUAGAUAUGUUAGAAGUUCACAAGUAGUGCAAGCAAAAUUUAAUGAAAUUGCUCAGCAUGCUACAAUUAACACUCAAAAGGUGUUAUUUCUUGAUUUUCCAGUUCAGUGGAAGUCUACUUAUCUCAUGCUUGAAACUGCGGUAGAAUACAGGAGUGCUUUUUCUCUUUUCCAAGAUCACGAUCCCUCCUAUUCAUCUACUCUAAGUGAUGAGGAGUGGGAAUGGGCCACUUCUGUUACUGGAUACUUAAAACUUUUAGUUGAAAUUACCAACGUAUUUUCGGGAAACAAAUUUCCUACUGCUAAUGUAUAUUUCCCUGAGAUCUGUGAUGCCCAUAUUCAGUUAAUUGAUUGGUGUAGAAGUUCAGAUAGUUUUCUUAGUCCAAUGGCUAUGAAGAUGAAAGCCAAAUUUGACAAGUACUGGGGCAAGUGCAGUUUGGCUUUAGCUCUAGCUGCUGUUCUAGAUCCUCGGUUUAAAAUGAAGUUGGUUGAGUACUACUACUCCCUAAUUUAUGGAAGCACUGCACUGGAGCGUAUCAAGGAAGUUUCUGAUGGUAUCAAAGAACUUUUUAAUGCGUAUUCUAUCUGUUCAACUAUGAUUGAUCAAGGCUCAGCCUUGCCUGGCAGCAGUUUGCCUAGUACUAGUUGUAGUUCCAGAGACAGGCUAAAAGGCUUCGACAGAUUCCUUCAUGAGACAUCACAGAGUCAGUCCAUGACAUCAGACUUGGACAAGUAUUUAGAGGAACCAAUCUUUCCACGUAAUUCCGAUUUUAACAUAUUGAACUGGUGGAAAGUCCACAUGCCAAGGUACCCAAUUUUGUCUAUGAUGGCACGCGAUGUUCUUGGGACUCCAAUGUCAACUUUGGCACCGGAAUUGGCAUUUACCACUGGGGGCAGAGUGCUAGAUUCUUCUCGUAGUUCACUAAACCCGGAUACAAGAGAGGCUUUGAUAUGUACCCAAGAUUGGCUCCGAAAUGAAUCUGGAGGUAUGUACUUAUGCUGUACCUUUUUCUACCCAUACAAUAAUGUUGAUUCAUUUCUGAUUCUGAUGCCUUAUUUUUUCUGACUCUUGUCAGAUCUAAAUCCAUCUCCAAUCCAUUCUGCUCUACCUCUUCUCAUCGAAUAACGUUAAUUGUACCAUGGUAUGCCUCUGUAAAACUUGUGUCAUGAGUUCCUAAUCUCUCCAGAAUCCAUUGUUGAACAUUUUAUUUUUGGUCUGUGCUUGUGUUCCAAGGUUGAUGGGUCGGUUACCAGUUCAUGAAUAAUCUUUUACAAUUUUGUUUUAUAAUGUCAGGUCUUAUGGAAGAAGCAUCUUAGAAUUCUCAAGUUUGCCUUGUUCCCCGCAUCAUUUGUUGCUGGGAAGUGAUUUAUCUUUGUGCAAAUAUUCUGGGAAGAUGCACUGUAUAUUCUUAGAGAAACAAUGUAGAUUCUUUUUUAUACUUAUAGAUAUCUCUUCUUUGUUAGAUGUUUUUAUUGGACUAGCAUUCGGCUGAAUCUGAUUUUGUAUAGAGGGUUGCUUGCCCUUGAUAUCAAAAUCGCUCCUUGCCUGAAAGUUUUCUUUCGCUUCGCUUCACUGCUCAUUCAAUAAAGUUGCGCUAAAUGAAUGAUCUUAACGAAUAAAGAUCACUUCAGAGUGGUAUGUAAUCCAUUGUUGUUGUCAUUUUUAUCUAUAUAUUGUGUCAUAUAUGUAAUCCGGAAGAUACUUCUAGAAUUAGAUACUUCUACAAUGCACAAUUCGAAAACUUUUUUUUGUUAUGAAAAAUGCCUUUUUAGAUUUACAAUUCAUAAAGUUUUUUCAUGUAAAAAAUAACUUUUAAAUUUAUUUGGAUUGUAUGAUCAAAAUCAAAAUUGAUUUUCAAAUUGUGCAACUGAGAAGCUUUUCUUUUUUCGUGCAAAAAUAUUUUUGGAUAGUGCAUUUCAAAAAUAAGAAAUGAUUGCACAAUCUUAAAAAAUAGCUUCUGAAUUAUGCAAUUCAGAAUAUUUUUUUAUGCCAAAAUAAAAAAUGAUUGUACAGUUAAAAUAGCUUUUGAAUUAAUCAAUUUAAAAUAAUUUUUAUGUCAAAUUAUUAUGUUUAGAUUGUAAAAUUAUUUAUAUACUCUCAUAGGAUAGCUUCUUCCUGCACCUCCAUGGCUUCUUCCACCACCCCAUAAUGUGUAGUAAAAAUAUUAAAAUAUUAAUUUAACCUACUUUACUCUCACUUUCUCUUUCUCACCAUUUUUGAUUUCACUCCUCAGCAGCGGUAGCCCCAUCGCCGUUCCCACCCCGUCCCACCUUUUUCACCUUUCUCCUUCCCCAAAGUCUUUCUCUACGUUUUCCUUCAUACUUUCAUUUCAUCUCUGUUAAAGUUCUCAUUCUCCAUCAUUCACAGUGCACGGUGUCCCGUCCUCCGGGCGUUUUUCAAAGUCAAAGAUCAAUGUAUGGUGGGAUCCCUCAAGGAAUCCAAGAAAGAAAGUCAACGAAUUGACCACUUGAGGCGUUGCCAAGGUAAAACGUCGCCUAGUGUAAGCCUCGCCUAGGUGAGGCGUCGCCAAGAUGAGACGUUAUCUGGUGUAGGCAUCAUAUAUUAUUAAUAUUCAUAUAUUUAAUAUCAUUUUUACUAUUAUUCAAAGUAAUGAUAAUAUUAAUUCUUACAAAAAUAUUAUUAACAUUAUUAAAUAAUAUUGAAUAUUAUUAAUAUUAUUAAAUUAAUUAAAUAUUAUUAAUGUUAUAAAAAUUAUUAUUCAAUAUUAUUAAUAUUAUAAAAAAAUAUUAUUCAAUAUUAUUAAUAUUAUAAAAAUUAUUAUUAAAUAUUAUUAAUAUUAUUAAAUAUUAUUAAUAUUAUUAAAUAUUAUUAAUAUUUUUAAAUACUAUUAAAUAUUAUUAAUACUAUUAAAUAUUUUUAAAUACUAUUAAAUAUUAUUAAUACUAUUAAACAUUUUUAAAAAUUAUUAAUACUAUUAUAUAUUAUAAAGUAUUAUUAAUAUUAUUAAAAAUUAUUAAUUUUAUUAAGACUAUUAAAUAUUAUUAAAGAUGAUUAAAUACUAUUAAUAUUAUUAAAUAAUUAUUAAAAAUUAUUACUAUUAUUAAAUAUUAUUAAUAUUAUUAAAUGUUAUUUAAUAUUAAUAAAUAUUAAUAAUAUUACUAAAUAUUAUUAAUAUUAUUAAUAUUAUUAAAUCAUUAUUAAUAUUAUAACAAAUAUUAUUAAUACUGUUAAAUAUUAUUAAUAUUUAUUAUAAUAUUAAUACUAGCAAAAACACUUACUUGUAUAUGUGUAUUAUGAUUCUCAAUGACUUUUAACUCCUUUAAUAUAUGCAAAUAUACAAACAGGUAAACUUACUUUGAAAAAUUGUUUAGAUGAAAUAGGACUUUCAACAGAACUAGAGUAGUUGAAAUUAUUAUUAUUAUUUUUAUUUUUUUUAAUAAUACUUUUUGCAUGUAAUGAUAAAGCCUAACAUGAAAGUGUUUUAUAAACAAAAUUAUUAUUACUAAUUUAAAAUAUCCUUCCAUUUCUUCCAUGUUGAUUCCACUCCCAAUUUCAUUUUACCAUCACCCAUGUAGUAAAGAUAAUAAAAAUUAAUAAAAUCAAACUCUUUCCUUGCAUAAACUUAUUCAUAUUUAGUUAAACAUUUAUAUAUGUUGUAAGUUUGUAAAUUUUCAGUUAAACAUUUAUGUAUUGUGUAAGUUUCGAAAAUUUCAGUUAAACAUUUAUAUAUGAUGUAAGUUUGAAAAUUAAAGAACAAAAACUAGAAAAUUAAAGAUUAUUAUGAGACAAAUAGGAAAGAGAGUUUCAUAAGAUGGAUCAUUAAUAAAUAGAAUAAUACAUGCUUGAUACCAAGUUUGAAAGAUGAAAUAGGAUGAUGGAAGUGCCUUUGAAACGAGAUUAAAAAAUGAAGAUAAAUUAGGAAGAUGAAAUAAGAAGAUUAAGAAAUGAAAAUAAGAAAAGUGAUUUCUAAAAUUAUAUGUGUGCUUACAUGAUAUAAUUCCAAAAAGAACUAAUAGAGGAAGGCGCCACAAACAAAGUUUGAUAAACCUAAGGAUGAUCUUCAUAAGAAUUGAUGGAUUCUUGAUAAGAUCGCAAGAUGAAGGAAAAAACCCUAGCAGAGAAAUAUUCUCUCUUAAAAAAUCCCAAAAUAUUCACCCCUCAUUUUGAUUUCCAAAAGUGUAUAAAUACAAAUUUAGUUAUAUGUCUUGGGUUCAAAUCCUAAUUCCAAGCAAAAUAAUAAUAUUAUUUUAUUUUAAUACUCCAAGUAUGUUGUGUAUGUAAUGAGCCUAGUCGUUUUAAAAUAUGGGCCAUUCAACAAUUGGACCUCCAAAAGAUUAGUCGUCUUUGGCUUGGAUGUCUGCAUCAUUACAACUAAUUAAAAGUGAUAUGCGUUUUCUCUCUAAAUUGUUAAAAGUCGUCUCCGAAAAUAAAUGUAUAAAAAAGUGAAGUGGGAAAUCAAUGGAAUUUGUUGUAAAAUCACUUAAACUUACAAGAGGUCUCAUAAUAAAUUUCAAUUAAAGGUCUCAUAAUAAAUUUCAAUUAAAAUUAAAUAUUUUAGUGUUUACAAGAAUAUCUUAAUCGUAGAAUUAUUAUCAAAACACUAUUCUUUUCAUAAAUCACUUGAAAAUUUAAACCCUUAAACAAAAUUAUACUAUAAGAAAACUAAAAGUAAAAAUUAUAAUUUAACUUUAAAAUAUAACCACGCAAAAUCACUUGAAAUAUUCUUUAUUGAUAAAUGUUUUAGUAAUAGAAAUUAGGAUAAGAAUUUAGGUCUUUCUUCUAAACUUUUCCAACCAUAGCAUUCAUCUUUAUCAAAAACCAAACAUGGUCCAUCUUCUCUGACUUCCCAACUGCAUAAGUAACAUUUAUUGGCAUCCCUGCUUGCUUUGUAAAUAUCAAACCUAUGCACAACAGAUUCCCAUUGAAAGGAACAAUGGUACAACGUUGUUCUAAAGAAGUUAAUUUGGAAACUCCACGAAAAAGUACCAUGAGGAUGAAGAUGUUGUAGACCAAGAUCUUCGUCAGCAGAUUGCAGUGAAGGAACAGAUCUCAACCUCCUUGUAAUUCAUUUCUGACAAUCACAGUUGUUUGUAGUUUUGGUACAGAAAUAGCAUGGCUUGUUGAAGGUUGCACAAGCAGCCAAAGUAAGAAAAAACUUUUAACAGACACAGACAUUGCUCCUUCUCCAAUUAUCAUGGUCUAAGUUUAGUUAGAAUGUUAUGAUUAUUAGUAUAUUUAUAGGUAUAAUCAUCAAUAUCAAUAUAAUUAAUAAUAUAGAAAUUAUUAAUAUUCAUAUAUUUAAUAUCAUUUUUAUUAUUAUUCAAAUUAAUGAUACUAUUAAUUAUUACAAAAAUAUUAUUAAACAUUAUUAAAUAAUAAUGAAUAUUAUUAAUAUUAUUAAAUUAAUUAAAUAUUAUUAAUAUUAUAAAAUUAUUAUUCAAUAUUACUAAUAUUAUAAAAAAUGUUAUUAAAUAUUAUUAAAUAUUAUUAAUAUUUUUAAAUACUAUUAAAUAUUAUUAAUACUAUUAAAUAUUUUUAAAUACUAUUAAAUAUUAUUAAUACUAUUAAAUAUUUUUAAAUACUAUUAAAUAUUAUUAAUACUAUUAAAUAUUUUUAAAUACUAUUAAAUAUUAUAAAGUAUUAUUAAAUUAUUAAAAAUUAUUAAUUUUAUUUAGACUAUUAAAUAUUAUUAAAGAUGAUACUAUUAAUAUUAUUAAAUAAUUAUUAAUAUUAUUAAAUAUUAUUAAUAUUAAUAAAUAUUAUUAAUAUUAAUAAAUAUUAUUAAUAUUAAUAAAUAUUAUUAAUAUUACUAAAUGUUAUUAAUAUUAUUAAAUCAUUAUUAAAUAUUAUUAAUAUUAUAACGAAUAUUAUUAAUACGGUUAAAUAUUAUUAAUAUUUAUUAUAAUAUUAAUACUAGAAAAAACACUUACUUGUAUAUGUGUAUUCACAUUUUUUUUAUUUUUAUCAUUAUCAUAUGUAUAUUUAUAUUUAUUAAAAUAACUAUAAAUUUAUAUGUAUUCAAAUUUUAAAACCUUAAUUUAUCUAUAUAUAUGCUCAAAAAAAUAAAAAAAAACACUCAUUUAAAAUAUUUAAUUUUAAAUAUUUGCUUGUUUGUUGAAAGUUCUUGCCAUGGAAAAUUCUUUUAAUAUUUUUUAAGUACACACCUUCAAAGGAAUGUUUAGUUGGAGAAUUCUUUUACACUAAAUAAUUGGAAAAAAAUUCUUUAUAACUCUUGAAUUUUAUUAACAUUUUUUAAUAUAACCGUAACCAAUAAAUUAAGGAAAACAUAAUGGUGAAAUUUGUUGAAAAUUAAAAUAGGAGUGAGAUGUAGUUAAACUUAAUGAAUUCAAUUAUUUUUUUUAAAAACUAUCUAAAUUCAUUAUUUUUAAAUUCCACUAGUAACAACCAUAAUUACAUUUUUUUAAAAAAAAUUGUUUAUCUCAUUAGUUAUUGUCAAAAUUAUGUAGUACAAAAAAACUUUUAAGAAAUUUCUUAUGUAAAAGAUAAAUUUACAAUUUUUUUUUAUGUUUGUUACUUGUAAUAAAAUCAUUAUAAUUGAAUUUUAAAUAAUAAUAAAAUUUUUAAAUAACGAUAAUAUUUUUCUAAAGAAAUUUAUUUUAAUAGUUUAAAUUUAUUUAAAACUACAAACUUAGAAAAGAAAAUAAUUAAAUAUAAUUUGAGUUUUUUUUCUUUUAUAAUUUUUAAAUAUUUUAUCAAUUUUGUGAACCAAAUGGAGAAUUGAAACCAUGCAUUAAACUAGAUCAAGUAUGACUUGUAGCAAACAUGUCACACAAGAUGGGUGGUCCUUAAGGAGUAGUAUAGAUGCAUCAGUUAACACACAACUCACUUCUUGAUUAUAAUCAGUGACAUUGGGUUGAGAGAAAAAACUAUAUUGGACCAAGAUUUGCAUCAAACGGAAAAUAAAGCAAGUCUUUGGAAGUGAUGGCAUUCCUGUGAGCUCUUCUUUAUUUUUGAUGAUAAUGGUUGCGGAAGCUUAGUGGAGGAGAGUGGAACAAGGCCUUCCUGUGGAUGAGACCACACAAAUGGAAUUAAAUGUGACAACUAGAAAGAGUUCAAAAGAAAUUAGACAAGAAAAUAAAAAGGGUACUCAAAGAAAGAAUGGCACACAAAUAGGAACCUAUGGAAUAGCACUAGAUUUUGAUUUAAAAACCAAAACACAACACCACUGAAACAAAUUGUUGUGGUCCAGAAUGCGUGAUUUUCACAGAUUUAUGCUGAGCUGGCCUUUUAAUAUUUGCUUCUGAAAAUUGAUAUUCAAACAAAUCAAGAUCUUAACAAAUUUUUGGCGUUGGUUUCACUCCAAACGCAUGCACCAAUUAAUUUUAAUAUUUUUUGUAAAAUCAGUGCUCAGAACCGCCAGAUGUAGCGUCACGAUUGCACACUUUUUUUGUAAUAUUUAUCUUUUUUUUUCUAUUUCUUUUUUUCAACUGAUUCUUUUUUUGUUAUUUUGCUAACACCUCAAUCUAGUGAAAUCCAGAGGCUCAGAAUUUUCUUAUGUGGUAUUUAAUUUUCAUAAGCAAAAUCAGCCAAAACAGAAUGGUGGAAAACAGAGGAUUUUGUAAAUCUGGACCAACAAAAACACAAUGGAAUUUGUGUGGAUCUAGCUCACAAAUAUGAACUCAAACUAAAAAUUAAAAAGCACCAAAGGAUCAAAACACAACAGAUUUCAGAUCAAGCAUUCAAGCAAAAACAAGAAACAAAUAAACCAAGAAAAGUACUACUAGGAUUUGUUGACAAAUAUGGAAACACAUGACUUAGACAAAACUUAUGGAUUCAUAAAAUGAAAAGACUCAAGAACAUCAUAUGACCCGAAUGAAAUUUCAAGCAAGACUCAAAUACCUAAAAAUAAAAACAGCAACACAAAGAUAUCAAGAAUCCUACACAAAAUUGAAAAUAGAUGUUCAAGCAUAAAUUUGAACAAACCCACCGAUUGAAAGGAAUAAACAAGCAUUCAAACCAUAUUAAAAUCAUAAAAACAACAAGACAACUUGGAAUAAAGAUGAACAACUAGAAAAUAAGAAGAACUCAAAAAGAAAAUUGCAAAGAGAUACUCAUCCUUGAAGAACCAUAGCUCUGAUACCAAAUGAUGGCAUUCCUAUGAGCUCUUCUUUGUUUUUGAUGAUGAUGGUUGCGGAAGCUUAGUGGAAGAGAGUGGAACAAGGCCUUCCUAGGAAGUAUGGGUGCUUGAAGGUGCAUGAGGAGUAGUGAGGGUUGGAGUGGUUCGGCCAUCUCCAUUUGGGGGUGAAGUUUGAAGACUAAAAACCUAAUUCUAGAGAGAAUUUGGCAAGGGAGUAAUUUGAAUGGCACUUGGGCAGCAUUACUUUACUCAAAAUAGUCUUGAAAAUACAAGGUGUAGGCUCCUCCUUUUAUAGGCUAAGGAAGACCAUAAUGCAACCCUAAUGCUAAUCAAAAUGAAAUGCAAAUUACAUCACAUGGAGCACAUGGCCGGUCCUAGUGGAGAAUCCUUCUAGAACGUGACCAUAUCUUUGCCAAAUCUAGGUCAAGUCUCAUGGAAUCAAGUUUAUGCUAUUUACACUACACUUAAUACUAAGCUACCCUUAAUGGGCUUUCAUGUAGCAUAUAGAAGUUGCUUUCUCUCCCAUCCGUGGCUUGGCCCAAGGCUCCCAUCCGUAGCUUGGUCAUGGACCUAGUAGUAGGUCCUAGACGCUCUCCCCUACCUUCUAGAUGCUCCCCCUCUAGACGCUCUCCAUCUUGUGCUAGACGCUCUCCACCUUGUGCUAGACGUUCUAGAUUUGGCUUUUGCCUUUCAUGGGGUGUUGAGCUUGGCCCUCUUCCAUCAUCCCCCCCCCCCCUUUGGAAAGGAUUUGUCCUCAAAUCCAUGUCGUCCUCGUCUUCAUUGGUACCUACAAAUGGAAAUAGAUCAAUUACAUUAAAAGUAUCAUGUACUCCAUAUUAAAGAGGUAGGUCCAAUUUGUAUGCAUUGCUGUUGACUCUCUUGAGGACUUGAAAGGGUGCAUCACCUCGGGGACUUAGUUUGGACUUCCUUUGAGUUGGAAAUCGGUCUUUUCGAAGGUGAAGCCAAACUAAGUCUCCUUCCUCAAAAAUUAUUUCUUUCUUCCCUUUAUUGUUGUAUUUUGUAUACUUUUCAUUUUGUUGUUGUAUUUGGAUUUUAACCUUCUCAUGCAUUUUCUUCACAAAAUCGGCUUUGAUUACUCCUUCCUUGUGCACAAAUUAUUGUGGAUUAGGAAGAGGUAAUAAAUCCAUAGGUGUGAGAGGAUUAAAUCCAUAUAUGACUUCAAAAGGAGAAGCAUUAGUAGUCUUGUGGACUACUCUAUUGUAAGCAAACUCAAUGUGGGGAAGGUACUCAUUCCAAGAUUUGUGGUUUCCUUUCAUGAUAGCAUAGUUCCAAGAGAUCUAUUGACUACUUCGGUUUGGCCAUCUGUUUGAGGAUGACAAGAAGUUGAAAAUUGUAGUCCGUUUCCAAGUUUUCCCCAGAGAGUUUUCCAAAAGUGGCUUAUGAACUUGGGAUCUCUAUCGGAUACUAUACUUCUAAGUAUACCAUGGAGUCUCACCACUUCUCUGAAGAAGAAUCUAGAAAUAUUUUGAGCAUCAUCUACCUUGUGGCAAGGAAUAAAGUGGGACAUUUUGCUAAAACGGUCCACUACCACAAAGAUAGAGUCAUGGCCUCUUGCAGUCCUAGGGAGUCCUAAAAUGAAGUUCAUGCUAAUGUCUUCCCAAUGAGCAUUUCCAAUCGGCAAGGGGGUGUAGAGUUCAUGAGGCAUUGUUCUAGACUUUGCUUUUAAACAUGAUAUACAUCUAGAUCAAUGUCUGUGGAUAUCCUUUCUCAUGUGUGGCCAAUAAAAUUUUUCUUUCAAAAGGUCUAGAGUCUUAUCAACUCCAAAAUGGCCCAUGAGUCCCCCUUCAUGUGAUUCCUUGACAAGGAGCUUCCUAUGUGUGCCUUGGGGAAUGCAAAGUUUUCCUUCUUUAAAAAGAUAUCCCUCAGCCACAUAGUAACCUCCUUGUGCCCUAUGCUGACAUUGGGCAUAGAUGGAUGAAAAUUCUUGAUCCUCUUGAUAUAGCUCUCUUAUGUGAUCAAAUCCAAGAAUUUGGUCACCUAAUUUUGAAAAGAGUACAUGCCACCUUGAAAGAGCAUCGGCCACUAUGUUGGUGCUUCCUUUCUUGUAUUUGAUUACAUAAGGAAAUUGUUCAAGAAACUCCAUCCAUUUAGCAUGUCUCUUUUUGAGCUUGUGUUGGCCCUUUAAAUACUUUAAAGACUCGUGAUCACUAUGGAUUACAAAUUCUUUGGACACAAGGUAGUGUUCCCAAGUCUUUAGGGCUUGCACAAGAGCAUAAAGCUCUUUGUCAUAGGUGGGAUAGUUGAGGGUGGCACCAUGGAGUUUUUCACUAAAAUAUGCAAUGGGGUGUCCACCUUGCAACAAUACCGCACCUAUGCCUACUCCCGAUGCAUCACAUUCUAUCUCAAAAGUUUUGGAAAAAUUUGGAAGAGAUAGAAUUGAUGCAUUGGUGAGUUGAGCUUUUAGCCUUUGGAAGGCUUGCUCAUGCUUCUCAUNNNNNNNNNNNNNNNNNNNNNNNNNNNNNNNNNNNNNNNNNNNNNNNNNNNNNNNNNNNNNNNNNNNNNNNNNNNNNNNNNNNNNNNNNNNNNNNNNNNNNNNNNNNNNNNNNNNNNNNNNNNNNNNNNNNNNNNNNNNNNNNNNNNNNNNNNNNNNNNNNNNNNNNNNNNNNNNNNNNNNNNNNNNNNNNNNNNNNNNNNNNNNNNNNNNNNNNNNNNNNNNNNNNNNNNNNNNNNNNNNNNNNNNNNNNNNNNNNNNNNNNNNNNNNNNNNNNNNNNNNNNNNNNNNNNGGUGACUUAGAUGGUCUUUUAGGGUUUUACUAUACACUAGGAUAUCAUCAAAAUAAACUACUACAUAUUUACCUAUGCAAUCUCUCAAGGUGUGAUUCAUAAGCCUUAUGAAUGUACUUGGGGCAUUAGUGAGCCCAAAGGGCAUCACCAACCACUCAUAUAAUCCAAAUUUGGUCUUAAAAGCGGUUUUCCACUCAUCUCCCUCUUUGAUUCGAAUUUGGUGAUAUCCACUUUUAAGGUCAAUUUUGGAGAAUAUGGUUGAACCAUGUAAUUCAUCAAGCCUUGGGAUUGGAUGCCUAUACUUGAUGGUGAUGUUGUUGAUUGCUCGACAAUCACAACACAUGAGUCAUUUUCCAUCCUUUUUGGGCACCAACAAGACAGGUACAGCACAAGGACUUAGGCUCUCUUGAACCCAACCCUUCUCCAACAAGUCUUGAACUUGUGAUUCUAUCUCCUUGGUUUCCUCGGGAUUUGUUCUAUAAGCGGGCCUAUUUGGUAGGCUUGCCCCCGGAAUGAAGUCAAUUUGAUGUGCUAUACCUCUAAUGGGAGGGAGUCCAAUAGGCUCCUCAUUAGAGAAUAUAUCUUCAAAUUCACUUAAAAGAUUUUCUAUUGGAGGAGGUAGAUUCAUAAGUUCACUACUUGUGACAGUGCAUGUAAGUGCUCCUUUACAAAAGAUAAGGCUUGGUGUUCAACAAGAAGCAAAUUUUCUAAACCGUUUUCAAAAGGUUUUUCUUGUUGAGCAACCUUGUGGGAAGGAACACUCUUCUCCCACGCCUUUCUAUUCCUAAGGAUUUUCUCUUUUUCUAGCACUCUUUUUUUUUUCCUCAUCCUUCUUAUGCUUCAUUUGUAUUUGGUCUUUCACCACUUGAGAAUGUGGUAAAGGACUAAGUACAAAUUUCUUAUGUUUGUGGGUGAAGGAAAUCUCGUUAGUGAGACCAUCAUGCAAGGUUUUCUUGUCAAAUUGCCAUGGUCUCCCUAAUAAGAUGUGACAAGCUUCCAUAGGCACUACAUCACAUAAAACCUUGUCUUUGUAGUUCCCUAUGGAAAACUUGAUUUCCACUUGCUUAUCUACACUUAGUUCCCCAUUUUCAUUGAUCCAUUGAAGUUUGUAAGGUUUUGGAUGAGGAACCACUUGUAUUAAGCUUUUCCACCAUUUUAGCACUACAACAAUUACAACUAGAUCCACUAUCCACAAUGAGGGAACAUAUAUUUUCUAAGACAUUACAUCUUGUAUGAAAGAUGUUCUCCCUUUGUGUUUCCAUGGAUGUGCUAGUUUGAUUGUUGAGGGUUCUCCUAAUCAUUAACAAUUCUCCCUCUAAUGGAGCUACCCUCUCAUCCUCUCCCCCUUCAUCUCUCUCAGUUGGCGCAUCCUCACCACUAGUGUAUUCGUCUACACCUUUUAAGAACAAAGUCCUUUGGUUUGGGCAUUGUGCUUGCACAUGCCCUCUUCCAAAGCACUUGGUGUCCCCAGCUCGGAUGGGUGGGGUGGAGGCAUCUUUUGCUAAGGGCUUGGUAGUUUCCUUUGGUUUUUCUCUAGAUGUGCUACCCUCCCUUCUGUAGUCUUUCUUGGGAUAAAAACUAAAGUAUGAACCCACCCUUUGACUUGAAGUUUUGCGCAAAUUUUGUUGUUCAACUUUAAUGCAAAGUUGAACCAAGUCAUUCAAGUCUUAGUAGGGAAGGAGUUCAACCCUAUCUCUUAUCUCAAGAGAGAGGCCACUAAGAAAUCUUGCUAUGGUGGUGUCCUCCUCUUCUCUAAUAGAUGCUCUCAUCAUGUAGAGCUCCAUUUUCUGCCUAUACUCCUCUACACUCAUAUUUUUUUGUUGGAGUCUUUAGAGCUUGUCCAUUAACUCCCUAUGAUAGUAUGAGGGUAUGUGUCGACGUCUUAGGGCUCCCCUAAGGUCAUUCCAAUACUCAAUGGGAGGUUCCCUAUGAAGACGUCUUUCUCUUUCGAGAGAGGUCCACCAAUACAUGGCAUUCCCUUGGAAACUAAGGGUGGCUAAGGAUACCUUGCGUUCUUCACUCACCCUAUGGCAAGCAAAGAGUUGCUCUACUUUCAUUUUCCAAUCUAGAUAUGUUUCUACGUUUUCCUUACCAUGGAAAUGAGGUAGGUCUACCCUAACCUCCCUUGGGCCCUCUUGCUCCUUUUGCCUAUUUCUUCUAGGGGUGGUUGGUAGUAGUCAUUGAUUCUAAGGCUUCCCUCCCCUAGAGACUCAUUACUUUUGGAAUGGGAUGCAUGAGUAUGUGAUUUUUUUUAUUUUUGUGACUUCUCUUCCUUGGCUUUAGUCAACUCAUUGAGUUUAGUCUCAUUCUCCAAUUGUCUAUAUGAAAUUAAUUGCACAGCUUGUGAAACUUCUUUCAAAAGAGUUUUUAAAGAUUUUACUUCACUUGCAAUAGACUUUGCAGAAUGAGAAGAAGAAGACAUGACUAGAGCUUUGUGUAUAGAAGUGUUUUACUUUGAGAAAAAUUAGGGAAGUUAAAGAAGGUAGUUUUUCAGGUAAGAGAGGUGAGUCACAAUGGACUACUUAAAUACCAAGUCUUGCCUUAGCCAAAAACUAUCCCUCCAAAUCUUCACACAAAUCUUUCUCUUGGUAAACCACUUAACCACAAUGAGGUUGAGAAAUCAAAUUUUUAAUGCAAGAAACAAUGCAAACUAUCUAAUCAAGCAAGCAAAAUUAGCAAAGCUUAAACAAAACAAGAACAAAUAAUAAGCGUAGCUAACUAAAGCAAAUGAUGUAAUUAAAGCAAUUAACAAAUGCUAAGCUAGAUAGUUUUAAGCUAGUCGGCCCUAGGUGAGGCUUCUUGGACACUUGGAGCCCUUGAAGACACACUCACCGUCUAAUUGCAUAAUUAACAAGUAAUUAACAAGAGUUAAGUUGCAAAGAAAUUAGAUGGAACUCCCUUUGUUGAUUUUCUAUUUGCACUUCCUUUGUUGUCUCUUCUUUGUUGGGUCUUCCAAUGUAUGUGGUGUAUUUAGUAUGUGUUUGUUUCUGCCCCUUGCCUUUGUCCCUCUUGGAAUUAGGUAAUUAAUUCUUCAAUCCAGCACCUAUUAAGCAAACUAGACUCCUCUCAAGUCAAUUCCCACUCAAACAAGUACCAAUUGAUAAUUAAUCCACCACCAAGCUUAGAGGUCAAAGNNNNNNNNNNNNNNNNNNNNNNNNNNNNNNNNNNNNNNNNNNNNNNNNNNNNNNNNNNNNNNNNNNNNNNNNNNNNNNNNNNNNNNNNNNNNNNNNNNNNAAAACAGUACCACACAAAUGGAAUUAAAUGUGACAACUAGAAAGAGUUCAAAAGAAAUUAGACAAGCAAAUAAAAAGGGUACUCAAAGAAAGAAUGGCACACAAAUAGGAACCUAUGGAAUAGCAUUAGAUUUUGAUUUAAAAACCAAAAAACAACACCACUGAAACAAAUUGUUGUGGUCCAGAAUGCGUGAUUUUCACAGAUUUAUGCUGAGCUGGCCUUUUAAUAUUUGCUUCUGAAAAUUGAUAUUCAAACAAAUCAAGAUCUUAACAAAUUUUUGGCGUUGGUUUCACUCCAAACGCAUGCACCAAUUAAUUUUAAUAUUUUUUGUAAAAUCAAUGCUCAGAACCGCCAGAUGUAGCGUCAGGAUUGUGCACUUUUUUUUGUAAUAUUUAUCUUUUUUUUUCUAUUUCUUUUUUUCAAUUGAUUCUUUUUUUGUUCUUUUGCUAACACCUCAAUCUAGUGAAAUCCAGAGGCUCAGAAUUUUCUUUUGUGGUAUUUAAUUUUCAUAAGCAAAAUCAGCCAAAAUAGAAUGGUGGAAAACAGAGGAUUCUGAAAAUCUGGAAACAAAAACAGAAAGAUAGACCAACAAAAACACAAUGGAAUUUGUGUGGAUCUAGCUCACAAAUAUGAACUCAAACUAAAAAUUAAAAAGCACCAAAGGAUCAAAACACAACAGAUUUCAGAUCAAGCAUUCAAGCAAAAACAAGAAACAAAUAAACCAAGAAAAGUACUACUAGGAUUUGUUGACAAAUAUGGAAACACAUGACAUAGACAAAACUUAUGGAUUCAUAAAAUGAAAAGACUCAAGAACAUCAUAUGACCCGAAUGAAAUUUCAAGCAAGACUCAAAUACCUAAAAAUAAAAAUAGCAACACAAAGAUAUCAAGAAUCCUACACAAAAUUGAAAAUAGAUGUUCAAGCACAAAUUUGAACAAACCCACCGAUUGAAAGGAAUAAACAAGCAUUCAAAUCAUAUUAAAAUCAUAAAAACAGCAAGACAACUUGGAAUAAAGAUGAACAACUAGGAAAUAAGAAGAAUUCAAAAAGAAAAUUGCAAAGAGAUACUCAUCCUUGAAGAACCAUAACUCUGAUACCAAAUGAUGGCAUUCCUAUGAGCUCUUCUUUGUUUUUGAUGAUGAUGGUUGCGGAAGCUUAGUGGAAGAGAGUGGAACAAGGCCUUCCUAGGAAGUAUGGGUGCUUGAAGGUGCAUGAGGAGUAGUGGGGGUUGGAGUGGUUCGGCCAUCUCCAUUUGGGGGUGAAGUUUGAAGACUAAAAACCUAAUUCUAGAGAGAAUUUGGCAAGGGAGUAAUUUGAAUGGCACUUGGGCAGCAUUACUUUACUCAAAAUAGUCUUGAAAAUACAAGGUGUAGGCUCCUCCUUUUAUAGGCUAAGGAAGACCAUAAUGCAACCCUAAUGCUAAUCAAAAUGAAAUGCAAAUUACAUCACAUGGAGCACAUGGCCGGUCCUAGUGGAGAAUCCUUCUAGAACGUGACCAUAUCUUUGCCAAAUCUAGGUCAAGUCUCAUGGAAUCAAGUUUAUGCUAUUUACACUACACUUAAUACUAAGCUACCCUUAAUGGGCUUUCAUGUAGCAUAUAGAAGUUGCUUUCUCUCCCAUCCGUGGCUUGGCCCAAGGCUCCCAUAGCUUGGUCAUGGACCUAGUAGUAGGUCCUAGACGCUCUCCCCUACCUUUUAGACGCUCCCCCUCUAGACGCUCUCCAUCUUGUGCUAGACGCUCUCCACCUUAUGCUAGACGUUCUAGAUUUGGCUCUUGUCUUUCAUGGGGUGUUGAGCUUGGCCCUCUUCCAUCAGGAAGGAUGAAUUGGGAGUGAAGGAAUGAGUUGUGAGAGUGACAUAAGUUGGUCAUACUUAUUUUUUUUUAUCGGCAAUAAAAAAUAAAUAAAUAUGAACCUUCUCCACUAAAUCCGUAAAGAAUUACCAAAGACUAUCACUCAUACAUCUAAAAAGUCACUCAUACACCUAAAAAGUACAUCAUGAAUCAUCCCAUGUAAGUCAAAGGGUCAAGGCACCAAUCAAAAUCAGAGAAGGAGAAAUGUUAAAGAAAUAAUAAUUAUCAAAUUAUAACGCAAUUAUUGUAUGCAAUUAUUUUACGUUAUUGUAUAAUAUUGUACGUAAUUUUUAUGCAAUUAAUUUAAUAAUGAUUGAAUCCUUACGUAAUUAACUUGUAAUCUGCACCACACGCUCAAUUGCGAUCAUCUCAUCUACUGGCACGAUUAAAUUCAAUGACAAUAUCAUUUUCAAAGAUUUUCUUUGCAUUCAUUCUUGUAAUUUAAAUCUCAUGUCCGUUAGUAAGAUAACCAGUUCACUAAAUUGUUAUGUCGUUCUUUUUCUACAUGAUUGCGUUUUACAGGACUUGGCUAUGGGGAGGAUGGAGACUGUAUAAGUUUAGAAUUGCUGAAUGUAUAAGUUUAUAUAAUGCAUGAGUUUAUUUAACUGUUAUAUAUAUUCUUUAAUUUAAUUUUGCUGUACAAAAUGCUAAUUGCAAUAAUAUUUUUGCUAGUUUCACAUUAGUGCAAGUUCAAUAAUCAACUACUAGUUAAACUGUUUUGAGAGGGAUGCAACAAGUUGUUGCAGCAGUGCAAAGAAACAACUAUGCUAAGAACUCCAGUAGUGAAUUAGUUCACAUGUCCCUUCAGAUGUUUUAAGAAUGCAAAAUAAUUUUAGAAUUAAAUCAACAAUUGCAAUGAUGUAUUAUUAUUCAAAUUUGACAUUGUAAGUGAGUUCAAAUGCAUUAUAUUCUUCUUCCAUAGUUUGUUUGAAUUUAUUAUUUGCACUAUGUUGUUUCUUUUCAUACUCUCUAAAAUUUGAUUUUGAAUGCCUCAAAAUUGGUAGUAGAGAGCCUUUUUAAACAAAUAAGUAACAGAAACAUGGAAAGCUUAAAGCUGUGAAGAAUGUUCUAAAACAAAUAAUUCAUGAUAGUUAUUUUGUAGCAAUUUCCUAGUAUUCACAAAAUGUCUCCUUCUAUUGUCAUUUCAUAAUAAGAUGAAUUGUAAUUGCAAUAGUAUACCAAAUCUGUGUAUAUAUCUAGCCUCUUUAAGACAUAGGCAAGGUUUGAAGUUGUAAGAAAACUUCCUGACAGGUCUUACACUCUCAUAAAAAUUUGAAGUUUUUUUUAUUCAAUAAUCGAUCAUCAUCUUGAUAAGUUAAGUGAAAGAUUUCAUUUCUUAAUCAUCAUGAUAAAUACAAUUAAAGUACAUGUGUUCUACUUGAAUUUUCCAAAUAAUGCUUACAUGUUAGUUACACUUAUCUUGAUAAUUAUGACAUGUCUUAGUGAACUAGAAGCAUUAACUUGUCUAUCUGUAUGGAGAAAUUGACGGGUUUCAUAAAGCAUUGAAGCUAUCGAGAUUAAUAGUAAUUAAAUGAUGGAAGUUCAAAUCAAGAUUAUAAUUUUUGAACUUUGAUUGAGAUAAAUUAAAGUUAAUUUGAAGAUUUCUGCAGAAUAAUAGUUUGUUGAAGGAACAAAUAAUUUAAUAUGACAUUAUUGUGAAGACAUGUUUUGCUAAAAUUGUAUGAGCUAAUAUGCCUGUUUGAUUGUAGUAUAGUCACUCAUUUGUUUUGGAUGUUGCUUUUAUAUAUAUAGACAAUAUUAUGUUAGAUUGUCUAGUAUAGUCUUAUGUAGUCACUCUUUUGCUAAAGCAUCUAGUAUUUGUGUAGAUGAUCUUCGUUAGACCUUCUAGUCUAUUUUUUGUUUAGAAUAUCUAAACAUCAAGUCGUUUAUUCUUACUAGAUCGUUUAGUUGAUAAACAGUCUAGACCUCUUGUUUUAUACCAGAUCGUCUAACAUAUUAGCAUAUUGUUUAGACCAUCUUGAUGGUUAGUUAGGCAUGCUAUGUUAGUUUAUUUUCUUUUGGUUUUUGCUUAUGUUUUGGUUGUAUGUAUACACCAUUGCCUUGCAUGCCUUUGUCUUUACGAGAAUAAUACAUGUGCUCUGUUAUUUUGUGUUUCUUCCCAUUUUCCCUCUUUUUUCUCUAAGUUUUCUUGCUGUCAUGGAGAAUUCCAUGAACCUGUAAAAUCCUCUUGAGAGAUCAUCUUGCAUACCAUGUUAUUAGAUUCAAACAUUUAAUUUAGUCUUAUUAGGAAAAUGGAGGUUGGAAAAAAAGAAAAGUGGAUUUGGAAAGAUGUUUUGGAAUCAAAGUAAGAUUCUAUUCAUAUCUAUAAAUAUCAUAAGUGUACAAAAACCCUUAUGACAUUUUCUUCUUCACAUGUAGUAUGCAUUGAACGUAAGGCUGGGCAUGGAUUGGAUUUUCCAAAAUCAUAUCUAGAUCCAAUCCAAAUCCCAAUAAAUGGAUUGGAUUUAAAAUCCAUAUACACUUUAACUAGAUCAAAUAUAUUUGGAUUUCUUUUAAAUCCAUUUAAAGUGGAUUGAAUCUAGAUUAAAUCCACUUUGUUAAUUAUAUUAAAUCCACUUUGUCAAUUACAUUAAAUCCAUUUUGAUAUGGACAGAGACUAACUUGGCUCGAACUGGACUUAAGCCAAAUCAACAUGGACGCAGACCAACUCGACUCUACAUCGGCCCCAACCUAGACGGCUCGACAUCGGCCUAGACCUGGAUGACUCGACAUUGGCCUGGACCCGGACGACUCGACAUCGGUCCGGGCCCGAACACCUCGACAUCGGCUCGGGCCCGAACAACUCAACAUCGGCCCCAACCCGGACGACUCGACAUCGACCCGGACCUGAACGAAUAUACAUCGGUUUUGGCCCGAACAACUCGACAUCGGUAUGGGCCCGAACAACUAGACAUCAGCCUGGGACCGAACGACUCGACAUCAGCCUGGCCCGAACUACUCGACAUCGAUCCGGGCCCACUCGACUCGACAUCAGCUCGGGCCCGCUCGACUCAACAUUAGUCCGGGCCCAGACAACUCGACAUUGGUCCGGGCCUUGACGACUCGACAUCAGUUUGUGCCUGGACGACUCGACAUCAGCUCGUGCCCGGACAACUCAACAUCGGCCCCGACCCAGAUGACUCGACAACGGCCCCAACCCGAACGACUAUACAUCGGCUCGGGCCCGAACGACUCGACAUCAGCCUGGACCCGAACGAAUUGACAUUAGCCUGGACCCGAACGAAUUGACAUUGGCCCGGGCCAGAACGACUCGACAUCGGCCCAAGCCCGAACGACUCGACAUCGGCCCAAGCCCGCUCGACACGACAUCAGCCCGGGUCCACUCGGCUCGACAUUGGUCCGGAUCCACUCAGCUCGACAUCGGUCCGGACCCGCUUGGCUCGACAUCGGUCCGAACCCGCUCGACUUGACAUCGAUCCGGGCCCGCUCGGCUCGACAUCGGUCCGGACCCGCUCGGCUCGACAUCUCUGUAAUGCUAAUGGGUUACAUCUAUGUAGAUGAUUAGGGACCAUCAAAUUCUUUAAUAUUCUUCCUUUUCUGCCACACGUUAAAGGAACAUGUAGCUCCUUUCUUUUCUGUCUUACAAAGGAGGUUUUGAACAAAGACAUUUUUAAGCUUGUGAAUUAUAAGAGGAUUAUGCAUAUGACCAGUCCUAAAUGUUAUAUCACUCUUUCUCACAUUUUAUAUGUUGAUGAUAUAUUUGUUUUCUAGAGGAUAGAUGAUAAGUCUCUUAAAUAUUUGAGUAUUUUUCUUCAAAAACAUUGUGAUUUUUCUAAUAAGUAUGUUAACAAUUCUAAAAGUAAAUUUUUUACAAUUCAACGUCAUCUUUCUUAUAGUGAUGGCCUUUUAUCUUUUAACUAUUUAGGGUGACUAGUGUUCUGGAGAAUGCAUUCUCACAUUUUAACUUAGAGUUGCCCUAUUAUUUAAUGGUACAUUUCCCUAUUGACCUACUCAAAGUCCAACUCUUUAUGUGUUGAACUUGUUAUUUUUAAUUAAGAAACUUAUUGCUUCUUUAGUUGUAGGACGUUUGCAAUGAUAUCAUAGUUAUUAUGUUUUGGUAGAUUACGCUUGCCGUUGAGCACAUAUGCUAGCUCCUUUUCCUUUGUCUGGCUUUAAGUAAAGCCUAGUUUUAUUAUUAUUAAUCCAUGAAGAAACCUGAUGUACUGUUUUGUCUUGCAGUCUUUUUUAAUUCGACCCUUAGACAUGUAUGGUUAAUAUCCAACGGCUGAAAUGAGAUGCAAUGCAUGCUGGCGAGAAGUAGAAGGGCGAGCCAUUUCCACAACUUGUGGUCACCUAUUAUGUAUCCACAUGCAAACAGUUUUAAACUCGUGUUCCUCCUUUUUAGUAAAAUAUGAUCAACUUAGUUCAUAUCAAAUUAGGUUGAAUUUCUGCAUGUUUAUCAUUGAAAUGGUUAUUAGUUUUUAUUUAUGUGGUUUCCUUAACACUGUUAAAAGGCACAGAUGAUGCCAAUAAGAUAUUAAGCAAUGAUGGAGCAUGUCCUAUUUGUGAUCAAGUCCUUUUUAAGAGGUAUGGAUAUGAUAGGUAUCUGUUUAAUUAUAAAUGUGAUUUCGUUCCUUACCUAAAAUAAUACUGAUUAUAACGGUCAAUUAGUGGAACGAAUCAUCCCUCAGCAAUAUAUAGUUUAAGCUUCAUGGAAAUAAUGAUUUGUUAUAGGAGUUAUGCUGAUUAUUUAAUUUUGUUCUACAUUAUAUGCUGUCAAUCAAUUUUCAUGGAAAUAAUGCUGAUGUAAUGAAGAGUUUACAGAUGCACAAGAUUGUUGCUCAAUGCCGCCAGAAAUGUGAGAUGAUGCAAGAGAAGUUUACAGAAAAACUAGAGCAGGUGAAUACUGCUUACCAAAAGAUGGCCAAGAAGUGUCUGAUUAUGCAACAGGAAAUUGAGAGCUUAACCAAGAAUUAAGGGUGGGCAAAAAAUCCAAAUUACAAAAUCCAAUCCAUAAUGAUCUAAAUUCAUAUUAGUUUUAAUCCAUUUAAAUGAAUUUAUCUUAUAUUCAAAUCCAUAUUUUCAAGACGUAGGUGUCCUCUACCCUAGAUAUUUUUGGCGUGAUUCUCUAUUCUAAGUUUGAGUUUCAUUUCUAUUGCCAUUUCAUUUCAUUAUAUAAGAUGAAUUCUUCUAAUACAAUUAAAGAAUUAGGGACAGAUAUAAUAAUAUUAAGAAUAUUUAAUAAUAUUAAGAAUAUUUAAUAAUAUUAGAAAUAUUUAAUAAUAUUAAGAAUGUAGAAAUAUAUCAAACCGACGAAGAAGAAGAUGAUGAUAAAGACAAAGAGAAAGAUAUAGUCAAGUGUCGGACUGAAGCUAGUGGGCUUUCCAGCAGUUCUUUACUGCAGCGACAAACCGUCCGGUGGAUGAGGGAGAGGAGGAACAAUGAACAUUCUUUGGUUCAUGGUUUCUUUUCUAAGAUUAAGGUUAAGAUUGCUAUGUUGUUCCCUCUUAUAGAAUUUCUUUCACAUAGAAAUCUUUAAUAAUAUUUAAUAAUAUUAACAAUGUAUAAUAAUAUUAAUAAUAUAUAAUAAUAUUAAUAACAUUAAUAUAAUAUAAAAAAUUAUAAAAUCAUAAUUCACAAUAUUAAUCAUAUUUAAUAAUAUAUAAUAAUAUAUAAUAAUAUUAAUAAUGUAUAAUAAUAUUAAUAAUACAUAAUAAUAUUAAUAAUGUUUAAUAAUAUUAAUAAUACAUAAUAAUAUUAAUAAUGUUUAAUAAUAUUAAUAAUACAUAAUAAUAUUAAUAAUGUUUAAUAAUAUUAAUAAUACAUAAUAAUAUUAAUAAUGUUUAAUAAUAUUAAUAAUACAUAAUAAUAUUAAUAAUGUUUAAUAACAUUAAUAAUACAUAAUAAUAUUAAUAAUGUUUAAUAACAUUAAUAAUACAUAAUAAUAUUAAUAAUGUUUAAUAAUAUUAAUAAUACAUAAUAAUAUUAAUAAUACAUAAUAAUAUUAAUAAUGUUUAAUAAUAUUAAUAAUACAUAAUAAUAUUAAUAAUGUUUAAUAAUAUUAAUAAUACAUAAUAAUAUUAAUAAUGUUUAAUAAUAUUAAUAAUACAUACAUAAUAAUAUAAUAUAGUUAAUAAUAUUAAUAAUACAUAAUAAUAAUAUAUAAUAUAGUUAAUAAAUUAAUAAUACAUAAUAAUAUUAAUAAUGUUUAAUAAUAUUAAUAAUACAUAAUAAUAUUAAUAAUGUUUAAUAAUAUUAAUAAUACAUAAUAAUAUUAAUAAUACAUAAUAAUAUUAAUAAUAUUUAAUCUUAUUAAUAAUACAUAAUAAUAUUAAUAAUAUUUAAUCUUAUUAAUAAUACAUAAUAAUAUUAAUAAUAUUAAUAAUAUUAAUAAUAUUAAUAAUAUUAAUAAUAUUUAAUAAUAUUUAAUAAUAUUUAAUAAUAUUUGAUGCACCACUACAUUGCAAUUAUGUGCAAUUACAUGCUCUCCAUUUGAUGCACCAUACUAGAUAAGGAAUAUAUAUCUUCAUUGACAGUAAUAGUUUCCAUAAUAAAUAAAUAAUUAUUUUAUAAGUAUUUAAUAAUAUUUUAUAAUAUUAAUAAUAUUUAAUAAUAUUAAUAAUAAAAAAAUUUAAUAAUACUAAGAAUAUAUAAGAAUAUUUAAUAAUAUUAAUAAUAUUGAGAAUAUUAAUAAUAUUGAGAAUAUUUAAUAAUAUUGAGAAUAUUUAAUAAUAUUGAGAAUAUUUAAUAAUAUUGAGAAUAUUUAAUAAUAUUGAGAAUAUUUAAUAAUAUUAAGAAUAUUUAAUAAUAUUAAGAAUGUAGAAAUAUACCAAACCGACGAAGAAGAAGAUGAUGAAGACAAUGAGAAAGAUAUAUGCAAGUGUCGGACUGAAGCUACUCGGCUUUCCUGUAGUUCUUUGCUACGGCGUGAAACUAUUCGGGACAUGCGAGAGAGAAAGAAUAGUGAACAUUCUUCGGUGCAUGGUUUCUUUUCUAAGAUUAAUGUUAAGAUUGCUAUGUUGUUCCAUCUUAUAGAAUUUCUUGCACAUAGGAAUCCUUAGUAAUAUUUAAUAAUAUUAAUAAAAUAUAAUAAUAUUAAUAAUGUAUAAUAAUAUUAAUAAAAUAUAAUAAUAUUAAUAAUAUUUAAUAAUAUUAAUAAUAUUUAAUAAUAUUAAAUAAUAUUAAUAAUAUUUAAUAAUAUUUAAUAAUAUUAAUAAUAUUAAUAAUAUUUAAUAAUAUUAAUAAUAUUUAAUAAUAUUAAUAAUAUUUAAUAAUAUUAAUAAUAUUAAUAAUAUUUAAUAAUAUUUAAUAAUAUUNNNNNNNNNNNNNNNNNNNNNNNNNNNNNNNNNNNNNNNNNNNNNNNNNNNNNNNNNNNNNNNNNNNNNNNNNNNNNNNNNNNNNNNNNNNNNNNNNNNNNNNNNNNNNNNNNNNNNNNNNNNNNNNNNNNNNNNNNNNNNNNNNNNNNNNNNNNNNNNNNNNNNNNNNNNNNNNNNNNNNNNNNNNNNNNNNNNNNNNNNNNNNNNNNNNNNNNNNNNNNNNNNNNNNNNNNNNNNNNNNNNNNNNNNNNNNNNNNNNNNNNNNNNNNNNNNNNNNNNNNNNNNNNNNNNNNNNNNNNNNNNNNNNNNNNNNNNNNNNNNNNNNNNNNNNNNNNNNNNNNNNNNNNNNNNNNNNNNNNNNNNNNNNNNNNNNNNNNNNNNNNNNNNNNNNNNNNNNNNNNNNNNNNNNNNNNNNNNNNNNNNNNNNNNNNNNNNNNNNNNNNNNNNNNNNNNNNNNNNNNNNNNNNNNNNNNNNNNNNNNNNNNNNNNNNNNNNNNNNNNNNNNNNNNNNNNNNNNNNNNNNNNNNNNNNNNNNNNNNNNNNNNNNNNNNNNNNNNNNNNNNNNNNNNNNNNNNNNNNNNNNNNNNNNNNNNNNNNNNNNNNNNNNNNNNNNNNNNNNNNNNNNNNNNNNNNNNNNNNNNNNNNNNNNNNNNNNNNNNNNNNNNNNNNNNNNNNNNNNNNNNNNNNNNNNNNNNNNNNNNNNNNNNNNNNNNNNNNNNNNNNNNNNNNNNNNNNNNNNNNNNNNNNNNNNNNNNNNNNNNNNNNNNNNNNNNNNNNNNNNNNNNNNNNNNNNNNNNNNNNNNNNNNNNNNNNNNNNNNNNNNNNNNNNNNNNNNNNNNNNNNNNNNNNNNNNNNNNNNNNNNNNNNNNNNNNNNNNNNNNNNNNNNNNNNNNNNNNNNNNNNNNNNNNNNNNNNNNNNNNNNNNNNNNNNNNNNNNNNNNNNNNNNNNNNNNNNNNNNNNNNNNNNNNNNNNNNNNNNNNNNNNNNNNNNNNNNNNNNNNNNNNNNNNNNNNNNNNNNNNNNNNNNNNNNNNNNNNNNNNNNNNNNNNNNNNNNNNNNNNNNNNNNNNNNNNNNNNNNNNNNNNNNNNNNNNNNNNNNNNNNNNNNNNNNNNNNNNNNNNNNNNNNNNNNNNNNNNNNNNNNNNNNNNNNNNNNNNNNNNNNNNNNNNNNNNNNNNNNNNNNNNNNNNNNNNNNNNNNNNNNNNNNNNNNNNNNNNNNNNNNNNNNNNNNNNNNNNNNNNNNNNNNNNNNNNNNNNNNNNNNNNNNNNNNNNNNNNNNNNNNNNNNNNNNNNNNNNNNNNNNNNNNNNNNNNNNNNNNNNNNNNNNNNNNNNNNNNNNNNNNNNNNNNNNNNNNNNNNNNNNNNNNNNNNNNNNNNNNNNNNNNNNNNNNNNNNNNNNNNNNNNNNNNNNNNNNNNNNNNNNNNNNNNNNNNNNNNNNNNNNNNNNNNNNNNNNNNNNNNNNNNNNNNNNNNNNNNNNNNNNNNNNNNNNNNNNNNNNNNNNNNNNNNNNNNNNNNNNNNNNNNNNNNNNNNNNNNNNNNNNNNNNNNNNNNNNNNNNNNNNNNNNNNNNNNNNNNNNNNNNNNNNNNNNNNNNNNNNNNNNNNNNNNNNNNNNNNNNNNNNNNNNNNNNNNNNNNNNNNNNNNNNNNNNNNNNNNNNNNNNNNNNNNNNNNNNNNNNNNNNNNNNNNNNNNNNNNNNNNNNNNNNNNNNNNNNNNNNNNNNNNNNNNNNNNNNNNNNNNNNNNNNNNNNNNNNNNNNNNNNNNNNNNNNNNNNNNNNNNNNNNNNNNNNNNNNNNNNNNNNNNNNNNNNNNNNNNNNNNNNNNNNNNNNNNNNNNNNNNNNNNNNNNNNNNNNNNNNNNNNNNNNNNNNNNNNNNNNNNNNNNNNNNNNNNNNNNNNNNNNNNNNNNNNNNNNNNNNNNNNNNNNNNNNNNNNNNNNNNNNNNNNNNNNNNNNNNNNNNNNNNNNNNNNNNNNNNNNNNNNNNNNNNNNNNNNNNNNNNNNNNNNNNNNNNNNNNNNNNNNNNNNNNNNNNNNNNNNNNNNNNNNNNNNNNNNNNNNNNNNNNNNNNNNNNNNNNNNNNNNNNNNNNNNNNNNNNNNNNNNNNNNNNNNNNNNNNNNNNNNNNNNNNNNNNNNNNNNNNNNNNNNNNNNNNNNNNNNNNNNNNNNNNNNNNNNNNNNNNNNNNNNNNNNNNNNNNNNNNNNNNNNNNNNNNNNNNNNNNNNNNNNNNNNNNNNNNNNNNNNNNNNNNNNNNNNNNNNNNNNNNNNNNNNNNNNNNNNNNNNNNNNNNNNNNNNNNNNNNNNNNNNNNNNNNNNNNNNNNNNNNNNNNNNNNNNNNNNNNNNNNNNNNNNNNNNNNNNNNNNNNNNNNNNNNNNNNNNNNNNNNNNNNNNNNNNNNNNNNNNNNNNNNNNNNNNNNNNNNNNNNNNNNNNNNNNNNNNNNNNNNNNNNNNNNNNNNNNNNNNNNNNNNNNNNNNNNNNNNNNNNNNNNNNNNNNNNNNNNNNNNNNNNNNNNNNNNNNNNNNNNNNNNNNNNNNNNNNNNNNNNNNNNNNNNNNNNNNNNNNNNNNNNNNNNNNNNNNNNNNNNNNNNNNNNNNNNNNNNNNNNNNNNNNNNNNNNNNNNNNNNNNNNNNNNNNNNNNNNNNNNNNNNNNNNNNNNNNNNNNNNNNNNNNNNNNNNNNNNNNNNNNNNNNNNNNNNNNNNNNNNNNNNNNNNNNNNNNNNNNNNNNNNNNNNNNNNNNNNNNNNNNNNNNNNNNNNNNNNNNNNNNNNNNNNNNNNNNNNNNNNNNNNNNNNNNNNNNNNNNNNNNNNNNNNNNNNNNNNNNNNNNNNNNNNNNNNNNNNNNNNNNNNNNNNNNNNNNNNNNNNNNNNNNNNNNNNNNNNNNNNNNNNNNNNNNNNNNNNNNNNNNNNNNNNNNNNNNNNNNNNNNNNNNNNNNNNNNNNNNNNNNNNNNNNNNNNNNNNNNNNNNNNNNNNNNNNNNNNNNNNNNNNNNNNNNNNNNNNNNNNNNNNNNNNNNNNNNNNNNNNNNNNNNNNNNNNNNNNNNNNNNNNNNNNNNNNNNNNNNNNNNNNNNNNNNNNNNNNNNNNNNNNNNNNNNNNNNNNNNNNNNNNNNNNNNNNNNNNNNNNNNNNNNNNNNNNNNNNNNNNNNNNNNNNNNNNNNNNNNNNNNNNNNNNNNNNNNNNNNNNNNNNNNNNNNNNNNNNNNNNNNNNNNNNNNNNNNNNNNNNNNNNNNNNNNNNNNNNNNNNNNNNNNNNNNNNNNNNNNNNNNNNNNNNNNNNNNNNNNNNNNNNNNNNNNNNNNNNNNNNNNNNNNNNNNNNNNNNNNNNNNNNNNNNNNNNNNNNNNNNNNNNNNNNNNNNNNNNNNNNNNNNNNNNNNNNNNNNNNNNNNNNNNNNNNNNNNNNNNNNNNNNNNNNNNNNNNNNNNNNNNNNNNNNNNNNNNNNNNNNNNNNNNNNNNNNNNNNNNNNNNNNNNNNNNNNNNNNNNNNNNNNNNNNNNNNNNNNNNNNNNNNNNNNNNNNNNNNNNNNNNNNNNNNNNNNNNNNNNNNNNNNNNNNNNNNNNNNNNNNNNNNNNNNNNNNNNNNNNNNNNNNNNNNNNNNNNNNNNNNNNNNNNNNNNNNNNNNNNNNNNNNNNNNNNNNNNNNNNNNNNNNNNNNNNNNNNNNNNNNNNNNNNNNNNNNNNNNNNNNNNNNNNNNNNNNNNNNNNNNNNNNNNNNNNNNNNNNNNNNNNNNNNNNNNNNNNNNNNNNNNNNNNNNNNNNNNNNNNNNNNNNNNNNNNNNNNNNNNNNNNNNNNNNNNNNNNNNNNNNNNNNNNNNNNNNNNNNNNNNNNNNNNNNNNNNNNNNNNNNNNNNNNNNNNNNNNNNNNNNNNNNNNNNNNNNNNNNNNNNNNNNNNNNNNNNNNNNNNNNNNNNNNNNNNNNNNNNNNNNNNNNNNNNNNNNNNNNNNNNNNNNNNNNNNNNNNNNNNNNNNNNNNNNNNNNNNNNNNNNNNNNNNNNNNNNNNNNNNNNNNNNNNNNNNNNNNNNNNNNNNNNNNNNNNNNNNNNNNNNNNNNNNNNNNNNNNNNNNNNNNNNNNNNNNNNNNNNNNNNNNNNNNNNNNNNNNNNNNNNNNNNNNNNNNNNNNNNNNNNNNNNNNNNNNNNNNNNNNNNNNNNNNNNNNNNNNNNNNNNNNNNNNNNNNNNNNNNNNNNNNNNNNNNNNNNNNNNNNNNNNNNNNNNNNNNNNNNNNNNNNNNNNNNNNNNNNNNNNNNNNNNNNNNNNNNNNNNNNNNNNNNNNNNNNNNNNNNNNNNNNNNNNNNNNNNNNNNNNNNNNNNNNNNNNNNNNNNNNNNNNNNNNNNNNNNNNNNNNNNNNNNNNNNNNNNNNNNNNNNNNNNNNNNNNNNNNNNNNNNNNNNNNNNNNNNNNNNNNNNNNNNNNNNNNNNNNNNNNNNNNNNNNNNNNNNNNNNNNNNNNNNNNNNNNNNNNNNNNNNNNNNNNNNNNNNNNNNNNNNNNNNNNNNNNNNNNNNNNNNNNNNNNNNNNNNNNNNNNNNNNNNNNNNNNNNNNNNNNNNNNNNNNNNNNNNNNNNNNNNNNNNNNNNNNNNNNNNNNNNNNNNNNNNNNNNNNNNNNNNNNNNNNNNNNNNNNNNNNNNNNNNNNNNNNNNNNNNNNNNNNNNNNNNNNNNNNNNNNNNNNNNNNNNNNNNNNNNNNNNNNNNNNNNNNNNNNNNNNNNNNNNNNNNNNNNNNNNNNNNNNNNNNNNNNNNNNNNNNNNNNNNNNNNNNNNNNNNNNNNNNNNNNNNNNNNNNNNNNNNNNNNNNNNNNNNNNNNNNNNNNNNNNNNNNNNNNNNNNNNNNNNNNNNNNNNNNNNNNNNNNNNNNNNNNNNNNNNNNNNNNNNNNNNNNNNNNNNNNNNNNNNNNNNNNNNNNNNNNNNNNNNNNNNNNNNNNNNNNNNNNNNNNNNNNNNNNNNNNNNNNNNNNNNNNNNNNNNNNNNNNNNNNNNNNNNNNNNNNNNNNNNNNNNNNNNNNNNNNNNNNNNNNNNNNNNNNNNNNNNNNNNNNNNNNNNNNNNNNNNNNNNNNNNNNNNNNNNNNNNNNNNNNNNNNNNNNNNNNNNNNNNNNNNNNNNNNNNNNNNNNNNNNNNNNNNNNNNNNNNNNNNNNNNNNNNNNNNNNNNNNNNNNNNNNNNNNNNNNNNNNNNNNNNNNNNNNNNNNNNNNNNNNNNNNNNNNNNNNNNNNNNNNNNNNNNNNNNNNNNNNNNNNNNNNNNNNNNNNNNNNNNNNNNNNNNNNNNNNNNNNNNNNNNNNNNNNNNNNNNNNNNNNNNNNNNNNNNNNNNNNNNNNNNNNNNNNNNNNNNNNNNNNNNNNNNNNNNNNNNNNNNNNNNNNNNNNNNNNNNNNNNNNNNNNNNNNNNNNNNNNNNNNNNNNNNNNNNNNNNNNNNNNNNNNNNNNNNNNNNNNNNNNNNNNNNNNNNNNNNNNNNNNNNNNNNNNNNNNNNNNNNNNNNNNNNNNNNNNNNNNNNNNNNNNNNNNNNNNNNNNNNNNNNNNNNNNNNNNNNNNNNNNNNNNNNNNNNNNNNNNNNNNNNNNNNNNNNNNNNNNNNNNNNNNNNNNNNNNNNNNNNNNNNNNNNNNNNNNNNNNNNNNNNNNNNNNNNNNNNNNNNNNNNNNNNNNNNNNNNNNNNNNNNNNNNNNNNNNNNNNNNNNNNNNNNNNNNNNNNNNNNNNNNNNNNNNNNNNNNNNNNNNNNNNNNNNNNNNNNNNNNNNNNNNNNNNNNNNNNNNNNNNNNNNNNNNNNNNNNNNNNNNNNNNNNNNNNNNNNNNNNNNNNNNNNNNNNNNNNNNNNNNNNNNNNNNNNNNNNNNNNNNNNNNNNNNNNNNNNNNNNNNNNNNNNNNNNNNNNNNNNNNNNNNNNNNNNNNNNNNNNNNNNNNNNNNNNNNNNNNNNNNNNNNNNNNNNNNNNNNNNNNNNNNNNNNNNNNNNNNNNNNNNNNNNNNNNNNNNNNNNNNNNNNNNNNNNNNNNNNNNNNNNNNNNNNNNNNNNNNNNNNNNNNNNNNNNNNNNNNNNNNNNNNNNNNNNNNNNNNNNNNNNNNNNNNNNNNNNNNNNNNNNNNNNNNNNNNNNNNNNNNNNNNNNNNNNNNNNNNNNNNNNNNNNNNNNNNNNNNNNNNNNNNNNNNNNNNNNNNNNNNNNNNNNNNNNNNNNNNNNNNNNNNNNNNNNNNNNNNNNNNNNNNNNNNNNNNNNNNNNNNNNNNNNNNNNNNNNNNNNNNNNNNNNNNNNNNNNNNNNNNNNNNNNNNNNNNNNNNNNNNNNNNNNNNNNNNNNNNNNNNNNNNNNNNNNNNNNNNNNNNNNNNNNNNNNNNNNNNNNNNNNNNNNNNNNNNNNNNNNNNNNNNNNNNNNNNNNNNNNNNNNNNNNNNNNNNNNNNNNNNNNNNNNNNNNNNNNNNNNNNNNNNNNNNNNNNNNNNNNNNNNNNNNNNNNNNNNNNNNNNNNNNNNNNNNNNNNNNNNNNNNNNNNNNNNNNNNNNNNNNNNNNNNNNNNNNNNNNNNNNNNNNNNNNNNNNNNNNNNNNNNNNNNNNNNNNNNNNNNNNNNNNNNNNNNNNNNNNNNNNNNNNNNNNNNNNNNNNNNNNNNNNNNNNNNNNNNNNNNNNNNNNNNNNNNNNNNNNNNNNNNNNNNNNNNNNNNNNNNNNNNNNNNNNNNNNNNNNNNNNNNNNNNNNNNNNNNNNNNNNNNNNNNNNNNNNNNNNNNNNNNNNNNNNNNNNNNNNNNNNNNNNNNNNNNNNNNNNNNNNNNNNNNNNNNNNNNNNNNNNNNNNNNNNNNNNNNNNNNNNNNNNNNNNNNNNNNNNNNNNNNNNNNNNNNNNNNNNNNNNNNNNNNNNNNNNNNNNNNNNNNNNNNNNNNNNNNNNNNNNNNNNNNNNNNNNNNNNNNNNNNNNNNNNNNNNNNNNNNNNNNNNNNNNNNNNNNNNNNNNNNNNNNNNNNNNNNNNNNNNNNNNNNNNNNNNNNNNNNNNNNNNNNNNNNNNNNNNNNNNNNNNNNNNNNNNNNNNNNNNNNNNNNNNNNNNNNNNNNNNNNNNNNNNNNNNNNNNNNNNNNNNNNNNNNNNNNNNNNNNNNNNNNNNNNNNNNNNNNNNNNNNNNNNNNNNNNNNNNNNNNNNNNNNNNNNNNNNNNNNNNNNNNNNNNNNNNNNNNNNNNNNNNNNNNNNNNNNNNNNNNNNNNNNNNNNNNNNNNNNNNNNNNNNNNNNNNNNNNNNNNNNNNNNNNNNNNNNNNNNNNNNNNNNNNNNNNNNNNNNNNNNNNNNNNNNNNNNNNNNNNNNNNNNNNNNNNNNNNNNNNNNNNNNNNNNNNNNNNNNNNNNNNNNNNNNNNNNNNNNNNNNNNNNNNNNNNNNNNNNNNNNNNNNNNNNNNNNNNNNNNNNNNNNNNNNNNNNNNNNNNNNNNNNNNNNNNNNNNNNNNNNNNNNNNNNNNNNNNNNNNNNNNNNNNNNNNNNNNNNNNNNNNNNNNNNNNNNNNNNNNNNNNNNNNNNNNNNNNNNNNNNNNNNNNNNNNNNNNNNNNNNNNNNNNNNNNNNNNNNNNNNNNNNNNNNNNNNNNNNNNNNNNNNNNNNNNNNNNNNNNNNNNNNNNNNNNNNNNNNNNNNNNNNNNNNNNNNNNNNNNNNNNNNNNNNNNNNNNNNNNNNNNNNNNNNNNNNNNNNNNNNNNNNNNNNNNNNNNNNNNNNNNNNNNNNNNNNNNNNNNNNNNNNNNNNNNNNNNNNNNNNNNNNNNNNNNNNNNNNNNNNNNNNNNNNNNNNNNNNNNNNNNNNNNNNNNNNNNNNNNNNNNNNNNNNNNNNNNNNNNNNNNNNNNNNNNNNNNNNNNNNNNNNNNNNNNNNNNNNNNNNNNNNNNNNNNNNNNNNNNNNNNNNNNNNNNNNNNNNNNNNNNNNNNNNNNNNNNNNNNNNNNNNNNNNNNNNNNNNNNNNNNNNNNNNNNNNNNNNNNNNNNNNNNNNNNNNNNNNNNNNNNNNNNNNNNNNNNNNNNNNNNNNNNNNNNNNNNNNNNNNNNNNNNNNNNNNNNNNNNNNNNNNNNNNNNNNNNNNNNNNNNNNNNNNNNNNNNNNNNNNNNNNNNNNNNNNNNNNNNNNNNNNNNNNNNNNNNNNNNNNNNNNNNNNNNNNNNNNNNNNNNNNNNNNNNNNNNNNNNNNNNNNNNNNNNNNNNNNNNNNNNNNNNNNNNNNNNNNNNNNNNNNNNNNNNNNNNNNNNNNNNNNNNNNNNNNNNNNNNNNNNNNNNNNNNNNNNNNNNNNNNNNNNNNNNNNNNNNNNNNNNNNNNNNNNNNNNNNNNNNNNNNNNNNNNNNNNNNNNNNNNNNNNNNNNNNNNNNNNNNNNNNNNNNNNNNNNNNNNNNNNNNNNNNNNNNNNNNNNNNNNNNNNNNNNNNNNNNNNNNNNNNNNNNNNNNNNNNNNNNNNNNNNNNNNNNNNNNNNNNNNNNNNNNNNNNNNNNNNNNNNNNNNNNNNNNNNNNNNNNNNNNNNNNNNNNNNNNNNNNNNNNNNNNNNNNNNNNNNNNNNNNNNNNNNNNNNNNNNNNNNNNNNNNNNNNNNNNNNNNNNNNNNNNNNNNNNNNNNNNNNNNNNNNNNNNNNNNNNNNNNNNNNNNNNNNNNNNNNNNNNNNNNNNNNNNNNNNNNNNNNNNNNNNNNNNNNNNNNNNNNNNNNNNNNNNNNNNNNNNNNNNNNNNNNNNNNNNNNNNNNNNNNNNNNNNNNNNNNNNNNNNNNNNNNNNNNNNNNNNNNNNNNNNNNNNNNNNNNNNNNNNNNNNNNNNNNNNNNNNNNNNNNNNNNNNNNNNNNNNNNNNNNNNNNNNNNNNNNNNNNNNNNNNNNNNNNNNNNNNNNNNNNNNNNNNNNNNNNNNNNNNNNNNNNNNNNNNNNNNNNNNNNNNNNNNNNNNNNNNNNNNNNNNNNNNNNNNNNNNNNNNNNNNNNNNNNNNNNNNNNNNNNNNNNNNNNNNNNNNNNNNNNNNNNNNNNNNNNNNNNNNNNNNNNNNNNNNNNNNNNNNNNNNNNNNNNNNNNNNNNNNNNNNNNNNNNNNNNNNNNNNNNNNNNNNNNNNNNNNNNNNNNNNNNNNNNNNNNNNNNNNNNNNNNNNNNNNNNNNNNNNNNNNNNNNNNNNNNNNNNNNNNNNNNNNNNNNNNNNNNNNNNNNNNNNNNNNNNNNNNNNNNNNNNNNNNNNNNNNNNNNNNNNNNNNNNNNNNNNNNNNNNNNNNNNNNNNNNNNNNNNNNNNNNNNNNNNNNNNNNNNNNNNNNNNNNNNNNNNNNNNNNNNNNNNNNNNNNNNNNNNNNNNNNNNNNNNNNNNNNNNNNNNNNNNNNNNNNNNNNNNNNNNNNNNNNNNNNNNNNNNNNNNNNNNNNNNNNNNNNNNNNNNNNNNNNNNNNNNNNNNNNNNNNNNNNNNNNNNNNNNNNNNNNNNNNNNNNNNNNNNNNNNNNNNNNNNNNNNNNNNNNNNNNNNNNNNNNNNNNNNNNNNNNNNNNNNNNNNNNNNNNNNNNNNNNNNNNNNNNNNNNNNNNNNNNNNNNNNNNNNNNNNNNNNNNNNNNNNNNNNNNNNNNNNNNNNNNNNNNNNNNNNNNNNNNNNNNNNNNNNNNNNNNNNNNNNNNNNNNNNNNNNNNNNNNNNNNNNNNNNNNNNNNNNNNNNNNNNNNNNNNNNNNNNNNNNNNNNNNNNNNNNNNNNNNNNNNNNNNNNNNNNNNNNNNNNNNNNNNNNNNNNNNNNNNNNNNNNNNNNNNNNNNNNNNNNNNNNNNNNNNNNNNNNNNNNNNNNNNNNNNNNNNNNNNNNNNNNNNNNNNNNNNNNNNNNNNNNNNNNNNNNNNNNNNNNNNNNNNNNNNNNNNNNNNNNNNNNNNNNNNNNNNNNNNNNNNNNNNNNNNNNNNNNNNNNNNNNNNNNNNNNNNNNNNNNNNNNNNNNNNNNNNNNNNNNNNNNNNNNNNNNNNNNNNNNNNNNNNNNNNNNNNNNNNNNNNNNNNNNNNNNNNNNNNNNNNNNNNNNNNNNNNNNNNNNNNNNNNNNNNNNNNNNNNNNNNNNNNNNNGUGAAGACUGGAUGUAGCUCAGGUUGAGUGAACCAGUAUAAUUGCUUGUGUUCAUUCUCUCUCUCUCUGCAAUUUCGUUUCUGCAUAACUGAUAAAACAGCAAAGAGAUAAAUCUGUUCAAUUGAAAAUAAAUCUGUUCUUUCUGGGCACUGUGUAUACUGUUCUUGAUUUCUGAAAAAGGUGUUUGAAUCUGAUAAGAACAUAUAAAAACUGCUAAAAGCCACUGGAACAGAUUGACUGUGAUAGGCUGUUCAAGAAACUGUAAAUGCUAUUAAUUGAACCUUAAACAAAUUGCUUAAAGUUGAAGCUUGCUGUGUUGUGAUUCAUUGUUCUUAAUUUCUGGAAAAUUUCUUGACAUCAAGAAGAACACUCAUAGUUUGUUAAAAGUCACAGGAACAGCUUGUUUGCAAAGGUCACUCAAUUAAUUAGCAUGCUAUCAAUUGAACCUUAAUCACUUGCUUGAAAUUGAGGCUUGCUGAUUUGUGUACCACUGUUUUACAAAUCUGAUAAUUGUGUGUGUGCUGCUGGAAAUUCUCACUGCAUAAUCUUGUGAUUAAUCUUGCUGAAUUAAAAGCGUUUCAAACAAAAACAGUGCUGAAAUAAAUCUGUUCAUUUUCACAUAAAUCGAUUUAUUUUCUGUAAAACUGUGUUAAACACUGUUUCUGCGAAGAAGUUUUAAAAGGUCAAUUCACCCCCCCUCUUGAACUUUGGCACUAUUAAACCCAACAAGAAGGUCAUGUGCUCCUCGUUCUUAAUAUUCUUUUGUCUCUUCGGUUUUCGUAUCUGAUAGGUUUCGAUUGUUGAUCUCCAGUCAAAGUGAGUGUACCUAUAAAAAGGUCAUUUGAUGCUCAAGUUAGUACACAAUAUUUGGUAGUUAAAAGUAAUAAAUGUUAUUAAAUGUGUAUCUUGACUUAACAUUGGUUAAUCUAUUUAUAUUUUUUAUUGUUGAUCUCCAAUCAAAGUGAGUGUACCUAUAAAAAGAUCAUUUGACGCUCAAGUUAGUACACAAUAUUUGGUAGUUAAAAGUAAUAAAUGUUAUUAAAUGUGUAUCCUGACUUAACAUUGGUUAAUCUAUUUAUAUAGAUGUGUUGACCCUCAAGUUUGUAGGCCUAGAUUAGCACAAAUAUCCUAGUUAAUCCUUGUAUUAGUUUGACAUCAAGUACAAGUUCUCUGCGAAACCAACUAUUAAUUUACUUUUAAAAGAAAUUUUAACUUGUUUCCCUUGACAUUGUUGACAAACCUCUCACGAGAUUAUGUUUCAAUAGGUUAGAGAUUAAUCUUAAGCUAGCGUAACCACACUUCUCGUGCCACAAGCAAUUAUCUUCUUUUUCAGACAUGAGACUCUUUGAUCUAAUAACUCAUCCAUAUCUAUUUUAUAAAGAUUUUGUCAUCUAUUGGUUGCAAACAUUUUGGUUUCAUUAUUAUGAUAGAUUGUGCAAUGGUCAUUGUAAAAAACAACAUUGUUCCCAUUGUCGCACAAUUGAUUUAUGCUUAGUAGGUUGUAUUUAAGACCAUCUACUAAUAAAACAUUGUUAAUAUACAUGGAAGGUUUCAAAGUUACCUGCCCACCACCAAUUACUUGGUCGUGCUGAUUUUCAUCAAAAAUUACUUUUCCUCCUUUCUUCAUUUUCAGGUCUCAGAAUAUAGACCUUCCUCCUUUCUUAUAUGAAACCCAUAUGCAAGAGGUAUUAUUUCUCCUUUAGGUAACCACACAGAUCUAUGUCCUUUAUUGUUAGGCUUUCCUAGUUUAUUCUUAGAAUGACUGUGAGACGAAGUACGGUACUUUACAGAGGUUUUAAAAUGUAUGGUACUUUACAAAGAUUUUGAAACUCAUGGUAUUUUAUGGAGGCUCUGAAAUUUUCAUUUUAUGAAGGCUCUGAAACCCAUUGUAUUUUAUGGAACCUUUAAAAUUCAUGGUAUUUUACGAAUGCUAUGAAACCCAUGGUAUUUUAUGGUGGCUCUGAAAAUCAUUGUGUUUUAUAGAGGCUCUGAAACCUCCAUUAAAUACUUGAGGAUGCAAAACCGUUGCUAAUGUUAGCUUUUCUUGAGGUUAGAAAAAAUCUCAAGGAACACGUUCCCAACGAAUGGUUUGCCUGGGGAAACAAUAACCACGAUUAAAACUAUAUAGAUUGAUUUAAUAACAUCGAUUUUAAAAGGUAGACUCUAUGUAAUGUCGACACUAAUUUUUAAAUUGGCUUUUACUUGAAGUAAUUUAGUGUCACCCAGUCCAAUACUAAUGCCUUUUGAUGUUAAAAUUUAUUUAACUUAGUGUUGGGCUAUCCAACGCUAAAUGAAAUUUAUUUAAAUUUAUUUUUAAUAUUAAUUUAAUUGGUAUUAUUGUAACUAAUGCUAAUGACAAUAAUUUAAACAAAAUCUUGUACAAAUAUUUCAUCUUCAAAAAAUAAAACAAAAAAAAAUGUAGAUAAAGGAGAUAAGUGCAGAUGAAGGAGAUGGGUGUGAAUGAAGAACAUGGAUGUGAAUGAAGAAGAUGGGUGUGGAUAAAGGAGAUGAGUGUGAGUGAAGGAGAUAGUUAUGGGAUGAUUUGCAUAGAAAAGUAAUUGAAAAUAUUGUGAGUGAAGAGAUUUGUUAUCUUUAAAUAUGGAUCUUUGGAUUAAAAAUAAUUUGCGAUUCCUAUUCGUUGUUAUGGAGAUACACAAAUUCAUAGCAUAUAAAUUAGCAUUUGUUUAACCGAUACUAACUUAUAUUAUAAGAGUGUCAACCUACUUGAUACUAACUUAGAUAAAUUAUAAAAUAAAUAAAAUUAGUAUCAGCCUAGUCGACACUAACUUAAAUAAAUAUAAAUACAAAAAUUAAAGAAGAUUAACAUCAAUUAGAUUAACAAGAUUAACAUCAAUUAGAUUGAUAUCAACAAUUGAUAUCAACCUUAUUUAUUUUUAAUAUUUAUUUUUGUUAACAUUAGCUAAGCAACACUAAUAUAAUUAUAACACAACUAUUUUUACUUUUAAAAAAGUUAAAAAAUUAUAACACAAAUAUUUUUACUUUUAAAAAAGUUAAAAAUAAUUAGUGUUGACUUAAAGUCGAAUAAAUUAGCUCUACUAAUGUCUAAUGAGUAGACUCAAUAUUAAUCUGACAUAAACACAAUUUUUUUUAUUUAUUAAAAGGUUAAGAUCAACUUAGUAUUGACUAAAUUGACUCUCUUUUUGUAUAUAGCGUCAACUUAACCAACAUAUACAGUUUACAUAAUAUAAAAUUUAAAAGUAAUUUUACUAAUUUUAACUUUUAAAAAAUAAUUAAUAUUUUACUUUGAAUUAAAGUCAACUUAACAAACUCCAAUAAAAAUGCAUUUUGAUCAAAACUAUUAUUUGGAAGCUAAUUUAAUGUUUUAGUGUUAUAAUUGUUUAACAUGUAAAUUUCAAUUAAUAUUUUCUUACAAAAUUUUAGUUGUGUUUCAUGCUAGUAUUAGGUGACACAAAAUGAAAGUCGGAAUAUGAAAUCAACUAGAAUGUACAAUAUGAACCCAAAGAUAAACAUGAAAUAUAGUGAACCAAAAUUUAAUAGAAUACUUGAAAUGUAUAUUAAAAUAUUUUCAAAUACUUUCUAAUUUUAUACAAGAUUUAAACAUCAAUACUUAGACUUUAACCUAGAUUUAUUUUCUCUAUAUUUUUCAAAAAAUGCUCUAAAUUAGUGAUUGCAUAUAUCUCUGAUUUUUUAAAACUUUCUAGUUAAACAUGGUUCAUAUGAAAACUUUCUAAUAUUGUUUCUACCUUAAUCAUUAAGGCUUAUUAGUACUAGAAGCACUUUGCAAUCAUCAUGCAUAAUAUAUUUUUCAGGAUGCUUUGUUUUUCGUUCAAAAAUACGAAAACUUUCAUAAGAUUAAUCAAUCAAAUAUUUUACUUGAAAAAAUUAAUUUUUGUAAAUUAAUAUCAUCAAGUAAGGUUCGAAAACAUUAAAGCAAUGUUACAAAAAUAUUCUAAGACCAUAGCAAUCAAGUAUAGACACUCUCUUAUACAUUAGGUAGUCUAACGUGUAGAUGACGAAGUGACCGUCUAAUAUGUAUAAGUUCCAGUGACCGUCUAAGACGUUUAUUAGCAUUGUAUCGUUUGACUUUUUUAUGUUUUUGGAGUCGUUUGGCAUGUUUAGCCUUAAAAGACGGUCUAAAAAAAUGUUUAGCACAUCCUUGUACUGUGAGAUCAUCUAGUACGUUUGUGUACAAUUAGACUGUCUAAUGGGUAAAUGCUUUAUAUUUUUGUUGCUUAAUUUUACUAGUGAACCAAGUUUUAUCCAACCCUUGCAACCAUGGCAACCUGUUUGAUCAUCUAACCAUGUUAAAAUUUAAUAGAGUUUAGAAGUUUCUUACCAGGAAUCUUGGACUCCUGUUCUGUGAAUACCUUUCAGAUAAUUCUAAAAAUUAAAUGCUUUAAUAAUUAUUUAUAUUUACAACCAUCAAUUAUUAUACUCGACUAUAACCAGAAUUAACUUUUGUUAAAGUAAAUUUACUAGAACAAAAAAUAUAAUUAAUUUUCUUUAGGUAAUAGAAGAACAAAAUCAACUUUUAUAUAAUAAAUUAAAAAAAAGUAUGAAAAAAGAAAAAAAAAGUUAAUAAAUUUGAGAGUAACUCAGUUUUUUUUCUCAAACAUAAAAUAAACUUCUAGAAAAAUAAUCAUAACCUUCAUUUAGAUAUAUAAAAUAAAAAAUGAAAACAGUUUUCUUUUUGUAAAUUUAAACAAAUAUUCUCAAAACAAAAACAGCCGAAAUCCAAAAUUUCAAGUCAUCCCUGACAUGCUCUAAGUAGGAAGUAGCAGCAAGGCAAGUUGGCUCCUUGGGAGAUACAUGCAGCCAAAACCAGUCCAAGUCAUUAUUAUUACACCAGUAACACCUUCAGCCUCAUAAAUUUGAAUAAAAGGUUUGUUAUCUAGAAAUUCUGCUAUGCAUGGAUUUCUUACUGAUCAACGAAGAACAAAAUAUAAAAGUUAGCCUGGUUAGAAAUCAAUUUACAGUAACUUCUAAUACUUCAGUUUUCAUCUCAGUUAAGCGACUCAGGGAAACUAAAACACACGUCACCAAUUGAAAAAACGAAAAGAUCUAACAAAAUACUUCUUACCAAAGUAUUUCAACUGUUUUUACCUUUAAAAAUAGCAAAGGAUUGUACCAAAAUACAAAAGCAAGGAAAAAAUUUGAGACUGUUUCAUAAGAGAGACUGUAUUAAAAGUCCAAAAAUAGACCUAAAUCUCUUCUCUAAGCCUCCCUACGCACAAAAUACAGCUUGCCCAUCACAUGAAGGACAGCAACAAAUGCUAUAAAGCCAAUGCUCAUUACAAGAACCACAUUUGGGGAGAUCUUGAGUCCAGGGGCAUCAUCAGUGUAAAAUUGGAGCAUAGUUCCAGCUGCUCCUCCAGAGGCCCCACCACCGGUUGUUCUCCUUCUCCUCAUGUUUGCAGUAGCUGCUGCACUUCCUCUUGGGGGAGCUGUUCCACCUAAAGCCAUUUUCUGAGACACAUUUUCAUACAUACAUUAGGAAUCUUGAAUAUAAAAAAAACAAAAUACAAAACCUCAGAAAUCAAGUACUACAACUAAAUCUUCUCACGCUAACUCAGUUUCCCCUCCAGAACAAGUAGAAACUCAAGAUAAAGGAAAAUCUCAAGAACUCACAACUCUCAAAUGAAUGAAAAAGCAAUGUAUCUCUAAUUCAAAUUCAAGAUUUGACAUGUAUACAUUUAAUUUUAACAACAAACUCUUCAAACUCAUUCAUUUAUGCUUCACUAAAGUAAUUCACAGAAUAAAAGCUUGCAUCAAAUCAAAGGUCAAUAUAGAUUACUGAGAUGAAACGGUAAUUCUGAUAGAAGAACAACACUAAAAGCAUCUAUGAAAAUGCAUCCAAAACUGCAUCUGCCUUUUCCCUUUAAGAAACUGCAUCCAAAACUACAUCACCCAACAGUACUAAUGAAGUUAGAAUUCCAGAUCUGCAAAACUCUAAUCUUCUCUACAUCACAAACCUACCCAGAUCCCAAAAACAAAAACGAUCAAAUUUCCCGAUCGAUGUACUCUGUUAAACAAUCAUAAAACCUAAAACCUGAAAAUCGAUGUACCCCUUGGUUACAAAAAAGGAAAAACGAAAUUGGAUCCACAACAUCACAGUUAACACUGAUUACAACAGCAAGCGGGAUCGUUCACGAUACGAAUACUAGAAUCAUCGCAAUUUAACAUAUGGAACAUUUCAAAACGUGGAAAUAUACUACAUUCACAUUUAAAAAAUUAAACGAUACACAAAAGAAAUCAUCGAAGCAUAACAGAGGGAGAUACAGAAAAUCAAUUUCAAAACCCUAACAUUUAAAAGGAAAAAGCCUCAGAUCUAUUAUCAGCAAUAAUACAUGGGAAUAAAGGAACCUUGAUAUGAAUUUCCGGUGAGUGAUGUUGGUGGCUGCUGCAGAUUUGAGAGAAGAAGUCGCCGGAGAUAUAGAAUACGGUCACCGAGUCGUUUCACGUUUACCACUGUUUGACUUUACAAUAAUAUGUAUAUAUAUAUAUAUAUAAGUAUAGAAGCUGAAAUUUGACUUUGCCACGUGAAAACAACCAAUCACAUUAUGCAAUGUCACCAUGUGUUGCUGAUUGUUGAUACUGUGUUUUUUUUCUGCACUCCAGUAUUUUUCUUCUUGCACCCCUACAUUCUACAUUCAUGUGUAAUUACAAAAGUAUUUUUGGAAAUUUUUAAAAACCCUAAAGUAGAAGUAGCAUGGUGACUCUUUCUUUCAGCCUUCUCAGCAUGUGCACAUAGCAAACACAAAGCAAGGAAUCGUGGUGCAUUGGGUGUUCCUAGUGGUUUCUCUUUAUGGAGUUGGUUUGUUUUUCGAGGUUUGGUGGUGGUUAAGUGGUUUUUGCGAUGACUCUAUUCAAAGAGGAAGGUAAGUAAUAUUUUUUGUUUACAGAUUGGGUGUCUCAUAUUUUUUUGGCGGAUUUGGGAUUUCGCAAUACAAUUUUUAGGGUACCGAAAGAGGCAUUCUGUAAUAUGCCAUUAGAUUGAUUAUUUUGAAAAUUAACCGGACUGAUGUGUUUGGAAUAAAAUCGGAUUUGCAAUUUUAGUAUGCGAUUUUGUGUAGUAUCACUUGUUGAAAUAUCUAAAAAGCUUAAUCGUGUUCAUAUCAAAUGCACUAACAGCAAUGGUAUGCUCCUUACACCAAAUGAAGCCAAUUCGUAAGCACAAGCAAGCCCGUGAGUAGAUCUAAGGGUGCACCGACAACGAGAUCUAUCUAAACCAACAUAUUCAACUCGACCACUCUCUUAUGCAAUAUACGACAAAGCAUAUUUUGAUACAAAGUCAAACAAUUUCUUAUAUCUUAUUACAUUAAAGACAUGACCCACCACAUGAAAACUCUUUUCUGAUGAAGAUUUAAUUGCAUUAUAUUGGAAGAUGAUCCUCUUGUUCAUGGAAUCCCAACAAAAGCAUAAGUCUCUCAUUGACAUCCAAGACAUUCUCUUGAGACUCCAAUGUGCAUACUUAAAACCUUAUUACUUGUCGUGUUGUCUAAGUGCAUGACCUUAUCUGUCAAAGCUUAACAAACUUUUCUUUGUGUGGAUUUAACCUGGUACACAUCACAUAUUCAGUAAACAUAGGUCAUGGUGAACAAACAACAUGAAAUGCCUUAACACGAUGCUCAUAGGCCUCUACAUUAUCACAAUCGACAAUAGCUCCCCAAGGCUUCAUCACAUUAUCUCAUGUCUCUCUUGGAUGAACAAUCAUUUUACGUUUUGCUUUGACAUUUUUAGUAAUGUGGAAACGACAUAACAAAUUAGCAACUUCGGGAAAGACAACAUCUAUUGCAUUCAUUAGAGUAAUAUCUCUAUCACUGACCACGACCUUUGACUAUGAAUCAACUCUCAAAAACAAACCUCAAGGACCCAUACAAAGUUAUGAUAUAGUUUUGAUGCAAGUAACAUAAAUGCAGCACUGAAGAUCAACCCUGGUGAGGUAACACCAACAACUUCAAGCAAGGGCAUCAUGUACCUAUUAGUUUUGCACGUAUUGUCUAUCAUCAACACAAUGUUAAAGACAUUUAGCUUCACUAAAGCAGAGUGUGUCCAAGAUAAAUAUUGCACGACAUUCAUCCCUUCCUCAAACCUAGACCAAUGGACAUACAUAUCUCACUCAAGUAACAACAUCAACUAUUGCAUUUCAGUUCUGUCACCUCGAUCUGAUUUUCUAUACACAUAUCGUGCAUUGUAAACUUACUUUAAGGUGGUUACAUCUUUCUUGUUAUGCUUUUUCAUUAUCAACAAAAUAUUUUUAGACUUCACUACAUUCUCUAUCAUAUCCAUAAGCAUUAACUUCUCACCGGAUGUGAACCUACCAGCAUAUGGAUGACCAACCAACGUAUUUGCCAAGUUAUGAUUAUGAGACUUACAAAGUAAUUUCAACAUUCAUCCUUCACCACCUUUUAUUGGGGUUUUUUGACCAUGAUGGGGUUAUUUUUUUUUGUUUUUACCAAAAUGGGGUCCGUUUAAAAAAAUUACAAAUUUAGGCAAGUCGUGCCUAAUUCGGUACGACUUCAUAUGCAGAAGUCGUCCCAAUUAGGUACGACUUCUGCCAUGUCAUACUAAAGUCGUGUCAACUUGGCACGACUUCUGUCCCGUCAUACUGAAUUCGUGCCAACUUGGCACGACUUCUGUCCCGUCAUACAGAAGUCGUGCCAAGUUGGCACGACUUCUGCCACGUCAUAAUUGUUCGCACAGACAAGCGUAAUAAUAAAAUUCAAUUCAAGUUUGAUUAUUAAUUUCCUCAUUUUCUUUAUCUAUGUAUUCAUUCAUUCAUAACACUCUUAGAACAUUCAUUUUCUUUAUCUAUCUAUUUAUUCAUUCAAUUCAAACAUGAUCCAUACACAAUUAUCCAAUUUUUUUGUUCCUUAAAACUAACACUCUUAGAAAAUUAUGUAUCAAAUUAAUUUUUAACAUUACAUAACUUAAUACCCAAUAUAUAAACAAUAAAAUUAAAAAAAAAUAAAAAUUAUGACGUGGCAGAAGUCGUGUCAAGUUGGCACGACUUCAGUAUGACAGGGCAGAAGUCGUGCCAAGUUGGCACGACUUUAGUAUGACAUGGCAGAAGUCGUGCCUAAUUGGGACGACUUCUACAUAUGAAGUCGUGCCGAAUUGGCACGACUUGCCUAAAUUUGUAAUUUUUUUUAAACGGACCCCAUUUUGGUAAAAACCAAAAAAAAUAACCCCAUCAUGGUCAAAAAACCUUUUAUUGGAUGCCCUCAUAAUCUAAAUGGGCACUCACAUUUCCCACUUACACUCUCAGUAACCUGUAAUUCCUUCUUACAUCGCUUGUAUUUACCUCCUCUCUCACAACCUAAUAAUAUAAAUGUCUCCCUUCCUCGUUGGCCAUUUGAAGUAUCCAACCUCAAUAUAACAAUAACAAAGCAAAAAUGAAACAUAACUUUUCUAACCCAUGUCAACCGAGUAGGAAGUAUCUACAGAAGUUAUCACAAGUUCAUAUUUAAUUUACCAAAUAACAAACAACCUAAACAUACUUUACAAGCUUCAACUUUACCUCAUUUGUAGUAAACACAUUUGUACAUUCAUAUGACUUUCAUAUAUUGUUUAAUGCUUUGUUGGAUAUUGACUUCUCAAUAUCAUCAUCAUUUAGACCCUCCCACACAUCAACCUCAUCAUAUAAUCCUUGUUUGAAUUCUUAAGUAUUGUCCAUAGUUCUACAAAUUAACAUCUUACCAUCAAAUUUCAACAAAUUUUUAAAAACCAUAAGAAACACAUGGAAAGUUAAAAAAUCCAUUAUGGAUCCACCAAUCCAUAUGUCAAAAAAUGCAUUCUGGAUCCACCAAUCCAUAAGUCAAAAAAUGUAUUAUGGAACUAUCAAUCCAUAAGUCAAAAAAUGUAUUCUAAAAUGACCAUUCCGUAAUGAUUUUUUUUUCAAAUUUGUGAAUUCGUUAUACAUAAAUGCAUAUGGAACACCCCCUCAUCUAGAAUACAAAAACUUUACUUAUGGAAUACCUAAUUUGUAUUUCAUUUUUUCACUUGCGGAUGGUUGGUCCAUAAUACAGUCACAGAACCCGAUUUCCAAGAACCUCUAAAUCCCAUAACAACCCAAUCCCAAAAACAAAACUUAAAUCACCCUCUACCAACACCAACAAUCAACCCCCAAAAACAAUGGUAGCCAUGGACAGUGCCUUUUGAAAAAAAAAUAACAAGGUUAAUUUUGGUAUUUUAAAAAAUGUAGGGGUGCAGGAAGAAACACCCUUAUUGAUAUAUUCUCCUAAGAAAAUUUGGUUUUGAGCCAUUUAACUCGGUCCGGUAAAGUUGGGAUUUGGGCCCAUUAGUACUGGUUAAGCAAUGCGGGCAAUUUAUUCCUACACUUCCAUAAUUUCUUCUUGUACCUUUAUAAUUGAUUUGUUUCCAAAAAUAUCUUUCUCCAAACAUUAUUAGGUUAAGGGAUGUUGUUGGAGUUGAAUAAGGUUAGUGGUGCAGUGGUGUUGGAUAGGUGUAGUGGUGGCUUGUGGUUUAUGGUUUAGGGUAUUUACUAUUUUCGUUGAGAGUUGCAAUAGUGGAUUUAGGGUUUAGGGUAUUUACUAUUUUCGUUGGGAGUUGCAAUAGUGGAUUGUGGUUGUUUGUAGUGGUUAGUGGUUGUUUUUGGUGCCUUGUGGUGGUUGGUGGUGGUUUUUUCUUGUAGUGGAUGUGGUGGUGAGGUAGCUUAUUUUAUUUAAGGUAAUGUGGUGGAUUAUUUUUUUGAAUUAAAAAUUCUAUAAUUCAUAAACAGUUUUGAAUUUUACAAUUUGGAAUAUAAGUUUGUAUUUCGAAUCGUAGAAUUUAGAAUACAAAAUUAUAUUAUGAAUUAUAUAAUUCGAAAGCUUUUUCUUUUACAACACAAUGCCUUCUGAAUUGUAUAAUUAAGAAUACAAUUUUGUAUUUCAAAUUCUACAAUUUGAAAUCCAAUUUGUGACUCCAUAAAAUACCUUUUGAAUUGUAGAAUUUGGAAUAGAAAAUUAUAUUUUGAACUCUACAAUUUGGAAUAUAACAUUGUAGACAGUCCAAUUGCAAUGAUUAUUUUUUAAUUUUUGAUAAAAUUAUAAUAAAUCUAUAUUUCUUAUUUAUUAUUGGAUGUAUAGGAGUGAAACAUUAAUUAUGAAUAAUAAAUAGGAACUUUGGAACAAAAUAUCAUAUGAAGUGGAUAAGAUGUCUGAAAUGGACCACUAGUUAAUGAAUUAUGUUGUCAAUGGAGACAAGGCAAUUGCUUCCUGCACCCGAUCAAUUGUGACUAGCACCCGAUACACUUUUAAAAAUCCUAAAAUGCCCUUGUCUUCUUCAUUUACGAAUAAAAAUAUUCGGAACUGCUCGUUGCUUACGGAUAAAAAUAUCCGGAACUGAUCGUUACUUACGGAUAAAAAUAUCUGGAAGCCACAGUUGUGCCUACGGAUAAAAAUAUCCGGAAGCCAGCCACAGUUAUGCCUACAGAUAAAAAUAUCCGGACCCAACUAUAUUCCGGAUAAAAAUAUCCGUAAGUCAAAACAAACUUACGGAUAAAAUUAUCCGGACCCCAAACUCCCUUACGGAUAAAAAUAUCCGCACCUCUCAAAAGUCACUUGCGGAUAAAAAUAUCCGCAACUCUCACUCACUUAUAGAUAAAAAUAUCCGGAAGCAUGACGUACCUUCGAAUCUGGUGCUCUGCCUGCGAUAAUGGAGGUCACGGUGGGUGCAGAAGAAUGGAGAAGAACGUCGCUCACGGUGGUUGGACAAUAAGCUUGCUCACGGUGGCUGCACAACACGGUGGCUUACGGUGGCUCGGUGGCUGCGGCAGGCACAAUGAAAUGGAAGAACAGAAGAAUAGGGUUGGUGCAGGUCAUUGGGUGCAUAUCACAAUUAUAGUUUUCAAGAUUUCAUUAAGGAUAUAUUCGUCUUUUACUAUUAAAUGAUUGGGUGCCAGUUAGAAUGUGUUGGGUGCAGGGAGAAUGUGCCUGGAGACAAAAUGGCUAAAGGAGAAUGUUAGGCCUUUUAAAACAAAUGAGGUGAAAAAAAUUAAACUCAUGAAGAGUUAUACCCCUAACCAUGAAAUCAAAUAUUUAAUUCAAAUAUUUUCUAAAUCUUGGUUAAUUAAUGUCUUUAAUUAGAUAAAAAAUUAUUCUUAACAUUUUAAAUUACUUCACUAUAAUUAAUAAUUAAAAUUUAUGUUGUAAGUGUUGAUGAUGUAAGUUUUGUAUAUUUUUAUUUUCAAAUAAUACAAAAUAUUUUAAACUAUUAUUUCAUUUUAAAUUUAAAUUUAAGAAAAACAAUCUAAUAGGUUUGUCUUGCCUUAUUUUGGCUCGUUUUACGAAAGCGGGUGGAUAAACUAAAUAUGAUAAUUUGUUUUGCCAAAUUAGUGGUAGCACACUAUCUCUUUUGUUUUUCUUCUUAGACUCGAAUAAAUUAAAAAAAAAAUCUAAAACAUCAUUUAUUAGUUUUUUAAUCCCUAAUUUGAGCAGUCUGUAAAAACAAAUUUUUUAUUGCAAAUCUAAUCAUUAUAAAAGAAAAAAUAACGACUAAUAAUUUGCUAUUUAUUAUAAGUAAAUAAAGAAACAUGAAAAAAUAUAAAGUUAACCCUGAAAUAAAAUAUAAAUUUCUACUUAUAAAUAUUAAUAGCAAUAAAAUAAUAAAUAAAAAUAUUUAACUAUAUUCAACGGACAAAAACAAUAUUACACAACAAUUAAAAUUAAAAAAAUAAUAUCAGUUGUGAGAUGAGAUGAUCCGAACUUUGAUUCGUCCAAACUACGACUAACUUUUAGGGAUAAUUCUCACACUUUUAUUUUAGGCUUUGUUUGGAUUAGAGAGUGGAAAUGAGGGAGUGAAUUUAAGAUGAUUUGAAGGAAAAGUGUGAAGAAAGUAAUGUUGUUUGGAUUAAGGUAAAUAGAGUAGAAAGUUUAGAGAAAGUUUAUGAAAGUUUGUGAGUGAUGUGAUAGAUGUGAUUGAAAUUAUAUUUUUUAAUUGAUAAAAUUAUAAAUUUACAAAUUUACUUUUAUAUUUAAAAAUUAUUAAAAAAUUAAUUGGAUUGAUUUAUUUAUAAAUUAAAUAACUUUAUUAUUUUUAUCUUUAUUUUUUUAUAAUUAAUAUAAUUAUUAUAUAAUUUUUUUAUUUAAAAAUAUAUUUAUUAUUAUUAUUAUUAUUUAUAUUUAUUCUUAUAAAUAAUUAAUUAUGUUAUUUUAUAAUAAAUAUUUUUUUACAGUUUUAAUUAUAUUUUAUAUUUGAAUUAUAAUCUUAUUUUAAAUAAAAAUAAUAAUAAUUUUAGUUUAAAAUAAAAAAACUAACCUAAAUUAUAAAGCAACUUGCAAUUCUCUCAUACCACGUCGAAGAAAGUUUUAAACAGAAAAUUCCCUUCGUUUUUUGUGUGUUUAUAUUAUUUAAUACCUCAUUUUUUUUUUCUAUUCACAAACAGUAAAUUUUCUCUUUUCUGCUUCUAGAAAUAAACGGAGUCUUAAAGCAUAUUUUUGUUCUUUUAUAAAUAAGUAUUUUAUAAGUGUCACACAUAAGAUAUGAGUGUCUGAGUUUCAUAGUUCUUAUUACUUUUUUAAACUAUUUUUAUUAUAAUAUUUUAUUUGAAAAAACUAAUUAAAUAAAAUCAAAUAUUCUAUUUACUUUUUAAUCAACUUUUUCAUGCUUCUCGAGACACAACUAUAAUUCACUUGUAAUGAAUGACUAGGUCAACGUUAAACAUAUAGAAAACAAAAUCUAGAAUUAUCCGAACUCACACAAAGAAUUUGUGUGUACAAGGACAGCGCCACCUAGGAUACCAAUAUUCAACUCUGAAUUCAGAGUCAUAAAACGGCACCGUACACGCGGCCCAAAAUAAAUACGGUUCCAUCAUAUAACAAAAAAUAUAAAAAUAAAUGAAUAUGGUUCCAUUAUUUUAUUAUAUGAUUGUAAAUAAAUAUAAAUCAUAACAUUCAACAUUCACCAAAUUAACGCAGCCAAAAAGUUGUAAUUUUUUAAACAUUGCAAAUAAUCACGUUUGCAAAUUGCAAUGCCAAGUCAUUCCCUAUUGGAUUAGUUAAUUCAUGAGAAUGCUUAACUUUAAAUAAGUAUUUUUGAAGUACUUUUUUAAAUAAUUACUUAUACACACAAUAGAUAGAAUUUAGCUAUUUAAACAAAAUACUAAUUUUAAAAUAAACAACCUUUGACAUUUAAAUAUACACAAAACCAUUAUUAUUAUUAUUUUCAUUAAUAUAAAGUUAUCACAUGUGCCAAAAAAGGUCUAUGUACAAGCAAAGACAUUCACAUGUAUAAUUAGUAAAAAAAAUACCUACCUUAGACUUAAUAUAUUUAUAGUCUCUUAAUAAAUUUGUACUUAAAAUUAAUAAAUCUAGAUUAAGUUCUCCAAUUAUUUUCCAUAUUAUUAGUUUUAAAUAUAAUAUCAAAUACUAAUUAUAACUACAUUAACAAAUACUUAAACUUUUAUUGUGAUUGCCUUUCUCAUUAAGAUUGAAAUAAAAAAAAUGUAUUUCUCCCACCAAAAAAUUAUUAAAUAAAAAAAAUUUUGCAAAAAAUAAUAAUUAAUUAUUAUAAUAAUUAAAUUAGAUAAUAUUUUAUAAACUAAAUAAAUUAUCGAUAUUUAAAAUAAUUUUUAUAAAAAUUUAUAAACUAUUUUUUACGUUAAUAUCAAAUUAUUAUCAAAGUUUUAGCUAUUAAUUACUUUAAAUUUUAAAAUUGGAUAGUUUAAAUGUUGAUAGUUAAUUAUAUAUAAAUAAGUUAAUUAGAUAUCAAUUUAAAAAUUAAUUUAUAAUUUUUUAUUAAUAAAAAAAACUAUUUCAAUAUUUAUAAUUUUUUAAUUUAUAAAAUAAUAUCUAAUUUAGUCAAAAUAAUAAUUUAUUACUUUUUUAUUCUAAAAUUAUUUUUAUUUAAUAAUUUUCUAGUAAUAUUUUAUAAACAUUAAAAAAAAUAUUUAUAAUUUAAUGAAAAAACACACAAACAUGAAUACAUAAUGCAUAUGGCAAUGAUAAAUUCUAAAGAUAUUUUUAGGGUAAAAACAAAAAAAAUGGUACAGUACCAUUAUUUGCAAGUUGGGUGAAAAGAAUGUGGCCAACUAAAUUUUAAUUAUUGGUAUUAUAACAUGGUGUUAUGUUGACAAUUGAUGCUUCACGAGGCCAUUUGGUGUGCCAUGACAGAACCUGACGUAAGCUUUUGACAUAGCUCAAGCUGAAAAUUGAGGUCAGAGACGCCAUUUUUGUCUCUCUUUUUUCACAAAAGUCUUAUAAAUAUAAAGUAGGGUUCCAAUUUUUCAACCCAACACUGCCGUUUCUCACCAAAUACCAUCGUUCUUAUCAUUCUGUGAGGUCGAUUCCUCAAGUUUCAAACUACUACAAAACAUUUUUUUAAAGAUCGUUCUUCUGGGAUAAUCAGUUGUUCAUAUAUCAGGAUGUCACAAGGGUUUGCUUUUGCACUUGUUGCUGUGUUCUUCUGUCACUUCAGCUGCUUUCUUAGCUCUGCACAAGCUCAAUCUGCAAACGCCACCACUGACCCUUCUGAAGGUAAGUGUUUUUCUUUUUCCCUUUCUGGAACAAGUUUCUUUCUUCUGCAGAACUUCAUGCAAACAAUCAAUGGGUUUGGGUUUCUUGUUGGGAAAUUUGAAAAAGAAAAACUUUUUACUUUGAUUCAACCAUGCUAUAUGAUGUCAAAGGUUAUCUUAAAAAUCCCAUCGACUACACUAGAAUGAAAACCUUACUCUCGAUAAACCGAUUUUAUAGAAUUGAUUUAGACUUAAAAUACUUUUUUAAUAGGUUAAUCAAUUUAAAUUCUUCUUUUUAAUAGCUUAAUCAAUUGAUAAAUUUAGUGUAAACAUAACCAUGCCAUUGAUAUAUAUUUCUCUUCAUAUUUUCUUAUUUUUCUGUUGUUUAGCUCCAAUUCACUAAAAAAAUAGAGAAGACAUAGUUUUUCCUCUUUGACCUUUGAUGAAACAGUAAAACUCAUUUCACUAAUUUCUGAAUCUGAAUAUGUUAGAAACUAGUCUUAAACAAAGUUAAGUCCUUAUCAAAGAAAACCUUUAAAAAAGGGUGAAAAGAGCAUUUAGUGAAUAAUUUGUUUGGGUAAAUUUUUGUUUGUUUUGUUUAAUGAAUAAUCUGACAGAGAAAAAUGAAAUUAUUGGUACAGUACUACAGACCAGAAUGUUUGGCAUAUUCUGCAACACUCUGAUAUGUGAUAUUGGUAUUUAAUAUUUAGAUUAUGAUAUUUUUAAAUGUUAUCCACAAUAAAUAUUAAUAUUUAUAAUAAAAGAAUUUAAAGAAAAAGAAAAUAAUUCUUAAAUAAAAAUAAAAAUAAAAUAUAAAAUGUUUUAAAAUUUAAAAAAAUAUAAAUUUUUAUAAAUAAUUAAAAUAUUAAUAUUUAUUGGUGCAACUUACAAAUUGUAAGGUGGGGGCAUGAGAAUGGAAUAAACAAUUUUGUUAAUAUUUAUAUGUUUUUUAUUAUAUUAACUUUUUAAUUUGUAGUUGUACCUACCAAAAACCAGAUAUUAUUCUCAAUAAAAUAUAUGUUUGACUUUUUGACUCUUCAUUUUAUAGUUCAUACAUUCUUAUAUGUAACAAUCCUUCCACUUAAUACAAUAAAGUUAUUAAAUAAAAAUAAAAUUAAUAAAAAUCACUAAAUUAACUAAAUUAUAUAUAUUUUAAAUAUUAAAAAAUUAUUAUUAUAUAAAAUCAUUUCUGUUCUUAAUAAACUAAAUUAAUAACUAAAACUUGAUAAUUAAUUAAAUAUCAAUUAUUAUUUAUUAAUUAUAUUUAAUUUGGUUAAUAUAUUAGUUUAUAUUUAGUGAUUUUGGUGUAGUAUAUUUUAAUAGCUUUCUUUUUUUAUUUUUCAUAUUUUUUAUUAAGUUCGUAUUAUUAUUAUUAUUACUAUUAUUAUUUAAAUUUUGACUUAAUAUACUAAAUUCUCAUAAUAUAUCUUAUUAAAAUUGUUUCUAAAACUUCAUCCUUAAUUUUAAAGAUACCAUUUCAUUUAAUUAUUUAUACGUGAUAAAAAAAAUCUCAUUUCACUAAAAUAUUAAUAAUAAAUUAAUUCUAUGGUUAAACUGAGUGCAUUUCCCUGAAAAAGUGAAGUUCUGAAUGCAGCAAGAACUAUAAAUUCAAUCUUCAGCAAAUGGGGUAAAUCCGCAGACACAAGUAUAUGGAAUAUAAGCGGUGAAUUGUGCAGUGGAAGAGCCAUUGAUAGUACCUCCACCCCUGAAUCUUACAACCCAUUUAUCAGAUGUGAUUGUUCCUUUGACGACGGAACUACUUGCCGCAUCACAGCACUGUAUCUCUCUCCCUCUCUCAACUUUACUUUUUCAGUUUUUCAGAUAAAAUUUCUGUGUUGAUGUGUUGUACAUUGAAUUUGGAAGCUUACUAUUGCUCUAAGCAAUAUAAUUUUUACUUUUUUUGGGCUUUUAUGCUUUGAAUGGUACAGGAGGGUCUCUGCACUGAAUGUGGUUGGUGAAAUUCCAGAAGAGCUAUGGACUCUCACCUAUCUCAACAAUUUGUAUGUUUUCUUCCUCAUGAACUUCGUUAGAAUAAGUUCUGCACAUGCUUUAUUUUUAUUACCAGAGGAAGCUCAGACACUCAUUCAUGUGGGUUCACAUUUUGUUCCGUAAUAAAUGUUACUGCAUUAAUAUUCGAUAAAAAAAACAGUUAUGAUGAGAGUAAAAUUGUAAAAAAAGGUUUGUAUAAAAAACAAUGAUCAAAAUUCGUAUAUUGAUAUAGAUUACUCUAAACUUAAUUUUUGGGCACUAUCAAUGAAUCUGCCAACCAAUUAAAAAAAAAUUAUUUAUGAUUUUUAGGGUAGUUAUUAUAAACAGUUAACAAUCUAUCAUACAUGUUAAAAGUUAUGAUUGAGUGAGAAUGUAAAAUUAUUUUGAUGCACUUUUAGCUUUUGAUUUGUUAUUCUCAAGCAAGAAUUACAUGCUUUUUUGCUGUACUAAGUUCCAUCAAUUGCAAGCAGAAAUCUUGCGCAAAAUUACUUGACGGGUUCUCUACCUGCAGCUAUUGGAAAUCUAACUCGUAUGCAAUACUUGUAAGACAAUUCGACCCAAUUUCAGUUCAUAAUAUUCUAUGAAUUUAAUGUUGUGACACAUAAGUUCUAACAGAUAAGUUUGCUCUUUGUUAGGAGCUUUGGAAUCAAUAAUUUAUCAGGGGAGCUUCCAAAGGAAUUGGGAAAUCUUACAGAGUUAUUAUCACUGUAUGUUGUUUGCUUUGAACUUUUCUUCCUAUGGUUAUGAAAUUGCCAAUGGGUUGAUUUUUCAGGAUCAAUUAGUCACCAAAAAUAUUUGGUGUCGGUUAUGAGUCUUAAAUUUGAUAGAAAAUGAAGUGGUAUUUAAGCGAUGGGGUUAUCCCACAUAAUGAAUUAGUAUUUUUGGUUAAGUUGCCUCUUUGUGCCUAAGUCAUAGUAUUGUCUCUUGCAGUACGAGUGCAUGUUUGGUUUCGUUUUGGAUCAAUUCAAAUGCAGAUCCAUAAUACACAUCUAAGUUGAAACUAUUUUGAAUAACUUUCACAUCUGAAACAAGAAUCCGAGGCUCCAAAGGGAAAACCAAACACACAAUGAGUCUUGGGUGCUAGUUAAAAGUUUAAUUAAUGGUGUGAAAGUGAGAUGGACCCAAAUGUAAGAUGGAGGCCAAUGCCUAUUCCGGCCUUUAAAUUAGAAUGACAUAUACACAUAGACAAAAGAUAUUCUGGUCUUGUGAUUGAUCUUAUGAUAUGACAACUGGAUUUUGUUUCCUGUAGUAAUGAGUAUGAAGUGUCUAAUAGAUAAGGGGUGAUUAUGAGACAAUAAAUGAUAAAUUUAAUUAACCGAAAACAUAUAUUGUACAAAAAUUGAGUCAUGAAUUGAUAGAAAUCCACAUGGAAAAUUUUGGUUUGAGAAUAUUUUUUUCUUUAGACACACAAUAUUAGUUAUGAUGAGUACCUAAAUGGAUAAAAGGAAAUUUAAUGUUUUUCAUAAGAAUUUGCUCGCACAAAGCAUAAACCAAUAUUGUUCUGUUGUGGAUACAUGAUGGUGUGCAUGACAAAUUUCUCGUGAUGGCACUAGUGAGAUUUAUUAUUUGUUAAAUUUGUAGGAGUUUUUCGUCAAAUAAGUUCUCAGGAUCUCUCCCAUCUGAACUUGGGAAACUCACAAAGUUAACCCAGCUGUAAGUAUUUCUGCAGUCUUAGGUUCUAUUUGUAUUAUAUUUUUUAAUCAAGUUUGAGUCAUAUAAGGUUGCUAUUUUACAUAUUUUUACACACAUAUCUAUUGACUUUACUCCUUUAUUGUUUCCUAUGGUAUACUAAAAUAUUACACCUAGCAAAAUGUUUUCUUCUAUUAGAAGUUUAGUGGCAAAAGUGAAAUUUCUGCAUGUUAUAUAUAUGCAGCCAGUUUAAAUUUUGGAAUGGUUGGGCACAUGCCCCCAAUGCAUUCAUCCUUGCAUUUUGCAUCUCAAAUACUUUUAGUCCAACAUUAGUAAAUUCUUUCUAUUUCUAAUGGUAGUGAAUCCUAUCUCCACGUUGAAGUGAUACCCCCCUAUGUAAUUUUCUAUAUCUUUGUGUAGAAUAUAGUCAUGGAGAUGGAUGCAUAUAUUACUACUCUUUCAAAUAUGGUUUGUGUCUACAAACAGCAACAAUAUCCUAGGGGAACUACGAUACAGUAUUUUGGUUACUAAACACAUGUUACAAGCAAUUAUUUAUUAUUGUUCAUAGUCAUCAAUUAGACUUGUCAUAACUUCAUAAGCAUACAUUGUAGUAAAUAAUGAGUUGGUCGGUUCUCAAUAAUGCAAGUAUGUGGUCAUUUUUCAAAAUUACACUUUGUUACGCAGUUUCAUACCUUUGUUGUGAGCACAAAGAGAAUAUUAAUUUCACAAUAUUUCCUUGCAGUUACAUUGAUAGUUCAGGAAUUAGUGGUCCAAUUCCGUCCUCAUUUGCGGACCUAAGGAGUUUGGAACGAGUGUAAGAUACUCCCACUUAGAUGUGCCUAAAGAAAGAAAACCUUGUACAACAAUAAAGAUUUUUCUUUUCAUUUCAGAUGGGCUUCAGACACGGAACUCAGGGGCAAUAUACCAGACUUCAUAGGGAAUUGGACUAGACUUCAAGUCUUGUAAGACAACAUUACCAGUCAACUCUGUUUUCCUCCUUAAUUGAAUUACCUUGGUGGAAUGGAACACUUUUUGAUAAAAUAAAUUAUAUUGGGUGUGGAAUUAAAAUUUUCUUUUUAUGGCUACUUUCGUUUUCUGUUCCAGAAGUGUGUACUAACAGUUUUUGUGAAUUAUUGUCUGUCUUGAUGUUCUGUUACCAGGAAAUUUUAAUUUUCAUGGUUACUUUCGUAUUCUAUUCCAAAAGUGUGUCCUCCUGACAGUUUUGGUGAAUUAUUGUAUGUUUUGAUAGGAGGUUUCAAGGCAAUUCUUUUAAUGGCUCAAUACCCUCAUCAUUUUCCAACUUGACUUCUUUAACAGAAUUGUGAGUACCAACUUGUUUCUUGUAUGGGUAUUAUUGAUUGAUGAAACCUAAUAAUUAUGUAUGAUAUAAAUGUAGGAGAAUAAGUGGUUUAUCUGAUGGGAACUCCUCACUGGAAUUUGUACGGAAUUUGAAAUCUUUGAAUAUCUUGUAAGCCCCAACUUUGCUAAUCUUCGUAACUCACUCUGCUUUGCCGACUUAAUUUUUUUACUUAUUUGUUACAAUUGUUGCAGAGAAUUGAGGAAUAACAAUAUUUCUGGUUCGAUUCCCUCCUCCAUUGGAGAGUUGCACAAUUUGACCCAGCUGUGAGUAUUACCUGUUUGUGUCAAACUAUAUUCAAAUGAAAUUAUGUAAAAGGUGUUGACUAGAAAGAACCAAAUUAGUUAAUUCUUUGUGGCUAUUCCACAUAUAUCCAAUCUGAUUACUGACUGGUGGUUAUACGAGGGAUAUCUUAAAAUAAGUAUUACUCAACAUGUUCAUUACUUACUUGUGUUCAUUUAAUUUUUUGUCUUAGUAAUUUUCAUUGUUGUAUGGUAGAAAGAUACCAGUUUCCUACUAAUUUAUCUUAGGGAUAACAUAAUUGGACAUUUUCUUUCCUUUAUUUGAAAAGAGAAAACAAGUAUCUUGUCUUAUAGUUCUAUCCUUUCCCAAAUCAAGGAAAUUAUAUAUUUAUGCUGGUUUUUACAGGGAUUUAAGCUUCAAUAACAUCGAGGGACAAAUUCCGGGAUCAAUUUUCAAUUUGAGUUCGCUCUCUACCUUGUAAUAUUGCAUUUCUUAGAAAUUGCAUAUUCAUUUGUUGAUACGCUUUGUACAUGGUUUAAAGGACGUUUUGGUUUUUUCAUCAAAUUGCAGGUUUCUUGGAAAUAAUAAGCUAAAUGGCACCCUUCCAACGCAGAAAAGUUCAUCAUUUCAAUUUAUGUGAGUAAGAUUGACUUAUUUGAAUUAUGGAGGAUGAAAUUCAUUACUUUAGGAUUCAAAAUACUAGGGCCAAAUCCAAGGUGCCCCUAAACUAUUGGUUGCAUGUGCUUUGAACCUCAUAACUAUCGGUUGCAUGUGCUUUGAACCUCAUAACUAUCGGUUGCAUGUGCUUUGAACCUUAUAACGAUUCCUUAAACUCACCAAACUCCAGUUAUUGACCAAUAAGGUCUUUUUUUGCACAUGCAAUCCAGGAUAAUUUGGUGAAUUCAAGAAGUUUAGUUGGUGAUUUUUAAAUCAUCUUGCAUUGUCGGCAUAUGACUCAUAGUUGGAUGGGCUUCCCAGUGUCCUGCCCAAAUUUUUUAGCUAUACACUUAGUUGCUAUUUUAAAUUUUCUAAAAUUGCACCAUCUGAAUAUAAAAGAGAUUGAUUGGAACUUUGUCCUACUAGUUUAAAGACUAAAAUGAACAGAAAAAAUGUAUUAUCAUAAUGAGAGGAAAGAGCGUAUGCUUUCCCAUGUUGUUACUUGUCAAUUUUCUAUUUGUAUUUAUUUUAAGUAUGUGUCCACAUGUCGUAGUUGUUUUAAUACAACUUGGAUGCUUUAAAAUUGGUGUUAUAUGUGUUGUUGUUAGAUAAGUAUCUGUAUUCCUUGGACAUCAUAUGAAACUAUAAGUAUACAUCGUGUAAUUUUAUUUAUUUUUUAAAUCGUUUGCUGAUAUGUGUGGGUAAUCAUAUGUAUUGGCUAAAUGGUAGUAUCUAUCAAGUCUAUAACGACUAAAUACUAAUGCUGAAAAAGAAAAGCCAAUAACAUCUAUGUUGAAGUUUAUUUGACUUUCUUCACUUUUCUUGCUCGUGGAAUUGUUCAACAUAUAAUUUUUUUAAUGAUGUUUGCAGUGGCUUUAUUUGUUUAUAUGAUGUUUUCUUGAGAUGAUUUACAAUUUACAUAAUUUUUUGUUAGUGUUUUACUUUAUCUUAUCAUACUUCAUUCGUAAUUUUUCCUAUGGGUGUCAUAUCUGACACCUCUGUCCACACUUGUAUGUAUUUGUUUUACAUUAAUUUCUACAGGUUCAAUCAAUAUUUAGUGUACUUGUAACACACAUAGUUUGUCAACUCAUAUGAAUGUUAGAGUUGGCCUAUUUUGGCUACACCCUUUUCAAUUGAAACCAUCAUUCCUCAAGUAUUAUCCUUGAUUUGGUUUGACUUAACAUGCUUGCAGAGACUUGUCAUACAAUGAUCUAUCAGGUAGCCUCCCCUCUUGGGUAAACGAUGCAAAUUUACAACUGUAAGUAGUGUGAUUCUUUUUCUCUCCCUUACAUAUCAAUUUGUUCGCAAGCUCCCAAUAAAAUGAGUCUAAGUUAGAAAGAUAGAGAAGGAGUAGUUUUGGAUUGGAUGACAUAAUGGUCUACUAGGCUACUAAAGAGGAGAGGAGACUUAGUUAAGUAAUUAAGAAUUGUUAGAAAACAGACCAAGGAAGUUGAACAUAUCAUUCUUGUUUCAUUUUAUUUAUUGUAUCACAUAUGAACAUGGGUCCAAAGAUAGAGGGAUUUUUCAAUAAACUAUCAUUCUCUUCCUACAAUAUGAUCCACUUCUAUUUCAAUUUCAACAAUAUUGUUAGACUUUGGGAUUAUACGUAUCCAAUAUUGUGAGAAGUGGAUCAUAUUGUAGUAUUAUGAGAUGUUACACAUAUCCAACAUUCCAAUCCUUUUAUACGUCAUAUUUCCUAUGAUUUUGUUUGAUAUUAUCUAGAUCAAUUUUGAUUUUAUUUGAUAAUUUAACAUGCAACAAGUUUCUAGUGAUUGAAGGAGCAUGCAACAAGUUGUUAAGUUUAAUAGUGAUGUUUGAAUUAGUAGGUGAUAGAAAUGAAGAGGAACCAACAUAAAAAAUACAUAAACUUUAUUGUUCCCUAUGAAGAUUUGAUUCAGACCAUCAAAAUGGCUAAGUUGAUUGAUAUUUUGUGGCUCACCGGUCACAUGGAAACCAACACCUAAAUCUGGAAUCCAAGAGGUGUUGCCAUUGCUUUGAGAGCUCAAGUUUUUUAACGUUGCACUUGGUUGAGUCGUUUCCUAGAAUUAACUUCCCACGCAUCAUGUGUAGUAUUAAAAAUAAAGGAAAAGAAAAAAAUAGGAUAAAUUCCCUUGUGUAUAUUGAACAUAUAAGGUUAUGUUUUUAUAGAGAAAAACAUACAAAAAAAAUAUGGGCUAAGCCCAUUACAUAAAUAGAAAUAUCUAUAAUAUCUAACAUGUAGGAUAGACAUAAUCAAGUUUAUAGUUCUCAUUGGUGAAAUAGCGCUUCAAAACCACCGGAUUUACAACAAAUCGUUGUAACUUGUGUGAUUUGAUCAUUGGUUCUAUAUGCUGCUUCUAGUCAUGAUAGUUUGAAUCAUUGAACUUCUUAACCAUGGACUUAUAAAUGAUUGAGAGAUUGAGGAUUGAGAUUUUGAAGCCAUGAAUGCAAAGAUCGAAGGCUCAGAGUGGAUGAAAACCUUAGAAUGUUCGAAGAAGAAAAGGCUUCAAAAAAAGGGCUCUAGAUGCCCUCUAAAAUAAACCGACAAGAAAAAUGUAACUAAAUGAAUGGAAUUUUAUUAGCUUGAAUGUAAAGAUGGUUACAAGAAUAAUGUUUAUAGCUAUCUAUAGUAGAGAAGAAGGUUAGCCUUUGCUAACAGCUCUAAAUAUACUAAUAGUCAAAAAUACAAUCUCAAACACUAAAAUGAUUAAAUGAAUAGCAAGAGUUAGCAAAUGCAAGUUGAAAAUUUACUUUAGUGACGAAAUGUUUACUAAAGUGAUCUACAUUUGAAAGAAAUUAUAAUAAAUAUAAAUACAAUUCAAGUUAAUGACAUAAUUUUUUUUACUCAUUUGAUCUUCCUAUGAUUCAUUAUACUAAAAUAAUAAAAUUGUUGAUGUCUCCUCUCACCUUUAAAUGUUCAACUAUUUUUGUUCAUACUUUAACAUCAUAUAUUGAAAACUUGCUUGAUGAUUAUCUCUCUUUACAUAUAUAUGUGUGCACACUUGUGUGUUCUCUAAGAGUAACACUGAGAGAGUUACUCCUCAUCAUCAUUUAGUGUUAAUGAGUAACUAAUUAUAACUAUUAGAUUUCAAGAAAAUAAAAGGUGAUGAUCUUGGAGUAACUUGACCCUUAUUUAUAUAUGUGUGUGUGAGAGAGGGAGUAUGUAUUCUGAAACUCAUUGCAAUAAUUUUUGGGUUUGAGAUGCAGGAAUUUAGUUGUUAACAACUUGACAAUAGAUGAUGAUUCAGAUACCAGGUGAUUAUUAUACACUUUCUCUAAUGAUGAUUGUUUUAAUAGUUCUUUUAAAACAUACUGCAUAUAACCUAUUUUUGGCUAUAAUAUGAAUUAUGAUCUUGCUUGGAUUCUGUUCCUCAGAGUCUAGUUUAGAUUCAUAUGCUAGUUGCCUCCAUUUGAAACAUUUUCCUUUCCAUAUAAGUGUACUGUAUCUUGCUUGCCAUCAGCCGAAACGCAUAUCUUAUUUAACAACUUCCAAAAUUUUAUUUCAUUGUAGUUGAUGUUUUCAGUACCCCGUUUAUUUCUAAUUCUCUAGCCCAUGGUUACAUAUAUUCUUCACUAAUAUCUUUUUGCCAUGCUUAUUUGAUAUGUUUAUUAAUUGCUUUAUUAGCUACAAGUUAACUUGUGUAAUGUGUAUUUGAUACAAUGAUUAAUUGAUUAAUUUGAUAUUUUCAUUAAUUACUUUAUGUACUUUUAAUUUCCAAAGUAGAUUGUCAUCACUAGAUGAUAAAAGUGAAGAGCUAUUUUACAAGAGUUUUCUAUUUCGAACCUCCUUUACGAUUUGGAUAAUCAGAACAAGGAUUCAAUCUUUAAGGUUUUUUUUUGUUACAGAAUAAUCUCUAUGAUUAAAUAUAAAGACCUUUUUUGACAAAACAGAAUAAUCUUUAAGGCUGUACUUUUUUUUUGUUUCAUAGAUCUACCAACUUAGGGAUUUCUGCAAAAACUAAUUCUCAUUUGGUAACACUUAACCAAAAAAUGGUUCAGUAAAUUCAAAAUUGUGACCACUCUUCAAAAGUUGUUAAUACGUGCUUGGUUGAUUUUCCUAAACUUCGGAGAUAUUUUCACAAGAAUCACGAAGUUGUAGUUCUCAUUUGUAUUGGGGUAUAAGUAAAAGCCUUAACAUUUGUUAGAGAUCCCACAUCGAAUAGAGAUUAGAGCAUUUUAUAGUAUAUAAGUGGGUGCAAAUCUCACCUUAUAAGCCGGUUUUAUGAGGUUGAGUUAGGUUUAAAAUCCACUUCUUAAUUAGCACUCGGAUCUGUUUCUGAUUUUGAAACAAAUUUGCAACAUCUGUAAUAUCUAGUUAUAUCUAAUAAUAUCUAACAGCAUUCAAAUCUUAAGAUCUGAUUUCUAUUUAUAUAUGACUUGGAAAAUUCAUUUGUUGACCAAUCUUUUAUUUGGUAACUUUUCUUUUGCAGUGGCUUGCCAAAUGGGCUCAACUGUCUCCAGAAAAAUUUUCCUUGCAAUCAAGGUGUUGGAAGAUGUAAGUUUGACUUUAAGCUAUUUUUUUUCAUGUGUAUGUAAGUCGUGCUAGGCACUAAAACUCAUAAGAAAAUAUUUUCUAAAAAGAAAUUGUUUACCAUUAUAGAUAUCUUAGAGGGCAAGCCUUUGGGCAAUGGUAAAGUCCUUACCUCGCCCUUUUUACUAUUAAUUAUAUCAUAAUUAUAAACCAAAUUCUGAACUCAAAUGAGGCAAAUUUUGACGUUUCAGAGUUAAUUGGCCAUCACAUGUAUCUACUAAUACUAUGGCCUUUUCAGGAAACAAAUACCCUUCAAUCCAAUUAAUUAUUUCUCAUAAGAUUCUCCUAGUUACUUAAUUUAAUACUGUAAAUCAGAUAAAAUUGAAGGUAUAAGUUUCCUUUACAAGGAAAAGUUAAUACUUAACAACCAGAAGCUCCACUACUAGUAGAAAAUUACAGUAAAAAUUUAGUAAGGAGAAAAAUAAAUCAAAACUGAAACUAAAUAUAAGUUUGAAUUCAAGGAAAUCUACUUUCCAAAGAAAAAUAAGUGCUAAAAAAAUAGUAACACAAUUACUGGAAUGGAAGGUUAAAUGAAUACAGCCUCUGCCCUCUUGCCUUGAGCCACCUAACUAUUAUUGAAAUAUCUGUUCUGUUCUGUCUCUAUUAUUUUCCAUCCCUUAUUAUUCACUUUUUUUUUCUCUUCUAUCAUUGCUUCAUUCUCCUCUCUAAUUCAUUACUGUCCCUGUUCAUUGUGUUACACUCUCCUGAUGCUAUUUUCUCCUCACAUCUGGUAACAUUUCCAUUGAAAAUCAUCUUGUUUCCUUCAAGUUUUUACCUUCCCUAAAUCUAACUAUUUUGUCAUUUCUAUCCACAAUAUAAAAGUUUAUGUUGCUUCUAUCCAUUGUCUUUACACAUUAUGGAUUCUUCACUUGGCCAACCACCAUUAUUUAAUUAUUUUUGUUGGACUUGUUAGAAUAACCUACCUUAAAAUUUAAAAAAUAAAUUCUUAACCUUUGUUGGACUCGGAUCUGUUUCUGAUUUUUGAAACAAUUUUGCAACAUCUGGAUUAAUAGAUUGACAAAGUGUUGGUUACUGGCUCAAAAUGCUAGGAAACUUUCUGUUCUAAUACUUUCAAUGUGAAAUCAGGAUGACCUAAAGGAUUACUAAUGGGUAUUGUUCACUCCAGUGUAUAAGAAUGUUGUCUGCAGUACUAUUAAGGGACAUGCAGGAAUAAUAAUAGUUUAUUUCAAAUCAGUCCUUUAUAUCUAUAACUAAUUCAAAAUCCCUGACUAUUGGAUUACUAUGACUGAAGGAUUUCCAUGUCUUCUUUUUUCAUUACAUAGAAAAGAAAUAGGAUAAAUUGUGUUUUAGGUCACUCAAUAUUUGGUUAAUAUUGGUUUUAGUCCUUACCAUUUAAAAAUGGUGGUUUAAUCCUUUCAUUUUCUAGCAUAUGGUGAAUCUUGUCCUUGGUCAAAUUAAAAUGAAUCACGGGAUUAAAGAUGAAAUUCAUCAUAUUUCAUAAGUACAGGAUUCAAAACUACUGUUUUCAAAAUGUAGGAACUAAAGUCUGAAACCAUUUUGACCGUAUCUAAACGAACCUAAAUCACACUUCACUCAGAGAAAUAUGGGGCUCUAUCUGAAGUCAAUCCUGUUAUUUAAUACUCCUUUUCACUCAUUCAUCAGUUUCUUAUCUAUGAUUCUAUGCAGAUUCUGACUUUGCAAUCAAGUGUGGCGGUUCCCAAAUUACGUCCACAGAAGGAAUAGUGUAUGAAACGGAGAAUGAGACACUUGGUCCUGCUACAUACUUUGUUACUGAUACAAGUAGAUGGGCUGCUAGUAAUGUUGGAUUAUUUACGAACAAUAAUAAUCCAAAAUUCACAAAAUCUGUGACUAAUCAAUUCACUAACACUAUGAAUUCGGAGCUCUUCCAAACAGCACGACUCUCUCCUUCAUCAUUGAGAUAUUAUGGCUUGGGGCUGGAAAAUGGCUUUUACAACAUCACCCUUCAAUUUGCAGAAACAGCUAUUGAGGAUUCUACUACAAAAUGGGAAAGUCUUGGGAGACGAGUCUUUGAUAUAUAUAUUCAGGUACUUUUGUAUUUACCAAAAUACUUGAAAAUCAUAGAUGAUAGAUAGUGCAACAAUAAUGACAAUGAAGAACUUGUAGAUCUACCCAGGGUGUUAAAGUAUCAUCUGCUUUUGUUCUCUUAUUUAUGGAAAUUCGUACAACAUAUAACACAUUUCCAUAAACGAGGUAUAAAAAGAAGAUGAUUUAUAUUUGAUAGACUAAAACUAAAUAUUUUUUCAAUUUCCAAGUACUAAAAGCAUAUUUAACUAAUUUUAUAAUAUUAAUGUAUUUGUACACGUUAGGAGAAAUUUCCUAAUAGACUAAUAGCUAAUUUUUUCGGAAGUGAAUCCAACAUCUCACAUAAGACCAAGUGCUGGUGUCUUUGUGUAACUUAUAUUCUAUUUGGUGUCCUAAUCUGGUGAAGAGAAAACUCUUCAUUAAGUAUUUAAGAUGCCAUCACCUUGAAAUUUCUACUAAAUAUUAUAAUGAUUUAAGGUCAUGUGUGCAUUAUUCUUAGCUUACAUUGGCUGGAUGAAAAUUGGUUGGAAAGGAUUUUUUUUUUCUUAAUUAUCCAAUUAAAUAGUAUUCCAUCUCGAGCGAGCAUAUUUCGUCUUUGUCCAAAUGAAAUUUGUAGAACCAAGUUAUGUUUUAUGUUAAAUAUUUUGAAUCCAUGUUGUGUCAUUGGUUUGGGACAAAAAAACGAUUGUUUGACCCUCUCUUUUCUUGCCUUUUAUUCUACCUUCAUUUUUCUUUACAUUUGAAUAUUCUAGGGGAAUCUUUUCUUGAAAGAUUUCGACAUACAAAAGGAAGCUGGGGGCAUAUCAUUCAGAAGUGUCCAAAAGCAAUUUAGGUUUGAAGUGUCUGAAAACUAUCUUGACAUCCAUCUCUUUUGGGCAGGAAAAGGGACUUGUUGCAUACCAAAUCAAGGUACUUUUGGGCCCUUGAUUCAAGCCAUCCAUGCUAUCCCAGGUAAAACUAUAAAAAAAAAAUUGGCAAUUCAGUUGUUUAAUUACUAACCUUUCACAAUGUAUAAUCUCUUGCAGUAAAAUAUUCAAAAUUUGUUUAUUUUUAUUUUUAUUUUGAUAAAGUUGCCUGUAUUGUACAGAUUUUAUACCUAGUGUCAGUAACGAACCUCCAAGCAAUAAAACAAAUAGAACUGGCCUAAUUGUUGGAAUUGUUGUUGGAGUUGGAGUUGUAUGCUUCCUAUCAGUUUUUGUGACUUUUUGUAUCAUUCGGAGAAGAAAACGUCAGCAUGAGGAUGAAGGUAAAUACACAUCAGAGUAUUUGUAUAGUAAUGCUCUCGUGAUAUUUAAGCUGUAACAACUUCUAGGAGAAAAAAUUAAGAAAAACUAAAAUAAGUUUCUUCGUAAAUUAAAAUUAAUUUAUGCAUAAGUUAAUUUGUAGAAACUUUCAUAUAGCCUCUCUGAAUUUUUAUUUUUUAACUUAUAAGUUAAUUUUAACUUAUUGAGAAACUUAUUUUCUUGUUCUUCUUAUUUUUCUCUUAUAAUUUUUUUAUAGAGAAGUUUAUCCAAUCAGAUCCAAUUUAGAGAAAGGAUUUCUCUAAACAUGAAAAGCAAGAAAGCAUCAUCCCAACUUUCAUCAAAAUAAGUCUCGGGUUCCCUAACUUUAACAUUAUUCAUGUAUGAUUUUGCAGAGCUUUUAGGAAUUGAUACAAAGCCAUACACUUUCAGUUAUUCUGAGUUGAAGAAUGCUACUAAUGACUUCAAUAUCGAAAAUAAGCUUGGAGAGGGAGGUUUUGGACCUGUUUAUAAGGUAAUAUUCUGUCCCUUUAAGAUAAAGGUUAUGUUCUACUUAAAAAGUUAUCAUUAUAAAUACUGCUUCAAAUAAUACUCAUGGCAACUGGUAGUCAAUGUUGAGCCCACAAUCAUUCUAGAGGAGCUUAAACUCCUUUGAUUAUUUUAUUUAACUAAAAAGCAUUUAAUUAAUGUUUCCAUAAACAUUUCCUGCUUCCUAGUUACCUUAAGACUUUAGUGCUUGUUGUUGUAGAUAUCUUUGGAUAUGCCUUUGGCUUGUUUAAUAUAACUAUUUUGUUGAUAAUUAAGUUUUAGUUCUCAAAAGACAAAUGGAGACUUUGUUCUUCCCCUAGCCAAAGUAUAACUUAGCCUCUACUAAUAGUUAUACUUAUGAUAUGAAAGUAAAUUUGUAUCCUAAUAUUCAUUUUUUUGGGAAAAUAUUAGAAGUAAAGGAUAGUUUGUUACAAAUUGAAAAAAAUAAGUGAUUCUAAUGUAAAAUAUUUUGGUGAUUAUUUUUAUAAAAAGCAAAAGCUAAUUUAUGUUUAUUUGCAUUCAUAGAAACCACUUUUUUCUAAAAAUAGUAGAUGCUUUCAUGGAAAGUUAUUCAAAAUAGCUUCCAAUUUAAUCAGAUUUAGAUUCUUUAAAGUAUCUGAUUACUUUUAAAAGCUGAAACAACUGCAUAGUGAUUUUUCUGAAAGAGAAAGUUGUACCAAACAGGUCCUGAAUCCUUUCUCUAAGAGAAUGUUAUUUUUCUUUUUUGCUCUUGUAGGGGACACUUAAUGAUGGAAGGGUUAUUGCUGUGAAACAACUGUCAGUAGCAUCCCAUCAAGGAAAGAGCCAGUUCAUAACUGAGAUUGCUACUAUAUCAGCUGUGCAACAUCGUAAUCUGGUGAAACUAUAUGGAUGUUGUAUUGAGGGAAACAAAAAGCUUCUGGUGUACGAGUAUCUGGAGAAUAAGAGUCUUGAUCAAGGAUUAUUCAGUAUGAACAAAAUAUAUAAGUUUUGUCUAUGUGCAUCUAAACUUAUGAAUGCCUACUUGUUUUCUCAUUUGCUUGUACACAAAUGACUAAGGACAAACUUGGUUUGUUUGGGCAGGUAAUUCUUUAACCCUCAAUUGGUCCACACGCUAUGAUAUCUGCUUGGGUGUUGCCAGAGGUUUAGCUUAUUUACAUGAAGAGUCUCGUCUCCGUAUUGUACACCGUGAUGUGAAGGCUAGCAAUAUUUUGCUUGACUAUGAGCUUGUCCCCAAAAUAUCAGAUUUUGGGUUGGCCAAAUUGUACGAUGAUAAAAAGACCCACAUAAGCACUCGUGUGGCUGGAACAAUGUGAGUCAUCAAUACUUCGGGAAUAUGGCUACAAACUUCUCUUAGCAGAAAAAAAAAAUGAAAUUUUAUCCAUGAGUUAAAAUUAUAAGAUAAUUUGAUACAACUCUCAUAGUUUCUCUGAACUUUUACUUCUAAAUUAUACAUAAGCCAAUAUGAAUUUAUGGAGAAGUCAAUUUCAUUUUUCUUGCAUACUUGUUUAAGAGUCCUUAUGGAGAAGUUCGUCCAAAUAAAAUCCUUUAAGUUUUUGUGGUUGGAAUUCAUUUUUGUCUUAAAUAAUUCUAAACUGUUGAUAUACUCAAAUUCUUGUGAUGAAGUGGAUAUCUUGCACCGGAGUAUGCCAUGCGUGGACACCUUACAGAGAAAGCAGAUAUAUUUUCAUUUGGUGUUGUUGCUCUAGAGUUAGUCAGUGGGAGACCAAAUUCUGAUUCAAGCUUGGAAGGAGAGAAGGUGUAUCUUCUGGAAUGGGUAUGCAUUCUGCCUCUGUUUUCUAUAUUGGUUAAUGUUAAUAUCUGUGGUGUUUAUCUUAAUUAUACCUAUAUUUUCUGCGAAGCAUUACAAUCCAAAGGUUAAUACCUUUUCAUCUCGAUUUUGGUAUUGCAACCGAGUUCAAAUCUAAUCUCAUUAACUGUUAAACAAGUAAAAUGCCAUUUGGUUUACAGGGUAACUUUUUUAAAAAAUUGAUAUUUCAUUUAAUAGGACAACAAACGAAUCUCACAUGAUUACGAACAUGGUAGUUGAAUCGUGAGUCCUAUGUGAAUCGGAGAGCUUUCAAAUCAUGAAUCAAAUUAAACACUUGUAAACAUACAUCUUUAUCUUUUUAAUGUCAGUUUACUUGAAAAACAUAUGUUUUCAAUUUAUAUGGGUUGAUUUGUCAUGGGAAAGUUAACAAUUGCUUUUGCUUUCUAAUUAUCAAGACAAAUAUCCAACUACCAUAAUAUGAAGUCAUUUUCUUCUGAACAUUUGUAGGAAAUGUUGUAUGUUGAUAGUAGUUGACUCAUGUUAAAGCUUAGUAAAAUGAAUUGAGGAUUCCCUCCUCUUUGACACCAACAAUUGUGCACUGAACAUUCAAAGACAUGUUUGUCAUUUAACCUUUUUGUCAUUGGUUUUCUGUUUCUUAGGCUUGGCAGCUUUAUGAAAACAACCUCUUAAUGGAUCUGGUGGACCCUAGAAUAUCAGAAUUCAAUGAGGAAGAAGUAAAACGUGUUGUGGGAAUAGCACUUCUGUGCACUCAGACAUCACCAUCAUUAAGACCAUCAAUGUCCCGUGUGGUGGGAAUGCUUUCAGGAGAUAUUGAAGUGAACAGUGUCACUACAAAGCCUGGAUACCUUACUGACUGGAAAUUUGAUGAUGUGACCAGCUUCAUGACUGAGAAUGCAAUUGAAGGAUUGAAUACAAGUCACCAGUAUUCAUCAGGAAGUACCAGCAUUGUGGGUGGUACAGACUUUACACCAUUAAGUGUUUCAAAACUGAACCUUAAUGAUGGUCUUAGUGAGGGUAGGUAAGAAUUGGUGUACUCAUUACUGUUCAGAUCAAGUGUAGAACAAUUAUCAUGUCACUGCUCCAAAACUUGUUUUCUUUUUCUCUUGUUUUGCAUUUUCUUUAGCCAUUUGUUUUAUUGUGUAGUUAAUGUAAAUAGCCCCCUAAGUUUCAAGAGAAUGUACAACAAUGUGUCGCUAAUAGGCCUCAACCAGGAAAGUUUAUAGGGGAUUUUUUUGUAUAAACACUAUUUUCUUUGUUGUGAUUUUUGUUUUGAACUACCCUUUUCUACAAAUGAAGUCAUGGAAUAAAUUAUUUGUUGUAAUUGAUAGCUGUUUGGAAUUUAGAGUGUGAGAUGUAUUCAAUCCAUUCAGGAGAUCAACCUUUAAAAGUGUUAAAAUUUUAAUGAUUUUGGAAACUAAAUUCCUUAAGUCUUAAAAUUGUAACAUCAAAUUCUAGAAUUGAAACGAAAGGAAGAACAAGCACCACAACUUGAAACCAGAAAUUAAACAUUAGAAACUUGAUUAAAUGUUUAGUUUCCUUAAAAAAGGUGUUUUUAAUUUUAGUUCCUAUUAUUUUAUUUUGUUUGAUUUUGUCCCUUUUAACUUUCUUUUGUUGUUAGUCUCUCGAGUUAACUUUCCUCAUUAAACUUAAUAAUAAUAAUAUAAUAUAAUAAUAAUAAUAAUAAUAAUAUAACAAUAAUAAUACAAUAAUAAUAGUGCCAUAAUAACAUUAUCACAUGUCAACAAAAUAGUGAACAAGAAAAUGAUUAUUACAAGAAAAUCAUUAAAUAACAAUUAAAUUUAGAAAAAAAAAUAACUAGUCAAUAUAUUGAUUAAUUAGAUAUUAUUUUAGAUACUAAACAAUUAUUGAUAUCUAAAGUGAUUUCUAUUAUUAAUAAAAAUUUAUAAAAUGAUUUUUAAAUUGGUAUCUAAAUUAGCUAUCAAGAUUUUAAUUAUUAAUAUUUUAAAUUAUAAAUUAGUCUCUAAAAGACUAAUAGAGACUAAUUUAAAAUAUAAAAUAGUUAGUAGUUAAAACUUUGGUAGCUAAUGGUUAGAUACCAAUUCAGAAACUACUUUAUAAUUUUUUAUUAAUAAUAGAAGCUACUUUAGAUAUCAAUAAUUUUUUUAUUUUAUAAAAUUCUCUUUAAUUUAGUCAAUAUAGUAACUAAUUAUUUUGGUCUCCAAAAUUAGUUUUUAUUUAAUGAUUUUCUUGUAGUGGAUGAUGUUAUUAAAAAUAUUUCAUUAAUACACGAUGUCAUCAUGUACUCCACAAAAAAUAAUAUGUGUAGCCAUUUUUUAAGUAGUACAUGAUCCAAUACCUAUCAAAAGAUCUCAUUAUAUGAGUAUUUAUAUGAUUUGGUUAUAACAAACACUAUAAGGUGUGUUGUGGUAUAAAAAAUCUCACUCGUGUGAAGUAUAAAUUAAGACUAAAAUAAUAGAGUAGAUGAGAAAGACUCACCAGCCAAUACAACAACAUAAAAAGUUGUUGGACGAAACAAUGAAACAUGCUCACAACAGAAGAACUUAAGACAAUCCAACCUUCAUGUUUAUACUUUAAGUGGUUAAUAUAUUAAAAAAGAACAUUGGAAAUAAAGAAGUUGCGCAUGAAAGACAUUUGAUAUAAAAAAAAGAAUUGUUGAUCGUCUAGAGCCAAUUACGGCUACGGUUGACCAUCUGCCUAUUUCCAGUGAAAGGUUGACCUUUUAGAUCCCAUUUAUGCAGUUUUUCAUCUUUUUAGCUCCCAAAUUCUAAUUCUCACUUUUUCGCAUUCUUCCAUGAUUUUUAGGUCAAAUCAACUCCAAAUUAGCUAUUCAAAAGUAAAUGAUUUGGAUGAAUCAAUUGGGAAAAUUGGGAUUGUGGUUCAUCCUUCUCAUUCAUUUGUAUUUUUAAUGAAUAAAAACAUAUAACAUUUCAUCUUGAUUGACAUUGAUGCACAUAUAAAAAUCAUUCAUAUUGAUUCCUCAUAUACAAAAUUAUUAAGAAUGUUUCUUAAAUAUCGAUUCCUCGCAUAUUUAUAAAAACCUCUUAUCAUUACGAGCAGAUGUUAUAAAAUAAUUAACAUUUCAAAUUUAUUCCUCUCAUUCAAAUAUGUUAUGCAUUAUCAUUAGGUAAGAUACAUAGAAGUACUUUUCAGUCAAAUCUAAGAAUCAAAAUCAUGAAUAAAGAUUCAAACUUUAAUAAUAAAUUGACAAUACCAAUCAUCAAUUAAGAACAAAAUAUUAUAAAUAAAUAUCACCUCAAUACAUAAGAGUUUGAAGAAACUACUCUCAAUUCCAUAGGGUAUUAUUAGCCACUCAUAUUGGCAAUUACAAGCAUGAAAAGCAAGAAAAUAAUAUCCAAGGUGUUACUCCUUGACGGUUGUCUCCUCUAGGGUUUUUUUUAUCACACCUUCUAUUUAAACUAAUUGAGUUUAGGUUAAGAGACAUAUCGCUCAAGUGAUAUAUUGAUUGCUUAAGCGAGUUUCACGAGAAAAAGUCCAACUUCACUGGAGUGAACUCGCUUAAGCGAGUCUUGGGCAAGUUCCUCUAAAAUGAUCUUACUUAGGCGAGUUUAAGCGAGUUUGACUGAGUUUUCAAUGUUUCAAUUUUGUCUUUUCAUCUUGUCUUUCACUUGUCCAUUCUCCUUUAGCCCUUUUAUCUUUAUUUCCUCCCAAAUUCCUAAAAUUAACACAAAUUUGAGAAUAAAUUGUUCAUAUUCAUCUUAUAAUCCAAAAAAUGUAAAAAGGCUAAAAUUUCUAAAUUAGAGGUUGAAUUAUAAAUAUUUUAUCAAUCAAAGUGCAUAAGUGUCUAUCAUUUUGUAUAAAAUAUUAUUAAAUAAUGAUACUUAUAAAGAAAACAAGUAGAAUACAUAAGAAAAAGAAAGGUUGAAAUUUGCAUUGAAAAUUUUCGAAGAUUUUGGUAAUAUCAACUUAUGAUGAAAUAUGGUCAGGCGUAGUUUUAACUUGUCACAUGUAAUGUGGAAAAUUGUUUAUAAAUCUUGUGGAAAUGUGGUAAUGUAGAAACACAUUUAAAACAGAUUCAAGACAUUCUAAAAAGUGAGAAUGGAAGAAUAAAAGUUAGAACAACUUAUCUCUUGAAGACCUAAGCUCUUGAUACCAAAUGAUGCAAUCUUAGCUUGCAUUGCUAUGAGUCUUUUAUUUUGUAUUUUGGGGUGCGGAAUUUGGUGGGAUUGGGUGGCUAAAAUGAGUAAAAGAAAUUGUGUUGGUGUAUGGAAAAUGAUAAUGAAGCUUAAGUGAGGUUAGGCCAACUCCUAAGAAGAUUCAAACAAAACACUAAUAGAAGUGCAAAAUUGAGAGUGAGAAUUUGAAGACAAAUGAGCUAGCAACUUGGACACCAUUUCAUUAUCAAUUCAAAUCUAAUUUACAAGGGGGCUAACACUUGUAUUUAUAGUGCUAUGGGCAGCCAAUGUGCAAGCUUUAACCCUAAAAAUUCUUCAGAUGGUCUAGAGUUGCAUUGGAUCCAAGGAGACCCAAUUGUAACUCUAGCUAGACUCUUUCUUUUUCUAUUUACAUCAUACUCUAAUUGGCUCAAUACAUGACCCAUGAAAAUUGGCCUAUGGCCCAAGGUAAUGACCGAAAUACAAGCCCAAAAAAAGUCUAUACUACUUUGUACAAAUUUAUAAGACUAGGAAAUUUGGAAGAAAAGUUAAAAAUUAAUUCUCUAUAAAAAUAGAGUUUUCUGAACUCCUUCUUCUUCUUCCACUCUUCUAGCCAUGGUCCUAGUUAAAGGCACAAUAUGUGUCCUUCCGGAUGGUCCUCCAUCAUUUAUUAUCCUCGUUCUCUUCGUGUUCAACCAUUUAGUUUUCUCUGUGGGUGGUUUUUUUUUUUUUAUGAAUUAUGAAACCUUAACUCUGAAACUAUUUUCUAGAAAGACAUGUUGUCUUUAAACCUUUCUUAUGAGAUAUUUCUAGAGUCACCAUUGUUCUUACAUUUAAAUAAUUUUUAGUAUAAUAUUAGAUCUUAUGAAAUGCUUUAGGAAAAUUGUCCAGAGUUAUCUUUACUUUGAAUUUGAAACAUAGUUCCUAAUGUGAUGAAGUUUUAAAUAUAGUUCAUAUUUCAUAAGUUGGUUAGAGAAGAAAUGGUAAUGUAUGUCUCUAAAAACGUAUCACUCAAAGAAUGGAUAAAUCUAAGAGAAUAUGAGAAUCCCCUAGGUUAGAAUUCCACAAGGAUGUAAAUAUCGAGAAUUUGUGGAACAAAGGAGAGAAGCACUUAUCAAAAUGUUUGAGCUCAACAUUAUGUCUGUAGAAUAAAAAAAGAAAAAUUAAAAUUUUUUUAGAGACAAUCACACCUUACAAUUCUUGAGUUCGAUUUAGUUACUUAAAUCUAUAUAAGAUAUGAUUUAUUUUAUUAUUUUUUAAAUACCAUCUUAUAAAAUGUUUAAUCAUAAGAUCAUUUACUUUAUGUUAUUUUACCCAUUCUUCAUAACUCUUAUCCAACACACCCCUCUCCCAUAGGUAUACACAUAAUAAAAGUUGAUUAAAGUACGUAACAUAUAAUUAAAAUUAAAAGCAUUAUUUACAUAAAAUAUUAUAUUGUGUAUGAGUAUAAACUAAAAUAAUAUAUAUUAUUUAGAAAAGUAAACUAAGGAUUAGAGAAGACAUAAGACUUAAGUCUAGAAAGAAGUAAAUUGCCCUUAGAUGAGGACAAUCUGAUAGACAAUCUCUUACCAAAAUUUCAUAAGUUCGUUAAAUAAAACUAAAUCCUUACCUUUCGAAUUAGUUACUUCUUAAAUAUGUUUUUCAGUGUAUAAUGGGAUGCUUGAAUUGAUUUUCCCCUAUAAAUACUAUAUUUGUAUAGAUAAAAUGAGUCUAGAUAGUAAUUGAAAUUUGUUGUACAAUUGUUGAUGUGCUGGUUGCCUCUUCGUUCCUCACUUGAAGUGUUCUCUUUUAAUUGUUGAUGCUCGGUUGGGGUUAACAUGAAAAAAGUACUCUGUGUUAAGAGUGUAUAGUAAAAACCGAUUAAAGCGUAUCUUACGCCUCCAUAGAGGGUUUAUUUAUAGUGUUUAGUCAUGGAUCUUUGUUGUAAGUGAUCAAAUAAGAGUUAACUGAUUUAUAGCAUGAUUCCCAGAUUUAUAGGGAGGUAUGUUGGUAUAUCUGGAGAAUGCCAGAAUAUAUUUAAUAAAUCAAUAUCUUCUAUUAAAUCAGUGUUCUAAUUUUCUCAAAAGUAUUACCCAAAUUUGAUGGGAUAUGAUCAUGAUUCGUGGGAGUUCUCAUAACUGUCAUUGCUACCAUUUAUUGAGCGCCUUAAAUGUAUAUUCAUGUAAUCGAUCACCAAAAUCGAAUGAUUAAUUUGUCCAACACCGACAAGUAGAAAUACAAUACAUCCCACAUUGAAAGGAAUACUUCAACUUUUUAACUUAAAAAUCAAUCUUACUUUGAAUAAUAGACUUUUUCUCACUUCAUUAAAAUUUGUGAAUAUUUUUUUUUUCUAUUUCCAUUAAAUUUGAUAGGUGAAGAAAUUUAUUCUUUACCUAUUUUAAAAUAAAAGAAUAUUUACCCGUACUUCUGAAUACACAUCAUCAUUUUUAUGAGUUAAAUUAUAAUGGAAAACAUGUACAAACCAAUAAUCAAUUUCAAUCAUAUUAAAAUAUGAACAACAUUAAAUUUAAUGGAAUGUCAAAAUAAAACCAAGUUAAAUUUAAAACAUUGAAGACAAAAUUAAUCUUUUUUAAAAAAUAAGAAAUUAAAAUGAAUCUAGAAAAUAAUUUAAAGAAUCAAAUAUGUAAUUUAACCUUUAAUUUUUUUUAAAAAAAUGUCUAUUAAAAAAAAGCAAUGAGAAGCAAAAAAGUUGCAUAAUUACAAUAUAAAAACGUAAAUAAGCCCAUGUUUAUUUUGUUAAGUACCUCGUACAGGGUAGUGUAUUACUAAAGUGUGAGAAAAAAAAAACUCUAGUAAAUAAAUAGAAUAUAAGGUUAAUUAUUUUUUUUAAUGAUUUUUUUUCAAUUUAAAAUAAAAAAAUAUGAUUAUAAAAUUUGAACUAAGGAUGAGGUAUUGGUUAUUCAUUUCGUAUAUUCUUGUUCUAAUGCUGUUAUAACUAAUUUGAUAAAGAAAACACAUGAACUCAUUUAAAAAAAAGUGAAAUUAAAUUAAAAAUGUUUAAAAUAAUGAGAAAAUACUUUUUUUUAAAAGAAACAGUAUAGUAUCAGACCUAAUACAAAUUGUAAAAAUAAAUAUAUUUUAUGCUUUGAUGAAUUUUUUAAUAUUGAAUUCCCCUCAAUUUAAUAAUGUAAAACUAAAGAUUAAAAAAACAUGAAAUAAAAAAAUGUGAAUUUCGGAGAUUAAUUAAUUUAUUAAUAUUUAAUGUUACGCUUUGUUGAGAAUGGAGGUGUUGAAAGUGUUGCAGUGGUUUCCCUCCUCUCACACUUCCACCAUUUAAACGAAACGAAGAAUCGUUGAUGCAAUUUUCGAAUUCUUCUUCUUCCCCAAAACCCUACUCUGCAACUGCGACGCUUCGUCUUCUCUGCAUUUGGUUUGAUCGCACCAACUUGUUUUGAGCUUGUGAGUUUGUAAUGCGUGCAUUGUCUUUGUUUGUGUGUGUAUCGCAACUUGAUUUUGCAAAAUGCUGGUAACAUGCAUGGUGUUGUUGUUCUUCUGUGGUGCGUUUUGGUCACAUUCGUAAUGUUUUUUUUCUCUUCAAGUUAAGUAAUGGGUUUUCCGGAGCCUACGUGUCUGUGUUUUAACAUACUACUGAUUGCCACUGAAGGGUUUUUUUUUUUUUUCAGUGUGGUGAAUCGAGAUUUUGUUUUGGUCUAUGUUGUCCUAAGGUUUCUCUUUAGUAAAAUUUGAUUUAGGACUUGGGUUAGUGUGUUAAUUAUUUGUGCUCAAAUCGUUGGUUGUGGUGAAUCAAGGUUUGAACCCUCUCUGAGUGAAGUGCCAAAUACAAUUGGGUUUUAACCCUUCUCAUUCUCAACAAAAAUAACCCGCGCUAGAGCAACACAAAUUGUUAUGAUUUAUAAUUUGCUCUAUUUUGCUGAUUCAUUGUCUGAAUUUACGAGAGGACAAAAGUUGGAUGCAGUAGCUUAGGUGCCUGUGGUGAUGUUCUACAAUCAGUGUUUAGUUUCACUAUGAGAACUUAUACUGACUUUUCAUGUAAACAUUUAUUAUGGGAUUAUCGAAAACUAAACUCCUAUUCUAAUGGAGAAAGAAACACUAAAAGUGCUUAAGGGACUGCAUUUAAGUAUCUUUACUGAAUGGAAAUUAGGGCAUUGAUUUGUGUAAAACAGUUUGUUAUUAGUACUUUUAGUUAUAUGUUAUGUACGUGUAUAAUCUUUAAAAUGACAUGUCUGCAGUUUGACAUUUUGUUUCUAAUAUGCUUUUGCUUUGCUAGCUCAUGUUUUUUUGGUUGAACUAGUAGUUUGGUAAUCUUCAUCUUCUUUUUAAUAUUUUAUACUUCAGAAUAAAUAUAUUGUCUUUGUUUGUUUGCUUUAUCUUGGUAUAUUGUUAAAAUGGUUAUUCACUACAAAUGAUUUGUUUUUCGUUUACACAAUUGGUUCAUAUUGACAGGGAUUAUGAUGCCCUACUUUGGAUUUCUUAAUGGAAAUUUAUAAAGAAAGUACUGUCACUAACUAAUAUUAAAUCCAUUUCCUUUUCUGACAUAGUUUAGUAUUAAAAUUACCGUUGCUUUAUCAAUCAAUGAUUUUAGACUGAUAAUAAAAAGAAGACGACUGUGCCCAUUAGUCAAUACUAAACAUCGAAGUAGCCUAAACAAAUUUGAGCAAUUUGUUCUUGUCUUUAACUACAGACCCAUAUUUUAGUAAAAUACUUCAUCUGUUUUCAGAAACCAGAUAAUGGUGUGUAUGGCGUAGUUUUCAACAAUGGGUUGCUCUAGAGAACAAUCAUGUGGUGUUUGUUAUAUGGUGUCAAACUAGCAUUUGACUUACUAAUAGGCAGAAAAGUUGAAAGGAUAUUUCUGAUAAUUGUACAACUGGAACACGUUAUUGUAGAAUCUCUGGAAAUCCUUACCUUGUAACAGAGUAUAUCAGUACUUCAAAUUUUAACAUGGUCUAUUCGUUUUGUGAUUGAUGAUUUUCAGUGUCAUUUGUUGCCAAGGAAAGAAUGACAGAGGUAGUUCCUAGAACUGAAGAGGCUGCUGAACCUCCAGCAUCACCUCAAACAUCUCCUGAUGUGCCACAUAAUAUGGAAACAGAACAAUUCACUCCUACAAAGUAUUCUAUUAUCAGUAGGAAUGGGGUUGGGACCACAGGAAAACACAUAUCUUUACUUGUGAAUCAUUUCAAAGUUUCUGUCAAUGCUCCAGACACAGUGUUUUUCCAGUAUAGUGUAUGUUCUGUAUUUCUCCCUCUGCAAUUUCGUUGAAUCUUAUCUUAGACCUUAGCUCAUUGUAGCAUUUCCAGGUUGCUAUUACUUUAGAAGAUAAGCGAGCAGUUGAAAGCAAGGGCAUUGGGAGAAAAGUGAUUGAUAGGCUUUACCAAAUAUACUCUUCUGAACUUGGUGGCAAAAGGUUUACCCAUGAUGGAGGGAAAACUUUGUACACAACGGGUCCUCUGCCACUAAAUAAGUAUGAGUUCAAAGUGUUUUUGGAGGAAUCGUUUAGAAAACGGUAUGCCUUUUGUAUGACUAUUUUAUUUAUUUGUGCCAUGUUUUUUUCCCUUUAAGCUUAUACUGUUCCAACUCUAGCAGUAGUGCUGGUGCGGAUGGAAGUCUUCGUGAGGAAACUAAACGGUCAAAAAAUUCUUUUCAGUCAAAGACAUUCACGGUGGAGAUAAGUUUUGCUGCUAAAAUACCCAUGCAGUCCAUUGCUGUUGCUCCGAAAGAGGUUGACUCAGAUGCGUUGAGAGUGCUUGAUACUGUACUGAGGCAGCGUGCAGCUGACUGGUACCCAAACAUCUUCUGAAGAUAAAAUUCGAAGAAAUAUAGUGAUUUUUUUAGUGGAAUUUAAAUUUUAAUCAUAACCUCUUUGGUCUAACUUAAUUGAACCAUUUUCUUUUGAAUGUGAAGUGGAUGUCUUUUAGUAAGGCAGUCUUUUUUUCAUGAUGACCCAAGAAAUUUCACUGAUGUUGGGGCUGGUGUAACAGCAGUCUCGGGUUUUCAUUCGAGUUUUCAUCCCACACAGCGAGGAUUGACUCUCAAUAUGGGUAGAACGGUUUCAUACAUAUCUUGGAAUCUUAUUAUCGUAAAAUUGUAUUCUUUUCGUUGUUAACACUUAUUUUUUUUUCUAGACGUGUCAACAACUAUGAUCAUAAAACCUGGUCCUGUAAUUGAUUUUCUGUUAUCAAAUCAGCAAGUGAGGGAAUCCCGUUAUAUUGACUGGGAAAAGGUGAUGAACUUUGUCCAUGAAUCAAAAUUAGCAAUUACCUGGUAAUUUUUUAAUUCUUGAUAAUUUGUAGGCCAAAAAAGUGCUUAAAAAUUUAAGGGUGCAAGCAACUCAUCGAAACUUGGAAUUUAAAAUUUCUGGCUUGAGUGAGAAACCAUGCAUUCAGCAACUGUAAGUUCUUGCCCUUUGAAAUUCAAGUGUCUAGUAUAUUUACAUGAAAUAAGAAAAAUAGAGAAAUAAAAUCUUAGGGUUCUAUUGACCCAAAAAAGCUCGAGUCUGAUUUCUUCUGCAGUUUUAGUAUGAAGGUUAAAAAUGACAACGGCAAUAAUGAAGGACAGACGGUGGAGAUUACUGUAUAUGAAUAUUUUGCCAAACAUUGUGGCAUUGAUCUGACCACAUCUGCCUAUCUUCCAUGUCUUGAUGUUGGAAAACCAAAACGGCCCAACUAUCUUCCUUUGGAGGUUGGUUGAGGUUUUAUUGUGGCUAAACCUUGUUUUUAUUUUUACUUCAGUCUAUCCCUUUGGACCAAUUAUAUGUGACUAUUGUUUCCUUCUCUUUUUCUUUACUUUUGGUGGAGUAGUUAUGUUCACUUGUGUCCCUCCAACGCUAUACAAAGGUACUCUCUCCGAUGCAAAGAGCAUCUUUAGUUGAGAAAUCACGCCAAAAGCCUCAAGAUAGAAUCAAAAUUCUGAAACAUGUAAGUUUAUAAUUAUUGGUAUGUUGUUCCAUUUUAUCAUUAAUAUGUUAAACUCAUUAAAAUCUAUAGGCUGUAGGAAACUAUUGCUACGAUGAUGAUCCUGUUCUUGCUGCAUGUGGAAUUUCUGUUGAGAAAGAAUUUGCUCUUGUUGAAGGUCGUGUUCUUGAGGCACCAAAGGUACACAGUGAUUGAAUAUAUAGUUCACAUUUUUUUUGUGCACAUGAAAUAUAGAGUUGACUAGUGAGAUGAAAGGAAAAAUGGCAUAAAAGAAGUGGUUUUCUUAUAGAUAUCCAUUUGUUGUUAAUUUAGUGUCUGCUGGUGAGGUAGUCAGCUAGUUAUUUUAAGAAAUAAGUCAUGUUGCCUUUAAAUAAGAGGGGUUGAGAGGGAGUGAUUUCUAGUCUUUUGGUGAAAUAUAAUUGGGAUUUGGGACAGACCUGAAUAGCUUGAAUAUUCAGGAAUUCUUUGAACAGAUACACUCAAUCAAUAAAGAAAUUCUAUUUUCUUUCAUUUUUCAUCCAUUUUCUAUCAUUUCUUUCAAUUAUUUGAGAAAUAAAUGCUCACAUUGAUACAAUUCUAUUUGAGACACAGUUGAAGGUUGGUAAGAAUGAUGUUUGCAUCCCAUGUAAUGGAAGGUGGAAUUUUAAUAAGAAGGUUUGUGUUAUUCUUUCACAUUCAGAAAGUGAUUAGAGUUAUCUAAAAUAUGGCUGACUAACUCAGAAAAGAUGAUGCUAUAUUUCCUUUUCGUAGACACUUCUACAACCAUCGCAUAUUGAUUAUUGGGCUGUUGUCAACUUUUCUGCAAGAUGUGAUACUAGUUACAUAUCAAGGGAGCUGAUCAGAUGUGGAAUGAGCAAGGGCAUUGUAUGUCUCUGGGCAUUAUAUUCUAAUAUCUAUGCUAUAUUUAUCUGUUUCCUGUUUUUAGUUUGAUUAAUCAUUUCAAAUGUACUUAAAUAUUUGUGCAGAACAUUGAACGGCCGUACUCUUUGAUAGAGGAGGAACCACAGUUGAGAAAGUCUAACCCUGUUGCAAGGGUUGAAAGAAUGUUUGACCUGCUGAAGUCAAAACUAAAUAAAGAACCAAAGUUGAUUCUUUGUGUGUUGCCAGAGAGGAAAAAUUGUGAUAUAUAUGGUAUAUCUUUAGGCAAAUGUUUCUAGGGUUUCCUUUACAUCAAUUUUUUUUUUCAUCUUACGAUCAUUUAUCAACUUUAGGGCCUUGGAAAAAGAAGUGUCUGAGUGAAAUUGGGGUUGUCACACAGUGCAUUUCCCCUGUCAAGAUCACUGAUCAAUACCUUAAUAAUGUACUUCUUAAAAUCAAUUCCAAGGUAACUGAGUACUUUAUGAUUGAUAUUUGUACAAACAUAACUUAUAACUUAUUUUAACUUGGUAACUUUAUGUAAAGUUUAACUAAUUUUUUAUGACUUCAAUAUAGCUGGGAGGAAUAAAUUCUCUGUUGGCAGUGGAGCAUUCUGGCCAUCUUCCCCUUAUUGAAGAUACCCCAACAAUGAUUUUGGGGAUGGAUGUCUCUCACAGAGGUCAAUUAGAUAUUCCAUCAGUUGCAGCUGUAAGUCGAGUUUGGUUUUGUGUUUUCCUCUAUCUUCGUUGUUACAAAAAGCUUCUUGUACCUUUGUAUUUGCAUUUUUUGUUAUCUCCGCAGCAUAUUGUUGAAUUGUAGGUUGUUGGAUCUCGAUGUUGGCCACUGAUUUCAAGGUAUAGAGCGUCUGUGAGAAUGCAGCCAUCUAAGGUGGAGAUGAUUGAUGCUCUAUACAAGCCACUGGAAAAUGGGGGUGACGAUGGUAUUAUCAGGUUAGAAUAAAAAUAUAUAUUGAACUACUGCUUUGUAUUUUAUAAGGAACAUGCACAAAAUACCCUGAAUUUCCAUCUCAUUUUGAAGUAGCCUGAUAGGAUUCUAUGUAUUAAUUUUGUAAAAGAAAAAAGGUCAUGGGUUAGUUUAAGGUAAAAAAGAAGAAGAAGUGAUACUGGUAUAAAAUAGUUUAUUGAUUAUCUUUUAGAGAUUUUGAAAGAAGUGGAAGUUAGAUAGCUCACUUUUUAAAAUUAGAAUUCUUUUUGAAAGUGAAGCAAUUAAUUUUAUGAGAAGCUGUUUUAAAUAGCUUCGGACUGUGGCCAUUUUGUUUAAGAUUAAAAAGGAAGUGGUAAAACAAUAAUUUAGUGAUUAUUUUUUAGAGAUCUUAGAAAAAAUAAAAAUUAAUUCAUGUUUGUUUUUACAAGAAAAAAAACUUUUUUUAAGUAAUUAAUCUUAUGAGAAAUUGUUUUUAAUAGCUUCCUUCUGAUUAUAAUCAGAUUUCUGAUUGUUUUGAGCUUCUUAUUAUUUUGAAACCUGUAAUAGACAUAAUUUUUUUAAACCAUGUGAUUCUUAUUACAAUAUCAUUCAAUGAAAUUUGGAGAAAGAAAGGUUUUAUUAACACUGAAAUAUUCAAUAAAGCACAUAUUAGACACUAUGACAGUGCUUUGCAAGCUAAGGCUACUGUGUUGACUUAGUACUGAUGUGACAGUUAACAAAACAGUUGUAACAAAUUGAGAUAUUGUUUGUAACCAAGUCAGAUACAGUUACCGAUAUUAGGACCACCUACUAAGAUGCUAUUGUACUUUUGUGUGGACUACACUAAAUGACAUAUACUAACAUUCCUUCUUCCUCGCAAACAUAGGAUUGUUGAAAAUAGCCAAUGACCUUGAGUUUUUCUCUUACACAAAAACCAAGCCUUGGUAAGAAUAUCAACAAGUUUGGUCACAUUUAAGCACAUGAGUAAGGACGAAUUUAGAAUUUUCUCUCAAACAAAAAGGAUGUCCAAUUCUGUGUGUUUUGUCCCAAAGUCAAAACAAGAUAUGAUCAAAAAAAUAGUGCUUUGAUUGUCAUAGUAAAUGAUUGGGGAGGCACAAUUGACAUUCAGGUCUUGAAGCAAGGAUUGAAUCUAGAGAGUUUUUUCGAGGCUAUGAUGGCAAUACUUUGUUAUUCUACCUUGGCAAUGGCAAUUGUCCUGGCAACCAAGGAUUGCUUCUUGGGCCACGAAGUGAUCACCUACUUUAGAGACUAUUGUAGUAAUGUGGACUACACUAACAAUUCUUGAGUGGAAAAAGCUAAACAAAUGGGAUUUAUAAUCAAAUUUCCUAUUCUUUUUGGUUUUUUUAUUUUUUGUAAAGUUGUAACAGACACAAGAUAAAAUAAGUGAUUUCCUUGAGAGAUUAUUUAGUGAAGGAAACUUAAAUAAAUGGGACUUAUAUUGUGUAAAUGGGCAAGUGGAGGAACAAUCGUAGUUAUUGGACUGUCCAACAAUACCAUGUAUUUGAGGAUAUAUUCUAGAAUAUAGAAAAAUUACCGAGGGUAGAGAAUGCUAUUGAGCUGGUUGAAGUUUUCUUGACAUAGUGGAAUGAUUCUUGGGAGGUUAGGGGAAUUUCGCUAAUUGUGUGAGAAAAAGUGCAGUCAUCUAUGUAUCCAAUGCUAUAACAAAACGACAUUUUAAUAUUCUUACGUUUUCUAAAAAAACACAAUUUGGAACACUAUGAAAAAAAAGUGUAUUUUUUGGGAUGAAGAUUCUGGAAUGUGUAAUGAGGAAUUAUUUUUUACUAUUCCAGUUUGAUCAUUUUGAAACACCCAUAAUAAAAUGUCACUACAAAUAAGGUUUCCAGAACUAUUUAAAAUAUAUUCUGGAAUGUUAAAAUUAAAAAUUAGAACUUUCCGGAUUAUGCUUUCUGGAAGAUAAGAGGUGUGGAAAGAAAUUAAAGAGGUGCAAGAAGAAAUUGUCCUAUAUACAUUGUGGAUAAUUGUUAUACUAUGUUAAAUGUAACAAUUAUAACUUAUAUAUGCUAUUUAUGCUUCAUUAUUUUUUGUACCAAAUGUAGUUUGUUCAUAUUGUUAUCUAUUUAUCACUGGCACAUCAAAGUCAUUGUAAAUUGUAAUGAUUAAAAUAUUUUCUUACAGGGAAUUGCUUCUAGAUUUCUAUGAUUCAAGUAACGGCCGCAAGCCAACUCAAUUUAUUGUCUUCAGGUGUCAUUCUAUCUGAUAGAUAAUCCAAUCAUAUAUGUUCUUUUGGUGAAUUUGUUUGUAGGUCAAAAUGUUAUAAAUUAGAAGAUGCUGAUGUUACAUAUUAUAGCAUCUCAAAAUUAUUAAUCAAUGGAGGAGACCACUAGCAUUGUUGAGUUGAGUAUGACAUGGAUAUUUUUAAAUAAUUAUUCUCAUUUUAAUAUCUUGUCAUUCUACUAUUUGGUUAUGUAUCCCUACCAUUAUUAUUGGUUGUAAGGAUUGCAUUGUUCAGAUACUUUAUUUGAUUUUUUCUUUUUCAUCUUUUUCUAAAAUAAUUCCUUGUGUAUAAAAGGCAAUGUAGAGAUUGACGAUGGUUCUUUUGAGGUUUUAUGCAUGGUUGUUAGCUGGUGUGAUCAAAAGUAUUUUAUAUGUUCCGUAUUUUCCAUGUAGUUCAAUCUUGUCUCAGUUUUGUGUUCAGUUUUGUUUGGACAAUGAAUUUAUGCCUACUGUUAGUUAGUGUUACUAGAGAUAGAGAGCAUGUGGGUCAGGAAGGUGGAGCUAUCAGGCGUUGUGGGAAUAGACCUUGUUGGGUGGAUGGAUUAAUAAAUUGGAAAGGUUCUUUGUGUAGCAAGACAUUCACCCAUGUGAAGAUACAAUGGGCAUUCUGGAGUAUGGAGGGUGAAGCCAUGCUUUGGUUUCAAUGUUGGUGCCAAGAGGAUUUCUUUAGAAUUUGUUUGAGAAGGUGAAGAAGGAACCAAAAUAUUGUCCUUAGAGGAGAGAGGGAGAUGCCACUAAAUUCUGGGAAAAAUGACUGAGCAACGAGAAAUUGAAGUGUGGUAGUGACAAGACCGAUUCUUGGUCCUUAAGGAUUUCGGCCAGCCUUGUGCCAUCAUUGAAAUUUAUCAUAGUAAAAAUUCCAUGGGCUAAGCUAAUAUUCAACAAAUUAUAUCUAAAACUAGUACAAACUCUACCAGUAUUCCUUAAAUUUAUGAAAUAUGGAUUCACUCUUGGUGAUCUCAAUUUCCUUUAUCACUUGUUAAAUAUCUGAACUGUGUUUUCGUGUUCAGGGAUGGAGUUAGUGAAUCACAAUUUAAUCAGGUUUUGACAGUCGAGCUCAACCAGAUAAUCAAGGUUACACCGCAACUCUUUCACUGUUCAUUUUGAUAAUGUGCUUGAUUGCUGGAAUCUUACGUACACAUUGUUCUGAGUGGGUGCUUAGAUUACACAUUUCUCUCUUUAAAGAAAAUGGGAAAAAGUUAAUAUUUUCUACAGCCCCUACCUCUUAAAAAAAAUAAGAAAAAGGUAGGUGAAAAAUGCAACCAAUUAAACAGAUGUUUCCUCCUAAUUAUAGGAUUAUAAUUUCAGGCCUAUCAACGUCUUGGUGAGGAUGAUGUUCCCAAGUUCACCGUGAUAGUGGCACAGAAAAAUCAUCAUACUAGGCUGUUUCAGGCUAAUGGUCCUGAAAAUGUUCCUCCUGGUAUGCUACUUGUUUUGUUUACUUACUUGCAUACAGGUAACGCACAGGAUCAUUGUAAUAUAAAUUUUGCUCUUCUUCUUCAGGGACUGUCGUGGACACAACAAUCACGCAUCCAAGUAAUUAUGAUUUUUACAUGUGUGCUCAUGCGGGGAUGCUGGUAUGUUUACGUAGCAUGAGGUUUUAGAGAAAUGUUUGAUUGUGAAUUAAAUUGGUAUUUGUUGUUUUGUUUCCUGACCAUAUAAUAAAUACAUAGGGAACAUCUAGGCCUGUACAUUAUCAUGUGCUACUUGAUGAGAUUGGUUUCUCCGCAGAUGGCUUACAAAAUUUGAUCCAUUCGCUGUCCUAUGUGUAUGCACUCAAUCUUUUGUUUAUAUACAUGCUUUCAUUAUUACCCUAAACCCUACUUAGUUGCUUCUUUAUAUACUUAUUUCAGGAACCAAAGAAGCACAACUGCAACCUCAGUUGGUACAUAUACAAUAAUAGUGUUUUUUCAUCUGACGGAAGUGAUGUGAUUAAUUUGUUUCUAAUAAUUUAUCCUCAUUUUUUAUUCUUCAGUGGCACCAAUAUGCUAUGCGCACCAUGCUGCGGCUCAGAUAGGACGGUUUUUGAAUCUUGAUGAUUUAUCAGAAACGGGCUUAAGUUCCAUCCCAGAGCUUCCUAGAUUGCAUAAGAAUAUCAGGAGUUCCAUGUUCUUCUGUUGAGCUCAUCAAAUCAAAGCGUAAAUGUACAUUUAGUAAUACUCAGCCCAAAUUCUGUUUGAUGGGGGAAAUGGAUUCUUGGGCAUUGAGACUUCUUUGCGUACAUUGUUAGCUAUGAAAUACGUAUUUCUCUUCAAAAUGUGAUUUUAAUUCAUGCGUAAGAUUUAAUUUAAUUUUAUGAAUUAAUAACUUAAACAAUGACAAUAUUUUUGCUCUAUGCUUCUGAGUGAAACGACAAGGACAGAUAUUUGAAUGCAUUAAGAGAAUUUUGGAAUACAGUUUUGAUGGUACCAAAAUAGAAAAGUAAAGCUUGGCUUUGAAUUCUCUCCCAAUUGUACCUCAUUCAAAUGUAAAGAAGUAAAAGAAUUGUAACUUUAUUAGAAAAGUAGUAAAGAAGGUGAAAAAAGUCAUGGAAAAGGAAUGCAUCUCAUCCACGGCUCCAUUGUCUUUCCUCCAAAACUCUAAAUGAAAAUAAAAGAAAGAUUAAUCAGUUCAAAUCUAAAACCAUCAAACCCCACAUAUUGGUCUAAAACGUAGAUUAUGAACAUACGAAAUCCUCAUCCAUGAAGUAAGGAUGCUUUAGAGCAGCUGUCGCAGAAAUCCUUUGGCUUGGAUUCAAGCAAAGCAUUGCCUGCAAAAAAAAACCGAUAAAUAUGGCAUCAGAACAAGAAUUAAACAGUAAACUUUUUCUUUAAGGAACAUCCAUCUUUUCCUUUCUACAAUUUUCCAAUUCUUAGUAUCAUAAUGACUUAGUUCUUUGCAGAGUUUCAUGACCUUUUACAAAACUUAACAGUAAGACCUAAUGACCUUUUACAUAUGUAGAAGCCAAAAUAAGUAUCCCUUCUUCCAAGGAUUAAAUUGAAAACGACUUAAAUAUUUAAAAAUCAAAUUGAUUGCUUAUCCUAUUUACAGUAUUCAUUCUAUAAAUUUUUUAAUUCAAAACAUAAUUUUUAUUUGAAAUAUUCUCUUUAUCAAUUUUUCUCUUGCAAAACAUAACCUAUUUGUAUAAGCAAUGUUGCAUAAAUUUUAUUAACCAGUAUUGCUCAACUUGGAGUAACCUAGGCUCCAGACACUUGAAUUCCUAAAAUAACACACAUCUCCAAAUUGCUUCUUUAAGGACAGAUACUACAGAAAUUUAUUUAUUGUUCGUAGAAACUGUCCGUUGCUUAGAACCAAAACAAAACUGUGGAGUAAAACUUACUGAUAGAAGAUCGAGGCCAUUUCGUUCCAGUCCAGGAAAAAGUGUUUCCAGGCCCUGCAUAGCAGAGUAGAGUUGUAACUUUUAAAGAUUCUAUGAAAAGGCAACGAGCCAAAUAGCCAUUGAGAAAUGAGAAUUUAGUACCACUGGUUGAAAAAUCGGGAAGAGAUGAAGGUUACGUAUUACUCCAGAGACUCCUGGCCAUGUUUCCUCUGUGGGGGUACCUAACAGUCUUCACAGAGAAAAUUCUUUCUUGUUUCAAUCAUAAACGAGAAUUGCAUGCAAAAGUCAAGUGGAUAUUUUUAUGUGUGUCAAAUCAUACCUGAACAUUACGUCUAACUCAUCCCGGCCUUCAAUCAGUUGGAGCAAAGGUUGUCCAAGUAGCAUCUCAGCAAAUAUACAACCAACAGACCACAAAUCAAUUGCAGCUGAAUAUUGAUAGUUGUCACACAAGACUUCAGGUGCCCUGUACCAGGAAGUUCCUAACUGACUAGUGUAUUAGUGAGGUGUCCACUUUAUAAUAAGACUUUUAUUUAUAUACCAAAGCUAAAACUAUACCUAAUCAUUUGUGGAACAUCAUUAUUUUGUAAUAAAGCUUUUAUACCAUACAAAUGUCUUACUAACCAAUCAUAGUUUGUGACAGAAAGAACAAGUUGAAGAAAACAUGUAUGCAAGUUACAACCGUCAUCAAAGUUUUUCUUUUACUUUUCUCUAUUGAUAAAUCAGUUCACGAAAACAAAUUUCUAGCAUAUAUUUUAUUCAUUAUAAAUAUUAACAUAGAAGUAAAAUAUUAUUAAUAAAAGACUAAUGAAUAUUAUCUUGAAUUUUUAAUAAUACAUAUAAAUCAAACAUAUUUUUUAAAUCUCAUGAUUAAAAAUAAAUGAAAGGAGUAGCAUAUUUCUUAUUUUACAUAUAAAGAGGGACCGUGAUUUCUAUGUUUAUAUGCUAUGUAUAUAUAUGCAAAUGAAAGGAUAAUGCAAGCAAAAUAUACAGUUCAAAGGAAUAAUGAAAUACUGGAAGAUAUGAUAUUUAUAAUCACGGGAUGAACUUAAAAAGAAAAAUUAGAAACUUGAAAACAUAAUAUAUAAUUAACCUAAAUAAGCCAGAGAGAAUCAAUAUGUUCCUUUCAAGUCAAUUAUACCUUCUCAGAAUACAUCAGGUCAUCUCUAAACUCUCUAGCCAAACCAAAAUCCGCCACUUUGAUCAACAUUGUAGGUUCAUGAAUCAGCACAUUCCCUGGUUUCAAAUCUCUAUGCAGAACCUUACGCGAAUGGCAGAACUCCACAGCAGAGAGUAUCUGGUACAUGAAACUCUGCAAGCAAAAGAAAUUUAAUCACGGCAGUUACAGGAGUUUUAGAAUUUGAGAUUCGUUUACCUCAAUCUUAAAAGUAUUUAUAGAUAAAGUGAUUUAUAUAUAGAUGGAUAGAUAUAGAUAUAUAUCAUUAGUGAGAAUGUAUGUUUGAUCCGUUAAUGAUAACAGGAGUUUAUUUGACUUCAGUCAAAUCUUAUUUUACAAAAGGAUAAACCCUCAAGUAUUAAUAUUCUAUAAAAAAAAAUCUGAAAAUAUAAUUUGUUUUUCUUUUUAAUAGUAUCCUACAUACUUAAAUAAUUGUUUUCCACAAACUUAAUUAUUUACUACAGUUGUAUUUUCUAGACUUAACCUCUUACUGUUUAUCUUAAUUUCUAAAUUUAAUAAUUUACUUUUAUUUUAGUAUCUACACUUAACUAUUUAUUAUUAUCAGUAUUAUUGUUACUAUUAUUAUCUAUAUUCUUAAAUUCAAUUUUCGGAGUGAAUAUAGUUAAGUUUAGAAAGUAACAUCAUACGGGUUGAGUUCAGAGACUAAAUGAAUAUGCAAUAGUUAAUUUUAGUAACCAAAUUAAUAAUAAAUGGGUCGUUCAAUUUACUAACCACUAAACUAAAUUAAUAUACAAAUUAAACCUUUUAGAGAUUUUUAUGAACUUUAAUAAUUUUAGAACUUAAAUGACAGUUCACUAUACAAUCUAUUUAUCCUUCUUAACAGUGAUAAAUGUCAGGUUAUUCUAAGCAAAAUUGAUUUUAACACAAAAUCACAAUUUAAUUAAAAGUGAUGAUGAACAAAAUUUACUCUAAAUUUUAUAACAAAAUGCCUUUUAUUGAAAUAUCCAAACAUAAAUCACUUUAUUAAAAUCAACUCUAACUAAAAUCAAUUUAAAUCUAGGUUUGCUUUCAGAAUUCACAUUUAAUGCAAAAUUUCUUUAGAUUCAAAAGAUCCUUUAAAGAUCCACAUCCAACAAUGCCUAAUGCAUUUCUGAACAAAUUAAAAUCAAAUUCAUAAAACAGUAGUAAAAGCGCACUGUCAUACCUUUACAGUCAACGCAUCCAUGGAAAAACGACUGUCAUAAAUGAACUCAUGAAGGUCGAAAUCGAGAUGCUCGAAGAUAAGAUUGACAUAUCUGUUUUCGGUGAAUCCGACUCCAAGCAGCCUGACAAUGUUGUCAUGGUAGAGGUCUUUGAGGAACGACACUUCGCGGAUGAUCGAAGACGGAACACCCUGGCUCAUUCCGACUAAUGUGAUCUCUUUCAUGGCGACGAGUGCGCCGCUGUUAUGAUCAAGGCACCGGUACACUCGCCCGUAGCCACCUUCCGCCGCCAUCUCCAGUAUCUCCAAGUUCAUUGCCGACGUUUCACUGUAAUCGUCUCUGCCUUUAUCGCAGAUGUUGCACCAUGCCAGACGUGUCAUCCUACUCCACCACAAAUAUAACCAUUAAUCACUCAGAUGUAAUCGAAAGAGGAAAAAACACAGAAAAACGAUAAACAUCGAUUAGGUUAUCGAAUCCAAAUAUCACUGUUCUUGAAGCAAAGACGAGUGAUAAAUAAUAAUAAUUACAGAGAAUCGAAGGAGUCAAUCCAAUUGCCAAACCACCACAUUCUGAAAGAUUGUUUGAUACAGAGAGACGAUAGCAACUGUAACAGAAUUUGGACCAAACUUUGAAAGAAAUCACUGAUCACUGAACCCACUCCAUUUUUAUAGCUUUCUUUGAGUUACAAUUUCCCGCGAAAAAGAAUAACAAACUUUUCGCUAACCAGUAGAGGUCUGCCACGUGGCAAAUAUAUUGUUAGUUUAUUGCUGUUAGGUAACGGUUACUUAACCGAGCAAAAUAUUACACGGGUAUAUAUUUUUUUUAAUUAUUUUUUUAUUUAGAUAGCUAAUUGAUGCUUUAAUUGUUUAAUUCAAAUAAUUUAAUGUAAUAAUCUAUUCAUAUUUGAAAUUUACUUAAUUAUGUUUCCUUCUUGCACUUUUUUUUUCUUUAUUUUAAUAGUUAUUUCUAUCAAGAAAUUUACAUGACUAAUAGAGAAGGAACUUAAUCUUAAUUGAAAAAAAAAUAAUAUAAAAAAGAAUUACAAUUUUAUUAGGACAGAAUAUUAAUAUUGAGGAUUAUAUUGAAACAAAAUAUUUUUGAGGAUGAAACCAUGAAAUCAAGUAUUUUGUAAUUUUCUGAACCCUUAUAUACCUGCAUGGUUUCUGAACCCUUAUAUACCUGCAUGGUUUCUGAACAACAAAGUUCUUCAUAUUUACAAAAUAGUGUACAUUGGGCAAAACUUCCUAGUCACGAACAGAAGAAAAUAUUAACACACAAAUUUAUGGCACCCGCAGCAAAUUUACAAGGGAAAGGGAGACCUCAGAAAAAUGAAAUAAUUUGGAAUCAAAGUGGCAACCAUGGACAAAUAAUGUUUACAAGCUUGGAUCAUAUUUAACAGAGAAGGUUGCAGUUGUACUUGCACUUGCAGCAUAUGACAUGGUGUUACCCUGGCUAUCUGAAGCAGAGGAUGCAUUGUAGGAAGAUGAACCCUUGGUAUCAUUAUCAACAUCUUUUUUGUCUCCUCUGAUUUUCAGGUCCAUGAAAUCUGAAAUCAAGCCUGGUUUUGUUAUCUUACUUUCAUCAAUGUCCAUUUCUCCAGUGAGCAUCUUCACCACAGAAGACAUUGGUGGCCGGAGUUUGGAUGUGUCCUGAGUGCAGAGAAGUCCAACUUUCAGAAAUGUACAGGCCUCCUCGGCAUCGAAAUACCCGUCUAGGGAUGCAUCUACAAGCCCUACCAGUUCCCUUUGCUGAUAAAGUUUCCAUGUCUGGACAGAAAUGUUAAUCAAGUGUAAGUUAGAGUCCCACAUUAUGUAGAAAUGAAUGAAAUGAACAAUAUACAAGAAAAAACUUGUAAACCUAUUGUCUUAAGAUUUUUUGAGAGAACCCAACAAGAAGCUCAAAUUAAGAGCUGGUAGAAAACUAUCUUAAUGUCAUAGAAUAUGAGUACUUGUAGCACAAACACUAAACAAUACAGCACUACACAAUGCGGACCCGGACACUUCAACAUGUGUAAUCUUCAAAAUGUAAGACACGAAGACACGAAUCUAUAUAUUAUUUCAUCAAUAUGAAUUAUAUAAAUUCACAAUCAGGAUUUAUGUAAACAAGUUUAGUCAAAUAUAAGAAAAUGAAUCUAAUUUGUCUAUCUAAAAUCCUAAAGUGAAAAAAGAAUAUAAUUCAUUUAGGGCAUUUUAUCCCUUUCUUGACCAUCAUUAUUGAAAAGGACACUUUAGUUUAAAUUUAUUUAAAGACAAAUUAACAACUUUAAAAAAUUUCACAUUAUAUGAAGAUGUGAUAAUUCAAACAACAAAUAUUCUUUCAGAUAUGAUACAGUCUUUUGAUAGUAGUAUCAGAACUGUCAGAUGGGUUUACCAAAUAUAAUUUUAGUCUAGAGGUAGACUCUCACAACUUCUGGUUCAAUGUUCCCUAUUUAAAGCAUAACUCUAAAAUUUCAAUGUUUUUUCAUGCUGAAGGAACAAAAGAAAUUUGAAUGUUGAGGCUUCCAAUCAGGUACACCUUAAGGUGGGGUUUAUAACUUCUUAAUCAAUCACAAUUGAAUGGAGCUUGGAUGGAAAACUAAAGUAGAAAGAAGAGAAAGUGAAGUUCUAUAACAAAAAAAUUAGUGGAGACUAGAACUUGGACCUAUUUGGAUGAGUUUCUUCAUAAGCACUUCUUGGGGAGAAAAAUAAGAAAAAUUAAACUUAGCUUCUCUAUAAGCUAAUUUGUAGAAGCUUUCCAUCUAGCUUCUCUAAAUUUUUAUUUGCAUAAGCUAAUUUUAGCUCGUGAAAAAUUUGUUAACUGAAAAGAAAAAAUAACUCAGAAGAGGCUCCAUAUUUAUUGAUCAAGGUUUACAAUCAUUCUGUUGUUUAAACUCACCAUCUUCUGUACAGUUUCUAUACAUGCAGGACCAAUUUCACAGGUGAAAGGUAGUUAAAAUCCACAAAAAUUGAGUUUGUUAGACACAAGAUAGUGUAGUAUGAACUAGCCAUCACUGAUGAGGUUGCAAAUAAGGCAACCCCCAUAGAAGACACAAUUAAAGCUUUCCAACAUUUUCCAUACAACUUGAAGCUUUCAAUAAAAGGUUAUGUUAUCACAUACUUGGCAGUGAAUAAACAACUAAGAAAAUAGAAAUGACAUACCGUUUCUAAGAGAAACUGCUCUCCUAUCGGUAAUCGUGUAUUAGUGUGACAUCUUCCACUCACUAUCUCCACAAGGAGUACACCAAAGCUGUAAAUAUCUGCUUUACGUGUCAGGUGCCCCCUUAAUGCAUACUCUGGUGCCAAAUAACCUCUGAAAUAAAAGAUGCAGCAUUAAGUAAAGGAAGUCAAUAACAGUAACAGGAGAAGAGAAGCUUUCCUCUUUAUCAUGUGAGAAGUGAAAGUUUAUGAAUGAAUACACGGGACAUAAUAUACAAUUAAUCUCUAGGUCCAACCAAUUUUGCUGUGAUAGAUUCUGAUAAAUUCUGACACUAUCUUAGAAAGUAAACUUCAAUAUAGUAAGUAUUAUUCAACCAUAUCUCUAGUCAAAGUGGGAUUUCCAACUCAAGAGGAAGAGAAUUGCUCCAACAAAUUUAUCAACCAAUUUAUGUAUAUUUCAAUAAAAGAAUCCCUGAUCUCUAUCAAGCACUUCAAUGAUCUCAGUUGUGUAGUGGUUGAUGAUGAAUUUACAACAAGCAAGAUUUCGUGUGUGCUGCAUUUAAUGGACUAAAACUCUUGCAGAGCAAAGGCUCAACCAAAGGAAUCCCUUGUCAAGAUUAAAGAAAAAUACUAACAGAUAAUCUAAAGUAAGUUGAACAUAAAAUUCAAAGUCACCAAUUUACAACAAAAUGAAUUCAUAUAAAUAUUGAACAGAAUCAAUAAAGUCAAUUACAUUCUAACAUUCUCAAAUUUUUCAGUAUUAUGCUAUAUAAUUCUUCUGACCAUUCAACAGAGAUGAAGUCUUACUUUUGGGAAGGAAAAGGAAAGUAAAAGUUUCCAAUUUAUGCACAGGAUGUUUAUUAAAAUACUCACAUUGUUCCUGCCACACGAGUGCUGACAUGAGUCAUGUAUGAUGGAAUAAGCUUUGCAAGACCAAAAUCUGAAAUCUUAGGUGUAAGGUCUUUGUCAAGGAGAAUAUUGCUUGCUUUUAUAUCCCUAUGAACAAUAUGUGGUUUUACUUCUUCAUGUAGAUAGGAGAGCCCACGUGCAAUCCCAAUGCAAAUCCUAGAUCUUGUUUUCCAAUCAAAAAUAUUGUUAUUGUGACCUGAACCUGCAAUUGAAGAGAAAAUAACUUAUUCAGAAAGCAUAGGUAAGGAAAAUAAAUUAAUAUAACAACUCCAUGAUAUUCUAAAUGACACAAUAGAAUUUCUGUUCUCAAAUUUUCUCAGAAAACUUUACCACAAAAUUUCAAAGCAUUUACCUAAAAUGGUUUGCGCAAGGCUAUUGUUCUCAAGAAAAUUGUAGACUAAUAUUCGGUGUUUCCCUUCCACACAACAACCAUAUAGCUUAACCAAAUUUUCAUGCUCUAUUUCUGAGAUGACAUUAAUCUCUGUCAUAAAUUCUUUCACCCCUUGAGUUGAUUCUUCUGAAAGAACUUUUAUAGCAGCUAGUUUCCCAUCUUUUAGUAAUCCCUGAUCAUCCACCAUAAUAUUGUUAAGUUUUCACUGAUAAGGAAAGGAAGAGAAAAAUAAUGAUCAAUCAAAUGGAUACGAUGAUGCAACCAAUAUUCAAAAGCUACUAAAUUACCUUAUAAACAGAACCAAAGCCACCCUGCCCAAUUUUAUUGGACUGACUGAAAUUGUCAGACGCAACUUUUAGUUCUUUGAAGGUAAAGAUUCUUACAUUUUGAAUGCCUGAGAAUUCUGUUCACAAACAUAUUCAGUCAAAAUCAAGCACUCUAACUAGAUUUUUUAUGCAUUUUUUCAUAGGUAUAUUGAUUCUACAACAAUAUUCUUAGAUUAUGUUAAAGAUUAAACUCAAAACCAUCAGUUUUAUUUUCAGUAAGCAGGAAUUUGAAUGACCAAGAAUAAUUACUUUUAAUGCUAGUUUUACAUAUCAUUUAUAGCAUAAUUCAAAUUUUGAAUGUCAUUUAUAACAUAACAGUUAUCAGGAAACAAAUGUGAAUUUGAGAAGUCUAUUGUUCGGAAACUAAGUGAAAUAAAAAUAUAUUAUCAGUUCCCAUAUUAAUCUAAUAUUAUUGUUAAAUUACCUUCAUCAAUAUCUGGAUCGAGUUUUGGUGCAGAAGGCACUUUCCUACUAAAUGAGAAUGGGAAGCAAGUCAUGACUAGAGGAUGAAGUAUUCGAACACGGCCAAUAAUAUGAAAUGGAAUAAAUAUCUUUGAAUUAAACCACUUAAAAGGUCACCUGGAAGAACCACAUAGAAGUGUCUGUCUUAGAAUAAUAAAGUGGAAGUCCAAUAUAAUGAUAACCAUAAUGCUAAAACUUCAGAUCUUAAAACAUGAAAGCAAACAAACUACAUUCACAGAUUGCUAAUUACUAUAUCAGAUGAAACAUACAAAAAAGUAAAAAAGUAAUAACUAAUAUCAUGGUCAAGGCUCCAACAUUUUUUUCAAUAUUCCAAAGAUAUCAUCAGUUCUAUUAAACUAAAUUAAAUGCACAAACAUCAGCAUCAUAUUGCAGUUCAAGUAGUCAGAUUUUCACUGAUUACAAAUACUUUCUUUUCAAGCAAAACAUGUUUGAAAAUUUUAUGAAAGACGCAGGUGACAAAAAAACAAGUAUAUUUGACAGUUCCCAGAGCCAUAUAGCUAAAACAAACUAAGGAUGCAUCUAUAGUCCCCAAAAUCAUUCUUCUUUUGCUGCCUUCCAAGAGGGUUCCUGAAAAGAUGACUAUUUCUCCAAAAUUGACCCAAAACCCCCUUCUCCACAUCUAUUCUUAACUAAACUAAUUAUCUGUAUCUCAACCACUGAAUUCAGAAUUUCCAUAUGUCGGAAAAGCAUAAUCUUAAAUGAAAACCAUUUUUUUCACCUAUAUCCUAAUUUUCAUACAGUUCUCUUGCUCUAAACUACAAGUUUGAGCAUUUCGUGCUUCAUUUUGUGCUUGUUUUUCAAAUCUCAAAGAGCAUUGUGAAUAAAAAUGUGAACUUGGCUUCCUCGGGAACUAAAAUAAACUAUAAGAGAGAGAAUCAAGAGCCCAAUCAUAAAUUUAGAGAACAAGUAAAAAAUUAAAUGAAGCAAAAGAUUAUCCACAGGAACACCCAUAACAGAAGGAUAACGAGAAACUAAAAGUGCAUUACAUGGCAGAAACGAACCUUGGAAAGUAGUGAAAACAAGAACAAAAAUUGAAACCAAAAAGAGAAGAUUUUUCUGAGAGAUGAGAAGAAAGGGUGAGAGUUAAUGGGUUGGUUGGGUUUGGUCAACAAGGAACAGUGUCUGAGAUUAUUACGAUGAUGUGGUGUUGUGGGUUUCUAUUCUCUGUGCAGCUUAUUAAUACAUCUUGCCGCGUAGUGUGAAGGGACCGCGUUUGGAAUGUGAAAUCGCUUCUAUCAAUGCAAUUAAUUGACUUUCUAAAUAAAUUAACAAACUACUAACCUUUGAUAAUUCUGAAAAAUAAGUCAAGUCAUAACUACUGUCUUCUGAAUAUUAGUUAAAAAAUUUAAAUAUACUUUAUUAUUUUAUUACAACUAUAUAUAUAUAUAUAUAUAUAUUGCUGUAAAGACUAGUUUCCCAACGGUCAAGUUGCAAACUUUGACUUAUCGUACAUAGAAAUAGAAAUGUUGAGAGUAUAUUAAAAAGGUAUAAAGUAUACUGGUAAUAAUUUAAUCUAAAUUUUAUUUUUGUACAGUUCAGUUGUCACGUGAAUUACUAUUAUAUGAAAGUUGUGAAUAUGAAAGCUAGAAUAUGUCAUUAUACUCGUUCUAUGAUAUAUGUUUAUAAUGCAAAUGUUUGUCGAAGUUGGCUAGGUUUAAGAAAAGUGAAUUUUUCUGUUCUGAUCUUAAAUUUGAGAGAUAUUGUCGAUUUUAAAAGUAGAUAUUUUGUUACAGUUUUAUCUUUAAAAGAUUGUCUUGAGUAGUGUGAGACUACUGGAGACUAUAUUGAGGGAUUAUAUUAGACUAUAUUGACUGAAAUAUUAUAUAAGUGUUCCAGUAUGCUAAUACAGUCCCACAUCGUUUAAGAAUGGAGGUUAAGGGCAGUUUAUAUUGACUUAAGGUCGGAACAAUGGCGUCCACCGUGAGGUCGAAGAGGUUCCUUCGCCCCUCAACUAGGGGAUCCACUCCCCUUAGACCUCGACUGGGGGGCUUGUUCCCGUAUGCCAAUACAGUGUUUAACCCGCUUAACUCACAACAACAAAAAUCAACUAGAUUUUAAUAUUAUUGAAAUUGAACAACAAUAAAAAUGUUUCGAAAGUAAGACAAGAAGAUGAUGAUUAAUCAAAAAGUUUUUAUGGAUUUUUAGUAUGUUAGACAAUAGUUUCUUUUUAUAUUUCCUUAUGAAAGAUUUAUUUUUGACAUAUUUAUUUAUUUAAUUUAGAUGUUAAUCUUAUCUUUAUUUAACUUAAAUGGUUGAGUAAUGUAAACAUAUGAAACAUUAAAACAAAAUUAUUAUGCAUGUAGCUUUUAUAAAAGAUUUUUCUUAUGCAAGCAGGGUUGCACAGUCGCAGAUCAAUUGUGACAUCCCUUUAUAUAUAUUUAUAUUUAUAUACGAUUUCACUUCAAUUCAAAACUUAAAUAUGUUCUUUAUUUGUAAAAUUAAAUUUAUAUUACAUGAGGUAAUUAUAUCUGUUUUAAUUUGAUAUCUGUUUUCUAGAAUUUUUUCCUUUGUUUUGAACUUUUCAAUAGUAUUAUAAUUUAAAAAAGAAAUCACAUAAGAGUUUGUACUUUUCAGUUGUACUCUUUCCCAGAGUCACCUUCCUUAUUGUGUAUAAUUUAAUAAUUAUUUAAUUACAGUAAUUGAUUUAAUUUUUUAAGUGCGUGAAUAUUUUAUCAACAAAAAUGUUUAAUUAUUUUUCAACUUGCUUGUGCCACAUACUUUCGUUAGGUGAGAUGAUCGCUGCAGGCUUCAUGUGCACGUGGUCAAUAUUCAACAUCAACAAUUUUUUAUAAUCAAAAUAUCAACAACUUGAAGGAAGAGAUUAUAACAAAAAGGCUUAAAUAUGGAUUUAAAUUUAAUUAAUAAAAAAAAUUAUUUUAAACUUUUUUAGAAAAGUUUUAUUUUACUAUUUUAGUCCAGAAAGUAUUUUAAAGAACGUUUUGAACAGUAGAAUAAAAUGGCAUCAACAGUAUUUUUGAAACUAAAAAUAAUUAAAAAAAUAUAAAUAUUAAAAACGAUAAAUGGAAUUUGUUAUUUUGUUGGUCAUUAUAAAAACAUUUAAUUUCUUUUGGUUUAUCUUGAUCUAACAUUUUAGUUUCUUUGGAGCUUCCGAUCUUGAGAUAUCAUUGUUUAAAUAAAAAUACCUUUUAUUGUUUAUGUAAGAAAUGAAUAGUUGUAUUCUUUUAAAAUAUAAAUAAAUUAUAAAUAUAUUAAUAGUUUAAUUAUUUAAUGUUUUUAAUUUUAUUAAUAUAUGAGAUAGUAGCUUAUAGUUUUGUCCAAAAUAAACUAAAAAUUUGAGUUUAAGUCUAAUUCAUCUUAAUAAAAUUAUUUAUUUAAAGUGAAGUUUAUCCUCACAUAUAUACCAUAAAUUGGUCAUCAAUAUAAAAAUUUAACAUUUUCUACAUUUCAAAUACUAAAUUGUACCCUUUUAAAAAAUCAUGAUUUAUGUAAGGGUUUUUGACCAUAAUGGAUUAUUUUUUUUCUUUUUACCAAAAAUGGGGUUCGUUUAAAAAAAAUUACAAAUUUAGGCAAGUCGUGUCAAUUUGGUACGACUUCAUAUGCACAAAUUGUUUCAAUUUGACACGACUCUGCCAUGUCAUACUGAAAUUGUGCCAACUUGGCACGACUUCUGCCCUAUCAUACUGAAGUCGUGCCAACUUGGCACAACUUCUGCCACGUCAUUUUUUUAAAAAAAAAUUAUUGUUUAUAUAUUGGGUAGUAAGUUAUGUAAUGUUAAAAAUUAAUUUGAUACGUAACUUCUAAGAGUGUUAGUUUUAAGGAACAAAAAAUUGGAUAAUCGUGUAUGGAUCAUGUCCGGUGCCAUUAAAUAUUAAAAUAUCAAAAAAUUUGCCCACAUGAGACAUUAAAUAUCAAAAUAUACUUUUUGGCUAGUGGGAAACCAUGUCAGGCGACAAUGUCCUUAGGAGUUAAUGGCUCAAAGUUUGAAUAAGCUUAUUAUCCAAACAUGAUCCAUACACGAUUAUCCAAUUUUGUGUUCCUUAAAACUAACGCUCUUAGAAAAUUAUGUAUCAAAUUAAUUUUUAACAUUACAUAACUUAUUACCUAAUAUAUAAAAAAUAAAAUUUAAAAAAAUAUGACGCGGUAGAAGUCGUGUCAAGUUGGCACGACUUCAGUAUGACCAGAGCAUAAAUCGUGCCAAGUUGGCACGACUUCAGUAUGACAUCGCAGAGUCGUGUCUAAUUGGGACGAUUUGUGCAUAUGAAGUCGUGCCGAAUUGAUACGACUUGCCUAAAUUUGUAAUUUUUUUAAAAUAGACCCCAUUUUGGUAAAAAGCAUAAAAAAUAACCCAUCAUGAUAAAAACCCUUUAUGUAAUCUGUAUAUUUUAAAAAUUAUCAAAAUUAUUAUUGAUAAAAAAUUAUUCUUUAAAUAAUGAGUAUUAUAAUUAAAUAUAGUUCACUCUUAACCAAAUUAAUUAUACUUUUGUUAAUUAAAAUUAACUAGACUACUUUUUAACUUGAUAAAUUUGAGUAAAUUUAGUUAUUUGAAAAUAUUGAUAGUUUUCAAUUUUGGAACAAUAUUUAGAAAUUUAGAAAAUAAAAUGACUAGAUGAAGAUGUGAUGUGAUGUGAUGCUUCAUUAGAUUCUUUUAUAUAAAAUCCAUGACACUAAAUUGAUAUUCCAAUUAACACAAGCCGUGGUGAAAAAUUAGUGUCUUACAAAAACAAAAUUAAUAUAAUAUUAGAUUUUUCAAUUUUCUGUUGACCUUUUACUCACUUUUUACAUUUUUAUGUAUUCGAGAACCGGGCUGGCUCUAGAGAAUUAUUGAGAAGAUUUUUCUUUAUCUUCGUCGGUUGGUCGUAGUGCACUUCAAUUUCAUUCUUUGCUAGCUUCUUUCUUCUCCUUACUUGUCGUCGUAAUACAGACUCGGAUGGUACCUGCAGAAGGCAAUCUGAUGCUCAAGUCAAUAAAGGUGUUCGACACUCGGUUGUCAGAGCACGGUAGAUGAUGACGUACCUGGACCUUGAAAUGUGUGCUAUUUAUAUUACCUUUAGUGGACUUUCCUUAUUGGACCAUGUUAGGGAGUUGAACCGCGAUUAAGGAUGCAUUACCUAGUUCUUAAUCGUGAAUUAGCUUUAUUGACUAUGUUUAAGCGUAACUGGAUUUGAGGUGUUGAUCGGCCCAUUGAUAUAGUUCAUGACAUUGGUCGACCCAAUAAUAGAGACUGAUACAUGUGAUAGGUCGUACAACUUUCACCAGUAUAUUUUAUAUUAUAUUUAUUACUAUCUUUUGUUUGAGCGUAAAUCCAUUUACAUCGUUUAAAUAUUUAAUUUUUUUUAUUAUAAUAAUGCAGUUUGAAGAUUAACUUUAUACUGUUAAAAAUAUAAUUAUGAAAAUCUAAAUACGAAAGUUAAGUUAUUAUAAAUAAAAAAACCCACAACAUAAUUUUAAGAUCUUGAGGUUGCUUAUUAUUCAUUAUAACAUGUUUAGCACUAAAAAUACUUUUGUCUGAAUCUAGUUGUUCUUCGAAACUCUAAAAGAAAUAAACUAACAUUCCAAAAUAUUUUUACAUUAAUUAUCUAUCUGAUAAUUUUUUUAUUUGUAGAAGUAUAACUUUAUGAAACGUGAAGAUAUUUCUCACUAAUUUUGGUGUAAUUCUAUAUUUUAAUUAUUAAAAUAGAUAUUUUUUAAAAAAAAUUAAAAAAUAGAUAAAAUAUGACAAAAUAUCAAAAUGAUAUGAAUUAAGAUGGCACCAAUUGAAAUCGUCUCAACACCACACAAUAUAAUCAAAUUUUAAUUAAAAUCAUAUUAUCUUAACGUUACUUAUUAUUUUAAUCAUUUUUAAAAAAAUAUUCAUUUUAUUAUUAAAAAAUAAAAUUAUAUUAUAUUAAUAAAAAAUUUACUAUAUAUAUAUUAUGUGUGUACUAUUCUGUAUUAUUUUUGGGUGCUAUAAUCUAUUGAUGUAAAAUAAAUUUUAACAAUAAAGUAUAAUAACUUAAAUGUAAAUUUAUUGAUAAAAUAUUAGAAUUAGAAGCAUACCUACAAGAAUUGAUGGCUUCAAUAAUAAGUAGUUGUUUUUAUUUAUGAUAAUAGUUUGAGUUGUGAAGUUGCAACCAAACUUCUUGAAGCCAUCAGAAACCCUAUCAUUGACUUUUCUCAAAUAUAUAUUAUGUCAUCUUGAUGAUGUAACACUCAAUAUUCAUUUCUUUACGUCUGCAACUUGCUUUCUUGGUUAGUUCCACUUAGUAUUUAAAAAAAAUAAAAUUGUAUAGUAAAUUAUAAAUUUUAAAAUAAUUUCAUUUUCAUAAAUUUUAAAUAAUUCUUUAAUUAUCAUUUAUUUUAAGUGGAUCACGAUGGCUUAAGAAGAGCAUGUGAAUGACUGUGAUAUUAGGGCCCUUGGUCUUUAGAGAGGCUACAUUAUUGUAGAGAGACUCUCCUGGGUCAAGCAAUUCUUUAGAAUAUUUAAAUUAAAGUUAUUAAUAAUAGAUAUAAAUAACUAUUAUUUAUUAAUUAGAUAGUAUGAUACUCUUACUUGCACUAUUAAGUGUUGUAGGAGGCACUUCACCACUUCUCUUUGUAGAUGGCAUAAUGGAUGCCAUGCUCCCACCUAGUUGGAAAGGCCUAACAAUUGACCAAUAUGAUGGAACUACGAAUUCAAAUUUCUAUGAGAUCCAAAUUAGCUUGCCUAUGUCGCUUGUUUUUCACAUCUUUAAAGGGUGACAUUGAGUUAGUUCACUAGGCUUCCACCCUUCUUGAUUGACUGUUUCAACAUGUUUGUAGCCAAGUUUGGAACACAUUGCGACCAUCUAAUCACAUCACUUGACGUUCAUUGCCCUAGAAAAUAUUCAAGAGAAAAAGGGAGAGUCAUUAAGACAUUUUACAAAUUUUUUGGGAAGGUAUCUUUGAACAUCUGCAACCAUAACCCCGAAGUAGUCAUGCACCAUAUAGUCACAACCUUGAGAUUGAGACCUUUCAUAGAUAGCCUGUGCAAAAAAAAUAGUGGUUGGCCUAGACGAACUAUGACAAUGAGUCGCGAAAUUCUUGCAACUAGAAGAGUUGUACGACUUCAUAAGUAAAGUAAUGAAUGAGAUGAUACUUAAGAAAAAGCACAAAAAAAAGGAGAGAUCAGGUCGAAAUCAUCAUGUUGUGAGGCAAAGAGAACAUCGGGGACCAAGAUUCUAUUUGUAAUCCCCCGUGAAUGCAUACCGAAUUGGAAUCCUUGAAGAUGUCUUUAGUGUCGAACUUAUCCCAACUCCCAAGAAAGUACCCACCCUACCAAAUGUUGACACCAACAAACCCUAUAGGUAUCAUGGAAUUUUGGUCAUGCCACCGAGGAGUGCUUGGCCUUAAAAUACAAGAUCAAGAAAUUAAUAUAGGCAGGCCACCUACAAAAGUUUGUGAAGGAUUUCAGAUAUCAGAUAGUUGGUCACUUGCCUAGGCGAAGGGAAAAUGCACUCUCCCGAGUCAUGACGAACAUAACCAUUAAAGCGAUUUUGCACAAGAUGACAAAGAACAACAUAGGUUGAACCAAUGUUCCCAGUUAACACAGAAAGAGAGGGACCGAAAAACACAUCUAUGAGGUGUCAUUAACACCAUCGCAGGAGUUUGCUAGGGAGAAGCGUCGACUUCCACAAGAAAACGACAUCUCUGGAUAGUACAAUCAUUAAAUGUUGUGGCAUCAUGCCCCCUGAAAGUGAAUGUCGCCCGUUACCUUCAUUGAUGUCGAUUUGAAGGCCAUAGACCCUAUGCUGGAUGACCCAAUGGUCAUCACGAUAUAAAUAGAAAAAAUUGCAGUUAUGAAAACCCUAGUCGAUCAGGGAAGCUCGGUGGACAUCCUCUAUUAGAAGAUGUUCCAGAAGCUACAAAUCCUCAAAAAAGGAUAUGCACUCUUAUGAUAAGAUUGUAGGGUUCUCGUGAGAAAAGGUAGAUACAACAUGUUACAUUGACUUGUAUACAAAGUUUGAUGAAGGUGGUCUAUGAAGCAAAACUAUCAAGAUUCGUUAUCUAAUUGUCAACACUAACACCUUGGAUAACACUCUCUUAGGGAGAUCAUCUCUAAAAAAUUUAGGGGCGAUCAUAACAACACCUUAACUAGCAAUAAAUUUCCCUCUGCGUCAAGUGACAUCAUCACGGUCCAUGUCAUGAACCAAAGGAUAACAAGAGAAUGUUAUGCCACCAAUUUAAGGAUCACACCUCCAUCUCUAAACCAUGAAUGGCCAUGACCAAAAAGGGACAAUAUGGUAGCCAUGAAUGAUUUCGACCCAAGAUUAAAUAAUGGUCUCUCAGUAGAGAUCGACGAAGACACCACCCUAUUGUGGCUCAAGAAUGAAAGACAAAACACUAGGUUAAGAACCUCUUUAACCAAGUCUGAGGCUGAGAUGCUAUCUAAAGUCCUAAAAGACAAUGUCGGUUUAUUUGCAUGGAUGAUAUCAGAUAUGUUGGGUGUGAAUCCCGAGAUUUAUCAUACACAAACUCUCAAUUACAAGGAAGCACGACCAAUGUCAAAAAAAAAAAGAAAAUUAGAAGAAGAAAAGAAGAACACAGCGAAAGAGGAGGUUGAUAAGUUUAUCAACGUCAAAUUCAUUCGAGAAGCUUGGUAUACUACUUGUCUGACAAGUGCAAUUACGGUAAAGAAAGCCAAUGAAAAGUGAAAGAUGUGCAUCGACUACACGAAAACACUGACCAUAUACAUUGAAAAAUGAAAGAUGUGCAUAAUUGAAACUAUAUACAGAUACAAGAUUGACAUGGUCUAAGACUUGCACGGUUGAAGAGAUCUAGGAAGCUUAUCGAAUACAUGUUGGAAACUAACAAAUAAUUAAGUAUGAGAUUAAUCCAUAAUCAAACAUGUUAAACCAUUUGUAUUACUAUAAUAACACGAGGUUCGACACCUUUGACCAUAUCGAUCGAGGCCCAUCCUUGUGAAGGCACAUUACCACUUGUCACCAUUGGUGUUGCAACUUCUUUGGAGAAAUUCAUGCUAAAUUUCUUAACAAGAUCACUACAUUACUUAUUAUUAUGGGAGAUAAAGAAAGAGUUUACCAAAAUAAUCACAACUGAAGCAUACAAGGUUCUUUUUCUGUACAACAAUACAUGGAAUCUCAAAUCUUGUAAGCACAAUUUGAGAAUAUGAAAAUUUCUUAAAAUAUCAAAAUUUGAAUUGCUUUUGUGAUUGUAAUAGUUCUAUAAAAGAUUGAUAUAAAAUUUUUGUUAGUUGAAUUUGAAAACAGUUAACACUUUCUUUUUUACUGAUUAUGGAUGUGUUAAUUAAUUAUUUUCACUUUACAAUUAAUGCAAAUAAAAAUGUUUAAUCGAUUAUGAAAUAGUGUAAUCAAUUAAUAUCUUGUAACAUGGUUUUCGAACUCUCUCGUUUAAUCGAUUAUUAAAGAGAUAAUCAAUUAUCCUAUUCUAAAUUUCAUUAGGAACUAACUAAUCAAUUGUACUAAAACUUAAUCAAUUAAUAAAGUUAAAAUCUUUUGAAAACAUUUGUUUUUCACUUUUAAAAACUCAUUUAAUUUUUAAUUCAUUUUAGUAUGGUUGGUUCCCAAUUAUAAUGUUAUGAAUACUACAUGUGAAACACUCAACAACAAACAAACCAUGAAAAUCAAAACUAUCUAGACAUAUCUAGACAUCUUGAGCAUCUUUAUCUUUAAACAAUGUCAUCAAAACAUUUUUACAUGAGACAUGAAUCACUUUUCAAUUCCAACAUCUUAAAAAAACUCUCAUUUAAGAAAAAUAUCUAAAACUUCCACAAGCAAUUAAGAACAGUUGUUAAUUAUGAAAACUAUAGUUGUACUUUUUUAAAGAGAUUUGAAAACCAUUUUUGUUAAAUACUAAAAUAAUUAUAAAUAAAUAUAAUCAAUUAUUAUGUUAUUAAUGUGAUUUAUAAAACAUUUAGAACCAAUUUAACAAAUUAUUAUUAAAUAUGAUUAAUUAUUUAAAAGAAAUCAAAUUGUUUAAGAUAAAUUAUUAUUAUUAUUAUGUUUAAUUAAAUACAAAAAUUAAUUUUCAAUACAAAUUUACUGAAAAUUAUUUUAAAAAUUAAUUAAUAUUUACAUUUAAUCACUAUAAAAUAGUUGAAAGUACCCUCAUCAUCCUCUACGUCAUCAAAUGUAAUCAUGAAUAUGUCAUCAUUAAGUGCCGUAGUCAUCUCUUUCUUCUUGAAUAUCUAAUAAUAUAUAAUAUACAAUAUUGAUUUAUUUUCAUUAAUUAUCUAGAUAAAGAUAAUAAAAUACAAACCUUAUCCCAUUACAUAUUUAUAUCAUUAUAUAAAUGAAAUUAUAAAGAAUUAUACUUUCAAAUAUUAAAACAAUUUGAAACAAAUUUUAAAUAUAAGAAAAUAUAUCUCACCAAGACAUCGUUUAAACGACAAUUGUUUUUUUCAAACAAUUUUUUAAUAAAAGAAAAAUAUUAUUAUUUUUCUUAUUCAAAGAAGUGCUCAAAUGACAAUAUAUCACUUCAGUUAUGAAACUUAUUGGACAAGAAAAAUAAUUACAUAUAUAUUUUAAAAAGUGGUUUCUCAAGUCUGCAAGUUUAACAGUCAAAUAUGCUAAAAUGAAACUAAAUCCCAUUAAAAUAAGUGCUGAAUAAUAUUAUCGGAAAAGUAAGAGGACAUAACAUACAUUAAGAAAUAUUUUUUUUAUGUUAAAUAACGAUAAAUGAAAUUUAUAAUAUAAAAAAUAAUUCACAAUCUUCAUCCAAUUAUGUAAAUCACGUGAAAAGACUUAAAAUUCCUUUUAGUUUAAAAAAUUGAAGUGAAUUCUACUUUUUUAUCUCCAAGCUUAGAUUUAAAAAAAUAUAUUAAAUUUACUAUUCAGGGAAUUAAAGUGUAAAAAAAAAUGUUCCUUAAAUUAAGUUUUUAGAUUUUUAUUUUUUAAAGAUUAAAUUGUUUUCUUUUUAAUUUGGAAGAAUAAAAAAAAUUAAAUACUAAAACGUUAUAAAAAUCUGAUCCAGAAUUAAAAGAUAAAUGAAAUUAGAUAAUUCAAAGAAAGGCUGCGUCCUUAAAAGCUUUUCCAUGUAUCUUAGUUUUUCAGUUAUAACUAGUAUGCAUUUUUUUAUUAUUACAAUCAUUGUCAAAUAAUUAAUAUAAUUGUAUUAAUAGUAUUGCCCGCUCAAAUAUUUAUUUUUUUUAUAAAAAAUAAUUUUUUUAUUAUUAUUAAAAUAGAAUAUGAAAAAUCACCUCAAUGCAUGUUGAUUGAAUAUCAUUCUUGAGUUCUGAGGGUAAAUUUCUUGUGAAGAAAAUUUUCGUAUGGAUGUUGUAAUAAUGAAAGUUAUAAUUAUGAGUUUGGAAACUUAGUUCUUGAAGUUUUCUUUAGCAAAUAUUGGAGAUCUUUUGGGUUCAUCAAGAAGUUUUCAUAUGUGUUGUAUUUGGUUUAGGUGUAAUUGUGACAUUUUUGCUGGUUAGGGGUUCUUGGUUGGAUUUCUUGUGUUUUGCUAGACAUGGUGUUCAAUGUUGUUUUCUGUAAUACAGUUUUACUUUUGUAUAUUGAGCCUUUUCUGGUAGGAUGCAAGAAAAUGGUUUUAAUAUUUUGUAAUAUUUUCUUUUGUUAAUAAGUUUGAGCAUAUAACUAUAAGAAGUAAUUCUCGAAAAAGAAUAAACCAGUAUAAAUUUUCUGUUGUCUCGUCCUUGAUCUUUUAAUUUAUGCACUAAUUAGUUGUUAUCAAUUAGUUUAGAAAAUUAACUUGUUAAAAGGUUAUCUGUGAAUCUUUCAAUCUAAUGAUUCAAUAUAAGAAAGAUUAUAAUUUUUUAAAUUUGCAAAAAGGUUUUAAAGUUCCAUUCAUCCCACCCGUCUUAAACUUAGUUAUAUUAUUUCUUACCAUUUUCGAUUAAAAUUUAUCCUUUCUAGCGUACUAUUUAUGUUUUUUUUUUUUCAGUUUUAGGGUUUGUGUUUACAUGUUAUACUUUUAACUUUUAAAAGGUUUUAAAGUUCAAGAUUUAGGUUUAUGGUUUAAUUUUUCAAGUGUACAAUUUAGGUUUCUAAAAUCAAUUUUAAUUAAAUUCAUUUUACACUAAAAAAACAACUUAAUCUUUCUUAAAUUAUUCCAUUACUACAAUUUUCUAUUCAUUCAAUAAUUAUUCCAUCAUUCAAAAUAACAAAAAACAACUUUGUUUUUUAUAAGAAAAAAAGUGCAAAAAAACUUAGAAAUGCAAAAGUCGUGCAUGAUAAGCACGAUUUCAACAUUUCGUGUUCAACAAAAGUCAUCUUCCACACUCACGAUUUCAUUGUUAAUCAAUCUCGUGUGCAUCAUUCACAAUUUCUGUGUAAAGCUUGUUCAUACUGAAACGUGAACCUUGAACACGACUUCUAUUAUACAAUCUCAUGCAUGUUAGUGCACGACUUAUCUAUUAUGGAAAUAUUUAUUUUUUACCUAUUUCAAGAAUUUAGGUUGUAAAUUGCACCAAAUUGAUAAAAAACGAAAGAAAGAAGGAGGAAGAAUAAAGAGCGAAAACUUACUUUUAAAAUACAAGAAUGUAUUCAUGUGCUAGGUACUUAGGAUUUAAUUGUAUCACGUUUAUCAUUUUAAGUAGCUAAAUUUUUCUUUGUUGAGAUUGAAAAACAAUAUACUCAUUUGUACUCUUUUGAUUCAAUACGUAAGUAUAUUUUCUUCUUAUCUGAUUUGAUUUAUAAUAGUUAGUUUUUACCACUCUAACAUUAAUGCAAAACAAGAGAUUCAUUAUGUGCAUGUGUUACAAAGUCUAUUCAAACUCAACACCUUAUUAUACUUCAACUUCUUCCCAUUCCCAUUGUAUACUUAUUCUUAUUAUUCUUAGUUCUUGGACUUCUUCCCAUUAUAUACUUAUUCUUAGUUCUUGUCAAACAUUACUACUUGGUCCACUUACCGAAAGGUAAAAUAAACCAUCAUCAAGUUUUUUUAAGUGGAAAGGAUGAGCAUGCCUUUAUCAUAACAUAUUUCAAAUUAUAAAAAAAAAAUAUCAUAUUACUUAAUAUAAAAUAAUUCUGAAUUGUAUAAUCCAAAAUCUUAUUUUAAAUUACAUAAAAACAAUUUUAGAUUAUCUAAUCAAGAUCAAGAUUAUGUAAUUAAGUUAUAGUAUCAGAUUUUAUAAUUCAAAUUAUCUAAAAAUUUCCCAAAUUUCAUAUUGUAAAAUAUAAUUUUAUAUUGACAACAAGUGUUAUGAUAUUAGGGGAUGUAAAAAGAAAAAAAAAAAUCGAUUUCUUCCUGCACCCUAACAAAUGUCUUCUUGCACCCAUCAUUUUCAAAGAAGAUUGUUUUACCUUUUAAAAAAUGACUUCCGAAUUGCUCUAUGGAAUAUAUUUUUCAAAAUACAUUUUAUUAAUUCCAGAUUUCCCAAUCCAGAAAUCAAAAAAAUGUAUUCCAAAAAAGAUAUUUCAAAAUGACUUUUUGUAUUCUGGAUUUCUUAUUCCAGAAACACGUUUUGCUUACGAACUCCUAUUCCAAAAUCACUUUUUUGCUUAUGGAACCCUAUUCCAAAAUCACAUAAAACUAUUUAAGGAUAAUUUAAGUAUUUAAAAGAAUGUAGAGGUGUAGAAAGAAAAAUGUAGGGGUGUAGAAAGAAAAAUGUAGAGGUGCAAGAAGAAACUCCCCAAUUAGUGAACCUACCAGCAGAAUAGCUCAACAACCCAAAAAGAAUAACAAAAAUGGGAAGCAAUAAUAAAUUUUCUACACCUCUAGAAAAUAAAAUGUCAUGUUUAGUGAAUUUAAAUAUAAAUAAAUUUCAAUUUUCCUAGUACUGUCUAAUGCAGUUAUUUAAAAAAAAAACUACUUACAUUUAAACUUAAACACCAUCUCCAAUAAGGAUAAUUUAUAAAAUAUAUUUUAUUUUAUGAAAUCAAGAAAACUAAAUGAAAUUAAUUAACAUUCUUUAUCAGAAUAAAAUCUAAUUUUAACCAGAGUUUUUUGAAUCAGAGGUUUUUCAGCUAUAACAGAAACCAAAUAUAAAAAUCUAGAUUGCAUUACUUGGGACUCAAGAACAUUUUGAGUUGAAAAUCAGUCCUUAAAAAUCCUAUGUUUCACUGUUAUCCUUUUGUGCAUGUCUCAUGCCAUCAGUUUCCUUAACACUUACCAAUGGAUGAAGAUGGAUGAGCCAAUAAUUGGUGUAGCCAUCAAAGCCAACUCCACUAACAUUUGUUGUGAAGAAAGAAUUUCCCAGUUUCUGGAACCAACCACCCAAACAAGUAAUAAGUCCCUUAUCACUGACUUUCCUCAAAUAUAUCAUCAUCUUCAUGUAGCACUGGACUAUUCUUCAUGUGUGCAAGGCUUGCUUGGUUACUUCCAUCAACCAAUGAAGACCUAACUACCUGCAAAUAAAUCAUUUCUUUUCUUCAUCAAUCCUAUAAUUGUGUGUAACAUAGUAGAACAAAAUUUGGAAACAUAGUUUCCUGAGAGAGUUAUUUUUUAAAAAUAUACCAAACAUGAGAAACAAACAUUCUCUACAUUAAAUUUCUGGAAAACUAAUUUUUUUUUACUGACUGUCCAUUACAGUAAUCUAGUUACUUAUAACUAAAAUCUAAGAUCAGUGUAGUCUAAAACCAAGUAUUAAUAAUAUUGGAGAUCCCAUAUCAAUUAUAAAUUAGGACAUUUCAUAGUUUAUAAGUGAGUGCAGACCUCAUCUUAUAAGUUGGUUUUAUAAGGUUGAGUUAGACAUAAAAUUUACUUCUUAAUAUGAUAUCAAAGUCAUUUAGAGUCUAUCCAAUGAGAGAGGCUACUCUUUGAGUUGCAUCAAAGAGAUGUUGAAUGUCAUUAGCAAAAAUAUAGUGCUUAGAAUUUCUAAGACAUGUUCAACUGAUUGCCAUGGGAGAUCAUACUACUCGAGACGCACAUAACCGAUUUCACCAGAACAAAGCCGAUGGUGGACAGCAGCAGCAGGGCAGUGAUUACCAGAGAUAGUGGACAGAGGUGACCAGGGCUAUUGAUACCAACUUGAACAAAUGAGAUGGAGAAAGUACAGUGUAUAAAACUUACACUGUUUUACCUUUUUAUUGAUGUAUGUGUGUGUGUGUGUAUAUAUAUAUAUAUAUAUAUCUCAGUGGAAAGAGGCAAGGCACUUAAUUGGAACCCUAAACUAAAGCUGGGUACAUACAAAAGAAAUAAUAAUAAAAUAACAUUACAUUUCAACACAUGCAACAUACUAAAUAAUGGCGACAUAUAAAGAAUGCACCAGGUUGCAAACUCCUAUAUGAAGACAAGGUGACAGCUAAAUUGUUUGUUAACCUAAUGGCAAGAGAUCUAACUAUAGUUAUGCGUUCUUGUAGGGGGAAUUUGAUCUCAUGGAGAACUAAGAUGCAAAAUACAAUUGCUUGAUCCAGCAGAGAAGUUCAGUACUAAAUUGAAAUUAGCUUCUCCACAAGUUAAAAUUAACUUAUGCAUAGACUCAUUUGUACUCUCAUAGCUUAUUUGUUUUUUACUUGGGAAAAAACUAAUUUUAGCUAAGAAGGAACUUAUUUCUUUUUUUUCUUCUUAAUCUUCUAGAAGUCCUUUUGGAGAAGCUCCCAAACAGGCCCUACAUGUUACAAGGCUUAAGCAACAUCUCCAGUAGUUACAAUUUGGAGAUAUUUAGGGACUGACCUAUCCAUGACAACCAAGUUGCUCUUCAUAUUGCAUCCAAUCUAGUCUUCCGUAAGUGAACUAUACACAUAAGAUAGAUUGUCCUUUCGUGGGAGUAACUGCUCUCAAGAAAAAAAGCGACUAACUUUGCUAGCUCUAGUGACCAACUGAUCAAUAUUUUCACAAAAUCUUUCAUGGGAUCUUGCGUAGAUUGUAACAAGCUUGGUGUAUGACAUAUACACUUUAGCAUGAGGAGGGUAUUAAAGAUACGGUUGUGUAAAUGGGGAAAUAUUGUAUAGUCUUAAUUUUAAGGAGUAUGUUUUAUGUUUCUUUUGUUUCCUACUACUGUAUCAUUACUAUUCCUUAUAAAUAUAAAAUCAUGCAUGUGCUCAUAAGACAAAUUCCUAUAAAUCUUUCUAUAUUCAAGAUACAAUAUAGUUUUGUAUAUUCUAAAAGAUCAAUGAUACUCACAACAAAAUCCUUGCUUCUUGUUCAAACUCAAAAAAAGAGACAUAAGUAGUCCAGCAUGUAUGCUUUAUAGCUAUUAUGUAACCCAAAAACAAAUUGUUGCUUGAUCAAAUGAAGCUCAACCCUGAAAUCUACCAUCAAAAUGGUAACUGCUUUGACCAUGACUAAAUCAAACUCCAAACAUACCAUCAGUGACUAAAGAUCUUGGCUUUAACUAAGACCUUCGAUGAGUCCAAACAACAAUUGCCAAUCCCAGUAGGCUUCACCACUUCGUGACCAGAUGUAUUUGGAGACAUAUAGAUUACAAACAGCAUAAAACCGGGUACACAAUUUAUACCAUAAAUUUUCUGGGCAAGAUCAUAUGAUAUUACAUUCUCUACCGACAAUAGACAAACUAGUAUAAAAACAUAAUCAGGAAGCAAGCACACAUGCAGUUUAUAAUUUUAAGAUACAAAAGAAUAUACAGCAUAAGAUCUAAUUUUAAAGUCGAUAAUAGCAUAUAACAGGCUCAGAUAAUGCAACCUUUUCAAUUUCUUCUAAAAGAUUCGUAUUCUCCUUUAAGUACUGUAUUGCUUUGUCCCUUCCCUGUCCCAACCUGUUUCAAGACACCAAUUGGAUGGUUAACAUUAAACCAUGCAGACUUACAUAUAAAAACAACCCACCAACCAUUUGGACAAAGAAUGGGGAAUACAAGGUAAAGGGAGAGAAGAAGGCAUUGAAGAAAAACCAACUUUUGUUUCACAACUGAUUAGCUUGCUAAUAAAUUUUACAUUAUAUAUUAUUGCAUUGUUAAGUCCUUAAUUUGGAGGACACACCCAGAUAACAGAGAGAACAAUGAAAGAGAUCAUUAAAUAAGUAAAAAAUAAGUACUAAGAUUCAGAAAGUAGAGACAGUACCGAUGGUCUCCAUAGCUGUACCAAGAGCCCUUCUUUAAAACAAUAUCCGUCAUUUCUGCACAAUCUAAAAUGCAUCCCUGCAUUCAAAAGAAAGAGUUAAAAUAAUGAUAUAGACUAACAGGUCUAAAGCUUUUAUGCUGCAAGACUCACCAGCUUACUGAUUCCCUCUCCAAAUAUAAUUUCAAAUUCAGCUAGUUUGUAAGGCCUUGAUACCUACAACAACUUAUUGAGUUAAGGACCUCUUAAACAUAGUUUAAAGUCAAUGAAAAUACAGCAUAAUAUUUGCUAAAAUAUCAAAGAUAUAUCUCCAAAUAUCUUGGUUUUAUCUUUAGAGUAAUUUAGAGCACCUUAGAUGAACUCAGGAUUGAUUUCCAUAUUUUAUUAUAUCUCCUAAUUUGAAAUUAGGGGUUAGUGCUUUGUAUAAUAGUGACAUCUCUUAAUGUUGUGUUGUAUACCAUACAUAUGCUAUAUUUAAAAUCUUAUAAUAGGGCACACGAGAAUAAAUCAUGGAUACAAAGAACCAAUCAAAAUCCCUAAUUUGUAGUAACCUAUAUUUCCAUAUUUGCAUGUAAUAGAUGUCCUCAUUCAAAAAUAUUUUUACAACACUCCCACCUUAAGCUGAAGCAAACAUGUCAUAUGAACCAGGCUUGUUAAAAUAUAGACAGCAUAUGAUCCUUUAAAUGACUUUGUGAACAUGUUGACCAGUUGGUCACUACAGCUAACAAAGUCCGUUGUAAUUUCCCUUCACAAACCUUUCUUACAAAUCUACAGACUAUCUUUAUGUGUUUAGUACAUUCAUUGAAGAUCUGUUUUGACUCAAUGUGGAGAGCAACUUGAUUGUCACAAAUAGGUUCAGUAUCUUCAAUGUCUCCAAAGUGAAGUUGUUGAAGGAAUUGCCUAAGCCAUGUAAUUUAGCAUGUACUUGCUAUCAAUAGUAUGGGAACCACCAAAACACUAGCGCUAUUGUUUCAAUUGCACACACUAGUAACUCAUUUGCUAGCAUCUCUUAGUCUUCUUCCCUUGGUCCUGGAUUGUUGACACUCUGCAUUUAACCACAUUUCUGGUAAUUGUUCAUUUUCUCUUUCCUUUUCUACAUUUGCUUAUGCCAAUGAUUCCCAAACCUAGUCCAAGGGGAUCAACACUAACCACUAACCAAUCCCAUUACUGUUUAAUUACCUUUACAAAAGACAUUGCUACCACGCAUGCCUAGAGUUUAGGACAGAUGAUUGUCAUUGAAUGAGUCUCAUGGCCUCUUCUUUUUCUCUACUCCAUCAUGCUUACUACUUGGGAUACUUUGUCUCCCUUAUCUUCAAAUAUUGGUCCCACAGAUGAGGUUUCUCAAUAGGACCUCAUGCAUGGACAUAUUAGAGGUUGGUAGAACCCCUCCGUAAUGGUCUUUAAAAGGUUGCUUGGUGGGACCUCACAUUUAAUUUUACUGAAGGUGUUGAUAGGAAGCACCUUUGUAAGUACUACCUGUAACUAACCAGAAAUUUGUAUUGCUUAUCGAGGAACCAGGUCCUAGCCACGUUCCGACCAUGGGAAUUGAUUACGAUGAGUAUGAUCCUUCAAAGGUGUUUGAUUCCUAGAAUUAGGAAUGGCCAAUUAUUUUUUUAUACUAUCAAGGUUAUUUUUCUUAUUUUUGAGUAGUAGAGACAUGAGGCACAUAGUUUUAAUUCAUUACUUGUCAUGGACAAUCAGUACUUUAUCAACAAAUUCCUUCAUUUCCUUUUUAAUUCUCCUAUGUCUUUGGAUGUAUGUUGUUUCGGUGGAGCAAAGAAAAAAGAAUUACUCAUUUUCACAAUAAAUUAGCAAGGAGUUUUGUCUAAAACUGAAAUUUUCCGUUAGUGUUUGUGAUGUAGUGAAGAUGGCUUGUUACAUGAAGAAUAAGUGGAAGGGCAGAGUCCAGUAAAGGAAUUGGGACUGGGGAAGAGUCUGGCAUGGCCUCACAGGCAGGAACAGCGGCAUGUUCAUGCUCCACAAUGGAUUAUUGGUAUCACUGGUAUGUUUGAAGAGGGAGUCCUCAUGUUGAAUUUCCUAAAAGACGCAAAAGAAGGACAAGAGGAACAAGAACAACCAUUGAAAGAGACUCAGGAGAUAAUGUAGCAGACUUAAAAGUGUCACACAGCUGAGGAAUCGUCGUGUUGAAUCUCCUAGAAGACAUAAAAGAAGAACAAGAGUAACAAGAACAACCAUCAAAAGAGACUCAGGAGAUAAUAGCAGAUUCAAAAGUGUCACACUGCUAUCCAAUUUUUAUACACUGUCACAAUAAAUCUAGAAUAAAUUAUCACAAGAAACAGAGAGACUGAUCAAUGACAAGUAAAAAUGAAUCAAAAUUGCUAACUUUGGAAAGUAUAAUAAAGGUCAAGUUUCAAGGGAUUAUGUUAUGCAGCACUAUAAAAAAUGAACAGAAAUGUUUUAAACAGAAAACUUCAAAAUUUACAAAUAUUGUCGCUUACCUUGCUCUUUUGUACUCUUAAACGAACUUUAAGGCCAAUUUCUUCAUCUCCUUUAGCCUAAAAGAAAUUGAAACCAAAAUGAAAAUGCAACCAGUGAUGCUUCAUUCAAACAACUUUGACAUCGCAGUCAAAAAGAUAAUUUCAGUAAAACUGCUGAUAGUUUGUAGUUGAGAUGCCUCUGGGAAACAGGAAGGUUUAAGAUGAUAUAAAAGAUUAUGCUAUGAUGGUGUUAUUGAGCUUACAGACUUUAUCUUCCCUGCAGGACGAACUUCUAGCCGAAGUGACGCAAAGAACUUCAAUGCAAUCCCACCACUGGUCACUUCUGGAUUUCCAUAAUAGACACCAAUCUACAGAAGUAAAUUAAAAAAAAAAAAAAAACUAGAGGUUUAAAAAAUCAAAUAUAGACAUUGAACUCCAUUGAUUGAGGAAGCAGUUGGAAUUUACCGUAGUCAUAACGAAAUGUAUGCAGUCAUCCAAAAGGAAAGUUAGACUAAUCAAACACAAGUACCUUAUAUCUUAUUUGAUUCAAAAAUAUAAGAGUGCAACCAGCUUUAGAUGCAUUCCCAGACAUUUUACGCAAAGCUUGGCUCAUAAGACGAGCUUGUAAUCCAAUUUGUUGCAUUCCAAUCUCCCCCUGUGCAUUUAAACGAAAAAUCUAGUUAAAAAAAUGCACUCCUUAAAUUAUAACCAGGAGUACCUAAAAUCAAAAAGUAGUUGUUUACUUCAAUUUCAGCUCGUGGAGUGAGAGCUGAGACAGAAUCCACACAAAUGAGAUCUAUGGCUCCAGAUCUACACAUUCGGUCUGCAACUAUAAUAUGGAAAGUUCAAUCAAUUCAUAGACACCAAACAGCACCCUGCUAUUGCAAUAUGGACAGCGCAAAUAUUAUCUUUUCCAUUUGAACACAAUCACAUUAAAGGCAAAUAUAUUACUCUCAAGAGCCAUCUCGCCAUGAUCAGGUUGGCAUACAAUUAAAUUUUCUACAUCCACUCCUAAUGCUUUAGAAUAUGCAGGAUCAAAAGCAUGCUCUGCAUCAACAAGCAUUGCAUUGCCUCCUAACUUCUGCACAUCAUAAAAAAAUAGCAUAUUGAUCCAGAAUUCUUUUUUUAUAUUAAGUGAUUCUUCAUGAUCAAUAAUUAAUGAUUUGAAAAACUCCAAACAGAAAAGUUACCUGCACUUCUGCAAUAGCAUGAAGAGCUAGGGUGGUUUUCCCACUACUUUCUGGUCCAAAUAUCUGGAAAAGAUAUAGCAGAUAAUAUCAGCUUGACCCAUGACAGAACAAAUGAGUUAAUAGUGUGUGUGAAUGGGGAUUUUAAGAAGGUAAUAUACUUUUAUAGAGAAUUUGAAAUAUUUUAUGAUAAAAUAUGUUGUUUAAUAAGGAAUUUGAAAAGAAAUUGAAAUUCUAAAAUUUUAUGAGUAAUUUGAAUUUCAAAUUUCAGCAAAAGUAAGAAUUCAAACUUUUCAUAUGUUCAAAUUUAUGUCACUUCCAUUUGUACUCUCUCCUUGGCUCAGCCUUAGUCAAGGCGCCAUCAACUCAGUUAAAACCAAUCAAGGUGUCGUUAACUCAACAUCGUGUUUUGACCAAUGUUGGCAAAGAUUUCUUUUAAGCUAAAGUCAACCGAAGUUAUUUUUCAUCUGACCUCGUUUCGGUUAUUUUAUUGUCAAUGUAGGCCAGUGAUACUUCCCAAUCAAAGUUGGUUAGGGUUUAUUUGGUCAACAUCAAUAGUAUUUUUCAACUGAUGGCAAACACAAUUUUUCGGAGUCUCGGGCCCACUUCUCUCUACCACAUAAGCAGCACUUGACGCGGUAAGGUGAGAUUUAAUGGAAAUGACCAAUUUGUGUACUUUUUAAAAAACAUAGGGACCAAAUUGAUUUUUUUAAAAACCACUAUACUAAAUUGAAUAUUGACCCUAAAUGUAGGAACAAAUAAGGUAAUUAUACCAUAAAUAUAUAUCUCAUUCUUCCCAAUCCAUAAAUGUAAAUAGGUUAUAUGAUCACAAAAAGAAAAGAACAACAACGAGAUGUAUAAAGGCAAUACCUCUACAAUUCUUCCUUUAGGAAGACCACCACCUAAAGCACAGUCCAAGGUCAAACAACCACUGGGGAAAGUUUCACUGCAAACAUUCAAGAUGAAAUACAAAAUCUGUGAUGCCAUUUGAUUCACAGAAAAUAGUGACAGGGUAUAUAAACUGAUGUUUCUCUACAAUUUAGGUGAGACAGAGAACAUAUAUAUGGAGAAAAUGCAUACACUAAAGCUCCACCAGCACUGCCCAGUCUUGUAACACUUCCCUUUCCAAAGGAGCUGUUUAUAUCAUUCAUUGCUGCUUCCAGUGCUUUUUGCUAGAAUGGAAAUUUAUUGUCAGAUUGAAUACACUUAAAAUUAGAAACAUAUCUCAUCAACAAUUUAUAACUAAGGAGAAACCCUAGUAGAAGAAUAAACUACUAAUUUUAUGACCGUGACUGACUAUAUUUUCAUCAGAAACCUAAAAUCAAUUUAGGCUUAAAUAUGUUUUUAGUCCCAGCAAUACGAUUAGUAUGUUUUGAUUUUGGUUCCCUAAAAAAAUUGUUUCUUUGUUUUCCAUCCUAUAAAAUUUGAAAGCACUAAGUUUAGUCCUUAUAAAAUGUGAGUUUCAAUUUAGUCCCAAAAAAAUAUUUUUCACUGAUUUUCAUCCCUCAAAAAUUCCAAAUCACCAUUUUUAAUGCCUACUAUUCAUUUUAAGAUAGAUAAAUAUAAUUUAUUUUAUGAAUCUUAAGAGUUUCUUUUACCUGUUGCAUGCUAACAUUACAUCACAAUACUGGUAAUGUGUCACUUGGAAUGGUCACUUAACCUUUUGUUCAACACAUAACCAGUUCAUUAGUGUCAUGAUACUAGGGAUCAAAAAGUAAUAAUUUCCAAUUUUAAAAACAAAGAAAUUUUUUUACAGGGACCAAAAACAAAACUCACUUAUUUCACAGGGACUAAAACCAUAUUUAAGUCAUCAAUUUAUAACAAAUAUGGAACCAUAUAUCCUAAAAUUGACAUGCUAAAUGAAUCUAAUGGACCAGUAAAGGAAACAUUAUACUUCCAUGAGUAAUGAGAUCAGGGAAAGUGCAUAAAAGAUGAUAUGGUGAAAUUUUCUAUAUCCUUAUGUCUAUCCAAAAGGUGUAUUGAAUAUACGAUGAUGUCAAACAUUUCUAGAAACAAUAAAAUAUCAUACAACAUCAUACCCAGAUAGAAUAACUCUUCAUUCUUUUAGAGUACCAUAUCUCUUCUAUUAAACAACAAUUCUUGAUAAGCAGAAAUUUAUUCAAUUCCUUCUAGCACUAUCCAUAAGCCCCACUAACAGAGCAUGAUGAGAUGGCAUUGAUUAAUGACUAUAGGUUGCCUACCAACAGUUGACAUGGCUAUAAUGUAGCUUAGGUGGGUAAGGACAUAAAAUUGAUUUUGUUAGGAGGUUGUGGAUAUUUUGAUUAGUUCUCUUCUUAACUUUUAUUUCUUAUGCCUAACCAUAGACACAACCAACUAGACCAGCCACCACUGCUAUCAUUACCAACUUCCCAGUUCCCAUGUCAUCUACAGAAAAGGAAGGCAAAGAGGAGGCCAAGAAGGAACGAAUGGAUGUGAAAGCAGGGUACAUGACUAAAUGAGGAAAUAGAAGGAGGAUAUUGAGCCCCAUGGUGAAGACUAACUAAGACCAUGGUAUCUGUGGCUGAUUUAAGAACCAUAUUAAGAACAUGAUAAAAUUGCAAUGCUCAUUUCACAAGUCAAUAUUUUCUAUGCAAGGAUAUGAGAAUUUCCACAUGCAUACUCCUCUUCGCUUCUGUUCACAGGAAAACGAACACAUGAACAACAUCAUACAAAUUCAUUUUACAUUGCUCACUUUGAAUUUGGUAUCCUUACGGUUUAAAGAGAGGAUGAAGAAGAGAUUUAGAUUUCGUGUAAAAUGAACUUUUAACCCCAAGUGAUUACUAUCAAGUAUAAGUAGCUAACUAAUCUGUAAAACCUAACUGAGUACAAACAAGUAUAUAAGCUCUAUAAAGCUAACUUAGAGUUAGGUAGGAGGUUAGAAGACGCAGCUGCACUACUAUAGUAGCCGUUAUACCUAUACUAUUGCUGUACUAAAAUAGAAAAGAAAACUAUAUUUUUGCAGACUAACUAUACUCUAAUAUAGCUCAAUAGAGAAUGUCACAAAAUGCAAACAAAACUUCGUUUCAACAUUUUUUAGUGAUUGUCGUCCCCUAUCCCACCUACAUGGCUAGAGAUUUUCAGAACUAUACAUACAAAGAAAUCAACAAGCCCACCAAAUUCAAGUAAGCCCUUAGGCAAUGUCUUAUGAAAUGUCCUUCAAAACCUAGAUUUUUGUUAGUCCAAUUUCUCUAUCUCAAGUUAAAGCAACACAGCCACAGCAUAACAUCAAACACAUAUAUCCAAUGAUCACUGAACCAAGCACUUAGUAAUGCAACUCAAAAUAGUACAAUAAACAAACAAAUAAAAAUCUCUUCCAAGUAUGUUUAAACAGACAAUAAAAACCACACAAAAAAGUCCUGAAAAGGUGAUCUUUUUUUCCAUAAGUGAAAGUACCAACAAGAGCACAAACGCAACCACCCACUUCAAAAGGAAAGUGAAACCUUCGUGAAUGAAAUAUAACCAGGGCCCAGAAAGCAAAAGGGUUCAUAACCAAUAACAACAGCAGCAAAAUGGAGCAUACCCUAUCAAUGAAGCGAGGGUCGAAGUCACCGGAGAGAGCACCAUUGGGUCGGCCUUCAAGUUCGCAUUGAAUAUUUGCAUGCUUGAAAGCGGUGACAGCACGAAACCUUAGAGGAAGAGGGAACAACAGAGAAGAAAAGAGUGGUGCCUUGAGAAUAACACUAUGGGGUUUCAGAGGGAACAUCAAAUCCAUUAUUGCUGGAACAAAAAUGAAGAUACAAAAAAACGUGUUUUUUUGUUGUUGUAACAGAGAUAACAGGGAAAACAAAAACCUGCCCAGACAAAAAUCUAUAUCUUCGGUCUCGUUAGUUGUUCAGUAUAAACAUAUAAACAGGGUAAUAGAACAUAAAUCAUGAAAAUCAAAUAAUCAUCUAAAUGCACUUAUUAAUAUUUAUAAUAUAAUAUUAGAAUGUAAUACUCUAAUAUAUUUUCAAUAUUUCUAAAAAAAAUAUUUAUCUAAUUUAAAAUUAAUGUUGAAAAAAUUACUAUUUCAAUUUUUUCAGACAUAAAAAACAAUUGGUAGAAACUAAAAUCAAAAUUCACUAAUUUUUUUCAUAAUUAAAAAGAAUAAUUUUAAAUUUUAGAAUAAUGAGAAACGAAGAAAAAUUAUAUGUACCCAAAUAAAAAAAAUGAAAAUAGAAUACUAGAGUAAACUUAUAAUUUUUUCUAAAAUUCAAGAAUUAAAAUAACAAAACGAAAAUAGGGAGACUAAAAUCUCAAAUAAGAAAUUAAAGAGACUAAAACUCCAAUUUAGCCAAAAGAAAUAGUUUCUAAAAAGAUGAGUUUUAAAUGUAAAUGUAAAAAUAAUAAAUUGAAAUUGGUUUUAAAUAAAAAUCUAAUUUUAGUUUUUUCAGAAAAUUAAUGAUUACUUUAAUAAAAUUGUUAAAGAAUUAAAAGUAAAAAGUUUUUAUAUUCACGUGCAUAAGAAUAAGAAUAUGGUCCCUUCAUUUUCUAAAAUGGACUGGUCCGAGCUGAACAAGUCACAUCAUUCAACAUUGGAAACCGAUAAAUUGGAUGAAUUGGUUAUAUCAAAUAAAAUAAAAAAAUACGUAAUAAAUAAGGUAAUAUCCUCUAAAUUUGGUAACUAUGCGAUAAAUCAGGUAAUAUUAUUUUAUUAAAAAUAUAUAUUAUAUAUGACCCAUAAAUGAAAUAACUCACUAUUAACAUUACAAAUAAGCAUUGCUAUGCAAGAGAAUGUACGCUUUAAUCAAUAUAUUAUUCACUCUUAUACAGAGUACUUACUUUAUCAUUGGAGAACCUUUUACAAGUUAACUCUCGACCAAGAACUAAGGAAUGAGUACGAGAAAGGACGAAGGAGGAGCUAUCAUGUACUAUCUAGGCCUUAUAACCCUAUACAGGUACAAUUGGCGCCCACCAUGGGACCAAGAUAGAGUCAAAGAGCAGCAAAUGGUUUCGACAAGGCAUAUGGCAAGCGAGAAAAUGAAGGAGGCCGAGCAAAUAGCUAUGCUCCAAACCUAACAAAGAGAUGGCAGAAAUGUGCCAGAAGAACAUGGAGGAGAUAUGAGUCCUACGUCAGAAGAAUAAAGAGGAAAUAUGAAUCCUUCGAGAAUAGAAUGAUCAAAUGAAGCAACAACUAGCCGAGAUCGCAUCUGAACUAGGACCUCGAAGGCCAGACCCAAAAGUCAGGAGACCACCACCUAGAUGGGGUCCUCAAGGAUCUGAAAGUUAGAAGACAAGCCUCCCCAGAAAAAUUCGAGAAUACAAAAAAUUAGGAGAAGACUACCAUUCUUCGAAUUCAAACUCAUCAAUCCUCCACGCCCCAUUAAUCACAACAUGCUCUCAUUUUGGAAGAGGAACAUAUGAGACAUCCCUUUACUGAUCAAAUCAUGGAAGCAAAACUUCCUCCUAAUUAGAAAGAAGAAUGGAAGGAAGAUCAACCAAAACUUUAUAAAUAGAAUAUGACCCCCAAAAAGUGGAGCCCCCUUCAUCUCAUUGUGACUUCCACACAUCUAAGAAGUUUCAAUUACGACGAAAUUUCGAACCCCAUUCGGCUGAGGAAGUUUUGUCUUAACAUGACAAUCCCUCUUGAUGCCCAAAGACUUGACUCGGUUAAGGAAGUUUUACCCUAACAAGGCAAUCCCUCCCGAUGCCCCAAGGCUCGGUUCAGUUAAGGAAGUUUUUCCCUAACAUGGCAAUCCCUCCUGAUGUUCCAAGGCUCGACUCGGUCAAGGAAGCUUUGCCUAACAUGGCAAUCCUCUCGAUGCCUAAAAACUCGACUCAGUCAAGGAACCUUUUCCUCGACAUGGCAAUCCCUCUCAAUGCCCUAAGGCUUGGCAUGGUUAAGGAAGCUUUGCCUAACAAUCAACAAUCCCUCCCUAUGCCUAAAAAUCUCUACACUUCGGCUAAGGAAGCUUUGCCCCAAUGUGGCAAUCCCUCCCGAUUAGUGAUAAACCAAAUAGUUAGCUCGGUAAGGAAGCAUUGUCUCAAACGACAAUCCCUCCCAGCAACUAACCUAAAAUAGCUUUUAACCACUCCUACAUGUGGGAUCAUUAAACAAGAAAAAUGCAAGGUAAAGCAACUAAUCAAAAUUCAACUUAUUAAAUUGAGCGGAGUAGAACGUUCAGUCGAAAUUCAUACUUAUGAAAAAUUGCAAAGCAAAAACACAUGGUCAGCAAACCAUUAAUGAUCAAAAUUGUCACUUCCUACCUCGAGACACCAAAUGGUCAUAUCUAGGAUCUUCUGGAAGGUUCUCCCUUAAGCUUGGGGGACAAGUGUACCAGUCGGAGCCGAACGAGCCACAUCACUCGACAUCGGUGACCGAUCGAAUGAAUUGAUUAUAUCAAAUAGAAAAUAAAGAGAUACACGAUAAAUCAUGUAAUAUCCUAUAAAUCUGGUAACCAUGCAAUAAACCAGGUAAUAUUGUUUUAUUAAAGAAACGUAUCAAAUAAGGCUCAUAAACGAAAUCGAUCAUUAUUAACACUCUAAAUAAGCAUUGCUACACAAUAGAAGGUAAACUUUUAUCAUUAUAUCAUUCACUCUUAUACAGAGUACUUACUUGAUCGUCAGAAAACCUUUUGCAGGUUAACUCUCGACCGAAGGAAUGAGUACAAGAAAGGACAAAGGAGGAGCGAUCAAAGGAUCAUAGAUAAUUGUUCCAACCAGUAUCAUGUACUAUCUAGGCCCUAUAACCCUAUACAAGUACAUAAAGUACUCUAAUGAUUUUGAAUAAAAAAACUUCUUUUUUUUAGUCUUUAUCUAUAGGUUGGUAUGGUUAUAUUAUUUGUCCCUUGGUUUCUCUUUGUAUUUUUUUUUUCAUUACAAGUGUAAUAAUUUUAUGUUCUAAUUGGUCUAGAUUUGAGGUUCUUUUUAAUAUAUGAGAAUAAUUAUAGCGAAGUGACUGAUGGCAAAAGUGAUUAUAAUAAUGAUAAUAAUAUGUUCAUUGAUUAUUUAAUAAAAGCAUUUAUGUUAGAGAGGUGAUACAUUUAUAGCAAUACUUAUCUCUACACCACUCCAAGAUGUGAUGUGGCAUUUUAAACAGCAUGGCAUUGGACGUGUUGGUGGAUGUGUGGCAAAGUAUGAGGAGUAGAAAAAGGAUAGUAGAGAGCGUGAAGGGUUAUGUGUUGUCCCUUGUGUGAAGGUGUGUUGAGCUUAAGUUAUGGCUUGUGUGUCAGAGUGGCGGUGUGGGCGACGAAGGCAUAGCAACGAGGUGGUUCAACCAACAUGGAUUGUGAAGGUUAGUUACUAUAAACUAUGUUUUUUCAGAAAAAUAUUGCAAAGUAGAGGGAAAAAUUAUUGUUGGUGAAUGUUAGGGUAAGGGUGAAUGUUGUACCCUUUUGGAAGGGGGCGUGGAUGCAUAGGGGGCGAUUGUAUUUGUGGCAUUAUCAAUGAUAAUUUGGUGCCAAUUUCCAUAUUUGUUUUGAAGUCAUGUUGGAAAGUCGUUGUAGUUGUUGAUUUGGAUAGCAUGGUAUGUACCAAAAUUGAAAAGUAAAUCGCUAGUUGUUGUUUAAGGAAAUAUCUAGCCAUGGUUGAAUUAAGAUGAAUGUUGGUCCAUUGAGAAAAAGUAGGCGGAUCAUGUUGAAUGUUGAAAGUACCUUUUGAAGUUGAAACACUCCUUUGGAGAAUAGGAGAAUAGUGGAGUAUUAGUGAAUAUAGAUCAGGAUAGGUUGGCCUAGAAAAGAAUUAGAUGUGUGUUGUGUGUAGGUAAUUUAUAGUAAUGUUGUAGUUGAUAGUUGGAUUUGAUAGUUGGAUCAUAGGAAGUACAUUUAAGAAGGAAACAAUAAUUGGGAAGUGUUACAAUAUAAAGUAUUUAUGUUUUCUUAUAUAUUUUGUUAUUUAUUGUUUUGUAGAUGCAUUUGAGGCAUGAAAAAUGAAGGAAAUGGAUGGAGGAUUGAUUUGGUGCAAUUUUCGCUUAAGCAAAAAUAGUUUCAUGCAAGCAAAACUAGGGUCGAAACCAAUAUAAUGUCACUCAAGCUAAAACAACAAACUAUAAUGCAAUUUCAUUACUAGUUUUUUCACUCAAGUGUGGAUUAAAUCGCUCAAGCGAAACAAACAAUAGUGAGAUGAUAAAUGUUGAGGUCGAUUUCGCUCUAAUGAAAUAAUGUUGUCUUAAGAGAAAGAAAUAAAGCAAUGUCAAGUUUCACUCAAGUGAAAAAAAAAAAUGUCGCUUAAGCGAAACCAAGAUUGAUACAAAGCCUACAUUUGAGUCCCAUAUCACUCAAGUGAAAUACAACUGUGUUAAGUGAAAAAUGGUAUAGGUUCACAAAUUUGGACAUGAGGCGACUUUCGGUCAGGCGAACCCAUCAUCGCUUAAGCAACCUCGUGCAUGGAUUAAAAGCUAAUUUUGCAGUCAAUUUCGCUCAAUCAAAAAAAGAACUCGCUUAAGCGAAAGUGUGAUUGAUAUGAUGCUUAGAUUCAGGCUUUAUAUCGCUCAAGCAUAAUAAUGUUUUAUUAAGCAAAAAAUUGUAUGGAAAAAGGUUGGAUACAGGGCAAAUUUCACUCAAGCGAACCCACCAUUUCUUAAACAACUCCAUGGAUGGAUUGAGAGGUAGUUUCAAGGUUAUUUUCGCUCAAGCAAAAAAGUGUCGCUUGAGCGAUUUAUACUGACUAGCAGUUUUAAAGAGAGGGAAAUAAGUUUUAUAAUUUUUGCUCACACUAAAUUCCCACAACCAGGGAGUCGCUCCAACUCUGUUACAUAUUUCUCUUCCUAACCCUACUCCAUUCGACGAAUCUAGUUCUUCAAUUACCACCAUAAGUUGAACAAAAAGCACCCAAUUAAUUUGUCAUUCUUCUAUUUAUUUUUUAUUGUGUUAUUUGUUGUGCCAUUCUUCUAAUUGUUUUAUUUAAUGAUGAAUGUAAUAUGUUGGUUCAUUUGCACUUGUUGUAGUGAGAUGAAUUUCUUUUUCUUCAUUGGUAGUGUAUUUACUUAGCAUAUUACAUGUUCAAGCAUGAAUUAAGGGAUUGCCUAUUAAAAUAUUUGAUAAAAUGUGUGAAUGAUAUGAUAUGUUGUUCUUCAAUAUCCACCACAACUUGAAAAUAAACCACUCAAGUAAGUUGUCAUCGAUUUGUUGUCUCAUGCAUUGGUUUGCACUUGUUGUGUGUUGAAAGUAUUUUUCUUUAGUUUGAGUAUUUUGACUUAUGACAUUACACGUUCAUGCAUGAAUGAAGGGACUAGCCAUGAACUCUUUGAUGAAAUGUGUGAACGAUAUGUUUUCUUGUGGAUUAAUGUAAAGGGCUAGUUCAGAUGUAUAAACUUUGAAUGAACAUAUUUUGACAUAUUGUGUGGAGUUGAAUGUGUGACUAAAAUUUGAUUGCAUCUUAAAUUGUGAGUUUAUAUAAUUCAUGGGUUUAGCUUUGAAGGAACAAAAAAUGGUGAGGUUGUGAAGUUGUAGUUCUUCAUAAAUUGUGUGACUUUUAAGGGUGGAGUUACUUCAGAAAGGGGAAUUGAAUGGAACUUAAACUCUAAUCGCAAACCUAAAAAACAAACAAACACAGAGUCCAACAAAUAAUAGAUAGAUAGAUAGAUAGAUAGAUAGAGAGAGAGAGAGAGAGAGUAAUGGACACUAAAUGUAUACUAGUUCACUCUUCAGCAAGGACUACAUCAAGUCCCCUUGAGCAGCUCACUGAAAAGCCUUUUGCUAAGUCUUCUCUUACCUCUCGAGGUAGACCAGUAUUCUAGACACUACAGGUUCUCCAAGUAUUAUAUCCUCUCCAAGUAAACAAUCCUAAUUUCCUCCUAAGAUGAAGGACCUUUAAAUACAAUAAGAAAACGUUAUUUCAAAGAGAACAAUGAAAACUCACAGGGUAUACUUCAAAAUAGUUAAUGAUUUACAAUGGUUGUGAAAAAAACUCAAUUAUCACAAAUUCGCUCUUCACUGACAGAUAUGAAAAAUGUAUAAGCACAAUUCUAGACACAAUUGCUAAAAGAUUUUAUGUACACUUGAAUGUUUCGUAUGAUGCUCGUAUGUACAUGUAUACUUGAAUGUUUCGUAUGAUGCUCGUAUGUACUUCAUUGUUGUGUAUUUCAACAUUGAGAUCUUUAUAUAAACUUCUGAAAUGUGUACAUUGUAGUUUUAGGGUUUCUUUUCUUCAUAGUAGCCCUUAUAUGCUUGAUAUUAAAACUAUUGUUUUGAUUGAUCUUCACGUGUAAGGCUUUUAAAAACUUUCUUUUUCUUCCUCAAAUAUGAAUAUUGACACUUUAAUCUUCAUUACUUCGAGUAUUAGCUCAAUCUACCACGUAGUUCUUCUUUUUUUAAUACGCUAGAUAUGGAAACUUUUGUUAUGAUGCAAUUUGUGUUUCCUUAAAUAUUAUGAAAAUUUUCAAAAUGUUUCUUUAUCUAUAUUUAAUUUGAACAUUGAAGCUUGAAACAUUUAUGCAGUUAAAUAUUUCCAUUCCAAUUUUGUUCAUCGUCUUCCACAUGUUAAACAAUCAAUAUGGAAAAUUCAUAUAUGUGUCUUCAAUGCGUUUUACUGUUUGUGUUUUGAAACAUCUUUAUAUCUGAAUAUCUUUGUUCUUAUUACCUUGAUAUUGCUUUAUGCUUGAUCUGCGCAAAUCUUGCUCAUCAACUUCAUUUCUUUCCUAUCAGAAGCUAAAUAUGGAAAUUUUGGCUUUUGACUUUAUAUGCGUCUUUAUGUUCCUUUGACAAUUUUAGGGAACAAAAUCAGUAUCAGUGAAUAUUAUAAUUAAUAUAAUAAAUCAUUGUAUCACUGAAGCAAAAUCUUUAUAAUAUUUUCUAUUUACGGAGACUUUCUUUUCUCAUAUUUUUUAUUUUUAAUGCACUUUCAAAUUCUUUCUAAGUUAAUAUUAAAUCAAAACUAGCGUAUUUACAUUUAACCUAGAUAUUAUUCCACUAAACAUAUUUUGAAAGAGUCUUUGAUAUAGAAAAUAUUCAUCUGUUUUUCGGAAUCUUUACACUAAAAUACUCUUCAUACAAAAUCUUUCCAAUACAAUCUUAAAUUUAAUUAUAUUUGCACAUAUGUAUUAAAAAUAUUUAAAACCAAUAUGGAAAACAUUUUUCAUUCACAAAAAAUUUAAGCAAAAGGUAUUUGAGAUUUUCAAGAUCUUUGUGUUACGUUCUCAAAUACAAAAACUUUCCAAAAUCCUUUAACCAAUAAUCUUAUAUGAAAAUAAUGUUUUCUAUGAUUUAGAAAUGUCAAAUAAGAUUUGGAAACAUAAAUACAAUGUCAUAAAACAUUUAAAGAAUGUAAAGAUUAAGUAUGGACACUUCCCAGGUGUAGUGGUUCAUUUGACGAGUUAAAGAUGCUUGUAUCAUCUGAUAUAUGCAAUCUUCAGUGUACAUCUGAUGCUCGUGAACUUGUACAUCUGCCUUGUGUUGCCCAAGGGGUUUCGUUUGAUGUGAGCUUUUAAUGAGUUCAUCAACACUUAGGAUCGUCUAAUGUGUUCUUUCUACGAGCUUCGUCUAAUACAUGUUUUUACAUAUGAUUUCUUAUAUGCGUAAUGUUCUUUAUUUUCAAUGUGCUCUUUGAAUAUGUUAUCCAUUUAGAGAAUGAACACGAAGAUUGGAUCAUUUAAGCGUGUGACAUUAUUUUGUAUAACAACUUUUUUCGUUCUUGUAUCGUCUAGUGAGUCUUGCUCAUUUACUCUUAUUAUUUUCGCCUUAACUUGUAUUGCACAUGAGUGAGCUUUGUCAUGUCACAACAAAUCUUAUAAUGUUUGUUAUCUCCAACACAUAUAGACGUUCGUAUAAUUAGAUCAUCUUAUGGGUAUUGAUUCAUCUACUGACUCAACAAGUUCACUAAAAGUCAAUGUCAUUGGAAGGGGUGAUUGACGUGGCUGAUGGAAUGUUAAAUGAACUAAAAUAAAUUUCAAGGGUAGCCAAAGGAAAGUGGGAAGAUCCACUAUUAGAAGUCCAAUGGGCAUAUAGGUGCACACCUUAAUCUGCAACAUAAGAAACUCUAUACAACUUGACUUAUGGAUGGAUGCAAUGAUACCAGUAGAAGUGGAUGAGCCUUCACUAACAAGACAACUUUUUGACAUGAAUAUCAAUGAUGAAAACCCCACAACUAACCUAGACUUACCCAAUGAAUUGAAAGACAAAACCCAAAUAAGAGAAAAGGCUUACAAGAUUAGAGCAUAAAAAAGAUACAAUUCAAAGGUUAAGCCAAAGAGGUUUCACCAAGGAAAACCAAAGGCAUGUUCUUGGGAAUUUUGGAGUGACUAUUCCAGAUCAACAGUGAAGUGAAAAUGGAUCACAUCGGCUUAAGUACCUCUCAGGGGAUCCUAUUAUGAGAACAUGGAAUGCAACACAUUUGAAGUUUUGUUUUAGUAAAGUCAUGGUUCAAUUGUAGAUGUAAUCUUUCCGUACUUGGUCUUUUUUCCCUCAGGAGAAUUUUGACUGAGAAGGUUUUAACGAGACACAUAAAUAAAGUAUCCUUUCUUUCACGACUAUAUGUUCCAUUUUGACAUUAAUAUAUAUCGGCCAAGAAAAAAUUAAUGUGAUCCCUCCUUAAUACUAAAUCAACCUAGGAUGUUUCACACUGAUCCCUCUUUUUAAGUAUGCACUAAUUCAACCAACAAAGUUUUGCUAACACAAUCCAACUACCAUUAAUAAAAAUCUUAAAAUGGCAUAAAAUCAUAAAUUCAGAUAACAAUAUAAUUCAAAUACAGAGUAAAAACUCACCGCCAAUUACAAAAAGUUCCUAAAAUAAUAAUAAUAAUUCACUAACAAGCCAAAAGAAAAGCUAUUUACCAAAACAAUCUUAAAGAUUGAGACAUGAACUAAGGUCCUUGACCAUCCUGAGAUCCUUGCUCGACACCAUCAUGGCCUUCAUCAAGACCACCACCAACACGAUCAAUCGGGAUAUCAAUCGACAUCAGAUCCCUUAGAUAGACAUCUUUGUCGACAUCAAAUUUCCCUUUAUGAACAAGAAUGUUAUAGAAAAAAACAUCCUAGUGAACGAUCUGGUUAAACAUGUAUUGUUGGAACUUUAGAAGCUUUACCUCAACCUUCGUUUUGUUGGCAUUCGACUCUUCAUGAGCCAAAGUCAUAUCUGUGAAAAUUUUCUUUAAGUCCUUCAUGUUGGUUGCCAACCCUUUUUCCUUCUACUUUGAUAUCAGGCACUAGAUCUGCAAGACUGAAACGAUUCCAGAUAUCUAAAGCAACAGCAAAUAGUUAUGUACAAUGGAAAUCCUUAAAACAAUUAGAUUAAGCAAUAAUAUGCUUGAUUAAAGAUCCUUCACCAAGCCAAUCUAGAUCCAUUUAUACAAAAAUCCAUUAUAACCUUAUAAAUUGGUUGACAUUUUACAAAUAUAAAAGUACAUUCAAUAACAUUUAUUAUUUGAAUAUUCACCCAACUCACUUUUACAUAAAAAUAUCUUUUGAAUGUGUCACUUGCUAUUUGAAAGAAACUCAUACCAAAUCCACUUAGAGAUAUAUAGUUUCAGAUUCUAGAUUUAAAAUUUAAAAUCACAAUUGCAUGUUAUUUAUAUUUUUUUUAUUACUUUUUUCAUCGACUUUUCAAUCCAUUUUACAUAUAUACGCCACCUUAUGUAAAACUUUCAAAAUAAAAAUUCAAAAUACAGCGUCAUGAAGAGACCCAAAAACUAACAAGGAACUGGAAUAUUCAAAAUUACACAAUGCAUCUCACCUACAAGGGACAAAUUUAAAUGAAUUUCCCCAUAAACUCGAACUUUGAGUGUUCAACAUUUAAUCUAUAUUAAAUAUUAUUAUAUACUAUUCAUUUUAUCUAAAACGUGUAGGAUUGUGGAACUACAAUACAUAAGUUAUAAUUUAGUUUAAUCAAUUUUACAUAGUUAUUUUAUAAGUAUAAAAUUAUUCCUCAGCACAGUAAUUAGACCUCCAUAAGAGAAAUAUACUUGCAUUUAUUAUUAUUAAAAGAGUUUAAGUGUAGUUUUGGUACGUACUUUAUAUUAUUGGUAUUUUUUUUCUUAAUUUUAGUUGUUUUAUUUUUAAUUAUCCAUACCUUUAUUCAAAUUUUAAAUCAAUUAUCCGUAAAAUUCUGUUACCUUGGACAUGAUACAGUGAGAUUGAGAGAAGUGCAUGACAAGGAGUGAAUUUUUAAAAAUUAUUAAAAAUGUAGGAGUUGUAACCCAAUAUAAUUUUGAUAAUGAUUUAAUAUAUUUUUUAAAAUUAAAAUUGAGCAAAAUAUUAGAUAAUUAAAAAAUAAUAAACCAAUACGUAAAAUAAUUCAGCGUAAAAAAUAUAGAUAACUAAUAAAAUUAAGAGAUCAAAAUUAUAGAAAAAAUUUAGAGCAAAACUAAAAUUUUAUAAGAACGCCUUUGACAUGAAGAAAGUCUUUGACACUUUCACUCGUGGUUUUUUUUAAAUCACUCAAGAGUAUGGUUUUCGCCAAACUUUCACCUAGUGGGUUUUGCAUAUUCUUUAAUUUGUUCUUCUUUUAUAAGGAAUAACAUUUUGAAGAUCGACUAGAAAUGAGGACAUUUUAUAAUAUAUAAGUGAGUACAACUUCAUUCCAUGAGUCGGUUUUAUAGGGUUGAAUUAAGCUUAAAGUACAUUUCAUAAUAUGGUAUCAGAGCCCUUUAAAAUUUAUCCAAACAAUAGUUUGUUGGCCUUAUCAGGGCACCCGUUAUCGGACCACUCAUAAUAUGUUAUCCCACGCACGAGUCUUACUUUUUUUAGGGAUAUGUAAGGGUUACUUUUUUUUGUUUAUCUUAGUUGCAUGUUUGUGUUUGUGUAAGGAGCUAAGACGUAAGUUGUUUGUAUAAGAAUUGAAGUAUUCAUGAAAUAUCUCUAUUUUAUUAAUUCUUUUUUGCUGAUAAAAAAAAUGAGUUUAUUACUUCUCUAUGGGUUUAGGGUAGCAGAAUAUAAUACAAGAAAAUCAUGAAAUAGAAACCAAUUUGUAGAAACCAAAAUAAUUAGUUGUAAUAGUAACUAAAUUAGAGACCAUUUUAGAAACUAAAAAGAAAUUAGAUUUCUAAAUUAGUUUCUAUUAUUUUCUAUUAUGGUUAAAUAGUUUCUAAAUUGGUAUCUAAUUAGCAAUCAAUAUUUUUGCUACUAAAUUUAGAAGACCCUUCUCUUCCAUUUGUUGUUUUGUUUUGUUGAACAUGUUUAAGGGAUGUUUUUCUUUCCAUAUGCUAUAUGCUGCUAACAUUUUUCUUCUGAUAACAUAACAAAUAGGACCUUUUUUAUUCUAUAAAUCACAGAAUACAAAAUACACGUAUAUUGUUUGACAGCUCCAUCGUAUAUCAUUUGCUAUUUACAAAGCUAACAGCAACUGCAUGCAUAGCCAACAACAACAGAAUCUUCAAUUUUUCGGGGCAUCAAACGAAUCAAUCAUCUUUUUUCUGAAACACAACGGGGAGUGAAGCGCCAUCCAAAGCAAACAAAAUCUUUCCAUUCUCACGCAGAAUUCCAGCGUUGCCACAAACGAAUCCACAACUGGAGCAAAGCUCCAUAGGGCACCACUGGAAGUUAUAGAUUCCUGCACUUUCCGUUUCCACAAUUCUGAAAUAGUUACCGUACAACCCUGCACUAUCAUCUUCCCCACUGAUGAUGAGCCUCCUUCCACUCCCUGUAUCGUUCUCGCCCACCCUCCAUUCCGUGGUCUGCACACACGUCGAUGAAACUUCCACGAACUCCACUUUCAAGUCCCUGUUCACCCCUAUAUCCUCGUCCUGAAUGUUGUUCGCAAAAUGAGUGAACUUCACUGGAAAACCUUGUGCAGAGUCCGUGUCUUCAAGACCAACGUACAAAGGGCACGAGUCGUUUCUGUUGAUCAAGGUGAAACGCCCUCCGUUCUCUGUUAUGGCGGGUUUGAUGUAAUAUUCUUCGUCGUUAUCCACGGGUUCGCCAUUUGUGUCGAUCACGUACUGGGCUAGUGUUUGCUUGGCCAUGAAAAACCACACCGCGAGGACUAGGGAAGCAGGCACCUUCAUCGACAUGGUUAACUUUUUUGUCUGUCACACGAUGUUUUUAAGGUCUGUGGAUUUUGUAUAAUGUGUGGCUUUUUGGGCUGCGGGAGGAAGCUAUUUGUAGGAUAUGUAUGAUAUGAUUUCUUGGUGUGUUUGGAGUUAACAUGAGUUUGAAAUGCCGAGUUGGUCAAUGAUGACUUAGAUGAACAAUGAUAAAUCCAUAAAUAUAUUACCUUUAAGAUUUUGGGUUGAAAAGUAAUAUGUUGAUUUUUUAUAAUCUCAUUAAUGUUAAUUUAGAUGAUGAAUGCUUUAAAAAAAAAUUUAAAGGAUUUCUCAGCCUUUUGGUUUUAUAUUUGCUUUAGUAUGAUUUUAGUAUGAUGUUAGAGGUAGUUUUUCGGGGGGCUUUACCAUGAUGGGUUAUUUUUUUUUAUUUUUACUAAAAUAGGGUCUGUUUAAAAAAAAAUUACAAAUUUAGACAAGUUGUGUCGGCACGACUUCAUGUGCACAAAUCGUUCCAAUUUGACACGACUUUGCCAUGUCAUACUGAAGUCGUGCCAACUUGGCACGACUUCUGACAUGUCAUACUGAAGUCGUGGCACGACUUCUGCCCUGUCAUACUGAAGUCAUGCCAAUUUGGCACGACUUCUGUCAUGUCAUACUGAAGUUGUGUCAACUUGGCACGACUUUUGCCACGUCAUAUUUUUUUUUUUUUAAAUUAUUUAUAUAUUGGGUAGUANNNNNNNNNNNNNNNNNNNNNNNNNNNNNNNNNNNNNNNNNNNNNNNNNNNNNNNNNNNNNNNNNNNNNNNNNNNNNNNNNNNNNNNNNNNNNNNNNNNNAUCAUCUAUGGAUCAUGUCCGACACCAUUAAAUAUCAAAAUAUCAAAAAAAUUUCAUACAUGGGACAUUAAAUAUCAAAAUAUACUUUUUGGCUAGUGGGAAACCAUGUCCCGCGGCAAUGUCCUCAGGAGUUAAUGACUCAAAGUUUGAAUAAGCUGAUUAUCCAAACAUGAUCCAUACACGAUUAUCCAAUUUUUUGUUCCUUAAAACUAACACUCUUAGAAAAUUAUGUAUCAAAUUAAUUUUUAACAUUACAUAACUUAAUACCCAAUAUAUAAACAAUAAAAUUUAAAAAAAAUAAAUAAAUAUGACGUGGCAGAAGUUGUGCCAACUUGUCACGACUUCAGAUGACAUGGCAUAAGUCAUGCCAAGUUGGCACGACUUCAGUAUGACAUGGUAGAGUCGUGUCUAAUUGGGACAAUUUGUGCAUAUGAAGUCGUGCCGAAUUGGCACGACUUGCCUAAAUUUGUAAUUUUUUUUAAACGGAUCCCAUUUUGGUAAAAAGCAAAAAAAAAUAACUUCAUCAUGAUCAAAAUCCCUAGUUUUUGUCAGGUUAGAAGAUGCUUUGUUUCUUAAUUUUUAAAAAUGGUGUUAUGCGGUUUGCUAUAUUUUUAUGUAUAAAAAUUAAAUAUUUUUUAAAUGAUUUUUUUUUUAUAUAUAUUCUUGAUUGUUGAUAAAAAGAUAUUUUUAUUAAGUUUAAUUUAAUUUUUUAAAAUUGACUUUAUAAGAUGGUAUCUAUCUUAAAUUGAUUUGAUUUGUAUUAAAAAUAAGAUCUUCCAUAUAUAUUUGGUGUUGAAUAUAUACAUUAAACAUUCACGUUAACAUCAGUAUAAAUAUGGAAAGAGACCAAUAACAAAUCCCACAAUAGAUUUAAAUAUUUGGGAUUUAAAUAUUUAUUAAGAUAAAUUUUAAAUAACUCUAAUAAUAUAUAUUAUAUAUCUGAUAUUAUAUAUUAAUAGAAAGAAAAAAAUCAUUAAAUCAAUAUGUAUGAUUUAUAAAAAAAAGUGAAAAAUAUAUCUAACAAUAACAAAUAUAUUUUAUUUUGAUAACUUUAAAUUAUAAUAAUUUUAAAGUUGACUUUCAUUUGUGCUUAAAUUGGAAAAGUAGGUUGAUGAAUAAAAGUCCAACAUGCCAUAUCUAAUGGGACAUUACUUGGUAUCGCUACAAAUGUUGCAUGUGGGGUGAGUUACCUACUUUAAAGGAUAAAGCUUUGAUUUUUUGAAUAAAUAAAGUUUGAGUAACUUUUUUCCUCCACCCAUCAAUGCCAUCAAAAUUUGAAAUUUUGUUAUUAGAUUACUGUUCCAUCUUGACGGCCAGAUCCAGAGGAAUAGUUCUGGAAGCAAGAUUGCUAUUUAUUACUAAAAUAUUGCUGUAAAAGACGACUUGAUUCUGUUAAUUUUGUGUCAAAAUUCUUCUUAUGUUUUUCUAUAGAUUAUAAAUAAAACUUUAUGUAAAUAAUUGCAAGCAUUACUUAUCAUUAUAAGUUCUUGGUAACCUAUGUAGCUGACACAACACGAAUACGGACACAAAGAUACCUUUAAUCUAUAAAAUAUAGGAUACAUGGACAUGGAUCUAUAUAUUAUUUAAUUUUGAAUUAUAUAAAUUGAAAAUAAAUAUUUAUAUGCAAAAGUAUGUUCCAGAUUCUUUUGGGAGCAGGAAGAUAUUUUUCAUGACUGGUUCAAAAGAAUUUGUUCUUAUUUUUAUAAUCAUAAUAAAAAUUUAUACAAUAAAUUUGAGUUUUUAGAAAGUUAUUGUAUUUAUACCUUUUAAAAUUGUGUUAGAACCAUGUUAGAAUUUUCAAAAAUCCAAUAAAUAUUUCUUUGAAUUGAACACUUCACCGAUAAGUAUCCUACGAAUGUCGUACGGAUGUCGACACGGAUACGUGUGUCCAACACGGAUACACCAUUUAAGAAGUGUCUGAGCCUAAUAACUAACGAGAUUAUUCAAAAGAAAAAAAAAAUCAAAAUAAGGAAGGAAAAAAAGAGAAGAGAUUAAGGGAAAAAAAAAAGAAAAAAAAAGGAUCGAUGUAAGUCCUAUAUUUAAUAAUAAUAAACUUUGGUAUAAACUAAACAUAGUUUAAAUUAUUUUUUGUAUAAGUUAAAAUGACUUUUUACUAAUUAGGCAUGAUUUUUUUUUCAUUACAUAGAGAUAAUCUUUUAAACAUAGAUAUCUUUUAAGGGUUUUCUUUUUUGAUUAACAAAAUAUAUACAUAAGUAGUAUAGAAGUUCCUACAAGUGUUUUUUUUAAAAAACUCACUUUUUGGCUAUUUAUUUAAUAAGUUAAGAUGCUUUAAAAAUUAAGAAAAAAAAACACUAAAAAUUUCAGUCAGUGACUAUAUAUUUUAUAAACCUAAUUUAUAGAAAACUUGUCUUAUUUAUAAGAAGUUGGCCAAAAGGUGUUUACAUCAUUAAUAACAAUAGAGUAAUUAUGGAAGAGGAGGUUAAGGGUUUGUAGGAAAAGUUUUAUGAAGUCUGUGAGAGGACCGUGGUAACCACACUAUUAUGUUUAGCAUUUAAAUGAUAUAUUAGAUUAGUCAAAUUAUAAUUUAGUUUUGUUCAUGAAACAUUUUUCUAAAACAAUUCCUUUUUUCUUGUUCUCUAUAUAUACAUGUACUAUAAACAUUUCAAGUAUGAAAGGUUUCAUCCUCUAACCAUUAUUUUAUUUUUUUUACUUUCUAUUCUUGAUAUGUUUUUUUAUUUGUCGGAUUUACAGUAGAUUUUUCAUCUAGGUCCCUACCCCCUUAGCUUAGCUUUGCCCUCCAUUUGGUGACAAUUGUUAUUUCAUAUAUGUUAUCUCAAUAUUCCCUUCAUUUGUAAACAAAAAUAGGUAUUCAUUCCUUCUUUAAAGUUAUUAUUGUUUUAAAUCUUCUAAAGAAAAUCAUUCCAAGUUUUGCUCUAUGUGUAGGAAUAAACUAGAUGUUUUAAUCCUUGCAUAACUUUUUAUACUUGUUAUAAAAUUUAACCUUCUCAUUAUUACAGUAACAAUCACUAUUACACAAGGUAUAUAUAUAUAUAUGAAUGAUGGGUCUAGGUAAUAUUUAUCUACUGGUACACAAUUCGUUGUCGUGCUGGUAGUCUCCUAAUUCUUUGAAGUUUUUCCUCUCGCUACGUGUGUGCUCUAUCAAUCGGGUACCUACAAUUGCACUCUGACGCUCAAGUCAGUAUUAUAGUAUUAUAGUUUGUCAUCUCAGGAUAUGAAAAACGUACAUUUUUUCCCUUUCGAAAUCUUAUAUAGGUUGACCUGCCCUCAUUUGUUUGGGUUAGGUAAUUAGUUCACUCAAACGUGUGUAGUGGUCUCAGAAUGUGCGUAAUGAUUUCCUAAUAUCAUGGACAUGUGUCCCGAAGUAUGUCUUUAACCUAUUCAAUGCCAUUGUUUUAUUUAUUAUUUUGUAAAUAUCAUUUGACUUGUCUGGUGUCUGGUAAAUAUAUAUGUAUAUAUAUAUAUAUAUAUUAUUUUAUUUUUUUUGUUGAGUCUAUUUUCCGACCACUAUAUUUAAUAUUCUUGUAGUAAUACUGUUCAAGACUUUUAUAUUUUAUAAUAUUUCAACGUUGCAAACCGUCGUAUAUUGUAAUUUAUUUGGUUGAAAAGUGAUGAAUGUUUGCCACUUGUAUUGCUAUCUAGGAGUAGUUCCUUUAUAUGCCAAUUGCUGUAAUUUUGUUACUUUUCUUCUUCUUCGUUAAUUGCCCUUCCAAUCCUUUUUAAAUACGUACGUCACCUGAAAAUAAAAUUUCAAACUAAAAAGAUUCAAAACAUAACAUCAUGGACUUACAAUAUUCAAAACCUGAGACUGUCAUCUAACUCACCAACACAGAAACUUAAAUCUGAAACGUGUAGAUCUUGCAACUGCAUUACAUAAAUUAUAAUAUAUUUUAUAUAUAUUUUCUCUACAAGUGCAUACAAUUUUUACACCUUUUACAAGCAUAAAUCUCCUGCACCAAAGAGAAAAAUAAAAAUAAAAAUAACAUUAGACCUCCAAAAAAAAAGAGAAAUACACCGAAUAUUCUUAUUAUAUUACAAUAAAAUGUGCAAAAGUAAGAUUUUACAAAAGGUUUUAACAAUAACUGAUUUUAAAAGUGCAAUAACAAUUUGGUAAAGAAAAACUACUAUCGGACUCCAUUAGUUAACAUAUGGGUGGAAAGAAAAGAGAGUAAAAUAAAUUUCAUAUUUUUUAUUAAAAUACUGGUAUCUCCAAUAUUUUUUAGUUUUUAAUCCCAAUAUCUAAUUAAUUUAAUUUUGAAAGUAAUUCUUUUAUUUGAAUACAAUUUUUAAUUUCAAUCUCAUAUAUUUACAAACACAAUAACACAUAAUUACUUAAUUGAUAUUAGAAAAAAAAAUUGAAUCUCUUAACUAAAUUCACAUAUUUAACAUAAACAAAUUUAUGAGGGUACAACAAAUUAUUUAAACACAUAGUAAAUUAUACAAUGAGAGUGAAAAGAUAACUUAAAGAAAAAUAGGGUAAGAAUGAAAAGAAAAUAAAAAAGUGUAUGAAUUACAUACUCCUAACAUAACAAGUUGGAGUUUUUAUUUUGCAGAUCAAGAAGAUCAGAAUACUGAAUAAAUGUAUCUUUAUUUCAUACAAUAUAUAUAAAAAUGGAUGAUAGCUCCACCAUAUUGUUUAAUCUUCAAACUUAAUCAUCCUUUUUCUGGAACACUACAGGGAGAGCAGAACCAUCCAAGGCAAACAAAAUGGUUCCAUUCUCACGCACAAUCCCACCAGUUCCACAGAUGAAUCUGCAAGUGGGGCAAACUUCUGUAGGGCACCAUCUGAUGUUAUAGAUGCUCACGUUCUGUGUUUCCUCGAUUCUGAAAUAGUUUCCAGCACUGUGUGUUCCGUCAUCAAGACCAGUGAUGAUAACCCUUCUUCCAAUGCUCGUGUCAUUCUCACCCAACUUCCAUGCAGUGGACUGCACACACGUCGAUGAAACUUCAACGAACUCCACUUUCAAGUCCCUAUCCACCCUCACUUCAUCGUCAUCUUCCUCUCGGGCAAAAGGGGUGAAUCUCACAGGGUACCCCUGUGGCAAGUCAGUGUUUUCAAGACCAACAUGCAAAGGGCACGACUGGUUCCUGUUGAUCAAGGUGAAACGUCCUCCGUUGUCUGUUAUGGCUGGCCUGAUGAAGUACUCCUCGUCGCUUUCAAGAGGGUCACCGUGUGUGUCCAUCACAUAGCGGUUGUUGGAUUGGGAGAGCGUUGGUGUGGCCGCCAAAAGCCACAACGCGAGAGAGAGGGAAGCGAACAGCUUCAUCGACAUGGUGACACUUUGGUCUCAGAAUAGUGUGGUUUAAGGUUUGUGUGGUUUUGCAAUGGUGUGCGUGGUUUUUAAGGUUGCAAGAGGAAGGUAUUUAUA